GCUAGUGUAGGAAAUUGCUUUGUGGGGGUUUAUUCUUGUUAAGAGUCCAUGUUCCAUGUUUUAUUAUGAAUCUGUGUGCUUUCCUCUGUUUUAUAUUACUUAUGGGUGCCGUAUUUAUGUUAUGUAAUCUUGUGCUGUGCUUUACUAUGUGUUUGUGUGGUAUCUUGUGUCUUGAGCCGGGGGUCUAUCGGAAACAGCCUUUCUACUUCUUCAGAGGUAGAGGUAUGGACUGCGUACAUCUUACCCCCCCAGACCCCACUAGGUGGGAAUACACUGGGUUUGUUGUUGUUGUAAUUUAUAAUAUACGUCAAACAAUUCAAUAAAUUUAAUAAAGCAAAUAAGUAGAGGCGUCGCAUGUUUCUCUCACAUCAUAUAAUCAUCAGAAAACCUAUGGCUUUCAAAGCCUUCUACAGUAAAUAAUUUCACCUUAAAACUACAUUUAAAAACUUCACUAUAAGAAAAUAGAGAGAAAUCAACUUACCUUUGCUUGGACUAAGUUGAAGAGAAAGAGACAAGCGGUCACCGAAAAAUAGCAAAGCAAUCCUUUUCCCGAAUUCAAAUUCUGUCAAAAAGCAACAUCAAAUUACUUUCUACUUCACAUCAACCAAUAACACCAACCUCUUAGAAAAGCAACUUGACUUAACUAUUUUCUGGUAACUAAUUCACAUUUUCAUUCAUUUUUUUAAUGUCAAUUUCAACAACAUUGCUCAUUUAAUGCCAAUCCAGUACCCUCAACGCCUCCAACAUAUGCACCAAACUUUUGUGCAAAAUAAUAAAAUAAAGAGAAAAGAAAUUCGUUAACAUAUAGGCACAGAGGCAAAAUUCUAACAACUCAAACACCCAUAAGAAAGAAAAAAAUGGAACAAAAUUCUCAAACUCAUAAACAAAAGUAGCUCAAAGAGGAAGACAAUCACCCUGAAAUACCCCAUAUUCAAAUCCCAUUUCCAUUUUCCAAAAAAUUUCGCAAUAAAAAUUCAAUCUCUACCAAAAAAUUCAAACACCCACAUAAGAAAAUGUCUUCAAUCACAUCCCAACAUAAAGAAAAAUCAAGAAAGAGAAACACAGCAACCAAUAAAGAAAUUACCAAAAGUUAAAGUCUAGUGGCGUGAGAUAAAUUCAAGAUUUUGAGGAUAAAAAUCUUGGUCAUCCGGUAGGAAAUGAGAAACCUUCUACAACGAAUCAACUUGGGAUUGAGGCAAAUUAAGCAGACCGAUGAGAGUAGUUGUCCGAUUGAAACCUUCAGGUAGGAAAAGGGAAAUUUAGAAACCUUCAGUAGAAACCUUCUUCAACUAAUCAACUUGGGAUUAAGCAGACCCAGCUAUAGGAGAUCUCGUUGGGAUUAAGCAGAUCCAGCUAUAGGAGAUCUCAUUGUCACACCUUUUUUUACCAAAAAGAAUAUAUUUUAAGUUCGAAGAGAGUUUUAUUUAUCAAAGUGACAAAAAAUGAAAAUUUGUUUCAAAAAGGACUUUUUACAAUCAAACUCAAAGUCACCACUUGGCAUAAAUCUAGUGUGUCAAGUCACCUUUGAAAAAUCUUUUUCAAAAUGAUUUUUUGAUUUUUGACUCUUUAAACCUGAUCCACGAACAAAGAUUUCAGUUAAGGAAAUCUGUUGACCGAGGAGAAGGUGCUAGGCACCCCUCGAUCCCGUGGUUCGACCAUGAUUGCUCCGUGAACUAUAUCAGCUAGUAUGACGCUAUGAAGUGAAUAAACCAACAAAACACAUAAAACAAACAAACAAACAAACCAAAAAUUCAAAACAAAAUAAUGUCCAGUCUAAAUUAUACAGUCCCUAAAAAUAGAAAAAUGUGAAAAUGUAACCCCUAUUCUAAACUAGUCUAGACUAAGCUCCCCCGAUGUUCUGGGCUUUGAUCACGCACCGUCUUCGAGAACAACUCCCUCGGGACAUUCCCCAAAUAAAACAAUACAAAUAACCUCGGGUCAUUCCCCGCCAAAUUAGUACAAUUAAUCCAAAUGCGGUGAAACAAAAUCAUUCAACAAACAUUCAAUAAUCCACAGGCCCUUAAAUUUGCCUAACCAACCUAUCGUUUGUCUACCCAUUUCGACCUAUCAUGAUACUAUUGAGUGUCAAAUUAAUAGCAAACACCCAAUUAACGAAACCACUUGUGUUAUGAAUUGAAAUUACCAAUAUUCACCUUUAUUAAUUUUUCAAUCCCGUCCCAAACAACCGAUUUUAUUUUUCAAACGAGAUAUCAUUCCAUCACACAAUCCAUAACAAAGGAACCAACAACGAAUCAACACCAAGCAACUAUUCACCACCAACAAGGAUCAACCAACACACAAUAUUCAAUUCAAUGCACCAAAUAUGAUAAAGAUGAAAUAAAAAGAGGGAGAGAAUAGAGUUGGACCUCAAUUUGGACCUUUCGAAAUCCAAUAUUACUCGAAUGAAAAGACGAAACCCACAGCCGGAGACCUCGAGUUGAACCUCAAAAACCAAAACCCCCAAUUCCAAGCAAAUCCAAACUCCACAAUUGGUUUAGUGACUGAUCGGAGCGGGUUAGCUAAUGGAGCGGAUUGGAUCUGGGCUGCCGUUUCCGUUCCGCCGACGCUCCAGCGAGCUCCGGCGAUGAUGAAAAACGGAGAAUCGAUCAAAUUUUAAGAUGGUGGUGACGUUUUUCGGCAGUUUUGGGGGAGGGAUGGCCGGAUUAUGUGGUGGAGCCACUAUUCCGGUGACAACUUCACCGAAAAAAGUUGUUCUCCCUCUACUCCGUUCAGUGUUCACUUUUCACACCCAUUCCUUACUGUUCACGCCGGUUUUCAGCCCUUUCUCGUCCUUCACUGAUUUCUCCCUCUUAAAAUUAGAAUUAGGUGCGAGUGGAUAAAAAAUUCUUUAAAUUAAAAAUAGUGAUAAUUUUAAAAAAUUCUUUAAAUUAAAAAUAGUGAUAAUUUUAACCGGUUUAAGUUAAAAUUUUAUUUAAAUUGUGAUUAAGUUAAUUGAGGCGUAAAGUAUAAUUUUUAAAAACUUUAAAAAAAUUUAAAAGUCCUCCAACUUCAAAUUUUAAAUUUUAGAAUUUUUUCCAUUUUCUUAUCUUUCAAUCUUUUUAUUUCUUUCUCUCUUCAAAUUUCUCUCUCCCCAUCUUUUUCUUCUUCUUAUGUUUUUUAUCUCACUCUAUAUUUUCCUCUCCCUCCAUUUUCUCUUUCUCUUUUCAUUUCGUUCUUCUUCCUUUUUAAAUUUCAUGGACUAUUUUUAAAAAAAUAUUGAAAGGUUUGAAAAGAAAAUUUUUGAUUUCUUUUAAAAAUGAUCAAGAAAUAAUUCAGCAAAUUUAGCAACUAUGAGAGUUACUUGAGCUACUACGAGAAUUGCUUCAGCAACUACAAGAGUUGCUUCAGCAAAUACGAUAAUUGCUGCAACAACUACUAUUAGUUGUUGUGUUACAGCAAUUAGCGAAGUUGUUGCAGCAACUCCGACUGUUGUUGCAGCAACUUUGAUAGUUGCUGCAGCAACUUUUACUGUUGCUGCAGCAACUUCAAUACUUACUAAAUUUCUGGAAAAAAAUCUGGUUGGAGGAGGAGCCCACAAAAAAUUGAUAUUUAUAAUAAAAAUGGAGGUGGUGGUGGUGGUGGUGACGUCGAAUGAAAAGAUGACAUUUGUUGUGGUGUUGAUAGCGAUAGUGGUGGAGGAAAAAGAAGAAAAAUAGGCGAUAGUUAUGUAGAGGGAGGAAAUAAUGGUGAAUCCGAAAGAUGUGGCACUGCAGGAAGAGGAGAUGGCGGCGGCGGCGACGGUGCCAACAAAAAGGGUGUGGAGAAGGAGUGAUGGUGAUGGUGUAGGGAUCUUUGUAUAAAUAUGGGGUAGGGAUCUUUGUGUAAAUAAUAAAACUUGAGGGUUUUAAAAUUAGUGCCAUCAACACUAAUCUUAAAAUUGUCACCUCUACUCAAUAUUUAACACUUGUGUCACUCUUUCUAGUUUUGAAACAUUUUUGUCACCCUUAAUUAAUUUGUCCUUCUCUCUAUACCCCAUGUUUUUUUCUCUUCUAUGUGUAUAGUGCUCUGUACGCAUCUAUUUUUCCAUGGUCAUAACUCAUAUGGGUGUAUUGUGUGUAUAUAUUCCUUUUCUGUUAUGGCUGAUGGAUUGUUGAUCGUGUAAUUUAUUUGAAAAAUACUUUUAAUAAAAAGAUUGUGUUUGGAUAAAUUUUUUCGAGAAGUGUUUUUUUGGAGGUAAAUGACAAAAAAAACAUGUAUCAAUAAAUUUUUGCUAUUAAAAUUAAUUUAUAAAGAAAAUUAUGUUAAAUAUCUAUUAUAAUAUUUUUAAUUAAAAUUAUUUUUAAUAUUAAAAAAUACGUACUCUAAAAUUGUCAAUCACGAUUUAUAUACAUAGAUAUAUUAUAAAAUAUUAAAGAAUGAUAUAUUACUUAAAUAAUUUAAAUUCUAAUUUAAAACAUCAAACAAAAAUAUAUUAAAAUUAUUCCAUAAAUUAAAUCAUUACAUAUGAAAAAAUUAACGACAAAAAUAAUUAGUACUUCAUACAUCAUAAAAAUUUCAACGAUUUCAUCUAUGAUUUUAUUAUGCAAUGUCUUCAUACUGGUAGAAUAUCUGUCUUGUGUUUCUGGUGUAUACCAAAAGGUUCAUCUCCUUCUUCAAUCUUUGUGAUGAUGUCUUUGUUAGCAUAAUAGGUAGUCUUUAUCAGUAGUAGAGCAUUGUCGUAUGAAAUCAUGUAUUGCCGUAGUAGUUGUAACAAGAUGAACUUAAGUGUCGAAUUUAAAAAAUGGCAUUGAGCGUAGGAGAGCCAAUCUAUUUUUUCAAACUCCAAAUAUUCUUUCAAUUGUACAUCUCAAAUUGGAGUGAAAAAACUUGAAAGUCUCGUUUGAAUUUUUGAAUUUAGAAUUAUGUCUGAAAUCAUGGAGAUGAUAACAUUCCCCUUUAUAUGGUCGCACUGAGUAAAGAAUGUGGGUCCACGUGGGGUAGGUAAUAGUGAGGUGGGUAAUUUGUUAGGAAUUAGUUAUAUUUUGUCCCUUUUUCUAGAAAAAAUAUGGAAUGAAGUGGGGUGCAUGGUAAAGUGAGUAAAAUGGAUGAAAUUACUUUUGAAGGGGCAAAAUUACACAUCUACACUCGUCGGAGUGGCCGGUUCAAGAGCGUUGUUGUUUGAGAGUGGCAGCCCGAUUUGAGCACUGGCAAGUUUUCGUCAGUAAAAGUUGUUUGAGUUGUUUUUGGCUACUAGGGUAAUUAGGAAGGGAAAAGAAGGUAACUAAGAUGGGUUGAGUCGGAUCAUGAUUGAGUUGGGUUGGGUAGUAAAAAAAUUUGAGAAAAUCGAUCACAAAUGAUUGAAUUAUUUUUUAAAAAAAUAAUUAUUUGAAAAAUGACCAUUUGUGAUCGUUUUUUGUUAAAAAAUUAAAAUUUAAUAAAUUGUAUAAUAUUUAUAAUAACAUCCAAAUAAUUUAAUGCAAUGUAUAUAAAUCGGAUAAUUAUUUAUUUUACUGUCACAUUAACACGAGUAGUAUAUUUUUUCAAUCAGAUAAUAUAUUAACGCAUUUCGUAAAUUAGGAUGAAAUUAUUGGUUAAUUAUCUUUUAAAUACGGUAUUAUAUACCUUGUAAUACAUCAUAUUAAUAAAAUAAAUUAUCAUUUAAUUAGCUUAUGUUAUCAUUAAUAGUAUACCCUUUUCUACAUUAACACAAAUAGUAUAUUUCCUCAAUAUUAUGGUAUCAACGUAUUAUUCAAAAUACUUGGAUAUAUAGAUUCAAUUAGCUAGCUUCUGAUUACUACGUACAUCACUACAUGAGAUAUAUGUAUUUAUACAUAUAUCCAAUUGACUAUCAUCUUCGAAAUUUGUACCGUAUACAUCACUACAUGAGACACACACACACACAUAUAUAAAUAUAAUGUGAGCUUUUGACUAUGUACUGCGUACAUCACUACAUAUAGUACGUAUAUAUGUAUAUAUCGCGCACAUACACACACUCACACUCUAUCGACUAUCAUAUUCUUAAUACGUACUAUGUACAUCAAAUACACAAGUAUAUUAUCAUGUAAUGCAAUGUAUUUCACAUAUACUCAUAUGAAUUAUCAGUUAAUUUAUCUUACGUUAUUAUAACUUCAACAUAAUAUUAUUACCUUGAUCGAUCAACCAUAUGAUAUUAACAUAUUCAAUAUAUAAUUGGAUACAUUUAGUUAGUUUUUGACUACGUACUAUGUAUAUCACUACAUGAGAUACACACACAAAGAGAUACAUAUAUAUACACCCCCCCACACAUUAUUGAUUAUUAGGUUCUAAAUGCGUACUAUAUACAUCACAUACAUGAGUAUAUUACCACGUAAUGCAACAUAUGUUGCAUUUCAUACAUACUCUGAUGAGUUAUCGAUUAAUUUAACUAGCUUACAUUAAUAUAAUUACAACGUACAAUAUAUUAUUACUUAGAUCUUUUCAAAUCAAAGUAUUCAAUAUAUACUUGGAUACAUUUGAAUAGCUUUUGACUUACACCAAUACAUGAUACACGCACACACUACUAUUGACUACAAGGAUCUAAAUACGUAUUAUAUACAUCACAUAUAAAUGAGUAUAUAAUUACCCCAUAUAAACAUAUAUAUAUAUACUCUGAUGCAUUAACAAUAUUAUAUUAUUAUAAUUUCAACAAUAUAUCGGUUAUAUAUGUACCUUAAAUUGUUAUAACUCUAAUAGUAUAUUAUUAUCUCAACGAUAAUAUAUCAACGUAUUCAAUAUACAAAGAUUAUGUUUAACGUACUUUAACACGUGUGUGUAUACUUUUACUUAUAUGUAAGGGAGAAUGCCUUACUUUGGUAGUCCUCACAUUCUCAGAUGGCCAAUCUUAGUCUUGCAAGUGAUUGUUGUAAUUGGUCUUUUAUCAUGUAUUGCUAUAAUUUUUUACAAAAUAAAAAUUAGGUAAAAUGACCUUCUGGACCCUUGUACUAUGUUGGUUUUGUAAGUUGGAUACUUCUACUUAUAUGUUUGUCAUUUGGACCCCUGAACCCACUAAAACGCAACAUUUUAAACCUUUUUUUGGUGAGUGUAAUAUACUCUCCCCACGUCAGCUGCCACGUUUGCCUCAUCUGCCAUGUCAUUUAAAAAAAAUAAGAAAAUAAAAAAUAAAAAAAAGUAUUACAUUAAAUUCCAAGUAAUUUUUAAAAUGCUAAAGAACAAAUUAAAUAUUAAAAUUAAUUUAAUUAAAUAAGAAAAAUUUAUAAUUGUAGAAAAAAUUGAAUAAUCAUGUUUUUAUUUUUGCUCACAAAUUAAACAUCAAAUUCAUUCCAAAUAAUUAAAAUUCUUCUCCAACUAAUUUAAAUUUUUAACUAUAAAUUCAUAUAUACAAACAUAAUAAAUUUUUGAUNNNNNNNNNNNNNNNNNNNNNNNNNNNNNNNNNNNNNNNNNNNNNNNNNNNNNNNNNNNNNNNNNNNNNNNNNNNNNNNNNNNNNNNNNNNNNNNNNNNNNNNNNNNNNNNNNNNNNNNNNNNNNNNNNNNNNNNNNNNNNNNNNNNNNNNNNNNNNNNNNNNNNNNNNNNNNNNNNNNNNNNNNNNNNNNNNNNNNNNNNNNNNNNNNNNNNNNNNNNNNNNNNNNNNNNNNNNNNNNNNNNNNNNNNNNNNNNNNNNNNNNNNNNNNNNNNNNNNNNNNNNNNNNNNNNNNNNNNNNNNNNNNNNNNNNNNNNNNNNNNNNNNNNNNNNNNNNNNNNNNNNNNNNNNNNNNNNNNNNNNNNNNNNNNNNNNNNNNNNNNNNNNNNNNNNNNNNNNNNNNNNNNNNNNNNNNNNNNNNNNNNNNNNNNNNNNNNNNNNNNNNNNNNNNNNNNNNNNNNNNNNNNNNNNNNNNNNNNNNNNNNNNNNNNNNNNUUUAAAUUUUUAAAAAUAUUUUUAAAUUAAAAAAGAUGGAGGAAAAAAAGGACCCUUUUUUAUUCUUUUUAAUUUAAUACCUUUUUAAUUAUUUUAAUGUAAAAUUGGCCAAAAAUUGACCUCCAUUUACACUCCUAAGCGAGUGGCUACACUCUUUUUGUCCUAAUCACCAUUUCAAUGCCACAUAGGCAAGGUCAACCGUCAAAGGGUGCAAAAUAUUGGUUUUUAAUGGUUUCAAGGGUCUAGAUGACAAACAUGCAAGUAGAUGUGUCCAACUUACAAAACCGACAUAGUACAAGGGUCCAGAAUGUCAUUUUGCCUAAAAAUUAAGAAUGCCAGUUUAAUACGUGGCUAGCCAUUUUUCGUCCUUAUUCAUUUCUUAAGGUGCACUAGCUCGUGUCUUUAUAAUUGGAGAAUAGUAUAAUUUUGUGAGAAUUUUUUUUUCUUGCACCUUAUUCCAGUUUAUUCUCUGCUAAAACAAAUUUCAGGUAUAAUAUCUUAGUUAAUGAUAUCAAUUAAAUAAUAGUAAUUUAUUAAUAUUGUCUUUUUAUAUUUUUUUUUUCCCAUUUUUGAAAUUACAGAUAAUUGAGAUUCCCAUAAAAAAGAAGAAGAAGAAGAAUUAAUAUAUUUUUAGACUUUGAAAAAUUCAUUCAUUUUUUAUCAUAAAAAAACUCAAAAUUUCAUUUAUUUUGGAACAUCAAAAAUAUAUUAUAUAGUGUUUUUAGUUCGGACACAACCCUUAAGAAAUCACUCACUUCUAAAAAGCUAAGAUGUGUUUUUCACUAAAUUAUUCUUUAUUAAAUAGUAUUAAUUUGGUAUGAUUUCUUCGUUAUAUAAAGAUUCACUUAUCUAAAUAAGGAUAAAAAGUUUUUUAGAAAUACUUUUUUUAAUUAUAUAAAAACCCAUUAUUGUUGUACUAAAUGGUUUUUUUCUUCUUCUUUUUUUGUAAAAUUAGAUAAUUUUGUAGUCAAAUUUUCUUUUUCAAAACGAAAAAUUUAUUAAAUUUUACUUUACAUUUAAACAUGUCACAUGUCGUAUGUUUCUCUCUGUGUCUCUUAACUUAGGGAUGGAGCCAGCCCCUUUUGAUAGGGGGUUUGAUGAACCCCCUUCGACGAAAAUAUAUAUCAUUUAUACAUAAUUAAAAUUAAUUUUUACGUGUCUAUAAUAGGUUUUGAACCCCUUCAGCUAGAUUUUCUUCAAAUAUUGAAUAUAUAUAUAUAUAUAUAUAUAUAUAUAUAUAUAUAUAAGUGAUUUGAACUUUUUGCCCUUCACUAAAACUCUUUGCAAUAGACAAAAUAGUCUUUUCAUAUUUUUUUUAAUUUAUAAUAUUAAACAUUGACUAUAAUAAAUAUAUAAAACAAAUUAAAUUUAAAAGGUUUUCUACUUAUAAGUAAAUUCUUAAAUUUAUGCGUGACUUUUUUUCCCCAAAAUAAAAACCAUCGGUUGACUUUUCAAAAUAACAAGUUUUUGUUUUGUAUUUGGUUACAAUACAAUACUUUUCCCAAACAAUAAAAGAAAGGUUUUGUUUUUGUAUUUGAUUAUAUUAUUGUACUUCCCCCCCCCCUUGUAUUUGGUUACAGUACUGUACUUUUCCCGCAAAGUAAAAAAGAUUUAUUUUUGUGAAGGUUUAGUUUUGUAACUUUUUGUCCUUUAUUAAAACUCCAUCCAAUAGAUAAAAUAGUUUUUUAUCUUUUUUUUUUAAUUUAGAAUAUUAAAUAUUGACUAUAAUAAAUAUAUAAAAAAUUUAAAUUCAGAAGGUUUUCUACUUAUAACUGAAUUCUUAAAUUUAUGGUAAUAUUUUGGUGUGAGCCUGACUUUUUUUCAAAAAAAAAAAAAAAAACAUUCGUUUGCCUUUUUGAAAAUUUUUGUUUUUGUAUUUGGCCUUACUAUUUCAAUGUGUGUUUUCUCUUAGUUGAUAGCAUUACAUAUUAUAUAUGAAUUAUUCAUAAUCAACAAUUUCGAAUGGAUUCACUCCUUCUGAUAACUUUUAGUGUUUUCUUUUUCAAAAAAAAAAUUUGAUAAAAAAAUUGGAUGAAACAAGCUUGUUGUUGGUGAAUGAAAUAGCCAGAAAAAAAAUUAAGGUUUAUCUCUUUGUUUCUUUCUUUCUUUUUUGUUUAGAUUAAAAUUUUGUAGAACCUUUUAUUAUAAGAACAAUACAAAACUCUUUUUAUGUAAUUAAGUUCAUCUGCAUAUUAAUUGUUUAUAGAGAAGUAACUUUACGGUUUCGAAGCUUAACAAACUAUCUUGCAGAGCUCAACUCAACAAGACAACGACAGAAUCAGGUUUAAGUGAACAAAACUGGUGUUUCUAAUGUUUUUUAGCCUAUUCACAUUGUUCAAUAGAUAUUUUCUUGACAAUUGAGAUGGAAGUAUUACACAGAGGGGAAUUCAAAAUUUAUAUGUAAAUGAAAACCUAAUUACAUAGGAUCUCAUUUAUUUCUAUUUGAUGAAGGUCUUAAUCUUAAUCAUUCAGAUUUCUAUUUAGCUAUUACAAUCAAAACUUUUGACUGGCAACGGCAAGUAUGAGAAGAAGGCGUACGUCUUGACAAGACACCUCGACAACAAGGUUGCUACCCUUCACCUUAGAGAUCUCUAGAGCCAAGCUUACCGAACUUUUCAAAGAUCAAGCUAACUACAUUAGCAUACCAGUUCUGUGUCCUUGCAAGCCUGCUCACUACAAGUACUGCGCGAAUAUAAAUUCAUAGUGGCUAUUUUUUUUUUUACUUGAUAUAUUAAUUUAUGUAUUAAAGUUUUUCUUCUAAUGUUCCGUAUGUCGGGCAGUAUCAGUGAUCAAAUGGUAAAUACAAGGUAUGUUAGUCAUGUGUAAAAGUAGGGCUGCAUUUACAUAUGUCUUGAAAAGGAUGAAUAUUGAGAAUGCAUUGUAGUAAACCAAAAGAUAUUAUAAGGAUAUAUGAAGUUAUUUUUUCUCCUUUUUUUUUUUUUAAAACAAAAAAAACUUAUGGAGUAAUCAUGUGUGUGUUUUUCUUUUGGUCGCUUUUUCAAAUUAUUUUAUUUUUUAAUUAAAAACCGACCACUUAUAGUCAUUUUUUCUGUAAAUAUUUUUCUUAAAUUUUUUUAAUCAAAAAGCGACCACAAGUGGUCGAUUUUUGCAUAAUAUUUUAAAUUUAUCUUUUAAUGUAAAGCUACCGCAAGUGGUCGCUUUUACAAAAUAUUUUUUUAAUCAAAACCGACCAUCGUUGGUCGCUUUAGGUUUUAAAAAAAACAUUAUUUUGAUAUAAAAAUUUAAGAAGAAUUUUGAAAUUAUUAUUUUAAAAUUUUAAAAUAUAAAAGAAACCAAAUGUGGUCGCUUUUCUUGCGACCACCCACAGUGGUCAUAAAAACUAUUUUUUCCAGUAGUGCAAAUUUCAUUUGAAGAGAUUCUGGGGGUAGGAACAUCAUUACAAAAAAAUUGCCACCUAAAACACUAGCAAAGCACAACUUUUUGACUUUAUUAAGCAUUAAAAUGAGUAAGACAUACAAUAGAGAAAGAAAAGAGUCAAAUCACUAAGAACUUGAAUAUUCAUGUAUUGUAAAUUUGGGAAGCUUUUUAUCAAGCAAAGAGCAGACGAAACCAACUCGAAUGGAUCGAAAUACAUACCAGAUAUGCAAAAACGUUUGACAGAAUGAAGAGCAAAAGGACUCGUUGCUGGUACCAAGGACUAGGAAUAGAGAAUAACAGAAGUCACGACGACUAUAAAUCAAAAUAUAUUCCCUCAAUGAAAAUACUUUGAGAUGAAUUAAGUAGAAAUGCUUUAGAGUAGAUAAAGGUUCAAAAGACUUGGUAAUAUUAGAUAUUCCAGCAGCCCCUGAAUAACAUAAUUCUCCAUAUGUAAGAUGUUAGAAUGCCAUUCGUAGAAAGCAAAAAAAAUUUCAAUUCAUCAAUAUUAAUGGAUAAAUAGAAAAACUAAAAAAAUGCAAAGAGUGAACUUUGUAAUUGGUCUUAAACGAAGGGUAAAAAUUGACGGACAAUCUUUGUAAAGUAAUUGCAAGAGGUCCUAAAUCCAUUAUCCUUUUCCAGAGUGUUUCAUAAAGUGUAAACCCACGAAGUCUGCACCAUAUAUAUCUCCUGUCUCUUUGAUAAGAUGUUUGGCCUCACAUCUUUAAAAGUCAAAAACAUAAGAAUUUCUUCAAUUAAGGUGCUUAAUGUGCGGAAGGUGAAGUUCGACAACAAUACUAUGUUUUGCCCAUCGAACUCGAGUAGCAAAUAGUGAAAAUCUGGAUGUGUUUCUGUGAAAUCCACAUUGAUUUCAAAGCAAACAGUGAGAAUAGUUGCAAAAAAUCAGUGUCUUGAAGCACCAAAAUUAUUUCUUUGGAACUUGUAACUGAAGUUAACCACACCGUACUUGAUAUUUUCUAGAACAAAUAAGACUUCGACCUUUCUAGCUACUAUAUAGUAGCACAAACAUGAAACAUGAAAAAAUUAUAGUAGUUUCACAAAGUUUGCUCAUUGUGAAGCUUCUAUAAUUUAACCAGGUGUUUGCUUUGCUUCAUUUUGGCUAGUUUUAAUUGUUGACAUGGUCGUAUAGCAUUCGUCAUGGGUAAAAAUAGUAUGUUAAAUCCAGAUAUUGCCUCCUCGGACAUGAUCUUUGUACAAGAAAACAAAGAGCUAGUGAGGGCCGAAAUAGAAUAUCGUAUGUAGUGUUGAAUCCAAUUUGAAGAUCUUUCGAACAAGCAAGGAAUGAGUGACCACAAGCACCGCUUAAGCGCUCGACAUACAGUUAAUCCGUCACAUAUGACGUAACAUAACAUAACUAGUUAGAGAACUCUAGAGGCAAUUUCAGAUUUACAGCAAAAAUGAAUAUUAGGUCAACUUAACAGAAAAAUAAAGAUACGUAGAAGUAAGACGACACACAAACUAGUACAAGUCUGCAUAAUUCUAAUUCCAAUAUAGGUGCCAUAACAGAUCAUUGGAACAUGAUAGCCACAUCCAAGUAAUCUUCUAUCUGAAAUUUAAGUUCACUUAGUGGUUUGCUGCCAUCAUCUGGUCGCCUUAUAUUGGGAUAAGAAAACAUUCUCCGCAUCUUUCUAACAAUAAAUCACCCCCUUUUAUCAGGAUAGACAAAUUUGUCUUGAUUCUGGAGCAACCUCUUUAACCAGAUCAGUUAGUUCGCGCAGAGUAGCAUCUAUCCAUGUAUAGAUUUGGACCUCAUCGUUGGGUUCCUUGCCUCUCACGACAAAUUCAUUCUCAAUGUGAUGGCCUCCAACCUUAGUGAAAACACGAAGCAACAGAGGACAAGUUUUCUCGCGAUCGACAGGUACAGGGAGUGGAAGAAUCCUUACGAGAGAUAUACCAAGCGGGCCACCUCUUGGUGAAGGAGAUGACAAUAGUCUUCCUCUUCUUUGAACAUCCGCCAUUGUUGUCACUCCCGUUUCGUCGUCGAUCUGUCACUCGCAACACAACCGCUCGACAUACAGUUAAGCUAGCUAUCCUUAUAUUAUUUCUGCUAAUGAAUAUCGAUAUGAGUGGAACAUUUGUUGAAUGCCAGAAACAACAAUCAAAUUACAGUCAUUUUUAAACAAAAACUUCAGCCAAAAUCCAACAAAAACAUCCAAAUUACAGUCACUUUUCAGCAAAAACAACAACUGAAUUCCAUCAAAAGCACUAUCUAAAUCGCAACCAUUUUAAGUAAAAAAUAACAACUAAAUUCCAACAUAAAGACCAACCAAAUUGUAGCAAAAAUAGUGUCCAAAUUGCUAUCAUUUUCAACAACAAAAAAAAAAGCCAAACCAAAAAUAUAGCAGUCAAUAUUUUAAGGGUUCAGCUCCAGCAAAAACAACAUGAAACAAUCCCUACGCCAUCUUCAAAAUCAACAAAAACAAUAGCAAGAUAUCAUCACUUGCAAUGCAUUAGAAACACCUUAAACUUACUAGAAAACCAUCGUAAUGGCACAAAAAUAUCAAUAAAAAAUAACAUAAAUGUCUAGCACGUGUAUAUAAAGAGUGAGUCAUUUUUACCCCAAAAAAUUGUUAUAGCUUCAAAAUGUAGGUUUAUUUUCUUUUGUGCAUUGAGAACUUUCCCAAACAAAAUAUGGUUCAAUGUCUACUUCGAUAUCUCCCAUUUGUUCUUGUUCCACUUUAUUUCGUUCUCUUCUAACUUGAAAAACAAUAACAAGUAUAAUAUUAACUCCAGCAUAAAAAUCGACAUUACAUGUCUUUUCUGACGAAAUACAGAGGUAGUUUCUGGCGUCACAGUGUAGUAACUGCAAGUUCUUUUAUUAUUGCCAGGUUUGUGACCUGUGCUGCAAUUUAGAGAGUCUUGCUUUCGUUUUAUCUUUGUUCGAUUAGCUCCAACUUCAUCUUCUUCCUUCUUUCGUGACUUUGGUUUUCUUUCUUUCUUAUUAACUUUUGUAAUUCUUGGAGGUAGAGGAGGAAGUUUACUUGACUUAAGGUUCCCUCAACAUCAAUUAACCUCUAAACAACUGUCUGCGAAAAACUCUAACAAAUGACUGAGUCAACUAACCAUAUAUAAACUGGGACAAGGCCCCCAGUAAACUCAAAACUAAAUAUAAGAUAAAAGGACUGCAAGACAUAAGACCUUCCGAAACAUAGAAGGCUCAACACUUGUCUCUGCAACUCUGUCUGAAUGAUCUACUGAUUCUCUUGACCCCUAGACUGGGCCUCUGAACCUGAGAGGUUGGAGAGGGGGGGGGGGUCAGGGCAAAAGUACUGGCAGGCAGGGGUAUCAAAAUAAAAUAUAAUAUUUUUACAAAUAUAGUUGAGAGUCAUUAUAAAGCAAUUUCGUAUCAAAUAAUUUGAAAGCACAUGUGUGUAAUGCAAUAGUUUUCUCAAUAACAAUGAAAUGCAACUGAGAUAGGGGGAAUACCCUACAUAAUUUACACCAACUGUCUAAACUCGGUUGCCGCCGAGAUUACAGUAUAAGUGAGGGAGAGACACUCAAGACCACAAAGCAUGGUGUCUCGAUCCACUGGUAGUGCUCAAGAUCACUUAGCCCGGGCUCCUACCUAUAGUCCCAAUUUGGGAAUGACAUGAAGUCAAGUACACAAUAUCACUUAGCCUGAUACCAAAAUUUCGUGUUGGCAAACACGUUUUCCAGCGAUGAGCCCUUAAUCUCAAACGCCUUCUUUGGGCAUCCACCUUUCUCAUGUAAAAAUUAAUGCAUUCAAAUUUUAUCUGAUUCAAUCACAUAUCAUGUUCUGUAGGGUAUCGUCAUACUCGACUUGAAAGUCCUCAAUAUCACUUCCACAUAUGCAUAACUAUGUAAAAAUCAAGGUGCUUCAUCAUUUACAAGUGGUGAAUAAUAUUUAUUUCAAAUUCAUGCUCUCUUUUGUUGAUCACAAUAUGAUAUGGGGUAUCAAGACAUUAUAAUGGGUAUUUGAAAGCAAUUUAUCAUUUAUAUUUAUCAAACUUCCAUGGAAAAUCUCAAAUCACAUAUGCAUGGUUUCAACCAUUGAAGUAUAUAAGCAAACAAUUCCCAUGACAUAAAGAAAGAUGACUUAGAAAUCAUAUUGAAAGCAAGUUAUUAGCAUUUGAUUGAAAACCCCCAUUUAAAAGCAUGCAUGUUCAUAAAAACUACACCCAUGAGAUUUUAGGAUAACCCCACGUACCUCUAUUUCCAAGGAUAAUAGAUGUUUCUUGAAGCUUGCGGAUUGGUGAUUCCCAAUAUGUAAUUAUCUUUGAAAACCUACGGUCGAAUCUUGAGCUAUUUGGGUUUUUUAUUUUGAAACCCUAAGGAGAAUCUUUGAGCACUUUUGAUGAAUGAAGGUGUAUUUUGGGGUCAUUGGAACUGAAUUUCAUGUUUUAGGGCUAAGUAAGGGUGGAAAAGAACCACUUUGUCCCCAAAACGGAGUGUUUAAGUCACUAGAAUUAUUUACAUAGGCCCCGCCCAUCCCAUUGCCUAUGUUCACAUAGGCGCCGCCUAGGCUGUCGCCUAUGUUUACAUAGGCACUGCCUAGGCUAUUGCCUAUGCUUUCCAGUGGCCAUGGGCAAUUGGUUAGGCAACGCAUAUCACUUUGAAAGUCCAUAGCUUCUUGCUCGGGUGUCAGAUUUUAGCCAAAUUGGUAUCGUUGGAAAGCUAACUCGAAUACCUAUCAUUUGACACAUAGUAGGCUUCCUAAUUCGACAUAUACAGAGAGUUAUGGUCGAUGGAAGCUGACACAAUUUACAACGUCCACUAAAACUUAGUCGAUCAAAAUAGUUUCAACUCGUCCAUGAGUUGAAGGACCUCUAUGGUCUAAAUUCAAGCUUGAAUGGAUUCACAUGUUACACAAAUAAUUAACAUGCCGUAUUGGUAUAGGAUUUUAUGGCUUCGGGAUUAUCAACACAUCGAAAUCAUGGUCCUUAUUGUAGCCCAAAAUGCGGGGCGUUACAUUAUGUCAGAAAUGGUUAGAGCUCGUACACUCUCUUUUGAAUUCGAAGAGAUCAUAGGGACACAUUACAACAAUUUCGACGAUGAAAAUAUCUUUUAGCUACCAUCUUAAGAUGCCAUAAGAAAAAUUAUAAUGUUAUAUAAAUUUCUAUAUCUAAUGUUUUAACAGCACAACUACAUACACAAGGCUAUGGAUCACAAAAGACAAACCCUUUUCGUGUUGAUUCUUAAAUUUAGACUACAACAACUUUAUAACAACUUAUACAAAAAGAGACUGUGAAAUGAGGCUUUAGGUUUCAGGGUGUACAUAAUUAGAGAUAUUACCAAAAAAUUUAAUGAUAGUUCGAGGAACUCAGUCCAAUGAAAGCAAGCGUAAGAAGAAUAUACAUUUCAAAGGAAAGUAAUAGAUAAUCAUGACUAUCUGAGACACACAUCAUUUUAUGGUGGUAUAAUUUUUUGUUAAUAGAUAAUCAUGACUAUCUGAGACACACAUCAUUUUAUGGUGGUAUAAUUUUUUGUUAAUAGAUAAUCAUGACUAUCUGAGACACACAUCAUUUUAUGGUGGUAUAAUUUUUUGUUAAUAGAUAAUCAUGACUAUCUGAGACACACAUCAUUUUAUGGUGGUAUAAUUUUUUGUUAAUAGAUAAUCAUGACUAUCUGAGACACACAUCAUUUUAUGGUGGUAUAAUUUUUUGUUAAUAGAUAAUCAUGACUAUCUGAGACACACAUCAUUUUAUGGUGGUAUAAUUUUUUGUUAAUAGAUAAUCAUGACUAUCUGAGACACACAUCAUUUUAUGGUGGUAUAAUUUUUUGUUAAUAGAUAAUCAUGACUAUCUGAGACACACAUCAUUUUAUGGUGGUAUAAUUUUUUGUUAAUAGAUAAUCAUGACUAUCUGAGACACACAUCAUUUUAUGGUGGUAUAAUUUUUUGUUAAUAGAUAAUCAUGACUAUCUGAGACACACAUCAUUUUAUGGUGGUAUAAUUUUUUGUUAAUAGAUAAUCAUGACUAUCUGAGACACACAUCAUUUUAUGGUGGUAUAAUUUUUUGUUAAUAGAUAAUCAUGACUAUCUGAGACACACAUCAUUUUAUGGUGGUAUAAUUUUUUGUUAAUAGAUAAUCAUGACUAUCUGAGACACACAUCAUUUUAUGGUGGUAUAAUUUUUUGUUAAUAGAUAAUCAUGACUAUCUGAGACACACAUCAUUUUAUGGUGGUAUAAUUUUUUGUUAAUAGAUAAUCAUGACUAUCUGAGACACACAUCAUUUUAUGGUGGUAUAAUUUUUUGUUAAUAGAUAAUCAUGACUAUCUGAGACACACAUCAUUUUAUGGUGGUAUAAUUUUUUGUUAAUAGAUAAUCAUGACUAUCUGAGACACACAUCAUUUUAUGGUGGUAUAAUUUUUUGUUAAUAGAUAAUCAUGACUAUCUGAGACACACAUCAUUUUAUGGUGGUAUAAUUUUUUGUUAAUAGAUAAUCAUGACUAUCUGAGACACACAUCAUUUUAUGGUGGUAUAAUUUUUUGUUUCGUACCUCUUAGUUUAGAUAACAAUUUCUAGAUUUUUAGACAGUAGAAGGGAGGAGGAAGAAAGUGCACAUCAGAGAGUUCCUAGGAUACAGUAGAAGUAGUUAUCUGGGGACUAACAUUUGUUCUAGCUUACAACAGAAGCACCGCAAUAAUUCUUUUGUCUAGAUGCGUACAAAGUGAUUGCAGUGUGAGCAGGCGAGCAAGUAAAACGACUGGAGGCGAUCAGGAAGUGAUAUUUUGCCUUCCAUAGAAAAAGUUUUUACCUGCAGUAGUAGUUCACAGUGACAUUAGAAAUUUCUUUGAAGAUAUUUAUGAUAAGGCAUUGGACCGGUUGUUGAUGGGGACAGAAAUUGGUUUAACAGAGCGACAGAGUUGGAACCGGCAGUGGUGAUUGUUAUAGUGAUGAUAGUGAACCGGAUCUGGCUGCUAUGGUUAGUGAGUUUCUGAAAAGUGGAAUAAACUGAUUGUACUAAUUGUAGAUGACAUAUACAUGUUACUAACGUAUAUACAAUUCUGAAAUGGUGGAUAUAGGAAAUACUUCAUCUUCAAUAGGUGCAAGAUUUAGUGAGAAAGGUGAUGCCGAUGAUCUUUGUAAAGUGUAAGAUACCAACAUUACGAUGAGGGGAUAAGUUAAUAGGUACCACUUCAUCAAUUGUAGCAGCCUGCACGUGCUUGGGAUUUACUAAGAUCGUUAUCUGAUAUCUUUUAGCUAAUCUUAUAGCUGUGUAUGUCAGAGAUAAAGAGGAAUUUUAGUUGAAUAUAGGUAAAGAAGCGUAGAGGUAAAAGAGAAGAGUUUCAGAGACUGAUGUAAACAACAUACCACCGCGAAAUUUAGUAACGCUUAAACGCUUAGCAAGAAUGACGGGGUGCUCAUACAGGUGAUGUUGUAAUGUAGCCCCUUCAUUGUUAGCUAAAUCAUCCCAUACAGUAAAUAGGGCAGGUUUUUUGCUGAUCGAUAUAACAGUCAUAAAAUUUUUAAGGUGUAAGUAUGCUUUAUUAAGCAGAAGGGGGCGACUAGCUCACCUCUGAUCCAUUAUGAUUGCCUCCUGAAAGUGCUUACUUCGGUCAGCGCUAUAUUGUAGCACGCUACAAUUAGCUACUACUGCUAGUAAAUCUGGUGUAAUGGAAAAUAAGAAGUUACCAGUUGAUUUAAUUAGUAGGGCACAGUUAGUUGGUGUGGAAAAGAGGCGAAGGCAUAAAGUGGGAGCUUACUAAAUUCAACAUCUGGACGUAGGCACUCAAUAGCUGAAAAAGGAAGUGUGUUCAACUUUCUUGGAGAAGGAAGGGGUACUUCCAUCCCACCGUUAUUGGUAACUGCCUCAACAAUUUUGUGUCUGUUGACCACCCAUUCGUACGCAUUGACUCGUAUUGAGUAACUGUGGGGCUCUCUAACUUUCAUGCAAGAAAUCAAAAUGUGUUGAAAGGAGAAAAUAGCCUCUCGUACUUGGGAAUAUCAUCACCAUAAAGUACUAUGGCAACCUGUUGUUCCUGUAGUCAAGUGAGGUAGAGAAAGGUUUAGGUCUGCGAAUAGAAUUUAUAGAGGAAGUUGUUAAAAUUUUCAACUGCUGUUGUUUUUAUGGGGCUUCAACUCGCACUUUAUGAAGUUGUCGUAGGUAAUAAUUUUAUUUAAAACAUCUUGAGUAUCAAGACCAUUUUUCAGUAUGAACAGGAGUAUAGGUAAACUUACGGUUUCAUCUUGCACAAGCAUUUUCUUAAACUGCACACUUUGAUCUCUUCUCUCACGAGGCCGAAACUUGUCAACCACCUGAACCUUACAGGUCCAAUCUGUAGUUUCUUUUGUGAUACCAUCAACAGGGAGUCAUUGAUCCAUUAUGCCAGGCUCUGUUUCAUUAUGGCGGGGGAAGGUGCACAUUAAAUAGCAACAUAUAGUAAAGAGUAAACUAAUGAAUGAACUUAUAUAGUGAUAAGAGUACAAAGCGUGAUGUAUGAGUUACAACCGUAGAUAUGACAGUAAAGCUAUGCAGACAAUCAAACUCGGAGAUAAAGAAUAACUACUAACAAACCAAGCAGUUGCCUUAGUAGAAUCAGAGAAAUUGACAACAGAGAACAAAGGAAGAAUGGAACUAAGUUGAAGAGAGAUUUAGGUGAAGCCGCUAAUAUUUCUAUACAAUUAACCAUUUCAAACAUCGAAGAAAAACUUUCUAAUGGAGACGUAAAUAAUCGACAACAAACAAAUGUAGUGAUUUUGGAGCAACGCCAAGUUUCUGAUAUAAGAUGUAUUUUCUAUUUAACAUAAAAAAAAUAAUAUGGAGCAGACAUCAUUCACAAAUUGCUAAUGCAGCACCAAGACUGUAACACCCUCAAAUUUUGGGUAUUUUAUUUUUGAUCAUCCCAUGCUUGAAAUAUAAAAUUUUUAACUCAAAUAUUAUUUGAGGAUGUUAAAGGGUAAUCCAGGAGAAUUUCAGCAUUUUUGGAUGAGAUAUGGGGGAGUUUCAGGACAUGGAGGUAGUAAGCCUCGGCGAUAGCCCAUCGCAAGGCUAGUGUCCGUAAUGGUCCCAUAUAAUGGAGGCUAAUGUCCGCGUUAGACCCCGCACCGCGGAGGCUGUGUUUUUCUUGCAACAUUAAUUAAGUCCCAGAGGGGAUAUUUGGGCAUUCUUCCCUUUUAAACUCAACCUCCACGACUUAAAACAUUCCCUAAACGUUAUUUCACCCCCUGGAAUUCCUAAAUAUCAUUUCAUAAGCAAGAGGAAAGAAAAUACUUAGGGUUUGAGAAUUUCAACAUCCAAGGGGUCAAAUUUCUCACCGUUCUCAUCGUAUUCAAGGUAUGUAGGACUAUCCCAAAUCUCAUAGGUGUAGUUUAAUGUUUUUAACAAGUUAUUGAGAUAUAUAAUUAAGUAUAUGUAAUGGGUUUUGGAAAUUGAUUGAAGAGCACGCGAGUUCAUGAACCCAUUUUUGAUGAAGUAUGUAUUUUAUCAUGAGAUUUUCCUUAAACUUGAGCUUUAUUCAUGAGUAUGUAAGUAGCGAGUCUUGAGAAUUUAUAUGAGAGCCUGAUUUAUGAAAUUCUCUCUCUUGUUAUGAAAUCCAUUGUCUUAACAUGUUGCGGUUUUGUAUACGAAUGAGUUUAACUGUUUCGUUAACAAUUGUGGAUUUGCAUUACUUUAUGAUCUAAAUGAGAGGGCAAUUUUAUUAAUUGUUAAAGGCUCUUGUGUCCUAAUGGAGAAAUUGUAUGUGAUUGAUGAAAGAUUUGACGAGGAAAGUAUUUUGCAUGAGUUUCAUAUGUUAUGAAAUAAGAACUCUCUCGUGAUGUUUAAAUCUUUUGGGUGGCCAUAAUUAUACUUUUGAAUAAAAAGGGCUAUGGAUAUGAUGUGGUAUGAUAUGAAUGACUUGUAAGUCUGAGUAUGACGAUACCCUGUUAUGAUAUGCCCUUAACACAAAGGAGAUAAUGUUUACAAGCAUGAAACAUGAUUUUAAAGAACUAAAAUUGGGCUUAAAGAGAGCUAGAUAGUUACCCGAAGAAGGCAGUUGAGUGUAAGGUCUCAUUGCUAAAAAUCGUGUUUUGCCGAUAUGGGUAUUAUCUUGAAAAGGGGGAUAAUUAGGACAUUAUGUGAGGGUGAUGCCACGGAAUACCUGUAAGGGGGUAUACCAACUUAUGAAAUCUUCAAUUCUUGCGGAAAACUUAGAUUGGAGGCUUGGCCACCGAGUUAAGGGCGGAUCCAUAUAGCCCGCGGGUAAUCAGAACUGUAGGGUGUACCACUUAGCUCAAAACUAAAACAAAAAGUUGAGAUCAUGAUUUACAAUAAUGUUUUGAAGAUUUUGAAUUAUGCCCAUGUGCUUUAUAUUAUGCUAAAUUGUUUUUCUCAAUGCUCCCAAUUAUGAUUAUACAAAAUAGAUAUUACUUUUUAUUGUUCUACAUACCAAUACUCUCCAAUUAUAGACCCCCUGUAUUUCAGAUUCUGAGGCACAGUCUGUGGUUCAGCUAAGCAAUAGAUUAUUUACAGAUAUUCAGAAUUGGUGAGUCUUCCUUACUUCGAAAGGUGUUUUAUCAGUAUGUUGUUUUCCCUUUUAAUUUUAUGAUCAGGCUGGGGGGCCUUGUCUCGAUUUAGACAGAUUAGUAUGUUCAGUUCAGUAAAGGCUUCGUAGAUUGGUUAGACUAGGUUUUGAAUUCUUUUGCUCGUGGAUUGAUGUAUGAAUAUCGUAUAUUGCUUAUGGGACCAUCCAAUUUUCAAUUUAUCUUCCGCAUUUUAUUUCAUAUGAGUUAUGCUUAUGAGCACAUACUAAGGGGUCUCUCAGGACUUCAUGGUUUGGGAGGCCCGUUGUGGCUAGGGCUUCGGUUCAGAUCAUCACAAAGACAUUGAAAAAUUUGGUGGCUGCAGUAUACCAGCUGUUAGAUCAAUGAAGUUUUGAUCAUUGACAUAUAAAUAAAAUAUGUUACUCAAGUUGGUCCAAUCACAUGAAGACAGGCACUAAGGAAAGCGAACAUGAAUGGAUAAGAUCUCUUGAGAAUGGAUAAGUUUCUUGCUCUCUUGAUGGAUCACGUGUGAUAAAAAAAAAGUUGUAGCUAAAUACAACACCUUAUCGAUAAGCUGAAGAGAAAGAGUUUCACUCAAACAAGGAGAUCAUGUUGAAAAAGGAGUUUUACCAAUGCAAGAAGUUGUACUCGAAGAAAGACUUUGAGUUGACAAAAAAUGCGGUUAAAUUAAAGAGUCCAAAGCAAGGUAGAAGACCAAUACUUUGAAGGACUCUUUGAAGAGUUGUUAUAUACCGAGGGAGUAACUCAUUUCGUUACUCACGCACUUAAGAAGAUAGAAACACAUCAACGAAUUAUUAGUGAAGUUCCAAAGCUUAAAGCAGCCUGAGUUGAACCUGUUCCUAUUACUUAGAGUUAAGGAGUCUUAGACUUUAUGUAUUAGGUUGGUUCUUGAGUUGUAUUGUUUUCUAGUCCUAGUGAAGUAUAAACUGAGUUAGGAGUAUUGUCUUCAAGUUUGGGAACACUCACCUUGGGAAGGUUUUUUUUUUUUUUGUAGAAAUAGGAGUUAGAGUUUAAUUCCUAGAUUACAAGAGUCUUGUAAUUUGUUGAUUGUUGAGGCUCAAUUGUUUUAGUGGAGUUGGGGUCAAUUCCUGUAGAGGUAUAGGUCGUGGUUUUUUACACCUCUUUGAGUCGGGUAUUUUCCACGUAAACAUCACUAUGCAAUUUACUUACUAUUUUAGCUAGAUAGGAACACGUUAGUUGACCUAUUCCAUUGAUAGGCAACUGCUAGGCUAAAAUAAGUAAUCAGUAGGGCACUUACUUUAAGAAGUGGUAUCAGAGCAGGUUAUCUUACAUUGGGUUAACACCUAACAAAAGAUCACUAUGAUGAAUUUCGCACCUCCUACUGGUUACAGUGAAAGCCAAUCCACUACGAGACCUCCUCUAUUUUAUGGCACUCAUUUCAGUUGGUGGAAAGUAAGGAUGAAAAUGUUCAUCCAAGGUGAAGACUAUAAAUUAUGGGAUAGAGUUACUGACGGUCCAACUAUUCCAAUGAAUCUAGUUGAUGGAGAACAAGUAAAAAAGGUGAAAAGUGAGUUCACUGUUGAUGAUCUGAAUUUAUUAAGGAAAAAUGCAAGGGCCAAGAACAUCUUAGUAUGUGGCUUAGGCCCUGCUGAAUAUAAUAGGGUAUCUACCUGCACCACUGCUAAGAAAAUUAGGAAUUCCUUGAUAAAAUCACAUGAAGGCACCACUCAAGUAAAAAAAAUUCAGAAUUGUUUUACUAUUUACUGAAUAUGAGGCCUUUAGAAUGAGGGAGAAUGAGUCUCUCCAUCAAAUGAUGUCAAGACUUGCUACCUUAACCAAUGAGUUGACAUCCUUGGAGAAUAUUAUUACAACUGAGGAACAAGUUAAAAAGGUGCUAAAGGUUUACCCAAUUCCAAAUGGGAUGUUAAGGUUACUGCAAUUAGGGAGGUUAAGGAUCUUGCUGGGAUGACUUUCAAUGAGCUUGUAGGAAAUCUCAAGACUUAUGAGAUGCAGAUUGAUGAAGCAAGAAGUGAAAAUAAAGCUCCUGAAAAAUUCUUGGCUCUAAAGGAUUCUGAAAGUGAUGAAAAGGCUGAACUGACUGAACAACAAGUGCCAUUCAUAACAAAAAAUUUCAAUAGUCUUCAAAAGGAAAAAUGGAACAAGUAGCAAAAAGAGGUCCAAUGAUGAUGUUAUAAGUGUGGCAAGACUGACCAUCAAAUCCGAGAUUGUCCUGUGUGUGAAGUUGAAUAGAGAAACGAGAGAGUUGAGAAGAAGUUGAAAGAAAAGGCUAAGAAAAGAGAAAAAGAAGAAUAUGCUAUGGUAGCAACUUGGGGAUCAAACUCAAAAGAAUAAAAUGAGGAAGAGAUUGAUGAAAUUACUCAUGGACAUUCAAGAUUCAGACAUGGAAGAAGAAGAUAGCACCUCUGAGGUAAGUGUUCCUGAACUUAAAAAUAAGUUGCAUCUAUUUUCUAAAGAAAAGCUCGUCUCUCUGAUUAGUGUUUUAAUUGAUGACUUCCAAGAAGUAAAUUAUUAUAGGGAUGAGCUAUUCAAUAGUUUUGCAAGUCUCAAGUUUGAUCUGAUUGAUAUGAAAGCUUGCAAAAACACUGUUGAAAAAAAAAUAGCACUCUCAAGGACAAGUUAGUUAACUUGGUUCUUCAAAUCUGAUUCUAAAAUUUGAAAUCCUAAAACUAACUCUUUCUAAAAAAGGAAAAAGAAUGAAAAAUGCUAAACAAGAGAAAAUUGAGGGUGAGUUUAUUAGGGUCAAAUAAAAAUGCAAUGAUGAACGAACAAGGAAGAAAAGUUUAGUCAAGAAAUUUCAAAAUUGAAACUGGAUCUUGAGAAGGCUACCAUAUGGACAAAUUCCUCAAGAAUUGUCCAUCAAUUGGGUGAAAAAACUCACAAUGAAAAGGAUGGAUUAGGUUUUCAUAAGAGUCACAGCGUUACUAACGAUCUAUCCUAUAUAUGUGGCAACCAUGAUCAUCCUACUACUGAAUGUCCUAUUGUCGCUAAGAGCAAAUCUAGGAGUACAAUGCUGUCUAUAAAAUUUGACUUCUUAAAAAUCCAGAGAAAUAAAAUGAAUAAAAGAUCUGGUUAGAGGAAAAGAUCACACAACCUGUUGCCUCAAUGGGCUAGAAGAAACUUGAUCCACCCUUUAUCUCAUAAAAAGGAUCCAAGCUUGUCUGGGUUCCAAAAUGUAAACCUUAAUUUUUUCGCAGGAGAAAGUGAAAGGAAUCAAGAAGCACUAGUACUUGGAUAGUGCUUGCUCAAUUCAUAUUACUGGCGAUAAGAAAAAAUUUUAUUCACUCUCUAAAAUAAGUGGAGGGGGAGUAUCUUUUGGUGAUGGCAAAAAAGGAACCAUUACAGGAGUUGGGAAGAUUGGGACCUCUGAAUCAAAGGCACUGGAAGAUAUCUACCUUGUAGAAGGACUGAAGCACAAUCUGCUUAGCAUAUCACAACUUUGUGAUAAAGGUAACAUAGUCAUUUUUACUUCUGCAGGUAUUGAAGUCAAAAGAGCGGAUACCAAGGAGGUGGUACUUACUGUAAGAAGACACAAGAAUGUGUACAAAGAUGAUAUAAUAAAUAUCCCAGCCAUAAGGCUAAAUUGCUUGAGCGCGAUAGAAAAUGAUCCCCUCUUAUGGCACAAAAGACUUGGACAUGCAAGUCUAAAAUAAUUAAACAAACGCUCUUCUAAAUACAUGAUGUUGGGCUUGCCCAAAACUAAGUUCAAAGAUGAGAAGCUUUGCAGUGCUUGUGUAAGGGGGAAGUAGGUAAGGUCCUCAUUCAAAUCAAAGAACCAGGUCAACAUAGUCAAUUGCCUCGACCUGGUCCAUAUGGAUCUUUAUGGACCAAUGAGAAUUCAAUGCAGAGGGGGGAAAAGGUAUGUCUUUGUAAUUGUUGAUGAUUAUUCCAAGUUUACCUAGAUACUCUUUUUAGCUUCCAAAGAAGAUUCUUUUUAUGUCUUCUCCUUAUUCAUUAAGAAAAUGGAAAAGAAGCUAGGAACUUCCUUACUUUCCAUAAGAUUUGAUCAUGGUACAGAAUUUGAAAAUGCAAAAUUUUUAGAAUUCUGUUUCACAAAUGGUAUAGAUCACAAUUUCUCUGCUCCUAGAAUACCUCAGCAAAAUGGAGUGGUAGAAAGGAAAAAUAGGACUUUAGAAGAAAUGGCCAGAGCAAUGAUUCUUGCAGGAAAUCUUGCAAAAAAUCUAUGGGCUUAAGUAAUUAGUACUGCUGCAUAUAUCAUAAAUAGAUGCAUGAUUAGGCCUAUUCUAGAGAAGACUCUCUAUGAAUUACUAAAAAGAAGAAAGCCUAACAUUUUCUCACUUUAGAACCUUUAGUUACAAGUGUUUUAUUCAUAAUAAUGGGAAAGAUAAUCUAGGAAAAUUUGACGCUAGAAGUGAUAAGGGAAUAUUCCUAGGAUAUUCACUUUAUAGCGAAGCUUGUAGGGUCUUAAAUAAUAGAACAAAUUAUGUUGAGAAAGGUGUGCAUGUGGUAUUUGAUGAAUCUUGUGAUAAGACUAACAUGCAGGAAAAAGUGACUCAGAAGAACAGACAACGGAAUAGGUUGCACAACCUGGUCUAUCAACUAGAGUAACUGAAUCUGGAAGCACCUCAACAUGGGGAACUGGAUCCAGAAGCAUUUAGACAGGGGGAACCGAAUCACCAUCUACUACUGCUCAAACUAGUCAUGAUGAUCCUAGCAGCUCUCAAAAAUUGAUCCCUAGAGGGUAUAAGUAUCAAGGAUCUCAUCCAAUAGAAAAUAUUCUCAUUGAUCUCACUUCAGUAAUCACCACAAGAUAGGAUUGAGAAAUUUGUGUGCCUUUAAAGCAUUCUUGUCUAUGAUUGAAGCAAAUGAAGCACUCCUUGAUGCUGAUUGGAGCAUAGUCCUGCAAGAAGAGUUCAAUCAGUUUGAAAGAAGUAAGGUCUGGAACUUAGUUCUACCUCUAAAAGAUAGAAUUAUGAUUGGGACUAAGUGGGUGUACAGAAACAAAGUUGAUGAAAAUGGAAUAGUUACAAGGAACAAGGCCAGACUGGUGGACCAAGGAUACAAUCAAGAAGAAGGCAUAGAUUUUGAUGAGACUUUUGCACCUGUAGCAAGACUUGAGGCCAUCAGGAUUCUUGUGUCCUUUAUAGCUCACAAGUAAUUCAUACUUUACCAAAUGGAUGUUAAGAGUGUGUUCUUAAAUAGUAUUCUUAAGAGGAAGUGUAUGUGAAACAACCUCCUGGAUUUGAAAGUAAGGAAUUUCCUGACUAUGUGUGCAAGCUUGAUAAGGCAUUGUAUGGACCAAAACAAGCUCUAAGAUCUUGGUAUGAGCGUUUGUCAAAAUUUAUUUUGGAGCGUGGACAUACUAGAGGUAAAAUUAACAACACUUUGUUUUUAAAGACUAAUAGGAAAGAUUUGUUGAUAGUGUAGGUAUAUAUUGAUGACAUCAUAUUAGGCUCAAUAAAUAUCAACAUAACUCAUGACUUUUCCAAACUCAUGAGUUGUGAAUUUGAGAUGAGUAUGCUGGGGGAGCUAACCUUUUUCUUAGGUCUACAAAUCUAACAAUCACCUUCUGGAACCUUGAUUUAUCAACAAAAGUAUGUGAAAGAGCUUCUUAAAAAAUUCUCCACGGAGGAAGUUAAGGUAAUCAGCACACCAAUUGCCACUGCUACUAAGCUGGAUAUGGAUGAAAUAGGUCCAUCUGUGGAUCAAAAGAUGUUUAGAAGGAUGAUUGGGUUACUGCUAUAUCUCAUAGGAAGUAGGCCUGAUAUUGUAUUCAGUGUAGGAUUGUGUUUAAGAUUUCAAACAAAUCCCAAGGAUUCUCAUCUAAAAGUUGUGAAAAAGAUCUUCAGAUAUCUCAAGAGAACUACUGAUCUUGGAUUGCGGUAUCCUAAAUGGAGUAAUUUUAAGCUUGUAGGUUACUCUAAUGCUGACUAUGCAGGGUAUUUAGUGGAUAGGAAAAACAUUACAGGUAUGGCACACUUCCUUGGAUCAUGUCUAAUUACCUGGUCUACUAAGAAACAAAACUCAGUAGUUUUGUCCACUGCUGAGGCUAAGUAUGUUGUUGCUGGUUAUUGCUGUGCCCAAUUGUUGUGGAUCAAGCAACAACUCAUGGAUUUGGUAUGGAUGUAGGUUGUGUCCCUAUCUUUUGUGAUUAUAAAAGUUCCAUCAAUAUUGCUAAAAACCUUGUGCUACAUAAAAGAACUAAACACGUAGAUAGCAGACACUAUUUCUUAGAGAUAACACUGAAAAGGGUCUUAUAUCAAUCAUGUUUUAUUCUACUGAGGACCAAAUAACAGAUAUUUUCACUAAGGCAUUGAGUAGAGAGCACUUUGAAAACAUCAUAUAAGAGUUAGGUUAAUUAAGAUCACAUGAACUUCCCUCAAUGAUUGACUAGAUAUCUUAGUGUUAUUCAUGACCCGGCUAAAAUAUUGAGUAAUUUAGUGUUGCACAUUAAGUUAUGUGUCCUAAUUUCAGAAUUUUAAAUGAACUAAAAACUGUAUGUAUUUAAUUGUGCAGAAAUAUUAGUUCAUACCAGUGAUUUUAGUUGUGUUUUGAAAUCUACCAGGUAUGAUCUCCAUUAAUCUUUCUGAAUUCAACUUGAUGGAACUACUAAGCUUAUUUGGUCCCCAAAUUAUUUUCCUUUAUAACAGUCAAGUCUCUAGAGUCUAUCUACUUUCAAAACACUGCAACCGUCCUCCCAUUAGACAUCUACUUCAUCUAAAAUUCCUUCAUCACCAUCUCUUAUAUAUCACACACUCACCAAUCAACUUUCACACUUCUUUCUCUCUUUUCAUCAAGAGUGUGUUUCCACUUCCUUCUCAAUAACUUUCUCUUCAUCCGCUUUCAAUGAUUUACAUUCAGACCUCUCUCCUACUUUUUUUCACAUCAGCAAAAAAAGGAGGGUUUCAACUCCUGUUACUACCCUUACCUCAUUUAUUCCAGAAGUGUUGUGUGGUUUAAUAAGUUUAGGCAAAUCAGUGAAACAUUCUAUGGUUCACCCUUUCGAUCAGUCACAGUCUAUCCUUCCUGUCAAGAAAUGAGUUGUAAAACUUAUUCCUUAUGAUUCCUCUAAUUCUGAUGACAAUCAGGAUGACAUAGUUCAGCAAGAACCAAACUUUAAAAUUAAGAAAAACUUUGGGUCAAUGGGAAGUCCUGUUAAUCCUAUGCAACGGUUGAGACAUAUGCUUGCUGAAUUGGUCCUGGAAAAAAUAGUGAAAUAUGAAACAUCGAUAAAGGGUCAGCUUACUUCCUGGGAAGUUCUAAAACUGAAAUCCUCCUUGAUCAAACUGUACAUAAUAGUGAAAAAGAGGAGCUCCUUGCUAAGAUUGAUGCUCUCCAAAGUGUUCUUGCUAAGAAGAGUGAUGCAUUGGUUGAUCAUGAAGCUGAUAAAAUACUGUUUCUUGCCAAAAUCAAUUCUCUUCAAGUUGAUAUUGCUCGUGCACGCGCUAAUGGUGACCACCAGACCACCUAGUUUUUUCUGUUCCCUCCACUUUCACCAACUCUUAAAGCCCUAUGAUUUUUUUUGUUUCAUCUAGUUGUAUUUGGUUUGAUUAUUUGUUAUUAUAUGUUGGUAAUUUUAAUAAUAUGACUUUUUUUCUUGAUUAAAGUCAAUUAUUGUACACUCUUAUGCAUGAUUUGUUUUGUCUUUCUGGUUCUGCUUGUUUUAGCGAUAGCCCCAGUGGCCAUGAGUUAUUAAACGUUUAUUUUUGGCCUAGGUAUAUCUUGAACCAGCUUUUCGAUGAUGUUAAAAGGGGGAAGAUGAGUUGAGUUGUGCAAUGUUUAUAACCUAAUGCCUAAUCAGUUUCAUUUUUUUGUGUUUCUUGAUUAAGUGUUUCAGGGACUUAAAGUUUGUCAAUCAUCAAAAAGGGGGAAUUUGUUAGAUCAAUGAAGUUUUGAUGGUUGAUAUAUAAAUGAAAUAUGUUACUCAAGUUGGUCCAGUCACAUGAAGAAAGUCACUAAGGAAAGCGGACAGGAAUGGAUAAAAUCUCUUGAGAAUGGAUAAGCUCCCUUGCUCUCUUGAUAGAUCACGUGUGAUAAAGAAGAAGUUGUAGCUAAAUACAACACCUUAUUGAUAAGCUGAAGAAAAAAAAUUUCAUCUAAACAAGGAGAUCAAGUUAAAGAAGGAGUUUUACCAAUGCAAGGAUUUGUACUCGAAGAAGGACUUUGAGUUGACGAAAAAUAUGGUUAAAUUAAAGAGUCCAGAGCAAGGUAAAAGACCAAUUACUUUGAAGGACCCUUUGAAGAGUUAUUAUAUAUCGAGGGAGUAACUCAUUUCGUUACUCACGCACUUAAAAAGAUAGCAACACAUCAAAGAAUUAUCAGUGAAGUUCCAAAGCUUGAAGCAGCCUGAGUUGAACCUGUUCUUAUUACUUAGAGUUAAGGAGUCUUAGACUUUAUGUAUUAGGUUGAUUCUUGAGUUGUAUUGUUUUCUAGUCUCAGUGAAGUAUAAACUAAGUUAGGAGCAUUGUCUUCAAGUUUGGAAACUCGAAGACUUGGGAGCACUCGCCUUGGGAAGGUUUGUGUUUUUGUAGAAAUAGGAGUUAGAGUUUAAUUCCUAGAUUACAAGAGUUUUGUAAUUUGUUGAUUGUUGAGCCUCGAUUGUUUUAGUGAAGUUGGGGUUAAAUCCUGUAAAAGUACGGAUCGGUGGUUUUUUAUACCUCUUUGAGCCGGAUAUUUUCCACAUAAUCAUCACUAUGCAAUUUACUUACUGUUUUAGCUAGAUAGGAACACGUUAGUUGACUUGUUCCAUUGGUAGGCAACUGCUUGGCUAAAACAAGUAAUCAGUAGGGCACGUACUCUAACACCAGCUAAGUACUCAAGCUUCACAAAUAGGCAAACAAUAACAUAAAUCAUUGUUCAACUUUUGCUCCUUAAAUAUCACUCUCUUAAACAUUCUCUAUGAACAUAAUUCGACCAACUUAUGUGCUAGUGAAAUUGUGAUUUUGUUAUGACAAUGCUAAAGUCGAUACAAUAAUUCAACCAACAAAACAGACCAACUUAUGUUCGAGCAGAAUCUUCCAAUGCUUUUGAACUGCCUCAAGAUUUCUAAAUGUUUCCUUUCAGUUCUCCAAUCUCUGUCACCUUUUUUCCCUUAUCUGUACAUAUUUCCAUCCUCAUAACUAUUCAUUUCACUAAUAUGAUCCAUUUUACUUAUUUUUUAUGUGCAUAUACUUGAAAAAAAAAAUCUAAAACAGACCCAAACAUUGCAUAGUGAUAAGCGUAUAAAGAAACAAAGUUCACUUUCGAAGCAACACCACUACAGACCAAAGCAGCGGAAUACAAGCUCGACGAUUCAAUUUGUUGGUGAAAAUAUUUAACCCAAAUGUCCCAACCUUUCUAACCUCUUUAACGCAAAGGAAAAAAAUAGGACACGCCCACAAAUUUGACAACCAUAAGAAAAAAAAUAAAGUUCAUUGCUGAAAUUAUCAGAUGUGAAACCACAUACCAUCAAAUAGAACACAUAUGUAGCAACUCAACAGAAAACUUGAAAUAAAGGAUAAUAAAUUAAGCAAGUUGCAAAAGUAAGAAACCAAAAAUAACAAUAUGCAGAUCAACAAAACAACCAAAGUGAUCACUGAAGAGAACUCACAAAAACUAUGGAAUCGCAAGCUUCAGUGUAGGAAAUUUCUUUACCAAAAGUUUUGAGUGUGAUAGAGCAGAGAUGUUAAAAUGCAGAAACAUCUCCUAAGCAAUUGUCACGUUUAACUUGGAACAAAAAUUUGAUAGACGCGUACCUAUUAGUCAGACAAACAAGGAAAAGACUAUAUUACCCCUUAGCAAAUGAUGAAAAUGCCCUUGUGAGGAAGCUGACAUGACAACCUUCACCAGCUUCCCACGGCACUUCUAUAUAUUAGUAAAGUAAAGUAAAAUAUUCUGUUGGAUUUUUUAGUGGUCCAUAUGUUACUAUCACCUUCGCACAGCCAAAAGCUUUAUAAAAAUGAGCUUAUUACCACAUAAAUGUUAUUGUUGGUAUUUAAGGUCAUAAAUUUCACAAUUUUUAAAUUUUUUGAACUUCUUUGAUUUCGUUUCGAAUUAAACUGUCCUAUAAUUUAGAAUAGAGGAAGUAGUAAUAAUCCGGAAUAGUAUAUAUCUUCUUUAUUUCAACUUGUUUGUUUGAUUUUGACUUAAUAUAUAAAGUCUAAAAAGAUAAAGAAAACUUUUAAAGCUUCAUCUAAAUUAAGAAUAUAUAGAGUGUACCAAAAUAUCUUUCGUAUGAAAAGUUGAAACUAAAAAUUUCUUAAAACAAGAGAUAUUCUUUUUGUAAAACACACGAAAAAAAGGUAAAACAAAAAAAUUUAAAUGGAGGGAGUAUAUGUUUCACUCUUCCUUCUUGUUUUGAAGGCAAAGCUAAUUUAAGUUGUUAGACGCAGAUGCAAAAUUUUAAAUUAGAGUGAAAAAUACCAUGUACAAAUUUGCUAGUACAUUGAAGCAAUGGAAGUGAACUCAAAAAGGGGCCUGCAUUCCAAGUAAUUAAAAUUGUUCAAUGUCAUGUUUUUUUUUUUUUUUUAAAAAGGACGUACCCUGACAAGGUAGUGGUUAAGAAGUUGACACACAAUUGACCCUUCCAAAUUGUCAAUAGUUAUCAGUCAUUAACAAGUCGACGACAACAACAAUAACAUUGGUCCAGUAUAAUUCCACAAAUAAAUAGAGUCUGGAAUGUUUACAUAGAUCUUAUGCCUACAAGAUAUAGAGAUUUUUUACGAUAAAUCUUUGGCUCAGUCAUUAACAAGAAUCAUAAGUAUUAAGUAGCCGUUUGACCAUGAAAAUUAUUUAUUUUUUUCUGAAAAAUAAUUUCACUUUAGUGAAAACAGUAUGUGUUUGGUUAUGAGAAUUCCGAAUACAAUUUGAAAUUGUAUUUGAAAAAGUGAAAACAAGUAAAACUUAUUUUCACCUUUUUCACUUCUACUUCUCUCAUAAAAGUUUAAAAACAACUCAAAUUUAUAUUCAUGAUCAAACAUAAUUUCAACUUCAACUUCAACUCUAGAAAAUUAUUAUUUUCAUGGCCAAACGGGGCCUAAAGUUCUUUGUCAAAUAAUUACGGAUAGAGUUAAUGGAGAUACUUAUUUAUAUGAAAAAAUUGCAUCAUAUUGUUACUUAAUUCAUAAUAACUAUUUAAAAUUUUAAAUCUUUUAAAAAAUUACAUAAAUCCCCGAUUUAUUUAAAAGUUAGGAUACAUCACAUAAGAAUGUGAUGUACCGUGUAAAAUUAAGUGAUACUCCCUCCGUCCAUCUUUACUUGUUCACUUUCUUAUUGGCACAGGACCUAAGAAACGGUAAAUGAUAGGAGGAAUUUUACCAUAUUAUCAUUUGUGUUAGAGUUUGUGACCCAACUUUUGUUAAUCCGGCCUGAAAAGUUCACGGUGUGAUCCAUGUUUGUGAUUUUUUGUGGUGUCUGUGAUGGUAGCGGAGGGAUCGGGCCAUUCCCCGCGGUAUGGACCUGUAUGUUUUUAGGCUUAGGAUUUAUUUGUACGCAACACACGUAUUAUAUAAGUGUGAUUUAGUGAAUCAUUUUGGACGUUUUAAAUACGUCAUUAAGACCCUCAUCUCCUUAUUGUACUCCUCCCCAUAUAGUGAAUAUCUCUUCCUCUGUCCGUGAUUUUUUCCGACAAGAAUUUUCACGUAAAUCUGUGUGUGCUCACCUUUCCUAGGUCUAAGAGGUGCAUCAGAAUUAUCACUUGUUUUUCUUGGCCUUCCCCUAGGUUUAGGAGAUGCAUCAGUAGUAGUAGGAGGAGUGUUUCUUGGCCUCCCCCUGGGUCUUGAAGUACUUGGUACAUCACUUGGUCCAACAUUAAGAAUACUUGAUCCAACAGAAUCCUACAAAAAUAGUUGAAGCAGUCACAUAUUAAAAAAUAAUUAAGCUACAAAUAAAUAAUAGAAGUCAUUUAAAGUUACACACCUUGAAAAGACAACCUUUUUUGUUGUGAUUUUGUCCAUGACAGAUGCUACAAGUCAUGUAAACCCCUUUUCUUGACAUCUUUCCACACUUUUUGGUCUCAUAAAACUGUCUAUUCCUUUUCUUCUUUGGCCUGCUAGGCAUAGAAACAACAAUUGAAGGCUCCACAUGAGGAUUUGUUGACUCUGGCCACAUGUUCAUGUUGGUCACUGGUUGAAUGUAAUGACAGUAAGUCUUGAGACAAGUCUCCUUACUAUAACAGCUAUCAACAAAAUCAAUUGGGUCCAAUUUCUUGUAGAGUAUGGCUCCAAUCCCAUGUGGACAUGGUAUUCCCUUGAGCAUCCAAGAUUUACAGCUACGUGUGUUGUCCUUCAAAUCCACACUAUGUAUAUAUGGUCCAUCUGAUAUUUCAAAACACCUCUCUCCAUUGAAGUCAAUAUUAUAUGUCAUUGACUUCUUAGUGUUUUUUUCUAACACUCUCAAAGCCAUUGGAGAUAUUUCAGUCACCCGUGUUUCUGGAAAGUUUGGGAAUUCAUCUAGUCUAGUCAUUACCUUCACCCUUAUCUCUUCUAGCAGAGUAAUAAUUAUUUUAUGCCUUGGUCCUCAUAUCCAAGCAUUAAAACUCUCAGCCAUGUUAUUAUCUAUACUAUCACACUUAAUGUCAGUUAUAAAGUACAUUUUACAACAACUUUGUACCUUGUAAUGAAUUAAAUCUGGAACAAUAUCUUCACCACCUAGCAUGGCCAAUUGGUUCAGAUUUUUCUUCAUUUCAGCUUCAAAGGUGCUUCUUGCACAUUUCCAGAACUGGUUUCUUCUUUGAAGACCUCUCCAUUUUUUUUUCCAAUUGGCAAGNNNNNNNNNNNNNNNNNNNNNNNNNNNNNNNNNNNNNNNNNNNNNNNNNNNNNNNNNNNNNNNNNNNNNNNNNNNNNNNNNNNNNNNNNNNNNNNNNNNNNNNNNNNNNNNNNNNNNNNNNNNNNNNNNNNNNNNNNNNNNNNNNNAGAUCAUAACAAAUUACAUAUUCAUAACUACACAUAAUAUUCAUUACGCAUAACUAAGUGAAGGUAAAAGUAUACCUUUUGCAUAUCUGAAAUGAUUGUGUAAUCUCUGUCAUCUGUUAAUCCCAAAUCCUCUAUCAAUAAUUUCACAAACCAUGUCCAAGUGUUGUUAUUUUCAUACUGUACUACAGGCCAAGCAAUAGGCAACAUUUGAUUAUUGCCAUCUUUAACCACAACAACCAACAGCUGUCCUUUGGUUACUUCCUUCAAGAAACAUCCAUCUAAACCAAUACAUAUUCUACAACCAUCUAAAAAAGCUUUUUUUCAUGCAUCAAAACAAAUGUAGAAACUUUGAAAAACAAGCUUACCACUAUCAUCAGAAUCAUCAACUUUUACAACACAAGUGGUGCCCGGAUUGGACCUCAACAUUUUAUCCCUAUAGUCAAACAUUCUUCCAAACUCUUUCACAUGAUUACCCAUUAAAUCUUAAAGUAUUUUACCUCUAGUUCUCCUGGCAGUACUCUUUCCAACAUGUAUACCCAAUUCUUUUCUAAUCAACUGUUGGAAUUGAAAUAUUUUCAUGUUUGAAUGCUCACUAAUUCUAUCUUUGAAAUGCUUGUGCAGGAAUUUUGCAUUACACAUGGAAUUUCUAGUGGUUUUGAUACACCUAUGCUUAGGAUUGUAGGUUUUAAUUUGACAAUCAUUGGUACACUUGUUAAUACUUUCAUAUAACAGCCAAGGACACCCUUCCCUUCAUCUAACCCUAACCUUUUUAGACUCAUUAAUAUACUUCUCUAACUUAACACCUCUUUGAAGUGCAUAUUUUGUAACAGCAUCUCUAAACUCAUUUACAUCCUCAAAAACCAUGCCCAAUUACCACACAACCUGUUUUGAAGAAUCAUCAUACACUACUUUUCUACUAUUGGUCCUUCCUAACCCAUCUUCUAAAUCAGAGUCCACACUAUAUUCAUCAGAACUAAAAUACACAGGCUCAUCCCCAACAACUUUACCUUUUAAACUUUUAUCAACAAUUUCUGUCUCCUUAAAUCCCAGAUCUGGACCAACUUCACCAACAGGAACUUCUGUAGGGUUAUUAGGUAUUCUUUCUCUUCUCUUUCUCCUCUGGUAUUUCCUCCUUCUAGCCCUCAAGUUUAUGUCCUCCUCAUGCACAUCACUUUCCAAUUCAGCAUCAUCUUCAACAAAUAGAUCUUCAUGGUCUGAAUCUAAGCUAUUUUUAGUUGAAAGGUCAGAAACAUCAGUAUUUGCAACCUCAGAAGUAGCUGCAACUUCACCACCAGCUGUAGCCUCACCACCAAUUGCAACAACACCAGCAGAUGAGGCCUCACCAAGUGCAGCGUCAGCAGUAGCUGCAGCUUCACCACCAACUGCAGCCUCUCCACCAGUUGUAACAAAACCAGCAGAUAAGGCCUCACUAGGUGCAGCCUCAUUUUCAAGCUCAACAUAUGCUGCAGUAGUUGGUGCUUCAUUAAAAUGACCACUCUCAACCCCUUUUUCAAUAACCUUAUCCCCUUCAUGGACCCCCUUGUCACCUUCUUUAUUAAAAACAACAAAAGAUUCCUCAUUGGUAGUAGUGUAUUCUAGUAAACCAAUAGGACCAUUAACUUGAUCAAGUUAAUCAAUCAUGUGACAAAUGUACACCUCAACAAUAUCCCCAUUUUCAAAGGAUUGUGAAAGUUCAAAAAUAUCCUCAUCACAUUGAAAAGAUAAUAAAAAGUCCUUUUUAGGUGGCCUUAGAUAAAACAUGCAUCUUGUUGUAGCAUACCCUAACUUUUUUAAAAAGCCAGUUAGAUCAAAAUAAGAUAACUUAUCUACAUCCACAUCAAAAAUAUCUGUGACUUCACCACCCUCAUAAUCUGGUUUUUUACUUUUACUAUUCAAAACACCAUCAUUAAAAUAUCUCAGGGUUAUCUAUGUAAAAUCACCCAUUCCUGAAAUUUAGUCACAUUCACAACGAGUUACAAUUAAGAAAAAUUUAAGUAUUCAAACAUGUAGUAAUUAGUCACACAGGAAAAGUCAAUUUAGAUUACAAGAAAGCCCUAACUCAUUGAUAAAAAUAAGAAUGAUUUAGAAUAGCAAAAAAUCCUAAAUUUGAGAAAUUAUGAAACUACAGACUUGUUGAACAAUAACCCUAAAGAAAUUGUCAUAAAGUUUCAAUUUUUAAGUUUAGAAAAGCUAACCUUCAAGACUUAUUCAACACUAAGACUCUCAUAGCUCCUAAUACGAAAUCACACCUCGAGGAACACCCGAACAGUUGUUAACGUUGAUCUUACAAGUAAUUUUUUUAAAAGAAUAGUGUAAGUGAGAAAUGAGGAUUAAGAGUGAAAGAGAUGAUUGAAAAGGUAAGAGUGAAAGAGAUGAUUGAAAAGGUGAGGUGUUUGUUGAGUAUAGAGAAGAGCAGAGAAGAGGAAAGGUCCAUUUUUAUUUAUUAAUUAAUUUAACUUUUAUUACAUUUGUGGAUAAGUAUGAGUUAAAAUAAAAAUUAAAUGGGAUAAUUAUUAUUUAAAGGGCGCGUGUAUCCACCGCUAUUGGGUUGACUGAGUAUGUGUAAAAGUUGGCCGAUAUAUGCCAUUAAAAUACAAAAAAAAAGUCUACGGGGGUAAUAGAACCCCCGCAAAGUUCAGUAUGCUCCAUUGGAAAUUUGGUCAAAGUUCAGGUAUUUACGUGGGUAUUAUCCCAAUUUUUUACUAUAUAUUUAUAAAAUAUUAUAAGAUGUUAAUAGUUAUGACUUAUAAUUAUUAUUUUUUUGCAUUAUUUUUAAAUAUAUAAUAUUUUACCAAAAUAAACUAAAUAAAUUAAAAUAAAGAAAGCACUACAUUUUCAAAACAUGUUAAAUUCAAAAACAUCAUUUGGAUCAACAAAUUACUAAAUUAAAACAUGAAAACAUGAAAAUUAUAAAAUAUCAAAAUUACCCCUGGAUUUAUGUGACACAAAUAUAAUUUAGAUAAUCAAUUAUAUUUUUAUUAUGUUUUCAGAUAUUUUAAAUUGUUAGCAAUUGUAAUUUAUAAUAUUUUUUAUGUAAUUUUUAAACAAUAUUUGUUACUCUCCUUAUUCAAAUUUUUGUGGCUUUGAUAGCCAAUUAUAUUCUUAAAAUAAUUUAAAUUUUUUAUUAUUAUUAUUUAUAAUUCUUUUUCUUCUAUUUUAAUUUAAGUGACACUGAAAUAAUUUCGAGAGUCAAUCAAAUUUUAUGAUUGAAGCAGCGAAGCGGAUAUGUCUUAAAUGGCUCAUAAUACCUAAAUAGAAGUGAUAUAGAAAAAUUACUAUAAAAAAAUUGUGAAAAAAAUUUAAAUGAUCUCAUAUAAGAUGUCAUGUUAAUUUAAAUCAUCAAGUAGAAAUUAAUUUAUCAUUUUAUGUCACUUUAUUUUUAUUAAAUAUUAUUAAUUUUUUAAUGCCUAAAUGACUUAUAAUCAUUAGUUAGCGUUGAUAUAGUAAAAUUACAGCUGAAGCAGUUGAAGCAGACAUGUCAUAAAUGUUUAUUUUAUUUUAUUUUUAUUAAAUAUUACUCCUUCUGUCCCAUUUUACUUGUCCCAAAUUAACAUGACACAUUGAUUAAGAAAAAUAAUUAAUAACAUGGCUAGUUUACCAUAUUAACCUUAUUAAAUGAUGUUUAGAUUUUAUUUUUUUUUUUUAAAAAGUAAUUAAUGCAAAGGGUAAAACAUGAAAAAAAAAAUUAUUUCUUCUUGAUUUGUGAAAAAUGACAAGUAAAAUGAGAAAUCAAAUUAGAAAAUUUGGGACAAGUAAAAUGGGAUGGGGGGAGCAUUAAUUUUCUUAUAUAUAAAUGACUUACAAUAAUUAAUUAGAGGUAGUAUAGUAAAAUCAUGGAACAAAUAUACUUGUGAAAUUUUUUUAAAUGAGUCUCAUAUAAGAUGUUCUAUUAAUUUAAAGUAUCAAGAAUUAAUUUAUCAUUUAUAUCUAUUUUAUUAUUUAUUAAAUAUUAUUAAUUUUAUUAUAUGUAAAUGACUUAAAAUAAUUAAUUAGGGAUAAUAUAGUAAAAACAUGGAGCAGCUGAAGUAGGUGAAGAAACAUGUAUAUUGACGAAGAGUUGUCUGGUUCUUCACACUUAUUAAUAGUAGUAAUAAAGUAAUAUAUGGUCCAUUCUCCUAAGACUUCAUUAUUGGUUAAUUAAUGUACUAAGAUAUAUUCCAUCUGUAUCAUACUCCCUCCGUCCCAAAUUUUCUAAUUUGAUUUCUCAUUUUACUUAUCUUUUUUCAUUAAUCAAAAAGAGACAAAAAAAAUUCCAUUUUUACCCUUUGCAUUAAUUACUUUUUAUUCAAAUUAAAAUAUAAACAUUAUUUAAUAGGAGUACUGUGACAAACUAGCAAUGUUAUUAAUUGUUUUUCUUAAUCAAUAUGUCAUCUCAAUUUGGGACGAGUAAUUUGGGAUGAGGGAGUAUAUAACAUAAGUCUAGCUAGCUAAUAACCAUGAUUAACAAUUAUUAUUGCCUUCAAACCCAUGUUUUAAUCCUGUUAUUAUUAUAUUUUGUUAACACAAUAAUUACAACGCAUUGCUUUAAAAUGGAAAAAUUACAGUUUAUAGGUAAAACACAUGGUAUGACAACGUUUAAAAAAAUUACAAUUCAUAAGUAAUUGUUAGUUAAAGAUCUAUUUUAUGUGGACCCAUUUAUACAAAUAUAAUUUGUAAUAUAUAUAACUAAGGUAAAUAAGAUUUUCUCUCAUAAUUAAUAUUUUAUUCUCUCCCUUAGUUGAUUGGAGAGAUAUGCGGCAAUAGAUUACUCCUACAAUCUUAUUGGAUGUUAUAGGCGGCAGAAGGUAUUACAUCCAAAUUUUAACAUUUUACUCAAAAAAAAUUUGCUGAAGAUUAUGAAAAUCUCAAACUUUUUUCCAUUGAAAUAUCAAAGAAUAUAUUUCUUCAUAUUUCUUCUCUUAAUUUUUCUCUAAUUUUGUAUUUUCAACUACACAUUAGCUGUAUUUUGUCCAUUGAAGAUUACGUUGAAGCCUUUUUUGUCCCUAAAACUCAUAGAGAUUUGAUUUGAAGAUUUUGACGAUAAAUUUUAUAUAUUUACGGAUAUACCGAUUUGUUCUUCUUUAUUUUUUGAGUUAUUCUCUACAUUACCCACUAAUUUUAUUCAAUUUUUCAUAGAUUUACAGUGUUAAUUAGGUCUUCAAGUAAUCAAUUUUUAGUUUUUCAAAUGGAUGGGGAAACCCCUUUUAGGAUAUUAACAAGAGGUAUUAAACAUGUAGAUAAGAUUAAUUGUAGUACUCCAUCAUUUGAUUUGGAAGCUUCUCAAUUAGACAGUGACAAUGCAAAAUUUCUAGCGGAAUUGAAAGAAGACAAGUUGAAAGAGACGCGAAGAAAAAAUGGCAAUGAUCAUGUUAAUAUUCGAAAUAGCAUGGUAGAUUGUCAAUCAAAAGAUGAUUUAAUCAACUCUUCAAAAAUAUCAAUGGUCAGUACAAGUGGAUCAAAAGAAAGAAAAGAAAAAGACUUUGCAACUUCCAGCAAUAACGAAAGAGCAAAAUGUUCCAAGGUUUAUCAGUCCAAAGUAGAGAGUAACGAUGUUGAGAUUCAACAUAAGGUAUUUUUUUGUAUUUAUCAAUUAGAUUAUAUUAUUCUUUAGUUGUGUAGAAUGUCGUAAUGUUAAAGUUUUAUAUGUGUACGUUUGUAUUUGUUGCAAAGAUAUAUUCAUAUAUCGACAUAAUACAGUUGUACUUAUUUAAAUAUAACUAUAUAUGCAAACAUAUACAUAUACAUAUAUAUGCAGUGAUACAUAUAUUCAACUCUGUCAGCAUAUACAAUUUUUAUGUGUGUUAUGAUAUAUAGUUGUAUUCAAUUAGUUUAGGGAUGACGCUUUAUAUACAUUUUUAUAAAUUUUUUUUUAUCAUUCGUGUUUUUUUGGUUGAUCAUUUGUGUUUUUUUGGUUCAACAGGAUGGUAGUUUUGUCAUCACAGAUCUUCCUAAGAAGUCCCCGAAUGUGGCUUGUUAUAUGGAGAGAAAUAUAUUUGAUACUUUAAAAUAAAAACUAUCCAGUGUUUAACUUAAAAGAUUUAUGGCAACAUGCUUUGGUCAAUACGCCACCAUGUCAGAUUCAUGGGUUCAAUCUCAAUUAUUUAGGUGCGCUAUAUCCCUUGAGUUGAAAACCAAUUCAACGGAUGCUAUAAUGAUGUGAUUUAAUGAAAACACGUUAAGGUUUACAAUAAGAGAUUUUGCAAUUAUUUCUGGUCUGAACGGUAUUGCUUCCAAAGGUGAUUUUGUAUUCGACACAAGUGUGCCGAAUAGAUUAAUGCAGAUAUAUUUUGAUGGUGAAGAAGAACCAUACAAAGCAACGUUAUUCCAGCCAUUUGAGGAUAAAGAAUGGGGUUAGAAUGUCGACAAUGCUUUGAAGAUUGCUAUUCUUUAUUUCGUUCAUCGUUUUAUUAUAUAUGUCAAGAUGCAUACUGUUAGAGUUCCAAGAUUUUAUUUUGAUAUUAUUGAGCAAGAUCGAUACAUGGAUUACUGUUGGAGCAAAGAAGCUUUCGAAGAGCUUGUCAAAUCCAUAUCAAGAAAGCUGACCUUCGAUGGAUAGUAUUAUUGACUUCAUGGCAUGCCAUAUGCUAUGCAAGUAUGGAUGUAUGAGUGUUGCUCAAAUGUUGAUAAGAGACUUUCCAAAAGGAUUGGCGAUCGAAUUUCGAGGCUGCUUAAUUGGAAAACCAUAAAAGAUCAUCCAUGGUACAAAUGGAUUAUGCAGAACAUGUUUAUGUACAAAAGGGUAAAAUUCAGUGUCUUAGUAACCUCAAAUACAAAGUUUUUAUAAACUAAUAUUUGUAUUUAUUCAUAUAUAAAAAACUAAUUACUAAUCCAUAAGUGACGUCCAGAUUUUCUUUCGAAACAUCAAGGCAUCCGCAAGUGAAAUUGCAGUUUUCCAACUCCCACUGAAAAUUAUUGACGAUGUUACCGUUGUGAAAUCUCCAAUGAAUGAUGUUGUUAAUUCUGAAGAAGACUUUCAAAAGAUGCCUCUAAUCUCUAUUGCUCGUAAGGAAAGGGAAAAAUAGGUAUCUCUGUAUCACCCUCAAAAAGGAACCAGAAGCAGAAACAAAUGUCAUCAGGUGCAUCAAUAUCAAUCAAGACUCCUACAAAGGUGGUUUCAAACGCGACAGCCUCUAACACAUCUCCAUUUUUUUUUAAUAAAAUAUUCAAAAAGUUCACCUUAAAUAAGAAGCUAGUAGAGGAUCAAAUUCAGUCGCCGUAUAGUAUUGAACCACCUGUGACCGAUGCAGCAGCGAAGAGAACCAUUUCGACUGAUAAUCUCAAUAUUCUCAAUCAGAAAGUCGAUGCGUUGGAGAGUUAUGUAAGUAUAUUAUAAUCAUCUUCAAAUUUUAGGAAAAUUCAUAUUAUUAAAUUACCAAUGCAAAUUUAUUAUAUAAAAUAUAGGUGAAGUUGGAAUUUCAAAGUCUACGCAAUUUGAUAAAUGCCAAUCAUAAGACUGUCAUGGAUGCUAUCUAAAGUAAAGAUAUUAACGAGAAGGUAUGAAGUAUACGAGCAUUAUUUUCGAAUAAAUCAUACAAUAUUUAAAUAAUGAUUUGUAAUACAUAUUAGGAUUUUAUAAAAAAAUCGUCGGUUGCUGAGCAAGGAGAAAUUCCAUCCAUGAAUGUUCAUUGUGCUCCUGGCAGUAGCAAUUAUUCAAAUGUAACUAUUUUUGAGAUGAUAUAAUAUGUAUUUACGACAUAUAUUCUUACGUACAUAUAGCAGUUGUUCUUGAUGUACGUCAUGUUAUUCAACGACCAUAUACCCACAAACCUGAUAAGAUAGUAUAUAUGUGUCAAAUUAAAUAUUCAUACAUAUACCUAUAUACUAUUACACUUUUUUGUUGUUUAGUUGUAUAGAAUGUCAUGAUGUUAAUGUUUUAUAUGUGUACGUUUGUAUUCUGUGUAAAAAAUUAUACAUAUAUUGACAUAAUACAGUUAUACUUAAUUAUAUAUAACUGCAUAUGUACAUAUAUAUAUAUAUAUAUAUAUAUAUGUACAAAUAUACACAUAUUUAAUUCUGCCAUCAUAUACAAUUUUUAUGUUUGUUCUGAUAUGUAGUGUUAACACAUUUAUAAUACAUAUAUGCGUAAUGCAUAUCUUCAUUUCAAGCUAAGUUUUGUAUUUUUAUGUUGAUCUUGUAUAUAGAUUUUUAGAUUUAUAAUAUAAAUAUACACACAGUUGUAUCUACAUACUUCUACAUGUUUUUAUGAUUAUAUUGGCAUCUGUACAUAGAAAUUCAUAUGAAUAUAUAUUGGACUACUAGAUUGAGACAAUUGCUUAUUUUUAUAUCUUAAAUUGAACCACAGUCUUAAUGCACGAAGUACUAACUUACCCAUAUUGCUUGUUAUAAGAGUAAUAUGGAUGUUAACAGUAUCCCUUCCUGUUUGAAUGUUCCUGUUGUACGUGAGCAUGAUACAAACGUAAAUGUUCAACUUGAGAAGCCCAUUGAUGAGGUAUUCUUUGCUAAGCCGCAGAUUUAACAUUACUUAUUUUUUCUUAUCAUUGUUUCAAUUAUGCUUAGUCAUUUAUUUUUAAGCAGUGAAUUGAUUUUAGUUAUCUUCUUUUUGAUUUCUGAAAUGCAUAGAAGUCAUUACUAAAUUCACACUUUUUAUUUUUUAAUGGAUUUUCUGGAUGACAUUUUAAUGAUCUUUUAUAUACAAGGUUCCGAAUACAGAAUCAAUUUUGAAGGUUCAAAAUGCUGGAAUUCAUAUUGAAGAGUCAUCCUGGAAUUCAUAUUGAAGAAUUAAUUGAUGACUUAAAAAACAUGGUUAGUGGUCAUGAAGAUGUUGAAAUAAAAGAUCAGUCAUUCGAUCCGAUGAAAGUACAUCUACUUUUAAUUGAAUUAAGUUUAUGACAUGAUAUAAUAUGUAUUUACGAUAUAUGUUCUUACGUACAUAUAGCAGUUGUUUCUUGAUGUAUGUCAACUUUAUAUUCAACUUUAAAUGUUUUAAAAUUCAACUCAAUAUAAAGUUGCUUACCAAUCAAUUGAAUCAAACCAUCGUAUUUUUCUGUUUCUUCAAUUGCAAUUGAUUCCAACUCGUAUUGUUCAUACUCAUUAUAACAGUUUCAUACGCCUGAAUAUUUCAGAAUAAUUGGUAAUUGUUCCUUUUUAAAAGAUAAUCUGUUAACAAAUACAAUAUGUAAAUUGUCAGUAACUAUGAACUCAAAAUAAACUAUCAAUUAUCAGGUUUCAGAAAUAAUAACAAUCUGUUUGUUAAAUCACAAAUUGAAAUUGCAGUAUAUAUAGUGUAUAGAUUAACGUAAAAUAAUGAUUCAAAACAUACUCAAAUUCAUAUAAUUUAGAUAAAAACAAUAAAUAUACUCGCAAAUUGACAAAUCGGGUUUUCAAAAAAUCAUUUUUCAAGAAUUUAUAAACAAAUUUUGAAUUGGGAAAAUACCUGCUAAAAAUUAUUGUUGAAUAACUCCUCUUUCUUCUCUCAAAUCUUUCCAAAAUAAAUUUUUUAGAUUAAUACAUUCGUUAAAUCACAGAUAAUGAUCUUUAAUGUUCAGUAAUGGAUGAGCAAUUAGUGGGAAGUUCGAGUAAUUUAAAAUUUACUGCUUUCAAAUUUCCUUUUUUAUCUCUUAUUUCAGUUAGUUUAUUUUUAUUCUGAUUUGUAUAAUUUGUUAUAUAUACAUAUAACUAUUAACUACUUUUGCAUAUAAUUUGUAAUUAUUGAAACUUUCACUAGAAAAUUAGUUAUAGGUCUUAUACUUUACCUAUAUGUGAAUUUUUGCCCUUUAAAAUAUCAAAGUUGGAUCAUAACUUAUAUGGAUGAAGGAAUGGUCCAGACGGUGAUUGUCUUUUUUUCUUGUUUUAUUAGGGUGUGUUUGGUACGACGGAAAAUGUUUUUUCGUGGAAAAUAUUUUUCUAGAAAAUAUUUUUAUGAAAAAUAAGUUGAUUUCUUACUUAUUUUCUUAUGUUUGAUUGGUGAGUGAAAAAUAUUUUUCGGAAAAGAAUUUCUAGUGUUUGGUUGGUAAAUGAAAAAAUAUUUUUCAGAAAAUCAUUUUAGUGUUUAGCUAAUGAGUGGAAAAUAAUUUUUGACCUUAGAAAAUACUUUUUUUGGGUAUGUUCGGUAUGGAGUAGGAAAAUAUUUUUUAGGAAAAUAAGUUGUUUCUUACUUAUAUUUUUGUGUUCGUUAUGCAAGUAGGAAAAUAUUUUCUAAAAGCAUUUGUAUAUAUUUAACAAAAAAUAAUGCAAACAAAUAGGGUAAGAAGGGUGAGUUACGAAAAAUAUUGAAACUUUUUUAUUUGCGGGAAAUUUUUUUUAGGGGGGAGGCUAGUAGGGGAUGGAGUCAGGAGGUAAGAAAAAAUUGAAUUUUUUUUUGGGGGAGGGGGUAGUAGGGGAUUGGGUCGCGGUAGGAGAGUAAGGGUGGGUUAAGAAAAAAAUUGAAUCUUUUUAUAAAAUUUAAAUAUUUCGAGGGGGUGAGGGAGGCAAAUUUAAAUACUGGGGGAAGGGGUAUUAGGGAGUGGGGUAGGGGUGGGGGAAUGAGGAUGGGGUAAGGAAAAAAAAUUUAAAAUUAAUUUUUUUUUGAGGGGGUGGUAGGGGUGGGGGGUAAGAAAAAAGUUUGAAUUUAAAAAAAAAAAUUUUUUUGGAGGGGGUAUGCAGGGGGUGGGGGGUCAGGUAGGGAAUGCGGUAAGAAAAAAAAAUUACACUAUUUUUUUGGGAUGGGGGUGGUAGGGGAUUGAGGGUCGGGGUAGGGCUGAGUGAUUUUGAGAGUUGUAUGAACAUUUGAACUUGAAAGUAAGGUUGAAUAGAGUAUUGAAAAAUGUUUUCCUUAUUUUUUGAAGGGAAACCGUUUUUCUUAAAUUUGAGAAAAAUAAAUUGAUUUGGAAACAUUUCAAACAUUUAGGCAAAAUGGUUUAAUGGAUCCUUGUACUAUAUCCAUUUUGUAAUGUGGAUACUCCUACUUACAUAUUUGUCAUCUGGACCCUUGAACCCACUAAAAAACAAGAUUUUAAAAACUUUUUUGGUGAGUGUAACACACUUGCCCCACUUCAGCUGCCAUGUCAGCUGCCACAUAAGCUUCCACAUCAUUUUCAGGCAUUUCAUUAAAUUUCAAGUCAUUUUUAAAAUAAUACACAGGAAAUUAAAUAUUAAAAUAAAUUUAAUUAAAUAGAAAAUUAUAAAUUGUAGAAAAAUUUAAAUAAUCAUGUUUUUAUUGUUGCUCACAAAUUAAAUAUCAAAUUCAUUUCAAAUAAUUAAAAUUCUUCUCCAACUAAUUUAAAUUUUUAACUAUAAAUUCAUAUAUACAAACAUAAUGAAUUUUCNNNNNNNNNNNNNNNNNNNNNNNNNNNNNNNNNNNNNNNNNNNNNNNNNNNNNNNNNNNNNNNNNNNNNNNNNNNNNNNNNNNNNNNNNNNNNNNNNNNNNNNNNNNNNNNNNNNNNNNNNNNNNNNNNNNNNNNNNNNNNNNNNNNNNNNNNNNNNNNNNNNNNNNNNNNNNNNNNNNNNNNNNNNNNNNNNNNNNNNNNNNNNNNNNNNNNNNNNNNNNNNNNNNNNNNNNNNNNNNNNNNNNNNNNNNNNNNNNNNNNNNNNNNNNNNNNNNNNNNNNNNNNNNNNNNNNNNNNNNNNNNNNNNNNNNNNNNNNNNNNNNNNNNNNNNNNNNNNNNNNNNNNNNNNNNNNNNNNNNNNNNNNNNNNNNNNNNNNNNNNNNNNNNNNNNNNNNNNNNNNNNNNNNNNNNNNNNNNNNNNNNNNNNNNNNNNNNNNNNNNNNNNNNNNNNNNNNNNNNNNNNNNNNNNNNNNNNNNNNNNNNNNNNNNNNNNNNNNNNNNNNNNNNNNNNNNNNNNNNNNNNNNNNNNNNNNNNNNNNNNNUCUUUUAAAAAAAAUUACUUAUUUUUAAAUUAAAAAAAAAGAUAGAGGGAAAAAAGGUCCUUUUUUAUUUUUUUAAAUUUUAAUAUUAUUUUAAUUAUUUUAAUAUAAAAUUAACCCUCACUCGCACCCUAGGAGCGUGUCUGCACGUGUGUCGUUCUAGUCAGCCAUUUUAAUGCCGCAUAGGUCUGGUCAAUGAUCAAAGGGUUUAAAAUGUUGCUUUUUAAUGGGUUUAAGGGUCCAGAUGACAAACAUGUAAGUAGGAGUAUCCACAUUAUAAAACGAACAUAGUAUAAGGGUCCAUCGAACCAUUUUGCCAAACAUUUAAACCAUCCAAACAUGAAAAAGUUGGAAAACAUUUUCUGAAAAAUGUUUUCCUUCAUACCCAACAUACUCAUAUUUUUCAAAACUCUUCUUCAACCUCACACUCAAGCUAAAAUAUUCACACAACUCUCUGACCCUCAAUCCCCUACCACCCUUAUCCAAAAUAAAUAUUUAAUUUUUUAAAAAGUAUUUCAAUUUUUUUCUUACCUCCACCCUACGCCACCACCCCCCACCUCAUAUCACCCCUUCAGCUAAAAAAAUAUUUAUUUUCUUAAAAAAACUCCAAGUUUUUUUCUUAUCCCAUCACCACAGCCCCCCACCCCCACCUCCUUAAAAAAAAUAAAUUAAAAUUUUAAAUAUUUUUUCUUAUUCCACCCUCCCCCCCCAAUCCCGACCCACCCCCUACCAGCCCCACCAAAAAAGAAAAUACAAAAUUCAUUUUAAAAAAAAUAAAUAAAAAAUUACCCUAUCUUGACUCCCCUCNNNNNNNNNNNNNNNNNNNNNNNNNNNNNNNNNNNNNNNNNNNNNNNNNNNNNNNNNNNNNNNNNNNNNNNNNNNNNNNNNNNNNNNNNNNNNNNNNNNNNNNNNNNNNNNNNNNNNNNNNNNNNNNNNNNNNNNNNNNNNNNNNNNNNNNNNNNNNNNNNNNNNNNNNNNNNNNNNNNNNNNNNNNNNNNNNNNNNNNNNNNNNNNNNNNNNNNNNNNNNNNNACCACCAAAUCUAUCAGCCCCCUCUCUAAAAAAAAAAUUUAAUUAAUUAAUUUAUUUAUUUUAAAAAGUUUCAAAAUCUUGUUUUUAUCUCACCCUUCUUACUCUAUUCCUUCUUAUUGUUUUUUUUUUUUAAAUUUAUACAGAACACACGAAUAUAAGUAAGAAAUAAUUUAUUUUUUUAGAAAAUAUUUUCCUCCUUCUUACCAACUACAUCCUAAAAAAAGUAUUUUUUUCGGGGUCAAAAAUUAUUUUCUACUCUUUAGCUAAAUAUUAAAGUAUAUUUUCUGAAAAAUAUUUUUCAAACAGUAGAGAAUAUUUUUUGAAAACUAUUUUUCACUCAACUAUCAAACAUAAGAAAAUAAGUAAGAAAAUAACUUCUUUUCCAUAAAAAUAUUUUUUUCCAUGAAAACGUUUUCAGAAAAUAUUUUCAAACAUACCAAACACACUCGAGAUGAGGUCAUAUUUGUCAUUUAAUAAAAAAAGGGGCAUUGUUUGAAAUUUCUAUCGAUCCGGAUUUAGGAUCCGAAUUGUCACUAUUUGUGGAAUCUCUUGAAUCAAACAAAAUUCUCUCUACCUGAGCAGUCCACAAAGCUUCUCAAACAGCACCACGACCCACUCAAUCAAUCAACAGCGAAGCUAAUGUUCUUCCUUGUUCCAUUUUACAAAAAGAGAAAAACAUCAAAUCCUCCUGAACUUGUCGUCAAAAUUUACUUUAAAUCCUAAACUAAUCGGGCAAUUAUUUACCCCCUUAACAACUUUCAAGUGAAUUUUUUACCACCAUAAUUGUUGAUGUGGCAAAAGUCAGAAAAUUCAGCACGUAAAUGGUUAAAAAAAGUGGAGUAAAGGUGGGGCCCACUUUUAAAUUUUACAAAUUCUUUUUCCUUCAUCUUCCUCACACCCCACCACCCCCUUUAUUAUCCUUCUUCAUUUUUCUUUCAAAUAUUCAACAAACCAAACUAAUUCAUGAUUAAGGCAUAUUUAAUUAAAAUUUUUAAGAAAUAGUUAAAAAAAAGGUUAGAAAUUAAAAGAACACCAACUAAUGGUCAAACUUUCAAUCUAUUAAUUCAAAAAUUAAAUUUUCAAUUAAUCCAAAUCCAAUAAUGCACAUGGAACCCUCCACUUUUUCAACAAGAAACUCCACUUUUCCACUUUUCCAACAAGGAACUCCAUUUUCGCGUUAGGAAUUAGACCUCAAUUUUGUCAACAUCCUUUUUCUUUCAUUUUCAAUCAUCUUUUCUUUUCUUUCUUCAUUCACGUAUAUUUGAUAAUUCUCUCAUAUUCAAGAAAAAAGAAGGAGACGGGUGUUUUGAUUGGGUGGGGGAGAGGGGAAGUUGGUGAAGCUGAAUUUGGGGGGGGGGUGGGGGGGGGGGCAACAGAUUUAAGAAAAAUGAAGGAAAAGGGCUGGGGGUAGGGUGAUAUAUAUAUAUAUAUAUAAUUUGAAGGAUUACUUAAAAAAAAAUUAUUUACGUGGCAUUGACGUGGCUCAAAUGUGGGAUGUGUGUACUUCACUCUCCGUAGUGAGAGUGGUAUAAUUUUUGUAGGAUGGUAUAAAAUUCACUUGAAAGUUGUUGGGGUAAAUAAUUGUCUGAUUAGUUUAGGAUCUAAAGUAAGUUUUGGCGACAAGUUCAGGGGGUUUUGAUGUCUUUUCUCUUUACAAAAAUGUACUUAGAAAAACUAGCAAGUAAAGGCCUAAAAUCAUACACAAUCUUUUGCUUUAGACACAAAAUAAUACAUAUUCUUUCAAUUAGGGCACUAAUAGUCCUUGUUAUUUAAUAAAGUGGUUCACUUUUAAUCAUAACCUUAACACCGUUAAUUUUCUUAACAACAACCUCCUUACCUUUUUUUCACGUUAUUUUUCUUUCCCUCCAAAAGUACCUCACCUGUGUAUAUUAGAUUAUUUUCUUUUCCUUCAAAAGUAUGUACUCUGUUUCUGUGAUUUCCUUUCUUCCUUCCUUUUGAAAAACAUAACUCUCCACCUAACUUCAAAUUAAAAAUUUGGAACAACAAAUCAUACAAGCCCGGAUUGAAUCUAUAGCAGGAAGUAAUAAUGUUCUUAAGGCGCAACUAUGACAGAUGAUCACCUCCUUUCUACUGUGAGAUUUUUUUAUUUUCUUAAAUUGAAAAAAAAUUGUUCAAAUUUGAGCACAUAAUGUUUCUGAUCUUGAUUUUGAGCAAAUAUAGUAGAAUAUAUUAUUUGUUUAUUUUGGUGAAAUAAAGUCUGUAACAACACUUUUUGAAGUUCACCUUUUGUAAUUUCAGGUUUGUCAACCGAGUCUUCAUUUAUCGAUGUGAAAACAUAUCAUGGGGGAAUUAUGAAGCGUACACUAGACAAACAUUAUGUUGGAGUAAACAUAGAUUACAUUGAUUAUGUAAAUGCGGCAGUACUGAAUCUUGUUGAAUUCAAGAAGGUGAUAGAGAUAUGUGGUUAUGCGAAUAAUUUGAUAACCUUUUGGCAUAGUUAUGGAAAGCCCGUUAAUAAAUGAAAGUUGAUCUCUAUAGACUUCGAAGCAUACACAGUUAGUAAAACCAUCUAAAAGGACGACAAUGUGCUUGAGAUAUACUUUGAACACUUGGACUCUUACUUCCUGAUGGACAAAGUGGAUUCAGUAAAUCAUUCAAAUAUUGGAGAAAAUGACAAACAAUAAAUAUUGUGUGAAAAUUCAUUAGGGGGAAAUUUUUGUAACUCGAAAGCUGAUUUAUCAAAUGAUGUUAUAACUGAUAUACAUGGGAAGAGGAACUAAAAUAUUCUGGAAGAGAGGGAGCUCCUUAGUGUAGAAAUAAAGAGAAAGAUGACUGAUAUAAAUGGUGGUUCUGAUUGUUGUGAUUCUGAAGACAUAAAGAGCUUUCUUAGUGAUUAUGAAACUGAAAGUUUCAACUUUCCUUAGCACAAUCCAAAGACUGAUGGGGAUAACCCAGUAUUAGGUCUAGAAUAUAUCUUUGAUACAAAGAAGGACUUUAAAAUAUUGUAGAAACUCAUGAGAUUACGAAUGGGAAUAUCAUGAUAUGAACCAGGGCCUGACCAUGACAGGUAUCUCAAGUCCCACAUGGACCGGAGAUCACCUCUUUCACCUAACUAAACCAAUACAACAUCUCCAAUAUUGGAUGAAUUUCGAACAUAUAACAAGAUAUUGUGAAAUAAAAUUAAUGAUAAUGCAUGGUGAGUCUGUACCAACCAUCGAUAACCAGACAAACCUCCGUCACCACACAAUCAACCAAACCACUCAAGUCCACAGUAAUCCAAUAAAGCCUCUACGAAACUGAAGUUAAUAAAAUAUUGGGACAUGUCCCCGACAAUAACCAAAACUAAGUCCUAAAGUAUAGAAAAUAUGUGAAGGAACCACAAUAUGAAAUGGGGUCUUCCAGAAUAUAAAUGCUCACCACUUUAAUCUGAAUCGCUAGCUGAUCUCGAAUCCAAGUCACUAAGCAGGAGAUGUGGAAGUAUGGCCCAUUUCUGCAUCGCAUGGGGAUACAACAUCAGAAGACAGUUAGCAAUUGGAGCACUAGCAUAUAACUCAGGGAUAGAGGAAUAAAAUAAUGUCAUGAUAACAGCUCAAAACCAAUACAAUAUGCAAUGUAUAAUACCGUAUGGAGUACAUAUAUAAAAAAAUCACAUGCUGGGUAGGGAGUAAACCUUAGCAUGAACUUCAAAAAUCAUAAUCUGGGUUGUGUAGCAUGACCGUCAUGAAACAAUCCACCCACGGUCUAUAUGGCCCAGCUUUUCCCCAACUGGAAGGGCCCCAGUGCGUGUAGCCGUACGAACUAAAGAAUAUCCAUAUCUGUAUAUGCCUUUGUGGGGGACUCUAACCUCUUGGCAUAAUCAAGGUGACUUAAGCACCAAUGUUUACAACAUGGAGGACUCGAACCUCCCAUUCAAAUAAUCAAUACGGAAGACUUAAACCUCUCGGUCAUUUAGACACCCGCAUCGGCUAGCGUGGUUUCCAGUGUUAGUCCUUUGAGACCUCCACUUUCACGGCCCAGCUACACAUCCUAAUUUUAAACUCAAUUUAAAACAUUUAAGAUGCAUCACCAUUUAUUAAACCCAUUAUACAUAUAGGCACCCCGUUGGUAUUUUCAUACCAACCUUACUUGUAAGCAUAUAAUAUGCCAUAACAAUAAUUUCAUCAAUUGGGACUCAAACCUAUUGUCCAAACAAAGACAUCAAAUUAAUUCAAUAUUUGGGACUUAAAUUCAUUUAGCCAAUCAAACCCCAAGGUUGCAAUUUAAAUCAAUUUAUGUCCACUAAGGCCUUCAUACAAUCAUUUAUCAAUAUCAAUCGUCUUAUGUCAAUGCAUUAGUUCAAAAUACACAAUUCAAACUUGUGACAAGGUCAUUCUCAUUAACAAUUUUACAAACAGGUUGAGGGCAUACCAACAUCAAGCCACAAUUAAUGCAAAAAUCAUCAAAUUGGGAGUUAACCAUGAUCCCUCAGUUAAAUCACCAUUCCCUCAUGCACUCUCAUGUGUGAAACCAUAUUUAAAGCAUGAAUAAUCAUAAUUAAAUCAUGAGAAAGUAUUGUUCAACAAUAUGCAUUCAAAACCCUCAACCGUUAUUUCAAAACCAACAUUAAUGUCUCAUGAACAAUACUUUAAAACAUAUGCUUUUAACAAAUUAGCAAUGAGGGAAGAGUCACAUGCCUGAAUCACAAAAAAUUAUGGAGAGGACUUAACCCCUUGUGCCCCUAGAUGACCACUUUUUGUAAACCCUAAGUUUCUUCCUUGAGAGAAUUUUAAGAGAGCUUUGAGAGUGUUUAGUCCAUUAAAAUGUGGAAUGAAUGCCCUAAAAGUAUUUUAUGGGGGUGGGGUCAAAAAGGUUUUAAGUGAAAAAUGUCUAAAGUGACCCCAACUUAAAAGUUGUAAAAGUGUCAUCCUUGGUUAUGAGUCCACCAUCGACUCGUAACCACACCUUAAGACUCGUCAUCACGAGUCAUAACCAAGACAGUGACUAGGUACCCAUAUACUAUCGACCUUACGACUCGACCAACCCACUUGUAAUGAGACUCUACAACUCAUAGGGUCCAGUCGUAGUUAACACAGAACCCAAAUAGGUUGAACACAAUGUUGGGUUCGAAAUUGAGAUGACAUCAUGUGGAAGAUAUUAGUUGCAAACCAUCGUGGUGAUAAUUUAGACGACAAAGAAAAACAUAAUAAAAAAUAUAUUAUUGAUAUGAUUUAGUCAAGUGACCUACAUAUUGAAAACUAAUAUCAAAAUGCAUAAAAAACUAUUAGGAGAAAAUCUCCCUCUAAACAAGACUCAUAAACGAUUACAUUGUGGAUGUUAUUGUAUUAUGGUAUGAGAAGGGGGGUCUUCUAUUUAUAGAUGUCCAAAACCUUUCCUCCAAGAAAGAGGUUUGCCAAAUAUGAAAAAGUUUUAUAUUUUCCUUUUAGGAAAAAUAAAAGUAAUUAUGGUAUUACUUUUAUUUUUAUUCCAAGAAAAAUUAAAAACUUAAACUUGAUAAGAAAAUCAUGGUAAAAACCCUAACACACUAGACAUCCUACGAUUUCAUCCUAUGACUCGUAACAAGUCCUUAUGACUCGUACUGAGCCACUCAUACUCAUAGCAAAACCAUGCCACAAACUUACAUGAUUUGGUUACGACUCGUCCCUACGACUCAUCAUGUGACUUUACGACUCGUGCCCCCAAGUCGUACCCCAAAUAAUAACUUCAACACCUCUCUCUGGACACCUUAAGACUAGGGUCAUAUGACCCGUCAAGACACUCUAUGACUCGUAGGGUGAGUUGUAAUAAAGGCAAUGAGCCUAAAGCUCAAAAAAAUUUCAAGGGACAAAGUCCGGAGUGUUUCAAGAAAGUAUAUCCAAUGGUGUAGGAAUGAUAAUUUAAGAGUGGAAGCAAUUUGCAUACUUCAUCCAGAAUGUAAACGGAAAAUCAAGACUUCUAAAAUGCAAAGAGAUAAGGCUUUUAAUGUUAGAACUUACGAUUCCAUACAUACUUAUAAGGAGUGGCAUCAUGAAAAUAGAACGAUCACUUCAUCUUUCAUUGCAAGAAAGUACCUCAAAGAAGUUGGAUCAAAUAGAAAUUUGAGAGUGGUGGAAUUUCGGGAUAAAUUGUCAAACUAAGAUCUCAUGUGACCUUAUCUCAAGAUAAAAAGGCUAAGAUGAAAGUGAUUGCAUUAAUUGAUGGUGAUAUUAAAGAUCAAUACAAAAUGAUAUGGGAGUAUUGCAAAGAGAUUAAUAGAACAAAUUCAGGCAGCUCAAUAUACAUACAACUCACCGACAAUAUAAUAAGGUCCCCAAUGAGCCACAAAGAUUUCAAAGAAUUUGUUAUUUUCAAUAGUUUUGGGUACAAAAAUCUGUAUAUAUAUGCAACAAUAACUUUAACACAAGUUCAAGUCUAAGACAAGAACACUUAUGAAGUUCUUUUAACACCUUUAACACAAGAUUACAAAUAAUCUAUCCAGGAAGUAUAUUAAGUUUUAGAAAUGAGAUGAAAUAGAAUUUUUGUAAGGCCAAGUCCCCCGACUUCAGAAGUGUCCUUAAAGAAUAAGUCUCCUCAUUGUACCCGAGGUUAUGGAAUCUUUCUUUCAGGAUAAAGUGGUCAAACAAACUAACUGUAGCGGUACCUCAAACAAUUAGAAUCUCUUCGAACUCACUCAACGAUUUGAUUGAUCACACGGAAUGUUUUUGAAGACAAGAAGAGUUUAUAUGUUUAGAAAAAAAAUUUGUUCCUAAACCUGUAGAUGAAAGCAGGUUUAUAUAUAUAGCCAUCAGAUGCCUCUUCUAAAAGGUGGCAAUGGUUCACUUAAAAGGUGUAACCUUUCUGGAAAAUCAUGUUUGUUCGUCUAAAGAAUGCAUCUUUUUCGAACAGGCAUACCAUUUCAUGAAUCAGUGUAUCAUUUCGUUUAAGGGUUGCAUCCCUUCCGAAGCAUCAAUUCGCUUCUGCACUACAUUCUGAAACAAUGUUUUCGCCACUGCAUCCAUGUAUAUAAAUGGAGGAUCAAAACACAGAAUUAAUUUGUUACGUUUUCCCUUCAGUAUUUUCAAAUUAAAUUUCUGUCAAAUAAACUUUGUCCAAAAAGAUAGAUCUCAUCGAUCGAUCAUUUGACAAAUCCAAAUCCGAAGCCGAAGUCAAAGCCGAGCCGAGCAAGUGACGACAACGAUGGCGUGAGGCACCACCUUGUUCUUGCCUCACUAUCCAUAUGGAGUAAGUGCUUCUUAUUAGAAACACUUCAAAGUUUCUUUCUCCCACCAAUGUGGGAUAAUUAGCCAACUUUCCCUUAAAAGAGUACAUUUUCCAUUUUAGUGUCUCUCUUUCUCUGCACUAUUUUUCUUUCUUUUUCCAUUCACACUUUUCAUACAUAUUAAACCCAAUAAUCCCCCAUAUGAAUGGGGAAUGACUACUUUUUCAUAAAAUUUUAUGAACAAGUAUGUGAUCAUCAAGCAAAGACUAAUUGCAUCUGGAUAAGUGAGUUUUCCUUUGAACUUUCUGUGGUGAACAUGCAUUGGAUGUACUCGAUCAAUCAGUAGAUUUGAUAUCUUUGAACCGUCGAGCUUUAAUGUACACCUAGAAAACAUACGUCAUACAACCAGACUUUUACCGUUUAUGGUUCUCACGAUUUUGUUCUUUUCAGCCAUGAACAUGUCCCGAUUUCAUGGGAGCUUAGAGAAUAGACCUUUACUAACAUUCUCCUUGAAGCGGCUUUCACUUCUCCCUCACAUAGGUGAUCUCUAAACGUUCAAUCCUAUAGAUUAAACUAUUGGUCAAAUCUGCUAAAUUUAGAUAAUCAUUAAAAGACUUUACACCAUAAGUUUCAUCCUUGUUUACUAAACAUUGUCUACAUCAUGAGAAUUGGUUGGGUAUUUGACAAUGUUGAACCUGUUAGACACAACUUUGUUUGAUCUCCUUAAACCUAACUCUUGGGAUCUCCAGUCUGCUAGGUAGAGUUACCGCCAUGCUGACUUGUCCUAGUCCUUAAAUCCAUUCCCUUAGAUGUCCUUUUCACUCUCUCUCUAGAUAGGCGUUUUGUAAGUAGAUCCAACAUAUUAUCCUUUGAAUUUACAUAGUCAACAAUGAUAAUUCCACUAGAGAGAAGUUCUCUAACGGUAUUAUGUCUCCAUCUUAUCUGACGAGAUUUACCAUUGUACAUCAUGCUCCCUGCCCUACCUAUUGACGCUUGGCUAUCACAGUGUAUACAUACUGGUACCACUGGUUUGGGCCAAUAAGGAAUAUCUUCUAAGAAAUUCUAGAGCCAUUUUGCUUCUUCACCGGCUUUAUCCAAUGUGAUAAUGUAAUACCCCAAAAAAUUUUUCGUCGAAAUUUUGUGCGUAAACUUAUUAGAUCCUAUCUUCGAGAAUAAUUUAUAAUUUUUCUGUGUAUCAUUUCUUGGAUUUUAACCUGCCAUUUUGUAGAGCAUCGAAUAGUCUUUCCAACGAUAUGUGGAUCACCCAAAACGGACACUUGAGUGAUGAGUUACGACCAUUACGAUCAAACUACGACCAUUCCGAUCGAACUGUGAACAGUAAAAAUGUGCAGGAAAAAAAAAUACUGCAGCCAGGCGAUUUUUUUGGUCAACUUCAAAUGAUCAUAACUCCUUGUACAUAAUGAACUGUGUGAGAUGCUAUAUAUCAACGAAAAUCCCUGAGAGUCUUCUUUCCAAUAAAAUUGGUUUCAUCCAAUUUGGACAUCGAAGUAAAAAGUUAUGUACAAUUUACUUCAGCCUAUCGGAUAGAUCACUGAAGGAAAGAUUCGGAUUUUAUUUGUUUCUUAGGGGCAUUUUGGUCUUUCACCACUCUUUUAAACCUCUAUAAAUACCCCAUUCAGCUGAGAACUUGUAUUAUUUCCUCUCAUUUCUCUUAUAUGUGUAUGUAUAUAUAUAUAAAGUUAGGGUUAGGGUUUUGAAUUGGGGGAAAUUAAUUGGAGGCUUUGAUUCAAGAAUUUCUUCCGUCAAUNNNNNNNNNNNNNNNNNNNNNNNNNNNNNNNNNNNNNNNNNNNNNNNNNNNNNNNNNNNNNNNNNNNNNNNNNNNNNNNNNNNNNNNNNNNNNNNNNNNNNNNNNNNNNNNNNNNNNNNNNNNNNNNNNNNNNNNNNNNNNNNNNNNNNNNNNNNNNNNNNNNNNNNNNNNNNNNNNNNNNNNNNNNNNNNNNNNNNNNNNNNNNNNNNNNNNNNNNNNNNNNNNNNNNNNNNNNNNNNNNNNNNNNNNNNNNNNNNNNNNNNNNNNNNNNNNNNNNNNNNNNNNNNNNNNNNNNNNNNNNNNNNNNNNNNNNNNNNNNNNNNNNNNNNNNNNNNNNNNNNNNNNNNNNNNNNNNNNNNNNNNNNNNNNNNNNNNNNNNNNNNNNNNNNNNNNNNNNNNNNNNNNNNNNNNNNNNNNNNNNNNNNNNNNNNNNNNNNNNNNNNNNNNNNNNNNNNNNNNNNNNNNNNNNNNNNNNNNNNNNNNNNNNNNNNNNNNNNNNNNNNNNNNNNNNNNNNNNNNNNNNNNNNNNNNNNNNNNNNNNNNNNNNNNNNNNNNNNNNNNNNNNNNNNNNNNNNNNNNNNNNNNNNNNNNNNNNNNNNNNNNNNNNNNNNNNNNNNNNNNNNNNNNNNNNNNNNNNNNNNNNNNNNNNNNNNNNNNNNNNNNNNNNNNNNNNNNNNNNNNNNNNNNNNNNNNNNNNNNNNNNNNNNNNNNNNNNNNNNNNNNNNNNNNNNNNNNNNNNNNNNNNNNNNNNNNNNNNNNNNNNNNNNNNNNNNNNNNNNNNNNNNNNNNNNNNNNNNNNNNNNNNNNNNNNNNNNNNNNNNNNNNNNNNNNNNNNNNNNNNNNNNNNNNNNNNNNNNNNNNNNNNNNNNNNNNNNNNNNNNNNNNNNNNNNNNNNNNNNNNNNNNNNNNNNNNNNNNNNNNNNNNNNNNNNNNNNNNNNNNNNNNNNNNNNNNNNNNNNNNNNNNNNNNNNNNNNNNNNNNNNNNNNNNNNNNNNNNNNNNNNNNNNNNNNNNNNNNNNNNNNNNNNNNNNNNNNNNNNNNNNNNNNNNNNNNNNNNNNNNNNNNNNNNNNNNNNNNNNNNNNNNNNNNNNNNNNNNNNNNNNNNNNNNNNNNNNNNNNNNNNNNNNNNNNNNNNNNNNNNNNNNNNNNNNNNNNNNNNNNNNNNNNNNNNNNNNNNNNNNNNNNNNNNNNNNNNNNNNNNNNNNNNNNNNNNNNNNNNNNNNNNNNNNNNNNNNNNNNNNNNNNNNNNNNNNNNNNNNNNNNNNNNNNNNNNNNNNUUGAGAACUUAACAUGAAUUCCGUGAGAACUUAGUAUGUGGGGUUUUGAACAAGAAUAUCUUUUCAUUCUUGUGCCCAAAGAAUUGAUUUUAUCAUUGGAAUUUCAUGAUUUUGUAAAGUGGGUAAAUACCCAAGAUGUUUUAAUGACGAAUUAUGAGGUUAUGAAAAAUAUAAAUUGUUUAAGCUUUGAUGUACAUGAUUACUUUAUUAUUCCCAAGUUAUGAUUUGAUACGGUGAAUUUCAUAUUUCUACCAUGAGUUGAUAUUUCAAGUGUUUUCAAGAUAUGAUUUAUGGAACUUUGAAUCGUCCAAUAUUGGUAUAAAUAAUAACCUUAUUAUCUUGUUUUCUUGAAUUGAGAUUUUAUGCCAUAAAUUGNNNNNNNNNNNNNNNNNNNNNNNNNNNNNNNNNNNNNNNNNNNNNNNNNNNNNNNNNNNNNNNNNNNNNNNNNNNNNNNNNNNNNNNNNNNNNNNNNNNNNNNNNNNNNNNNNNNNNNNNNNNNNNNNNNNNNNNNNNNNNNNNNNNNNNNNNNNNNNNNNNNNNNNNNNNNNNNNNNNNNNNNNNNNNNNNNNNNNNNNNNNNNNNNNNNNNNNNNNNNNNNNNNNNNNNNNNNNAUGUUGAUGUUGAGGAAAAUUAAAAUGUUUUGAGCUAAAAUGUGUUGAGUUAGGAAUCUAAAGAUUGAUAUGAUUUGAUAAAUGAGAAAGAGAUUUGAUUUGGUCUUUAUGAUAGACCCUUACGAUGUUGUGGUGUAUUUCCUAACGAGUUCUGAGCUAGUCGGGGAGUAUUACUUAGCACCGAGAGGGAAAUUUGGUAUUUUCCCAAACCUAUAUGCCACCAUAGGGUUGUUGAUGAUGAUAUUGUUGGUAAGAGAGCCGAAUUGUGAUUAUGAAAGCUUUAAGGUUGUACUCCCAGGCAAGAGUACAACACUCCCGUUAAUGGGAGUGCUCUCCCUAGGAGGGCAAAGGUUGGUAUUCCACGCGGCUCACGUGGGGUUGUCGGUUAUAGGAAACUCCCCUGUCCAUAAGAGUAUGUUUCUUGAACUAUCGAGUCGCUCCGAAUGAUUUUAUGAUGAUUUAUGGGAUUUUACUUAUGUUUUCCUCUCAAUAAUAUUAUGAGAAGUAUGAAUAAUGAAAUUCAAGCUAUGUGAGUCUUCAUUUUUCGUACGCAUGUUUUACGAAAUCAAAGAUAUUAUUCAAAUUAUUGUGUGCACCCCCACAUAUUCAGUUGCUUAUGAGGAGUCAUGGUGAGUUAUGUAACUACUUCCCACGGUUUUUGUGUCAGUAUAAAUCUUCAGGAGUCAGGGGUGUAAGUGUAUUCGAUUGAUCAGUGUUGGUAUCCUGUGAUUCAAUAAUGCAGUACCCUAGUACAGUAGUGAGUUCCGAGGAUAGUAAAGUGAUAUCUGAGCUGUGGUAUCUGGAGUCACUAUAAUUGUUAUAGUGGUUGUGAACUGUGCAUUCAUAUAUGUGUACUCGUUCGUUAUUCUCAUGAUUAUUCUGUUGAUUAAACGUUCAUGCAUAAGCCCUUGCAUUUAGCCCUCCCUGCUUGCAUUCUCAGUACAUCUUAGUACUGACGCAUUCGCGCUAUGGUGUUCUUUUAUUUUGGGGGCACCAUAGGUUCAGAGGAGUAAAACUUGGAGCAUCUUAGAAGUCACUUGUAUAGCAGCAGUGGGUGCAGCAGUGAGUCCUCAUCAUCCGAGGAUGUUGUUAUUAUAGUAUUUGAUUUUAGUAGACGAAGUUAGUUGGGGGAAUUAUCCCUUCAACUCCAUAGUUCAGGCAGUGUAGAGGCUUUUCAGACAGAUGUAUUAGUGUGUGGUUUAAGGUAUUGUAUAUUUCUAGAUGUUUGAACUUUAUGGCAAGUGUUAGUUAGUUUUCACAUGUAUUUUAUUAUAUUAUGCAGUGAACAGGUACAGAUAUCAGAAAAAGGGUUAGCUUGUGGUCCUUUGGGAUCAUAAGCACCGUGUGGCGGUCCGGUUCUCGAGAAUCAGAGCAUUACAAACUUGGUAUCAUAGCCUAAGGUUCAACAGUGUCCUAGGGAGUCUAAAAAGCCACAUCUAGUAGAGUCUUAUACAAGAGUGUGUUUCGCGCCACAUUCAUGUAUGGGAGGCUAUGGGAUGUUUAGAAGAGUUUCCGUUCGUUUAUGAUCCAGAUCGUGCUAUAGCAAGAUUUUCCAAGAGAGUUAUGUAGACUCUUGUAAUGAUCUACUUAUGUCAGAUUUACCUUACUCUUAAGGUAACAGAAGUAGUGAAGCCAAAGUCUUUCAGAUAGAACUUUCUCUGAUGGUCCCCUUUUGGGACAGUGUUCUCUAAAGUGAGCAGAGUAUGCCUUAUUGGGUUAGCUGUUUAUAUGGUGAAUGAAUAAGCUUGAAGUUAUAUAUGUAAGAAUCUAAGUGUGGAAGUUGGGAAUUAUAUGUGUUGAUUGAUAGAGAUAUAGCUGCGAUUCUCAUGGUGUGGAGAAGUAUAAGUUUAAGAAAUGUGAUAUUUGAAGGCUAGAAUGAGAAUAGUAUGUUUGUUAAAGAUUUUUAGAUAUUCAUGUUAUGUUUUAGAAGCUAAGCUUGAAUCUUUGAAGAAUGUAAGUUUGUGGACUCCAAACUAAGUAUUAAGAUGUAAGUGUGGUAUUAGUAGCCUAUGAAGAAAUCGAAGCAGAUAAUGUNNNNNNNNNNNNNNNNNNNNNNNNNNNNNNNNNNNNNNNNNNNNNNNNNNNNNNNNNNNNNNNNNNNNNNNNNNNNNNNNNNNNNNNNNNNNNNNNNNNNNNNNNNNNNNNNNNNNNNNNNNNNNNNNNNNNNNNNNNNNNNNNNNNNNNNNNNNNNNNNNNNNNNNNNNNNNNNNNNNNNNNNNNNNNNNNNNNNNNNNNNNNNNNNNNNNNNNNNNNNNNNNNNNNNNNNNNNNNNNGGUCCCAAGGGAGAGAUACCCCAUAAUGUUAUAAUAAUUGCAUGUCCAUGCUCUUUUUAUGAUUUUAACCUCAUUGUUCAUUGCAUUUCUAGUUAUACUUUCAAAAAUUUGGUAUAUUAGGUAUAUUCGUAUUUAAUAUGCACGUUUAAUAGAAAGGAACUCGAAUUGUGGGCAUGUUUGAACAUGUAUUGAAGAUAUUGGUUGGGUUAUGAUUCUGUGCAUUUGAGAUACAUGUAUGUUGUGAAAAUUUACCCAUGAGUGGGUUGUUGAAUGUUUUAUGCGAUAGAUGUGUAUGACUAGUGAACGUACGCAGAGUAUUGGUUGCUUCAGUCGUGUGGUUAUGUUUUGAGAUGUGUUGCUGUCUUGAAUAAACCUAGUUGAUUAGUGUUCUUGAUCUGGCCUUCACAUUCGAGGACGAAUGUUUCCAUGGGGGAGAUGAUGUAAUACCCCAAAAAAUUUUUCGUCGAAAUUUUAUGCGUAAACGUAUUGGAUCCUAUCUUUGAGAAUGAUUUAUAAUUUUUCUGUGUGUUAUUUCUUAGAUUUCGACCCACCAUUUUGUAGAGAAUCGAAUAAGCUUUCCAACGAUAUGUGAAUCACCCAAAACGGACACUCGAGCGAUGAGUUACGACCAUUCCAAUCAAACUACGACCAUUACGAUCGAACUGUGAACAGUAAAAUGUGCAGGAAAAAAAAUACUGCAGCCAGGCUAUUUUUUUGGUCAACUUCAAACAAUCAUAACUCCUUGUACAUAAUGAACUGUGUGAGAUGCUAUAUAUCAACAGAAAUCCCUAGGAGACUUCUUUCCAAUAAAAUUGGUUUUAUCCAAUUUGGACAUCGAAGUAAAAAUUUAUGGCCAAUUUACUUUAGCCUAUCGGAUAGAUCAUUGAAGGACAGAUUCGAAUUUUAUUUAUUUCUUAGGGGCAUUUUGAUCUUUCACCAUUCUUUUAAACCUCUAUAAAUACCCCAUUCAGCUGAGAACUUAUAUUAUUUUCCUCUCAUUUCUCUUAUAUGUAUAUAUGUAUAUAAUAUGUAUAUAAUAUGUAUAUAUAUAUAUAUAUAUANNNNNNNNNNNNNNNNNNNNNNNNNNNNNNNNNNNNNNNNNNNNNNNNNNNNNNNNNNNNNNNNNNNNNNNNNNNNNNNNNNNNNNNNNNNNNNNNNNNNNNNNNNNNNNNNNNNNNNNNNNNNNNNNNNNNNNNNNNNNNNNNNNNNNNNNNNNNNNNNNNNNNNNNNNNNNNNNNNNNNNNNNNNNNNNNNNNNNNNNNNNNNNNNNNNNNNNNNNNNNNNNNNNNNNNNNNNNNNNNNNNNNNNNNNNNNNNNNNNNNNNNNNNNNNNNNNNNNNNNNNNNNNNNNNNNNNNNNNNNNNNNNNNNNNNNNNNNNNNNNNNNNNNNNNNNNNNNNNNNNNNNNNNNNNNNNNNNNNNNNNNNNNNNNNNNNNNNNNNNNNNNNNNNNNNNNNNNNNNNNNNNNNNNNNNNNNNNNNNNNNNNNNNNNNNNNNNNNNNNNNNNNNNNNNNNNNNNNNNNNNNNNNNNNNNNNNNNNNNNNNNNNNNNNNNNNNNNNNNNNNNNNNNNNNNNNNNNNNNNNNNNNNNNNNNNNNNNNNNNNNNNNNNNNNNNNNNNNNNNNNNNNNNNNNNNNNNNNNNNNNNNNNNNNNNNNNNNNNNNNNNNNNNNNNNNNNNNNNNNNNNNNNNNNNNNNNNNNNNNNNNNNNNNNNNNNNNNNNNNNNNNNNNNNNNNNNNNNNNNNNNNNNNNNNNNNNNNNNNNNNNNNNNNNNNNNNNNNNNNNNNNNNNNNNNNNNNNNNNNNNNNNNNNNNNNNNNNNNNNNNNNNNNNNNNNNNNNNNNNNNNNNNNNNNNNNNNNNNNNNNNNNNNNNNNNNNNNNNNNNNNNNNNNNNNNNNNNNNNNNNNNNNNNNNNNNNNNNNNNNNNNNNNNNNNNNNNNNNNNNNNNNNNNNNNNNNNNNNNNNNNNNNNNNNNNNNNNNNNNNNNNNNNNNNNNNNNNNNNNNNNNNNNNNNNNNNNNNNNNNNNNNNNNNNNNNNNNNNNNNNNNNNNNNNNNNNNNNNNNNNNNNNNNNNNNNNNNNNNNNNNNNNNNNNNNNNNNNNNNNNNNNNNNNNNNNNNNNNNNNNNNNNNNNNNNNNNNNNNNNNNNNNNNNNNNNNNNNNNNNNNNNNNNNNNNNNNNNNNNNNNNNNNNNNNNNNNNNNNNNNNNNNNNNNNNNNNNNNNNNNNNNNNNNNNNNNNNNNNNNNNNNNNNNNNNNNNNNNNNNNNNNNNNNNNNNNNNNNNNNNNNNNNNNNNNNNNNNNNNNNNNNNNNNNNNNNNNNNNNNNNNNNNNNNNNNNNNNNNNNNNNNNNNNNNNNNNNNNNNNNNNNNNNNNNNNNNNNNNNNNNNNNNNNNNNNNNNNNNNNNNNNNNNNNNNNNNNNNNNNNNNNNNNNNNNNNNNNNNNNNNNNNNNNNNNNNNNNNNNNNNNNNNNNNNNNNNNNNNNNNNNNNNNNNNNNNNNNNNNNNNNNNNNNNNNNNNNNNNNNNNNNNNNNNNNNNNNNNNNNNNNNNNNNNNNNNNNNNNNNNNNNNNNNNNNNNNNNNNNNNNNNNNNNNNNNNNNNNNNNNNNNNNNNNNNNNNNNNNNNNNNNNNNNNNNNNNNNNNNNNNNNNNNNNNNNNNNNNNNNNNNNNNNNNNNNNNNNNNNNNNNNNNNNNNNNNNNNNNNNNNNNNNNNNNNNNNNNNNNNNNNNNNNNNNNNNNNNNNNNNNNNNNNNNNNNNNNNNNNNNNNNNNNNNNNNNNNNNNNNNNNNNNNNNNNNNNNNNNNNNNNNNNNNNNNNNNNNNNNNNNNNNNNNNNNNNNNNNNNNNNNNNNNNNNNNNNNNNNNNNNNNNNNNNNNNNNNNNNNNNNNNNNNNNNNNNNNNNNNNNNNNNNNNNNNNNNNNNNNNNNNNNNNNNNNNNNNNNNNNNNNNNNNNNNNNNNNNNNNNNNNNNNNNNNNNNNNNNNNNNNNNNNNNNNNNNNNNCAGAGAUGAAAUGCUGUGUUAUUGAUACCAUGUUGAUGUUGAGGAAAAUUAAAAUAUUUUGAGCUAAAAUGUGUUGAGUUAGGAAUCCACAAAUUGAUAUGAUUUGAUAAAUGAGAAAGAGAUUUGAUUUGGUCUUUAUAAUAGACCCUUGCGAUGUUGUGGUGGAUUUCCUAAUGCAUUCUGAGCUAGUCAGGGAGUAUUACUUAGCACCGCGAGGAAAUUUAGUAUUUUCCCAAACCUAUGUGCCACCGUAGGGUUGUUGAUGAUGAUAUUGUUGGUAAGAGAGCCAAAUUGUGAUUAUGAAAGCUUUAAGGUUGUACUCCCAGGCAAGAGUACAUCACUCCAGCUAAUGGAAGUGCUCUCCCUAGGAGGGCAAAGGUUGGUAUUCCACGCGGCUCACGUGGGGUUGUCGGUUAUAGGAAACUCCCCUGUCCAUAAGAGUAUGUUUCUUGAACUAUCGAGUCGCUCCGAGUCUUGAGUUGAUGAGUUUGGUUGUCUAUGAUGAGUCAUGAGAAUUUAUGAUGAAUAUUGAUGNNNNNNNNNNNNNNNNNNNNNNNNNNNNNNNNNNNNNNNNNNNNNNNNNNNNNNNNNNNNNNNNNNNNNNNNNNNNNNNNNNNNNNNNNNNNNNNNNNNNNNNNNNNNNNNNNNNNNNNNNNNNNNNNNNNNNNNNNNNNNNNNNNNNNNNNNNNNNNNNNNNNNNNNNNNNNNNNNNNNNNNNNNNNNNNNNNNNNNNNNNNNNNNNNNNNNNNNNNNNNNNNNNNNNNNNNNNNNNNNNNNNNNNNNNNNNNNNNNNNNNNNNNNNNNNNNNNNNNNNNNNNNNNNNNNNNNNNNNNNNNNNNNNNNNNNNNNNNNNNNNNNNNNNNNNNNNNNNNNNNNNNNNNNNNNNNNNNNNNNNNNNNNNNNNNNNNNNNNNNNNNNNNNNNNNNNNNNNNNNNNNNNNNNNNNNNNNNNNNNCGAGCUGUGGUAUCUGGAGUCACUAUAAUUGUUAUAGUGGUUGUGAACUGUGCAUUCAUAUAUGUGUACUCGUUCGUUAUUCUCAUGAUUAUUCUAUUGAUUAAACGUUCAUGCAUAAGCCCUUGCAUUUAGCCCUCCCUGCUUGUAUACUCAGUACAUCUUAGUACUGACGCAUUCGCGCUAUGAUGUUCUUUUAUUUUGGGGGCACCAUAGGUUCAGAGGAGUAAAACUUGGAGUAUCUUAGAAGUCACUUGUAUAGCAGCAGUGGGUGCAGCAGUGAGUCCUCAUCAUCCGAGGAUGUUUUUUUUACAGUAUUUGAUUUUAGUAGACGGAGUUAGUUGGGGGAAUUGUCCCUUCAACUCCACAGUUUGUAGAGGCUUUUCAGACAGAUGUAUUAGUGUGUGGUUUAAGGUAUUGUAUAUUUCUAGAUGUUUGAACCUUAUGGCAAGUGUUAGUUAGUUUUCGCAUGUAUUUUAUUAUAUUAUGCAGUGAACAGGUACAGAUAUCAGAAAAAGGGUUAGCUUGUGGUCCUUCGGGAUCAUGAGCACCGUGUGGCAUUCCGAUUCUCGAGGAUCGGGGCAUUACAGAUAAAUUCAGAUUCCAUUAUAGAGCGAGCAAUACAAGUCUGUUUGGAUGAUUUCCAAGAGACUGCUCCUCCAUCGAUAGUAAAUACAUAUCCACUCGUGAAUUUUACUUUGUUCGAUCCGGUGAUCCAAUUUGCAUCACUAUAUCCUUCAAGUACCGCGGGAUAUUUAUUAUAAUGCAAAGCGUAGUCUUGAGUGUAUUUAAGAUACCCAAAAACUCUUUUCAUUGCCAUCCAAUGAGUUUUAUUAGAAUUAAUCGUGUAUCAACUCAACUUACUUAUAGCUCAUGUUAUGUCUAGUCGUGUACAGUUCAUUAUAUACGUUAAACAUUCCAAUACUCUUGCCUACUCCAAUUGUGAGUCACUUUUACCUUCAUUCUUUCGAAGUGCAAAGUUCACAUCCAAUGGAGUCUUGAAAAUACUAAAUUCCAUAUACUUGAAUUUGUCAAGUACCUUUUCGAUGUAAUGAGACUGUGACAAUGCCAACCCUUGUGGAGUUCUAUGGAUUCUUAUCCCUAAGACCACAUCCGCAACUCCAAGGUCUUUCAUAUCGAACUUGCUCUAGAGCAUUUGUUUCAUUGCAUUUAUGUCUGAAAUGUCUCUAAUGAUGAUCAACAUAUCAUCCAUAUAUAAACACACAAUGACUUGGUGAUUUGGAGUAUCUUUAUUAUAAACAGAUUUAUCACAUUCAUUAAUUUUGAAUCAGUUUGCCAACAUAGUUUGGUCAAACUUUGCAUCCCAUUGCUUUUAGUCCAUAAAGUGACUUAACAAGUUUACACACCUUAUUUUCUUUUCUUGGAAUCAGAAAACUCUCUAGCUAUUCCAUGUAAAUUUCUUCCUCCAAUUCUCCAUUUAGGAAUGCGUUAUUCAUAUCCAUUUGAUGGAUUUCAAGACCAUAUACCACCUCCAAGGCAAUUAACAUUCGAAUCGAUGUUAUCCUUGUUACCAGCGAGUAUGUAUCAAAGUAAUCAAGGUCUUCUUUUUGUUUGAAGCCUUUUACUACAAGUCUUGCCUUGUAUUUGUCAAUAGUACCAUCCGCUUUCAUUUUCCUUUUGAAGAUCCAUUUAGAUCCUAAAGGUUUGUUUCCUGGAGGAAGAUCAACCAACUCCCACGUAUGAUUGCUUAAGAUUGAAUCAAUCUUACUAUUGACUACCUCUUUCCAAAAGGAUGAGUCCGAAGACGCCAUCGCUUCCUUAAAUGUUUGAGGCUCAUUUUCUAAGAGAAAUAUUACCAAAUUCGAUCCAAACAAAGUUGACGAUCUUUGAUGUGUACUAUGUCUUGGAUUCUCAUCAUUAUGUACAUUCUCACUUGGUUCAUCUCAAGGUCAUUUAGAUCCUCCACUAGACUAUUCAUGUCUAGUUUUAUACGGAUAAAUUUUUUCAAAGAAUUCAGCAUUAUCUAAUUUAAUUACCGUAUUUUCAUUAGUAUCCGAAUAUCUAAAUUUAUGAACCAAAAAUCGACAUGCUUUACUACUUUUAGCAUAUCCUAUGAACACGCAGUCCACCGUCUUAGGUCCUAUCUUAAUCCUUUUAGGCAUCGGAACUUGGACCUUUGCUAGAGACCCCCACACUUUAAAAUAUUUCAAGUUGGGCUUCCUUCCUUUCCAUUUUUCAUAAGAAAUUGAUUGUGUCUUACUAUGGGGAACUCUAUUGAGUAUUCGGUUGGCUGUAAAGAUAGCGUCCCCCCACAAACUUUGCGGUAAAUCUGAAUUUAUAAGUAAGGCAUUCAUCAUUUCCUUCAAUUUUUGAUUUUUUCUUUCCACAAUUUCAUUAGAUUGAGGUGAAUAUGGGUUCAUAGUUUGAUGGAAAAUUCCAUUCUCUACACAUAUUUCGGCGAAGGGAGAUUCAUAUUCUCCGUCCCUAUCACUUCUUAUAGUUUUAAUCUUUUUCUCUAACUGAUUUUCAACUCCAGUUUUGUAUUACAUAAACGUUUUUAUUUCUCCACCCUUACUGUUUAGUAAAAAGACAUAACACUAUCUAGUGCAAUCAUCAAUAAAAGUUAUAAAAUACUUUUUUUCCACCAUGUGAUGGUGUUGACUUCAUAUCACAAAUGUCAGUGUAGAUUAAGGCUAAGGGAUUGGAAUUUCUUUUGACGGACUUAUACGAAUACUUAGCAUACUUUGAUUCCACACAAGUUUGACACUUUGAUUUAUUGCACUAUAAGUUUGGCAAAACUUCUAAGUUAAUAAGUUUUCAUAAUGUUUUGUAAUUAACAUGGCCUAGUCAUUCAUGCCACAAAUUGGGAGACUCAAGCAAGUAAGAAGAAUUUGAACUCUUAUUGAUUUCAAUAUUCAUUACAUUCAUUUUGAAUAGGCCCUCAUUGAGGUAGCCUUUUCCUACAUACACUUCUCCUUUACUAAGUACAAUUUUUCCAAAAACAAAUACACAUUUGAAUUCAUUCUUGUCUAGAAGUGAAGCAGAAAUCAAAUUCUCUCAUAACUCAUGAACAUAUAAGACAUUGUUAAGUGUCAACACUUUAUCGGAAGUCAUCUUCAAGCACACUUUUCCUGUUUCUUCCACUUUUGCAGUAGCGGAGUUUGCCAUGUUGAUCUUUUCUUCUACUUGAUAUGGAGCGAAGGUCGAAAACAACUCCUUGUUAGCACAAACAUGGCAGGUGGCAUCAGAAUUCAUCCACCAUUCGAGAGGAUUUCCCACCAAGUUGCAUUCGGCAAGCAUAGCACACAGAUCAUCUAUUUCUUUCUUAGACUCAGCCAAAUUUGCUUGGUCCUUCUUCUUCUGUUUCUUCAGGGCACGAUAAUCCAUAGACUUAUGACCUAUCUUGCCACAGUUGAAUCACUUUCCCUUGAACUUAUUCUUGGGUUGUUUGCUUUUAUUUCCAGCUUUUUUUCAUUUUUUUAGAGUUGUUUUGGUCAUUUUCUACAAUGUUUGCUCCACUCAUUGCAGAAUUGCCUCGUGACCUUCUUUCUGCAGCCUUAUUAUCUUGUUCAAUGUGUAGUUGUACACUCAGAUCUUCAACUAACAUCUCCUUACGUUUGUGUUUCAAAUAGUUUUUGAAGUCUUUCCACAUAGGUGGUAGCUUCUCUAUUAUUGCUGCUACUUGAAAUGCUUCAUUCACAAUCAACCCUACAAUAAAGUUCAAGUGAAUACUAAGAACAUUUUAAAAUUGUUUAACAACGGUAUUUGUCAAAAUCAUAUGUUCUGCUAGGAGAUCAUGGAUGAUCACUUGCAGUCCUGCACUUGUGAAACAACAGACUUGUUGUCUAUCAUUUUGUACUCCAGGAAUCUUGCAACAAAGAACUUUUUAGUUCAGGCAUCCUCUGUCUUGUACUUCCGUUCUAGUGCUUUCUAUAACUCUUUUGCAGUCUUGGUUCCGCUAUACACAUUGUAAAGGUCAUCUUGGAGACCAUUCAAGAUAUAAUUCCUGCAAAGGAAAUCUGAGUGUUUCCAAGCCUCUACAAUCACGAAGCGUUCUUUUUCAGGGGUUCCCUCGGGCACCUCUAGAGCUUCCUCAAUAGUGAACCUUUGAAGACAGAGAGUUGUGAGGUAGAAGAAUAUUUUCUGCUGCCAUUUCUUGAAGUAAAUACCAGCGAACUUUUCGGGUUUGUCCGCCGGUUUCAUAGCUUGCGGAGCAUUAGUACGAUUCGCCGUGGCAAUACUAGUUUCCGCCAUAGUUGUUCUAGCAUCAUGCAUUUGACUAUCAGUUGUCAUAAUUUUUCUGUCACCACAAGACAGUACCUUUAGUAUAUCGAAAUACUUAUUAAAAAAUUGCAGCAACUUUAAACACUUCUUGUUUUUAUUUUAACGAUGAAGUUUUUAUGACUUUCAAUCUUCAAUCGAGUGAUCUUUAACUUGUGAUGAAGAUUUUAUGUCUUCAAAUCACUAGUUAAGUUCAAACGGAGUAGAAAGCUUAAAGCUUUAAUCUCCAAAAACAAGCUAUACAGAUUUCGAAAGGUUUAUUCCUUAAGAUUGUUAUUUCAAUGUUGUCGGGUAUAAGAAUCUGUAUAUUUAUAUAUGCAACAAUAACUUCAACACAAGUUCAAGUCUAAAACAAGAACACUCAUGAAGUUCUUUUAACACCUUCAACACAAGAGUACGAAUAAUCUACCCAAGAAGUAUGUUAAGUUUCAGAAAUGAGAUGAAACAAAAUUUUUUUAAGGUCAAGUCCCCCGACUUCACGGAGUGUCCUUAAGGAAUAAUUUUCCUCUCUAUACCCGAGGUUAUGGAAUCUUCCUCCCAGAAUAAAAUGGCCAAACAAACCAACUGUAGUGGUACCUCAAACAGCUGGAAUCUCUUCGAACUCACUCAAUGAUUUGAUUGAUCACACGGAAUGUUUUUGAAGACAAGAAGAGUUUGUAUGUUUAGAAAAAAAAUUCGUUCCUAAACCUAUGGAUAAAAGCAAGUUUAUAUAGCCAUCAGGUGCCUCUUCUGAAAGGUGGCAAUGGUUUACUCAAAAGGUGUAAUCUUUCUGGAAAAUCAUGUCUGUUCGUCCAAAGAAUGCGUCUUUUUUGAACAGGCAUACCAUUUCAUGAAUCAGUGUGUCAUUUCGUUGAAAGGUUGCAUCCCUUCCGAAGCAUCAAUUUGCUUCUGUACUGUAUUUCAAAAUAGUGUUUCUGCCACUGCAUGCAUGCAUAUAAAUAGAGGAUCAAAACACAGAAACAAUUUGUUGCAUUUUUUCCUUUGGUAUUUUCGAAGCCGAAGCCAAAGAGAACAGCACGAGGCACCACCUUGUUCUUGCCUCACUAUCCAUGUGGAGUAAAUGCUUCUUAUUAUAAACACUUCAAAGUUUCCUUCUCCCACCAAUGUGGGAGAAUCAGUGAACUUUCCCUUAAAAGAGUACACUUUCCAUUUUAGUGUCUCUCUUUCUCUCCACUAUUUUCCUUUAAUUUUUCAUUCACGCUUUUCAUACAUAUUGAACUCAACAGAAUCUAUAUCUAUUUUGCUGCUUGUAAGCUUGGCUUUGGAGCAGGUUGUAGAAAAAUAUAGUUGUGGAUGGAUGUUGGUUGAAGGGUCCAAUGUAUGGGACUCAACUGUUAUCCGUCGUUGGCCUCGACGCUAAUAACAAUAUAUUUCCCGUUGCCUAUGCAAUUGUAGAAAAGGAAUGUAAAGAGACAUGGACUUGAUUUUUAAAUCAUUUGGCUGCUGAUUUGUAUAUAGAUGAGAAUGGUUGGACUUUUAUGUAUGAUAAGCAAAAAGGUCUUAUUGAAGCAUUUAAUGAUGUCUUACCUUAUGUGAGUCACAAAUUUUAUGUUAUACACCUUCAUAACAGUUUAAAAAGGAUGGUUUUGGCGGUGUCACGUUAAAAAAAGAAAUUUGGGCUAUUGCAAAGGCUAGUACUGUCAAAAGGCUUGAUGAUUGCAUGAAGAAUAUUGCAAAGUUAGAUCUUGAUGGUGCUACUUGGUUAAAUGAAAAAGAAUCUAGUGAAUGGUCUAGAUCUCAUUUCUCUUCAGAUGUUAAGUGUGACAUCUUGUUAAAUAACUUGUGUGAAGUGUUUAAUAGCAUGAUACUUAAUGCUAGAGACAAGCCAAUUGUGACACUUUUGGAGAAGUUGCUGUAUCUACUCAUGGCUAGAAUGCAAGCUAAUAGAGAAAAAGCACAAAAAUGGAAAUCGGGGGAUGUUUGUCUUAGGAUCAAGGAUAUAUUACAUAAGAAUCAAUUUGCAACUACUGAAUAUAUCCCUAGAAAAUCUAAUCACUUGAGCUAUAAAAUCUUACGAGCUACAAUUAUGGACAAUUGGACAGUUGACUUAGAGAACCAAACUUGUAGUUGUAGAAAAUGGAGUCUCUCCGGAAUUCCUUGCAAGCACGCUAUUUCAGCAAUAUGGGCUAAAAAGUAUUACAUUCUUGACUAUGUUCAUGAUUGUUACAAGGUGGAAACAUAUAGAAGAAUCUAUUAUUCUUCCAAUGAAACUAUCUACUAGGUUGUGAGUUAGUUUAGAGUCUUUUUCUUCGUUCUUUGUGUGCUUUUUUCAUUUUGAUCCGUUGUGUUUUGUUGGUUCAAGUUCAAAAAUGAGAUUUCUUUGAGUUAAUUCAAACAAAAAUCUAUUCUAUGCAAAAGUAGACUCAUCCCUCAAUCACUCUUGAAGUACAAGCCAACUUUCAACACUUGUGAAACCAAGUGUGAGGUAAAUCUGAGAGUGAGAGUAUGGUGAGGUUAUUUUGAACUAACUUGUUCUUUGUUUUGUAGGUUUGAUUUUAGGUACAUUGUGAUGGAAUGUGAGGAUACAACCUCCCAAACCUUUGGAAAUGAUGUUGCUAGUGCAAUCUUGGCUCAACUUGAGUCCAUUAACCGUGAUAUGAAGGUGAUGCAAACAGGCAUUAGUAAGCUAGAGGUGUAAGUAGGAUCAAUGAAAGGGGAUAUGAAAUCAAUGAAGGAGGAUGUGAAAACAAUGAGUGGGAGGUUGGAACUAGAAGAGAGUCAAAGAAACUCCCAACUCACUACUCCUCAACACUACCAUGCGUCUUCUAGUGGACAAGUACAAAACACCUCUAUAACCAUUACACCCGAGACCCUCCAUCAAAUGAUCUAUCUACCAAGACCUCCACAAAACCAAGCUCAAACCCGAGACCUACAUAGACCACUAUAUGUUCAAUUAAACCAAGUCCAACAAGAAGGACUUGGAAACCAAACUCCACCCCAAAAUUUGAACUACUCAGUCUAAAAUCCACUUGAUCAAUGGCCAAUCCCUCCACAAAAUCCAAUGCCUCAAGCCCAAUCCCCACUUAACCAAAGACACUACCAUCAACCAAAUCCAAUACCUCCUUACUAAGCUCAACUUAACUUAAAUCAAUCCAUCCAUGUAGAAGACUAUAGUAGAGGGGGAACAAGAGGGUCAUGGAGUUAACAAUGAUGACAACAUAAUUAAAGAGGAGAUAAGAGGUAGGUAUGAGCAAAGAUAACAUCAAGGUAGAUACCGAGGGCAUGAAGGUAGAAAUGGUCAUGGAAAUUCUCAAGGAAAUCGAGAGGUUGGCAUCAAUUCUAUCAAGGUUGGUAUUCCUAUCUUCAAGGGUGAGAGUGAUCCCAAACUAUAUCUUUCAUAGGAGUCUUCUUGUGAAAAUCUCUUCCAAGUUAGUGAUAUUUCCGAAGAGAAGAAGAGUUGCUAUGCUAUAGCCUUGAGAAUUUCCAUGACCAUGUCUACCUUCAUGCCCUCGGUAUCUACCUUGAUGUUAUCUUUGCUCAUACCUACCUCUUAUCUCCUCUUUAAUUAUGUAGUCAUCAUUGUUAACUCCAUAACCCUCUUGUUCCCCUCUACUAUAGUCUUCUACAUGGAUGGAUUGAUUUAAGUUAAGUUGAGCUUAGUAAGGAGGUAUUGGAUUUUGUUGAUGGUAUAUGCCAACACUUGGUGGGAUUAUACUAAAAGAUUUGGGAAUGUGAUGAUUGGUGGUAAACCUCCCCCUUGGGAAAUAUUAAAGAGGCUUAUAAGGGAGAGAUACAUACCGGAAGGGUAUAGACAUGAGCCCCUUACCAAGCUAUACAACUUAAGGUAAGGAAGAAAGAGAGUCAUGGCUUACUAUGAUGAGUUUCAACAAUUGAUUUUGAAGAUUGAUCACCAGGGAGAACAAGUACAUCAUGACAUCAUACACUUCAAAGUUGGGUUGAACAAAGACAUUUAUUCGCAAAUGACUCUUCACCAAUUUGAAACCAUUGAUGGUAUCUUCCAAGCGGCUCUAGAAGUUUAGAAAGAUAUCAAAGAGAAGGCUGCCUACAAAUCAAAAAAUAUCUAUCAUCCUAGGGUUGGUCUAAAAAUAAGGAAUUGGCUCAAUCUAAUGCUAAGGAACCCGACAAUAAGGCUGCCCCAAAGUACCCUCCAAAAUAUAAAGGUAAUAAAUAUUCUACUUCCAAUUCUAAGGGUUUUCAAUGCUUUAAAUGUCAAGAGUGGGGACACAAGGCUACGAGUUUCCAAACCAAAGUAAUGUGAUCCGUAGAGAAGGGAAGAUAUACUAUCUUAUAAAGGAGGUGGAAUUGGAAACUGAGGGGAAUAAGGCCGAACCUCAAGAUGGAGAGAAAGUGUAUGAUGAGAUGUAAAAUAAAGAAGGUAAAGAAAAUGUUUGGCCAUUUGAUGGUGAAUAUGAAGUAACUAGCUAUGUAGUGAGAAGAUCCAUGUUAGUAAGGCCUUGGAUGAUCCAAGUCAAAGAGAGAAUCUCUUUCAUACCAAGUGCCUUAUUAAAGGAGGUGUGUGAUCAAUGAUCAUAGAUAGUGGGAGUUGUUUUAACAUUGCUAGGGUCACCAUGGUUGACGACUUGAAACUACCCACUACCCCUCACCCAAAUCCUUACAAACUUUAAUGGUUGAAUGCUUGUGGUGAGUUGAAGAUCAAUCGAUAAUGUGUGAUUCAAUUUAAGGUAGGGAACGAUCAAGAAAAGGUGUUAUAUGAUGUAAUCCUUAUGCAAGAAUGUCACUUAUUAUUGGGUAGGCCAUGGCAAUUUGAUAGGUCCACAAAGCAUGAUGGGAGGACUAAUAGGUACACUCUUGAACUCAAUGGAUGAAGGUUCACUUUUCAUCCUCUUUUACCAUCUAAAUUGAAUAAAAUCCAUCAAUAAGUGAGGGAGUUGAGGGAGAAAUAGAAGAGGACAAGAGAGGAUAAAUUCGAGAGUAGAGGAGGUGAAGAGGGGAAGAAAUAAUGCAACAAAAGGGAAAAAAACAUGAUUAUGGGACUUGCCCACAAAGGCCCCUUGUUACUCACUAACCUAGAUACUAGCAUUUUGCCUCGUAUCCAUUCUUCUUAUGUGCAAGUUCAAGGUCAUAAACUCUAAAAAGAGGAUUCAAAGAGAGUUCCUCACAAACACUUGAUUGAUGAUCUAAUGGAGCCCUCGUCCAAGAGUUCAAACAUUAGGAAAGGUGAUGAGGAAAUGACUCCAAGGGUAAAUCUUGACACAAGCCAUUGCGAUGUGAAUCAUGAAGGCUUCCAUGAAGCAAAUCAAGGUAACAAUGCUACUUCCUACACAUUUUUAAGUUUAAAAUAUUGUGAUGUGGCUAGUAGUAGCCAAUUUAAUGUGGUUGCGAGUUUUUCUAGUGUAGAAGUGUAUGAUAAUUUCUUUAGUGAAACCCUUGAUGUGUAUAAUGAUCAAUUCACUCUUAAAUGUCAUUUAUUACUUGAGAAUGUGCAUGGUGUGCUUGAAGAGACUAAACGUAGUGAUGGUGUCUAUAGUGUUGAUCAUGAUAAUGAACAUGAUUCCUUGAACCUAGUGUGUGAUGAAAGUUUUGCUAUUUGUUUUGUUCAUAGAAAUCACGUGAAUGGAAAUAUUAUGAAUAAUGUCAUAUAUUUUAUUGAGGGAGGACUUCUAGGCCGCAACUCCUCAUUCUUGAAAAUUAGACCUAUCUUAAAGACAAAUGUUUGAGUGAUCUUGAGAAUAACACUCUAGUGGUAGAAAAGAGUGGCCUCGGCUUGUGUCCUUGGCUACUUCUACCAUUUGAUCCCGGUGCCCUCUUGGGAUGUGGAAGUCUCUACACUUCCAACUUGAUGCUUGGUCAGAACGACAAGCAAUGUUUGAUUGUGGAAGCUAGUGUACAGAGUCAAAGUUUUUUCUUAUCUCUUUAUGUUCAUCAUGACCACUUCUUUUGUUCCAUUGUACUAAAUUUUUCAUGUUCAACACAAAGGACCCGUGGAUAUAUUUCAAGUGUGAACCACCUCGACUUGAUGAUAAUAUUUGUUGCCCUAACACUAACCCUCGUGCCUUGAGGAUUUCAUGCUUGUUUGCCUUCUCUUUGGUUUUUCAAGGUGUGAAUUUAAGGUUAAAUUCCUUUCAAUAAGGAGAGGAUGAUACGAGUGCAAAGAGUACAAGACCUUUCUCAAGGAGUCAAGUUCAAGACAUACUCAAGAAGAAGAAAGUAUGCGAAUGCCUUUUGAACUAAUCCAAAGAAUUGCACAAGUUUAAGAGAGGAGAAGGAAUCUUACACUGCAAUGGCGCCUAUUUCUUGUCUUUCAUUAAGGGCAUUAUGGUCUUUCACACUCCAAGACCUACACUCCAAGGGUGCCUAUUCCUUGGCUUCAUUAGGGCAUUGUGGUCUUUUAUGUAAUAGUUAUAAAUAGACUUUUAGGCUUCUAUUUUCAUUAGUUAUUGAUGAAUAUUGAGUGAAUACUUUUGAAACUUCUUUCUUCUCUCUUAUGAGUUAAAAUCCAAAACUAGGGUAGCCAUGAGUAUGGAUUCACUUGGGUUGCAAAUUGGCUUAGAAACGUUGGUACUUGGGGAAUCUUUAGUCCCUUUUGUGUCAAUGUAAGACUGUGGUGUUGCUAUCGUGAGUUUUAGUGGGUUUUGGUGUUUGAUACACACCUUAGUUUCUAUUGCUUGUAAUAGUUUAUGUAUCACAAUCUAUCUUUCAUUUUAUGCUAGUAGCUUGUGUUUUAUUCUUGAAUCCGUGUGUAUGUUUGCCUCUUGUGUGUUUUUUUCAUCUUCAUAUCCUUUCUUUAGGUGCAUUUUCAGUUUUACAGCUUAGAUCUAUAUCAAUUUCGGUGAUUUUGAAGCUAGAGUUAGCUUGUUAUAUCAGUUAAAGUUAGCUGAGAUGUUGGUGCAGUAGAGGUAUUGCACAUUUCUCUUUGUAAUAGAGUUAUUUCUAGGAGAAGAAGGAUUGGGAGUUUAAUCCUUAAUGUCAUGAAGUUUGAAUUUAAGUUUUCUUGAAUAUUAGUGAAGCUUUAGAAAUCUUAUAGGCAGAUCAUGGUUUUUCUCCCAUGAGCAGGGCUUUUCACGUAAAGUUGUUGUGUCUCUCAUUUACUCCUUUCAAGUACUUUACUAUUAAGUUUCCUACUAUUUAAAUCUAUUUGGAACCAAGUCCCAAAGUUGGAGGGAAACUCAUUACAACUCUUCACUUAAUAUAAGUUUUAUUUUCUAUCUAUAUUUCAUUUACUACAAUUGAUAAAUACAUUGGCUAUAUUUGAGUAGCCUAAAAUGUCUAGUGAAGAGGUUUAAAAGUGCCAUGCCACACGACAUAUCUCCAUACAUCUCAUCAAAAUGUCAUUUCACUUCCGUCUAUGUGUGUACAUGCUGUAAUAUUAUAAAUUAUAUAAGAAAAUGUCCUUGUUAACUUGAAGAAAUGAGUUGAUCUCAUCUUCAAUAUACCACAUAAUCUUAGAUGUUGCAACUAGCAUCUAAAUGCCUCUUAAUUUUAAUGUCAAUCUCAGCAGAAUAUUGAAAUGGAUAUGGGGCCAUUGGGUUGACUACUUAUUCAUCAAAGCUUCGAUUGUGGUGGUUUUGAUACAUUUUUUACCAGAAUGGAGGGGACGACAGAGGGGGUCGUUGAAAUAUUAAAAUGGAGAGGGGAUGAAAGUCACUGGGUUGACUACUGAAUUGUCAGAGCUUUGAUUGUGAUGUUUUCUGGUCAGAUAAAAUAGCGGAUAUGGUGGUUUUGUUGGUGGAUCCAAUCGAAGAUCGAGUUCGAUGGUGGGGCAGCAACGUCGGAGAGAGGACGUCUUAUAUUGUUGAGUUCAGUUCUAGCGUGUUGCUGGCCGAUGUUUGGUGUGGCACAAAGGUUGUUGAAUUUAGCAAAGUUCUAGUGUGUUACUGAGAUGAGAGAAAGAUUGAGAAAGGAAAAAAAGUGGCUAAUAUAGAUUUUGUUGAUGUAUCAAAUACAAUGGAGAGAGAAAAUAAAGAAUGUGGGAUGUGAUGUAAUUAAUUUUUAGACUUAAGUCAUUGAUAGGAUCCUAAAAUUAUCUCAAAAUUUCACUUAAACCUCUCAACUCAGGCUUGUACCUAUCAGGCCUUUAACCUAGCUGAAAUUUGAUCCACCCAGGCCUUUUUUCCAACAUCUCAUUAGAUCACUUGCGUGUGUCACCAAACUCUGCUUAUGAGGAAACUAGUCCACCCAAAUUUUUCACGUGGAUUAAAUAUAUCCACAUAAAAUUCUUGAGAGUUAAAAGGUCAAAAGUCCAUUUAGACAAAAGUUUUAACAUCAGUUUCUCUCUCCUUGACCUUCACUCUCUCUCUCUUUCUUUGAUUUUUAGCUCUAAUUUAACCAAAAUUCUUGUCAAAUCAAAGAAGAAAUUUAGGGGUUUUGCUCACAUCUUUCUCGUGUAAGCGUUUUAAUGAUUUGUAUUUGUUAAAUUUGUUAAAUUUUAGCAUAAUUUAGUUUUUAGGAUUUAAAAUGUCUCUGUAUGAGAUGUGUUGUUGGGAAUAUUCCGUCAUUUUCUUCAUAUGCAUUAAAGGUUGUAGCUUUUAGCUUAUUGGUGUGUUCUUUGGUUAUAAUAUUCCAUUUACUAACUUUGAUUUUUUACCAUUUGUUGCAGGUGACCUAACAAAUGGAGAUUAUUUUUAUAAAAUUUCACCAUGGGGGGCCUUUUCCAAUAUUCAUGUCCCAACAUAUGUUUGAAACUGUGUGCCAGAACUAAGGUAUAUUGAUAAGGACCAUUUUUCAUUACUGGAAUUUCUAUAUUAUACUAGAGAAUUAGGGUAUGAAACUGUUGGGGGGUUUUAUUACCAAGAUGUAGUAACAAAAGAGUUCAAAUUGAUUACAAAUGACUGACGUAUCCUAGAACUAGUUAAAGACUUAAAACAUGAGGACUCUAUUGACUUUUAUGUCUGUCAUAUUUUAGAUGAACCAAUACUUGACCCUGAUGGACUUGCAGGUCUUUUACCUAGACCUGAGGUUAUAGAUAGUGAGAGGGUGUCAGUGAAUGAGGUUGGUGAAGGUGUCAACUUAGAGAGAGAAUCUGUUAGUAUUGAUGAGGAUGUUAACAUAGAAAGAGAGUCUGUUAACUUAUGUGAAGAGAGGGAGGAUUUUACCAUAAGUGGAGGCAGAGAGACUUCUAACAGAGUAGAUGAGGCUGAUGUAGAAGAUGUUAACCUACAAAAUGUUAAUAUAAAAAGUGAUGAGGCUGAUGUAGAAGAUCUAGAAGAUAUCCAUGUACAAGAUAUUAACAUAGAAGGUGAGUUAUCAUAUUACUUGAGUAAUGAUUCAGAUCUUAGAGAUAUUCCUUCAGAAGAUGGCUUAUAUGUUAAUGAGGAGUUGAGGCUUUGAGACAAGAAAGAAGAAACAACAAAGCCAACAACAAAGAAAGAAACAAAAAAAAGGUUGUUGAAACUGAAGUACCUAUAGGAGUUGUUAUGCCACGACCCAAAAACAAAGGUCAUUAUGGCACUUGUCACGACAAUCCUUGACAAGUUUUCCUCUACCUAAACUGAUACACAUGAGAAAAAGACAGAAAUUCUCCCAGGGUAAGGCUUCUAGAACAAAGUCGAACCACAUAGAUAUAAUAAAAGCUGAAAGAAUAAAAUCAACACAUGCAACCAUAACUCCCAAAAUCUGGUGUCAAAGGUGCAAGAACUACUAAUACUAUCCAGGAGUCAAAUACAUCUGAAAAAUAACUAUAAAGGAAUAGUAUUUUUCUUCGAAUACUAAUAAAAACAUAACUAAUACAGAAAGAUAGAGGUGAACUCCAGACGUAUGAAUGUCCAACCAUUAACUUGAGCAAUCUAAAGGCGCCCAAAAAUCAACUAGUUUAAGGCGCACCUAAACCUAAAUCUGCACCGAAAGGGUGAAGUAUGAGUGAGUAUGGUCCAUUUGUACUCAGUAGGUAUCGUAGGACGAUCGAGCAAAGUAGAAAAUAAAGCAUACAAAAUACAUACUAAUGGCACGCCACCUGCAAUAAAAAAAUAUCCCACAAUGGUAGCCCACACCGCUUGCACUAACAGUUCUAAUAUAUCACAUAUCUUGCAACAUUACACCAAAAUAGAACACAAGUACGGAUUAUAUCAUAUAUAAGUAGUUAAAGGGAGAACAUGUAUAUACAAGAUCAUCAAAUAUAGGUAAAGAAAGACACGAAAAAUACAUAGAUGACAAGUCAAUAUGGAAAUACAACACAACAUAACACAAGAAAGUAAGUGCAAUGUAUAUGAUAAUAAUGAUGCACAAGGUCGUCACAUAACCUCCGUGAUAGUCACACAAUCCCCAUAUACACCUACAGAGCUAAAGCUUUCCGACGUAGGACCCAUGGGGGUUUCAUCAACCCAUAUGUAAUCCACAUAUCUCAUAUCUCUUUUCUAGCACAUCCCUCAAAAAGUUUUAUAAGGUGUUAGAAUGUCUCCUCCCCGACACUUCCCUCGAGGAGGGUUUUAUAAAAGGUGUUGUCAGUGUUUCUCAGAUGUUGCCACGAUGGUACCAAUGCUUUAUGAAUGAGUAUUAUAUGAGGAUGUAAUGAUUACAACUAAUCACAAUGAGUAUAACCAAUCACAAUGAUAUAUUUUCACAACCGACCAUAAUUAUACAUUUUCAUAACCACUGAGCCAAUAUUCACUUAUUAUUUUUGUUUCAUCCAUGAAUUUUCACAUGUCUCAUAUAAAAAGUAUGAAUAUAUCACAAUAUACCAAUGGUACCACAUUAGGUAUUUCAACAACACAAUAUAAUUAUUCAUAUAUAUAUUUAAGUCUAUCAACAUCACAUAAGACCCGACACGAUCACGCAUAUCACAUAAUAUCUCAAUUUCAACAAUUAUAUUUCAUAUAAGCCCUCACACGGGCAUAACACAUAGAUAUUCAUUUUCAUGAUUAGUUUCCACCCUUAAAAUGCAUUUUGCAGCAUCAUUUACUACCCAACCCAGUCUGAAAGAGUUAGGCCAUAACCUACCUCAAAAGUCAAAACUAGUCCGCUACACUUUGAACCCACGAUUUUACUUUCCACGAAUGAUUCCGAACUCUACACUCUAAACUUUUUGGGGUUUUGAAAAAUUAAUCAAGAAAUUACUAAAAAGGGGAAAUUCUUACCUUAAAUCCAUAAUAGAAUUAAGAAAUAGAUGUUAAUCUAGCUUCCCAAGCUCCCACAAGCUUUACUCUUAAGCUCCCACACUAAUUUAGGAUUUAACUUCCAAGAGGAAAGAUAAAAAUAAGCAAAAUAGGCCAAAAAGGUGGUAAAAAGCUGCUAUAAAUAGUGCAGAUUUUCUGGACCAGCUAUAGCAAAAAUGUUGUUUUAUUAAGUCCAAUCCGGACUUCGACGGAGUGUCCGAUAUUUGUUUGGAGUCCGAUAUGUACAAACACAAACUAUAUAACCACACUAAAUCUGAUGAUCCAGACUCAAUGGCGAAUCAUAUUUUUUAAAAAAUAUCAAUUUCACAAAGUUGACCCUCGAAACUUGAAAUCACAAUUUUUCAAAUCGAAGAUCGAAAUGAGAUUUAAAAGCUAUAAAAUAUACCAAACAUACUACCACCCUAAAAUCGACAUUCUGGAUCUGUUGGCAAAGUUGAAUUUUCCAUACGAGGUCAUUUCGACUAUAUGUGGGUCCCACACUUAUAUUUCUAAUUUUUUAACUUUUCAAUCAACAGGUUAAAAUGAGCUCGGAUGUACCGGGACCCGAACCAAAGAUAUACCUAGCCUAAAAUAGAUAUUCCAAAGUUGUUGGUGUAGUCUGUUCAAUCAUAUGUCGCACGGAUAAAAAGAUAUCUACAUAAGUCCAAAAUAAGGCUCUUGAAGCUAUCAAAAACCACAAUUUCGCAUAAAUAGUAAUAAAGUGCAUUGAGAACCAUGCCAAUCACCCCCACACCCCAUAAAUACCAUAAUGCAACUACGGGAAGGGGUAAAACAAUUAACUCACACAUAAAUACAUAAUUCAUAUAUUACAUCAAAAAGCUGGUUGUUACAUCAUCCACCACUAAAAUCUAGUUCGUCCUUGAACUAAAGACAAAAGAAAUGCCUGAAUCAACAAAGAGUUGGGGAUGAGAACUAUCAGACUCGACCUCCCAAGUAGCCUCAUCUAUAGGUCAAUGUCGCCACUGAACCUUAACCACAGGGAUAACUAUAGAGCGUAACCACCUAAUAUCCCUAGCCAAAAUGGAGAUCGACUUCUGAAUAAAGGAUAACCGCUCAUCUAACUAAACUGACUCCCAACGAAUGACAUGAGACUCAUUAUUAAUAUAGCGGCAAAGCAUAAAAAUAUGAAAAACUAGAUGAAAAACUGAUAGAUCAGGGGCAAAACCAACUCAUAAGCCAUAUUACCAACAGUUUAAAGAAUCUCAAAUGGGCCGAUAUAUCUAGGGCUAAGCUUUCCCCUCUUCCCAAACCUAAUCACAUCCUCCAUGGGUGAAAAUCGAAGGAAGAGAUGAUCACCAACACCAAAUGUCAAGGCACAAAGUGUAGGAUCAGCAUAACACUUUUGCCUACCCUAAGCCGCUUUAAGUCUAUCCUGAAUGACUCGGACUCUAUCCAAAAACUCAUGAAGAAAGUUCAUACCUCGAGGUUUAACCUCAAAAACAUCAAAUCAACUAACUAGAGAGAGACAACAUCUACCGUACAGCACCUCAAACGGAACCAUAUCACUAUUGGAAUGGUAGUUAUUAUUCUAUACAAACUCUGCUAAAGCCAAAUGUUGCUACCACUGGCCACCAAAAUCUAUCACACAAGUGCGGAGCAUAUUCUCCAAAACCUUAAUAGUCCACUCUAACGUCAGUAUGGGGGUUAAACGUCAUGCUAAGAUCAACCUGAGUGCCCAACUCAUACUAAAAAGUCUCCCAAAAGUAAGAUGUGAACACAGAACCUCAAUCUAAAAUAAUAGACAUUGGCACACCAUGAAGACACACAAUCUCACGAAUGUAGAUACGGGCCAACCUUUCAACACUAAAUAAGACCUAGACCAGAAUAAAAUAAGUUGACUUGGUCAAUGGAUCCACGAUGACCCAAACACUAUCAGAACCAUGAUAUGUACUAGGAAAACUACUUAUAAAGUACAUGGUGAUCCAUUCCCACUUCCACUCGAGAAUGUGCAACCUCUAAAUCAAUCCAUCGGGUCUCAUAUGCUCAGCCUUCACCAGCUAACAACACAGGCAACAAGCCAUAAAAUUUGUUUUAUCUCACCUCAUACCACCAUACAGUAGUGCUGUAUUAGAUCACGAUAUAUCUUAGUCACACUUAGAUGGAUGAAAUAUCUGAAACAAUAGACCUCCCCCAAGGUCAACCUAAUCUAAUCACCUACUCUCAGUACACAAACUCGGCCCCUAAUCCUUAAAACUUCAUCUGAAUUAAGUAAGGCCUCCUUAGCCUCUCCACUCGACACCUUAUCUUAAAUCAACCUUAAUAAUAUCAUCAAACAGAUGAGCAUGAAUCUGCUCCAUCAAAGAAGAUCUAUCCUUCACAAAUGCCAAAACACGCUCAGGUGUCGAAAUAUCAAGCCUAACCAUCUAGAUAGCUAAAGAAUGAAACUUUAAGGCCAAAGGCCUCUCCUGUUUCAAAAGAUGCGCCAAGCGACCCAUGCAGUCGACUUUAGGCUUAAGGCAUCUGCAACUAUAUUAGCCUCUCUCGGAUGAUAGAGAAUAGUCAAGUCAUAAUCCUUAAGCAACUUAAGCUAAUGAUGUUGCCUCAUAUUAAGAUCUCACUCGAAGAAGAAGUAUUGAAAGCUACGAUAAUUUGAGAUGAUCUCACAACAAACUUCAUACAAGUAGUGCCUCCACAACUUCAAGGCAAACACCACUACUCACAACUCCAAAUCAUGGGUUGGAUAAUUCCUCUCAUGAGGCUUUAACUGACUAGAUGCAUAAGCAAUCACCUUGCCUCCUACAUCAAUACCGCACCCAGUCCAACAACUGAAGCAUCACAAAAUAUGAUAAAGGCUACGUCCUCCUUAGGAAAAGACAAUAUAGGAGAUAAAGUCAACAAAUUCUUAAGCUUUUAGAAGCUCGUCUCACAAGCAUCAGUCCACUGAAAGAAAAUCUUUUUCUGAGUCAACUUAGUCAAAAGAGUUGCAAUAAAAUAAAAACCCUCGACAAAACACUAAUAAUAACCUGCUAAGCCAACAAAACUCCAAAUAUCAGUGGGAGAAGUAGAUCUAGACCAAUCACAAACCACUGCAACCUUGGAAAAAUCAACUAUAAUACCUUCCUUAGUCACCACAUGACCCCAAAAAAUAGACUCCAACCAAAACUUACACUUAGAGAACUUGGCAUAAAACUUUUCAUCCCUCAAUCUCUGAAGCACAAUCCAUAAAUGCUCCUUAGGCUUAACCUCACUCUUGGAAUACACCAAGAGAUAAUCUAUAAAUACAAUAACAAAUGAGUUGAGAUGCAGUCAAAACAACCAGUUCAUCAACUCCAUGAACGCGGUAGGGCAUUGGUCAACCCAAAGGACAUGACCAAGAACUCAUAAUGACCAUAUCGAGUUCAAAAAGCUGUCUUUGAAAUAUCCGAAGCUCUAAUCCUCACUGGUGAUAACCAAACCUCAAAUCAAUCUUCACAAAUACCGCAGCACCUUGAAGUUGAUCAAAUAAAUCAUCAAUAUGGGGAAGAGGAUUAUUAUUCUUAAUCGUCACCUUCUUUAACUGUCGAUAAUCAAUACACAUCCACCUAGACCUGUCUUUUCGCUUCACAAAUAAGACAGGUGUACCCCAAGGUGAAAUACUAGGUCGGAUAAAUCUCUUAUCCAAUAAAUUCUGCAACUAAUCCUUCAGUUUCUUCAACUCUGUUGGGUUCAUCCAAUAAGGAGGAAUAAAAAUGGGCUUGGUACCCGGAUUAACGUCAAUAGCAAAAUUAAUAUCUCGAUUCGGAGGCAUACCAGAGAAUUCUGUAGGGAACAUAUCCAUAAACUUAUGAACAACACGAGUAGAAUCUAAGAAAGAAGGCAAAAUAAUACUGGUGUCACGAAUAUGGGCCAAGUAAGAUAAACAUCCUCUCUCAACUAAUUUCUGAGCUUGAACAUAAGAUAUAAUCAUCUUAGGACCCAAAUGAAGUUCACCCUUCCAAGUUAUCCUUGGCACACCCGUGAAGCUAAAGUUAUAGUCUUAGCAAAACAAUCUUCGACAGCAUAAUAAGGAGCCAACUAAUCCACACCUAAAAAAUAUUAAAGUCAACCAUAUCUAACAAAAGUAAAUCAACUAAAGUCUCAUGCUGGUAAAAGUCACAAUACAAGAUCGGUACACCCAAUCCACUACUAAAGAAUCACCUACUGGGAUAGAUACACGAAUAGGCAUGGCAAGAGGCUCACUAACAAAAUCAAACCCUGAAGCAAAAUAGACAAACACAUAGGAGAAAGGUUUGAAACAAACGGGGAUGAUACCUAUAAUCAUAGUAUAAGAAGCCUCUACCUCAGGUCUGGCUGGUAUAGCAUAGCACUGCCUAUGACCACCAACUGCCUAAGUGGCCCUACGGCUACCAACCGCUUGAGUGGUCCCACGAGCUCUAUUACCUCUGCCCUUCACUUCUCUGAUAGUAUCUCUACCCCUUACCGCUGAAAUAAAAGUAGCCCGAAUCACCCACUGUUGACACCCAACUUUGACCUCCCAAUUCUCCUCUUAGGCUGUAAUUUUGUCAAAAGUAUUAAUUUUAAAUAUUAAUAUUCUUUUUAUCCAUUAUUCUAGUAGUGAAUAAAUUUUGACGUGUCACAUUCACAAUUUGGAAAUAUACAAUUUAUUUUAUUACUUUUACAUUAUAAUUUUUAAUUUAAAUAUAAAGUUUCAUGUAAUUUGUUCACACUUGUAAUAUACAAAUAUUUGGCCUCAUUAUUAUUAUUAUUAUUAGUAGUAGUAGUUGUAGUAAAAUAGCAGCCACUUUUAUUCAAUUUUUUCUCUGUGUUUAAUGUUUAGUCAUUUUUAUUUUACUCAAUUAAUGUUAAUUUUUUCCAAAAUUGACAUCACUUUUGACCUAGAAUUAAGCAUUAAUUUUUGACCCACUUUUAAAUCCUUUUAAUCUCAGUCGUGGAUCAAAAUUGAUCCAAUGGUUGUGAUCAAAUCUCUCAUUCUUUUCCUUUUUAACCUAACACCCAAACCCUAACACAUUUUUUAGGGUUGGGCAUAUUUUGGUUCAAACCAAAAAGACUAAAAAAACAAAUCAAAAUUUAAUUUUGGUUCCGAUUUUUCAAUUUUUCGGUCAAUUUUGAUUUCAAAAUUUAGAAAUUCAGUUAAACGGUUUGGUUUUUGGAUUUUGAAAAAAACUUCGACCAAAUCAAAAAACUAAAAUUAUAAUAUAUAUAUGGUGCUAAGAUAAACCCGAGUAUCCAACUUAUCAUGAAAAGUCUUCCAAAAGUGAGAUGUGAACAUAGAAUCUAGAUUCAAAAUGAUACACACCAUCGCAGCAUGAUGACGCACAAUCUCACAAGUGUAGAUACGGGCCAACCUCUCGGUAUUAAAAGAGACCAGGGCUAGAGUAAAAUGAGCAGACUUGCUUAAUCGGUCCAUGAUGACCCAAACACUAUUAGAACAAUGAGAAGUGAGAGGAAAUCCAGUCACAAAGUCCAUAGUGAUCCUUUCCCAUUUUUACUCAAGAAUGGGUAAUCUCUGAAGUAAUUUGCCAGGUCUCAAAUGCUCAGCCUUUACCUGUUGGCAACAAAGGUAAUGAGCUAUAAAAUUUUCUAUAUCCUUCCUCAUACCACCGCAUUAGUAAUUAUAUUUCAAGUCACGAUACAUCUUAGUUACUCCCAGAUGGAUGGAAUACCUGUAAUAAUAGGCCUCCUCCAAAAUCAAUCUAAUCCAGUCACCCACUCUUGGCAUACAAACUCGACCUCCAAUCCACAAAACUCUAUCAAAAUCAAGUGAGGUUUUCUUAGCCUCGCCACUCAACACUUUAUCCCAAAUCAUCCUCAUUCUAACAUUAUCAAACUGAUGAGAUCGAAUCUGCUCCAUAAAAAUAGACCUAGCCUCUACAAAUGCCAAAACACGCCUAGGUGUUGAAAUAUCAAGCCUAACCAUCUGGUUAGCUAAAUUAUGAACCUCUAAGGCCAAAGGCCUCUCCUGGGUCAAAAGAUGUGCCAAGCUACCCAUGCUAGUCUACUUCCAUCUCAAGGCAUCUACAAUAAUAAUAGCCUUGCCCGAAUGAUAGAGAAUAGUCAAGUCAUAAUCCUUAAGCAACUCAAGCCAACAAUGCUACCUCAUAUUGAGAUCUCAUAGGGUGAAGAAGUGUUGAAGCCUACAAUGAUCCAAGAAAAUAUCAUAACAAACUCCAUACAAAUUGUUCCUCUACAACUUUAAAGUAAAAACAACUGCAUACAACUCUAAAUCAUGGGUAAGGUAAUUCUUCUCAUUAGUCUUCAACUUAUGAGAAACAUAUGCCAUCACCUUACGAGAAACAUAUGCCAUCACCUUACCCUUCAGUAUCAGCACAACACCUAACCCAACACCUGAACCAUCAUAAAUGAUGAUAAAACCUAUGCCCUUCUUGGGCAAACUAAAGAUAUGAGCUAGUCAACAAGUCCUUGAGCUUUUGGAAGCUUGCCUCACAAGUAUCGGAUCAUUAAAAAGAAAUCUUCUCUUGAGUCAACUUGGUCAAUGGAGCUACAAUAGAAGAGAAACCCUAAAAAAAGUCGAUAAUAACCUGCCAAGCGAUCAAAAAUCUUAAUCUCGAUAUGAGAAAUAGGUCUAGCCCAAUCAUGAACCGCUGUAAUCUUAGUUGAAUCUGUAAUAAUAACUUCCUUAGUCACCACAUAGCCCAAGAAAGAGACAAAUUCCAACCAAAACUCACACGUAGAGAACUAAGCAUACAACUUCUCAUCCCUCAUUCUCUAGAGCACAAUCCGCAAAUGUUUUUUAUGAUCAGCCUUGCUCAUGGAAUAAACCAAGAUAUCAUCUAUAAAUACAAUAACAAAUGAGUUGAGAUGCAGUCAAAACAACCAGUUCAUCAACUCCAUGAACGCGGUAGGGCAUUGGUCAACCCAAAGGACAUGACCAAGAACUCAUAAUGACCAUAUCGAGUUCAAAAAGCUGUCUUUGAAAUAUCCGAAGCUCUAAUCCUCACUGGUGAUAACCAAACCUCAAAUCAAUCUUCACAAAUACCGCAGCACCUUGAAGUUGAUCAAAUAAAUCAUCAAUAUGGGGAAGAGGAUUAUUAUUCUUAAUCGUCACCUUCUUUAACUGUCGAUAAUCAAUACACAUCCACCUAGACCUGUCUUUUCGCUUCACAAAUAAGACAGGUGUACCCCAAGGUGAAAUACUAGGUCGGAUAAAUCUCUUAUCCAAUAAAUUCUGCAACUAAUCCUUCAGUUUCUUCAACUCUGUUGGGUUCAUCCAAUAAGGAGGAAUAAAAAUGGGCUUGGUACCCGGAUUAACGUCAAUAGCAAAAUUAAUAUCUCGAUUCGGAGGCAUACCAGAGAAUUCUGUAGGGAACAUAUCCAUAAACUUAUGAACAACACGAGUAGAAUCUAAGAAAGAAGGCAAAAUAAUACUGGUGUCACGAAUAUGGGCCAAGUAAGAUAAACAUCCUCUCUCAACUAAUUUCUGAGCUUGAACAUAAGAUAUAAUCAUCUUAGGACCCAAAUGAAGUUCACCCUUCCAAGUUAUCCUUGGCACACCCGUGAAGCUAAAGUUAUAGUCUUAGCAAAACAAUCUUCGACAGCAUAAUAAGGAGCCAACUAAUCCACACCUAAAAAAUAUUAAAGUCAACCAUAUCUAACAAAAGUAAAUCAACUAAAGUCUCAUGCUGGUAAAAGUCACAAUACAAGAUCGGUACACCCAAUCCACUACUAAAGAAUCACCUACUGGGAUAGAUACACGAAUAGGCAUGGCAAGAGGCUCACUAACAAAAUCAAACCCUGAAGCAAAAUAGACAAACACAUAGGAGAAAGGUUUGAAACAAACGGGGAUGAUACCUAUAAUCAUAGUAUAAGAAGCCUCUACCUCAGGUCUGGCUGGUAUAGCAUAGCACUGCCUAUGACCACCAACUGCCUAAGUGGCCCUACGGCUACCAACCGCUUGAGUGGUCCCACGAGCUCUAUUACCUCUGCCCUUCACUUCUCUGAUAGUAUCUCUACCCCUUACCGCUGAAAUAAAAGUAGCCCGAAUCACCCACUGUUGACACCCAACUUUGACCUCCCAAUUCUCCUCUUAGGCUGUAAUUUUGUCAAAAGUAUUAAUUUUAAAUAUUAAUAUUCUUUUUAUCCAUUAUUCUAGUAGUGAAUAAAUUUUGACGUGUCACAUUCACAAUUUGGAAAUAUACAAUUUAUUUUAUUACUUUUACAUUAUAAUUUUUAAUUUAAAUAUAAAGUUUCAUGUAAUUUGUUCACACUUGUAAUAUACAAAUAUUUGGCCUCAUUAUUAUUAUUAUUAUUAGUAGUAGUAGUUGUAGUAAAAUAGCAGCCACUUUUAUUCAAUUUUUUCUCUGUGUUUAAUGUUUAGUCAUUUUUAUUUUACUCAAUUAAUGUUAAUUUUUUCCAAAAUUGACAUCACUUUUGACCUAGAAUUAAGCAUUAAUUUUUGACCCACUUUUAAAUCCUUUUAAUCUCAGUCGUGGAUCAAAAUUGAUCCAAUGGUUGUGAUCAAAUCUCUCAUUCUUUUCCUUUUUAACCUAACACCCAAACCCUAACACAUUUUUUAGGGUUGGGCAUAUUUUGGUUCAAACCAAAAAGACUAAAAAAACAAAUCAAAAUUUAAUUUUGGUUCCGAUUUUUCAAUUUUUCGGUCAAUUUUGAUUUCAAAAUUUAGAAAUUCAGUUAAACGGUUUGGUUUUUGGAUUUUGAAAAAAACUUCGACCAAAUCAAAAAACUAAAAUUAUAAUAUAUAUAUAUAUAUAUAUAUAUAUUAUACUUUGUAUAAAUAUAUAAUAAGUAAUUCAAACUUUUGAAUAAUGUAUUUAUGCAUUAUGUUAAACUUGUGGUUAUUUCAUUUCAUUUCAUACAUGUUGAGUUAUUUGUAUUUGAAAAUGAAAAACAAGUUUGAAACAUAUCAUUUUUCUAAAAAUAUCAUCAAUUUUAAAUGGUCAGUCAUGACAAAGAAAUACUCACUACUUUAAUCUUCAAAACCGAAAUAAAAAUUUAAAAUAACUGAAUUGAAUUUAUAGAAAUUAAACCAAACCAAAUUUAUUUUGGUUUGGUAACAAUUGUAAUUUUCAUCAAUCUGAAAACUAAAAAAUCAAACUGAUAUUAAACAAUCAAAGCAAACAAACCGAAUCCCCACCCCUACAUUUUUUUCACCAUAACAGUGAAAGCUUAUAUUAUACUAAUAUUAUACUCGUUGUUGUUGCCACCAGCGAUCUCCUCCCUCCACCGUCGCCAACCACCCUUGCCGAUGAAGCCAUCCCAAUCCAUUUCUCCAUCUCCGCCACCAGUCUUCCACUCUCUCCAUCCUCUUUUAUCUCUUCUCUAGUCAGAGAAAAAUGACCAGUCGCCGCCCAUUAUGGAACCCCCCAGUGGAGCCAUCGGUUGCUCCAGCCAGCUCCGCCGAUGAAACCGCCUAGCCAUGCAUUCAUUCACCAUCCCGUCAUCUCCCCAUCUAUGGCAACUCUGACGAUGCCAUUAUUUGCCUCUUUCUCCUCUCAUUCAUUACUUCCUGAUUGAAGUUGAUGACCGAUGAGGUUUUCAAUGAACUUCACUGCGAUUAUUGUUUAGUUUGGUUUCUCAACACCUUAAAUUUCAUGUUUUGUUUGCAUUGUCAUAUUCAUACAUCAAAAUUUGUGAUGUUUGACUGUUAAUAUUGGUUCUAUUUCUUCAAUUUCAUAUUUAUUUACACCAUGGAAUUAACAUAUGUGAAAAAAAUCUCAAUUUUAACUUUGAACUAAUCUUUGUCUGUGUUGUGAACCGGUUUUGAAGUGGUUAUUGCUAAUCUCAUUUAGAAUAAUUCAUGUUGAAAAUAGUGAUUGUAGAAUGCUGUGAUACUUGUUUUCUUGAUCUCUAUUUUUCAUUCAGAAUUAUAAAAUAGACUUAAAAAUAUAUGUUUAUAUGGUAAGUUUUUCAAUUUGCCUUCAUCUUUGCUUAAGAUUGAUUAUAGCAGCAUCUUUGGAGAUUUUUUAGUAUAUGUUUAGUUUUGACAAGUCUUGAUUGAUUAUCUGUUUAGCCAAUUAAGUAUGGUACAAUUAAUAGAAUGUUUACGUGAUGAAUUAUGUUUUUCUUUUUUUGCAAUCUUCUUCUAUGUAUGGCAAGUUUUUUGUCACGACUCGAGGCUAUCCCCUAGUCGUGACAGCGAUGCUUACGGUCACAAGUGAUAAUAAGCUAACCCAUAAGCUGGUACUUACUAUGAGCACUGAGUAAAACUGAUAAUAAGAGACACAUGCGGAAAACAACUAAUAAUGCCAUAAGGUUUUAAAAACUAAAAUACAACUGAAUCAUAAAUCUGGAUAUCUAAAAACAUGCUUAAAAACUGAUAAACAACUGAUAUACUAACUAUCUAAAUGUAUGUAAAUCCUCUAACUGACUGACUAUGAAAUUGAUGGGCAAAACCGGAAACUAACUCCAACUGAUUGAAAUAGAGGAAUACUGAAAUAACUGAAUGAAGAUAAACUUGUCCUCAAAAGAUGAGGACUCACCACUGCUGCUGUUGUUGUAAUGCUUAACUAUCUAAGCGCGGUCAGAAAACUAAGCAUCCAAACUUAAGAUAUAAGACAUCAUAGCUCGAAUAAAGUAUAUGAUCAGUACUUUGAAUGUACUGGUAUAUGAGAUGAGGUCAGGCUAAAAUGCAUAGGUUUAUGUGCAUGAAAUGCUGACUGACUGAGUAGUAUGAGAUAAUGACUGACUAAAUAACAUGAGAUAAUUGAUGCAUAAUAUGUAUGAAAGCUAUAAAACUUGAGAAUGCAUGACCAAGCAUAUAACAUGACACUAAAAUAGCCUAUAAACUGAAAUACUGAAAUCUAAAAACUGAAUAACUAGUAGUCUAUAUGCUAUGGUCGAGUAAAACUGGACUGAAUUCUGUACUGAAUACUGAACUGAGACUAUGGGAGGUAUCAUCUAAUUGAUAUACCCCAAUCUGAGCUAAGUAGGGUCCAACCUGUAACCCUAGUUGAAAGGGUGUCAGUACCGUGCCACGGGUACUAACACUGGCUGUGUGGAUCCAUUGAGUCAUCCUUAUCUAGUAGGUGCUCUAAUGAGAUAUGUGUUACUCUCAACUGGUAGGUAAAUAUUUUAUCAACCCUCAACUGGCAGGUUGACAUCUCUAAUCUACGAUGGCUAUGUAGUUCUGGAACUAAAGGACUGCUACUAAAGGUCACACCCUCUACUGGCAGGUGAGCCCUUAUCCCUAGGUUUUCUCGGUGCUAAAUCCUACUCCCAACUGAACUGACACUGAUUAUUGGACUGAGCUAAGUUUUGAGCAAAAUAACUGAUCAUGAUAACUAACUGGAUGACAAUGCUCAUGGUUUAUCUGAAACGAUUCUGAAAAUACUGAAACUAUGGAAACAGCUAAGUAUCGGGUAUUCAUAACCUCUAGCACUGAAUAUAAAUAACAAUAAAGGAAUGUAGAAACUUUGAAAAAACAUAAUGGGGAAUCAUUCUACAAAAUCAUUCUCUUUGGUAUUUCAUCAAACACAUGCGGAUUAAGACUUUAACAUGGGGAUGCUUUUAAACAUGAUGAGAUAGAAUGAUUACAUGAAGAAAAAUCAUAAUUUAUAAAUUUAUCCUGAAUUGCAUGAACUUGACAUGGGAACUUCAACAUAUUAUAACCCAUACCACUUGAAAACAAUUGUAAUCUUAACUUGAAAUCAAAAUAACAAGUAAUUCAUGGAGAUAAUUCAUUUAAAACAUGAGAAAACCCAUAAUUUAACAUUUAAAAGGGGAUUCUAGGACUCCACGGUGAAAAGAAACCAUGGAUGAAGAUCACACAUACCUUUAACCUUUACACUUGAAAGGGAAACACAAUCUUGAAAGCUUUCUUGAAAGUUCUUGAAUUGAGAAGCUUGAGUUCUUGAUUUUCUUGAAAAGAAGAUAAUUAAUUUUAACAUUCUUGGGAGGUAGUUAGGGUUUCUUUGAGAGAAAAUUGAAGGAAAAUGGGAAAAUUACGCCCCACUUGUUGAUAUAAGUUGUGUUAUGAUGACUUGGAUUGAGAGGAAAAAAUGCUACUGCCCCUCAAACAUUUAAAUUCGCAACUGAAAUGUGGAUUAAGGAGGUACCACGACACGAUGAGUCAUCCAUCGUUAUAAUGACCACGUCGCGAUGCUAUCACAAUGACUUGUUGUUUUCGAAGUCCAAACAUGACCUAAUCCUCGUCCAAAAAAUCAGAAACUUCUCCGAGACAUGCUCGUUACACCCCUGAACAUGAAUUAACUCAAACACUUACGUCUCGGGGUCGGAAAGGUCACUUUAAAAAUUCUCGAAGUUAAGAGGCAAAAAAUAAGACUAAGUCCCAAACACUUAGCUAAAUUUUCAGGUUCUAAGCCUCUUAUACAUGCACUAUAAGCUGAGCUGAACUGAACUAGGAAAAAGUAGGGGGUAUUAUAUUUUCCUAUGACCUUAUGUUGGACAGCUUUAUUAUUGUGGUAUUUUGUUAGACAAUUUUAUUAUUAUGAUAGGUACUGACUUAAUUGAUUUUUCUAAAUAUCCUUUAAUUGAUUUUCUUACGUUGUUUUUAAUUAGGACAACUUUAUCCUUAUUUUAUUAUUGGUAGUCUUGACAUAAUUUAUGAUAUUAUUUGAUUCACUUUAUUGAUUUAAAGAUUUUUGAAAUAUUCUUCCUUCCUUUUUAUUUUCUUGACUACUCACUAUAUAAACACCCUUUUUCUUAUCUUCACUUUCACUUUUUAAUCAAUCACCUUCUACUCUCUUAUAUACAAAACGUUUCUCCCAUAUACUAUCAUACAAAAGAAAAGCAAGUUUUGCUCUCGGUUCUUUGAGAUAUUAAGUUCACUUUUCUGGUUUUUGCUACUGGGUUGCAUUACUUGUUUAUUAUUUUGUUACUUCUUUGGAAGGAACAACUUGAUUUUGCUCUACUUGUUUCGUGGUAUGCUUAAAGUCUUUGUUAUUACCUAUUGCUGCCUACCGGUAUGUCUUCUUCAUGGCUCAAUUGCUGAAUGUUAUCGCUUUAAAUUAUGUUCUAACAUGUUGGUUGUUAGAUGUUAUAUUGUCCAUAUAAUAUUUAUCAGCGACUUUAGGAUUUGAGAAUGCAUUUGGGUUCCUGUAUAUUUUCUAUGUAUGCGUUGGACAGGUUUUGAUUUUAGUUAUCAGGUUCCAGAGGUUUGGGAGGUGAAGAGUUGUCGGGGAGUUUGGGGAGGGCGGUUUAUUUCUUCUUAACUUAGUCUUUUCUUUUUCUUUUUAUCACUUAUCGGUCUGUAAUAAUGCCCUGUAUAAAAGCCAUUGAUGUAAUAAAAUUAGGGGACUACUUAGGGGUGGGAUUUAUGUGUUCUUUAUGCUACAUGAAUCACUUAGGCAAACUUUAAAUUAGGAUUGAUAACAAACUUAUUCUUGUCACCUAGAAAUCUUGCUUUAGGUGUUUAAUUAACCUUCCGACAUAAAUUAAGUUCUAGCAUGUUAAUUUAGCCGACAACAAAAUGACUAAUGUAUUUUAUUUUACUAUAUGUUCUUUUAUUAAUUCCAAUAAUUCAACAUUAUCUUUCAUUAUUUAAAAAAUGAUUUUCAGCAGUUAACUUUACGUACGUUUUCAGUCUUUCGAAACAACUCCCAGUAAUUUAACAUUAUUAAAAAGGAUUUUCAGCAAUUAACUUUCUGUUUUCAACUCUUUUUAAAAAUAAUUUACAACAAUUAAAUUUCAUUUUCCAACAUUUUUUAAAACAAGUUACAGCAACAUAAAAAUCACUUUUCUAGCAAUUAAAUUUUUAUUUUUUAACAGUCUUCUCAAUUUUCAGCAAAGUUAAAGCGAUAUUUUUUCAACACUAGAUGUUUUAACUUUCAACUUCCAAAUAUUUCCGCGCAUAUUAGAUACGGCUGACGCCAUGUUUGUUUGGUCCCCGACAUGUUUAUUUAAUGCGAUGCGAAUAAAUAUUAUCACUUUGUAGCAUGCCUAUAGGUCUAACCAUAAUAAGUACUUAUUUUUCUUAGCAUGCUAAUCACCUUAACCAAUUCUUAAUUAAUCAAGAGGCCUAUUUGAGAUUAUUACAUGCUACUUGUCAUCCAACGUGUAUUAUUUGCCACGCUUUGAGCCUAACUAGAAAAUCUAGUUUUAUUUCUUUAGACCCCAACUCCAAAGUAGAAAGGUCCAAUGUUUCUUGGACGAUAGGUUGGGACGAUAGGAAUUUUAGAGGCGUUAGUUUUAUCCUUUCUUUUUAGAACGCUUUUAGGUUUAGCAAUCAACCUAGGUGGGAGGUGGGUAGACAUUCAGAGGUUAUGAUAACCCAAGUAUAAUUGGACAAUGCAACAUACGGAACUGUCAUCCGCUUAUAAUUCGGUUGUUAGUUAAUGGGUCGGAUAAUGAUUAACAAAUUGGGUACUGAUCCGAAUUAAAACAACUCCUUUGUCCGAUCUUUCGAACUUAUUUUUCUCUUUUAUUUAUUUUAUAUGUUUAUUUGCUAGGUAGUUUAGGUUCUCUAAAAUUAUAUAAAUAUUUUGUUAUAAAUUGUGUUUCCUCUAUCUCCUCACUUAUCUACUUUACAUUAUUUGUUCCUUUUUUUUUUUUUUAAUCUCCACUUAGAUAAUUAACAAUUAAAAAUGAUUAAUAAUAUGUCUUGUUUAUCUAUUACUUUGUCACAUAGUAACAUUAAAUUAAAUUAAAUAAGUGAUCUUUAAUUAUCACGUAGAAUCCCCACGUAAAGCAUGAAUUCGGUCGGGAACCACAUUUGUGGACCUCGAAAGGUGCCUAACACCUUCCUUUUGAGGUAAUUUGAACCCUUACCUGAAUAUUUGGUGAACUAGACUAAACAAAGAUAGGUUCUUAGUUAGCCUAGAAUGGUUCCCUAAUGCACCUUAAUACGUUAGGUGAUGACUCUUUACUCUUUAAACAAUCCCAAAAAGAGUUAUCAUGUCGAAUCUCGCUUUUCGCGAGAAAAAUGAGGCGCGACACCUGCCGGGGAUAGUUCCUGGCUACAUGGCCAAUCUCAUUACACACAUAGCAACAGCUGCGACUAGUCUCAAUAGGAAAAGGUACAACUGGGGCCGAACGACCACCUUGAACUAUUGAACUAGAAAAUUCACCACCUGAACUCUGUAACGCUGCCUGCACUGGCCUACUAUGGUAUCUACGAGAACCUCUAAAAUCUCUACCUCGAGAGAUCUGACUCCUGAACUCACUAAAACGUUACACCUUCUUAGCGCCUCCCUGAGAUGUACUAAGAAUACCCUUUGUCAUCUUAGCAUGAUCCAUAAUACUCUGAAAAGAAUCCCCAAACACAACCAUCUGAGACGUAGCCAACUGAAGGGACAUAUCCAAACCCUUCACAAACUUCCAAAUCUUCUCAGAAUCAGUAGAAAUGAUAUCACAGGAAUAUCUAGGCAGGGCAUGAAAACGUUCCUCAUACUCAACAACUGUCAUGGAUCCCUGUUCUAAAUGAUCAAACUCGUCGCGUAUCCUAUCCCUCAAAAUGUAAGGCACGAAUUCUCUUGAAAGAUAUCAAUAAAUCGAUCCCAUGACAACUUAUGAGCAUUAACAGGCCUACAAUCGACAAAUGAUCUCCACCAAUCUCUCGCAGCAUCUCUCAAUUGCUAUGUAGUAUAAGCCACACUAUCCAUGCAGAAAGAGUAAAACACAACUCAGAACACAAGAUAUGAAAAAAUUUUGCACGAUAAGAAAUAAAAUGAGAGAGGUUUCCUAAAGUCAUCCUAUAGCCUCUCGAAGAUAGACAUGGAUGUCUACAUAUCGAUCCGUGAGACUCUAUUAGAGAUCCAGUUCUUACACCAUUGAGACCAACGAAACCUAGCUGCUCUGAAACAAAUUUGUCAUGACCCAAAAAUAAGGUCAUGAUGGCACAUGUUGCAGUAAACCUUGACAAGUUUGCCUCUCACCUAAACUGAUACACACAAAAAAAGACAGAAAUACCCCUAAGGUAAGGCUUCCAGAAUGAAUUUGAACCAUAUAGAUAUAAUAAAAGCGUAAAGAAUAAAAUCAAUAAAUGCAUCUAUAACUCUCAAAACCUAGUGUUAAAGGUGUAAGAACUACUAAUACUAUCCAGGAGUCAAAUACAUCUGAAAAAUAAUCACAAAGGAAUAAUAUUUAUCUCUGAAUACUAAUAAAGACAUAACUAAUACAGAAAGAUAGAGGCAAACUCUGGAUGUAUGAAUAUCCAACAGCUAUCUUGAGUAAUCUAAAGGCGCCUAAAAAUCAACUAGUCUGAGGCGCACCUGAACCUGAAGCUGGACUGAAAGGGUGAAGUAGGAGUGAGUACAAUCCACUUGUACUCAGUAGGUAUCAUAGGCCGACUGAGCAAAGUAAAAAAUAAAGCAUACAAAAUAUACACUAAGGGCACGUCACCUGCAAUCAAAAAAUGUUCCAUAAUGGUAGCCCACACCGCUUACACUAGCAGUUUUAAUAUAUCACAUACAUUGCAAUAUUAUACCAAGAUAGAACACAAGUACACGUUAUAUCAUAUAUAAGUAGUUUAAGGGAGAACAUGUACAUACAAGAUCAUCAAAUACAAGUAAAGAAAGGCACGACAAAUACAUAGAUGACAAGUCAAUAUGGAAAUACAACAAAACAUAACACAAAAAAAGUAAGUGAAAUGUAUAUGAUGAUGAUGAUGAUGAUGCACAAGGUCAUCAUACAACCUUUGGAAUCGUUGCAUAAUCCCCGUAUACACCUACGGAGCUAAAGCUUUUUGAUGUAGGACCCAUGGGGGUUUCAUCAACCCAUAUACAAUCCACAUACCUCAUAUUUGCUUUCUGGCACAUCCCUAGAAAAGGUUUUAUAAGGUGUUACAAUAUCUCCCUCCUCGACACUUCCCUCGAUGAGGGUUUUAUAAAAAGUAUUGUCAGUGUUUCUCAGUUAUUGCCAUGGUGGUACCAAUGCUUCAUGAAUGAGUAUGAUAUGAGGAUGUAAUUCUCACAACCAAUCACAAUGAGCAUUUCCACAACCAAUCACAAUGAUAUAUUUCCAUAACCAACCAUAAUUAUAUAUUUUCACAACCACGUGAGCCAAUUCACUCAUUAUUUUAAUUUCAUCUAUGAAUUUCCACGUCUCAUAAACAACAAGUAUGAAUAUAUCAUAAUACAUCAAUGGUAGCAAAUUAGGCAUUUCAACAACACAAUAUAAUUAUUCAUAUAUAUUCAAGGCUACCAACUCACAUAGGACCCCACACAGUCAUACAUAUCACAUAAUAUCUCAAUUUCAAUAAUUACAUUUCAUAUAGGUCCUCACACGGGCAGAACACAUAGAUAGACAUUUUUCUUGAUUAGUUCCCACGCUUAACAUGUAUUUUGUAUCAUCAUUCACUACUCAACCCAGUCUGAAAGAGUUCAGGCAUAACCUACCUCAAAGUCAAAACCGAUCUGGUACACUUCGAAACACGAUCUUACUUUUCACAAAUGAUUUUGAACUCCUCUAAAAACAUAAAAUAUAAAAUCCAUGCAUCAAACAAAACCAAAAGUACACCCAUAUUGACUGAUUUUGGUUUAGGAUCAUAACGGACCCCCGAAAUGGAUUUUCAAAAAAGAAGGGUAAAAUCAUAACUUUACAUCAAAAGUGUGUUUUUCAUAUUUUUAGGAACCUACAGCUAAAAAUCCAAGUCAAAUAAAGUCAAAAACAAGGUUCAAAUUAAAGAAAAACUAUUUUUAAGCUUUACUGGGUUAAAUCUUUGAAAUUUGAGUUAAAAUCAAGAAACGUAUUUGUUUUAAAGGUUAAAUUGAAGAAAAACUAGUAAUUACAAGAUUAAAAUAUUAUUCAAGGGAAAUGGAGUGAAAUUUGAGUUUAAAAUCACGCCCUAAGAUUUUUUGGGUUUUGAGAAAUUAUAAGAAAUUACUAAGAAAAUGGUGAAUUCUUAUCUUAAAUCCAUAACAGAAUCAAGAAAUAGAUGUUCAUAUAGCUUUCAAGCUCCCACGAGAUUCACUUUUAUGAUCUCAUACUAUUUUAGGGUUUAACUCCCACGAGACAAGAUGAAAAAUGAGCAAAAUGGACCCAAAAAAGGGGGGUAACUAGCUGCUAUAAAUAGUGCAGAUUUUCUGCACCAGUUACAGCAAAAGAGCUAUUUUUUUAAAGUCCAAUCCGAACUCCGAUAGGGUGUCUGGGAUUCUUUAAAAGUUUGAUAGAUACAAACGAACUAUAUAACCACACUAUAUUCGACGCUCCAGACUCAAUGGAGGUAUCAGAUUUUUAAAAAAAAUAUCAUUUUCACAAAGUUGACCCCCAAAACUCAAAAUUAUAAUUUUCUAAACUGAGGGUCAAAAUAAGAUUUAAAAGUCGUAAAAUCAAACCAAACAUGAUACCUUCCUAAAAUCAAUAUUCUAGAUCUGCUGGAGAAGUCAAAUUUUCUAUCCGAGGUCGUUUUGACCAAAUGUGGGUCCCACGCUCAUAUUUUGAAUUUUCCAACUUUCCGACCAACAAGUAGAAAUGAGAUCGAGUGCACCAAGACCCUAAUUAAAGAUCUACCUAGCCUGAAAUCGAUACUUCAAAGUUGCUGAUGCAGUCCGUUCAGCCAUCCGCCGCACAGAUUAAAAGAUAUCCACAUAAGUCCAUAGUAAGGCUUUUGAAGCCAUCAAAAACUACGAUAUCAUAUAAAUGAUACCAAAAUAUAUCGAGAACCAUGAAAAUCACCUCCAUACCCCAAAAAUACUAAAAUGCAACUACGGAGAAAGGUAAAAUAGUUAAAUCACACAGAAACACAUAAUUCAUAUAUUUUAUCAAAAAGUAGGACGUUAUAUGCUAGUUGUGUAGAUAAAGGCUUUGGGGAUAUUGGAAAAAAUAAGGCUAAAAAAUAUGUUGGACAGUUGGGUGAAGAUGAGGAAUAUGUUGAUAGUUCUGACUGUUGGAGUGAAGAUAGUAAAGAAAAGCUAGAUCUAGAGGUUGUUAGAGGAGUAGAUCUACCUAGAAUAAGGAGAAGCAAGAAAGUUAGGUAUAAUGAAAAUUGUGAAUUUAUUGUGUAUGAGCUUGGAAUCAUUUUUGAGGGUGUAAAAUAAUUUCAAAAAUCUUUUGCAGAUUAUGUUGUAGAUUAUAGAAGGCAUUUAAAGUUAAAACCUAAUGAAAAACAUAGAAUAAGGGUAAAGUGCAUGGUACCUAAUUGCAACUUAUUACUAUUUGCUUCUACUGAUAGGGAUUCAGGUGAUUUUAUUGUUAAGAACUAUAACCCUAUUCAUAAGUGUAUUCCUCUAAACAAGAACAAGAUGUGUGAUUCAAUGUUGAUUGCAAGAAAGUUCAAGGACAGAAUUAUUUCUCAACCAUACAUAAGGAAUUGAGAAAUUUAGGAUUUGGUAAGAGAGGUGUUAGGUCUUUAUGUAGAUAAAACUACUUGUUAUAGGGCUAAAUAGAUUGUUAUGAGGGACUAUAUGGGUGAUUGGAAGAUGGGAUUUGCCAGAUUAUGUGACUAUACAGAUAUGAUCAAGAAAAUAAAUCGUGGAAGCUUUUGCUGGAUAAAAAUUGACAAAGAAAAUAAACCAGGAAAAAACCUCUUUAUUUAUUUUUAUGUGUGCUUUCAUGUUUUCAAGCAAGGAUGGUGUAACGACCCGUAUUUCGAGCUAGAAUGUAAAUCAUCUUUCCCACGCAUAAAUAUUUCAAAAUCUGUAAAUCCUAUAAAAAUUUAGUUUGUUAAUCAGUUAGUGUGGGAAUCUGGUUAAGUAUGGAUUUAUAAAGGUGUUUUGGAUCUUAUGUUUAAGUUAUGCAUUAGAACCUUAUAAUGGUAGAAUUGUUUUGGCCUUGUGGUCUUUUCCCUUAAAUUGAUUUAUACCUAUAUGUAUAUGUGUGAAAUUAAAGAUUUGAUUGAGCAUUAUUAUUGAAAUCCCUGUCUUUUGAUGAAUUAGAGUUUAUCAAAUUAUUGGGAAUGAUUUGAAAUACAUGUUUUAUGAUUUGAAAGUGGUCUUUUCAAUAUCCAAGUAUUUGACAUAAUUUAGAGAUGAUGAGAGGGAGUUUUUUGUUAUACCUAUAUGCUUGUUUAAAAGAAAGAAUUGCAUGCUAUUGAGUAAGUUGACAUGAUCACCUUAUGUUAUAGAAAUGUUGACAAAGAGAAAGUUCCUUGCAUGUGUUUACAUGAAUUUAAAGAAAGAGGUCUUUGAACUGAUUUAUUGAUAUAGUGGUCCCAAACUUAUUUUUUGAAAACAAAGAUUUUAAUAUGCUAAUAAUGGCUCAGAGAUGUGACUUGUAAGUCAAUGGUAUUACGAUACCAUAUGAGUGUAUUCCAUAAAAGAGUAAGAGUUUUUAGAGUUUGAUUUCAGAGAAUACAUAUUUUAAAAAGUUAAAAAUGGGCUCAAAGAGGGUUAGGUGGUUGCCCAAAGAAGUCUUGAUUUCAAGUAACUCUUAGCCCAAAACCUUGUUUGGCCAAUACGGGUUCAUUAUUUCUCCAAGAGGGAUUAUACGCUGGCCUAGUACCCUGUGGCGUAAAGAGACAGAGACUCCAACUCUUGCAGCAAACUUGGGUUGGGGGCUUAGCUACCGAGUUAAGGGUAGAUUCCAUAUAGCCUGUGGAAUUUCAGAGUUGUAGGGUAUACCACCUAGCACAGAAGUAAAAUAAAGAGUUAGUCACAGAUUUUUCAGAUGAUUGUUCAGAGUCUUUUAAAUAUGCCCAUGUAUUUUCUCAUCAUAUGUUAUGUUUAUGAAAUGUUUUCAAAUCGCUCUCACUUAUGUUAAAUAAAAAUUAUUAUUUUGGAUUUGCUUUGCGCACCAGUAUAAUUGUAUUGGCCCCCUACCUUUCAGGAUCUCAGGCUCAGUCUAGAGGUUCUGCUAAGCCGUAGAGUUUCCAGAUUGCAGUGAAGUGUGCAGUUGGUGAGCCUUCUUUAUUCCGGAAGGCCUAUGUCUUUCAGACUUUUGUUAUUUAUGUUAAUUUUGGUCCAUUAGGGGCCUUGCCCCAGUUUUCUAAUAGCUUUGUUUCAUACGUAUUAGAGAUUUUGCAGAUUGAGCCAAAUGUUAUCUAGAUGUUGUUGAAUUGUAGUCUUCAUUAUUAUUUUGAACUCAGAUUAUUACCAUGGUUCCGUAUUGAUUUAUGUUUUCCGCAUCUUCUAUUAUUGUAUGAAUAUUUUGCAUGAUUACCAGAUCGAAAAGGGCAUCCGGUCCUUUAUGGUUCAGGAUGUUUGUCAUGGCUAGGGUCCUAACUUGGGUCGUGACAAACUUGGUAUCAGAGCACGGUUCAUAUUCCCAGGGUUUCUACAAAAUUGCAUCGGGUAGAGUCUUGUUUAUGUGUGUGUAGCAUGCCAAACCUAUAAAUAGGAGGAUACUAGAUAUUUAGGAAUGUUUUCCCUCAUUGUGGUUUAGUUCAUGCUUUAGAGUCUAAACUGUCCCCUAAUUAAUGAUCUCUUGUAUUUCAGAAAGGCAGUCAUUCCUCCUCGUCGCUCCAAUAAUCAGAAAGCCCAGACUGAUGAUAUCCGUUCCACUCGUGGGAUGAGGACAUGUAACAAGGUUCAUACUCCCAAAUUUACUGCUACUCCGGGAGUCCCUCCUGUCCAGACCAUCCCACCUAGAGCUCUCCGGUCUGGAACUAACCGUACCCAACCUCCCAAGAGGGAGAUAUCAAAUGCUAAGUUCAGACAGCCGAUGCACAUGCUUGCAUAUUUGGUAGCUACACAGACCCAGCGGUCAGAGGAUGUUGGGUCUGCGUCUGGUGCAUCUGAGACUUCACGGGUGAGUCAGUCUAUGAGGUUGAACCCACCUAAGUUUACUAGAACAAAAGUAGAGGAGGAUCCAUUAGACUUUGUAUACGAGAUGGAGAAAAUCUUUCAACUAAUGCAUAUAGAUGAGGUAGAAGGGGUUGAAUUGGCGACUUAUCAACGGAAGAAGGUAGUGAAUCAGUGGUACAAUAAGUGGGAAAAUUUGAAGGGUAAGAAUAUUGAUCCCUAUGUGUGGGGUGAAUUUGUAGAAGCCUUCCUGGAUCGAUUCUUUUCUCUGCAGUUGAGAGAGUCCAAGGCUGAAGAAAUCAUGAGCUUGAAAUAAGGAAAGAUGAGCGUUAAGGAGUACACUUUGAAAUUUAACCAACUAUUCUUUUAUACUCCGGAGAUAGCGGACAACAUGAGGGCACGUAUAAGAAAGUUUGCAUCCGGUCUUUCGGAUAAUUUAGUUUUGGAAUGCAAAGGGCAAUAUUGAACAGGGAUAUGGACUUCUCCAGGCUGUUUAUUCACAUACAAUAGGUGGAGGAGCAGAAGAAGAAAGUUACUGAAGCAAGGGAGAAGGACAGAUAGUCCACGAAGUCCAGGCCAGCAAAUCAAAACUAUAGUCAACACCAGGAUAGCAAUUGGGGUAACAGGUGGCCAAAGAAGAAGAAUUGAAAUAAUGCUCAGUCUACAGUCAGUGCUCCAGUUCCCAGACCUCCAGCUGAUCGGCAAUUUCAAAAAUUUUAGUCUAGUCAGGGACCGAUAGUACAGGGUACACAGUCGCAAGGGAGUAUGGCACAACCUUCUAGAUCAUAUCCUUGAUGUAACACGCGUGGAAGGCACCACCCAGGGAGAUAUCAGUUUGGCACCAUGGUAUAUUAUUUGUGUGGCCAACUAGGUCAUAUCUAGAGAAAAUGCCCGAGAGCAAGAGGUAAUGUUUGGGGAGCUAAGUUAUAGGCAAAUUCUUUCGCGCUACCGCCACCUCAAAAGGGCACCACUUUAGCUGUCGGGAGCGAUCGCAACCGGUUGUAUGCUUUGUCAAAUUGCCAGGAGGCAAAGGCCUCACCAGAUGUGGUCACGGGUAUGUUACAAAUUUUCUCUUAUAAUAUGUAUGUGUUGAUUUAUCCCAGAUCUACCUUAUCUUAUGUGACCCCAUAUGUGGCAGUAGAUUUUGGGUUUGAGCCCAAUGUUAUUAUAGAACCUUUCUCUAUUUCCGCUCCUUUAAGUGAUUUUGUUAUAGAUAAGAGGGUAUAUAAAAAUUAUGUUGUGUCCAUUUAUAGCCGUGAUACUGUGGUAAACCUCAUAGAGCUUGAUAUGGUUGAUUUUGACGCUAUACUAGGAAUGUACUGGCUCCAUUCGUGUUAUGCCAUGUUAAAUUGUAGGACCCAAAAGAUUACCUUCUCUUUUUCGAAUGAACCAGUGAUAGAGUGGGAGGGGCAUUCUGUAGCUUAGAGAAGGAAAUUCAUAUCUUACCUCAGAGCCCGUAAACUUAUUUCCAAGGGUUUCUUGUAUCAUCUUAUUUGGGUUAAAGAUUCAAAUAUCGAAAGUUCUUCUCUUCAAUCAGUCCCUAUGGUUAAUGAGUUUCUAGAAGUUUUUCCCAAUGAUCUCCCAGGAUACCACCCGAUAGGGAGAUAAAGUUUGCUAUUGAUUUAUUGCCAGACACUCAUCCCAUCUCUAUUCCACCAUAUAGAAUGGCUCCUGCAGAACUGAAAGAGUUGAAAGAAUAGCUGACAGAUCUUCUUGACAGAGGUUUUAUCUAUCCUAGUAUUUCCCCCUGGGGUGUACCUGUGGUCUUUGUACGUAAGAAAGAUGGUUUCCUCCGUAUGUGUAUAAAUUACCGUCAGCUGAAUAAGGUCACUGUUAAAAAUAAAUAUCCUCUUCCUAGGAUUGAUGAUCUCUUUGACCAACUUCAUUGUGCUAAAUAUUUUUCAAAGAUAGACCUUCGUUUGGGAUACUAUCAGUUGAAGGUUAGAGAGUCAGAUAUUCCCAAAACAGCUUUUCAAACCUGAUAUAGUCAUUAUGAAUUCUUAGUCGUGUCCUUCGGGUUGACUAACGCCCUGCAGCUUUCAUACACCUAAUGAAUAGGGUAUUCCAUCAGUUUCUAAAUCUGUUUGUCAUAUUUUUUAUUGAUGACAUUUUGAUUUUUAUUAUAAGAGUAAGGAGGACUAUGCCAAUCACUUCCGAAUUAUCCUUCAGACUCUCAAAGAUCAUAAGUUGUAUGCAAAGUUUUUGAAAUGUGAAUUUUUUCUUAAUGCUAUUGCUUUCUCGAGGCAUAUUGUAUCUAGUGAGGGAAUUAAAGUUGAUCCUCAAAAAGUUGAGGCAGUGAGAAAAUGGCCCAGCCCCACGACUCCAAUCAAUAUUCAGAGCUUCUUAGGUUUGGCAGGGUACUACUGAAGAUUUGUAGAGAGUUUUUGCUCCAUAGCUGCUCCACUUACUAAGUUGACAUAGAAAAAGGUAAAGUUCAUGUGGUAUGACUCCUGUGAGAAUAGUUUUGAGAAGUUGAAAGACAACUUGACUACUGCACCUGUUUUGACUCUUUCGGAUGGUACAAAGGGUUUUAUUAUGUACUGUGACGCAUCUCGGGUGGGAUUUAGGUGUGUACUUAUGAAGCAAGUAGGGUGGUAGCUUAUGCAUCUAGGCAGUUGAAGGUGCACGAGCGAAAUUAUCCCACAUGACUUGGAGUUAGCGGUUCUGGUGUUUGCACUUAAAAUUUGGCGGCAUUAUCUGUACGGGGUACAUAUUGAUAUAUUUACUGACCAUAAAAGUUUACAGUAUGUUUUCUCACAGAAGGAAUUGAAUUUCAGGCAGAGGCAUUGGUUGGAACUGUUGAAAGAUUAUAACAUGAGCCUGCACUAUCAUUCGGGCAAGGCAAAUAUGGUAGCCGAUGCCCUCAGUAGAUUAUCUAUGGGCAGUCUUUCUUAUGUUGAGGAAGGGAAGAGGGAGAUGGUGAAGGAUAUUCAUUAUCUUGUAAAUCUAGGAGUGCGACUUCUGGGUUUCGAAGAUGGAGGGUUAGUUGUGCAUGAGAUAGCUAAAUCUUCGCUAUGUGCUGAAGUGAAGGAAAACCAGGCCAAAGAUCCCAUUUUGAUGCAAAUUAAGAAAGACGUGGGUCAACAGAAGGUGAUGUAUUUUGAAAUUGGUGGUGAUGGAAUUUUGAGAUACCAAGGUAGGUUGUGUGUUCCGAAUGUGGAUGGUCUACGAGAGAGGAUCCUUGACAAAGCUCACACUUCGAGGUAUGUUUUUCACCUAGGUUCUACUAAAAUGUAGCAUGAUCUUAAAGCUAUAUAUUGGUGGAAUAAUAUGAAAUAUGAUAUGGCUGAGUUUGUUUCCAAGUGUCUGAAUUGCCAACAAGUUAAAGUGGAGAAUUUAAGACCAGGUGGUACUUCCCAAGAGAUAUCCUUGCCUUUAUAGAAGUGGGAGAUGAUCAAUAUGGAUUUCAUCAUAGGACUUCCGAGGUCCCAAAAUCAAUAUGAUUCUAUUUGGGUAAUUGUGGACUGGUUGACCAAGUCAGCUCACUUUUUGCCUGUGAGAACAAACUAUUCAGGAGAUGAUUAUACUAAGCUAUACAUUGAGGAGAUAGUCCGUUUGCAUGGGGCAUCCAUAUCCAUUUUAUCCAAUUGAGGUACACAAUUCUCUAUGCAGUUUUGGAAAUCUUUUUAGAGGGGUUUAGGAACCUAAGUACUAUAUUCCACCCUCAGACAGAUGGAGAAGCUGAACUCACCAUUCAGACCCUUGAGGUUAUGUUAAGGGUCUGUGUUAUUGACCUCAAAGGUAGUUGUUUAGAUUACUUGUCACUGAUAGAGUUCACCUAAAAUAAUAGCUAUCAUACCAGCAUUAAGAUGGCACCUUUUGAGGCAUUUUAUGGGAGAAGAUUUAGAUCACUAAUUGGGUGGUAUGAAGUGGGUGAGACAUGACUGUUUGGGCCCAAUAUUGUUCAUCAGGCAAUGGAGAAGGUAAAAGUCAUUAGAGAAUGACUCAAGAUAGCCCAGAGUCGCCAGAAAUCCUAUGCCGAUGUCAGAAGAAGGGAGCUGGAAUUUGAGGUUGGUGAUUAGGUGUUUCUAAAAGUCUUUCCUAUGAAAGGAGUCAAGGGAUUUAGGAAGAAAUGGAAGAUGAGUCCUCGUUAUAUAGGACAUACUAGAUUGUGAGAAGAGUAGCUGGAGUCACCUAUGAUUUAGAGUUGCCCGUAAGUCUGGCUUCUGUUCAUCCGGUAUUUCAUGUGUCUAUGUUGAAGAAGUGUAUUGGAGAUCAUUCCGUAGUGUUGCAUGAAGAGGAUAUCACUGUGAAAGAUUCCUUGUCAUAUGAGGAAGAACCCAUUGCAAUCUUGGAUUGCCAAGUUUGUAAGUUGAGGAGUAAGGAAAUAGCUUUUGUUAAGGUGAUGUAGAGGAAUCAAAAAGCCGAGAAGGAUACUUGGAAAUUAGAAGAUGAUAUGUGGGCGAGGUACCCGACUCUUUUUGAAACAUGGGUGAUGAGUUAGAAGGUACAAAUCCUAUACUACUUCUUUCUUGCAUUUAGUUUUUGAAAUCGUGUUUGUUGUGUCCCGAGUCAUCAUUCGGGGACGAAUAAUCCUAAGGGGGUGAUAAUGUAACAACCCGCAUUUCGGGCUAGAAUGUAAACCUUCUUUCCCACAGAUAAAUAUUUCAAAAUCCAUAAAUCCUAUGAAAAUUUAGUAUGCUAAUCAGUUAUGUAGUGUGGGAAUCUGGUUAAGCAUGAAUUUAUAAAGGGGUUUUGGAUCCUAUGUUUAAGUUAUGCAUUAGAACCUUUUAAUGGUAGAAUUGUUUUGGCCUUGUGGUCUUUUCCCUUAAAUUGAUUUAUAUCUAUAGGUAUAUGUGUGAAAUUGAAGAUUUGAUUGAGAGCAUUAUUAUUGAAAUCCCUCUCUUUUGAUGAAUUAGAGUUUAUGAACUUAUUGGGAAUGAUUUGAAAUACAUAUUUUAUGAUUUAAAAGUGGUCUUUUCAAUAUCCAAGUAUUUGACAUAAUUUAAAAAUGAUGAGAGGGAGUUUCUUGUUAUACCUAUAUGCUUGUUUAAAAGAGAGAAUUGCAUGCUAUUGAGUAAGUUGACAUGACCACCUUAUGUAAUUGAAAUGUUGACAAAGAGAAAGUUCCUUGCAUGUGUUUACAUGAAUUUAAAGAAAAAGUUCUUUGAACUGAUUUAUUGAUAUAGUGGUCCCAAACUUAUGUUUUGAAAACAAAGAUUUUAAUAUGCUAAUAAUGGCUCAGAGAUGUGACUUGCAAGUCAAUGGUAUGACGAUACCAUAUGAGUGUAUGCCAUAACAGAGUAAGAGUUUUUAGUGUUUGAUUUUAGAGAAUGUAUGUUUUAAAGAGUUAAAAAUAGGCUUAAAAAGGGUUAGGUGGUUUCCAGAAGAAGGCUUGAGUUCAAGUAACUCUUAGCCCAAAAUCAUGUUUUGCCGAUACGGGUUCAUUAUUUCCUCAAGAGAGAUUAUACGCUGGCCUAGUUCCCUGUGGUGUACAGAGACAGAGACUCCAAAUCUUGCGGCAAACUUGGGUUGGAGGCUUGGCUGCUGAGUUAAGGGAAGAUUCCAUAUUGCCCGUGGAAUUUCAGAGUUAUAGGGUAUACCACCUAGCACAGAAGUAAAAUAAAGUGUUAGCCACAAAGUUUUCAGAUGAUUGUUCAAAGUCUUUUAAAUAUGCCCAUGUAUUAUUGUAAUACCCCGAAAAAUAAAAACCAAUAUUAGAGCCAUGUACCAAGCUCAUGCAUAGUACAUUAUGGUUCUUUUAUAGUUUUAUGAGUAGGUUGGAUGUAUAAUAAGGCUUCAAAUAUCUUCCAGCUAUCAGACGAAUCAAAACAUUCCUUACCGAUUGAAUUCUUGAGAAGGAUAUUGGUAUAGUCAACUUCAAACGAGCAUAUCUCUCACUAUACUUGGAAUUUUUGAGCUCAUGACCUAUCAACAGAUAGAUAAUUGAAUUAUUUUUCCAACGAUACCAAUUUUGCCUAAAUCUAAUAUCGGAUCAAAGAGCUAUUCCUAUUUUACUCUAGCAUGUCAGGCUGAAAAUAGUGUAACGACAUUCGUGAUAGCUUACCACAUUUGUGACACCUUAUCACGAAGGUCGUCAGCCUUAGGCAGAAACCAGCUCCUAAUGACAACAUUCGUGACAGCUUACCACAUUUGUGAUGCCCUAUCACAAAGGUCGUCAGCCUUAGGCAAAAACCAGCUACUAAGUAACGACAUACGUGAUAGCUUACCACGUUUGUGACGCCCUAUCACGAAGGUCGUCAGCCUUAGGCAGAAACCAGCUCGUAAGUGAUAACAUUCAUGACAGCUUACCACAUUUAUGACGCCCUAUCAUGAAGGUCGUCAGCCUUAGGCAGAAACUAUCUCCUAAGUGAUUACAUUCGUGACAACUUACCACAUUUGUGCUGCCCUAUCACGAAGGUCGUCAGCCUUAGGCAGAAACUAGCUCCUAAGUGACGGAAUUCGUGAUAGCUUACCAUAUUUGUGAUGCCCUAUCAUGAAGGUCGUCAGCCUUAGGCAGAAACUAUCUCCUAAGUGAUGACAUUCGUUAUAGCUUAUCACAUUUGUGAUGCUCUAUCACGAAGGUCGUCAGCUAUGAUUUUUCAGCAACUGGGAAUUUAUUUCAUAAGGGUAUUUUGGUCAUUUUAUUCACCUUCCACGACUUAUAAACCUAAAUAGGUGUAAUUUUUCCCAUUUUUUUCUUCAGUUAAGCAUCUCAAAAACCCUCUCAACCACUAGAUUAGGGUUUCCAUCAAACUCAUCUCUCAUAAGCAAGAUUCAAGCCUUUUUCCAAGAUAAUUGAGAAUUAAGUUUCCCAAUCCAAUAACUCUCCAGCAAAUCAUCAAGGUUUCCUUUUUAAGGUAUGUGUAUUGCUCAUCUAUGGAUCCAAUCCAUUCAUAGAGCUUAACAACCAUGUUUUAAAUAUUAGUUUAUAAACUUUUUAUGGUGAUAUGAGUAUGUACAUGUUGAUGAUUGUUGUUUAAGUUUCAAUGUGAUGUUUAAAGGUGUUUUCAUGGAAUAUAUAUGUUUGUUAAUUCAAAACCAUGAACUUUAGGUGGUUUAAUAUGGUGCAAGUAUGAAACUCACCUAUGCCUUAAAGAAUGCAUGCAAGGUGUUUGAUAAAAUGCAUAGGAUGCUAGAAAUUCAUGUUUGUAUAGUUCUAUGAUGUCUAAAUGACAAGUCCAUGUUAGCUAUAUACUUCAAUAUGAAUCCCAUGCUUUUCAUAUAUUGCUAUUGUGGUAGUAUGAAACAUGUAAGGUAAUGGAGAUAUACAAUAUGUACAUGAAAUAUAUCUAUGCAUUCCCUACAAUGUUUAAGAUGUUGAAUAACUAUAUGAAAUAUGAUAUCCCUUACUUAUGAUAUUAUGAAUUGUGGACUCAAAUCUUGUGAUCAAGUCAUGUCAUGUGUAUUAGUUUCCUUCUAUUGAGUCCUGGGGGUAUUCGUACCCGAAAAACAUAGCUGUGUGCCUAAAUCUAUGUCAUGUUGUCAUGAUAAUCUCAGUCAAGUUAUAAUCUAUAGAACUCAGUCAAUCAUGUGACUCAGGAAACCUCAGAAAUCUCAUGAUCUCAGUUAACUCUCAGAUAAUAGUACUACUCCAUCAUUCAAUAGAAGUCAGUUAAUCUGUCCAUGUACAGUCAGUUUAAUCAUGUUUAGUCUCUUCAGAUGGGAGUAGAAGUUAGCACCGAGUGAACCCAAGGAUGGGGACUCACCUAUCAGUUUAGGGUGUGAUUCUUAGCAGUCAUCCUUGUGUUUCAGAACUACGUAGCCAACGUAGGUUGAGAUAUCUUAGCUUGUCAGAUUAGGUUUAAUGAGGUGGCUUAACCUGUCAGUUUAGGGUUCUCACCAUUCUUCUUUCGAAUACCUGCCAGCUAGGGUCACCCACAACUUUCCUUACCAGUGGUGCGGUAUUGACACCCCUUCAGUCAGGGCAGAUAUUGGACCCCAACUUAGCUAUAUGCGUUAUUGGGGAAUGUCGGUUAAACAACUACCUCCCACAGUUUCAGAAUCAGUCUCAGUAAAAAAACUCAGAUAGGUCUUCAGAUUCAGUAUUCAGACUUAUGUUCAGAUUUGAUUUAGUUUUCAGUUGCUUUGGGUAUCUUUCACCCAUAUGGAGGUUAUGUUUUGAUAGAUUCUUUAUUCAGUUGAACCUUAUGGCCUACAUAUUUAUUUUUUCUACAUUAUUACGUUAUAUAUUGUAGUGUAUAGGUACAGAUAUCAGUCAUGGGUUAGCUUGUGAUCCUUCGGGGUCAUAAGCAUCGUGUAGCAUUCCGGUUCAGAAAAAUUGGGGCGUUACAAACUUGGUAUCAAAGCAUAAGGUUCAAUAGAGUCCUAGAAAGUCUGAAAGCCGCAUCUAGUAGAGUCUUGUACAUGGGUGUAUUGCGUGCCACAUUUAUGUACAGGAGGUUAUGAGAUAUUUUAGGAAUAAUUCACUUUCUUUAGUAUUCAUGUCGUGCUAGUAAACAUAAUUUCAAGUCAGUCUCUCAGUCAAAUCCAUUUUUCUUCUAUUUCAGAAAUAUGCCUUCAAAGAGAAGAAAUCAGCCAGCUCCUCAGCCCGAAGAUACUUUGGGCGAACAUGUUUCUCAUGUGGAGUUUAGGACCGCAUUUACUGGUCUUGCUCAGUCUGUAGCUGCCCAGAAUGAAUGACCAGCAGUUGUUCCAGCCAAUCCAGUGGCCAAUUCAGCAGCAGCUAGGAUUUAGGGCUUCACCCGAAUGAACCCUCCAUCCUUCUUUGGGUCUAAGCCAGACGAGGAUCCUCAGGAAUUCGUUGACCAAGUCUAAAAGGUCAUUGAUAUUAUGGAAGUCACUUCUUAUCAGAGUGCCGAGUUAGCCGCAUACCAAUUGUAGGAUGUCGCUCACACUUGGUACAAGCAGUGGUUAGCAAAAAGAUUAGAGGAUGCAGCUCCUGUUGAGUGGGAAGAAUUUGUCACGGCUUUCUUAGACAGAUUCUUUUCCCAAAAGCUGAGAGAGGCCAAAGUUAUUGAUUUCAUCAAUCUUAGGCAGGAAAAUAUGAAAGUUAGAGAGUAUUCUCUUAGAUUUACUCAGCUAACCAGAUAUGCCCCUCAUGUGGUUGCAGACAACAGGGCUAAGAUGAGCAAGUUCGUGUCAGGGGUGAAUGAUAGCAUGGUAAAUGAGUGUAGGUCUGUGAUGCUGAACAGUGAUAUGACUUUAGCUAGGUUCAUGACCCACGCUCAACAAAUAAAGGAGCAGAAGGUUAAGACUAGGGAGAGGCAGAACAAGAGAGCAAGAGCAGGCAGUUUUAGUUUUGCUCAGCCCAAAUCAGAGGGAGAAAAUCGUUCAUAGUUUCGUCCUAAGUCAGCAGUUUCAGCCCCUUCCUUCGCUAGUGCCCCAGUUCCGAAGUUCAGGGACGGCAACAGAGAUAGAGCACCAGGCUCUAAAUCUCAAGGCAGUAUUAGCAGUGCCAGAACAAACCCCCUUUGUUAGACUUGUGGUAAGAACCACAAGGGUAUUUGCAGAGCUGGUAGUGAUGUCUAUUUUAAUUGUGGUAAGCCAGGCCACAGGAUUAAGGAGUGUCCUCAUCCAGGCUCUCAGGAUCAGCAAAAUCAUUCCAUAGCUCAGUCUGGUCUCCCGAACCUGCAGGGUGCCACUUCCAGUGCUACUAGUGAGCAACGCCCAAAUUGACUCUAUGUUCUUCAGACACGACAGGAUUAGGAAAAUUCUCCUGAUAUUGUUACUGGUACGUUACAAUUUUUCUAUGUUCAUGUUUAUUCUUUGCUAGACCCAAGUGCAUCCUUGUCUUUUGUCACUCCAUAGAUAGUAGGCAAUUUCGGAAUCAGUCUCAAAAUUUUAGCAGAGCCCUUUUUAGUAUCUACCCCAGUCAGUAAAACCAUCAUAGCUCAGCGGGUAUAUAGGAACUGCCCGGUUAUGAUAUUUCAGAAAUCCACAUCAGCAAAUUUGGUCGAGUUAGAGAUGACUGAUUUUGAUAUCAUUCUCGGCAUAGAUUGUCUUCNNNNNNNNNNNNNNNNNNNNNNNNNNNNNAUAUUUCAAUUUCAAUUCCCGAAUGAGCUCGUCCUAAAGUGGAAGGAUAGCACUUCAUCUUUCAGGGGUCAGCUUGUUUCCUACCUUCGGGCAAGGAAAAUGAUUUCUAAGGGGUGUGUGUAUCAUCUUGUGCAUGUUAAGGAUUCCAGUUCCAAAUCUCCCAGUCUCAAAUUAUUCCCAGUGGUUAAUGAAUAUUCAGACGUCUUUCCCGAAGAUCUUCUAGGCAUUCUUCCCAAAAGGGAAAUAGACUUCGGCAUAGACCUUCUCCCAGAUACUCGGCCUAUUUUUAUUCUGCCAUACAAAAUGGCACUAGCAGAACUCAAGGAACUGAAAGAUCAGUUGAAGAAUCUCUUAGAUAAGGGAUUCAUCAGGCCCAGUAUAUCCCCAUGGGGUGCGCCAGUCUUAUUCGUAUGGAAGAAAGACGGUUCUUUCAGAAUGUGCAUUGAUUAUCGUCAGCUCAACAAAGUCACGGUCAAGAACAGGUAUCCGCUUCCUAGGAUAGACGACUUGUUUGACCAACUUUAGGGUGCCAAUUAUUUCUCCAAGAUAGACCUCAGAUCAAGCUAUCAUCAGCUCAGAGUUAGAGAAUGUGACAUUCUGAAGAGAGCUUUUCGUACUCGGUAUGGUCACUUUAAAUUUCUAGUCAUGUCCUUUGGUCUUACUAAUGCCCAUGCAGGUUUCAUGGACUUGAUGAACCGGGUGUUCAAGUAGUACUCGGACACAUUCGUCAUAGUCUUCAUAGAUGAUAUUCUGGUCUAUUCUCGCACAGAGCGUGAUCAUUCAGACCAUCUCAUAAUUGUUCUUUAGACUCUCAGGGAUCACCAGUUGUUCACCAAGUUCAGUAAGUGCAAAUUUUGGCUAAGAUCAGUAGCAUUCCUUGGCCACAUUAUUUUUGGUGAUGGCAUUAGAGUAGAUCCUCAGAAAACCAAAGCGAUAAGAAACUGGCCUCGCCCCUAUCUCUACAUCAGAUAUUAGGAGUUUCUUAGGUUUGGCUAGAUAUUACUGACGGUUUGUCGAGGGAUUUUAUUCUAUUGCAUCUCCUAUGUCUAGAUUUACUCAGAAUAAGGUCAAGUUUCAAUGGCCAGAACCUUGUGAGAAGAUUUUUCAGGAGUUGAAGACUCGACUCACCUCAGCUCCAGUUUUAGCACUUGUCGACAGUUCCGAUGGAUUUGUAGUAUACUGUGAUGCAUCUAGAGUAGGUUUAGGUUGUGUCCUCAUGCAUCAUGGUAGAUUCAUAGCCUACUCCUCCAGACAGUUAAAGCCCCAUGAGAAGAAUUAUCCUACUCAUGAUCUUGAGUUAGCAGCAGCUGUCUUUGCCUUAAAGAUUUGGAGGCAUUAUCUAUACGGUGUUCAUGUAGACAUCUUCACAGAUCAUAAGAGCCUUCAGUAUGUCUUUUCCUAGAAAGAUCUCAAUCUUCUUCAGAGAAAGUGGUUAGAGCUCUUGAAGGAUUAUGACAUGAGUGUAAGGUGGUUAGAGCUCUUGAAGAAUUAUGACGUGAGUGUCCUUUAUCAUCCUGGCAAAGCCAAUGUAGUGGCCGACGUACUCAGUAGACUAUCCAUGGGUAGUGUUUCCCAUGUUGAGGAUAGUAAGAAGAGACUAGCUCAGGAGAUUUAUCAGCUUGCCAGACUAGGCGUUCGCUUAGUCGACUCUUUAGAGGGUGGUGUAUGUGUUCAGAGUAGUUCAGAGUCAUCUCUACUUUCUGAGGUAAAAGAGAAGCAAGACAGGGAUCCUAGCCUUGUCAAGCUAAAAUAGUUAGUUCCGAGUUAGGAAGUAGAGGUUUUCUUCCAAGGGGAAGAUGGUGUUCUUCGUUGUCAGGGUCAUUUGUGUGUUCCCGGUGUAGAUGACUUGAGGUAGCGAAUUCUUAUAGAAGCGUAUGGUGUGCGAUACUUUAUUUAUCCAGGGGCCACUAAGAUGUACCAUGACUUGCGGGAGAUCUAUUGGUGGAGUGAGAUGAAGAGGGACAUUGCAGAGUUUGUGGCUAAGUGCUCUACAUGUCAGUAGGUUAAGAUAGAGCAUCAGAAAUCUAGUGGUUCUAUGCAGGAGUUCACUAUUCCUACUUGGAAGUAGGAAGAAGUGAACAUGGACUUCAUGACGGGUUUGCCUAGAACACAUCAUCAGCAUGAUUCAGUUUGGGUCAUUGUAGAUAGAAUGACCAAGUCAACUCAUUUCCUUCCAGUUCAUACCUCUUACUCAAUUGAGGAUUAUACCAAACUCUAUAUCAGGGAGUUGGUUAGAUUACACGGUGUUCCACUAUCUAUCAUCUCAGACAGAGGUACCCAGUUCACCUCUCACUUCUGGAAAGCGUUCCAAAAGGGUCUUGGUACCCAAGUUCAUCUCAGUACAACAUUUAAUCCUCAAACAGAUGGUCAAGCAUAAAGGACCAUUCAGAUUCUAAAAGAUAUUCUAAGGCCGUGUGCGAUUGAUUUCAAGGAAAGAUGGGAUGACCACUUGCCUUUGAUUGAAUUUGCAAACAACAACAGUUAUCAUUCCAGUAUUCAGAUGGCUCCAUUCGAAGCUCUCUAUGGUAGGAGAUGUAGGUCUCUGAUCGAUUGGUUUGAAGUUAGUGAGACCACAGUCAUAGGGCCUGACUUAGUAUUUGAUGCCUUAGAGAAAGUUCAGUUGAUCAGAUAAAGACUCCGGGCUGCUCAGAGCCGACAGAAGUCUUAUGCGGAUGUUCGUAGAAAGGAUCUCGAAUUCGAGGUCGAUGACUAUGUCUAUCUCAAGAUCUCUCCCAUGAAGGGAGGGAAGAGAUUCGGCAAGAAGGGAAAGCUCAGUUCCCGAUAUGUCGGUCCCUUUAGGAUUCUCAGUCGCUUCGGCAAGGUAGCCUAUCAAAUUCCCUUCAGAUCUAGCCUCAGAUCAUCCAGUCUUCCAUGUCUCUUUGCUCAAGAAGUGCAUAGGUGACCCAGCAGUUGUAGUCCCUAUUCAGAGUGUUAACAUUUAGAAUAGCCUCUCUUAUGAAGAUAUUCCAGUCGAAAUCUUCUACUAUCAGACUCGUAGGCUAAGAAACAAAGAAGUCCCUCUAGUCAAGGUUCUUUGGCGGAAUCAGUCUAUGGAGGGAGCUACUUAGGAAGCAGAAGCAGACAUGCGAACCAAGUACCCUUAUUUUUUCUUCGCUAAUUCAGACUUAGCUCGAGGUAACCAUUUUCCUUAAGCUUAUUCAGUUAUAUGUUCAAAAUUCCAGUAUAAAAUUGGUAUCAAGUAUCAAUGCAUAGCUUAUCAUGCAUUCAUGAGUUUAGCUUAUCAGUCAUGCAUCAGAUAUGCAUGUUCAGUUGGGCUAUAUUCAGUUUAGAAUUCAAUUCAGUCCUAAAAUCAUGUGCCAGUUGAGCAUGAUUAGUGUAUGGAUCAUUUUAUCUUUUCUCCCCUCUCAAGCUGUCAUCAUUCGAGGACGAAUGUUUCCAACGAGGAGAUAUUGUAAUACUCCAAAAAAUCAAAACCAAUAUUAGAGCUAUGUACCAAGCUCAUGCAUAGUACAUCAUGGUUCUUUUAUAGUUUUAUGAGUAGGUUAGGUGUAUAUUAAGGCUUCAAAUAAAUCCUAGCUAUCAGACGAAUCAAAACAUUCCUUACCGAUUGAAUUCUUGAGAAGGAUAUUGGUAUUGUCAACUUCAAACGAGCAUAUCUCUCAUUAUACUUGGAACUUUUGAUCUCAUAUCCCAUUAACAGAUAGAUAAUUGAAUUAGUUUUCCAAAAAUACCAAUUUUGCCUAAAUCCGAUAUCAGCGCAAAGAGUUAUUCCUAUUUUACUCCAACAUGUCAGGCUGGAAACAGUGUGACGACAUUCGUGAUAGCUUUCCACAUUUGUGACGCCCUAUCAUGAAGAUCGUCAGCCUUAGACAGAAACCAGCUCCUAAGUGACGACAUUCAUGACAACUUACCACAUUUAUGAUGCCCUAUCACGAAGGUCGUCAUCCUUAGGCAGAAACCAUCUCCUAAGUGACGACAAUUAUGAUAGCUUACCAUAUUUGGGCUGCCUUAUCACGAAGGUCGUCAGCCUUAGGUAGAAACAUAUUUGGGAUGCCUUAUCACGAAGGUCGUCAGCCUUAGGUAGAAACCACUCCUAAGUGACGAUAUUCAUGACAACUUAUCACAUUUGUGACACCCUAUCACGAAGGUCGUCAGCUAUGAUUUUUCAACAACUGGGAAUUUAUUUCAUAAGGGUAUUUUGGUCAUUUCCUUCACCUUCCACGACUUAUAACCCUAAAGAGGCAUAAUUUUUCCCAUUUUUUUCUUUAGUUAAGCAUCUCAAAAACCCUCUCUUAUGCUCUCAACCACAAGAUUAAGGUUUCCAUCAAACUCAUCUCUCAAAAGCAAGAUUCAAGCCUUUUUCCAAGAUAAUUGAGAAUUAAGUUUCCCAAUCCAAGAACUCUCUAGCAAAUCAUCAAGGUUUUCUUUCUAAGGUAUGCGUAGUGUUCAUCUAUGGAUCCAAUCCGUUCAUAGAGCUUAAGAACCAUGUUUUAAAUAUUAUUUUGUAAACUUUUUGUGGUGAUAUGAAUAUGUACAUGUUGACAAUUGUUGUUUAAGUUUCAAUGUGAUGUCUAAAGGUGUUUUCAUGGAUUAUAUAUGUUUGUUAAUUGAAAACCCUAAACUUUCGGUGGUUUAAUAUGGUGCAAGUAUGAAACUCACCUAUGCCUUAAAGAAUGCAUGCAAGGUGUUUGAUAAAAUGCUUAGGAUGCUAGAAAUUCAUAUUUGUAUGAUUCUAUGAUGUCUAAAUGACAAGUCCAUGUUAGCUAUAUACUUCAAUAUGAAUCCCAUGCUUUUUAUGUGUUGCUAUUAUGGUGGUUGAAGCAUGUAAGAUAAUGGAGAUAUACAAUAUGUAUACGAAAAAUAUCCAUACAUUCCCUAUAAUUUUUUAGAUGUUGAAUAACUAUAUGAAAUAUGAUAUCCCCUACUUAUGAUAUUAUGAAUUGUGGACUCAAAUCUUGUGAUCAAGUCAUGUCAUGUGUGUCAGUUUCCUUCGAUCGAGUCCUGAGGGUAUUCGUACCCAAAAAACAUAAUUGUGUGCCUAGAGCCAUGUCAUGUUGUCACGAUAAUCUCCGUCAAGCUAUAAUCUAUAGAACUUAGUCAGUCAUGUGACUUAAGAAACCUCAGAAAUCUCAUGAUCUCAGUUAACUCUCAGAUAAAAGUACUACUCCGUCAGUCAAUGGAAGUCAAUUAAUCUGUCCAUGUACAGUCAGUUUAAUCAUAUUUAGUCUCUUCAGAUGGGAGUAGAAGUUAGCACCGAGUAAACCCAAGGAUGGGGAUGCACCUAUCAGUUUAGGGUGUGAUUUUUAGCAGUCAUCCUUGUAUUCCAAAACUACAUAGCCAGCGUAGGUUGAGACAUCUUUGCCUAUUAGAUUAGGGUUGAUGAGAUGGCUUAACCUAUCAGUUUAGGGUUCCCACCAUUCUCUUUUUGAAUACCUGCCAGCUAAGGGUCACCCACAACUGUCCUUACCAGUGGCGUGAUAUUGACACCCCUCCAGUCGGGGCAGAGAUUGGACCCCAACUUAGCUAUAUGCGUUAUUGGGGCAUGUAGGUUAAAUAACUACCUCCCACAGUUUCAGAAUCAGUCUCAGCAAAAGAACUCAGAUAGGUCUUCAGAUUCAGUAUUCAGACUUACGUUCAGAUUUGAUUCAGUUUUCAGUUGUUUUGGGUAUCUUUCACCCAUAUGGAGGUUAUGUUUUGAUAGAUUCUUUAUUCAGUUGAACCUUAUGGCCUACAUGUUCAUAUUUUCUGCAUUAUUACAUUAUAUAUUGUACUGUACAGGUACAGAUAUCAGUCAUGGGUUAGCUUGUGAUCCUUCGAGGUCAUAAGCACCGUGUAGCAUUCCGGUUCAGAAAAAUUGGGGCGUUACAAUUUUCUCAUCAUAUGUUAUGUUUAUAAACUAUUUUCAAAUCACUCUAACUUAUGUUAAAUAAAAAUUAUUAUUUUAGAUUUGCUCUACGUACCAGUAAAAUUGUAUUGGCUCCCUACCUUUUAAGGUCUGAGGCUCAGUCUAGAGGUCCUGCUAAGCCGUAGAGUUUCCAGAUUGAAGUAAAGUGUGCAGUUGGUGAGCCUUAUUUAUUCCGGAAGGCCUAUGUCUUUCAGACUUUUGUUAUUUAUGUUGAUUUUGGUCCACUGGGGGCCUUGUCCCUAUUUUUAGACAGCUUUGUUUCGUAUAUAGUAGAAAUUUCACGAACUGAGUCAGGUAUUAUCUAGAUGUUGUUGAAUUACAGUCUUUAUUAUUAUUUUGAACUCAAAGUUUGACCAUGGUUCCGUAUCGAUUUAUGUUUUCCACAUCUUCUAUUAUUGUAUGAAUAUUGUGCAUGUUUACCAGAUAGUAAAGGGCAUCCGGGCCUUCAUGGUUUGGGAUGUUCGUCAUGGCUAAGGUCUCAGCUCGGGUCGUGACAGAUGAAUAGAUGGGUGUAGAAAAAUUAUUGAUUUUGAUGGAUUUUUUUCUCAAAGAAGUAUGUAAAGAUGAGUUGUUGGUUGUUGUGGAGAAAAAUAGAAACAACCCAAUAUAUCCUAUUGCAUGGGCAGUUGUGGAUACAAAAACAAAGCAUAGUUGGGAUUGGUUCAUAAGGUAUCUGAUUGCUGAUGUAAAUUUGAGAACUGGUGAAAGCUUGACUAUAAUGUCAAACCAACAAAAGAUACCACUAUUUAAUUAUUUUUCUUAUUAUUUGACUUUAAUUUCCAUUAAAAUUCCUGUUCUAAUCAUACUUAUACUUAUUACAGGGUUUUUUUUCUAUUUUGAUGAAUUUGUUAUCAAAUGCUGAGAGAAGAAUGUGUGCUAGACAUAUUUAGAAUAAUUGACAUGUGCACUGGAAAUAAAAAAAAAAAUAGUUUUGGAGGUAUGCAAAAGAAAUAUUUGAAGUCAAGUUAGAGACGAGAUGCAAGCAAUGUCAAGACUAGGUAAGAAGGAAAUAACUAAGGACAUGUUGGUUAAUCCUCCUUUUUCUUGGUGUAGGGCAUAUUUCAAAACACAUUCUAAAUGUGAUAUUAUAGAAAAUAACAUAUGUAAGACUUUCAAUUCUUAGAUCUUAGUUGCUAGACAUAAGAAAAUAAUCACGAUGUUAAAGGAUAUCAAGUAUAAAAUGAUGAAUAGACAUGUAGAUAUGAUCAAAUCAUCUGAAACAUGGAUUCUAGACGUUGCAUCUAUGGCAACAACUAUUUUAGAAGAUAAAAAGGAAUAUUCAAAUAGGUGUAGAGUACUAUGGAAUGGAGUUAUUGGUUUUGAAAUUGGGGAUGGGGGGUACACAUUUGUUGUUCACUUGGACAAGAAGUAUUGUGAGUGCUAUUGAUGAUUAUUACUUGAAUAAAGAUCUUGAUCAAUAUGUAGAGUACUGGUAUAGGAAAGAAACCUUUCUUAAAUCUUACAACCAUUUUAUUCAACCGAUUCCCAAUAUGAGAAUGUGGCCUGAAACCACAAACCCAUCAAUUAAGCCUCCAAAACCAAGAAAGAUGCCAGACAGACCUAGCAAGAAUAGAAGGAAGAAUAAGGAUGAGCCAAAAAAGUGGGAAAAACUAUCCAAAAAAGAUAUCAAGAUAACCUAUUCAAAAUACAAUCAAGUUGGCCAUAACAAAACUGUCUGUGCGAAAAGGGUAAGCCUUAAAUUAAUUUCAUAACAGUUAACAAUUGUUGUAAGGUUAUUAUAUUUCUGAACGUUUCAUAUUUUUAUUUGUCUGCUAGAAUGGGGUGCGGAGCAGUAACAUCACUCAACAUAACACUCAGCUUGCAUCCUCAUGGAAUCCACCACAACCACCACAAUCAAGUUCUAUUUGUGGUGACAUUAGUGCAAUGCCAAGAAAUACCUACAGUGAAAGUCAGGAAGUAAGAGUAAGUGAUAUAUGUUUUGCCUUUAUAUUAGUAGUAUUAGUAUUAGUAAAAACUGCUGAAAAUACAGUGUUUUCCAAUAUCAUAGAAUUAUAGUCUAGGAUGGGGCAUCAUUCACAGCUAAGCUCAACCCUCCAUAGAUAUGCAACUACACAAUUCAGCCAAUCAAAAUCUAUUUAUGCUCACACAACUUUUGUGCCAAAAGUACUCAAAGAAAUAUGUCAAGUGGGGCUGGUAGAGGUCAAGGUGAUGCUAGUAGAGGUAAAGGUAGGGCUAGUAGAGGUUAAUGUGAUUUUGGUAGAGGUGAAUGAGAAACUAGUAGAUGUCAAUGUGGUGUUGAUAAGGGAGGUGAAGGUGGAACCGAUAGAGGUCAAGUAGGCACUGGUAGAGGAUUGGCGAGAAAAAUAGCUAAUGCAAGAGUAACCCCAUUUGAAAGAGCAAGAAAUACUUCUUCUUGUCAAGUUUCAACUUUGUCAACCAAUAAGAGGCCAUACAGUUCUACCUCAUUUGUUGUUUCUACUAGAUACAAAAGGCCUACAACUGAUUUUGGUGUUUACUCUGAUCCAACAACUGAAACCCAAGUGUACAAUGUAUUUCUCUCUGUCUCAUUCUUUAUCGAUAACUAUGUUUUCAUUCAACUUUUCAAUAUUCAUUGUCUUACAAUUUGGUCUAAUUUUGCGCCUGGUACAUCAAGUGACAGAGUUCUUUAUGGAGGUACAAAUUUAAAGAGUGCUUCACUAACCAAUAUAGAUAUUGAUUUUAAACCUCGUGGCCUAAAGUGAAAUGGAAAAGAUACAGUUACCAGCACACAAUUACAACAAAUGAAAGCAAAUAAGAGAAAUAAAGUGGAUGCAACCAUGUUUUAUUCAUCAGUUGGAUCUUCCAAGAAGUAGUUCAUUUAGAAAUGAUCUAUAUGUAUGAUACUGUAAUGAGGGUUAUACUCUCAUUUUGAAACAAUUAUGUUAUUAUUUUUUGAACAACUUUUUCUUAGGCAGCUGUUAAUGACUUUGUGGUAUGCUGCAGUAGUACUAUUAUCUUUUUUUAUGAACAUUUAGGUUGAACACCUUAUUUAGUGAUGUGAUAUAUUUUUUAUCUCAACUUAAAGCAGCGUUAAUAUGAUGUGCUUCUAAAGUGUUUUAGUAGUUACAAAUAUUUGUAUUUUAGUUUAUUUUUUAGCAAUACUUUUAGUAGUUACAAAUAUGUGGUUAUGCUUAGUUGGGUGGCAAUACUUUGUUGCACAACUGGACACAAAGUAAUUGAUAAUAUGAUUAUGAUGCAAAACAUAUCAACUCAUUCACAUUAACAAUGUCAAAAUGAUACAAAAUAGACUGCCCAAAUAACUCCAUUACAUAUUAACUAGGAUAAACUACUCAAUACCCAAUUUUCUAUUCAAUACCCAAGCUUAACUACUAGCUUACACCAUAGUAAAGAACCACUUUACUGUAAGAACAAAGAGAAGAAGCAGAACAAGUCUAUUAAAUUUGAGUUUUGCACAUUCCCUUUCAAGUUUAGUUUUUUUUUGAGUUUUUGCCUCAAUGCAAUCAACUUCUCUUCACUAUCUUUUAAUUUCUCAUACAAAGUGUCCCUCUUUUAUUCAACCUAUUUGAGCUUUUUCUUCAGUCGAUCACACGAAUUUUCACCAUCUUUGCACCUAUUCAUUAAGCUCGAUUCCACCCCAGGAGAUUGAUGCUCAAAAAUUAAAGGUUUUGGAUCAAUUCAUCUAAAAUAGUCACAUCUACCAUUUUCCUAGAAUGCGAAAGCAGUAACAUUACCAAAAAAUCAAUCAAAAAAAAUUUAAAUCUUUGAAAAUGUUACAAAUCUUUGAAACUUUACAUCCAAAAAAUCUACGACCUGAAUUUGAUGGAUUCCUUGAAGUUCUCAAAGGACAAAAUUCGGAACAGUAACACAAAUUGUAUAACUCAAGAUUAACUGAAUUUUGCGACAUUCGUGAAUAAAAUGAGAAAAAAAUUGGUUUAAGAGAAAGAUGAGAGAAAUUAUGAGAUAAAUGUGAGAGUGAGAUGAGAGAAAUUAUGAGAGAAUGAGGCUAUGAGAGAUUAGAGAAAAGUUAGAGAAUGAGAGAAAUGUGAGAGAAUGAGAGAAAUUAGAUUUUUUAAUUUGGGGGUGAGGGGAGAGAAAGUUAACGUUAAAAAACGUUAACUUUUUGCCACGUCGAUUGAUUUUCAGGGUUUACGAGCCCACAAUAAGUAAAAAACAUGCAACGUGUCAUGUGGGCAAAAAAGACCUGGUGGAUCAAAUUUUGGGUGGGUUAAGGGCCUGAUAGGUACAAGUUUGAUUUGAGUGGUUUAAGUGAAAUUUUGAGACAAAUUUAGGAUCCUAUCCAGGGGCGGACCCACGUGAUUAUAAGUGGGUUCAAUUGAACCCACUUCGUCGAAAAAUUUAUUAUUUAUAUAAGGGAGAAUAUUGUGAAAUAUGCUAUAAGGAUUUAAUUUUAAUCCACAUAACACAGAAAUUAUCGCGGAGCAGUGGCCAAGUGGGUUCAAAUCAUCCUUGCUACCCAAGUUCGAAUCCCCACAGCUAAGUUUUGGAUGAUACAAUUUUUGGCUUUUAUUUUUUUGAGUUCAGUGUUCUAUGUAGCGCUCGUUGGCUAACAGUUUGCCAAAAAAUUAUUUCCAUUGGUUGUGUUACCAAAAAUAAAAAAGAAAAGGUGGCCUAUAUAUAUAUAUAAAGGUCUAUUUCACCUUUAUUUUAUUUUUUUGCUUAUUCAAAUUAUAUAAAAAUCUAAAAUCUAUUUUACUUCGAAAAAAACCAUUUAACUUCUUAUAAUUGAAUUUUAGCACUCCCUUUCAUUAUGUUUUGCUAAAACAUGCUACUAUUUUAGUUGAAAUUAUAUAUAAUUUCUUAAUUUACUAUAAUAUUUAGUUUAAGAAAAUGCUAAUAGGUUCUUUAUAAUUUUUUUAGAAUUUUUCUCAACUUUGUAAAUUAAAAUUUGGUUGAGUUUUUUUUUAAAAAUGAAUGAAUUAUUUUGCUAUUAUAUUAUUAACAAAAAGAACAAGGAGCAAAUCUUUGUUUGUGCUUGAAGGUACUUUAUCAAGAUAAUUCCCUAUUUACUAAUUGAGCCCACUUGUAUAAAAUUUUGGGUCUGCCACUGAUCCUAUCGAUGACUUAAGCCCAACUUUUAAGAUGUGAGAUAAUGUGUUAGUGAUGUGAUGUAAUUUACCUAUGUUUAAAAUCAUUUUACGGGUCAUUUGGUUUGAAUAGAAGUUAUGUUGGGAUAAGCUAUGCUGGAUUAGUUAUACUGGGAUUAAUUAUGUUGGAAUUAUUUUUUAUUGAGUGUUUGGUUUGUUGUAUUCAAAAUAAUAUGCAUGGUAUAAUUCCUAAGAAAUAAGUUAAUUGAUUAUAAAAAUACCCUCCACCUUAUUUAGCUUUUUUAUAUAUAUAAUUUCUUUUCAAGCUUUAACUAUUCAUUCUUAAAAAUAAAAUUUCCCACUUAUUUACCUUAAUUUUCUGUGUGCAUUUUCAUGAUUAUGUUUUGUGUAUUUAAAAAUAAAACUUUCAUCUUAUUUAGCUUAAAUUUUUUGGUGUGCGCCUUCCCAUGAUUAUGUUGUAUGUGUUUAAAAAUAAAUCUUACAUCUUAUUUAGCUUGAAAUAAAAUUUUCAGCUCAAGUUUGUUAAAAUUAAAAAGAAUUUAUUGUUUAUGUCCCUUCACGUGAACACAUUAUCACUCAUAUACUAUAAAAUAUCAAAAUUUAUUUUAAUUCGUAUAUACAAUAUCAAUUUUUAAGUGAUUAAAAAAUUAUUCAAUUUAAAAUAUGUAAUUCAAUAAUGGAGUUAACAUUUGUGUUAUUAUUAAGAGAAAUCAAAAUAUAUAAAUAAACAUAAUAACCAGUCAAAUAAAUUUAACGUAUAAUAUAUUCAUAAAUAAAAAAUAUAUUUAUAUAGUGUAAUUUGUAAUUCUUUUAACAAAAAAUAUGAAGAUUUAUCAUAAAAUAACGAGUAGGGAAGGUUGUGAACGUUAUUAUUAAAUGAUAUUAAAAACAUUGUGAAUAUGCUUGAAUGUGAAAAGUGACUAAAAAAAUUUGUGGGAGGUAUUUUUGUCAUUUUAAUUACUUAUCCCAAGGACAACUUAUCCUAGUAUUACUAUACCACCAAGAGGGAGGGAUAACUUAUCCUGAUACUAAUUAAUAAUCCCAUAUAAGUUAUCCCAAGUUGCACAACCAAACAAGCAAUUAUGAGGUAUUAAAACUUUAUCCCAGAAUUAUGUACUCUUAUCCCUUACACCAAAUGACCCCUUACAGCUUGUUUGGAUGAUGGUUUGUCAUGGUUUCAUAAUGUAUGGUACAAUAUGAUUUGGUACAAUAUGAUAUGGUAUAGUACCAUGUUUGAAUUGAUUGUAUCGUUCACUGAGGUUUAAUAAUAAUUUUUUUUGUUUGAUUUGAUGGUAUGGUAUUGUAUCGUAAAGGGUAAUUUUACUAAAAUACCCCCGAUUAUUAUAAAUUUUAAAUUCAAUUUAUGUAGGCUAUUUCUUCUAAAGCCUUGCCUGUGUACAGAAAACAAACAAGCAGAGCAAUAAACUGUUUCUUUGAAGCAAUUCCAGUAAUGCAAUAAACUAGAAUCUUGCUCUUCAUCACCUCCGUCUUAGGGUUGUGUCUAAUCUCCCCAAUUUAGUAUUAUUGUUUCUCUUUCAUAAUAUAUCACUUGACCAAGGUAGAAUAUCUUCCUCUUCGACCAUUUAGUAUUAUUGUCCGUAGUUCUUUUCAAGGUAUCCACCUGAGUUCAAGCUUCCAAAUAGAAAUAGCUACUAUUUGUUUAAGAAGUAGUGAAGGGUAAAAUUGAAUUACAGAAAAUUAUAUAAGGACAUAGUUGGAAAAAAAAAAAAAAAAAGACCAAUUUGGUGGUUUAAUAAAUUGAUGGAUUCCAUGGUUAUCAAACCAUGAAAUAGUACCAUAUCAUACCACCCUUUUUAGGAAAUCAUGGAAACAAACAUGUUCCCAUGGUAACCAUACCAUACCAUACCAUGGAAACCACUAGGCAGAUCUGCAAAGUUGAUACCUUUUUUUGGGGGGUAAUCAAAACAAAGUCGAUACCAUUCUGCAAAGGGGUUUAUGAACCAUAAUAAUAUUAUCCCGUCAUUCUCAUAAAACAAAGAUCCAAAGACAUCUCUAUCGCAACUCUGGACCAACUGAGUUUGUCAGCCAUUUUUUUGUCUCUUUGAGUUCUGGCUCUCUUCUUCCAUAGCCUUCAAUUUGUUCUUAAUUGCAGCUAUUUUGGUACUCUUGCUCAUUUGCGCUGAGGAGCCAGCAACAAAGUUUGAUUUGCUUGUCUCACCACCAGCUCCGAAAGAAGAAUUUCCAGCCCCUUCUAUCAAAUAUUUCUCGCUGGCAAGCCUAACGAUCAAAGGUCGCCCACAGACCAAUCUUCCAUGCAUCUUCUCCUUGGCCAAUACAGCUUCCUGCAUGCUCACUUUAAACAUAGAAAUCAGUAACUACUCUCACUGAUGAGCAACUGAGAGUUCUGCAACUUACCCCUUUAGUGCUAAACUGGACAAAAGCAUAGCCACGUGGCUCCCCACGCUUAGGGCCACGAGUGUGCCACAGGAAGUCUUCCGCGACAAUCUUUCCAAAGGAAGAAAACAUCUUAAUCAAAGCAGCCCUGUUGUAGGAAAACAAAUUUAUAAUCAGGAGAAGUCCUGGGCAAUAUAGUAUUCCAAUGCUACAAGAUCACCAGGGGAUUCGAUUGCAGAGUUCUAUCUAUGCUUACUCUGAUAUUCUAAGAUCAAGGUUUCCAACAUAAAGUCUGCUUUCGGACUUAUCAUCCAAAGAGUUAUGAGGAUCCUGCAAUAACAUUAAAAACAGUUAAUAAUCAGUUGCCAGAAUCACUAUUACAAAUGAAACGUUCUAGAGUUCUUUCUUUUCUUUCCUUAUUUGGCUAUGAUCAUUCUGGAGUAACUUAUAUUAAAAAGUGUGUGAUUGGUAAUAAGACGGAAAAUGUUUUCCAAGAAACAGUUAUUUUCUGGUGUUUGGUAUGAUUAAAGUUUUUUUACAUGGAAAUGUCUACCAUCAAAAGGAGGAAAAUGACUUCACUUACUAGUGGAAGUCAUUUUCCUUACAACUAUAUUAACUUUUAACUUCAUAUUACUUGUUUCAACUAAGACUCACAUUCUUAUAAAAUCUCUAGUACUAAUAGUUUCAUCAAAAGAGUCUCCAAUUUACUAAUAUGAUUAUUAAUCUUUGGUACAUAUUUUUUAACAAAAAAACCCAGAAAACAUUUUCCAAGAUGGUUUUAAGAAGGAUCAGUUUCCAUGAAAAUGCCUACCAUUAUAUACCAAAUAGGCAAAUACAGCUUAAAUGUAUGCAAUUAUACUUUUUCACUGAGAAAUCUUUUAGGAAGUGAUAUUUCUGUAAAACUUUUUUUCUGUAACCGAGAAAAAUCCUGAAAGCCAAUGGUGCGCAGGUCAAAACUCAGUGGAUAAUGGGCCCUUCCCUCUACCCUUCUCCACUUAAAUACUUGGCUUUCUCUGCAACAGAUUGCAAACACAUGAUGUGUACCUAAUCCAACCUCACCAGUUGCAUUCUUACCACUACAGGAAACCCCUUGGGGAACAACAAUUCUGUAAAACUUCUCAAAGCAGAAGCUAUUUUAAUCAGCAUAAGCUGCGCACUCAUAAAACCUAAAUAAGAAAGGGCCAGACUAGACCCCUAUAUUCAAUCUGAAGUAAAAAUGGAGUUUAAUGGACUUUAGUGUGGACUGUACCAUGCCGAAGAGAUGGACCCGGUAACCUAUGCAGCAUCAAUCCACAAGAAAAAUAGAAUGUUGGUGUCUAAAAUACUCUCGCCGCGUAAGACCUGCAUUUACAAAGAGAGUUUUAGUUCAAAAUACUCCAACUAAGUAGUCUAUAUUUCUAAGUUCAGCUGCAACAUAGCUGAGCAGAAGUCCCACUCUCUUUCCCUGCAUUGUAACCAUGAAAAGGAAGAUAAAUUUCAUGUGAACUUAAGAAUUCAGCAUAACUCAUUAUGUUUAGGCAUAUCAGACAGUGAGGUACUACCAACAUCUCCCCCUCCUCUCUUCAUCCUCUCUCAUCCCAACCCAAAAAGAAAAGCCACUCUUAUUCUCCUUACCUUUUUAUUCUCGAAUUUUCACUGAUCCCGAAGGUCUUGUGGGCUUCCUAAAAGCAAAGGCAUCUUUCCCAGAACAUAGGCAUUUACCCCAUGCAUCCUGUCCUUGGGAGGACAAGAGCUAAUGGCAACCAAGUUCACUUUAAAGCACUGAUUUCAUGUUUCAUAUUUAGUUGCCUAUUGGUUUCAAAAAAUAUUAUUCCAUUCUCUACAAAGGCCUCGCACAUCUAGGUUGCUCUCGCCUCCACUGAACCUCACAUUAGGCUGGGGUGGACGGGGAGACGAGAGCUUGUCUCCUACUUCACCUUUGGACCAUAGAUGUAAAAUGAACAAUUUCCUCUAUGAAUUAUAAGGCAAUACCAACUAGUUGGAAUUAGGGCAUAAUCAUGUUGGUAUGAUUGCAGAUGAUCCCGUGCUACGAAAGAGUCUCUUUUGUCUUUUCUUUAUUUUUAAAAGUCUUUUUAUGAAUCGAAAGUUAGUAGAAAAAAAUAUAGAAUUCCAAGUUAUUGAACACUGGAAUGGACCAGGUACAAAUGGAGUGAAACGGAUAAUACUGUGAAAAAUAGAUCUUGGGCCUAACUCAACCCCAAAAGCUAGCUCAUGAGGGGAGGAUUGUCAAAGUCCAUAUAAGAAAACCAAGUACUCAUGCUUUUUCCGAUGUGGGACUCUUUAACACUCUUUCGCACGCCCAGACCUUGUUAUUUGUUACCUGGAGCGAGGAAAAUAUAAUAUGGGGCCCAACAUCAGUGAACAAAGAAUUUGGAUGGGUCUGGCUCUGAUACCAUGUUGAAAUGUAUAACCAUCUUAUCUAAAAGCUUAAGCUGUUUCAGAGAGCAUACCUUUAUAAUUUACUUAUAUUCACAACAAUACCUAUCUUGCUCGAACUCUACAAAAAUGCACUAAUUUUGGAGGAUACGAUAGGUACCCGCGGUAUUUUUGAAGAGUCCGAGCAACAUUGGAUAACACAAUUCAUAACCUCAACUAGCUUAAGAUUGACGUAUACUUGUUAAUUCAUCAUAAACCAAUACCAAGAUGUAAUCCCAUGUCAUCUAGCAAAACUAAGAAAGCUAGGGAGGGGAUGGAGACCAACUUCACCUUUCGGCCAUAGAUAAGAACUAAAACAGCUUAGCAUAUGAAAUUUAAAGGCGAAAAUUAGAUUCUUAAGACCUUGUGCCGUCUAUCCAUAAAAAAGAAUGAUCUCCUCCCCAGCGCAAAUGUAAACAGAACAAUUUAUCUACUUUAUCUGUGGAAAAUAAAAAGAGAAUUGAGUUCUCAAAAUGAAUGACAGGAUGACCCCAAACCCAUCUAUUAAGAAAUAUUUUUCUCCCGGGGCAAUUGCAUCUUUUGGCCAAUAAAAUCAUUUUCGAAGUAUAAAUACCAGAACAGUAACAUGCCACAACCCUCAAUCAUUCAGAUCAUGUUUCAUAGUCAUGAAUGACUUGUAAUUGUCUGCUAACCACUCGACAAUGAUACACAACUUCCCCUUUCAAAUCCAUCCCUCCUCAGUCUUCAAAAUUUUCACAAUUUAUGUCAGGUAACCUUCAUCUUCCAUAUUGACAAUUUUCUAUUUUUUCCUCAGUAUCAUAAACUUGAGGAAAAAACAAUACAAAUCAGCAUUCUACUCCAAGUAGAUCAUUAUGCUUGAUUAGUAAAGCAAGAUCUCGAAUCCUAGUAAUAAAUAAGCUAUUUAACCCCAGCAAGUUGGAACUCACAUGAGACACACAUACUCCCUCCGUUUCAUAUUUCUUUGCCCCCAUACUAGAAAUAGUUGUUUCAUUUCCCGGUCUUGACAGGGUUGCACCAGGGAUCAACUCUUAGUCCGUUUUUAUUCGCUUUGGUGAUGGAUGUGUUGACGCGAAAUAUACAAGGCGAAGUUCCUUAGUGUAUGCUUUUCACGGAUGAUAUAGUUCUGAUUGAUGAGUCGCGGCAAGGGGUUAAUGAUAAGCUGGAGGUUUGGAGACAAACCCUGGAGUCUAACGGUUUCAAGUUGAGUAGGACCAAGACGGAGUACUUGGAAUGCAAGUUUAGUGACUCGAGGCAAGAGGAGGAGGUGGUAGUGAAGUUGGAUUCUCAGGCAAUUUGUAAGAGGGAUAGUUUUAAGUAUCUUGAGUCUACGAUUCAGGGAAAUGGAGAGAUAAAUGAGGAUGUCUCUCACCGUAUUGAGGCAGGUUGGAUGAAAUGGAGGCUCGCUUCGGGAAUUCUAUGCGAUAGGAAGGUGCCCCCAAGUUGAAAGGCAAAUUCUAUAGAGUUGCAGUCCGGCCUGCUAUGUUGUAUGGAGCGGAGUGUUGGCCGGUUAAGAAUUCUCAUAUCCAAAAGUUGAAGGUGGCGGGAAUGAGGAUGUUGUGUUGGAUGUGUGGAUUCACAAGGAAUGACAGGGUUAGGAAUGAAAUUAUUCGGGAGAAAGUGGGAGUGGUACCAGUGGAGGAUAAAAUGCGGGAAGUGAGGUUGAGAUGGUUUGGUCAUGUGAUAAGGAGAGGCACGGAUGCCCCAAUUCGUAGGUGAGAGAGGUUGGCCUUAGGAGGUUUCAAAUGGGGUAGGGGUAGGCCGAAAAAAUACUGGAGAGAAGUGAUUAAACGUGACAAAGCAGUUACAACAGACUGAGGAUAUGACCCUAGAUAGGAAGAUAUGGAGGAAAAGCAUUAGGAUAGAGGAAUAAGGGUGUGGAUGAGUCGUAGGCAAUAUUUAGGUGGACUUUGGGGUCCUUUGUUUGGCAAUGUACAAAUUUUUUUGUGAAUGUCGUAACUAUGUUAUUUUAUCGUGUUCUAUGCUUUUGAUGCUUUUGUAUAUUGCCUUUUAUCUUGAGUCGAAGGUCUAUCGGAAAUAGCCUCUUUACUUCUUUAGAGGUAGUGGUAUGGACUGCGUACACUCUACCCUCCCCAGACUCCAUUAUGUGGGAAUAUACUAGGUUUGUUGUUGUUGUUGUUGUUGUAAUUUAUGAAAUCAAGAGAAUUUUAUUAUAUAUUUUUCAUUGUUACCCUUAGUAUUAUUCAAAUAACUACAUAAAAUAGUACUUGAGCUAGUUUAAUAAAAUAUACCUCUAAUUAAAGCUUUAUAAAGGAGCGUGAAAGUUUGACAGAGACAAGUAAUAUGAAACACUGUGGAACUCUGGAGCUCUUAAAUACAUGUAGAAAGCAGGCCAAGAUGCAAAUCAACCGAACAAAAAGAUAGUAUAACCAACAAUUUCUACUAUGGAAAAAGAAAACUGGAGCUACAGACAAGACAUUUCAUACAAUGUCAAUAUAAUAUUGUUAAAGCUCCAAUAACAUGGAAACUUAGUAGUAUUAAACAAUCAACAAAUCUAGCAGAAAACUGGAACAUACAUAUAUAGGCAGGACAUUAAACUGAACUUACUUGAACUUUUGCUGGAUUAUUUUUGAUGAACAAAAACAAAGAAGAAAGGGGAUCAAAGGAACCAAAUUUGUUCACGUAGAAGGUUUGUAUUGGAUUAGUAUUAGUUUUGUCCCAUUUCUUUCUUCUUCUGUGCCCUUCUAUCCGAACAGUGAGUUCACUGGAUGUGUUCUAUAACUGGACUUCCUGCUCCCACUCAGCCCAAUAAAGACUUCAAGCCCACCAACAAUAAUGUUGUUUUUCUUAUUUUUGUUAAUUAAUAAUUUUAAAUAAUUACCUAAUAUAGCAACAGAACAAAAAUCUUUUGUAAUAGAUUUACCCUCUAUAUAAUAAGUGACUUUUGAGGACGACGAAAGCUAAACCUGUAAUUUCACUUAAAUUAUAACCCUGUAUGUUGCUGUGAUAAGUGUCCACAUCCUUUAACUCUAAGGUGUCUCUUUCAUGCCUUUCUCUUUCCUUCAUUUUUUAUUUAUAUUAGAUGUAGAAGCCCGCGCUAGCACGGGCCUAACAAUAGUGACGUUGCUAUGAUUUGUAAUUGUCAAGUUUGUAUGUCAUUACCAGAAUUGCAUCAGAUGGACUGUUUGAAAUGUCAUAUUUCGUUAAGCAAGAGAAGUAAGAUUUAAAGUAUACGCAGAUAUCUCGUGCAAAAACUGUAACACCCCGCAAAAUCGUCCAUGCGUUAGCUCAUUGUAAUAUGCUCUUAGAGUUAAAUGACUAGAAUAGUGUCAAAGAGACUUAGUCUUAUUUUUGGCUUCCAAAAUGAGUAAAGUUUAAAUCAUAUAUAAUUUUCCUAAUUUUGACUUUUUAUCAUGUGGGAAAUUGAAUAAGCUUUCCGUUGAUAUAAGAUUCGCCCAAAUCCAAUACCCGGGCAAGAAGUUAUGGCUAAUUUAAGUCAUAAUCGUAAAACACCGUCAUUUUGGUGCUUGGCGCGUCGCGGAGUGGGCCUAUUUAUCAAUUGUCAAAUUCCAGUAGCAUAGCGCAAUUGCGGUGCAUCGCGCUGAAGUUCCAGGUCUCAACCAGCGGGACAACGCGAUGGCUCCGCUUCGUGGUGACCAUAAAAAUCCCAUUCGUCAAUUUCCAGUGAACUACCGCGAUCGUGGCGUGUCGCGGUAGCCCAUAAAAUCGGGCUCCCAAUUAUAUUUUUAUUUCGUCUCAUUAAGGGUAUAUUGGGUAUUUUUCACUCCCCUUAUCAGCUUAAACACCGAAUUUUAAUCCCAAAUGACCUCAUUAUUAAUAUUUUCAUUAGAAACCAUCAAGAACACCCCUUAGGGUUUCAAACAAGAAAACCCAAACAACUCAAGAUUCAACCGUGGGUUUUAGAAAUUGAUUGAAGAUUUGGAAUCCCCAAACCGUGGGCAUCAAGAAUCAUCCUUUAAUUUCCUAAAUAGAGGUACGUGGGGUUUAUCCUAAAAACUACAUGGACUUAUCAACACUAGAACAUGAUUUAAAGAUUAUCAAGCAUGAAUUUUAAAGGGGCUUUGGAACUUAUGAUUUAAAUUUCGCAUCUUGAGUGUGUUGAUGAUAUUAUUGUUUUGGUCUUUAGGACUUUCUCCCUUAAAUUGAUUUAAACUUAUAUGAAUAUGUAUGAUGUUGAAGAUUUGAUUGAGAGCAUUAUUAUUGAAACCCCUCUCUUUGAUGAUUUAGAGUUGAUGAACUUGUUGGGAAUGAUUUGAGAUGCUUGUUUAAUGUUUUGAAGGAGAUCUUUUCAAUAUUUAAGUAUUUAACAUGAUUUUUAUGAUGACGAGAGGGAGUUUCUUGUUAUGAUUUCGUCCUUGUCUUAAAAAAGAAAGAAUUGCAUAUGAUUGAUAUCUGUGACAUGACCACCUUGUGUAUUUGAAAUGGUGAAAAAGAGAGUUUCUUGCAUAUGUUUACAUGAGCUUUAAGAAAGAGUUUCUUGAAAUGACUUAUUGAUAUGGUGGUCCUAGAUUUAUGUUUUGAAACAGAGAUUAUUAGAUGCUAAUAAUGACUCAGAGAUGUGACUUGCAAGUCAAUGGUAUGACGAUACCAUAUAAAUGUAUGUCAUAUCAGAGUUAGAGUUUUCAGAGUAUGUUUUCAGAGAAUGCUUGUCUUAAAGAGUUAAAAAUGGGCAUAAAGAGAGUUAGGUGGUUGCCUGAAGAGGGCUAGAGUUCAAGUAACUCUUAGCCUAAAAUCGUGAUUUGUUGAUCUGGGUAUAUUAUUUUUACGCUGGUGACGGCCGUGUGGCAUAGCAGAGUCAGAGACUCCAACCCUUGCGGCACACUUGGGUUGGAGGCUUCCACACCGAGUCAAUGGCGGAUUCCAUAUGGCCCAUGGAAUUUCAGAGUUGUAGGGUAUACCACCUAGCGCAGAAGUAAAACAAAGAAUGUCUUAGAGUUCAGAUGAUUUUCUUUCAGUGUCUUUCAGAAAUGCCCAUGAGAUUUCUUACUAUAUGAUAUGUUUAUGAACUAUUUUUAAAUUGCUCUCAUAUAUGUUAAAGAUAAAUUAUUAUUUUAGAUUUGCUCUGCGUACCAGUACAUCUGUAUUGACCCCCUACCUCCCAGGUUUGGAGGCUCAGUCUAAGGGUCCGGCUAAUCAGUAGAGUAUCCCAGAGAGAAGGGAUCUGUGCAGUGGUGAGCCUUCUUUGUUCUAGUAGGCCUGUUAUUUCAGAUUAUGUUAUUUCGUUGUUUUGGUCUACUGGGGGUCUUGUUCCAGCUUUCAGAUAGUUGUCAGAUUUUCAUGCAGUAGCGACUUCGCAGACUGUUCCAGAUGUUGUUUAGUUGAGUUCGGAUUUCAUUCCUUAUUGUUAAACUAAAUCCAUAGUAUGAUAUUUUUGCAUCUCCUUUUAUUAUGUGAAUGUUGUGCAUAAUUACUAGAUAGAGUAGGACGACCGGGCCUUCAUGGAUCAGGAUGUCCGUCACGGCCAGGCCCUAGUUCAGGUCGUGACAAAAACCAUCACUAUAAAAGUUCAUUCUUCUUAUGACCUAUUUACAUACCAAAAACUAUGAAUAUGUACGUCUGCCAUGGUACAGAGAAAGUUUGUUCAUGCAGUCUGUGAUCUGAUGUUGGUAUAGGCAAGCAUACAAAUGUCACAUUUUCUUAAGCAAGAGAAGUAAGAUUUAAAGUAUACGCAAAUAUUUCGUACAAAAACUAUCACCAUAAUAGUUGAUUCUUCUUAUGACCUAUUUACAUACCAAAAACUAUGAACAUGUACGUCUACCAUGGUAGACUGUGGUUGCAGACAGCAAAACGCAGAAAGUUUGUUCAUGCAGCCUGUGAUCUGAUGUUGGUAUAGGCAAGCACCUGUACAUGCUAUACCGUGCGAUGAAGUUGGUGGAGGCAACAAAAAUUUAGCUGUACAUGACACACCACCUGACCCUACCGCAUUUAGUUUUGGGUUUAACCACCUACGAGGGAAAUGUAAGAGGUUUAGACAUGGUUAUUUGGUACAGUAAGCAGUAAAUUUGAGGCCCAUAUUGCAUCCAAAUAUGAAACGGUAACAUUAUGAAUGAAAUUGUAAUAACUUAAGAGGAGGAUUUUUUUACUGACCAUUAUCCAGAUUAGUUCAAUUACAUUAAAUCAGGUUUGUGUUUUUCCGAUAAGCCUCAACAAAUAAGUCGUGGACAAAUAGUUGAAAAUAUGAACAAUUCCAUGCCACUGAAAGUUAUGCGAACAUAUACAUUGACAAAAGGAAAAAAGACAAACUAAGGGCUAGUGUUGUGCUCGAUAAAAUCCAUUAACGGAAGUUAUUCAGGAAAAGGAAUUAGCAGUAGUAACAAGAUAAGAGGCAUGUCCUAAUAGCGUCGACCUCUUUUGGGAAAGUUGCCCUUGUAUUCCCAUAAAAGAUUGUUUAAACUAAUUGAGACGGAAAAUUUUGGUUUAGACAAUUUCUUUCAAGCACUUUCAAGUUAUGUAUUACACAGAACUGACUAUUUCAUUAUUGGACUUGCAUAAGGUAAGCAGGGAAACUGGUAGAGUGCGGAGAUCAAGUAGUUUAUACCACAGAUUGCUCAUGAUGUAAUGCCAUUCAACUUACCUCUCUGAUUUUAGAGUCCUUGACUCCAACAUUCUCAAACAUAGAUAUGCUGGACUAUUAGCAGCUUCAAAUCGUCUCUUUCUAAUCUCUAUCACUCUUGCUAUGCCAAAUUUUAUAUAUAAAAAUACUAAAGUUUUUUUAAUCAAGGAGAAGACUUCCAUGAAUAUUAAGAUUAGCGGACGCACGUUUUCUGUUGCAGCUUCAAAUCCUCUCUUUCUAAUCUCUAUCACUCUCGCUAUGCCAAAUUUUAUAUAUAAAAAUAUUACAGUUUUUUUAUCAAAGAGAAAACUUCCACGAAUAUUGAAACCAGCAGACGCACGCUUUCUUUUACCGUUUGGUUCAGAAUUACUAAGCUCUAUAAUGUAGCAACUAAAAUAUUAAAAGUGCAGUUACCUCUAAUUCUUUUUUGCUGGUGUGGGUGGUUUAAUUCUCUGCUUCUUACCUGUCUCUGUUGAAGUCGUGGGUAACGGUGAUGUUGCGUGGACUGAGCUUUCUACUUCAUUGAAGGACGCAAGACCCAGCAUACUAGGUUUUUGGUCUGGAAAUUUGAAAACUGGCUUUCCUAACUAAAGUUUAAACAGUUAAUGAGUGAGCUGGUGAUUUAGAUGGGCAACAGAGAAUGGUUGUUGCUAAAUGCAAAUAGUAAAACAUAUCACAUUAAGUAGGAGCAUGUGUAACAUGGUAUUUUUAUGUAUCCAUAGAAGAUAAUUGUAAAAGAAGGAGUUUUCGUCGUUGGUAGUGGUAUGAAAUUCUGUACCUGAACUGCAGCAGAUUCAUAUAUUUGUUCAGCAGUUAGGGACAAUAAUCUUUCUCCCAACGCUUCAGAGAUGGUUGCUGUAAUUGUGCCAGUUGCAUCCUUGAUGUCAAAGUCGAAGUGGCACCUGUGAAUAAAAUAAAACCAUGUUAAAAUACAUGGGCAAAUAUUUUUUUUAUAAAGAUAAGAAGUAGCAGUACAAAAGUUUCAGCCAGAAUGGAGUCGUAACAUGUAGACAUGUCUAAGUGUAUCUGUUUGGAUUUUUUGUGUCUGCUAGAACCGUUUUAUGUGACCAAUUUACGACAAAGCGAAUAAAAUUAUCUGUUUAGAUAGCAAAGCAGCCAACUAAGGUAGUAUCUUGUUCUGUGGGCACUGAUAAAUUCAAAGGGAAGGUUAUAGCAAGCUAGAGUAUUUAAAAUAUUUUUUGUUCAGUGUAUUCAUGCAAUUUGGUGAGAUAACGCCGGAAGAGAAGACAAAAACAUCCUUGACAUUUUCGUAAACUUUAAUGGCAUUACACAUUGACGCCCGUGGAUAUGAUCUAUAAGUAAGAGUGGAGCACAUGAUGUGUGCGAUGGAUGCACAUUAACGGAGAAAUAGUUAAAACAAAAACUCUAUCAAAACAAAAACUAUGUGGGAUAGAUGCACAUUAAUGUGAAAAUAGUUAAAUAGAAAACACUGUCAAAACAAAAACUAUGUCGACGUUUCUUCUGUGUGAAAUGGUAUUUCCUCCAAGUUAAACCGGAAAUAAUUUCCAGUGACGUCUCUUGAUUAAAAAUAAUUGCUAGUGAAGCCUAAGAAUAAUUUCCAGUGACGUCUCUUGAUUAAAAAUAAUUGCUAGUGAAGCCUAAGUUUUCCUCAUAGAUCAUAAUGUUUUUGUUGUCUAAGCUUUAUUUAGUUGCUUAUAUGAAUCCAUGCACUGCACGAUUGGUUUCGGGGCACCAGUUUCAUGGAUCGGCCAAAUAAUGAUUGGUAAAGACCAACGAACUAUUAUAAUUCAUGACUCUGCCAUGCGACAGUGAUACUUGAGCACUCUUUGUAAUCAAAUCAUCUUAAUUUCACUGAAAAGGAUUAUUGUUUGACAUGGGGGAAAAUAUUAAGCAGUGAAUAUAUUUGCAUACUAAUAUUAUUUUCUCAGGAUUGGUUCUUACUUAGACUAAACCAGGAUUGCCAUACCUCAGAAGCCGCUUGAGGUAAUUCUCACAUGCCACAUGCUUAUUCCCUACAAACACUGUAAAUUGAUGCAGGAAACGACUUCCUAAUCUAAAUUAAAGAAAAAUGACUCCGUACUAUAAAACAUUUUCGACAUAAGACAUUUUCUACAAAAACAUAAUGAUAAGUUUGUUCAACUUCCCCAAUUUAACUUUCUACAACCUGCCUAAACAAGAGACCUGAAACAUCUCGGUGGAUGUACACGAAAUAGAUGGAUGAAUGUAAGGUUGUUACACUUUUGGUUUUGUUAUUUUUUUCGUUUACACCUACUGGCUUUUUUCGCCUUCUGUUUUCAGCUGAACAGAUUGCAGUAGAAUUCACACCAACAUAUGAUGUUAGUGUGAGGGAAUUGCAGAUAACAUCCCUUCAAUUGAUAGACGGAGGAACAACAAAGUGCACGUUGGAGAGAUUAGAUAAUGCGGUUAAAGUAGCACUUACCUGGGGACCAAUACCCGACGGAGGUUACAGUUGAAGCACUGAACUGUUUUUAUAGUCUUGGGACAUACAUAGUGACUGCAGGUUGAGAAAGCGAGCAAGUAAAAUGAUUGAGGGUGGUUCGGAAGUGAUAUUCUGCCUUCCACGGGGAAAGUUUGAACCUGCAAUAUUAGGAUACACUAACAUUAUCAAGUUGAAGAUAUAUGUGGUUAGACCAUGGACUACACUUUUGAAGUACCUAUGCGUGUAUGAUUGCAUUGUGGUUUUUGUCGGAAGCGACAACCACCUGUAAAUUUAGUUGGUUGGCUGAUGCUUUUUCUAUUAGAUAUUAGGUGUACAGUACCACAAAAGUAGACUUUUGCCUCUGUUGGUGUGAUGCGAGUAAGGCUAGUCAUUUUUUUUCGCUCAUGGAAAUAAUUAACACUUACAUGUACAUUGUGGAGUAAACUAACCGUAGAUAACAACUCUGUAAUGGCUGAUAUAGAUAACACUUGAUCUUCAAAAGGCGCCAGAUUCAGCGAGGAAGGUGAUAAUGAUAAACUUUUUGGAGUGUAAGAUACUAACAUUUGUUCAUUGUGCCUCACCCUGAAAAUGUUAAGUAAACAAAAAUAUUUUUAUAUAGUGCUAUUAAAGGGGAGUAAGCUAACGAAUACCAGUUCAUCAAUGUAGUAGCUUGCACGUACUGAGGAUUUAUUAAAAUUGUUGUUUGAUAUCUUCUUGUCAAUCUUAGAGCUGUGUGCGUAAAAGAGGGGAAGCCUCUUUAGUUGAAUAGACAGAAGGAAGAAUUAACAAAGAAGAGUUACCGAGAGUACGGCAAAUGACAUACUACAGCGAAAUUCAGUAACACCUAUAUGUUUGGCAUGAAUGACAGGGUAUUCAUGCAGGUGGUGUAAUAAUGCCGCUCCUUCAUUGUCUGCUAGAUCGUCCCAUAUAGUAAAUAGAAAAGGUUUAUUGUUGUUCGAUAUAGCAGAUGCAUUUAUUACUGCAAUGCAAGUAUGUUUCAUCAAGUAACCAGGAGAUUUGGUGAACUCUAUGUAAGGAGUCGAGUAACUUUCCUCUGGCCCAUCACGAGUAACUUUCCUCUGGCCCAUCACAUUCGCUUUCCUGAGAUAUUUUUUUUGGUUAGCUGUAUAUUGUAUGUCACUGCAAUUAACCACCACCGCCAGUAAAUCUAAUGUAAUGACAAGUAAAAUGUUAGGCAGUAAGUCAGUUAAUAAGGCGUAUUUACAGAUAAAGGUGCGAAGUGAGAGCUUACCAAAUUCAACACCUGGAUGUUGGUGUUCAAUAUGCAAGAAUGGAAGUGCAUCCAGUUUUGUUGGAGCAGGCAGAGGUUCUUCCAAUGCUGGUAAUGGGCUCGUAUUGAAUAAUUGUGUAUCCACCCAUUCGUACGUAGCGGCUCGUAUUGAAUAACCACGGGGAUCCCUAACUUUCAUCGAAGAAACCAAAUAUGUUUGAAAAAGAACAAACAGUUUCUCGUAUUUGGGAAUGUCAUCACCGUAUGGUACUAUGGAAACCUACUGUUCCUGUAGUCAAGUAAAGGAGGAAAAGUUUUACAUAUGCAAGAACAAUUUAUAGAGGAAUGAAGGUAAGUUUUCUGUCUGUCCAAUUCUGAGAAAAUUGUUUUGUUACAUUUGCUUGUGUAUCAAUUCCGUAACAAUCUUCAUUCCACAUGAUAAAUAUUUUGGAAAGACACAAGAGUAUGAAGAAGAGAAGUACGUAAAUGCGGAUGUACUAAGGCAGAUUAAGCACAAUGAAGAUCAUCAGACAUCUUCUUUAUUUAUAUUAAUAUAUUUAAAGCCCAUGAUUUCAAACGGAAACAACGGGAAUAAAGAUUGACACAUCUUUUUUUUUACAUGUAGUUCCCACAAAGGAACAAAUGCUUUCAGGCAGUGAUAACUGAACACAUCAAGAGAAGGAACAAACCUGAGAAUGGGAAGAAAUAUUUGACCAAAUGCGGAUAUACUUGAUAAGGGAAGAGAAGAGUUCACGAGAUGAAGGUAUAGCAGGCAAGGGAUAUAACGGAAGCAACUGUAUCGCUACCAAGACAACACCAACAAUAAGGAAGCAGAAAUAUUAUAAUGUACCCUGAAUAACCAUUAAAGAGUUGGAAUAACCUGUGACAGGAAAACUUACGCUUUCAUCUUGCACGAGUAUUGUUUGGAAGUGGACGAAGGAGUCUUUGCUCUGGCGAGGCCAAAACCUGUCUACUACUUGGGCCUUACAAUUCCAGCCUAUAGUUUCUUUUGUGAUGGCGUUCACAAGAAGUCUCUGGUCCAUUUUGUUGGUCCCUGUUUCAUUAUGAUCCUCUGUAAGUUAUGAGAAUGAAAACAAUAUAUUGUUAAGUAAAUUGUCUUUAGUCAGUGUUAAGUACUUCUAAUCUUCCUGUGGUAGUUAAAAGGCAAAUUCUGUCGGAAGUUUAUAUAACCGUGUUCAGCUCAGUGGUUUCUCAGCGUAGUUACUUAAGUGUGUUCUCUUUACGUGUUCUCUGCUGAGCUCUCAUUUGGAAGAAGGUGUUGGUUAUCGGUAAUCUUGUUGAAAUCUGUAGGAAGCAUUAUAUAAUGAUGGAAGGGUAAAUGUGAUUGUUCAACCCGAUGUUCUCCCUGAAGGCGCUGACAUUUCUAUAUGAUUAACCAUUUCAAACGCAACGUAAGAAUUUUGUAAUGGAGCUCUAAAUAGUCAACAAGAAACACAUGUAAACCUUACCACGGGACACUUACUGAAGAACGUAACAUGUCAUCCUCAUAACUAUUCGUCUGGCUAAUACGAUCCAUUUUACUGAUUGUUGAUGUGCAAAGACGGGGAAAGGAAAUUCUAAAAUAGUCCAAAACAUUGUAAGCUUAUAAAGGACAAUUCAAUUUGUCAGCGAGAAUGCUUAACCAAGACGUCCCAACUUUUGCGACUUUUAGCUAAAAUUAUCAUAUGUGAAAGCACAUACCAUAGCAGCUCAGUAGAAGAGUCGAAACAACGGAUAAUAAAGUAACCAACUUGCAUAAGUAAGGAAUCCAAAACAACAAUAUGCAGAUCAACGAAACAGCAAAAGUUAUCACCAAAGAGAACUCACAGAGACUGUUGAAUCGGAAGCUUCAAGGUUGGGAAUUUCUUUACCAAAAGCUUUAAGGUAGAGUACAAAUGUUAAAUAAAAAUACAGAAUCAGUCUCCUAAACAGUUGCCUAAUACAACAGAAAUGUUUGUUUAAUACAGAAACACUCAAGCGAUGAAGUCGAAAACUAAAAUGUUUAACAGAACUCACAUAGAAGCAGGAAGCUAUUCUAUGCCAAAGUGUGAGAAACUACCUAUGAACUAAACCAUUACAUUAUUAUCAGUUAUUAGGAAUGGUAAGAUUGAAAUUAAGAAACCGCCUUUGUUUUUCAUAGUUACGCCGUGUACCAGAUGAUGUUGGAGAACAACUCGUAUAAAAGUUUUAAUGAAAAGACGUAACUGCCCUUGGAAGCUGGCAGGACGACCACCAAAAGCUUCCAAGGCUCUUCUAUAUAUUAGAAAGAUAUUAGAAUAUAUCAUUGUUCGUUUGCAUUUUAAUUCUUUUAUAUUUUUUGUUCAGCCUCAAUUCUCACUAUAUAAGUUCUACUCUUUUCUUUAUAGUUGAAAAUUCUUUGCUUAUUAUUUUCUUUUUAGAUUAUUCUGUUCUUUUUAGAUUAUUCUGAUCAUAUUCUGGCUGGUAUAUUUUUAUCCCAUUUGUUUCUUCUCUGUUUGAUGUUUUGAUUUUGUUCAUGUUUUGGAGUUAUGAAUUAUUAUUUUCUUAAUUUUUUAUGUCUUGAUUUAAUUUUGGUGUCAUUCAUAUUUCUUUGAUGCAUAUUUUUUCUGAUUUCUUUGUAGAAUAUUGUAUAUGCAAUGAUUUCAGUUACAUGUUUUUGUUUGAUCUUUAAUAUUUUUUACGGGUUCUUUACAUUCCUCUUUUACAUUCAAUUGAGAGAGGAGUUUGUUGAUGUCCAUAAUGUGUCUGAUAGAAUCUCUGAUAGGUAAUAAGAAUUUGCACGGCGUGUUUCUUUCUAAAAAAAAAAAACAAGUUCUAUUUGUCUUUAGUUAGAUUUAAGUUUCCUUCCUGCUAUUUAAAAUUCAUUCAGCGUGUUGCACCAUCGAAUCAACAUUAUGACCACUAGUAUUUAUUAUGAUUGAUAGCUACUAUUUUGAAGUUGUAUUCGAUCGCUUUUAUGUCUGUUUGAUUGAAGAUGUGUUUGUUGGAUACACUUUAUAUUUUCACUUUAACUUAGUUGUAUCAAGACAUAUAAUUCGUUAGAUACAUUGUGUCUAUUUGUUCGAUCUUGUUGAUGCAACUUCGUUGGAUACAUCGCGUAUGUUUGUUCAAUCAAGUUGUAUAAACACAUAAAAUUUCAUUAGGUAUAUUAUAUCUAUGUGCAAGUGAAAUAUACCAUAUCUGCACUUUAUAUGAGUUGUAUUCGAAUAAAUAAGACUCUUCAAUACGUUCAAAACAUCACACAUAUAGCUGUCGUACAUAUAAUAUAUACUUUACAUGUACGCAACAUACAUUGUAUUUUCUAGUAGAUGCAUUGUGUAUGCAUUAGAAAAGGACUUUUGAUUUAUAUACAUACCAUUUAUAUACGCUAUUGGAUGUAUACAUUUUUUAUGAAUCAUCUUUUUAAUUGGGUUGUGCAUAUUAAAUUGGUUUCAUGUAAGAUCAUGGGUAUCAAUUAUCACAUUUCAAAUGUGAUUUUACUAAAUGUGAUGUAUUACUGACCUCUGUCAUGCACAUUCUCGGCUUACUUUAUGAAUAGAUAUUGUCUCAACAUAAUUUGAUCAAGUAUCAUGAUAGAUUUUGUAGAUCACCAACUUAUAAUAGUAUCCCAUAUAUAAACAUGUAGCAUGUUUAAUUUAAGAUCGAGUUUCGUAUGAAUCAGAUAAAUAUCAUACAUUAGACUACAAUUAUUAAGAAUAAAACAAGCUCCAAAGUGGGAUAUCUCAAUCGAUCAUGUCAAAGUACGAAGUAUUUUUGAAUCAGUUCAUUUACGACAAAAUAUUCCUCAAUUGUACUAAUCUUUAUUUGAUAUAAGUCAGAAGACAUUAUUAAACUUUUAUAUAUCAAAUUUAUGGCUAGAGACAUUCUUUGUAUUAUUAAUAUAUUCAAGAUUAAUUUCAUUCUCUAUCCUUAAUAUGAUAUACAUUUAUUUUGAUUAGCAUCUUUAAAACUCAAUAAGCUCCUUCGAGACUUAGAAAAGAAUAUGACAUUGUUUAUAAUAGGUUUUAUUUCCUUAGGUAAAAUUGAUUUUUUUUUCAAAACCUCCAAUCAAAUUAGCAUUAUUUGAAACUCUGAUUACAUUCACCUUAAUCAUAAGUAAAUCAACAAAAUACUUUUUUUAUCUUUAAAUAUCGUGUGUGUUGUAGCAUAAUCAAUCAACACAAAUGUCUAUAUAAUUGAAUUUUAGUCCAAACUUACUUAAGAUGAAGCAUCAUUAUGUCUAUGUUAAAGGCAUGCUUGGGACUAAAUCAAGUCACUUAGAUAAUGUGGUUCUUCUCUUGCUCGCUUCGGGGAUCAAGAUGUUUGGUGGGUGAGAAAAGAGCAACACUGGUCAAAAUGAACAAGUGCUACAAUCGCAAUUCAUGAUCAUAUCAAGGUAAGGUUUGGGUGGAUUUUGUACUCAUAAAGAGUUAGAAAUAAAAAGGCAAGAAGAAGACUAUUGUAGAAUGUCAUGAUUCAAAAUUCAACGGUCAUGUUGGCACUUUCGCCGUGUACCUUGACAAGUAAGCCUAUCACCCAACUAAUACACAAAGAAAAAAAGAUAUAAGCACCCCCAAGGUAAGGCCUCUAGAACGAAGUCGAACCAUAUAAGCAUAACAGAUGCAAAAAGAAUAUAAACAACAAUGCAUCCAUAUCUCUCAAAAUCUUAUGUCAACAGUAUAAAAACGUAUCUAGUACAACUCGAAUCCAAAUAAAAUACAUAAGAAAAUUCAACAGCUACAACUUUGUCUCUAAAAACUAAUAAAGACAUAGUCUGAUGAUAGAGAAGAUAGUAGAAGACAUCCGAACACCUGAAAGUCAUCCACUACCUUGAAAACUCCAACAAUCGCCCAAGCCAAGCAAUGUGGGGUGCACUCGAACCUAAAUUUGCACCAGAAAGGUACAGUAGGAGUGAAUACAGUCCACUUGUACUCAGUAGGUAUCAUAGGCCAACCGAACAAAGUAGAAAAUAAGACAUACAAAAUACACACUAAGUGCACGUCACCUGCAAUCAGAAAAUAUCCAAGAAUGAUAGCCCACACCGCUUCCAAUAAAAGUUCUAAUAUACAUAUAUAAUAUAUUGCAACAACAAAACCAAGUAGAACAUAGUAUACAUUAUAUUACAUACAAGUAGAGACAAGGAAGAACAUGCACAUACAAGAUUGUCAACUAUAAUUAACGAAAGAUAGCACGAAUAAGGUAUGAUAAGUCAAUAUGGAAAUUCAAACACAACUUAAACACAAUAAGGUAAGUUCAAUAUAUAAGAUGCUGAUAAUGAUGAUGAUGAUAAUGAUGAUAAUGAAGAUGCACGAGGUUGUCACACAACCUCCGUAUACACCUACGAAGGCAAGCCUCUCGACGUAGGACCCAUGGGGGGGUCGUCAACUAAUAUACAAUCAGUAUAUCAUAUUUCCUCCCCAGAACAUCUCUCGUAGAGAGUUUAUAAGAUGCCACAAAAUCUCUUUCCUAAAACAUCCAUUGGGAAGGAUUUUAAAAGAAUGUUGCCAGUGUUUCUCAGAGGUUGCCACAGUGGUACCAAUGUUUCAUGAAUGAGUAUAGUAUGAGGAUGUAAUGCUCACAAACAAUAACAAUGAGUAUUCCCACAAUCAUCCACAUGAUGUAUUUCCAUAACCAUCCACAAUGAUAUAUUUCCACAACUACAUGAGCCAAUAUUUACUCAUUAUUUCCACCAUCCAUGAAAUUUCACAUGGCUUAUAUGCCAAUAAAGUUUGAAUAUAACACAAUACACCAAUGGUACUACAAUAGACAUUUCAACAACACAAUACAAUUAUUCACAUGUAUUUCAGGUUAUCGGCAUCACACAGGACCCCACACGAUCACACAUAUCACAUAAUAUCUCAAAACCAACAAUUACAUCCCAUAUAGGCCCCCACAUGGGCACAACACAUUGAGAUAGACAAAUUCGUGAUUAGUUAUCAUACCCUUAACAUACAUUUUGUAUACAAAUUAACUACCCAGCCUAGUCUAAAAGAGUUAAGUCAUAACUUACCUCAAGGUCAAAAAUCGAUUCGCAAUACUUCAACCCACAACCUUAAUUCUCACAAACGAUCCCUAAAUCAACUAAAAUUAAGAAAUAUAGAAUCUACGCGUCAAAAUAAAGCCAACGAUAUCCAUAUUGCCUACUUUUGAAUCGAGGUCAAAACAAACCUCCAAAAUAACUUUUCAAAAAAGAAAGGCAAAAUCAUAACUUUAUUUCAAAAAUGUGUUCUCCAUAACUUUAGGAGCCUACAGCUGAAAAUCCAAAACAAAUCAAGUGAAAAACAAGAUCCAAAUUGAAGAAAAAAUAUUUCUAAACCUUAUCACGCAAAACCUUUGAAAUUCAUUUUAAAAUCAAGAAUCGAAGUUGUUUUGAAGGUGAAAUCGAGGAAAAACAAGUAAUUAUAGAAUUAAGAAUAUUAUUCAAGUAAAAGGAGUGAAAUUGAGGUUUAAAAUCAAGCUCUAAGGUUUUUGAGGUUUUGAGAAAUUAAUCAAAAAAUUCAUCUAAGAAAAGGGUGGAUUCUUACCUUAAAUCCGUAAGAGAAUCAAGAAAUGGAUGUUAAUCUAGCUUCCUAGCACCCACAAGCUUCACUUUUAAGCUCUCACGCUAUUUUAAAGUUUAGCUCUUAAGAGGUGAGAUGAAUAAUGAGCUAAUUCACGACCAAAGGGGUCUACUUAUACCCCUUUCAGGUAAUCAGGUGCUGUAAACGUACACCCUGGCAGUAGGAGGAGGUGUGGCAAUCGCCAACACCCUUAGUGCGAUCGCACUACCCUCUCUGCAUACACUGGUGUGAUCUCCACUCAAGUGGUGAGGUCGCAGAUGCACCAGAAACCAGCUGAACCUUUAAUACUCUUCCAAGUUUCCACCAAAGCCUCGAGAUUUGUUCAGAAUCCGAUACACGCAAAUGAACUAUGUAACCACACUAAAUUUGAUGCUCCGGAGUCAAUACAAAUAACAGAUUUUUGAUAAGACAUCAUUUUCACAAAGUUGAAUUCCGAAAUUCAAAAUCACAAUUUUUCAAAUCGAGGGUCAAAAUGAGAUUUAAAAUCCAUAAAACUACACCGAACAUGUUACCACCCUAAAAUUGAUGUUCUGGAUCGGCUGGCGGAGUCUAUUCAACCAUCUUUCGCGCGAAUCAAAAGAUAACCACAGAAGACCAUAAUAAGGCUCUCAAGGCCACCAAAAACCACGGUAUUGCAUAAAUGGCACCAAAACACAUUGGGAACCGUUCUAAUCAACCCCACACCCCAAAAAUACCACAAUGAAACUAUAGGGAGGGGUAAAAUAGUUAAAUCAUACAAAAACACAUUUAUUACAUAUAACAUCAAAAAUUCAGGUUGUUACAUCAUCUGCCAUUAAAAUUCUAGUUGGUCCUCAAACUAAGGCAAAGAAAUACUAGGAUCAAUGAAGAGUUAGGGAUAAGAACUAUGCAUAUCAUACUCAACCUCCCAAGUAGCCUAAUCUACAGGUCGAUGUUGCCUCUGAACCUUUACCAUAGGGAUAACUCUAGAGCACAGCCGCCUAACAUCCUUAGCCAAAAUGGAAAGCGGCUCCUCAAUAAAAGACAACCUCUCAUCUAACUGAACCAACUCCCAAUGAAUGACAUGAGACUCACCCAGAAUGUAAUGGCAAAGCAUAUAAACAUGAAAAAUUGGAUGACGACUGGUAAAACUGGGGAAAAGCUAACUCAUAAGCCACAUCACCAAUAGUUCGAAGAAUCACAAAUAGACCUAUAUACUUGGGGCUAAGAUUGCCCCUCCUCCCAAACCUCAUCACACUCUUCAUGGGCGAGACUUGAAGAAAAACUCGAUCACCAACACCAAAUCCCAAGGCACGAAGUCUACGAUCCGCAUAGCACUUCUUCCUACUCUGAGUUGCACAAAGCCUAUCCUAAAUGAUUCGAACUCUAUCUAAGGACUCACGAAGCAAGUCCGUACCUCGAGGUCUAACCUUAGAAAACAUCAAACCAACCAACUAACGAACGACAACACCUACCAUACAAUGCCUCAAAAGGAGCCAAGUUGAUCUGGAGUGAUAUCUGUUAUUAUAAGCAAACUCCGCUAAAGCCAAGUGUUGCUCCCAUUGGCCACCAAAAUCCAUCAUACACGCGUGGAGCAUAUUCUCUAAAACUUGGAUAGUCCGCUCGGACUGACCAUCUAUCUAGGGGUGAAAUGUUGUGCUAAGGUCAACCUGAGUACCCAGCUCAUCCUGAAAAGUCUUCCAGAAGUGAGACGUGAAUAUUGAGCCUCAAUCUGAUAUGAUAGACACCACACACUAUGAAGUUGCAUAAUCUCACAAAUAUAGAUACUAGCUAGCUUCUUAGGACAAAAGGAGACCUGCACCAAAAAAAUGUGCAGGCUUAAUCAAUCGAUCUAUGAUGACCAAAACACUAUUAGAUCCAUAGAAAGUGCGAGGCAACCCGAUCAUGAAAUCCAUAGUGAUUUGUUCUCACUUUCACUCAAAAAUGGGUAGUCGCUGAAGCAAUCCACCAGGCCUUAAAUGUUCGAACUUCACUUGCUGGCAACAAAGACAACGAGCUAAAAAAUCCACUACAUCCUUUCUCAUACCACCCCACCAGUAAUGCAGCCUCAAAUUAUGAUACAUCUUAGUCACUCUUAGGUGGAUGGAAUACCUAGAAUAAUUGGCCUCCUGUAAAAUCAAUCUAAUCCAAUCACCCACUCUCGGCAGAUAAACUUGACCUCCAAUCCUCAAAACUCCAUCAGAAUCAAGUGAGUCUUUCUUAGCCUCACCACUUAACACCUUAUCUCGAAUAGAUCUCAAUACAACAUCAUCAAACUGAUAAGCUCGACUUUGCUCUAUCAACGAAGUCCUAGCCUCUACAAAUGUCAAAACACACCCAAGUGUCAAAAUAUUAAUCCUAACCUUCUGGUUAGCUAAAGACUGAACCUCUAAGGCCAAAGGCCUCUCCUGGGUCAAAAGAUGCACCAAACUACCCAUGCUAGUCGACUUCCGGCUCAAGCAUCUACAAUGAUAUUAGCCUUGCUCGAAUGAUAGAGAAUAAUCAAGUCAUAAUUCUUAAGCAACUCAAACCAACAACACUACCUCAUAUUCAGAUCUCGCUGGGUGAAAAAGUACUGAAGGCUAUGAUGAUCUGAUAAAAUCUCACAACAGACUCUAUAAAAGUAGAGCCUCUAUAAAUUCAAAACAAAAACAACUAUGCACAACUCUAAAUUAUGGGUAAGGUAAUUUCUCUCGUGGAGCUUCAACUGACGAAAAGCAUAGGCAAUCAGCUUACCCUUCUGCAUCAAUAUUGCACCUAACCCAAUACCUCAAGCAUCAUAAAAAUAGUGAAACCUACACCCUCAUUGGGCAAAGUCAAGAUAAGAGUUGAAAUCAACAAAUCUUUGAGCUUUUAAAAGCUCUUCUCACAAGCAUCGGACCACUAUAAAGAAAUUUUCUUCUGAGUGAACUUGGUCAACGGAGCUGUAAUGUAUGAGAAACCCUUGACAAAAUACCGGUAGUAACCUGCCAAGAUGAUAAAACUCCAAAUCGUGGUGGGCGAAGUAGGUCUAGCCCAAUUAUAAACUGUUGUAACUUUGGCUAGAUCAACCAUAAUACCUUUCUUAGUCCCCACUUAACCCAAGAAAGAAACAGACUCUAACCAAAACUCACACUUGGAGAACUUGGCAUACAAUUUCUCGUCCUUUAAUCUCUGAAGCACAAUUUGAAAAUGCUUCUCAUGCCCAGCCUCACUCUUGAAAUAAACCAAGAUAUCAUCUAUAAAUACAAUGAUAAAGGAGUCAAAUUACGGUUGAAACAUAUAAUUCAUUAACUCCAUGAAUGCGGCUAGGGCAUUGAUCAACCCAAACCAAGAACUCAUAAUGACUAUAUCGAGUUUGAAAAGCUAUCUUCAAAAUAUCUGAAGCUCUAAUCGUCAACUGGUGAUAACCGAAUCUCAAAUCAAUCUUUGAAAACACCAUAGCAUCCUAAACUGAUCAAAUAGAUCAUAAAUACGAGGGAGAUACUUAUUUUUAACUGUUACCUUAUUCAACUGCUAAUAAUUAAUACACAUACACAUAGAUCCAUCCUUCUUCCUUACAAACAAGACAGGCGCACCCCAAGUCGAUACACCAGGUCGGAUAAAUUCCUUAUCCAAUAACUUCUGCAAGUGAUCCUUCAGUUACUUCAGCUCGACUAGGCCAUCCUAUAAGGAAGAAUAUAAAUAGGCUUGGUGUUCGGCUCAAUAUCAAUAGCAAAAUUAAUAUCACGAUUAGAGGCAUACUAGGCAAAUCCAUAGGGAACAUAUCCAUGAACUCAUAAACAACACAUACAAAAUCCAAAGAAGGGGUGAAACAAUACUAGUAUCACGAACAUGAUCCAAAUAAUAUAAACAUCCCCUCUCAACCAAUCUAUGAGCCUGAAUAAAAGAUAUAACCCUUUUAGGACCUAAAUGAAGCGCACUCUUUUAAGUUAUCCUUGGCACACCCGAUGAGCUAUAGUCACGGUCUUAGCAAAGCAAUCUAGGAUAGCAUGAUAAGGUGCCAACCAAUCUAUACCCAAAAUAACAUCGAAAUCCAUCAUAUCUAAUACAAGCAAAUCUACCCAAGUCUCAUGCCCAGCAAAAGUCACAACACAAUAUCAGUACACCUGAUCCACCACUAAAAAACUCCUAUAGGGGUAGAUACACGAAUAGACAUGGCAAGAGUCUCACUAACAGGAUCAAAAGCCAAAGCAAAAUAUACAGACACAUAGGAGGAAGUUGAUCCAGGAUCAAAUAACACAGAUGCAAAUCUGAAACAAAUGAGGAUGAUACCUGUAAUCAUAAUGUUAGAAGUCUCCAUCUCUGGUCUGGGCGAUAUAGGAUAAUACUAACCACGACUACCAACUAGAUGGAUAGCCCCACGACCACCACCGCAGGCUCCACCACCACUAUAUUUCGCACCUUUAUUAGUACCUUUACCUCUUAUAAUUGAAAUAGAAGUAGCUCUAAUCAUACGCCGAGGGAAGUUCUUGGCCAAAUGGCUAACCUCAUGGGACACAUAAUAAGCUCUACGUCUCUCCUCAAUAGGAGAAGAUACCACUGGGCCCCGAUGGCCAUCCUGAUCUACUAAAUCAAAAGAUCUACCACCUGAACUCUAUAAGGGCGCAUGCACCUAAUAUCCAUGAGGACCUUUAACAUAUCUAUCACUAAGAGCCUGACCUCUAAACUCACCAAAAUAGUGCACCUUCUUGAUGCCUCCCUUGAGAUGCUUAUAGAAUGCCCUCGGUCAUCUUAGCAUGAUCCACUAUACUUUGAAAGGAUACUCGAAAUACAACCAUCUAAGAUGUGGCCAGCUGAAGAGAGACAUCCAACCCCUUUAUAAGCUUUUGAAUCUUCUCAAACUCAAUAGAAAUACAAGCAUAAGCAUACCUGGAUAAGGCAUAGAAGCAGGCCUCAUACUCAACUACAGUCAUAGAGCCCUACUCUAGGUGAUCAAACUCAUCUCACAUACGAUCCCUCAGACUGUAAGGCAUAAAUCUCUCUAAAAAGCAUUGGAAAACUGAUCCCAUAUCAUAUCAGGAGAAUUAAGAGGUAUAUAACCAACAAGCGACCUCCACCAAUCUCUUGCAGCAUCUCUCAACAAAUAGGUAGUAUAAGCAACCCCUUACAACUCGAGCAAACCCAAAUUAUGCAACUUUUCUUGACAAUCAAUCAAGAACUCAUAAUCAUCCUCAUCCACAACACCACUAAAUCUAGGAGGACCCAAACAAGUAAAUCACUCAAACCUCUUCUGAUCCUCAGAAGACAUAACAGGACUUGCAGCAAAAGAAGGCAUCGUAAAUCUGCAGACAGAGAUCCCAUCUAUGGAGGUAACAUAGAUGAAGGUUAGGCUCCCAAUCCCAUAAAACCAUACUAAGAUUUUGGUACUGAAAUAGGAAUAGGGCUCGAGGUUUGAGGAGUACCCAAAAUAAAAAUAGGUACAACUGUAGUAUCCAUACUCGGAACAGGAAUAACACCCAACAUAACCAAAGGAGAAACCUCUAAGCGGGUCAAUAACUGCACCAACAUUCCCUCCAAGACUAGGUCAGAUGAACUAUGUGGAACAAAAACUAUACCUACUCCCCAACAUGCUCAACCUGAGGUGCAGGGGAAAGUCCCCUAGCACCCUUUCUAGAUGAGGCUAAUCCAAAGGCCAAUCCACUCCCUCGAGUCUGUCCAUGACUCGAGGUUUUCCCUCUAGAAGAAAGCUCUACAUCUCUAACCUCGCGGGACCUAGUCAACACCAUCUGCACAAAAAGAGUGAAACUUAACUCAAAACACAAGGUAUAUAAGAAAUUCACAUGAUAAGGAAUAAAAUAAGGAAAUUUUCCUAAAGACAUCCUAUAGCCUCUCAAACAUAGAUAUGGAAAUCUACAUACUGAUCUGCGAGACUCUAUCAGACAUCUCAUUCUUACACCGCUGAGACUAAUGAACCUAGCUUUAAUUUAUCACAGCCCAAAAUUCAAGGGUCAUGAUGGAACUUGUCACGACAUAUCUUGACAAGUAAGCCUAUCAAACAAUUAAUACACAAAGGAAAAAAGACAAUAAAAACCCCAAGGUAAGGCUUCUAGAACAAAGUUGAACCAUAUAAGUAUAACAAAUGCAGAAAGAAUUGAAAUAAUAAUAUAACCCUAUCUCCCAAAACCUGAUGUCAAAAGUAUGAGAAUGUAUCUAGUACAACUCAAAUCUAAAUAUAAUACAUUUAAAAAUCUAAUAGAUAUAACUUUGUCUCUAAAAACUAGUAAACACAUAGUCUAAUGAUAGAGAAGAUAGUAGAAGACAUCUAGAUACUUGAAAAUCACCCACUACCUUAAAAAUCCAACAAUUACCUAAGUCAAGCAAUGUGGGGUGCACUGGAACCUGAAUUUGAAAGGUACAGUAGGAGUGAGUACGGUCCACUUGUACUUAGUAGGUAUCAUAGGACAACCGAGCAAAGUAGAAAAUAAGAAUAUAAAAUACACACUAAGGGCACAUCACUACAGUAGCCCACAGCGCUUGCAUUAACAGUUCUAAUAUACAUAUCUCAUAUAUUGUAAAAACACAACCAAGUAGAACAUAAGUAUACAUUAUAUCACAUACAAGUAAGGAUAAGAAAGAAUAUGUACAUACAAGAUUGUCAAGUACAAUUAAUAGAAGAUAGCAUGAAUAUAAGUCAAUAAGGCAAUUCAAACACAACAUAAACACAAUAAGGUAAGUACAAUAUAUAAGAUAAUGAUGAUGAUGCAUAAGGUUGUAGCACAACCUCCGUAUACACCUGCGGAGGUAAAUCUCCCGACGUAGCACCCAUGGGGGGUUCAUCAACUCAUAUACAAUCUAUAUAUAAUAUAUCCUCCCUGACAUAUCCGUCAGAGAGGGUUUUAUUAGAUGUCACAAUAUCUUCUUCCCGGCACAUUCCUCGAAAAGAGUUUUAAAAGGGUGUUUCCAGUGUUUCUCAGAUGUUGACACGGUGGUACCAAUGUUUCAGUAAUAGGUAUGGUAUGAGGAUGUAAUGCUCACAAACAAUCACAAUGAGUAUUUCCAUAAUCAACCACAUAAUGUAUUCCCACAGUGAUAUAUCUCCAUAACCACGUAAGCCAAUAUCCACUCAUUAUUUCCACCAUCCAUGAAAUUCCACAUGGUUCAUAUGCCAAUAAAGUUUGAAUAUAACACGAUACACCAAUAGUACCACAAUAGACAUUUCAAAAACAUAAUAUAAUUAUUCAUAUGUACUUAAGGCUAUUAGCAUCACACAUGACCACAUACAAUCACACAUAUCACAUAAUAUCUCAAAAGUAAUAAUUACAUUACAUAUAGGCCCCCUCAUUCAUGAUUAGUUUUCACCCUCUUAACAUGUAUUUUGUAUACAAAUUAACUACUCAGACCAUUCUGAAAGAUUCAAGCCAUAACCUAACUCAAGAUCGAAAAUCAGUUCGCAACACUUCAAACCACGACUUUACUUCUCACGGACGAUACCAAAAUCAACUAAAAUCAAGAAAUAUAAAAUCUACGUGUAAAAAUAAGUUCAAUGAUACCCAUAUUACCUAUUUUUUGUUCGGGAUCCAAACGAACUCUUAAAAUGAAUUUUUAAAAAGAAGAGCAAAAUCAUAAAUUUAUUUCACAAAUGAAUUGUACAUACAUUUAGAAAUCUACAGAUGAAAAUCCAAGUCAAAUCUAGUUAAAACCAAGGUAUAAAUUGAAGAGAAACCAUAUCUAAACCUUACCGGGCAAAACCUUUGAAAUUCAUUUUAAAAUCAAGAAUCAAAGUUGUUUUGAAGGUGAAAUCGAGAAAAAACAAGGAAUUAUAGGAUUAGGAAUAUUAGUAAAGUUAAAAGGAGUGAAAUUGGGGUUUAAAAUCAAUCCCUAAGGUUUUGGGGGUUGUGAGAAAUUAAUUGAGAAAUUUAACUAAGAAAAGGAGGGAUUCUUACCUUAAAUCCGUAAGAGAAUCAAGAAAUGAAUGUUAAUAUAGCUUCCCAAUCACACAUAAGAUUCAGUUUUAAGCUCUCAUACUAUUGUAGGGUUUAGUUCUCAAGAGGCAAGAUGAAUAAUAAGCUAAUUCAUGACAUAAGUUGUCUAAUUAUACCCCUUUCAGGUAAUUAGGUGCUUCAAUCGCACACCCAGGUGUACAAUCUUACACCCAAGCAGUAGGAGGCAGUGUGGAAAUCACCAACACCCUUGUGCGGUCACACUACCCUCUCUGCACACACUGGUGUGAUCGCCACUCAAGUGGUGUGAUCGCAGAUGCACCAGAAACCAACUGAAACUUGGAAAUUCUUCCAAGUUUCUGCCAAGGCCUCGGGAUUUAUUUGAAAUACAAUACAUGCAAACAAACUAUGUAACCAUAUUAAAUUUCAUGCUCCAGACUCAAUGGUGAUAUAAAAUUUUUAAAAAAUAUCGUUUUCACAAAGUUUACCCCCAAAAUUAUAAUUUUUCAAACUAAGGGUGAAAAUGAGAUUAAAAGCCAUAAAACCACACCAAAUAUGUUACCAACCUAAAAUCAAUGUUUUGCAUCUUCUGGCAUUGUUUGUUCAGCUAUCCAUCACACGAAUCAAAAGAUAACCACAAAAAUCCAUAAUAAGGCUCUUGAAGCCACCAAAAACCACAAUUUCGCAUAAAUGGCACCAUAAUGCAUUAGGAAUCAUGUCAAUCAAUCUCAUAUCCCAAAAAUACCACAAUGCAACUACGAGAAUGGAUAAAAUAGUCAAAUCACAUAAAAACACAUUUUUUACAUAUAACAUCAAAAAUUCAGGUUGUUACAUAGAAAGAGGCCGAAAAAAAUAAAGAUUAUUAUCUUUAUUGAGGAAUAGCAAUGCAGUGCCCUAUUAUUUUAAAGUUGUAUUUGAGAAUGUGUCGUUGAAUACACUAUAUAUGUUCACUUUGUUGCAUCAAAACAUCAAUUUGGUUGGAUACAUUUUGUCUAUUUGUUUGAUUUUGUUGUAUUAACACAUGCAAUUUUGUUGGAUACAUUGUGUAUGUUUGUUCAAUCUAAUUGUAUAAGCACAUAGAAUUUUGUUAGGUAUAUUAUAUCUGUGUGCAAGUGAAAUGCACUAUAUCUGCACUUUGUAUGAGUUGUAUUCGAAUAAAUAAGACACUCAAUACACCCAAAAUAUCACACAUACAGCUGAAAUACAUAAAAUACAUAUUUCAAAUGCAUGCAACAACACUGUAUUUUUUGUAUAUGCAUCGUGUAUGCAUUUGAAAAUGACUUUUAAUUCAUGAACAUACCAUCUAUGCACGCUAUUGAAUGUAUACAUUCUUUGUGAAUCAUCUUUUUAAUUGGGUUAUGCAUAUUAAAUUAGUUUCAGUAAUAUAUCAUGGGUAUGAAUUAUAACAUUUUAAAUGUGAUGUAUUAAAGACCUCAAUCACAUACUUUCUCAGCUUAUAUUAUGAAUAGAUAAUGUCUCGCCAUAAUUUGAUAAAAGUAUCCUGAUAGACUAUUUUGUAGAUCACCAACUUAUGAUAGUAUCCCACAUGUAAACAUGUAGCAUGUUUUAGAUUGAAUUUUGUGUGACUCAGAUAAAUAUUAUACUUCGGUUGAACAAAUAAAAUUGAACUACAAUUAUUAAGAAUAAAACGAACUCUAGAAUGGGAUGGCUCAAUCAAUCAUGUCAAAGUACAAAGUAUUCUGAAAUCAGCUCAUUUACAGUAGAAUGUUCCUUAAUUGUACUAAUCAUUAUCCGAUAUAAGCCAGAAGAUAUCAUUAAACUUUCCUAUAACAAAUUUUUGGCUAGAGACAUUCUUGGUGUUAUCAAUAUAUUAAAAAUAAAUUUCAUUCUCUAUCCUUAAUAUGGUAUAUAUCUAUUUUGAUUGGAAUCUUUAAAACCCAAUAAGCUCCUUUGGGACUUAGGAAAGAAUAUAACAUUGUUUAUAAUAGGUUUUGUUUCCUUAAGCAAAUUUGUGAUUUUUUUUCAAGACCUCCAAUCAAGUUAGCAUUAUCAAAAAAUAUGAUUACAUUCGCCUGGUGCGGAUAACUUUAAUAGAUAUAUUGUAGCUAUGGAUCUAUUUUUAUUUGUGCGUGGAUAUUUCUUAACUUCUCUAAAUAUUUUUAUUUUAUUUAGGUUCAUAUCUUGGGAGAUGAUUAAAUGGUAUUUGAUUAAAUGUUUUACUGUAGUAUUCUUUAGUUUUUACUCUUAGUCUUUGUAAUUCUUCUAUAUUAUUUUUGAGGUAUUCUAAAUAUUCUAUAUAUUUUGUUCUAAAAUAUUCGAUUAAAUUCUCUUUCAUAAGAAUUUCUUCUAAUCUUAUUUCUUCCAUAUCUUGUCUCCAAUAUUUUAAGUACUCAUAGUUUAUCAUUUUAUUCUAAACUAGUUGCUUAUUUACUAAUUUUCGUGUAAUAUUCUAUUCUAAUUGUAUUAUAAUUUAUAUCUGAAUUAAGGUUAUUAAUCCUAUUAAUUAUCUCUCUUUCGUCUUCUCUUAAUGAGUUUUUUAUAUAAACUAUUAUCUGUAUUUUUUUCUAAAUUUUCUAAGGUUUCUUUUAUCCAUAUUAAUUUUUCUUUUAGAUUUUUCAUUAUUUCUUUGAGUUAGUUUCUAUAAUUAAUUUCUUCAUAUAGGUCACUUUGGUUUUCUCUNNNNNNNNNNNNNNNNNNNNNNNNNNNNNNNNNNNNNNNNNNNNNNNNNNNNNNNNNNNNNNNNNNNNNNNNNNNNNNNNNNNNNNNNNNNNNNNNNNNNNNNNNNNNNNNNNNNNNNNNNNNNNNNNNNNNNNNNNNNNNNNNNNNNNNNNNNNNNNNNNNNNNNNNNNNNNNNNNNNNNNNNNNNNNNNNNNNNNNNNNNNNNNNNNNNNNNNNNNNNNNNNNNNNNNNNNNNNNNNNNNNNNNNNNNNNNNNNNNNNNNNNNNNNNNNNNNNNNNNNNNNNNNNNNNNNNNNNNNNNNNNNNNNNNNNNNNNNNNNNNNNNNNNNNNNNNNNNNNNNNNNNNNNNNNNNNNNNNNNNNNNNNNNNNNNNNNNNNNNNNNNNNNNNNNNNNNNNNNNNNNNNNNNNNNNNNNNNNNNNNNNNNNNNNNNNNNNNNNNNNNNNNNNNNNNNNNNNNNNNNNNNNNNNNNNNNNNNNNNNNNNNNNNNNNNNNNNNNNNNNNNNNNNNNNNNNNNNNNNNNNNNNNNNNNNNNNNNNNNNNNNNNNNNNNNNNNNNNNNNNNNNNNNNNNNNNNNNNNNNNNNNNNNNNNNNNACUUUGCUAAUAAACUUCUUAACAUGCUAUUUUUCAAAUAAUUCUACUAUAAAGCAACUAACAUGAACUUAUUUUAUCAUAUCAUGAUUGUUAGGAAUUUAUGAAUUUAGCUUUUCAUAAUCAUAAAUAAAUAUACCUGUUCUGGUAGGUUUGAUAAUUCUAAUCUUUGUUCAUCCAUAGUUUUUUUCAUUGAAAUAUACUUGUUUGUAAUAAAUGUUUUAAAAGUUUGCUGUGAAAGAAGAGUGUUUGCUUUAACGCAUAAAGGCUUAUAUUUUUCUGCCUUCGAUGCCUUCAUUUAUAACGAAUGGUUUACAUUUUUCUUACUUACUAAUGUUUUACACGUUUCUCAAACUUUACGUCCUAUUCUAUCUUUACAAAAAGUCUAAAAACUAGACUAAAAAGUCUAGUCUAUUUUUUACAAAGUCUUUAUCUACCUAACCUAAUUAUUAUACUUUACAAAAAAGUCUUCUAAAGUAUAAAAAAGAUAAAAACUAGAACUUUACAAUAAUUUACAAGUUACGUAGAAAAUUGUGAAAGUUUGUUACAUGUCGCUUUCACAAUUUAAUAGUUUAUCUUUUAUCUCCAUUAUUGCUUCCGUUGAUAUCUUCUUCUUGUCGUAUCUGUUGUUUUUCUAUCUUCUUUCCAGCUGGCAUGCUUAUCUUCUUUAUUCUUUUAUUCUAGGCGGACUUUUGGGAUAAUAUUAUCUUCUCCAUUACAUCUCGAACAUUGAUGGUCUGGAUAUUUGUAUCCAAUUAUCUUGCAAUUUCUUGUUAAUAAUCCGUCUGAAAUAAAUCCUUUCCUAAUUGCUCUUGCAGUAGAUUAUUUUUCUGGGUUAAGUAACGUCAUUAUCCAUUGUCUAACAUCUUCCAUAUCUGUUUGUCAUAGUUCUGUUGAAUUUGAAUAAAUCAUCUGAUAGUCUCUUGAAUAAUAGCUCCUUAUUUGAUUUCUAUUGGUAUAAUUAUUUGCUAAUUCUUGAAUAAUUGUUGCUAGCCCAAUGAGUUGUUUAUUUGCGUAGAAAUCAGGUAUCUCAAUUCUGUGUAUCUCUGGCUGCUGCACAAUAUCUUCUGGUAUAAUCAUAUCUCUGGUUAAUCCUAUUUUUACAACUUGUAUAACUGGUUUGAUCUCGUCGUAUAAUAUCUCUGCUGGUGCAGUAUAACACUUUAUAUAAAAUAGAUUUUCUUUGGUUAUUCUUUUAUAGGUGGUGAAUAUUUUAUGUAAUUCUUCCAUAGCUGUUAGUUCUUCUCCGUCUUGUUUAUAUAUGGUAUUUAAUAAUCCAUAGUCAAAACAAGUUUUUAUUAAGCUUUGGUUGGUUUUGGGUAGUGCGGUUAGCUUGUUGUAACCUUGUAAUUUUUGGGUUAUAUAGUUUGUGUUUGGUCCUUGGGUAUCUGUAGCUCUGGGGUUAAGGUUUAGAANNNNNNNNNNNNNNNNNNNNNNNNNNNNNNNNNNNNNNNNNNNNNNNNNNNNNNNNNNNNNNNNNNNNNNNNNNNNNNNNNNNNNNNNNNNNNNNNNNNNNNNNNNNNNNNNNNNNNNNNNNNNNNNNNNNNNNNNNNNNNNNNNNNNNNNNNNNNNNNNNNNNNNNNNNNNNNNNNNNNNNNNNNNNNNNNNNNNNNNNNNNNNNNNNNNNNNNNNNNNNNNNNNNNNNNNNNNNNNNNNNNNNNNNNNNNNNNNNNNNNNNNNNNNNNNNNNNNNNNNNNNNNNNNNNNNNNNNNNNNNNNNNNNNNNNNNNNNNNNNNNNNNNNNNNNNNNNNNNNNNNNNNNNNNNNNNNNNNNNNNNNNNNNNNNNNNNNNNNNNNNNNNNNNNNNNNNNNNNNNNNNNNNNNNNNNNNNNNNNNNNNNNNNNNNNNNNNNNNNNNNNNNNNNNNNNNNNNNNNNNNNNNNNNNNNNNNNNNNNNNNNNNNNNNNNNNNNNNNNNNNNNNNNNNNNNNNNNNNNNNNNNNNNNNNNNNNNNNNNNNNNNNNNNNNNNNNNNNNNNNNNNNNNNNNNNNNNNNNNNNNNNNNNNNNNNNNNNNNNNNNNNNNNNNNNNNNNNNNNNNNNNNNNNNNNNNNNNNNNNNNNNNNNNNNNNNNNNNNNNNNNNNNNNNNNNNNNNNNNNNNNNNNNNNNNNNNNNNNNNNNNNNNNNNNNNNNNNNNNNNNNNNNNNNNNNNNNNNNNNNNNNNNNNNNNNNNNNNNNNNNNNNNNNNNNNNNNNNNNNNNNNNNNNNNNNNNNNNNNNNNNNNNNNNNNNNNNNNNNNNNNNNNNNNNNNNNNNNNNNNNNNNNNNNNNNNNNNNNNNNNNNNNNNNNNNNNNNNNNNNNNNNNNNNNNNNNNNNNNNNNNNNNNNNNNNNNNNNNNNNNNNNNNNNNNNNNNNNNNNNNNNNNNNNNNNNNNNNNNNNNNNNNNNNNNNNNNNNNNNNNNNNNNNNNNNNNNNNNNNNNNNNNNNNNNNNNNNNNNNNNNNNNNNNNNNNNNNNNNNNNNNNNNNNNNNNNNNNNNNNNNNNNNNNNNNNNNNNNNNNNNNNNNNNNNNNNNNNNNNNNNNNNNNNNNNNNNNNNNNNNNNNNNNNNNNNNNNNNNNNNNNNNNNNNNNNNNNNNNNNNNNNNNNNNNNNNNNNNNNNNNNNNNNNNNNNNNNNNNNNNNNNNNNNNNNNNNNNNNNNNNNNNNNNNNNNNNNNNNNNNNNNNNNNNNNNNNNNNNNNNNNNNNNNNNNNNNNNNNNNNNNNNNNNNNNNNNNNNNNNNNNNNNNNNNNNNNNNNNNNNNNNNNNNNNNNNNNNNNNNNNNNNNNNNNNNNNNNNNNNNNNNNNNNNNNNNNNNNNNNNNNNNNNNNNNNNNNNNNNNNNNNNNNNNNNNNNNNNNNNNNNNNNNNNNNNNNNNNNNNNNNNNNNNNNNNNNNNNNNNNNNNNNNNNNNNNNNNNNNNNNNNNNNNNNNNNNNNNNNNNNNNNNNNNNNNNNNNNNNNNNNNNNNNNNNNNNNNNNNNNNNNNNNNNNNNNNNNNNNNNNNNNNNNNNNNNNNNNNNNNNNNNNNNNNNNNNNNNNNNNNNNNNNNNNNNNNNNNNNNNNNNNNNNNNNNNNNNNNNNNNNNNNNNNNNNNNNNNNNNNNNNNNNNNNNNNNNNNNNNNNNNNNNNNNNNNNNNNNNNNNNNNNNNNNNNNNNNNNNNNNNNNNNNNNNNNNNNNNNNNNNNNNNNNNNNNNNNNNNNNNNNNNNNNNNNNNNNNNNNNNNNNNNNNNNNNNNNNNNNNNNNNNNNNNNNNNNNNNNNNNNNNNNNNNNNNNNNNNNNNNNNNNNNNNNNNNNNNNNNNNNNNNNNNNNNNNNNNNNNNNNNNNNNNNNNNNNNNNNNNNNNNNNNNNNNNNNNNNNNNNNNNNNNNNNNNNNNNNNNNNNNNNNNNNNNNNNNNNNNNNNNNNNNNNNNNNNNNNNNNNNNNNNNNNNNNNNNNNNNNNNNNNNNNNNNNNNNNNNNNNNNNNNNNNNNNNNNNNNNNNNNNNNNNNNNNNNNNNNNUUUUAGUUAUUAUAUGUGGGUAUAAUUUAUCUAAAAAUGACAUUCCUAAAAGCAUAUCUUUUGAUGUUAGUUCAUAAUUAUAGAUUUCUUCUAUUGUUAUUAUUUUAUCCUAUAUCUGUAUUUUUACAUUUUUAGCUUUAUAAGUAAUUAAGCUUUCUUCAUUAUUAAAUCUUUUGACUACUAUUGGUGAUUUUAAUUUUCUCAUUUACUUUCUGGUAAACAGUUGUAUCUACAUAAGUUUUCUUCUGGUCCUGUAUCUAUCAUAGGUGUAUAAUAUCUAUUAUAAUAUCCUUCUACUAUUAUUUUUACAAGUACAUAUAUUUUCAUAUCAUGUUAAAGUUCUUUUCAUAAAUAAUCUUUCUUUAUUAUACAUUAUGGAUAAUUGUGUAUGUUCUAUAUUGUAUGGUUUUACUUGUUCUAACCAUUUUAAUGCUAAUAUUAUAUCUGUUUUUUGCAUUUCUUCCUUUAUUUCAAAUUCUAUUUUUAUUUUUCUAACUCCUAUUAUUAUUAUUUUUUCUGUCGUAUCUUUAAUGUUUAUUAGGCUCCUUGGUAAAUCUGGGCAUAUAUUACUAUUAGAUUUUAUUUUUUCAUUUUUUACUAGAUAUUUUGCAAUAUAAUUUUCUUCUUGUCCUGUGUUUAGGAGUAUUAAAUAUUCUUUUUCAUUUAUUGUUUCCGUUAUAUAAUAUUGAUUUAAAUUAANNNNNNNNNNNNNNNNNNNNNNNNNNNNNNNNNNNNNNNNNNNNNNNNNNNNNNNNNNNNNNNNNNNNNNNNNNNNNNNNNNNNNNNNNNNNNNNNNNNNNNNNNNNNNNNNNNNNNNNNNNNNNNNNNNNNNNNNNNNNNNNNNNNNNNNNNNNNNNNNNNNNNNNNNNNNNNNNNNNNNNNNNNNNNNNNNNNNNNNNNNNNNNNNNNNNNNNNNNNNNNNNNNNNNNNNNNNNNNNNNNNNNNNNNNNNNNNNNNNNNNNNNNNNNNNNNNNNNNNNNNNNNNNNNNNNNNNNNNNNNNNNNNNNNNNNNNNNNNNNNNNNNNNNNNNNNNNNNNNNNNNNNNNNNNNNNNNNNNNNNNNNNNNNNNNNNNNNNNNNNNNNNNNNNNNNNNNNNNNNNNNNNNNNNNNNNNNNNNNNNNNNNNNNNNNNNNNNNNNNNNNNNNNNNNNNNNNNNNNNNNNNNNNNNNNNNNNNNNNNNNNNNNNNNNNNNNNNNNNNNNNNNNNNNNNNNNNNNNNNNNNNNNNNNNNNNNNNNNNNNNNNNNNNNNNNNNNNNNNNNNNNNNNNNNNNNNNNNNNNNNNNNNNNNNNNNNNNNNNNNNNNNNNNNNNNNNNNNNNNNNNNNNNNNNNNNNNNNNNNNNNNNNNNNNNNNNNNNNNNNNNNNNNNNNNNNNNNNNNNNNNNNNNNNNNNNNNNNNNNNNNNNNNNNNNNNNNNNNNNNNNNNNNNNNNNNNNNNNNNNNNNNNNNNNNNNNNNNNNNNNNNNNNNNNNNNNNNNNNNNNNNNNNNNNNNNNNNNNNNNNNNNNNNNNNNNNNNNNNNNNNNNNNNNNNNNNNNNNNNNNNNNNNNNNNNNNNNNNNNNNNNNNNNNNNNNNNNNNNNNNNNNNNNNNNNNNNNNNNNNNNNNNNNNNNNNNNNNNNNNNNNNNNNNNNNNNNNNNNNNNNNNNNNNNNNNNNNNNNNNNNNNNNNNNNNNNNNNNNNNNNNNNNNNNNNNNNNNNNNNNNNNNNNNNNNNNNNNNNNNNNNNNNNNNNNNNNNNNNNNNNNNNNNNNNNNNNNNNNNNNNNNNNNNNNNNNNNNNNNNNNNNNNNNNNNNNNNNNNNNNNNNNNNNNNNNNNNNNNNNNNNNNNNNNNNNNNNNNNNNNNNNNNNNNNNNNNNNNNNNNNNNNNNNNNNNNNNNNNNNNNNNNNNNNNNNNNNNNNNNNNNNNNNNNNNNNNNNNNNNNNNNNNNNNNNNNNNNNNNNNNNNNNNNNNNNNNNNNNNNNNNNNNNNNNNNNNNNNNNNNNNNNNNNNNNNNNNNNNNNNNNNNNNNNNNNNNNNNNNNNNNNNNNNNNNNNNNNNNNNNNNNNNNNNNNNNNNNNNNNNNNNNNNNNNNNNNNNNNNNNNNNNNNNNNNNNNNNNNNNNNNNNNNNNNNNNNNNNNNNNNNNNNNNNNNNNNNNNNNNNNNNNNNNNNNNNNNNNNNNNNNNNNNNNNNNNNNNNNNNNNNNNNNNNNNNNNNNNNNNNNNNNNNNNNNNNNNNNNNNNNNNNNNNNNNNNNNNNNNNNNNNNNNNNNNNNNNNNNNNNNNNNNNNNNNNNNNNNNNNNNNNNNNNNNNNNNNNNNNNNNNNNNNNNNNNNNNNNNNNNNNNNNNNNNNNNNNNNNNNNNNNNNNNNNNNNNNNNNNNNNNNNNNNNNNNNNNNNNNNNNNNNNNNNNNNNNNNNNNNNNNNNNNNNNNNNNNNNNNNNNNNNNNNNNNNNNNNNNNNNNNNNNNNNNNNNNNNNNNNNNNNNNNNNNNNNNNNNNNNNNNNNNNNNNNNNNNNNNNNNNNNNNNNNNNNNNNNNNNNNNNNNNNNNNNNNNNNNNNNNNNNNNNNNNNNNNNNNNNNNNNNNNNNNNNNNNNNNNNNNNNNNNNNNNNNNNNNNNNNNNNNNNNNNNNNNNNNNNNNNNNNNNNNNNNNNNNNNNNNNNNNNNNNNNNNNNNNNNNNNNNNNNNNNNNNNNNNNNNNNNNNNNNNNNNNNNNNNNNNNNNNNNNNNNNNNNNNNNNNNNNNNNNNNNNNNNNNNNNNNNNNNNNNNNNNNNNNNNNNNNNNNNNNNNNNNNNNNNNNNNNNNNNNNNNNNNNNNNNNNNNNNNNNNNNNNNNNNNNNNNNNNNNNNNNNNNNNNNNNNNNNNNNNNNAGUUUUCUUAUUCUGAUGUACUAGGUAUUAUAUUUUUAUCUAGAGUAUUUACUUCUGUAUUUAUUAAUUCUAGAUUUUCUUUAUUAAUUACUUCUUGUUUUUCAUUAAUUUCUAGUUUUCCUAUGUUUUCUAGAAUUUCUGUAUAUGUUUCACUAUCUUCCGAAUCAUAAUUAUCUGUUUCUUCAGCAUAUAUUGCAUUUAUUUCUAAUUCACUGGUUCCUGGUUCUUUAUUUUUUAUUUCUAAUUUUUCUUUAAAUUGAUUUAUCUCGUUUAAUAAUUUUUGUUCUUUAUCUUUUUCUUCUUUUUCUUUCUGUCUCUUUUCAUAUAAAUCUUUUAGCAUUUCCAAUUCUUUUUCUAAUUCAGCAAUUCUACUAUUUUUAGUUUCUUCUAUUUUUCGUAUGUCUUCUGUGGUUUGUUGUUUUAUUUUAUCUAUUUUUUUUUCUGUCUAUCUCUUCGUUUUCUCUUUCUAUUCUUACCAUGGCUGCCAACUUAUCUUCUAAUUUUAAUUCUUCUUUUUCUAACAUUAAAUAUAAAUGUUCACCUAUUUUCUUAUAUCUUCUUCCUAAAUUAGAGAAUAUUAUUUUUAUUUUGAAUCCUUUGUGAUUUUCAUAUGUUUUUUCAUCUAUUAUAAAUUCUUCUUUUUUCAUUUUAUUUAAAUAUAUAUAGGUUAUGUUGGUAUAUAUAUUCUAGACUAUCUAUUGUUGAUUCUAAAUUUGAUAUUUCUUCUUUUUGUGCAUUUAUUGNNNNNNNNNNNNNNNNNNNNNNNNNNNNNNNNNNNNNNNNNNNNNNNNNNNNNNNNNNNNNNNNNNNNNNNNNNNNNNNNNNNNNNNNNNNNNNNNNNNNNNNNNNNNNNNNNNNNNNNNNNNNNNNNNNNNNNNNNNNNNNNNNNNNNNNNNNNNNNNNNNNNNNNNNNNNNNNNNNNNNNUUUAGGAUGACAUAGUUCUAAUUAAUUUUUCUCCUUUUCCACUUUGCUAAUAAACUUCUUAACAUGCUAUUUUUUGAAUAAUUCUGCUAUAAAGCAACUAACAUGAACUUAUUUUAUCAUAUCAUGAUUGUUAGGAAUUUAUGAAUUUAGCUAUUCAUGAUCAUAAAUAAAUAUACCUGUUCUGGUAGGUUUGAUAAUUCUAAGCUUUGUUCAUCCAUAGUUUUUUCCAUUGAAAUAUACAUGUUUGUAAUAAAUGUUUUAAAAGUUUGCUGUGAAAGAAGAGUGUUUGCUUCAAUGCAUGAAGGCUUCUCUUUUUCUGCCUUCGAUGCCUUCAUUUAUAAUGAAUGAUUUACAUAGUUCUUACUUACUAAUGUUUUACACGUUUCUCAAACUUUACGUUAAAAAUAUAUUUAUUUCUUCUUUAAAUAUCGUGUGUGUUGGAGCAUAAUCAAUCAAUACAAAUGUCUUUGUAAUUGAAUUUUAAUACAAACUUACAUAAGAUGGAACAUCAUUAUGUCUAUGUUGAAGACUUGAUUGGAAUUAAAUUAAGUCUGUUGGAUAGUGUGGUUAUUCUCCUACUCACUUCGAAAAUUAAGAUGCAUGCGGGGGUGAGAAAAGAGCAACACUAGUCAAACUAAACUAGUGUUAUGAUCGCAAUUUACGGUCGUUGAUGAGUGGCAAUUUUGCCACUCAUUGAUACCUCAUUUAUUAUGAUUUAUUAUGGUUAAAUUAAUAAUAUGAGUCUAUUUACCUUGUGAAAUGCACUAAUUUUGGGUAUUUGUGGAUUUUCAAGAAAGUCUAGUGAAAAAGGAGUUAAGUCGAAGCUAGAAAGGAAAAAAAGAGAAGAACAGGAAAAGCCUAAAGAUGUGUCUCAAAAAUGACCCUCAGAUACAGCUCAUGCGAUAUGAGGAUCGCGAAAGUGAUCAGUUUUGAUAGUGGAAGAAGUCACGAUCGCGAUGUUAUGGCUUGCGUAAGCGACAGGUCAGAAAAGUCAAAGAUAUCAUAUUUGCGAUCGCAUUCAUCGUAUAAGCAAAUGGCCAAUGCAGACAAAGGAGUCACGAAAGCGAUCUGUUGAGUCACGUAAGUAAUUGUUGGGCAGAUUACGGGCAAUGAUGUAAUUUCCCAUGGUUCGAUCCCAAUACAUAAAAGGCACAAGCCCUAACAUUUCAAGCAACUAAUUUUCAUCUUUAAAUAUUUAAAAUACAUUUUUGCACUACUCUUGAGUGAAGAACAUUCUUGGAGUGAUUUCCAAGUGAGGAAUUAAUGAUUUUCAUUUAAGAAUUAUUGAAACUCAAAGCAUGGAAGUAUAUUCCCUUUAUUUUUCAUGGGUUUAUUUAAUGAAAAUCUUGGUAUAUCUUUACUUCCUCUCUCUAUGAGUAGCUAAUUCUUUAUCUUGGGGUUAUGCUUGAAUAGAUUGUAAUUAGUGCAUUGUUGUUUAUUUAUUCUCAUAAUUAGCUAGCUGUUAUGAGUUUUGCAUUUAUUCUACUAUUUAACUAAGCAUAGGGGGUUGCAAACCCUAAUUACCUUUGAACCCAUAUCAUCCUUUAAAGAGGAGAUAUGGGUAAGGAAUAAAUGUAAUCAAUAGCUUGAAGUAUUUCAUUUAAUAACAUCUUUUAGACAUAAGGAUGUUUGUUAAGGCAAUAGAUUAGUGAAAUCGUUGCACUUGUGAGGUGUUCGAAAUAACCUAUUUAUGAAAUUUGGUAUUUUAUUGAAAUAUUAACAUCAAUACCUCUAAAUCUAGCCUAAUCAUGAUUCCUAACUAAAUUUGGAAAUAUUUCAAUUACCCAUGCAUUGACUCACACCUAAAAUUGCAUAACCCCAAGGCCUGUUCCCAAUUGAUUGCACUCUUGGCCUUUUCAAUCUCAAAAUAGUAUUCUAAAAGUAAAGAAAUUAUUACUUUAAAAACAUUCAAACUAAAUCCCCCAUUUUACAUUUAUGUUUAUUAUAUACACAUUACAGGUCAACCUCUAGUUGACUUUCAACACCUUAGAGAUUUGAAUUCCUUGUCUUCACUCCUUGUGGAUUUGACCCCAACCUCUGUUGGGUUAUUGUAUUGACAACAAUCACUUACACUCAUUUAAGAGUAUAACUAGAGCAUUAUCAAAAAUUGUGCCUUUGUCGGGGAGUAAAACAUAGUUUUCACUCUUAUAGUGUUUUUAGUCACUUUGGGUUAGCCUUAGUGUUUUAGUUUACAUUGUUUGUUGUAUUUGUUCUUUAUUAGGUGGGAAUAAUAGUAUACAUGAUACUAUGAGCCAACACGAUACUAAUAUCGGCACUAUUGAUGGGUUUCUCAAUGACGAGGAUCACCUCAGAGAUGCGGGUUGAGCAAGUGUUAUUCGUAUUUCACCGAUGGAACAAAAUGGAGUAUUUCACAUUUCUAAUGUGAUGCUUCAUUUGCUUCAAAUUAAAGGGUUAUUUUGAGGACAAGCAUAAGAUAAUGCUAAUCUAUGCUUGAAGAAUUUUAUUGAUGUGUGUUCUCUAUUUGACAUAGUCCACAUAUCUUAAAAAUCAAUCUGGUUGCGUCUUUUCCCAUUCUCUUUCACAAGAGAAGUGGUCUAAUAGUUAUGGUCUUUGCCCAUGGGAUCUAUCACUUUAUGGAUUGAGCUCACAGAAGAAUCUUGGAAAAAUACUUUCCUUCUUUUCAAAUAUUGCAAUUAAGGGAUGAAAUUAUCAACUUUCACCAACUUAAUGGCGAACCAUGAUAUGAGGCUUGGCAACGAUUCAACAAUAAUAUAAUGCAAUGCCCAAAUCAUGAGGUUCCAGAUGAAAUGCUUCUUUAAAUUUUCUAUAGGGCAUUGGAUAAAUUGAACAAGAUGGUAGUCGAUAAUGUGGCAGAUAGUUGUAUGGUCAAACUAUCUUAUGGUGUUGUGGUGACUUUGUUAAAUUAAGUGACCAAGCAAAGUAGAGGUUGGAAUACAAGAGAUAUAAGGUGGCCAUGGGGCUCCCUUCGCAUCUUUUGUAAGCCACGAGCAAAGUAAAAGGGAUAAGGAAAAAGAUGAGAACAAGGCUAAAGUAAUGACUCAACUUGAUCUUCUCAGCAAACAUGUAAUGGGAGCUCCUUUUAAAGCAGUUAACAUUGUUACUUCUAAGAGUGUUAAAGCUUAUGAUGAUGGAGAAUUAGAGUCUCUUGAUGAAGAAAUUCUGUUCUUGUCGAACCAAUCGAGGGUUUCCCGCCCUACCUAUCAAAGGCAAGGUAGGAAUCAAGGAUGGAAGGCAAGGGAUCAUGAUAGAAAUUAGUAUGAUAGAGAUCGUGAUUGAAUAGAUAAGGAUAGUGACUAUGAUCGAUACGUACCUUCACAUGAUAGGUCCAAGGUACAGAGUCAAGAUCCAUUGACCUGAAGAAGUUCAAAAGUGAAAAUGUCCUUGCUCAUAUUUUAAUGGGUGUUGAGGGGAAUGAUAAGAUGGUGAGAGAAAUGAAAAGUGAUUUAUAAAAACUCAAUCAAAUGAUGACAUCUUAUUUGGCCUAUAUCAAGCAACUUGAAACUCAAUUAGGACAAAUAUCGGCAUAACUUAAUGCAAGACAAAAGGUGGAUUGCCUAGUGACAUGAUUGUAAAUCCUAAAAAUGAUGCUAACAUUUUGGCCACUGUUAAUAAGAGUGGUAAAACUCUUGGUAAAGAUAUUGUUGAACUUGACGAAGACCCCAAUGAAAAGGAAAAUGUCUCUAUUGAAGAGAUAAAGAUAGAAACUAUGACUGGUACAUACCUCUACAUGAUAGGUCCAAGGGUAAAGAAUCAAGCUCCAUUGACCUGAAGAAGUUCAAAAGUGAAAAUGUCCUUGCUCAUAUCUUAAUGGGUGUUGAGGGGACUAAUAAGAUGGUAAGGGAGACGAAAAGUGAUUUCUCAAAACUCAAUCAAACAAUGACAUCUCAUUCGACCUAUAUCAAGCAACUUGAAACUCAAUUAGGCCAAAUCUCAUCACAACUUAAUGCAAGUGAAAAUGUGGAUUGCCUAGUGACAAGAUUGUAAAUCCUAAAAAUGAUGCUAACAUCUUGGCCAUUGUUAAUAGGAGUGGAAAAACUCUUGGUAAAUAUAUUGUUGAACUUGACUAAAACCCCAAUGAAAAGUAAAAUGAUGAACAAGCUAAUGAAAAGAAAAAAUGACUAGAAAAGUCAAAUAAUGAUGUUCCAAAGCCUAAUGAGACAAUUACUGAAAAACCAAAGGUAGUCGAAGAAAUGAUUGAAGGUGAGGAAGCUCCUAAAGCAGUUGAUGGUGGUGCUCUAAAUCGGAUGAAACUCCAAUUGAUCCAUUAUCAUAAUUCAAAAUUCCUCCCUCAUUCCCAUAAUAUUUCAAGAAAAAAGAAGAUAAUACCAAGUUCAAGAAAUUCCUUGCAAAAUUUAGCAACUUGUCGGUGAAUAUUUCUUUGUUAGAAGCUUUACAAGAGAUGCCCGGGUAUGCUAAAUUCAUGAAGGACUUGGUAACAAAGAAGUGAGUCAUGAAUUUUGAAACUAUUGAGGUAACCUACAAUUGUAGUGCCAUAAUGUCUAGCACAAGGUGGCAAAGAAAGAAGACCCGGGUGCGUUCAUUAUUCCUUGCAUUAUCAGAGUGUAUAAAUUCAAAAAUCAUUGUGUGAUCUUGGAGAAAGUAUUAAUUUGAUGUCAUUUGCCGUGUUUCAGAAGUUGGGCUUGGGUGCUCCUAAGGCUACCACUAUGAGGCUUUUAAUGGUCGAUUGUUUAAUCAAAAAGCCCAUUGGUGUGUUGUAUGAUGUUUUGGUAAGAGUUGAUCAAUUUAUCUUUUCGGCAAACUUUGUUAUUCGUGAUUGUGAAAUCGAUCAUGAGGUCCUAAUCAUUCUUGGUAGGCCAUUCUUGGCUACCAAAAGGGUUGUAGUUGAUGUUGAAUGUGGUGAAAUAAAGUUUUGGGUGAACAAUAAAGAGGUCACCUUCAAUGUGUGUGUCGACACAUAAUUUUGUCCCUCCUGAACAUCAUUGUCAAAAUUUGAUCCAUUUACUGUAACAUUACCAUACACACUCACCCAUGUGAUAAGUUUGAUACAACAAAUCCAAUAAAUUCAUAAAAACUUUGGACACCUCACCCUAACAAAAAUAACCAUAUACACCACACCCCAUCACCCUUACCCAUAUCACCUCAUCCUACCCCAUCAUGUUUUUUAUUCCACUAACGACUUCAUAUAUAUACUUACUGGAAAAAGAGGGGAAUACUCAUACAACACCCACUAACAACAAUAUACAUACCCAUAUCCACACAUAAAAAAAUUGAUUUCUCCUCCACUGGAAUUUACACAAAGCAACAACAAAAAUACACAUAAGGUACAGAUUGGAGGGAGAAAGAUUGAGAGUAAAAAUAGGGGAGAUUGACAGAAACACAGGAAGAGAUCGGGAUUGAGAGAGAUCAGGGAGAGAGAGGAGAGAAGAGAAAGAAGAAAGAUAAUAGCCAGCGAAUCAGUAAUUUUCAGUGAGUUUCUCGCCGAAAAAUGUUACAACAACAGAAAACUUGACCUAUUCUCCAAUUUUGUCACCGUCUGAGCUCGCUGGAACUCUAACAAAAUAAACCAGUCAUUGCUCUCUUAUUUCCGUCCAAAACCGAUCCCUUUGGGUCAAUUUUAAUGAAAUUACGCUAGAAUAAUCUCAGAUAUGUAACGCCCUAAUUUUCUGAACCGAAAUGCUACAGGUGCUCAUGACCCCGAAGGACCACAAGCUAACCCAUGACUGAUAUCUGUAACUAUAUACUACAUAAUAUAUCAUAAAAUGCAGAAACAUGAACAUGAAAGGCCAUAAGGUUCGAACUGAAUAAACGUCUGAUAACAAAAUGUCUGAAAAAGGUGUAAUAAUACCAAAACAAGUCAUAAAUACUGAAAAUAAUAAGAUCUGAAUAUCUAAUCCGACAUCUAGUCUGAAAGCCUCUAACUGAACUGAAUAAGGUAUUGAAGGAACAUGUCUCCAACUAACUCCAUCUAGCAACUGAAUAGUAAAUGUAGCAAUAAUCAUAUCAUCCUUGAAUGAGAAGGACUCACUACAAACUCUGAAUAUUGGAAUACUUCUGCUGAUCUAGAGCUCGUGCCUCUGAAUCUAUGAUGUAACAUAAGAGAAAGCACCAUAGUAGAAAUAUGUCAGUACGUCUAAAUGUAUUGAGUAUAUGAGUGAGGUAGGCUAAAUGAAAAGGGUUAUAUGCAUGAAUAAUGCUGACUAAUAUGACCGUGAGAAUAUAUACAUCCAUACAUAAUUGUAACUGAACUCGUGGAGAUACUGACUACUGAUUCUGAAUACUGACAACAUGAGUGUACUGAUAUUGAGAUACUGAAUAGAUGAAUGACUAUUUCUGAUAGUUCAAAUUAUGAAGAACCGAUUUGGUUGACUGUGUCUGACAGUCCUGAAGUUAAAUACUGAUAUCAUGAAUUCUAAUAAUUGAUAUGACUAAUACAUGAGUUCAACAAACUGAUAUAACUGAUAUAACUAUGAUGAUCGGCCUAACCGAUAUAACUAAUAUUGAGUGACUGUAUCUGACAGUCUAAGUUCUGAUGGAACUAUCUGAGUUCCAUUCUACUUGGAGUACCUAAAUAUGAGAUCAGACCUAUCUAACGGGUUAUCAUGAGUAUACUAAUAAUAAGGAUGAAUUGACUUAGUCUGAGAUCAGUCUAUCUAGUGGGUGAUCUUUAAAUCUAAUGAUUCUGAUACUGAUUAAUCAUAGUUGAGAUUAGUCCUAGCUAAUGAGUGAUCUUGAAGUCUAUUUACAACGAUAAGCAUUGACUGUAUCUAAUAGUACUGAAUCUGUACUACUAAGCUGAGUUGACUGUGUCUGAAAACCCUGAUUUUAUAACUGAAACUGUGGGAUGUGUUUAUCUAACCGACAUGCCCCAAGCUAAGCUGACUGGGGUCCAAUCUCUGCCCUAACUAGAAGGGUGUCAAUACCGCGCCACCAGUAAAGACAUCUGCUGUGGAGUCAGUCCUAAUCUAACGGGUGACUCCUGGGAUCAGUCCUAUACAUAUAAAUGUGCGAACGGGUGACCCUUGAGUAUGUCAGUCCUAUCUAAUAGGUGACAUCUCAUACCUACGCUGGCUACGUAAUUUUGGAACUUAGGGAUUGCUUCUAAGGAUCUCAGUCCUAAUCUAGUGGGUGAGUCUCCAUCCCUAGGCUCACUCAGUGCUGAAUCCUACUCCCAUCUGAAAGACACUGAACUAAAUAACUACGCUGAACUGAAUAACUAAACUGAAUUGAUUAGCUGAACUAAUACUGAUUAACUAGACUGAUACUAGUGAUAUUGUUUAGCGGAGCUAAACUAAGUUUACUGGAUUCCGAUAAAUGAUGGAAUGUAUUGAGUUCUGAGGACUGGUUAAGAGUACUAAAAUUACUGAGAUUGACUUUGAAUACUGAGGUUACAGAUAUUACUGAGCACUGAGAUCACUGAGAUUACGAAACUACUGAGAUUACUGAGGUUACUGGAUUUUCCUAAGUCACGUGACUGACUGAAUUCUAUAGAUCAUGGAUUGAUUGAGAGUAUCAUGAUAACAUGACAUAGCUCUAGGCACACAACUAUAUUUUCGGGUACAAAUACCCCCAGGACUCGAUGGAAGGAAAUUGACACAACAUGACUGACUUGAUCAUAAGAUUGGAGUCCAUAAUUCACAUUAUCAUAAGUAGGGGAUAUUAUACUUCAUGUAGUUCUUCAACAUCUUAAGAAUGGUAGGGAGUGCAUGGAUAUAUUUCAUGUACAUAUAAUAUAUCUCCAUUAUCAUACAUGUUUCAUACCACAACAAUAGCAAUACAUCAAUAGCAUAGAAUUAGUAUUGAAGUAUAUAGCUAACAUGGACUUGUCAUUUAGAUAUCAUAGAACCAUGUAAACAUGAAUUUCUAGCAUCCUAAGCAUUUUAUCAAACACCUUGCAUGCAUAAUAUCGAGUAUAGGUGUACUUAAUAAAUUUAGAAAUCUUGAACCACCCAAAUUCAUGGGUUUCCAACUAACCUAUUCACAUGAUUCAUGAAAAACACAUCAAGACACAACCUUGAAUCCAAACAACAAUCAUUAACAUGAAUAUAGUCAUAAAACAACAAGGAAAUCACAAUUUAUAAUUUAAAACAUGAUUCUUGAGCUCCAUGGAUAAAAGGGACCCAUGGAUGAAUACUACGCAUACCUUAGAAAAGAAACCUUGAUGAUUUACUGAAGAGUUCUUGGAUUGGGAAACUUAAUUCUUGAUUAUCUUGGAAAAAGGCUUGAAUCUUGCUUUUGAGAGAUGAGUUUGAUGGAAACCCUAAUCUUAUGGUUGAGAGUGUAAGAGAGGGUUUUUGAGAUGCUUAAAUGAAGAAAAAUGGGAAAAAAUUAUGCCUCUUUAGGGUUAUAAGUCGUGGAAGGUGAAGUAAAUGAGAAAAAUACCCUUGCAUAAAUGCCCUUGAAUUGCUGGAAAAAUAUACUUGACGUCAUCCGUGACAGGCCAUCAGGUCCGUGAUAGGACGUCAUGAAUGGUCGUCACAAAAGGGGUCCAAAUUCUUGAUUUUCUACCCAGGGAUGAUGAUGUCAUUAGAAAUAUCAUUAGAAUGUGACGACAUCAUCAAAAAGGUCGUCAGAAACGUGAUAGCCUAUCAGAAGCGUCGUCACCGUUUUCCAGUUUGACAUGGUGGAAUAAAAUGGGGAUAACUCUUUUCUCCGAUAUUGAAUUUAGGAAAAAUUGGUAUAGUUGGAAAGCUAAUUCAAAUAGCUUUCAUUUGAUAUAUAGUAAACCACCCAGUUUGUCAUAUUCAACUAGUUAUGGUCGAUUGAAUUUGACCCAAGUUUUGACGCUCACUAAAACUUGAACGAUAGGAAAGCUUUCAACUUGUACUUGAGUUAGGGGACCUCUAUGGUCUAAAUUCAUGCUCAAAUAGAUUCUCACACUACAUAAUUGAUUAACACACAAAAUUUAUAUAGUAUUUGAGCCUUUUGAAACAUCCACGCAUAGGAAUGACGGAUUUUCAUUCUAGUCCAAAAUUUGGGGUAUUACAGGAUAUUAGCCGAAAAACGCUAGUCAGUUCCCAUACUUAUUUCAGUGAAAACCAUUGGAAAAACAUGUGGGUUGCUUAUUUUUUAGGGAUUUGAGUUGGCAGGUUUGCUGUUGAAGUUUAAUGUGAGGUAUUCCAGUGGUGCUCUAGUCGGAUGAUUCGAGAUUGAAUUCAAAUUGAGGUCCAAUUCUUCUCUUGUUCUCUUUUAAUUUCAUUAUAUUUAUUUGUUUUCAUAUGCUUACGAUGGAAAGUUCUUGAAUAUGUGUUCGAUGUGAUCAUGUUAAAUUAUUGAGAUUGUUUUGAAUGUAUUCGGAUAAGGAAAUCGAAUAUGAUUUGAUUAAUAAUUGCUUAAUUUUGAUUUGGAUGAGAAAUUGAUAAUUUGAGAAUAGAAUUAAGGGUGGUAAUUGAAAAUUGAAUAAGUGAAUAUUGAUUUAUGUCAAUUAAUUAAUGGUUGUUUAAUUUGAAAUAAAUGUCGAUUUGUUGAACGCGAUAGUAUCGUGUCUAAGUCGAGACUUGGUAGGCAAACAGUAGGUUGGGUAGGCAAAUUUAGGAAUUGUGGAUUGUGGAAUGUUUGAAUGUUUGUUGAAUGAUUUUGUUUUAUCGCAUUUGAAUCAAUUGUACUUAUUUGGCCGGGGAAUGUCCCGAGAAAAAUUAUAUUCAUUCAUUGGGGAAUGCCCCAAAGUGUCAUGUACACAAAUGUGGCUUGUGAUCAAGGCCCAAGGCUUCAUGUAAAUCAUAUCUAGGACAAUUAUAAUAGUUUAGAUUUUGUUUCAGCAUUUUUAUUUCGGUUUGUAAUAAUUUGGACUGGACACUGUUUUGAAUUUUUGAUUAUUUUUGUUAUUUGUUUCCUUGUUUAUGUGUUUUGUUGGUUUAUACAUUACAUAGUGUCAUACUAGGUGAUAUAGUUCACGGAGAGACUGUGGUUGAACCAUGGGACCGAGUGGUGCCUAACACCUUCCCCUCAGUCAACAGAAUUCCUUAACUGGAAUUUCUAUUUGUGGACCAGUUUUGAAAGAGUCAAAAAUUAUUUUGAAAAAGCAUUUCCAAAGGUGACUUGGCACACUUGAUUUAUGCCAAGUGGUGACUCUGAGUUUUGAUUAAAAGUCCUUUUGGAAAUAAAUUGUUUUCUUUUUGUCACUUAAUAAUAAAAACCCUUUCAAACUUAAAAUCAAUCUUUUUGGUAAAAAAAAAAAGGUGUGACAGAUCUGGUGACUCUGUUGGGAAAUUUUUGAAUUCGAGCUUUAUUUUGAGUUGUAUCGGCUUAGUGUGACACUAUAGGUGUAUAGAUGUUUUGUUUGUGUUAUCGUUUGUGUUAUUAUUUUAUCAUUGUUGAGUGCCUACAUGCUAUGUGUUUAUAGUUUUUCUCUUAUGUAUUACUGUUUUAGGAGAGGGAGCCGUCAGCUGGUAUGAAGUUGGUGGAAAGCUAUCGCAGCUACCAUCGUCUAUACGCUCCCCCGAACAGCCUUUUUAGUGGACCUCAACCUUUAGGUCAUGCUUAUCUACAUCAUAUUGAGAUCUAGCAGGACCCACUCGGUCUUUCGCAGGAGACUCACCCAUAAAGCAUCCUUACGUGCUAAUUAUUGCAUCUUUGAAGAUAACAGGGUCAUUUGAUGGACUGAUUUAAGAAAAAGCAUGAGCUAGAAUUAAAGAAAAGUGUGUAGGCAAAUAAAGGUUGAAAAAAAAGGGAAAAAAAAAAAGAAAAAAUGAGUCAAGAAAAAUAGUUUCGUAGUUUUUAGAGUUCUUUAUGACUUUUGUUUUUCAUAAUCCAAAAAUUUAAAAAUGUUUUUUAUCUUUUGCACUCAUUCUCUCAAAAAAAACAUCAAAAAGAUUUUUCUUUUAUUUUUUUAGCAAGCAUUCAUAAUUUGAAAAUUUUAAAAAAGAUUUUUUUCAAUAGGAGCUUUUUAUAAGAGAAAAAAUCAAAAAAAGAUGGUAGAAGUUUUGUAGAUUUCAUAUAACGAAAAUACUAAAAAAAAAUUAUUUCAUAGUUUUUGGUGUCAGUUUUAUGUGAAGUAUCAAAUUGAAAAUGCCAAAAAAAAUUUAUUGACGUUUUUCAUCGUCUAUCUUUCGUCGUGUCUCUCAAGUCAUGGUUUAGUUGGUUAUUUAAUCCUUAAUUGUCCAAUCUGGACAAACUACGCACACCUGAUUUUCCUCUCUUGAGAGUGAGAUACGUAUGAAGACCUUCGUGGGUUCGAUGAUAUUAUUUUAAAAAUUCAAAAAAGAUUUUCUUCACUCUUCAUUUAGAGUAUGUUUUUCAAUACAUCUUUAAAAAAAAACUAUAAAAAGAUUUUCUUUAAUAGUUUCAAGUUUUAUUUUCCUAUGAAAUUCUAAAAAAUCCAAAAAGAUUAUUCUUUGAUAAUCAUAGGUCUCAUUUUGUAUAGGCAUUGUAAGGCUAAAAAUAAUUCAAAAAAUUUUUUGCCAACUCUCUUGACAAUUUUUUUUCUUCUUAAAGUUUAUAGAAAAAAAGAAAGAGAGUUUGAUUGGUCAUUUUGUGGACAAACUUCAUGAACUACGAAAAACUGAUUCUACCCUUUCGGGGGUGAGAAACGUAGGCGCCCUUUUUGGGUUUAGUGAUCUUUUCAAAAGCAAAAAAAAAAAGAGAAAAUGAUUUUGAGGAAGUGUUGAACUCUAAUGCUUUUGUUAUCUCUUGUUUAUUUAGUUUAAUGUGGUUGGUUUGUGGCAUUCUGGAUGGUCCUCCAUAUCACACCAAAUCCAAGGAAAGGUUAGUUGUGUCUAACAAGGAUAUAGAGAGUGACAUCAUAGAUCAAACAAAAAGUCAGUAAAGUUAGAGUUUAAAGCAAGAGAUUGUAAGGCUAAGACAACAAAUGAUGGAAAUGUAUCGAGCUUGGGUCAGUGAGCUGCCUCCUCCUCCAUUCCCCAUUAUUGACCACGUAAAUACCUUAAUCUUCAGUCAUAAUUGCAAAGUUAGUUUCCACUGUUAUUGAUGCACCACGAUAUGCCUCAGCAUUCACUCCAAGCCAAAAGCAUCCCAAUGCUUCCAUCACUCAUUCUCUAGCUCUUUAGUAUAAAUCUACAAUAUUGAUAGCACCAUCUAUCGUCUCUGCUUCUGCUGCUCAACUCUCUAUUGAGGCUCCUACCUUGGCUUUUCAUCCAAUGAUUGUGCUUUCCCAAUCUUCUAGUGAGUCAAUAUUCAAUACUCUUGAUGAUUACUAUUAUAUUCCUGAGCCCAUAUCUACGUUAAUUGGACCACCAAAAUUUCUUACCAAGAAGUCUGACAUGGCAGAAGAGCAAGAGAAAAUGGCUAGGAAAAUUAAGAGUGUAGAAAAGGCUAUGAAAAAUUCUCUGGGACUUAGGAAUUGAGAAGAUUUUGCAUAUAAGGAUUGGGGCAUGUCUUCAAGUAUUAACCUCCUUCCCAACUUUAAGGUAUUAAAAUUUGAGGAGCAUAAUGGGUAGGAAUGAAGAAAAGAAGAAGUAGAAUGUAGCUAUUGUUGUGUCUGGGCCACAACGGAGCUUGAGAGGGUUAAAUCAACAAUACCGUCAGCCUCAGCCCCAAACCUGUACAUCAGAUCCACAUGCUCACCUGCAACAAGGUUCCUCGUUGCAAAAUUCAAGAUAUUUCAUUCCACUUCCUCGGUAUCUUUUGAAUAAUGCACAACGGUAUACUCAUCCGUCUUCUUAUCCACAAUAGCAUACACUGAUCCCUCAACAUCGUCCUCAACCCCCAUAUAUUUACCAAGAAACUUCUAAGUCCAAGUUUCAACCAAGUCUGGAGUUUGCAAGAUAUUUCACACCAAUUGGGGAAUGUGUUUGAUAGCGGUGAAAGUUCUAGUCAUGAUGAUGUGUAAAUCAAGGGCUAAGAUGUCAAGCUCAGCAGUUGGAAAGUCACUCCCCUCCUUACCAGGAAAGAUUAUUGGUAGUUUGUUUUAUUUUUCUUUCUAUUUUCUAAAUUAUAUGAGGGUUGUAGUUCAUAAUCUAUCUUGUUUUGUUUCUCUUUCAUCUUUAUUUAAACCUUUAAAUCUUUCCUUCCAUUUGAAAUGUGGUGUCCCUUAUUGUUUUGUCUUAUUUAAAGGUAUUUGUUUGUUUUCUUUACACAAUACAUUUUAUGUUGGUUCUAGUGUUAUGAUAUGUCUGUGGAAUUUUCAGUCAGAUCUUAAAAUCUAGGUUAAUCAAGAAACACUAAAUCAGAGGGCUAAAGUUAGAAAAAAAAAGACAUCUGAGAAAUAAGAGAGUGUUAAGACAUUUGGUGACCAUGUUGAUGCCUUUUUUCAAAAUUAAUACAAUUAUUUUGAAAACCACAAGAAUAACUUGGUCAUCAAUGAAAAAGCAUAGCUCAAUUAGGUUAAAUAGUAGAUGCUUGAUCCCUAUAUCAAGAGGAAUAGAAAGAUAAUCAGCUCUACGAAAGCAUGGAUCAUUCGAUGUGAGGGAUGUGUAACAAAGGUGGAGUUGUAUGUUUGACAAGUGUAGAAGAAGAAGUGGCACACAUUCUCAGUUAAAGUUAGUGUUGUCAAAGUGUCACAAAUGACAUCUUUCACUUCAUAUUUCAUGAUGUGUACUGGCAUUUUCAAGGAUUGAUAUGACGAAGGCAUUUUAUUCUACUAUCCAAACAUUGUGUCAUUCUAUGUUUACCCUAUUUGGGUUUUAGUGUUAUUUUCAUUCAUAUCCCUCUUUUGGAAUCAAGAUAGAGUCAGCAAAGCUCAAAAGAAAAGUGUCGAGCAAAAUAAUAGAGUCAAAAAAGUUUUUUUUUGUAAAAGAAAAACAUGUGUCAAAAAGGAAGAAAAGAGAUGAGUGCCAAGAAAAAUAAAGUAAGAAAAGUUCCAAUAAUAAAAAGAGUCGAUAAAAAAGAUACCAAAAAAAAAACAAGAAAUUAGAGUCAAGCAAAAAAACAAGUUAUCAGAACUACGUUUGACCUAAUUCACCUCUUUCGAUGGUGAGAUACAUAGGUAGCCCUACUUUGGGUUCGGUCCAACCAAAUAAACAAUUCUAAAUUGCCUAGUUAAGAAAACUGGGGCAUAGGUUAAUUUCCAUUAUUUCAGUUGAUUCCAAAAGUUGUAAGUCCUAACCUACUUCAAGUGUCGUUUGAGCCUCAUACCAUUUUUUUAUAACAUUUAUCCAAAAGCCAAGUUACAACCAAAUAAAGAUCUUCAGAUCAAUCUUUGAGAAUGAUAAGGCUAAGCAUGCAAUGCAUAUGAUGAUACAUUUUGGGAACUACUUGUCUUCCUUAGCAUAACGAAUCAGAAAAGAAAUAAAAUGAAAGAGUUUUAUUAGUGAAAACCCUCACGGACACCGUAAGAUGAUUGUGAGUUGAGAGAAUGAAAUAAGAGAGUCUUAUUGGUGAAAACCCUCACAGGCACCAUAAGAUGAUUUUGAUUUGGAUAAGAAUAAAAAUGAGAGAAUCUUGAUGGUGAAAACCCUCACGUACACUGUAAGCAAUGGUGAGCUGAGGAAAAUAUAAAUGGGAGAGGCUUGUUGGUGAAAACCCUCAAGACGCAACUAGCCGAAUGAGGUCUAUGAGUGCAAUUGGCCUAUGGAAGCAACUCAAUUUAGGGUCAUUAACUCAACAACAAUUGGUGAAAGUUUGGAUGGAAAGAUAGGGAAGCUUAAUCCAAAAUGCAUGUCAUAAUCAUUAGUGUUGACUGCCACUUUCAGAUAAAUUUCUCUUUUCUCUAUUUCAAUGAAGACAUUCAUUGUCUGUUCUUUCUUCUUUAUAUUUUUAUUUUUGUUAUCUUGAGUCAGUUAUUCAAAUGAAAAGUCAUUUUUCUUAUAUCUUUGAGUCAAAUCAAUAUCAAAGCACGUGAGAAAAGAUUUCAAAAUUGGCUACCAAUGUAAUGCCCCGAGUCUGUACCCCGGACGCUACAUGGUGCUCAUAAUCUCAAAGGACCAUGAGCUAACCCAUGACUGGUACCUUCUAUAAUAAAUGAGUAAUAACAUGUUAUAAUGCAGAAUAAUGGGCUAAAAUACCAUAAGGUUCAAAUAACUGAAAUAAAAAUGAGAUAAGGUAUCUCAAUACCAAAACUAAACAACUGUCUGAACAUCUAGUCUGAAAAGCCUCUAGCUGAACUGUCUUAACUGUGGAGUUGAUGGGAUAAUCCCCCAACUAACUCCAUUUACUGAAAUGUUGAAUGUAAUGAGAUAAUAAAAUAAAAAAAUAUCCUCGAAUAAUGAGGACUCACUGCUAGUCUACUGCUGCUGGUUGAAUCUAAAUCUAUCUACGCGUGAUUGAGAACUUGAGCAUCCGAACCUAUGGUAUAAAACACCAUAGCGCAAGAGAAAAGUAUGUGUCAGUACGUGUGAAUGUACUGGUAUGCAAAGUAAGGUAAGCUGAAUGCAAGGGUUCACAUGCAUGAACUAUAACUACUGAAUAACAUGAACAUGGCUGAGUGAGAAAUAAAUGCAUGAAUACAGGAGCUGUAACUAAAGUCAUAAUAAUACUAAAUAUUGAGUUUAUUGGUAACAUGGAUUACUGAUAAUUGAUGUACUGAUAACUGAUAUACGGUUACUGAGUGACUAUUUUUGACAGUCCUGGCUCUGAUGGAACUAGCUGAGUUCCAUACUGAGCUGAAUAAUUGUAUCUGGUAGUCCUAAAAUCUGUAGAACUAUUUGAGUUCUUUACUGAUGACUGAGACUAAGACUGUGGGAAGUAAUCAUCUAACCGACAUGCCCCUUUUUAACUGAUUUGGAGUCCAACCUAUAACCCUAGUUGGAAGGGUGUCAAUACCAUACCACGGGUAAGGAGAGUUACCCUCAUUUGUCAAGUACUCUAAUGAGAAUGAUGGGACCCUCAACUAACAAGUUAAGCCACCUCAUCAACCCUUAUCUGGCAGGUUUGAUGUCUUAACCUACGCUGGCUAUGUAAUUCUGGAACAUAAGGACUGCUUCUAAGGAUCACACCCUCUACUAGCAGGUGAGCCCUCAUCCUGGGGUUCACUCGGUGCUGAAUUCUACUCCCAACUGAAUAGACACUGAACUGAGUACACUAGACUGAACUGGACUGAGUUUACUGAGUUUCGUUGGCUGAUGGAAUACUACUGAAUUCUGUUGACUGACUGAGUUUACUGAGGCCUAAACUAAAUACUACUGAGUUUUUUCUGAAUUCUGAGACUGGCUGAGAGUACUACUGAUCUUGACAUGACUGAGAUGAAUUUUGUAACUGAUACUAGAUCUAGGCACACAGCUAAUUUAUUGAGUAUUAAAUACCCCCAGGACUCGAUAGCAUGAAUAUAAUAAGACAUGACAAUUAUUGAAUACUUGACAAUGGUCAACAACUCACAAUAUAAUUUAUAAGGCAUUUCAUCAAGCACUUGAAAGUCAUGAACUUGCACAUAAAUAGGAAUACAUGCUAACAUGCCAUAAUUUCAUUAAACUAAUCUCAUGAAUAUUCCAUCAAACACUUACAAGGCAUAGUUUUAUACUUGGACAUGAACAACAAUUCUAAUACAUCAUGACUACCAUAUUAAUUCAUAAUUCAGGGUUUUCUACCUAAGAGAAUCAAAAUUCAACUUGCAUGCCACCAUAAUAUCAAGAAAUACAUUAAAGAUUUCAACUUGAAAUAAUACCACAACAUCAACAUGAUUACAUUCAAACCCACAACAUGGACAUCACAACAUAUGUUUUUAAAAGAAGUUUCUUAAACUCUAAGGGUGGAAGGGACCUUUGGAUGAACACUUUACAUACCUUAUUGCUUGAAUUUGGAAAGAUUGAUGGUGAAAUCUCUAAGAUUUAAUUCUUGGAUUGAUAGCCCUAGGGUUUUAUUCUUGGGGAUUUUAUGAAAAAUGAUUGUAUUAUGCCUCUAAAGGGGCUAAACUUCGUGUUAUGGGGGUUGAAGGCCGUGGAAAAAAGACCCAAUUACCCCUUGAUACGUGACUUUUAAAUGACUAAAAAACUGGGUUAUCGACGCGUAGGUCGACGCGACGUGUCGAUGGCAUCGAUGCAAUAAUCAAUGCAUCGGGCCAAGUUAGCGCCGACUCACUGGAAUUUAAUGCUGGUGGCUGGGAAAAAUAUUAACCAAUGCGAUAGUCGAUACGACACGCCAAGAUAAUGUUGGUUCACUAUUUUGGGAUUCCAAAGGAUGUUCAAACGAAGUUCGAAAAAUCCAAAACUCGUUUGGGUUCACCUAUUGACCUUCCUGAUCAAGAAUUAACUUAAAUAUAGAUAUUUAAAGGACAUUAAGGUCGCGAAGUAUAAGCGCCAACUUUCGAAGGCUAAAAAUAUAACUAAGUCAGAAUACUUAGCUAAAUAUUCUAAGUUUGGGACCCCUUUACAAGCUUAAAAGACUGAAUUAAGUUAGAAAUUUUGCUGGGUUUUACAAUAUCUCCCCCUUGGGAACAUUCGUCCUUGAAUGUGAUGGACUGAACUGAGAGUACUAGUAAGCUAAAUCUACUUACUAGACAUGGACAUCUGGGACAUGACUAUAGGACUGGUAUUACUGAUAUACUGAAUUACCACACUAAACAUGCAUAUCAGAUGCAUGAGUACAUAACUGAGCUGAUUCAUGAGUACAUGACUAGGAUUUCUGAUAAGCUAAGUUUCUCAUACUGAACAUGCAUAUCUGAUGCAUGGAUAUAUGAUUGAACUAACUCAUGAACAUAUGACUGAAUAUGUAAUGGUAUUUGAUACCAAGUUUGUAACUGAAAUCUAAACAUGAAACUAAAUAAGCUUAGGGAAAACUAUUACCUUGGGUUGAGUCUGAGUUUGCAGAGAAGAGGUAAGUAUACUUGGUCUGCAUGUCUGCUUCUGCUUCCUAAGUAGCUCCCUCAAUGGACUGAUUCCGCUAAAGAACUUUGACUAGAGGGGCUUCUUUGUUCCUCAAUCUGCGAGUCUGAUAGUCAAGGAUUUUGACUGGAAUCUCUUCGAAGGAGAUUUUGUUUUGAAUAUCUAUGCCCUCUAUAGGGACUACAACUGCUGGGUCACCGAUGCACUUCUUUAGCAAGGAGACACGAAACACAGGAUAGACUGAAGCUAGAUCUGAAGGCAAUUUGAGAUCAUAAGCUACUUUGCCAAAACGACUAAGAACUUUGAAGGGACUGACAUAUCGGGGACUGAGCUUUCUCUUCUUAAUGAACCUCUUCACUCCUUUCAUGGGGGAGAUUUUCAAAUGCACAUAAUCACUAAUCUCAAACUUGAUAUCUUUUUUACGCAUAUCUGUGUAUAAUUUUUAUCAGAUCUGAGCUGUCUUAAGCCUUUCUCUGAUCAAUUGAACUUUUUCUAAGGUAUCGAAUACUAGGUCAGGUCCUACAACUGUGGCCUCACCUACUUCAAAUCAAGCAAUUGGAGAUCUACAUCUCCUACCAUAGAGAGCUUUAAACGGAGCUAUCGGAAUACUGGAAUGAUAGUUGUUAUUAUAUGCAAACUCAAUCAAAGGCAAGUGGUCGUCCCAACUACCUUUAAAAUCUAUCGCACACGCUCACAGCAUAUCUUCGAAAGUAGGAAUGGUCCUUUAUUCUUGACCAUCUGUCUGGGAUUGAAAGGUUGUACUGAGAUAAACUCGGGUACCAAGUCCCUUUUGGAAUGCCUUCCAGAAAUGAGAGGUGAACUGGGUACCUCUUUCUGAGACAAUGAACAAUGUAACACCGUGUAAUCUGACCAACUCUCUGAUAUAGAGUUUGGCAUAAUCCUCGACUGAAUAUGAGGUAUGGACUAGAAGAAAGUGAUAUGAUUUGGUCAACUUAUCUACGAUGACCCAAACUAAAUCGUGUUGACGACGAGUACGAGGCAAACCCAUCACAAAGUCCAUGUUCACUUCUUCUCACUUCCAAGUAGGGAUACUAAACUCCUGUAUGGACCCACUUGGCUUCUGAUGCUCAGUCUUAAACUACUGACAUUUUGAGAACUUAGCCAUGAAUUCUGCAAUAUCUCUCUUCAUCCCACUUUACCAAUAUAUCUCCUACAAAUCGUAGUACAUCUUAGUGGCCCCUAGAUGAAUAGAGUAACACUCACCAUGCGCCUCUGCAAGAAUUUGCUGCCUCAAGUCAUCCACACCUGGCACACAAUAGAUGACCCUGAUAAUGCAAAACACCAUUUCCCCCUUGGGAGAAAACCUCUACCUUUUGAUCUCUGACUGACUCAUUCAACUUGACUAAAUUGGGAUCUCUAUCCUAUUUUUCCUUUACUUCAGAAACUAGAGAUGAUUCUAAACUGUUUAAAACCCACACAUUACCUUCUGCUGAAUCGACUAAGCGGACACCUAGUCGGACAAGCUGAUGAACUUCCUGAACUAACUUCUUCUUACUGUCCUCAACAUGAACAACACUACUUAUAGACAGUCUACUGAGAUCAUCAGCCACUAUAUUGGCCUUGCCCAGGUAAUAAAGGACACUCAUGUUGUAGUCUUUCAAAAACUCCACCCAUCUUCUCUGAUGGAGGUUUAAGUCUUUCUGAGAAAACACAUACUAAAAGCUUUUGUGAUCUGUGAACACAUCUAUAUGCACCCUAUAUAAGUAGUGCCUCCAAAUCUCUAAGGCAAAUACUACUGCUACUAACUCGAGAUCAUGAGUCAGAUAAUUCUUCUCAUGGGGCUUAAGCUGUCUGGAGGCCUAGGCUAUGACCUUACCAUGCUGCAUGAGAACACAACCCAAAACUACUCUGGAUGCAUCAUAGUAUACCAAAAACCCAUUCGAACCAUCUGGAAGAUUUAGAAAUGGAGUUAAGGUGAGUCAAGUAUUCAACUCCUAAAAACUCUUCUCACAUGAAUCUGACCACUGAAAUUUGACUUUCUUCUGAGUCAAUCUGGACAUAGGGGAUGCAAUAGACAAAAAUCCCUCAAUAAACCACCUGUAAUAGCCAUCCAAAUCCAAGAAACUCCUGAUAUCUGAUGGAGAGAUGGGUCUGGGCAAGUUUCUCACUAUUUUGAUCUUUUGGGGAUCAAACCUAAUGCCAUCACCGGAGACAAUAUGACCAAGGAAUAGCCAAAAUUUUCACUUACUGAAUUUGGUGAACAACUGACAAUUUUUGAGAGUCUACAAUAUUAUUCUGAGAUGGUCUGCAUGAUCAUGCUCACUACGGGAGUAAACAAGAAUGUCAUCUAUGAAGACUAUGAUGAACAUGUCCAAGUACUGCUUGAACACACGAUUUAUCAAGUCCAUAAAGGCUAUUGGGGCAUUGGUAAGACCAAAGGACAUGACUAAGAAUUCGAAGUGACCAUACCGAGUUCUGAAAGCUAUUUUUAGGAUGUCACACUCUCUGACUCUGAGCUGAUGAUAGCCCGAUCUGAGGUCUAUCUUAGAGAAGUAAUUGGCUCCCUAAAGUUUGUCAAACAAGUCAUUAAUUUUGGGAAAGGGAUACUUGUUCUUAAUUGUGACCUUAUUGAGCUGACGGUAGUCUAUGCAUAUUCUGACAGAACCAUCUUUCUUACGCAUGAAUAAAAUUGGCACACCCCACGGGGACACACUGGGUCUGAUGAAUCCCUUGUCUAAGAGAUUCAUCAACUGUUCUUUUAAUUCUCUGAGUACUACAGGUACCAUUCUGUAUGGCAGAAUAGAUAUGGGCUGAGUGUCCAGGAGAAGGUCUAUUCCGAAGUCAAUUUCCCUUUUAGGAGGAACUCCGAGAAGAUCUUCUGGAAACAUAUCUAAAUAUUCAUUCACCACUGGAACUGACUCAAGACUAGGAGUUUCUAAACUAGAGUCUCUGACUCACACAAGAUGAUAGACGCAUCCCUUAGAUAUCUUUUUUCUUACCCUUAGGUAGGAAACAAGCUGACCCUUAAAGGAUAAAGUACUACCUCUCCACUCAAGGACAGGUGUAUUCAAAAACUAAAAAUAGACAAUUCUAUUUCUACAGUCGACUGAGGCAUAGCAGGAAUAAAGCCAAUCCAUGUUGAGAAUGACAUCAAAAUCGAUCAUCUUUAAUUCGACUAAGUCUGUUGAAGUGACUUUCUGAGAUAUCAUAAUCAGAUAGUUCUUGUAUAUCCGCCGAUCUAGGAUAGAUUUACCCACUGGGGUAGAGACUGGGAAAGGCUCUACUAGAAUUUUGGGACUAACUCCAAAAUCAACUGCUAUAUAAGGAGUAACAAAAGGCAAGGAAGCUCUUUGAUCUAGCAAAGCAUAAACAUGUAUAUGAAAGAUCUGUAACGUACCAGUGACCACAUUAGGAGAAUUUUUUUGAUCCUUUUGGGACUGAAGAACAUAGAGUCUAUUUGGACGCUGCCUACUGGUGGCACUGGAUGAGCCACCCUGCUGAUUCGAGCGACUGGACUGAGCUGGAGGAUAAUUAUGCUAACCCUGAAAACCUGACUAAGGACAAUCUCUAACUCUGUGGCCUGAAUUACCACAUUUGAAACAUACAUCACUGCCAGCCCUACAGACACCCUGAUAGUUAUUACCGCAAGUCUGACAAAAAGGAUUGGUUCGGGUACUGCUUACACUGCCCUGAGGUUUAGGGCCUGAUGCCUUAUCUCUAUUGCAGUCUCUAAAUUUUGGCACCGAAGCACUGGCUGAGGUUGGAGAUGGAACUAAAGAUUUCGAGAUAAACUAAGAAUGGUUCCCACCCUCUAACUUAGGCUAAGUAAAGUAGAAGCUACCCAUUCUAGCUCUCUUAUUCUACUUUUCUCUCUCCUUAUUCUUCCGCUCCUCUAUCUACUAAGCAUGGAUCAUCAGCCUAUCCACAUCCAUCUAACUGAUCAAUAUUGACGUCUUGCACUCUUUAACCAUACUAUCAUUUACUUCAGACAUAAACUUGCUCAUUCGGGAUCUACUAUCUGUCACCACAUAAGGAGAAUAUCUAGCUAAUUGAGUAAACUUGAGAGAAUACUCUUUCAUUGUCAUAUUGCCCUGCUUUAGAUUAAUGAACUCUAACACCUUAGCUUCUCUCAGCUCUAGGAGAAAGAAUCUAUCUAGUAAAGCAGUGGCAAACUCCUCCCACUCUAUGGGCCCUAAAUCUACUGUCCUCUCUACUUUCCACUAUUUGAACCAAGCGUGAGCCACAUCCUAUAAAUGACAUGCAGCUAACUCAGCACUCUCACAAGAUGUCACCCCCAUAAUAUUUGUAACCUUCUGCACCUGAUCAAGGAAUUACUAAGGGUCCUCAUCUAACUUAGACACUGUGAAAGACUGAGGGUUCAUUUGGCUGAAGUCCUAAAUCCUGGCUACUGUAAUAUUAGCCACUGGGUUGGCCGGAACGACAGCUGGACAUUCAUUCUGAGUAGAAAUUGAAUAACCUAGGGUGGUGAAAGUUGCUUUGAACUCAGCAUGGGAGACAUGCUCACCCAAAGAAUUUGGUUGUUCUGGCUGAGGGGCUGACUGAUCUCCCAUUCCUCUUCCCUGAGUCCUUUUUGGAGGCAUUUUCUAUAGAUGGAAGAGAAACUUAGAUUAAAAGAGAGUUUAUCUGGAGCUCAUGCUCACUCGCAUAAUAUGAAUACUAAAAGAAAGGAAACUAUUCCUAAAAAAUCUCGUAGCCUCCUAUCCAUAAGUGUGGCUCGCUACACAGCCAGGCACAAGACUAUACUAGGUAUGACUUACAGACUUCCUAGGACACUGUUGAACCUUAGGAUCUGAUACCAAAUUUUUAAUGCCCCAAGUCUGUACCCCGAACGCUACAUGGUGCUCAUAAUCCUGAAGGACCACUAGCUAACCCAUAACCGGUACCUACAGAAAUAACAGAGUAAAAAUACGUUAUAAUACAGAAUAAUGGGUUAAAAUUCCAUAAGGUUAAAAUAACUAAAAUAAAACUGAGAUAAGGUAUCCCAAUACCAAAACUGAACAGCUGUCUGAAUAUCUAGUCUGAAAAGCCUCUAGCUGAACUGUCUGAACUGUGGAGUUGAUGGGACAAUCCCCCAACUAACUUCAUCUAUUGAAAUACUAAAUGUAAUGAGAUAAUGAAAUAAAAAAAUAUCCUCAAAUAACGAGGACUCACUGCUAGUCUACUGCUGCUGACUGAAUCUGAAUUUAUCUAUGAGUGAUCGGGAACCUGAGCAUCCGAACCUAUGGUAUAAAACACCAUAGCAUAAGAGAAAAGUAUGUAUCAGUACGUGUGAAUGUACUGGUAUCCAAAGUGAGGUAGGCUGAAUACAAGGGUUCACAUGCAUGAACUAUAUCUAACUAGACAACAUGAACAUGGCUGAGUAGAAAUACGUGCAUGAAUAUAAGAGCUUUAACUAAAGUCAUAAUAAUAGUGAAUACUGAGUUUACUGGUCAUAUGGAUUACUAAUAACUGAUGUAUUGAUAACUAAUAUACUGUUACUAAGUGACUAUUUCUGAUAGUCUUGACUCUGAUGGAACUAUCUGAGUUCUAUACUGAGCUAAAUGACUAUAUCUAACAGUCCUAAAAUCUGUAGAACUAUCUAAGUUCUUUACUGAUGACUAAGACUGAGACGGUGGGAAGUAAUCAUCUAACCGACAUGCCCCUUUUUAACUGAUUUGGGGUCCAACCUGUAACCCCAGUUGGAAGGGUGUCAAUACCGUGCCACGGGUAAGGACAAGCUGAGAGUUACCCUCAUCUUUCAGGUACUCUAAUGAGAAUGGUGGGACCCUUAAUUGACAGGUUAACCCACCUCAUCAACCCUCAUUUGGCAGGUUUGAUGUCUCAACCUACGCUGGCUAUGUAGUUCUGGAACACAACGACUGCUUCUAAGGAUCACACCUUCUACUGGUAGGUGAUCCCUCAUCCUUGGAUUUACUCGGUGUUGAAUCCUACUCUCAACUAAAUAGAUACUGAACUAAGUACACUAGACUGAAUUGGACUGAUUUUACUGAGUUCCGUUGACUGACAGAAUACUACUGAAUUCUGUUGACUAACUGAUUUUACUGAGGCCUGAACUAAAUACUACUGAGUUUUUCUUGAAUUCUGAGACUAGCUGAGAGUACUAUUGAUCGUGACAUGACUGAGAUGAAUUCUAUAACUGACACUUGCUCAAGGCACACAGCUAAUUUAUUGGGUAUUAAAUACCCCCAGGACUCGAUAGCAUGAAGAUAAUAAGACAUGACAAUUCUUGAAUACUUGACAAUAUUCAACAACUCACAAUAAAAUUUAUGAGGCAUUUCAUCAAGCACUUGAAAGUCAUAAACUUGUACAUAAAUAGGAAUGCAUGCUAACAUGUCAUAAUUUCAUUAAACUAAUCUCAUGAACAUUCCAUCAAACACUUACAAGGCAUAAUUUUAUACUUGGGCAUGAACAACAAUUCUAAUACAUCAUGAACACCAUAUUAAUUCAUAAUUCAGUGGUUUCUACCUAAGAGAAUCAAAAUUCAACUUACAUGCCACCAUAAUAUCAAGAAAUACAUUAAAGAUUUCAACGUGAAAGACAUACCACAAUAUCAAAAUGAUUACAUUCAAACACACAACAUGGACAUCACAACUUAUGUUUUUAAAAGAAGUUUCUUGAACUCCAAGGGUGGAAGGGACCCUUGGAUUAACACUUUACAUACCUUAUUGGUUGAAUUUGGAAAGAUUGAUGGUGAAAUCUCUAGUAUUUGAUUCUUGGAUUGAUAUCCCUAGGGUUUUAUUCUUGAGGAUUUUAUGAAUAAUGAUUGUAUUAUGCCUCUAAAGGGGCUAAACUUCGUGCUAUGGGGGCUGAAGGGCAUGGGAAAAAGACCUAAUUACCCCUUGAGAUGCAGCUUUUAAAUGACUGAAAAACUGGGUUAUCGACGCACAGGUCGAUGUGGCACGUUGAUGAUAACCAACGCAUCACGCCAAGUUAGCGUUAACUCACUAGAAUUUGACACUGUUAGCUGGAAAAAAUAUUAACCAACGCAAUAGUCUAUGCGACGCGCGAAGAUCACUUUGGUUUACUAUUUUGGAAUUCCAAAGGAGCUUCUAACGAAGUCCGAAAAAUCUGAAACUUGUCUGGGUUCACCUAUUGACCUUCCUGAUCAUGAAUUAACUCAAAUAUAGGCAUUUAAAGAACAUUAAGGUCUCAAAGUAAGAGAGGCAACUUUUGAAGGCUAAAAAUAUAACUUAGUUUGAAUAUUUAGCUAAAUAUUCUAAGACUGGGACCCCUUGACAAGAUUAAAGGACUGUAUUAAGCUAGAAAUUUUGCAGGGUCUUACAACCAACUUCUUUAAUCGUACAAAAUAAUACAAAAGUUCAGCACGUGAAAAAGACAUGAUUAUGAGCUGAAACAAAGCAUGCAGAAAGUUUUGUCAACAGAUAAGUCUGGAAAUUCAUGAAAAUAUAAAGGUUCAAAGGAUUCAUCUGAGAAGCAUAUCAAAACAGAGAUAUUGUGUUUGUUUUAGAGUCACUCUUAAUAAUCUGAGUUUGGAUCAAUGGUGCAGCAAGUCAAUGACAUAUGCUAAUGAUUAUAAGCGAGAUUAAAUAUGACAAGUGCAAAACGAUCGCCGCGAAAGCUAAAGCCACAAACCAGACACCAUGUUUUUAAACUCACAAGUUUUCAUUGUAUGAAAUAGGAACAUAUUUUACCUUCAAAUCAAGGAUUCCAAAGCCUAAACAUCAAAGGUUGUAAUUUUUCAUUUCUACAAAUGUAAGAGGAAAAGUUGUUGCACAGGUUUGGUAAUCAAAUCCAUGGUAAAACUCAUAAUCCAAUAUCUCUAGGGGACAGACUUCCUUGUCCAGGUAAUUCAGGUUCAUUUAUUAGGUGAUGCACUUCCUAAAUUGAACCUUCACUCUUAGAAGUCGAACUUUCUAGUUGAUUCCUUUCAUAUAAUCUUUAGGAGACGCACUUCCUUGUCUGAGUAAUUUAAGUGACAUUUGUAACGAGACGUAUUUCUUUGUUUGAAUAAUUCAAGCAACAUUUGAAAAGAGACGCAUUUCCGUGUUUGGAUAAUUUAAGUGGCAUUUGUAAGGAGACGCAUUUUCUUGUGUUGGUAAUUCAAGUGGCAUUUGUAAAGAGACGCAUUUUCUUAUUUAGGUAAUUCAAGCGGCAUUUGUAAAGUGACACAUUUUCUUAUCUGGGUAAUUUAAGUGGCAUUUGUAAGGAGACAUAUUUUCUUAUUUGGGUAAUUCAAGCGGCAUUUGUAAUGAGACAUAUUUCCUUGUCUGGGUAAUUCAAGUGGCGUUUGUAAGGAAACAAACUUUCUUGAUUAGGUAAUUCAAGUUUUAUUUAUUAGUUGAUUCACUUCCUGACUUAGGCCUUGACUCCUAGAAAAUGCACUUUCUAGUCAAUUCAUUUCACUUGACCCUUAGGAGACAUACUUCCUUGUUGGGUAUUCAAGUUUUGCUUAGGAGACACACUUGCUAACUUAAGUCUUGAUUCCUAGAAGAUGCACUUUCUUAUCGAGUCAUUCCACUUAACCCUUAGGAAACGCACUUCCUUGUCAGGGUAAUUCAAGUUUUACUUGUUAGGUGGCUCACUUUCUAACUUAAUCCAUGAUUCCUAGAAGAUGGAACUUCUUGUCAAGUUAUUCCACUUAACCCUUAGGAGACGCACUUCCUUGUCAGGAUAAUUCAAGUUUUGCUUGUUAGGUGGCUCACUUUCUAACUUAAGCCUUGAUUCCUAGAAGAUGCACUUUCUUGUCAAGUCAUUCCACUUAACCCUUAAGAGACGUACUUCCUUGUCAGGGUAAUUCAAGUUUUGCUAGUUAGGUGGCUCACUUCCUAGCUUAAGCCUUGAUUCCUAGAAGAUGCACUUUCUUGUCGAGUCAUUUCACUUAAUCCUUAGGAGACACAGUUCCUUGUCAAGGUAAUUCAAGUUUUUCUUUUUAGGUGGUUCACUUCCUAACUCGAGCCUUGAUUCCUAAAUAAUGUACUUUCUAGCUGAGUCAUCCCACUUAACCCCUAAAAGACAUAUUUUCUUAUUUGUGUGUGUCAAGUUUCACAUUUGUCGGAUGAUGCACUCCCUAACUUGAACCUUCACUCCUAGAAGUCAAACUUUCUAUUUGAGUCCUUCCAUGUAACCUCUAGGAGACACGUCUCCUUAUCUUCAAGAGAUGAAUUCAUUGAUCAGAGUCUAGAGUCACCUUUGCAUUAUGCAAUUUGUAAGUAAUUGUGAUUGGGUUUGACACUCACAAAAUUUUUGAUGAUAAAUUGGGUCCAAAAAAAUUAAUUCAUGUUAUUGAAAACAUCAUUUCAGGACUCUCUUGAAAAAUGAAUCUUUAUUUUUAAAAAGUGAGAUCUCUCUUUAUCAUAACCUUUGUUUGGGAUAAUUCUCUUUCUAGUUUUGAUGUGAUUUCAGAAGCCUGCCUAGAUAACAGGGUGAUGAAAUUAAAAAUCAAUAUAUUGAAGACAUAGUAAUUCAGAAGCCUGACUAGAGAAUAGGGUGAAGAAAUGUAAAACCAACAAAUAUGGUGAAGAAAUUAUAAGUCAGGAGCCCUUCUGGAGAAUAGGGUGGGGAUUUUUAAAUUCAAGUUCAAAGUUUAGAAAUCCCACAUGAAAGAACAUGGUCAAUGUUGGAAUUCAUCUCUAACACCAAAUUUUGUAUGGCUAAAGAAUCUAUUCUCAAGUUCAACCCAAGGAGGAUCAGAUCUUCUGUCACUUUUGAAAGCAUCAGAGACCGAAGACAAGAAUCAAGAGAUGUUGCAUAUAUAGGACUUUUGUAAUUUCAUUUAUCUUUUUAACUUAUAUUUUUCAUUUUUAUGUAAUGACAAAGUCACAGAUCAAAACCUCGAUAGGACCUCACUCGACUCUCCAACUUGGUAUAGUCCCUCUUCUUUCAACCCUUUGAGGUACCUAUGACUUGAUUCUCUCAUAACUUGGGUAGGUAGAAUGUCCAAACUCAAUACUCGGUGGCACUCUGUCCUUCUUUGUCUCUCCCUUAUGAAUAAUGGUUGGGUCAAAAUUUUGUCUCAUUCUCUACUUGUUUGUCUGCAAACACUUUGUGUUCACAAACAAAGAGGGGCAUAUUGUAGACACGUAAUUUUGUCCCACCCGAACAUCACUGUCAAAAUUCACUCCAUUAAUUGUAUCAUCACCAAACACACUCACCCAUGUGAUAAGUUCCACACAACAAAUCCAAUAAAUUCAUAACAAUUUUGGACACCUUACCCUAAUAAAAAUAACCAUAUACCCUACACCUCCCUCACCCCAACCCCACAUUACCUCACCUCACCUUAUCACCACCGAAGCUCCGACAAAAUGAACCAAUCACUUCUUGCUUAUUUCAGACCAAAACUGAUCUCUUUGGGUCAGUUUUGGUGAAAUUAUGUCAAAAUAACAUAGAAAAUCAUCUAAAAAAUACCAGUCAGUUCCCAUAUCUAUUUUAGUGAAAUUCAUCAAAAAAAUAUGUGGGUUGCUUAUUUUUUGGGGAUUCGAGUUGGCAGGUUUGCUGUUGAAGUUUGAUGCGAGGUAUUCUGGUGGUUCUCUAGUUGGAUGAUUCGAGAUUGAAUUCAAAUUGAGGUCUAAUUCUUCUCUUGUUAUCUUUUUAAUUUCAUUAAAUUUAUUUAUUUUUGUAUGCUUACAAUGGAAAGUUCUUGAAUAUGUGUUCGGUGUGAUCAUGUUGAAUUAUUGGGAUUAUGUUGAAUGCAUAUGGAUUAGGAAAUUGAAUAUGAUUUGAUUAAUGAUUGCUUAAUUUUAAUUUGGAUGAGAAAUCGAUAAUUUGAGAAUAGAACUAAGGGUGGGAAUUGAAAACUAAAAAAGUGAAUAUUGAUUUAUGUCAAUUCAUUGAUGGUUGUUUAAUUCAAAAUAAACGUUGAUUUGUUGAACACGAUAGUAUCGUGUCUAAGUCGAGACUUGGUAGGAAAAUAGUAGGUUGGGUAGGCAAAUAUAGGAAUUGUGGAUUGUGGAAUGUUUGAGCGUUUGUUGAAUGAUUUUGUUUUAUCGUAUUUGAAUCAUUUGUACUUAUUUGGCCGGAGAAUGUCCCGAGAAAAAUUAUAUUCAUUCAUCGGGGAAUUCCCCAAAGUACCAUAUACCUAAAGGAGGCUGGUGAUCAAGGCCCGAGGCUUCGAGUAAAGCAUAGCUAGGACAAUUAGAAUAGUUUAGGUCUGAUUUCAAUUGUAAUAAAUGAAACUGGACACUAUAAAGAAUUUUUGAUUGUUUUGGUUGCUUGUUUCUUUGUUUAUGUGUUUUAUUGGUUUAUACAUUACAUAUUGUUAUACUAGCCAAUAUAGUUCACGAAGCGACUGUGGUCAAACAACGGGAUCGAGAGAUGCCUAACACCUUCUCAUCGGUCAACAGAAUUCCUUAAUUGAAAUCUCUGUCCGUGGACCUAUUUUGAAAAAGUCAAAAAUCAUUUUGAAAAGGUAUUUUCAAAGGUAACUUGGCACACCAGAUUUAUACCAAGUGACAACUCUGAGUUUUAAUUAAAAGUCCUUUUCAAAAUAAAUUAUUUUCUUUUUGUCACUUUAUAAGAAAAAUCCUUUCAAACUUAAAAACAAUCUUUUUGGUAAAAAAAAAGGGGUGUAACAGUGUGUAAGACUAUGAAGCAACCUAUGAACUUGUAAGUUAUUUUGGUGAUUGAUGUGAUAGAUGAUGAGGUGACUAACACAAUAGAAGUGGAUCUUAUAGAUUAUCCCUUGGUGGGUGUAUUGUGGAACUUGGGGGGUAAGGAGGUUGAAUAAUAUGAUGAGGUAGUUUCUUCGUUGACGGGUCUUGGCUUGUAUACCAAGAACCUAGCCAAAUUAGAUCUUGAUUUAAAAAAUCGUGAGAGUACACCCGCCAAACCAUAUAUUACUGAACUACCUCAACUUGAACUUAAAUUGUUGCCUUCCCACCUCUGGUAUAUUUUUGGGUAAGAAUAAUACAUUGACAAAUAUUAUUGCGGAUGAUCUUGAGUCUUGUUAAGUGGGUGCCUUAAAAUCUGUUGUGAAAAGUUCAUUCGUGCAAUCUGAUGGACCAUAGCAGACAUCAUAGGCAUUUCACCAGGAAUUUUCUCUUAUAAGAUCAAAUUAGAGGUCGAUCAUGUUCCUAGUGUGGAACAUCAAAGAAGGCUUAAUCUACCGAUACAAGAGGUAGUCAAGAAGAAAAAUAUCAAAUGGCUUGAUAUGGGUGUGGUCUACCCGAUUUCAAAUAGUAUAUGGGUUAGUCUGAUCUAAUGUGUUCCCAAGAAGGGUGGCAUGACAGUGGUCCCAAAUGAGAAUAAUGUUUUUUGUCUAUUUUCCCGAUCACGGGUUAGAGGGUAUGUAUGGACUAUCAUAAAUUAAACUCAUGGACAGAGAAAGAUUAUUUUCCUAUGUCUUUCAUGAAUCAAAUAUUGGAUCGACUAGCUGGUUGUGGAUGGUAUUACUUCUUUGAUGGAUAUUCGGGGUACAAUUAAAUUUGCAUCGCAUAAGAAGAUCAAGAAAAAACCAACUUCACUUGUCCCUAUGAGACCUUUGCUUUUGAACUCAUGCCUUUUGGGCUAUGCAAUGCACCAGCUACAUUUCAACGAUGUAUGUUGUCCAUUCUUUGAAUAUAGUAGAGGAUACCAUGGAGGUUUUCAUGGAUGACUUCUCUGUGGUUGGAGAUUCAUUCGAGUCUUGCCUUGAUCACUUAAGUCCAGUCCUCAAACGAUGUGGAGAAAAUAAUCUCAUUUUGAAUUGGGAGAAAUGUCACUUUAUGAUCAAGGAUGGCAUUAUGAUUGGUCACAAAAUAUUGGGAAAAGGCAUCCAAGUCGAUCUAACAAAAGUUGAAGUGAUUACUAAGUUACCCUCACCUAUCUCUAUGAGGGGCGUCAGAAGUUUUCUUAGUCUCGCCAGGUUAUAUAGGCGUUUUAUUAAGGAUUUCUCGAACAUAGCUCAUCCUUUGUGCAAACUCCUUGAAAAGAAGGUGAAGUUUGAAUUUGAUGGUGAUUGUCUAAAGGCUUUUAAUUUUCUCAAGAAACUCCUUGUGUUGGCUCUUACCAUAGAAACUCCGAACUAGUCGUCGCCAUUCAGAAUAAUAUGUGAUGCAAGUGGUGUUUCCCUAGGUACGGUAUUGGGACAAAGAAGAAAGAAGUUGUUUCACCUGAUCUAUUAUGCAAGCAAAUCAUCGAAUGGUGCCCAACUUAACUAUACGAUUAGGGAUCAUAAGAGUUAUUAGCGGUGAUGUAUGCUUUCGAAAAAUUUUGGUCCUAUUUUUUGGGUGCGAAAGUGGUUAUGCACAUGGAUCACACUGCUCUUAGAUAUUCAUGGAAAAGAAAGAGGCAAAACCUCAUUUGAAUAGUGGAUAUUGCUUUUGCAAGAAUUUGAUUUUGAAGUGAAAGAUCAAAAACGGUGUGAAAAUCAAGUUGCCGACCAUCUUUUCCAUCAUGAAUUUAAUUAUGAGAAGUUUGGUGAGAUUGAUAUUGAUGACACUUUCCUCUAUGAGUUAGUUAUGUCACUUUCGGGAAGUAUUGCGCCUUGGUAUACAGACUAUGCUAACUAUAUUAGUAGUGGUGUGCUUCCCAAUUAUCUUAAUCAUUACCAAAAGAAGAGGUUCCUAUUUGAUGUGAAGAAGUAUUUUUAGAAUAAACCAUAUUUAUUUAGAGAGUAUGUGGAUGGUAUGAUUCAUUGGUGUGUUAUGGAGUCAGACAUGAGGGCUAUUCUUGAAGCUUGCCACUCUUCUUCAUUUGGUAGCCAUCAUGGUGGGUCCGAACAGUUGUAAAGUUUCUUCAAAGUGGAUAUUAUUCACCUACCCUUCAUAAAUAUGCUUAUGAGUUGGUCAAAACAUAUCCUCAAUGCCAAAUACAAAGAGGUGUUUCAAGGAGGCAUGAGAUACCUCUUAAGCCUAAUCUCAAGGUUGAAUUAUUCGACGUGUGGUAGAUCGACUUUAUGGGUCCCUUUAUGAGCUCAUAUCGUAAUAAAUACAUUUUGGUAGUUAUUGAUUAUGCCUCAAAGUGGGUGGAGGCCAUUUCUCUGCUGAAAAACGAAAGCAAGAAUGCUACCUUCUUCUUGAAUAAGUAUAUCUUUACAAUAUUCGAGACUCGACGAGGCAAUUAUUAGUGAUGAUGGUUCUAAUUUUUGUAAUUAAACUUUUGGUGCCUUACUUCAUAAGUAUGGGGUGAAGCAUAGGGUUGCUACUCAGUAUCAUCCUCAAACUAGUGGCUAAGUUGAGGUUUCAAAUCAUGAAAUCAAGUUCAUUCUUGAGAAAACCGUGAAUGUUGGCCGUACAAAUUGGGCAAGACUACUCGGUGAUGCUCUUUGGGCAUAUAGGACGGCCUAAAAAACUCAUAUCAGUAUGUCAACCUAUCGAUUAGUGUUUGGGAAGGUUUGUCACUUACCCGUUGAGUUUGAGCAUAAGGCUUUAUAGGCUUUAAGGAAGUUGAAUAUGAAUUGGGAGGACGCAUUCAAAUCAAGAGUGAAUCAACUUCAUGAGUUGGAAGAUUUCUGACUUAAAGCAUAUAAAAGCUCCGUGUUGUAUAAAGAAAAGAUAAAGAGGUGGCAUGAUGCUAAAAUUUUAAGAUGAGAGUUUCAUGUGGCUGUUAUGUGUACCUUUUUAGUUCUAGAUUAAAACUUUUUAUGGGUAAGCUUAGAUCAAAGUGGUCGGGUAUGCUCGUGGUCUCAAAUGUUCAUUCUAGUGGCGCUAUUGAGUUGUAAGACCACGAGAAGAAAAUAUUUGUGGUAAAUGAGAAAAUGUUAAAGCAUUACCAUAUUGGUGGACCCGGAGCGGGUAAGGUUGAGUCGCUUCGCUUCAAGGAUUCAAAAUGGUGAUCAAUAGGUAUCAUGCCACAAUAUUAAAUCAAGCGCUAGAUGGGAGGCAACCUAUCAUUCCCAAUUUUUUUCAUUCCUUGAAUUUUAAUUGUUAGAAUACUUUAGGAUUUUAUUUUUGACUAAUCCACACAAAUUUUAGAAUUUUAAAAGUGAUUUGAGCAGGUUAAGAUGCAUAGAGUUGAAUGGGAUUGAGUUUGCGGCUACACCACCUUGGAAAAAAUGGUAAUUGAGCAACUUCAUGAUGGCACCUGAAGGUCUUAGGUGUCGCGAAUGUGACAGAUAGAUUGCAUAAGCAAUUCAUUAAUUUCAGUCAUAUAUCGGGCAAGUGAUACACUUAUAGUGAACACAAUACCUGGAGGUUUAAAAGGCCCACACAAGGUGAAAGAUUUGAAACAGUUUAUUUCACUUUCCUCUCAUAAAUAUCCAAAUUUUAUCCAACCUACUCCCUCUAAAAAGUCUUUCAAAGUGCUCUACAUUUACAUUUGCACACAAAUUUUAGGUAUGUAUCUUGCUCUCUUCUUCGAUUGGUGAAAUUUCUCCGUAGUUUCUUGGUUAAGGUCGAAUUUAGGGGUAAUUUCAUUCAUUUUUUUGUGCUUUAAUUCUAUUUAUUUCUGGGUAUCAAGUGGCAAAUAUCUUGGUGUGUAAAUCAUUAAGAAAGUCUUGAGUACCCAAAGGCAUUCAAAAUGAGUGAGAAUUUAAAUUGCACACCAAGUGUUUGAUGAUUUGCUUAAAUAAAGUUUUCAGAAUUAUUUUGUGGUUCCUCAUGAAUAACUGAGUGAUAGUGAGUCAUAGUUCAUGUUCUUUGGUUUGUAAAUUAUAUAUUAACAUGUUUGUGUAAAAAUGGUUCAAAUCUGAGUUGGGAACUUUUGGGGAUGUCAAGUACGCAGGUAUCAUGAUUGCGACAUCAGAUCAUGAAAGCAAUAUCUGAGGCCUAUCACGAUCGCGACCUUAAAUUGCAAAAGCGAUAUUUGAGACAUGUCUAUAGGUCUGAGCAAAAUUUUGGAAACUAAUGUUUGAGCCCAAAUUUGAUUCUUAAACCAUUUCUUUAGAUUUUAUCAGUCACAUUGCAUUAUUUUUACAUGAUAAUCUUGAAAGUUUAUGCAUAUGUAUUGUUUUCAAACUUUCAAACCAAAGGCCAAGAAUAGAGCAUCGACCCAUUGAUAAAUUUGAGGUUGAAAGAGAAUAUGAUCAUAACUAAUUCUUCUCUCUCGGCUACCAAGAAACAUACUAUGAAGACUUGGCCAGGAAGAAGUUGUUCCCUUAAAAAGGGAUCUCCCUUGAGCGAGUUAUUGAAACCCUCCUGGCUUUCUAUUACAGGUUGGAGACUACGGGGUGGUUGUACUUUGCAUUAGAACCGUGUCAUGCCAAUGAACAAUGGGUGAGGGAGUUUUAUGCCAAUCUCAAGUCCAUAAAACUUUCCACCCUUGUGAUGAAGAUAAGGGAAAAGGUAGUCCAUAUCAAAGAUGAGAAGAUCAAAAGGAUAUAUGCUUUGUUGGAUUCUGAUCAAUCACUGUUUACCACAAAGAAUUGUGCUUGGGGCAGUUGGUUAGUCUCAAAGCUUUGCCCUGGUAAGAAUAUACCUUGGGCAACCACAAAAGCAGGGAUUACUUCGAGUGAGUUCAUGGCUUAAGCGAGGAUUUGACUGGGUAUCAUUUGCAGUAGGUCUCUCCAUGUGGGAAUAUGACUAAUAUCCCGAUAAUUAAAGCUCAUAUGAUCUCCUGUAUUCUAGACAAUAUUCCAUUGAAUGUUGUUCUUUUUUUUAUCUUAGAGCUUCAUGCGUAAAAGUCACGGAUAGACCCACUAUGAUGUUUUUUCCUUGAUCACCGAAUUAUGUAAAUGGGCGGGAGUCGAGGAGUUCGAGGAGGAUAAUUAGAUAGCACAAAAGACACUGAUUGACCUACUAAAAAUAUGCAAUAAAGGAGUUACUUCUAAAAUAUAAAGGAGAAAUAUUGAUACGGGUAAGUCAGUGCAUAAUGAGUUCGACUCUUGUAGACCGUCAUCCGAGGAACCAUUUAAGGUGUUGACUGAUGAGUUGCAAAUAAUUCAAGAGUUGGUGCCUAGAUUGCCCAUAAAUCCUGAAGAGACUUUUGAGGUCCCCAUCUCAUAUGGUCUACAGAGAGAUAAUGAUAAACUCCUAAAGGACCAGAAGCAAUAAGGGGCUCACAAAGUUAGAGAACACAUAUAUUUCCUUAUCCAAGUCACACUGGGAUUUGAGAUAAGUCUCACACGAAGAAAAAGAAGUGAGAAAAAAAGGGACAAAUUUUUCACUCAAAUGUGUAAGGGUGUGAAGGGUUUGUAAAAAGGGCUGAAGCCCAGAGAUCCACUCCUCUCUGCGAGGCAAGUGGAUCCUGAUGAUAUUCCAGCACAUUGGUCCGAGGAUGAAGAGUCUGAUGUUGAGGGCGUUGAGGAUGAGGAGACUAACAGUGAUGAUAGUCAGUGAUGCGAAUUUAGGGAGCCCCUUUACUCUCUUAUGUUUUGAUGUCAUGCUGUGAGGACACUGCGAUCUUUUAGUUGGGGGUGCCUUGUGUUUGUAUUUUUUAUUUGUGUAAUAUUGUUAUUUGGAUAUUUUUGAUGUAUGGUUAUGGAUAUUGUGUGCCUUUAUCAGGCUUAUGCUUUAUGUGAAUUUUGUUGAAUUAGUCGCUUUUCUUUUGUUUUCAUUUCUAGAUUAGUUUUUCUUUUGGUAGUCAUCUUGGAUGAUCCUUUUCCUAUGAUAGAUUGAACGACGAUAUUAUUAAAGUAAAAUCAUCAUUUUAGGGUAUUAGAGUCGUUUAUGCAGGGAAGUCUGAGUACCCGUAGCAUUAUAAAGUGGGAUUGGCAUUGUAAUUAUUGUGAAACCUGAGUAUCCAAUUGUUGCGGUGAAGUUUAAGUAGUCGUAGCAUUAUUGCCCUUAUUAGAGCUGGAAUGAGAGCUUGUGACUUGUUUGGUACUAACAAUAGUUAGUCUUGCAUGGUAAAAUGUGAAAUGAGCAUACCCCUUCAUUUAAUUUAUUUAUUUUUAAAAAUCAAGAGCAGAGAAGUUAAUGAUGUUGUGACAACACUUUGACUCUUUUCGUGACUCCUAAUUCUUUAGUUGGUGGUAAUGUGGAAAAUGACUUUUGUUCUUAAGUAGGAAGUGAACUCGAUCAUUCUAAAAUAGUUUGCAUGUCAUGUUUGGUGAGUAUUUGUUGAAUGAUUCUUGUGCUUACUUGUGUCAUCUAUAGUUUUUCCUGUUGGUCUUUCAAAGCUAGUUUUGAUUAUACGUGGUUGGUGAAAUGAUCUUAGGCCUUCUUUGUGAUUGUUGGAAACUACUUUAACCUAAAAAGCCUAUUCGUGCAUGAAAAGUAUCACUAUUCACCUUAGUUGAGCCAAUUAAACUUUUUUGGCAACUGCAUUACAAGCCUUGAACCUUUUAAAAAUUAUCCGUCUCUUGAAUCCUAUCCUACUUGAACUUGAAAUUACCAACUUGAGGCUAAAAGGACCAGUCUUAUAAAUGAGUGUCUUAAAGCAAAUCAAUGAUUGAAAAUGAAGGAGAAAAAGAAAGGAAAGAAAAAAUGAAAAAGUAAGAAAUGGCAAAAAGGAAAGAAAAAAAGAAAGAAAAAGUAAGAAAUUAAAAAAAAUGCUUUUAAUAGACGGGUGGGCUAAAAUAAUAAAGGUAGGCAAGUGUGUGAUAUAAAAAUAAAGUGGACAAUGAUUCAAGUUUGAUUUAUUUAGUGUUUUGUGGAGUUCAAUGAGGGUGUAGUCACUUUAAUCCCAAAUGCUUAUAUUACCCUUCCCCGAGCCUACAGUACAAGAUAGAAAAAGUCUUUUGAGAUCUCUAACAAAGUAUUUUUGAGUUAGUAGCGAUCGAAAAUAAGGGCAAGCAUAUGGUAUGAUACUUGUUUGCAUUAGAAAAUCCUUGUGAAUGUAAGUGUUUGAGCAUUUGUGUCUUGUUGAAUGGUGUAAAUAUGGUGUGUUUGAGACUUUAUUUCAUGAGAAGGCAUGUAAACUAAGAUAGAUUGAUGAGUUGAUAUAUUUUAAAAAUAAGGCGAAGGAGCAUAUUUGAUUUACUAUUGAUUGAGAGUCACUUCUUGAUAAUUGGUCAUUGUGACUUGAUUAUUCUAGAAAUUUUAUUGUGUUCUUGAAAGUGUGAUUGAAUUCGAGGGAGUUGUUUAGUUAGCACUUCGCAUACUUGUUGAUUAAUUGCUAGUACCAAUCAAAGUCACAAUCAUUACGAUCGUUUGAUGUAAGAGUGUUGGCUUCGGUGUUGAGCUUAGUUUGAUAGUCUCAUUGAGUUGUGAAGUUGUAUUGCUAGAGGACAAGCAAAGUCCUUAAGUUGUGGGUGUUGAUGAGUGGAUAUUUCACCAUUCAUUGAUACCUCUUUUCUUAUGAGUUAUUAUGGUUAAAUUGAUGACAUGAGGCUAUUCACCUUAUGAAAUGUACUAAUUUUGGAUAUUUGUGGCUUUUUAGGAAAGGCUAGUGAAAAAAGAGUGAUGUUGAAACUACAAAUGAGAAAAAAGAGUUAAACAAGAAAAAGCUUGAAGAUGUGUCUCUGAAACAACCCUCAGAUACCGCUUAAGCGGUCUGAGGAUAGCGAAAACAACCAGUCAUGACAGUGGAAGAAGUUAUGAUUGCGAUGUUAUGGCUCGCGUAAGUGAUAGGUCAGGAAAAUCAAAGAUAUCUCAUUUGCGAGCGGAUGCAUCGCGUAAGCGAAUGGAAAAUACAGACAAAGAGUUGAGAAAGUGAUCUAUUAAGUCGCGUACGCGACUGUCACGAUAAAUGCAAAAGUCGCGUAAACGACCACAAGAAUCGUGUAAGCGAUCGUCGGAUAGAUUUUUAGGGGCAAUGAUUGAAUUUCAUGUGGUUCAAUCCUAAUACAUAAAAGGCACAAGCCCUAACAUUUUCAGCAACCAAUUUUCAUCUUUAAAGCUUUACAAUACAUUUUUGCACUACUCUUGAGUGAAGAACAUUCUUGAAGUGAUUUUCAAGCGAGGAGUUAGUGAUUUUCAUUUAAGAAUUAUUGAAACUCAAAGCUUGGAAGUACAUUCCCUCUAUUUUUCAUGGAUUAAUUUAAUGAAACUCUUGGUAUAUCCUUACUUCCUCUCUCUAUGAGUAGCUAAUUCUUUAUUUUGGGGUUAUGCUUGAAUAGAUGUGAUUAGUGCAUGGGUUCUGUUUAUUUAUUCUCCUAACUAGCUAGCUAUUAUGGAUUUUGAAUUUAUUCCACGAUUUAACUAAGAAUUGGGGUUGCAAACCCUAAUUAUCUUUGAACCCAUAUCAUCCUUCAGAGAGGGGAUAUGAUUGAGGAGUAAAUGUAAACAAUAACUUUAAGUAUUUCAUUUAAUAACAUCUCACAUAAGGAUGUUAAUUGCAGCAAUAGAUUGGUGAAAUCUAGCCUAACCUUGAUUUCUAACUAAAUUUGAAUAGAUUUUCAAUUACUCAUUCAUGAACUCACACCUAGAAUUGCAUAAACCCAAGGUCUCUUCCCAAUUGAUCACACUCUUAGCAUUUUCAAUCUCAAGAUAGUGUUCCAAAAGCAAAGAAUUUGUUACUUUAAAAACUUUCAAACUAAUCCCCCAUUUUACAGUUAUGUUUGUUUUAUACACAUUACAGGUCAACCCCUAGUUGACUUUCAAUACUCUUGAACUUUGAAGUCCUUGUCUUCACUCCUUGUGGAUCCGACCUCAACCUAAGUUGGGUUAUUAUAUUGACAACGUCGCUCACACCCAUUUAAGAAUGUAAUUUGAGAGUUAUCAGUCAUAUCAAGGGAAGGUUUGGGUGGAUAUUGUACUAUAAAGCGUUAUAAGUAAAAAAGCUAGAAGAAUAAUAUUGUAGAAAUAAGCCGAAAGAAAAGAGAAAGAUUAUGAUCUCUAUUGAUGUACAAUGCAAUGACUGAGAAGUCAUUUAUUGAAGAAGUAGUUAACUUAGUCCUUAAGUAACUAAUAUUAACUUUUUUUCAAAGAAAUAAACACAUUUACACUAAUAUAUAGCAUAUAUUUGUAACAAUAAUAUUAUUAGUUACUCUUAAGAUAAUUAGAAACCUCUUUUGGCAUAUCUAUCAAAUAUCUCUUGUCUAAAUCAACAAUUACUCUAUUUCAUUAUCUUUAGCCUGGAAUAGUCUAUUCCAGACUAUAUAUGGGUGGAUUUAUCUUAGGACUUAGGUCGAUGGGUGUCAUGUGACACCCCUUCAUCAAAAAAAACUAUUAAAUAUGUAUAUAUAAUUGAAAGGCAAAAAUUUAAAUGAAAAUAAAUACGAUACAAUAUCACCACUUGACAUAAAAAUAUUGGAGCUCUAACGAUCAGUCGCUUUAUUUUUCAGUUUGAGGUGUUGAGUUCGACUCCUAAUAGUUUCAGGUACAUUUAAAAAAAAAUUAUUAUCGUGUGGUCUCUCUCUCUAUGUGUAUGUAUAUAUAUAUAUGUAUAUAAGUAUAUAUAUUGAUAUUUAUAUAUAUAUAUAUAUAUAUAUAUAUUAUUAAAUUUAAAUUUAAAAAUAAUAAAUUAAAGUUUAAAAGAGCUCCACAAAGUGGGUAUAUAUUUGAUACAAAAAGAAUGAAGUAUAUAAUAUUGUAGAAAAGUGUUUUUAAAGCGUGUGUUUUGAAAAAAGUAUUAUUGAGAACUAAUUAGUGUUUGACGGAACUUCUAAAAUCAACUUAUUUUGAAAAGUGUCUUUCCAAUAGUAUUUUUUAAAAGAAUAAAAAAGUAUUCUUUUUGUGCGAAAAACUUUUGUUUGACCAGUGAUAUUUAAAAAAAAAAAAAAAAGUAAUUAGUUUUUGACCAAAUUUCUCAAAAUGCUUUUAAUGUGUGUUGCUCAGAAGUGAUUUUUCAAAAAUAAUGUUUUUAUGGAAAUCUAUUUUUAAGCUUUUGAAAAAGAACUUCUUAUACUUCCAAAAAAUACUUACUUUCUCCAAAAAAAAUUUAGUUAAACAUCUCACUUUUUAAAAUAAGCACUUUCAACCUUUCAAAAACUUGAUCAAACAAAUUCAUAUAUAAUAAUAAAGGAGACAUUGGAGGCUGCUGAUGUGGCACCGCUCAAUGAUCUCCAUUUCCAUUUUUCUUUUUUCUCAUUUUUUUUGGACUUUUCUUAAAAAAAUUUAUACAUCGUCUAGCAACUAAAUGUCUAAAAAAGCCACACAAAAUAAAUGUUAUCAAACUUACGUUUCACUAAUCACUUCUAAUGUUUAACUCUUGAAGUUAAACAUUUCCAAUAAUGUCCACGUACAUGGACCAUUAAUACCAAUUGAAUGGGAAUUGAAGUCUAAUCGUAAUUGCUCCACCAUUUCUUAUAAUUUCAGUUUACGUUCAUUUCCCCACUAAUACCUAAACAAUCUCACUUAUAAAAGAUUAUAUGUGAAGUUUGUCGUCUUUAUAGCAUAGGGAUGAGGAAUGAGUAAAUAUUGAUCCACCAUAAUGAUUUCUAUCUUCACACAGAUGUACCAUGGUUGGAGAAGUUAGAAAAAAAAAAGGCCCAUUGUUUGAUUUGAUAUACCCAGCACAAUAUGUUUCUUUCUUAUCUUACAUAUUUAUGCAGACUAGAUUCUGAGAAGCACUCGGUACUUCAGUGAGGAAGUUUACAUAUCAAAAUCAUUAUUGUAUCAGUAAGGUAUGGUUAGUUAUACGAUAUAUAUAUGAGACAUAUUUUCUCAUAUUUUUUAACCUUUAAAUUUUAGCUGACUACAUAAAAAGUGGUAUGCAAAUAGUUGGCGGGUUAUGAGAGAGUGGAUUAUAUCGAGAUCGGCUUAGAGAAAGAUCCAUUUCAGACAAGAAGUUUCGAACCGUAAUUCAUGUAACAUAUAUUUUCUCUUUGAUACGGGUGUCACGGGCUCUAGACCAUUUACUAGAAGUCAAGCUCGGGAACUACAAAGGCUUCAAGGCGUGUUUAUGAAAAUGGACGCGGUUGAGCUUGUUGCAAACUCGCCCAAGGGAGUGUACGUAUUGACAUGUGGGGGCUAACAUUAGGGACCCAAAAUACACUCCCAAGGCUGCCCCAAACACUCCACUCCCCUUUCAUUAAGGGCAAAGGGGUCCUUUUACUAUCCUUUUUGUAAAGACUAUUUAAGGUGUUUCUUUAAUCUGGUUCUCCUAGUUAGCUCAUUUUAGAAUCACUUUGUAACAUUGAACACCAUAUUUCCUCUCAAGAAGAGAGUAGACCACCAAACAUUUUAAGCUUCACAAGUGAAAGGUUCUACUUGUGUUGUGAGAUGGCUAGAAACGAGAGUGCUUAAGUGAACCGAGUUUCUCUUGUGUUCCCAUAAGAACUUGGUGCUUGUUAAUGUGAUUUGUAGAGGUUUUAGAGUUUGAUACACUCUUUAGUUGCUACAUUUUAUAUUCUCUUUGCGUCAAGUUAUCUAUCUCCUUAUCUUUCAAGUUUGUGUGUUUGUUGUUUUCAUUUGAUGUCUUGUACGUAUGGACUAUUUUUGUGAGUUUGUGGACUGUUUUGUGCUCUUGUAGAUAUCGUUUGGUAUCAUUUGGUAUCAUAGCUAAGGCUGAUUGUGUUCCUACACUACCAAUCUUGGGCUCUCUAAGUCGAAAAAAAAAAAGGUGUUGAAAAGCUAAAAAUUCCAAAAAGAAGCAAAUCUGUCCAUGUCUUGGUCGAAAUUUUGUCUUGUUGUUUUGGCCGAGAUUUGUGCCUACUUUUCUUGUGAAUUUUGUGUGUUUUGUGUGUUAUAGUGUUAGAUCUUUGUUUUCUAACAUUAAAAGAGGUAUCCAAGGUCAAAAAUCUUACAAAAAGAAGUUAUUCUAUGGGUUGGGUGUCUUGGCCGAAGUGGUGUUGUUGUUUGGUCGAAUUUGUGUCUAGAUUAGGUGUUAUUUUGCUUGUCUUAGUAGUUUCGUGUGUUAGCUUGUUGUCCCUCUAGCACACUUGAGUCUAAGGUCCAAGAUUUGAAGCUUUGUUUAGUGUUGUUGAAGGGUUGGACAGUGUGAAUGUUGUUGUUGUUCAUAAGUGUUCUUAUUGUUCUUCAUAAUGUUCUUGAGGUGAAUUUUUAACAAAAGGGGUGUUUGAUUUGAAAAGAGGAAAAGAGAGGUUACGUCUUGUAUUUGUCUUGGAAUUAGUUUCAAGACAACACCAAAGAGGCAAAUAGACAAAGGGCCUCCCAAAAAGCUUACUUACCAUAAGGGUUUCAACCCUUUUUAAAAAAUAUCCAAAAGGGGGAAGGGACAAACCAAAGCCAAAAAGGUGAUUUACCAUUUUGGUGCAAGUUGGUGAAAAGAUUAUUGACACCUUGACCUUUGAAAAAAGAGUUCCAAGUCUUGUUUUUUUUUCACUCCAAAAAAACCAAAAAAAUCCUCACCAAACAAUCAAGAUUGAGUCAUUCAAGUGGAACAACAUCAAACUUAAACAAAAACAACAAUACCAAAUGGUCAAAAUAAAACUUGUGGGCCACAUCAACAACAAACUCAAGUCAUAGGACCUUCUAAGUUCUUUCUUUGUCUCUACUAGUUUCUUUCUAUUUGUCUCCUAUAUUAGUUGACAACUAAGUAACAACCUACUAAGUUGUGAACUAGUUUUUGAGUACGUCUUUUGUGUCAACGUUCUUUGUGGUGCUUUGCUCGUUUACAAUUCGUACUUGUUCUUGGUUCAAGUGCAUACGAAACUUCCUUGAGUCUUCAAAACUGAAAUCCAUUCUAACUCAAGAGUAGACUCAUUCCUAAGCACUCAAGGAUUGAUAGCCGGCUUACAACAUUUAAAGGGCCAAGUGGGUGAGCUGAGUGAAAGGAGUGUGUGAGAGUAUUUUCAGCUAAUGUUUGCUCGUUUUGUAGGUACAUUUACAAAUGGAACCACCACACAAGGAACCUGAAAUGUCCAAUGCACAAACCAUGGAUCAUAAUGUUAUGAAUGCCCUUGUAGCUAAUCUUGAGUCCUUGUCUCGGGACGUGGCUAGAGUGAAUGCUACGAUUGAGAAGUUAGGAAUGGAAGUGCCCCCUAUUAGUGGCCGAAUGGAAAGGGUAGAAAGUCAACGGAGUUAUCGACCCUCAACUCCCCAAAACACAUCCUCAACCAUUACCCCCGAAGACACACACCAAAGAAUGUACCCACCAAAUGUCAUACCUUAAGCCAACUAUUAUUCACAAGGCCGAAGCCUUGAAAGACCUAGCCAUUCUCCACAUCCGCAAGUCCCACAUGAUGGAUUUGGAACCCAAAUUCCACCCUUAAAUCCAACUCAUCCAAACCAAAAUCAUCCAAUCCAAAUACCUCCACCACUAAAUGCCAAUCCGCCAUACCAAAUUUCAAAUGCCCAAAACCCACCAAUGCGAGAAGAGGGAUUUGUGAGGGAGAACCAAAGGGGAGAGGGUAUGAAAUAUAUGAUGAUCCUUAUUUGAUGGAAUAUGGGAUGAGAAGUACAAGGGUACAACCUAGGGAGAACCGGGGGCUUGAAGGUAGGGGCGGCCAAGGUGUUCGGGAAAGGGAUGUUGGCCUCAACACCAUAAAAAUGGGGCUUCCGAUCUUUAAGGGAGAAAGUGAUCCUGAAGAUUUUGUCGCAUGGGAAUCCGCAUGCAAGAGAGUAUUUCAAGUGAAUGAUCUCAUGGAGGAGAAGAAGAGCUGCUACGCCAUUGCUCAUUUUGAGGGAUAUGCUACCACGUGGUGGGAGUAUGUCAAACGUUUUGGCAACGUAUUGAUUGAGGGGCAACCCCCUCCUUGGUUUCGAUUAAGGUAUCUUAUGAGGCAAAGGUACCUUCCCGAAAGCUAUCAAAAUGAACUCCUUACAAAGUUGUACAACUUAAAGCAAGGAAAUAAAAGUGUGGCAGCUUACUAUGACGAGUUUCAACAACUCAUCUUGAAACUUGAUCAUAGAGGAGAGUAAGUGAGCAACGAUAUCAUCCGGUUCAAGGUCGGCCUAAAUAAGGAAAUCUCUAUGCACAUGACACUUCAUAAGUUUGAAACUAUUGAAGGGAUCUUUCAAGCGGCUUUAGAGAUUGAACGAGAGAACAAAGAAAGGUCGGCAUACAAAACCAAAUCCUACCAAGGGUCCUCGGGUUGGAUCAAGGGGAAAGAAGUGGUUCCAUCAUCUUCGGGGUGGAACAAAUUCAAGCAACAACCAGUCAAGACCCCUCCACCCAUGAGCAAAGGUGCUCAACCACCUCUUCCCUGAUUUGAGGGCAAACCGAAUAUUUUUUCUAAUAUCAAGGAAUUCCAAUGCUUCAAAUACCACGGAUGGGGACACAAGGCUAGUGAGUGUCCUAAUUAGAGAAAUGUGAUAUUAAGGGAAGGAAAAUUAUAUUUCUUGGGGGAAUAAUUGGGGCUUGAACGGGUUGAAAAUGAAGAAGUGUCGCAAGAUGGAGAGGUAGGGGAGGCCGAGAGGCAUAGUGAUGAUGAUGAUGAAGAGGAGGUUUGUCCUCAAGAAGGCAAACUUGAAGUACCUAACUAUGUGGUACAGAGAGUUAUGAUUAGCAAAGCGUUGGAUGAUCCUAGCUAAUGGGAAAACCUCUUUCACACCAAGUGCCUCAUUAAGGGGAGUGUGUGCUCCUUGAUUAUUGAUAGCGGGAGUUGUGCUAAUAUAGCUAGUGCCUCGAUGGUGGAUCACUUAAAAUUACCAACUACUACACAUGUGAGUCCGUAUAGGCUCCAAUGGUUGAAUGAUUGUGGAGAGUUAAAGGUGACUCAUCAAGUGGUGAUUCGGUUCAAAGUUGGAAAUUAUGAAGACGAGGUGCUUUCCGACAUCAUUCCUAUGCAAGCUUGUAAUCUUUUGUUGGGUCGGCCAUGGAAAUAUGCUUGGCCGAACCAACUAUUAUUCCUUUGAGUUCAAGGGUCUUAAGUACAACCUCCGACCACUAUCACCAUCACAAGUGUGUGAGGUGCAUCAACAAAUGAAGAGCUUACAAAGAAAGGAAAAAAAAGGAAAAAGAACCCAUGGGUAGGGAGGAAGAACCCGAGAGUGGGAGAAAUGAGGGUGGAGAAGGAGUUUCGGCAUUGAGGGGUAAGGAUUCGAUGGUAAUGUUGGCUCGUAAGGGCGACAUUUUCAAAGAGUGUGAUGAUACUACUCCAAUGCUACUUUUGGCUCAUGUUUUGAAUGCCAACCCAUCCACUUCUCCUAUCCCGUCUUUUAUUUCUAAUGUUUUGUAGGAAUUUGAUGAUGUAUUUCCAAGAGAUUUGCCGCAAGGACUUCCUCUACUUUGAGGAAUUAAGCACCAAAUCGACCUUGUUUUGGGGUCGCAAUUAUCAAACAAGCCAGCUUAUAGGAGCAACCCUACGGAUACGAAGGAACUCCAAUGGCAAGUUGAGGACCUCCUCAACAAAGGAUACAUCGAGGAAAGCAUGAGCCCGUGCACGGUCCCGAUGUUGCUUGUGCCGAAGAAGGAUGGGACGUGGCAAAUGUGCAUGGACUGUCGAGCCAUAAAUAAAAUUACGGUAAUGUAUCGUUACCCUAUUCCAAGGCUAGAUGAUAUGCUUAAUAAACUAAAUGGCUCUUGUGUGUUUUCUAAGGUUGACCUUAGGAGCAGAUAUCACCAAAUCCGUAUGCAACCGGGUGAUGAAUGGAAGACCGCAUUCAAGACUAAAUUUGGUCUAUAUGAGUGGAUGGUCAUGCCAUUUGGUCUUACCAAUGCUCCUAGUACCUUUAUACGGCUAAUGAAUCAUGUAAUGAAGUCAUUUAUUGGAAAGUUUGUGGUCGUGUACUUUGAUGAUGUUUUAGUUUACAGUAAGUCUCUUAAUGAACAUGUCUUGCAUCUAAGGAUUGUGUUUGAUGUUCUUAGGAAAGAAAAUUUGUAUGCUAAUAUUGAAAAAUUCUCCUUUGGUGUGGAUAAAGUUGUAUUUUUGGGAUUUGUUGUGAGCUCGAGGGGAGUGGAGGUAGACGAAUCCAAGAUAAACGCCAUUAAAGAUUGGCCAACCCCAAAAACCGUGGGUGAAGUUCAAAGCUUCCACGGGUUGGCAAGUUUUUAUAGGAGGUUUGUCAAAGGAUUUAGUACCAUUGUCGCACCCUUGACCGAAAUCACCCGAAAGGACCAACCUUUCCAGUGGGGUGAAAAGCAAUCUAAGGCAUUUAAGACCUUGAAAGAUAUGCUCAUUUCGGCACCGUUGUUGCAAUUGCCUAACUUUGAUAAGAUGUUUGAAGUUGAAUGUGAUGCUAGUAAGGUGGGCAUUGGGGCUGUUUUGAUGCAAGAUUUAAAGCCCAUUGCUUAUUUUAGUGAAAAGCUCAAAGGAGCAACUCUAAACUACUCUACAUAUGAUUUGGAGUUGUAUGCCUUGGUUAGAGCGUUAGGCAAUUGGCAACACUAUCUUUGGACCAAGGAGUUCAUAAUCCGAACGGAUCAUGAAUCCUUUAAGCACCUUCGGGCAUAAAAUAAACUUAACAAACGGCAUGCCAAAUGGAUUGAAUUUCUUGAAACCUUUCCCUAUGUGAUUCAAUACAAAAAGGGGAAGGAUAAUGUAGUAACCGACGCAUUGUCUAGGAAGCAUGUUCUUGUGUCCACUUUGUCUUCCAAGUUAUUGGGGUUUGAGAGCCUCAAGUCUUUGUAUCCCGAGGACCCUUACUUUACUCCUAGCUUUAGGGAAAGUGAAGCCGUGAGGAGGGAAAGGAGGACAUUAAAGUCUAGUCUGUAUGCAUUUCUUGUUUCGGGGGAGACGAUUGUGUGUACCUUCUAGCUCUUGGAGAGAGUUGUUUGUGAGGGAGGCACACGACGGCGGUCUCAUGGGUCACUUUGGAAUUGAUAAGACCCUCGGGAUAUUGGAGGAGCAAUUCUAUUGGCCAAAGAUGUGCAAAGAUGUUGUCAAAAUCUACGGCCAAUGCAUGGAUUGUAGGAGCGCUAAGUCGAGAAUCCAUCCUCACGGGUUAUACACCCCACUUCCCACUCCAUCACGCCUGUGGUUUGAUAUUUUUAUGGAUUUUUUGUUAGGGCUGCCAUGGAUUCAAAGGGGUUGGGAUAUCAUCUUUGUUGUCGUUGAUCAUUUCUCCAAAAUGGCACACUUUAUUCCAUGCAAAAAUAAUGAAGAUGCGUCUAGUGUAGCUUCUUUGUUUAUUGAAAAUAUUGUUAAGUUACACGGCAUCCCAAGGACCAUUGUAAGUGAUAGGGAUUCUAAAUUUCUUAGUCACUUUUGGAAGUCAAUGUGGGGUAGGCUCGGAACUAAAUUAUUGUUUUCUACAUCUUGCCACCCACAAACCGAUGGCCAAUCAGAAGUAGUGAAUAGAACCUUGGGUUCCAUGCUACGUUCCAUGGUUAAAGGUAAGUUGACGUCUUGGGAAGAUCACCUACCUCUCAUAGAAUUUGCUUACAAUCGGGUGAUCCAUUAGAGUACGGGCAUUACGCCCUUUGAAUGUGUCUACGACUUCAAUCCCCUAAUCCCCUUGGAUCUAACUCCUUUGCCAAGUGAUGUUGUUAUUAUCUUAGAUGGAAACAAGAUGGCUGAAGCCAUGAAAAUAUUGCAUGAGAAGGUGAGGAUGCGUCUUGAGAAGAAGAAGCAAGAGGUGGCCAAAUGAGUCAACAAAGGGAGAAGGCGUCUUGCACUUGAGCCAGGAGAUUGGGUGUGGGUACACCUACGUAACGACCGAUUCCCCAACCAAAGAAAGGGUAAGUUGCUGCCAAGAGGUUACGUCCAUUCCAAGUUCUUGAAAGAAUCAACGAUAAUGCUUACAAGAUCGACUUGCCACCGGAAUACCAAGUGCAUAACACAUUCAACGUGUGUGACCUCUUACGGAUUGAUACCAUUGAAUAUGAGGAACCCGUGAGUUUGAGGUCAAACUCCUCUCAAGAUGGAGAGGAUGAUACGUGUGUCACGGGCUCUAGACCAUUUACUAGAAGUCAAACUCGGGAACUACAAAGGCUUCAAGGCGUGUUUAUGAAAAUGGACGCGGUUGAGCUUGUUGCAAACUCGCCCAAGGGAGUGUACGUAUUGACAUGUGGGGGCUAACAUUAGGGGCCAAAAUACACUCCCAAGGCUGUCCCAAACACUCCACUCCCCUUUCAUUAAGGGCAAAGGGGUCCUUUUGCUAUUCUUUUUGUAAAGACUAUUUAAGGUAUUUCUUUAGUCUUGUUCUCCAAGUUAGCUCAUUUUAAAAUCACUUUGUAACAUUGAACACCAUAUUUCCUCUCAAGAAGAGAGUAGACCACCAAAAAUUUUAAGCUUCACAAGUGAAAGGUUCUACUUGUGUUGUGAGAUGGCUAGAAACGAGAGUGCUUGAGUGAACCGAGUUCCUCUUGUGUUCCCGUAAGAACUUGGUGCUUGUUAAUGUGAUUUGUAGAGGUUUUAGAGUUUGAUACACUCUUUAGUUGCUACAUUUUAUAUUCUCUUUGUGUCAAGUUAUCUAUCUCCUUAUCUUUCAAGUUUGUGUGUUUGUUGUUUCCGUUUGAUGUCUUGUACGUGUGGACUGUUUUUGUGAGUUUGUGGACUGUUUUGUGCUCUUGUAGAUACCGUUUGGUAUCACUCUUCUUUUUCUCUCAUCUAUAUCUUGGGGUUACAUAAAGACUUAUAACCUGAUUUUAGGUGUUCAAGGGUGAAAAAUUUAAGGAUUGAGAUGGAUCUAAAUGAGAUUUUACACAUAAGCAGAUAGCAAAUGGCAAAAAUUCAAGUUUAAUAACCAUACCAAUCAAGCGGAUAGCAAAACUGAAGCAGAAGACAUAAAAGUGCAGAAGGUUGAGAAAAUGCAAAAAAAUGACGGAGUAAACUAUAUACUAUUAAAGUAGUUUUAUCUUUUUCCUUUUUUCUUCUUAAUUAAAUAAGAAAUUGUUGUACAUUCAUAUUUUUGUUAUGUUAAAACCGUAAUUGGCCCUUGAGCUGUUUUUGACUAUGUUCUUCUAAUUUUUUAAAAAUAAUUUCGCUUGUGGCAAACUGUCUGAAACAUUCACUACUUUUUGAAAAAAUUGGCAUGUAUCUACUGGCAUUUUUAGAGAUCCAUAAAUAUUAAAUUUGAAUUUUUGCAUUUAUUUUAGAUUUUUGUUUACAUAUGAAAAAUAUUGUAUGUUCAUUAAUAAAGAAUUGCAUAUUAUAGUUCUCACAGAGCAAGUGGUGUUGAAAAUUUAUUUUCCUCCCUUUAUGAUUAGCAUAGAAAAGAUUACCCACUUGAUUUGAUAUAUCAGUCUCGAUUUAGUGUUUUUGAUUGUUGAUAAAAGUGUUACAGUAUUUCUUUUCAAAAACUAAUUAUAUAUAUCAAAUUCAAAAUAACAAACAAACAUAACAAAUUAAUUAACAACUAUUCAACUUUCGCAUGCUGCAUCACAUACACUUAGAAAUAAAAUGGCUCCUUUAUCUCAUAUUAGUUUUCCAUUCUUUUUUUAUAUAUUCUUUAAAAAUUAUAAUUAAAUUUAAUAAUUUUAUUAAUUUACCCCUUAAAAAAUCUUUUUGAAACCUCAUAAAUUUGAUUAUACUUUCAAAAAAGUAAUUAACUAUAAUAAUAAUGGAAAGGACUUGUUGCUACUUUAGAAUAACUAUUUUAAUAAUAUGAAUUACUAUAUAAAUUUAAGGGAGUUUACUUUAUAAUUACUCAAUUAAAAAGUUAAUGAUACAUUUUCAACUACUUCUAUUAAAACUUCGUGGGUGCUCUCUUCAGAGUCUUGCUUUUGGCUCUCUCCUUAAUUCCGUUGAAUUAAAUGUAUUUUUAUUAAUUUUGAAUCUUAUAUCGUAAUUUAUAGGAAAGUGCGAAAGGAAGUGGUUUUUUUCAAUUUAUUGUAGUAAUCACAGAAAAAAGAGAGUAAACAAAAAGAAAAAAAGAAAAAAUGGCACAUAAAAAAGUCAUCCAUACUAAAAAUAAAUGAUUCAAAAUUAUUCUUUAAAAUAAUAAACAUUAAAUAAUUAGCAUAGAAAAUUGUGACUGCUAAAAUUAACUUUUUGUUAUUUAUUGAAGAUCACAUAUACAUACUCAAAUAGUGAAAUAUUGUAAUUGCUUAAAUUAAAUUUUUUUAAGAGAAAUUAAAGAGGCAAUAUAUAUUAAAGAUAUUAACAUUUUAAAUGAUUAAUAAAUAAGAAUAUAAUAAUUAAAACACAAAAUAGUUUAAGGAGUGCGUAAAAUAAAAUGUGAUAAGUAAAAUGUUCUGAGAAAGUAGAUUGUUUAGGGAAUGAACAAUUGACAGAGAAAUUAAGGAAUAAAAGGAAUAAUAAAUAAGCAUGUGAUAAUUAAAACACGAGUUUAAUUGAUAUCCGUUGACAGUGAAAUUCUUUUUUACAUGAUCAAUGUCUUUAAGGCUUACAAUGAUAAUCAGUUUUUAAUAUUUAGAUUAAUACUAUUAAAAUAAAGUGAGUAGUUGGGCAACUUGGAUCCUAAAAGAAUUAGUCGUGCCAAGUUUAAAAAAUGUUUUGCAAAUUUUAAUGAGAUAUUUUAUGAUCGCGUGAAGCGCGACCAAAUUUACUAGUUAUAAAGAAAGUUGAAAGUGUUAGAGAAUUUGAUCUAAUAUAAAAGACACCAUGAGAACUCACAUUCUUUUUUUUUUCUUUUAAAAAUUUUAAAUUACUAUAUGCUUUAGAACCCCACCUAUAUAUGUUCAUGAAAAUGGAUACUCUAUCUCUCUAUCUCUCGUUCGCAUACACAUUUCAAAUACAUGGAGUAACUCAAUAAGAUAGGUGAUUUAAAAUCAGCUUUAAUGGAAGGCCUUAUUUUUUUCUGUUGAAUACUUUUUAAAAGAAAAAUUAACGUAUAAAUCUAUUAUAGGUAAAAAUUGGAUCCCCUCCUCUCCUAAUUAGGGGUCUUGGGUUCAAGCCUCAAUGAAAAAAUAUUGCUAGAUAGUAUUUUCCUCUUUAACCGGCCUUGCAUGUCUCAAAAUCAAAUUAAUUAAAAAUUCAAUGCAGAUAUCCACAUCGGAUUAAAAAAAAAAUUGGAGCCUAAAGCGGUCGCUUUAGUGGUUAUGGCCAGCACUUUGACAAAUAUUUGUAACUUUGUUUUAAAUUUAUGAGCCCAAUAAAGUUGUUUAUACGCGUUGCCGCCCCAUAAAAUAAGAAUUCUAUGAGGUCUCUUGUUGUUUGGUCUGUCACUUUUAAAAAAAAAAAAAAUUCUUACAAUAUUUGCAGCUCCCGAAAUAAUAAAUUUUCUAUUGUUUGCGGGUCAUCUACAUCUAUUCGUGGAGAAAUAUAAUUAUUUAAAUUGAUUAAAAAAAUUAAAAUACCUCUUAAAAAACUGUUGAAUAUAUUUUGUUGCAUAUGAAAUACACAUAAAAGAAACUAAACAUAAUUGUUGCAAUGCUCAUGCCCUACAAAGCGGCUUCUCGACAUCUAUAAACUAUAUCUAAACCUUUAAUAUCUCAAGUUCAUCCAAGUUUUCUUGUAUCCUACAACUCCCAAUAAUUUGCCAAUUUUAAUUAUGAUCUAUACUCUCCUCCAUGCUUUUUGAUACUCCUCAAGUAACCCUCGAUCGUAAUAUCAAAUACAUAUUAAUUGCCAUCUAUUUCUUAAGUGAAUUUAGCAUACACUAUCUUCUACAUAUUUUCUGUCUUUUUUUCUUUCAUUGACUUUCCCUAUACUAGGAUGAAGCUUAAAUUUUCAAAAACUAUUUUAACAGGAGUCGUUUUUCACUUAUACCGAUUUAUAAAGAUUUUCUUCUCAUAUAUUUAUUUUACAUUAUGAGACUUCUCUCAUAUAUUUUAGGACUUUUUUUUAUAUUCCACCAGGAAAAAAAAUAUCAUAUUUAUUCUCCAAUAAUAUUUCUUAUCAUAUAUUUUAGGAGUCAUAAUUUAGUACUCUUGUCACGUACGCUAAGAAAAAAACAUAAAGCGAGAGUCUAAUGUUCAAUUAUGUCCUUUGUUUAUAUGGUGAAUUUUCUAUCUAUAGGCACUUUAUCUCGUCGAGACAAGCUUGGAAUCUCUAUUGAGAAAAAGUCAGUGUUAUAUGGCCAUUAUUAUGUCGGAAAACAACAUGUAUAGUGUAAUCCCAUACAGUGGUUCUAGGAAGGAUAGAGUGUAGGCAUAUUUUAUCCCUACCUCAAAAAUAGAGAGGUUGUUUCUGAUAGAUCCUUGGUUCAAUAUGCAAAAUCAUGCCUUGAAAGGGUACCUCAAGAAUAAUCAAGAUGCAUGCUUUCCUUAUUAUACGUGCUGGCUCUUUAUUGUGCACAACUUUUUAGAGAACUACAUGGCGGAACCAUCCACUUAGAGGAACCAGUGUAACACUUAUUUGCAUCAGUGUAACACAACUAUAUAAUUUGAAAUUAAAUCUAUAGAUCGAUAUAUUUUUGAAAUUUGCAUCAUAGAAUCAUGGAAAACUGACAAAGAUGUAUUUAGAAGAAGUUUAGUCAUAAAGCCUUUUUUGGAAGAGGUACUAAGAAACACAAGUUUAGACUCUAGCACUCGUGAUUCAUGAAACUUCCCACACCGCAGACCUGUUUUCAAAAAUGUUUUAAGGCCUAGAAAGAAAUGUAAAAAGGUCAAAACAUUGUUUUCAAAAAUAUUUUAAGGCCUAGAAAGAAAUGUAAAAAGGUCAAAAUAUUUGAAGAUAUAUGGAGAUUUCAAGCUGAAAUACCAUAACAGAAGCAACAUACCCAGUAUAACCUCAACAAGUCUAAUCUGAGGAUCAGGUCUAGUGUAUGCAGACCUUACUGUAUCAUACCUUAUCGGAUAGAGAGACUAUUUCUGAUAGAUCCUCACCUCAAAAAGAGAUUCGCAUUUAAGGAAGCUAAUCAUCAAACCUGUUGUCAGAAAGUGAUUAAAAAUUAUUCUCAAGCCACAUGAUCUAUACAGGUCUGAAAAUUAAUGAUCCAUCAAACCUCUUAUAGAGGAUUAUACACCAAAUAUUUGUUCAAUGGGGUGAUCCAAAGAAAUUUUAAUUUUUUGUAUUUGCAAUCGAAACAAAAAAAAUCAUAAAAAAAGUGAGCACAUAUAUCUUAUUCCCAAAGUCACCCAGCAAACAAAUAAAACCAGUCUUUUUCUUUUGACGCAAACUCAACUUCAUCCGAGUCGAGAUUUUUUGAAAACAGCCUUUAUAUCUGUGAACUGGGUAAGAUAUGUAUGCACUUUGCCCUCUAUUUGCCCCUCGAUAACUUCAAUAAUAUGAAUAUUAGAUUAUUUAUAUAGAACUAAAAUUAUUUUUUAUUUUUAUGUGGUAAAUGCUGAAUUUUUUUCUUAUAUUUUAAACUUUCUAAGUGAAAAUUCUGAUUCCGUCAGAAAUUUUAAUACUCUAAGCUUUUAAUAUUUUAUUUUUUGCUCAAAAAAUACUAUCAUGUAUGAACUUGGUGGGUCAAAAUUUAAAGUUGUUAACCUAUUUAAAGAUAUUUGUUUUUGUUCAUUAUCAAAUAAUUUUACAAAAAAAAUUUAUUAAAUCAGUUUAUAAAUAUUUUACUAGAAAUGAAAUAGAAUUACAUAUGUAAUAUUCAUAUAAGGCUUUGAACGCACAAUUUUUAUAUUUACUUACAAUUUGUAGGUGUAAUCACAAUUGAUGUGCAUGUCAAUUCGCAAAAUAAAUAUUUAAAAGAUACGAAAUUUUUAAAAAAAAUAUUGAAGUACAUUAAAUGGAUAGUGUAAAGAAAUUUUACUAUAUUAUAUAAAUAUAUUUAUAUGUAAGCUUUUCAUAAAAUUGAGAUUUGUAAUCUUAAAAAUAAGAUAUAUAAUACUCCAUUCAUUCCUUUUUAUUUGCUCCAUUUGGAUUGUACUUAUAUUCCUAAAUAUUUGCUUCUUUAAUCUUUGAAAAAUAGUUUGAACAAAAUCUUUCUAUUAUGGGUUUGUUCAAUAAAUAUAAUCAUCAUUGAUUUGAAAAGAGGUAUAAAAUUUAAUUAAUGGUAUAUUAGUGAAAUUACUUUUACUUUUAUAGGAGUAAGAGAUUAAGUUGUGUGUCUAACCUAAAUAGAGAGCAUAAAAAGAAAUUAAGAGGGUAUGAUAUAAUAGAUAAGAGAUUAAAUUGUGUGUCUAACCUAAAUAGAGCACAUAAAAAGAAAUUAAGAGGGUAUGAUAGAAUAGAUAAAUUAACCAAUAUGUAAACUAACAUUAAAUAACAUUUAUUUUUUUAAUCCCUUUAAUAAAAAAUUUAAAUCCACCAAUAUUAAUUUGAUUAGUGCUAUAUUUUUUUUAUAGAUAAUUUUUAACUAUCAAUAAUAUAUCUUUAGUAUUUUUAUAUUAUUUCAUUAUAAAAAUGAAUGUAGGAUAUAUUUAUAUGGAUAAAACAAUGUCUUACCUCCAUAAUAGAAAUAUGUUAUUUACUUUUAUUUAUAUAGUAUAUUAGGUAAACAAGACCUUAUUUUAAGGAAAUAUUGCUCUUAAGAUUUUAUAAAAAAUAUUAAUAUAACGAUAUUUAUAAUUUUAACUUAUCCUCUUGUAUAAUUUUCAAAUAAAAUUAAAAAAUAAAUACAUUAAAGUUAGUUACUUAAUUCAAGAAAAUGUGUUUGACAUGAUGUUAAAAUAAGCAUUGAAGCAUAUUAUGUUUUAAUUUUAAUUAGAACAAUUUAAUUAAGUUGUAAGCUAUUAUUGAUUUUAUAAAAAUAGAAAAUAUAGAUUUUUUGAUUUUAUAAAAAUAAAAAAUAUAGUUUUUUAAAGUGUGAUCUCUAUUAUCAUUUUCUAUCGUAUUUAUUUUGAAAUAUUAAUUUAAUUUUUUUGAUAACUAAUUAAAUAUCGAUAAAUAUAUUUAAAAAGGUAAUAUUGGGCCCGUAAAACAGGCCUUUCAUUAUCUAGUAUAAAUAUAUAGGGAAAAGGACACUCUAUAGAACUUUUUAAAAUAAAUAGCCCAAGUUUGAUAUCUUUCCGAAAAGUAGCCAGUCAGGUAUACUAUUUUCAAUUUAUAGCCAUUCCUAAUUUGGGUCAUUUUGGCUCACAUAGUUCGGAUACAGUCUAUAUACAAUACUAAUAUAGUCCAUAUGUAAUACUGAUACAGUUUUUAACUUGGGUCAUUCGGCCUUUUAAAAAUAUUUCAGUUUUUCUUUUGGUUUUAAAUUUUUUAACUGGAAAAAUAUUCCACUUUUUUUAUUGUUUAGAAAUAAUAAUUAAAUAUAAUUAGAUAAAAACGAUAUAAUUGUUAUGUAUAAUAUGUAUCUAUAUAAGAUAUAUAUCAAAUAUGUAUAUGUAUAAUAUAUAUAUAUAAAAAUAUAUAGAAAGUAUAUAAAAAUUAUAUAAUUGUUGUAUAAAAUGUGUAAAAAAGAAUGUACAAUUAUUGUAUAAAUUAUGUAUCAAAAUUGUAUAAUUUUCGUAUGAAAUAUUUAUAUGUAUAAGAUAUGUAUAGAAAUUGUAUAGAAGGUGUGUAGAAACGAUCUGCAACAAAUACAAAGCCAACGUGUACUUCUUUUAAUCCCCACAAAAUCAACACAACAUUGAAACCUCAAUCAAUUCACUCAACUGGUACUUCCUCUAGUUCUAAGCACAUUACUAGACAACCUACCUACUCUCUUUUAAAUUCUACCCAAUCAACUAAUAUUAUCAAAUCUAUAGACUUCACUCCAAAUCUACCAAAUCCUCCUUGUACUGGUUCAAUUACUAAUAACCUAGUUGCUACUAAGAUUGAACAUGAAACUACCCCUACCAUUAAUACUCGUACUACUACCAAUACAAUGGACGAAGGAAGAGUUAAAAAUAUUAUAACUUCCAUUAAUGAAAAUGUUCACAAUGUUCGCCAAAAUGAAUUCACUAGGUUAACUAGGAAGACUAGGACACCUGAGACUACUACUUCAAUCAUCAAGGCUAUUAAUGUACCUAUGGAUCAUACUAUUACUUCUACUGUAACUCAAGAUAACUUUUUAGAAAACAUUCAGAACAACUUAUCAAGUGCCCAAAAUGCCAAGGAGAUACCCAAAAAAGAACAAACAUUUCAACAACAUUCCAAACCAUCUCAUGGAAAACAACAACGACAUGCACGACCAACCAUGGGAUGCACAAACCAACCAUUGGAACAUUCCCAACCAAAAUGUUCUGCCACUACACCAAACUCCUCAACCAAUACCAAUUUACCAGUCGAAUUGAAGCACCCCUACGCAACAAAACCAGCCCCCAAUCAUACCAUAUCCAACUCCACUAUAUGAAAUAAAAUUGAUGAUGAACAUACAAUACGGACACAACAUGAAUAGCUACAUUCUAAUGGAUCUUAUGCCACCAAUAGAGACAAUGAUGGAAAUUGUGCAAAGUUACCAGAAUCUGUUGCAUGCUCACUUUAUUCAAAAUCAACAUCUCAUCGAGUUUGGAUGGAAUAUGAUAUACUUGCAAGCAAGCAACCAUGAUCACAUAGAUGGAAAGUUUGAACUCAUUCUCACACCAACCAACGAACUACUCAGACUGGUCAAUGCCUCAUCUACCAGCAACACUGAAGGAUACUUACACUCACGACCAGGUGGUCCCACAGAUCAAUGAGACACCAACUUGGAAAAAUCCAUCGUCUUCUAUGCAGGUUCCAGAAAUAACACAAAAACAGGAGGAGGAGGAACAACCAAGAGACAAAGAGCCAAAAUUGAAUCCCAUAACACUGGAGGACUCCCUAACUUUCACUCUUCUCGUAAACAAAGAAGAAAGAAUCAUGGUGCAUGUCCAACCACCAAUGCUGAAGAUAGCGAUCAACUUACGCUCAUCCCCCGACUCAAUGAUGCAUCAAUAUGUUGUGGUAAUCUCAGCAACUCCACCGGAGUUUUCACUUUUUCAUAAUCAAUUCUCUUUGAACCUGGAAAUGUCACUAGCUCCGGAAGGGUCUCAAACAAUACCGAAUAAGUUUUCCAUGAAGAUAAUAGUAUGGAAUUAUAGAGGGGCCAACAACCCCACCUUUAGAAGGAAUGUGUUAGACUUGAUUAUAUCUAACAAACCUGCCAUUCUAGCCUUAACAGAGACUAAAAUGGUGGAUCAUGAUUCACUUUUGCAGAUGCUACCCUAUUCUGACAUGUUACAGGUACCUGCAUCUGGAUUCUCGGGAGGCAUAGCACUUUUUAGGAACAGUAAUGAGUUCAUCAUAAAUCCAAUGGUACUGACAGAGCAAGAGAUUCAUGCAUCGCUUAAGGUUAGCCCAAACUCAACUCCUUGGAUCAUUACUAUUAUAUAUGCUAGAAAUAACUCCUUUUAUAAAAAUGUUCUCUGGAAGAACCUUCAAAACAUUAAUAAUUCAAAUAUGGGACCUUGGUUUAUGUGUGGGGACUUUAACAAAAUAACUAACUCGUCUGAAAAAUUUGCGAUAAUCCGAUCAAUAACAAAAGAGUUUCAAAUUUCCUAGAAUGCAUUAAUACGCUUAGUAUGAUUGAUUUAGGCUUCGCAGGACCUACAUUUACUUGGACUAAUAUGAGUAAGCAUAAUAAUAGUAUCAUUAUGGAAUGGCUUGAUAGGUUCUUAUGCAACCCUUCUUGGCUAGACCUUUACUCGGACUCGAACGUAAUGCAUCUUCCUAGAACUCAUUCCAACCAUUGUCCUGUAAUUCUUAAUCUUAUAAAAAAAUAGUGGUAAACCUAACUACUCCUUUAAAUUUGAAACUAUGUGGCUUCGCCACCCGAACUUUACUCAUAUCGUUAAAAAUUCAUGGCAUAAUAACUACAGCUAUCAUACUGCGGUUACUAACUUUGCAAGGGAUACUAACGAUUGGAACAAAAUAUUUUUUGCAAUAUUUUUAAAAAUAAAAAAAGAAUUAAAGCAAGGAACCAAGGCCUUCAAAACAAGGAUCCUAUAAGAAAAAUUAGUUUUCACUAUAAUCUUGAGAAUAGACUAUCUCAUGAAUUUAAUAACAUCCUACGCUAAGAAGAAGAUUAUUGGAAGCUUAAAUCAAGAAUUCAAUGGCUUAUGGAAGGAGAUGCUAAUACUAAAUUUUUCCAUACUACUACCACUAAUAGGAGAAGAAGGAAUAAAAUCAUGGGCCACUUAGACUCUGUGGGUAAAUGGACUUUCGACCCUGAUCAGUUACGAAGCUCUAUUAUAAAUCACUUCAAAAAUAUUUACACUACGGAGCAAAAUACCUCUGAGCGUAAAAGUUUCCCAAAGGCGGGAAACUAUCUAAAAAUGAAUGACCAUAACAUUCUAAACUCUAACCUCACUAUUGAGGAAAUUCAUAAUGCUAUUAAGUCCUUUAAACCUCUAAAGGCCCCGGGUCCUGACGGUCUUCAUCCUAUCAUUUUUUCAACAAUUCUGGGAAGAUACCAAGUUCUCCAUAACUCAAACUUGUAUGGAUGCCUACAUAACGGAAUCCAUCGACCCUGAAAUAAAUAAAACAAAUGUUGUUCUCAUCCCAAAAAUUAAUACCCCUGAACAAAUUCACCAUUUCAGACCCAUUAGUCUUUGCAACACUGUUUACAAAAUCAUAACAAAAAUUUAGUUAAUCGUAUUCACCCUUUCCUGGAUAAUAUCAUUAACCCCGCGCAAUGUAGCUUCAUCCUAGGUAGAAGAGCCUUGGAUAAUGCUAUUAUAGUACAAGAGGCCCUUCACUUUUUUCACAAGUCUAACAAUAACUUAAAGAAAAUGAUGUUAAAGAUUGAUUUAGAAAAAGCGUUCUAUAGAAUGGAGUGGUCUUUUAUUUUCCUAUCUACAAAGCCUAAAUUUUCCUCAAAAAAUCACUAACAUAAUCAUGGAAUGCAUCACUAGUUCCUUCAUCUCCAUCGUAAUUAAUGGAAACCCUACAGAUACCUUUACGCCUAGUCGAGGUAUUAGACAAGGAGAUCCAUUAUCCCCCUACAUUUUUAUCAUAUGUAUGGAUUCACUUUAACGAUUCAUCCACCAGGCUGUUGAUGAAAAAAAGUUGAACCCCUAUUAAAAUCUCUACCUCUUCUCCGGUAUUAUCUCACUUGCUUUUCGUUGAUGACUUAAUCCUUUUCGCAAAAGCAAACUUAGACAAUGAUACCACCAUUCAUACUUUAUUCCAGGACUUUGAAAAACUAUCUGGCCAAAAAAUCAACUAUAACAAAUCAAAAAGUAUUUUCUCUAACAACACUCCUUCCGAAAUUACUAGCCUAUAGUUAAACUUCUUAACAUGAAUUCUUCAGCUAACUUUGGUAAGUAUCUAGGUAUGCCUAUGACAAAAAAACUUCCAAAAAGAAUGGAAUAUCAAUUCAUUAUUGAUAAUAUGAAUAACAAACUCAAGGGUUGGAAACCAAAAUGCUUAAUAUAGCUGGAAGAACAACCCUUAUAAAAUCUGUUCUGGAAGUUAUCCCCACUUACGGAAUGCAAAUUAACUUACUUCCUUCAAAAAUAAUCCAUCACAUCGAUCAUAUCGAAAGGAAUUUUCUUUGGGGUACAACUAACGAGAAUAAAAAAAUCCAUAAUGCAAAUUGAAAUCUCAUAACUCUUCCAAAAGCACGAGGAGGACUGGGCAUUCACAAAUCUGAAGGAAAAAUUUUAGCCCUUAUUUCAAGUCUUAACGGGAGAUUCCUUAAGAACAAAUCCCAACUAUGGGUCAAAAUCCUCUAAAAUAAGUAUAAAAACAGACUCACUGGUAAUCAAAUUCACUACAUUGCUACUGACUCUUACAUAUGGAAGAGUCUUAGCAAAAACCAAAAAGUUUUCUCUAAGGGUAUCUCGUGAAAUGUGGGAAAUGGUAACAAUAUAAACCUGUGGAAGGAUAGAUGGCUCUGCAACAAUAGUAAUCUUUGCGAGCUCAUACAGGGUCCUCUAACACAAUUUGACAUUAAACAAACUCUCUCGGAAAUCAUUUCUAAUGGUUUGUGGGAUACUUCAAGUGUAUCCUUUCAAAUAACGUCGAAUAUUUUAAAAAUUAUCCAUAAUACCUAUACCCAAAAAAUAGAGCCUAAACGGGAUAAAUUUUUCUGGAAUCCUUCCUUUUAGGUACUUUCACCACAUCCUCAGUCUAUAUGCUCUUUCUAAAUUCAUCAACCAAAUCACUUCCGGAAAACAAUCCUUCUAAUCUUUGGGUUUGGAAAGGAAAAAAUCAAAAUAAGAUUAAAAAAAAUUUGUGGCUCACCACUUUAUACAAAUUUCCUACAGUUGAGGUCCUAAAUAAGAAGAAUGUAAUUCCGACAAACUUUUGCCGCUCAUGCACCAAUAUAACGAAGUCUCGUACACAUACUUUACUAACUUGUCCCAAUGCUAUACAAAUUUGGACUCAAUUUAGAUUUUCUCCUUCUGCGAACCACUUCAUACGUGACAUCAAGAAUUUAUGCUCCUCCAAUAAUACCAUCAAACUUUGCGGUAGUAUCCCCAUACCUUUCUCUGUUUUUACCUCUUUAAUUCUUUGGUCCAUUAGAAAAAAUAAAAAUGAUUAUCUCUUUAAAAUGCGACCAACCAAUUAACUGCACCAAAAAUUCAAUUGGAUACUAUCUAAUACUUUCAUCUUGGGCAUACUAAAGAAAAUUCAAAAAGGCAUUAUAGGUUUAACAUUGAUAGUGCAUAUGAUCUUACUAACAACCAUGGGGGAGACGGAGGGAUUAUCAAAAACCACGAUGGGAUUUGUAUAACUGAAAUGGCUUUCUCACACAUGGCCACAUCGGCUAUACAAAUGAAAAUUUUGGCUAUGUACCAUGGGCUACGUUUGGCUCUUGAAAAGAACUUGACUUAUAUUAUUGUGGAAACAGAUUCCCAGGUAAUCAUUCAACUCUUAAACUCAAAAAAUGAGGAUCACUCACACAUGAUUUCUGAUUGCAGGUCCAUCAUUAAACUGUUGAAAGAACCUAAAAUCCGCCAUAUCUACAGAGAAGUAAAUGGUGUAGCGGACAAGUUGGCAGCAUUUGAAAAGUCUCAAAUGCAUUGCAUGGAGAAUAAUUCAAUAACUUUUAUUUUGCCGCCGCUUUUUAUUUUGCAAGAACUCCUAAAAGACUCUCAAAGUCUGGGUUCUACCUGGACGAUUUAUGUCUAUAAUAACUUUUAAAUUUCCAUGUUAUAAUAAAGUUCCUUUUGCAGCAAAAAAAAAAAUGGCUAGAAAGUGGAAUUUAAAUUACAUGGUCAUUUUCGUGAAAAUAGUUUAAUUUGAAGUGUCGUUUCUGUCUUCUCCCCCUGUAUAUAUAGAUCCAAAAAAGAAAGAAAACUUUAAAAAUACUCCCCCUCCCCCCCCUCCCUUUUUUCCUUUUCCCAACCUAUUUCAACCCUUACUUUUCUAACUCCGGCAAUCACUUUCACCAUAAACAGCCCUACCCCCUUCAUAUUUAUGUCACAUUUGAACACCACGAGCUUGCGUUGAUUUCAAUUAUUUGAAAUUAUAAGCCAUUAAAGUAGAGCACCGUGGUGUAAAUUUGAAAAGGGUCCUUUGAUUUGAAUUUUAAUGUCCAAUAUUCAUGUUGAUCUUCAUAUUUUUAAUGUUUUACUAUUUUUAGCGGAGCUUUACCGUCAGAAUUUCUGAUUUGAUUAUAUUUGUGAAUAUGAAAAAUUGGAAUAAAAUUAGAAUUGGAGGGGAGUCUGAUUUGAUUAUCUUUGUGGAUAUGAAAAAUUGGAAUGAAAAUAAAAUUAGAGGGGAUUCGUUAGCGCGGGUCUAAAAAAUGUGGUGUGUUAAUGGUAGCGGUAAAAUGUUAAUGGUGACAAUGUUAAAAUAUACAUAGAGAAUGAACGAAGAGAGGAGGUCCACAGAUUGAGACGCGAAAAAACAAUAGGGAAUCAACGAGAAAACAAUGAAAAAGGGAGAGGAAUUGAAGGGCUAGAAGAUACGUAUAGAUUGAAGGAAUUAGAGGGGAAGAGGGAGAGAAGAAGGGAAGAGAGAUCGAAAGAAGGAGAUGGAGAAAAAGAGUUGAGAUUUUCUGACGAAGUUUUGCCGAAAAUGACAUCUCCGACCGACGAGGAGAAGAGAGGGGGUUGAAGAAGAAAGUGGAUUUUUUUUUUAAUUUUUAUUAUAUAAUAUUAGUGGCAUUAUUUUUUUAAAAUAUUUUUUUAUGUGAUAAUGAUGUGGCAAUGAUGUGAAAGUGAUGUGGCGAUGAUGUGGCUCGUGUGUAACGCACCUCCCUUGAUGAGAGAGGUGGUGUAUUUUUGGGAUUGUAUAUAAUUCACUAUAAAGUUGUUAAGGGGUAAAUAAGUAUCGAUAAAAUUAAAAAAAAUAAAAUAAAUUAUGCGGAUAAGUUACAGACGUUACAAUGUCAUAAAAUGCACAUGGAAAAAUUCCGGAACACAUUUAAAAGCAUUCUUAAGAUACAUUUAAAUUCAAUUCGAUACAGCAACAUAUUUGCCAACCAACUUUAGAUUAAUGCCUAUCCUCUCACAGUUUUCUUGCAGAUCGUCAUGAUUAAAAAAUGCUAUUUGUGUGAUUUACUACUUUAUUCUCGUUAGUAUAUUUUUAAUGUAUGACUUCUUUUCUUUUGCUUAAUGAUUGUGAAAUUCGAAUAUAACUCGCAUUCAUUUCGAUUAAUUUCACCUACUAAUAUCUUUUCGUGAUUACGUUGUUUUCUUUUGGCUGUUUCGUAACAAACAAAGCGUUGUAUACUCAAUUAAACAAUGAAAAGUAGGAUAAACAUAUUCUUAUCUUUGUUUCCAUUAACAAUUACUUACAUAUUUUUUAGUCCGAAAUCAAAAUAUGCCAUGAAACUAAAAAGAAUAUCAAAAUAUGUCAUGUAUUUAAAAUGUUACCAUAAUAUACUUAACUUUCUUAUAUUUUUUUUUUUAACAAAAAUUGUCAAACGGAGUUAAAUUUCUAAAAAAGUACAUAACUCACUUAAAAAGAGAGUCAUACAUUUUUUUCUACAUAACUCACUUUUUAAGUGAGUUAUAGAAUAAAAGUUACAUAACUCACUUAAAAAGAGAGUUAUACAUUUUUUUUCUACAUAACUUACUUUUUAAGUGAGUUAUAUAAUAAAUAUACUGCUUUACCUUUUCUCACUUUACCAUUCAUCUUCACUUUAUCCUUUUACUCCAAAAAAAAAAAGUAUUAUACUGAGUUAAACGAGCAUCAACAAUAUUAGUUGGAUCAUUAAAUUGCGUAUGCAAAUUCGUCUGCGUCGGAGAAUGCGCAUGACGAUUUUUACACUCCUUCUUAACAUAAAUUUGAAUAAUGUUCAGCUAUAUUUGACUAGCAUAGUCACGAGGAGCCCUCAGAAAUUCAGUCAACGACUCAUCAUCACUGAUAAUCCAUUCUCCAUAAUUUAUCAAUCCUUGUGAUAAGAACGAAUUUGGAUACUGUCCAACAAUAAACAAAUCAAAAUCAUCAUUUUUUUAUUUUCAUUCUUCUACAAAUAGAUUCUACAAAUUCUCUGUAACCAAUUGAAAUUGGAUACUUGACGUUGAACUUGGGGGAUACUAUAAUAUAUUGUAUUUCCCUCGCGGAUAAUUUCGUCAUUCCAAAAAAGUGCAACUUUAACACGUUCAGCAUUCAUUCUUUAAACUUUGAUUAAGUUUUGAAAAGAAGAGUCGAAUUUGAACAACUUUGAAAAAGAAGAAUUGAAUUUAAACAAGAAAAAUUCAGUUUCAAAGAGGAGUUGAGUGAAUAAAGAAUAAAGAGUCUUGAAUGUAUACAUGUUUAAAUAGGAGAAAUCUGAAUGCCGGUGGAAAAGGUUAUUUACGCAUAACUCAUAAAUUUUUAGAGUUAUAUUCAUAUAAUGGAUAACUCACUUAAAUAGUGAGUUAUGCAUUUUAUUUCUACAUAACUCAUAUAAUUAGUGAGCUUUAUAUGAUAAAUGUGUUUCUGUACCCCACUUUGUGGGAAUACACUGGAUUUGUUGUUGUUGUUUGUUGUUGUUGAUACUAGUUUAUGUGUACGCGCCUUGUGUGUGUACCUCACUUUAUUGUGUUCAAACGUUACACUAAAUAGAAUAUUUGUUUAAAUAAUAAAGAUGAAUACAAUAAUUAAAUUCAACAUCUUUUAGAGAAUUUAUUUAAUUAAACCUAAUCUUUAUCAAAAAAAUUUUCAAAGUCGAUCGACAUCCAUCGAACACCUGUAAACCUUAACAAAACAAUACUAUGAUAGAGACAUUAAAGCAAUAUAAUUAAAUCUAACUUUUACACAAAAAUUUUCUCAAAGUCAUUCGACACUCAUCUACCACCUGUAAACUAUAACAAAAUAAUAUGAUAAUAGAGAUAUCAAAAUAAUACAACUAAACUUUACCUUGACACAAAAAAAAUCUCAAAACAGAGAUAUAAAAAUAAUAUAAUUAAACCUAACAUUUACCUAAAAAAAUUCCUCGAAGUUGACCGACAUUCAUCUACCACCUGUAAAUUCAUUUACGACCUAUAAAGUACAACAAAAUAAUACAAUAGUGAUCACAAAACUUCAGUUUUGAUGAAAAUAAUUAUUUUCUGAGCAAAAAUUUUGACACUAAAGAAUGGCUUGAAUGAAAAUAAAGAAGAUACAUAAAUACACACACGUUGAAUUCUAUUAUAUUGACAAAAAUAGUGAAGAAGAUGAGGGUUAGAAAAUUAAGCAUCCAUCAAUCUAGACAUGCAACAGAAUCAAGUUAGAUGAGCAUCAAUCAUAAUUUUCACAAUAAGUAAACCAGUUUCUUCUCUAGUUUAACGUGCAUCUCAAUAUUUAUAGAAAUAUUUCUUUAAUAGAGUUCUAUUUUAGGAGUAUUUUUUUAAUCCUAUUUUAGGAGUAUUUUUUCUAAUUGAUCAUUACAAAGGAAAAUAUUAAUUGAUUCUACUUCCAUAUAUUUUAGGAGUUUACUUAAUAUAGUAAAAAUAAUUAAAUAAUAAAUUAAAGAAAAUAAUGAAAAGACAGUUUUGUCUAAAGGACAGUCUUUUAAUUAAGGAUAAAAAGUUCAAAUCAUUUUUCCAAGGGUCUUUACACUUUUAAUAUAUACUAGUCUAACUGCACGUGCCUCGCACGUGUAGCUUUUGAUUAUUCAAAAUUAAAUGAUUUUAUCUAUUACAGAGAUUUUUUAUGAAUUGUAAAAGUUUAAAUCACAUUUCAAUGAUUUUUCAUACUUUAAUAUAAUAAUAUAAAUAUAAACAUAUAUUUUAGUGUAAGCAUAUAUAUAUUUUACAUCAUUGCUUUUGCGUUUGUCAUAAAGAUUUUUUGCCUUACUGUCAGAGGGUAAGAGAGACGUAUCAAUUUGAAUCAUAUCCAUGGUACAGUUAUUUUUCUUUUUCUUUCCAUAUUUAAAACUUUCCUUGUGUUUAAAGUUAAAUCUUUACAAAAUCAUCGAUUAGAUUCUUAUUACGUACUUAAAACUUUUACUUCUUAAAUAUUGUUCUUAUUCUAAUGAUAAAAAUAAAAAUAAUCAUAAAGUACCAAUUGACAUUAAAGUAAAUAUUAAACCGAUUGUAAUAAUAUAAAUAAAUAUUGCAUCUCAAAUAUGUUCUUGUUGUUAUGAAAUCAGGUGUCAUGUGGAAGUUAACAAAUCAAACCCCAAAAAGAGUCAAAUAAGAAGACACGCAAGAAAUACAUCAAAAGAGACAAUAAUUUAACGUGAUUCGAGCAAUUGACCUACAAUCACAAAAGCACAUGAACAAUCCACCAUAUAAAAUAGAAUAUAAAAUAUCAAGAGAGACAACCUCAAACAAUUCAGACACAAUAAAAAAAAGGUUCACAACACCUGAAAGAUUGACACUCACCUUCAAAUCUUUAUUAUCAUCCAGCAAAGGUUUUCGUUUCUCAUGAAGCAAGCAAAAUUUACCCACUUAGUCUAUGUUAAUAACUUUAAUUAUGGUUGUACCAUUAAAUUUUUCUUAUAUUAAUAUGUUCACGAACGAAAAAGUUUAUGUUUAUACCUUUUGACUUUCUUUUUAUGCUGGCUGUUUCAGCAUCGCAGUAUAUCUCCUUCCGCCUAUGAAAAAUUAUUUAGCCUAACAUGAGGCACAAUUUGCAUCUUUUGAUGAUAUACAAUACUUGGGAUAGUAGGUGAAUAGUAAUUUGGUAUAAGUCAAAUUUUCUUUAAAAAUUCCUAGAUUUUCUUCUCUGGUAUUAAUAAAUCUUUCGUUCGAAAGGUUAUUUACUAUGGGACAGUUUAUUCCUUCAUUAAAGGUGGAUUUAACAAUUAUUUGGAUAAAAUAAAUUUUUAGAAGCAUCUGCUUCUACUGUAAUUUUACUAUAUCAGCUCUAAUUAAUUAUUAUAAGUCAUUUAUGUGUUAAUAAAUAAUAAUAUUUAAUAAAAAAAAUAAAAUAGAGAUUUAUGACAUGUUUACUUCAGUUGCUUCAACUGUAAUUUUACUAUAUCACUCCUAAUUAAUUAUUGUACCCCUAAUUAAAUACUAUAAAUCAUUUACGUAUUAUAAAAUUAAUAAUAUUUAAUUAGAAAAAAAGUUAAAAUAAAUAUUUAUGACUGUUUCAGCUGCUUCAACCAUAAUUAAAUACUAUAAACUUACUUUUGCCUCCAAUAUUCUUGAAGAACGGUAACAAUUCAUCCAGUUUAUAGUACCCACAAAAUUAAAACCUGGUCAAGCACAAAGGACAUAAAUUUUAGAUUAAGAUUAAAGAAGAAGAAAAAAACAACACAACAUUUGAUGCUCAAAACCAAAAAGAAAAUAAAAAAAAUAAUUUAACCAAAAACAAAUUGGAAGAAGAACAUACUAAUAACAAUUUAAGAAAGGUAACAAUUUAUUUAACCUAAAAAAAUUGUACUUUCUUGGAAGAAUUUGUACGCGAGGGUAGAUUUAAAGACAUUAGGAUUUAAAUAAGAAAAUAUUUGAUGACCAAAAUUUAAAUUUGUACGAAAAUUUAUAAUUUUAACAUAACUAAACUAGAAAAAAUACAUAUUCUCAAAAUUAGAAGUUUAGUACUAAUAAAUUUUCUAUUUUUAUUCUCAUAUUAAAUUUUCCUUGUUAUUUUAAGCUACGCCAAUUUUAAAAAUUUUUAUACUUUUUUAUGUCCAAAUCACGGUUUAUCUUUUUUAUUUACCUUCGUGUUGUUCAAACUGCACCAAUUGUAAUGACUAUUAACUUUUAGCCAAACAUAAUAACCUUAUCCCUUUUUUAUUUAGUGAAAUUUUAUUUUGACUAAAGUUAAUUAAAUAAUAUCUUUGAGUAGGAUUUUUAUUUGAUUAAUAUAGUAAAAGACCAUUUCGUCUAUUAGAGAGACUUUUAAUGAAGGUCAAAAAAUUUAAAUCACUUUUUAUAGGUUUUCGCACUUUUAAUAUACUAUAGAUAUAGAUAUAAAUAAAUUUAGAUCUCUAGCUUUUUCAAAUCUUUUUAAUAUUAAAUUUAGUCGAUUUAGAAUUCUUAAACUAAUGAAAAAAAAUAUUAGUUGUCAUCAAUCCUAAUGACUUUUAUAAUAAGAAAAGGUUUUACCAUAAAUAUAUUUAAUUAAUUUUCACUCUUAGAUAUUAGGAAAAAAUAGUGAAAAGACGAUUUUGUCUAAAACAAAGACUUUUAAUGAAGGGCAAAAAGUUCAAACAAUAUUUCUAAGGCCCUUCACACUUUUAAUAUAUAUAUAUAUAUAAAAAAUAUGUGAGUUUUAUAGGAAUAAGAAGGAUAACUUAUUUUAUUGUGAAUUUUACACUUUUUCUAAUGGUACCUUUUAUGACUGACAAACGUUUUUUAUGAACAUGUUAAUUUUUUGCAUAACUCAUAUAUUUUUAGUACCAUAUUCAUAUUUUAUAUCACUAAUAAAGUUAUGCACUUUUUUUUUUAUUUUUUCAUUCGGUGUCCGGUACCCACAUUGGAGUCCGACUAAUCCGGAUUCGCGUCAUGUAGGGCCACAUUCGUGGGGAAGCGCUCCCAACAAAAUUUUCUUCAUGCCCAGGGUCAAACCCUCGACCUCUGGUUAAGGGUGGAGCAGCCCCAUCCGAUGCACCACAGCUCAUGUUGGUAAAAUUAUGCACUUAUCACACAUAUUUAAAAUCUAUAUUCAAUGAAUUACUCAUUUUUUUUACUUAUUUUAUAUUUGAAUGAACUCACAUAAUCAGUCAGUUUUACUCUCUCCAUUUCGUAUUAGUUGGUCUUCCUUCUAAAAAAAAUAAAACUUUAAAAAGAUGAAUAGAUUAUUCACAUAAUAUGUAAGUUUUAUAAAGUGAGUUAUAUAAUUUUUAUUAUAUUUAUGUAAAAAAAAAAAAAGUGAGUCAUGUAACUUUUAUUAUAUAAAGUGAGUUAUGUAGAAAAAAAUGCAUAAUUCUCUUUUUAAGUGAGUUAUGUAUUUUUUCAGAAAUUUAAUUCCAUUUAAUAAUUUUCGUUAAAAAUAAUACAUAUAACUCUCUUAAAAAGAGAGUUAAGCAUAUAAUCAAAAAUUUAAAGUUUAGGUUUACUAUGAAUAAAAUGUGUCAAAUUCAAAGGGGUACAUGUAGCAAAUUAUAUAUAAGAAAAUAAGACACGUGAUUACGGAAGAGAGGAUAAUGUUUUAUUUUGAAGGAGGGAGUAACUAGCCACUUGACAAUGAAUAAGAUUUGAUGAUGAAUUACCUAUAAAGGUUGUAGGAGAGCGAUAAAUAUAUUUUUAAUCAGAAAUUUUGAAUAUGUGUGUUGCUCGCCAUUGUUAGAGCAAGCUUUAAAUCUAAAUGUUGGACUUCUCGCAAUCUAUAAUUAGUUGGGUUUCGAUGUAUAUACCUAACACAAAUAAAAAAAAAAAUUGAUUAAUUUAUAAUAAUGAUAUUAUUUUAAAAUAAAUUUCUAUUAUCAAAUUGAUCAAUUGUUUCAGCUUCAAACUUGAAAUAUAAAUUUUAAAUUUUAAAAAAGGGAUGAUAUGAGUUUUCAAGUUUUUAUUAUGGCUUCACAUAAUUUUUCAUAUUCAAAUGCAAUUUCAAUUUUUAAGUAUUUCAACUUUAUUUUAAAUACUUUCUACUUAUCAAUUUAUGUAACACUCUUCUCUUCUAGUUAGUCGUAAAUAUAAUAACAUCUUCUUAAUUUAAUAACAAUUUAAUAUUAAAGUAUUUAUUUUAUCUUUAAUAAAACAAUUUAUAUAUACACAAACGUCUAUUACUUAUAAAAUAAUUUAUACACACAUAAAUAUAUACUAAUUUAUUUAAUUAAAAAAUUGUAAAGUCCUUUUUUAUGUAAGUUGGGAUAAACACUACUCAAAAAAACUGAAAAAAUGACCACAAAAAACCAACCACACAUUGUGGUCGGAAAAAACCGAUCAUUUUUAAUUUUUUAAAAAAAUCAAAAUAAUUAUUUCAAUAAUUUUAUAUUAAUUAUUAUUUAUUUUAUAAAUAAAAAUUAAAAAAAUAACAAAACCAACCACUAGUAGUCAUUUUUUAAAAAAAAGACAAUUGAAAAAUAUUUUUAAAAACCGACCACUUGUGGUCGAUUUUUAAGAAUUCUUUUUUAAUUAAUUUUACAAAAAACGACCACUAGUGGUUGGUUUUUAAUUUUUUAAAAAAUAUAUAUUUUUACAAAAAUCGAUCACUUGUGGUCGGUUUUUUAAUUAAAAUAAAAAAAUAAUUUAUAAAAACCGACCACUAGUGGUCGGUUUUUCCCUCAAAUCAGUAAAUACCAACUAGCAGCGGCAAUCAAUUACUGCAAUUUGAUUGGGGUUCACGUUUAAAAGAAAAACAGAUGGUGUACCAAAUUUGGAACAAAAAAUAAAGGUCGGAUUGAGUUGGUUUGAAAUCGGGUCCGAUGGGGUUAUUGUAGGGGUGUGCAUCGGUCGGUUCGGUUUGAUUUUACGUGUUAUUGGUUCGAUUUUUGAAUAUGUAAAACCAAUAAGAUAUUUUCUUAUCGAUUUCAGUUUAUCGGUUUUUGAUCCUUAACGGUUCGAUUUUCAGUUUAACCAAUAAGAAAAUACUUAAUUAUAAAAUAGAAAUAGUAACAACUAACAUAAAAAAAAAUGAAAUCUUAAUUACCGCCAAAACCUACACAAUGCAUUUUAGUUUACAAGAAUCUUCAAACUUGAACUAAAUAUUAGUUAGGAAAAAAAUUGAAUCCUAAUUGUUGGAAGCUAUAAAUGCUUCAAGCUUUUUAUUACGAUAAUAGCCGAACUUUAUAUUGCGUCUUUAUUGUCCUGAAUAGGUUAAUACUUUGUGAAUCACUAAAUUAUGAAUUAGUAGUGCGUAUAAUCUAUAUAUAUAUAUAUAUAUAUAUAUAUAUAGACAGAGAGAGAGAGAGAGAGAGAGCUAUUAUGCAGUGAUCGAUUUAUGAACGAUGUAGUCAAAAUCUAGUAUAUUAAAUUAAUCAAAUAUAAUUAAUCGAUCAUUCAUCUGAGUAUGUAUAAGAAACACAUCGGAUUAUAUUAUAGGAUAAUAUACUUGUGUACGUAUGUGCUAUAUAUAGUACGUAUUUAGAAUUUAAUAUAGUCGAUAGUGUGUAUAUGUGUGUGUACGUAUAUAUAUAUAGUAUAUACAUAUUAUACAGUGAAGGUAUAUUAAUGACAUAAGAUAACGUAAUCCAUAAUUGAUCUCAGUAUUUGUGAAAUAUGUUGUAUAUUAUUAUGGGGUAGUAAAAUUGUGUGUGUGAUGUUUAUAGUACGUAUGUGAAAGCUGAUAGACAAUUGAAUAUAUGUAUAUAUACGUAUAUCUCGUGUAGUGACGUAUAUAGUAAUCGAAAGCUAGAUAACUGAAUCUAUAUAUCAAAAUAGUUUGAAUGAUACGCUGAUAUAUAUCAUACUAUUGAGGAAGUAGAUAUACUAUUUUGGGUCAAUGCAGACACACGUAUGUUGUUGAAGUUGUAAUAACGUAAGGAUAGUAUUACGAGGUGUAUAUACGAUUAAGGUAUAUAACCAAAAAUUUAUUAAUUUACAAAAUUCAUUGAUAUUAUUAUACGAUUGAGGAAAUAUACUACUCGUGUUAAUAUGAUGAUAAAAUAACUACUUAUCUAAUUUAUAUAAAUACGAAUUGUAUUAAAUUAAUUGGAUGUUGUCCCGGUCCCAUACACAGUGUAUGUAUAUAUGUAAGAAUUGUAUUAAAUUAAUUGAAUGUUGUUAUAACUAUUAUAGAAUUUAUUAAAAAAUAAUUUUAAUUGAUUAACUUAUUUUUUAAUUUAUUAACUUAUUAAUUGUAAUUUGUUAAAGUUUAAUUUCAAAAAUAUAUUUUUUAAAAUAUUACGAAAACCGACCACAGUCGGUUUUCGUAAUAUUUUAAAAAAAAAAUUGAAUAAUCCGACCCGACCUAUAAUACAUAAUAAUAACACAAAACACACCAAAAAUCCGCCAUUUCACCCGUCCAAAACAACAAAAACACUCCAAAACCCUUCAAAUCGCAUACUUUAACAUUAAACCCUCCAAUCUCCAUUGUUCUUUCUCUUUCAAGGAAGUUUCUACUCAACUUCUUGGAUUCUUUUUGACUUUAAUCAAAUUUUCAAGGAACUAUUCCAUCCUAACUUUCAAUUUUGGGCAAGGUAACAAUUAACUACAACUCAUUAACUAAAUUUAGCUUAUUUUAGUAUCCACAAACUCGUUUUUUAAUAUCUAAAAAUGUUAAAAGUCUACAUACAAAUAUCUUAGUGCUAAUUUCGUCAAUUGGUUGUGGUUUGAGUUUUAGGGUUUGCAUAUUUAUUUUAUUUAGCUAGAUUUUAGCUAAUUUUUUGAAUUUGAGAUUGAAUUAGCUAAUUUUAGGCUUGUUCCUACAUUAAUUUGAUUUUGAAUUACCUAAAUUUUGUUUAGUCUUGACACUUAUUUCUCCAUUUUACUCAUUAAUUAUUUAAUUUUUUUGGGGAGAAAUCUUAUUCGUAUUAUUUUACUAAAUUAUUGUAAUAAUUUAAGCGAAAGAUUAUUCUUUGUAAUAAUUUUACUAUUUGACAGAUUCUAAAUUCGGUAUAAGGAUUGCUUUGCUAUUUUUUCUCGUGACCACUUAUCUCUUUCACUUUAAUUUAGGCCAAGCAAAGGUAAGUUUUUAUCUUCUUGUUAUUGUUCAUAUUGAAGUCUAGUGAAGCCGUGUGUGGCCUUAUUCGAUUCAUUAGCAUUGUUUUUAUCUUCUUGUUAUUGCUCAUAUUGAAGUCUAGUGAAGCCGUAUGUGGCCUUGUUUGAUUCACUAGCAUUGUUGUUGACAUCUUGUUGGUCUUGUUGCUUAUUUUGAAUGUGGUUUAGUUGUUGACUUAGUUACUUAAAAAUGAUUAAAUGUAGGGACUUUAAAGGAAAUUUUUUGUAUUGAAUGUGGUUUGGUUUAGAUACUUAGUUACUUGAAAAUGGUUAAGUGUAGCGACUUUAAAGAAGAUUUUUUUCUUUAAAUGUGGUUUGGUUAGUGACUUAGUCACUUGAAAAUGGUUAAGUGUAGCGACUUUAAAGAAGAUUUUUUUCUUUAAAUGUGGUUUGGUUAGUGACUUAGUCACUUGAAAAUGGUUAAGUGUAGGGACUUUAAAGGGAAUUUUUUGUUUUAAAUGUGGUUUGGUUGUUGACUUAGUUACUUGAAAAUACUUAAGUGUAGGAACUUUAAAGGAGAUUUUUUGUUUUGAAUGUGGUUUGGUUGGUGACUUAGUUACUUGAAAAUGGUUAAGUGUAGGACUUUAAAGGGGAUUUUUUGUUUUGAAUGUGUUUUGGUUGGUGACUUAGUUACUUGAAAAUGGUUAAAUGUAGGGACUUUAAAGGAAUUUUUUUUUUUUGAAUAUGGUUUUAUUUUGAUACUUAGUCACUUGAAAAUGGUUAAGUGUAGGGACUUUAAAGGGGUUUUUUGUUUUGAAUGUGGUUUGGUUGUUGCCUUAGUUACUUAAAAAUAGUUAAGUGUAUGGACUUAAAAGAGGAUUUUUUAUUUUGAAUGUUGUUUGGUUGGUGACUUAGUCACUUGAAAAUAGUUAAGUGUAGGGGAUUUUGUGUUUUGAAAGUGGUUUGAUUGGUCACUUAGUCACUUGAAAAUGGUUAAGUGUAGGGACUUUAAAGAAGAUUUUUUGCUUUUUAUGUGGUUUGGUUGGUAACUUAGUUACUUGAAAAUGGUUAUGUGUAGGGACUUUAAAGAAGAUUUUUUGCUUUUUAUGUGGUUUGGUUGGUAACUUAGUUACUUGAAAAUGGUUAAGUGUAGGGAUUUUAAAGGGAAUUUUUUGUUUUGAAUGUGGUUUGAUUGAUGACUUAGUCACUUGAAAAUGGUUAAGUGUAGGGGCGUUAAAGGGAAUUUUUCAUUUUGAAUGUGGUUUGGUUUAGAUACUUAGUUACUUGAAAAUGAUUAAGUGUAGGGACUUUAAAGAAGAUUUUUUGCUUUUUAUGUGGUUUGGUUGGUGACUUAGUCACUUGAAAAUGGUUAAGUGUAGGGACUUUAAACGGGGUUUUUUGUUUUGAAUGUGGUUUGGUUGUUGACUUAGUUACUUGAAAAUGGUUAAGUGUAGGGACUUUAAAGGGGAUUUUUUGUUUUGAAUGUGGUUUGGUUUAGAUACUUAGUUACUUAAAAAUGGUUAAAUGUAGGAACUUUAAAGAAGAUUUUUUGCUUUGAAUGUGGUUUGAUUGGUGACUUAGUCAUUUGAAAAUGGUUAGGUGUAGGGACUUUAAAGGGAAUUUUUUUGUUUUGAAUGUGGUUUGGUUGUCGACUUAGUUACUUGAAAAUGGUUAAGUGUAGGGACUUUAAAGAAGAUUUUUUCUUUUGAAUGUGGUUUGAUUGGUGACUUAGUCAUUUGAAAAUGGUUAGGUGUAGGGACUUUAAACGGGGUUUUUUGUUUUGAAUGUGGUUUGAUUGGUGACUUAGUCAUUUGAAAAUGGUUAGGUGUAGGGACUUUAAACGGGGUUUUUUGUUUUGAAUGUGGUUUGAUUGGUGACUUAGUCACUUGAAAAUGGUUAAGUGUAGGGACUUUAAAGGGGCUUUUUUAUUUUGAAUGUGGAUUGGUUUUGAUACUUAAUUACUUGAAAAUGGUUAAGUGUAGGGACUUUAAACGGGGUUUUUUGUUUUGAAUGUGGUUUGGUUGGUGACUUAGUCACUUGAAAAUGGUUAAGUGUAGGGACUUUAAAGGGAAUUUUUUAUUUUGAAUGUGAUUUGGUUGGUAACUUAGUUACUUGAAAAUGGUUAAGUGUAGGGACUUUAAACGGGGUUUUUUGUUUUGAAUGUGGUUUGGUUGGUGACUUAGUCACUUGAAAAUGGUUAAGUGUAGGGACUUUAAAGGGAAUUUUUUAUUUUGAAUGUGAUUUGGUUGGUAACUUAGUUACUUGAAAAUGGUUAAGUGUAGGGACUUUAAAGGAGAUUUUUUGUUUUGAAUGUGGUUUGGUUUAGAUACUUAGUUACUUAAAAAUGGUUAAAUGUAGGAACUUUAAAGAAGAUUUUUUGCUUUGAAUGUGGUUUAAUUGGUGACUUAGUCACUUGAAAAUGGUUAGGUGUAGGGACUUUAAAGGGAAUUUUUUGUUUUGAAUGUGGUUUGGUUGUUGACUUAGUUACUUGAAAAUGGUUAAGUGUAGGGACUUUAAAGAAGAUUUUUUCUUUUGAAUGUGGUUUGGUUGAUGACUUAGUUACUUGAAAAUGGUUAAGUGUAGUGACUUUAAAGGGGAUUUUUGUUUUGACUGUGGUUUUGUUUUGAUACUUAGUCACUUGAAAAUGGUUCAGUGUAGGGACUUUAAAGGAGAUUUUUUAUUUUGAAUGUGAUUUGGUUGGUGACUUAGUCACUUGAAAAUGGUUCAGUGUAGGGACUUUAAAGGAGAUUUUUUAUUUUGAAUGUGAUUUGGUUGGUGACUUAGUCACUUGAAAAUGGUUCAGUGUAGGGACUUUAAAGGAGAUUUUUUAUUUUGAAUGUGAUUUGGUUGGUGACUUAGUCACUUGAAAAUGGUUCAGUGUAGGGACUUUAAAGGAGAUUUUUUAUUUUGAAUGUGAUUUGGUUGGUGACUUAGUCACUUGAAAAUGGUUAAAUGCCGGGACUUUAAAGGAGAUUUUUUGUUUUGAAUGUGGUUUUAUUUUGAUACUUAGUCACGUGAAAAGGUUAAAUGCAGGGACUUUAAAGGGGUUUUUUGUUUUGAAUGUGGUUUGGUUGUUGACUUAGUUACUUGAAAAUGGUUAAGUGUAAGGAGUUUAAAGGGGAUUUUUUGUUUUAAAUUUGGUUUGGUUUUGAUACUUAGUUACUUGAAAAUGGUUAAGUGUAGGGACUUUAAAGGGGAUUUUUUGUUUUGAACGUGAUUUGGUUGGUGACUUAGUCACUUGAAAAUGGUUAAGUGUAGGGACUUUAAAGGAGAUUUUUUGUUUUGAAUGUGGUUUUCUUUUGAUACUUAAUCACUUGAAAAUGAUUAAGUGUAGGGACUUUAAAGGAGAUUUUUGUUUUGAAUGUGGUUAUGUUUGGUGAUAAUUGAAUUUUUGUGACUUGAUCUAAUUAGUUGAAUCUGAUUGAUUGCGUAGAUGGAAGUUGAUUAUAGCUGGUCUAUUAAUGGAACAAUGAUAAUAGAAUUGGUAUUAGAGAGGAAUUUGUUGAAGUUGUCAAAUGAUUUAUUGAACAUGCUAAGACACUUGAUGUCUAGACACGUUUUUGGGUUAUUCGUUGUCCUUGUGUUAGAUGUGAUGGUAUAAAUCUUGUAAAUGAAAAAGAUGUAAAUGAACAUCUUUAUAGAAAGGGGUUUCUGAGGACUUUUUAAGAUUGCGUGGUAUUCAUGGUGAUGUUGCGCAAAAUAACUUUGUUGUUGGAGAAAGUAGUAGGUCUGUAGGGCAUAAUGAAUAUCAAGAUACUAGGAUGACAGAAAUGCUGCACGAUGCUUUUGGAAUGCAAUACGGGGGCGACUUUAGGAAAAAUGUCGAAGAUGUUCCUAAUAGCGAAGCGGGCAAAUUCUAUGAACAAUUGCAUGCUGCUAGUCAUCUUUUGUUUGACGGAUGUUCGCACUCUCGUUUGUCUGCUGCUGUUAGAUUAUUAAGUAUUAAAUCUGGAAUAUUGCUGAAGAAGGAAUGAACUCAAUGAUAGAACUUAUUAAAGAGUUAGUUGACCCCAACUUGGAUAUUCUUGAUUCUUUCUAUAAGUUAAAAAGAUAGGUGUCAAAGUUAGGUCUCUCCUCGGUUAGAAUUGAUAGUUAUGAAAAUGGUUGCAUGUUAUACUUUAAGGAAGAUGCUAACCUAGAGUCUUGUAAGUUUUGUCAGCACCCUCGAUAUAAGUGUGGUUCUAGUGAAAAUUAAAUUGUUAUUAAGCCGAUACAUUAAUUACCUCUAAUACCAAGAUUGAAGAUGUUGUAUGCUUCAAACAGCUCAGCUCCUUAUAUGAGAUGGCAUAGUGAAAAUAGAAAGCCCACUGGUGUUAUGUGUCAUUCAUCUCAUGGAGAGGCUUGGAAGCAUUUUGAUGCAACUUAUCCAGAUUUUGCAGCUGAGCCACGAAAUAUUCGUUUGGGAUUAUGUAUGGAUGGCUUUUCUCCCUUUUCAGUUGGUGCUGCGCCAUAUUCAUGUUGGCCUGUAUUUAUCACCCCUUAUAAUCUUUCUCCUAAAAUGUUGAUGACUAGUCCCUAUAUAUUUCUGAAUUGCGUUGUUCCUGGCCUGCAUAAUCCAAAAAGCGAAAUAGAUGUCUACUUGCAAUCUUUGAUUGAUGAACUUCAAAUUUUAUGAUAUGAGGGGGUUGAAACUUGGGAUAUCUUACUUAAACAGAAUUUCAAUCUGUGUGCAUAUCUAAUGUGGACUGUUAAUGAUUUUUUGGCUUAUGGAAUAUUGUCUGGGUGGAUGACAGCUGGAAAGCUGGCUUGUCCAUACUGCAUGGAAAAAAUAAAAUCUUUCACAUUGAGACAUGGCAGGAAAAAAUUAUGAUUUUAUUGUCAUCGUUGUUUCUUGCCACAUGAUCAUGAAUUUAGGAGACUCAAGAAUGCAUUCAGAAGGAAUAGAAGGGAACAUGAUAGUCCACCUCCAAGGCUGCCUAUCAUGAUAUCUGGGAGAUAGUUCAAGAUUUGCCUAAAGUCAGCGAGGAACUACUCUACAGGCUUGAUGGAUAUGGCGUUUCGCAUAACUGGACUAAGCAAAGUAUAUUUUAGGAGUUAGAAUAUUGGUCAGAUAAUUUACUUAGAAAUAAUGUUGAUGUCAUGCAUACUGAGAAGAACUAUUUUGAUAACUUAUUCAACGCAGUUAUGGAUGUCACCGACAAAACAAAGGAUAAUCCUAAGGCCGGACUUGACUUACCAGAAUAUUACAAACGCAGAGAAUUACACUUUCAGAAGGAGCCCAAUGACAAUUUUCUUAAGCCCAAGGCUAGUUUUACAUUCAAGUUGGACCAAAAUCGUCAAAUAUAUGGGAGGGUCCAAGGUUUGAAGAUGCCUGAUGGAUAUGCCUCAAAUUUGGAAAAGAGGGUUGAUAUGGCACAAGAAAUAUUGCAUGAAAUGAAAAGCCACGAUUGUCAUGUUUUCAUGGAAUAAUUACUUUCAAUUGCUUUUAUUGGUUUACCUGAAAACAUAUGGAAACCAAUAGCAUAGAUCAGUUUGUUCUUUAAAGACCUAUGUGCCACCAUAUUAAAAGAGGGAAAUCUGGCGCGAAUGGAAUGUACUAUUGUUGUUAUCACCAACAAACUGAAGAAUAUUUUUUCACCGGCGUUCUUCGAUGUGAUGGAACAUCUUCCCCUUCACCUUAUGCACGAAGCUCGGCUAGGUGGUCCAGUUCAAACUAGGUGGAUCUAUCCAUUCGAACGAUAAACAAUUGCAACAUAUUUAAAUUCAUACUUAUCUUUUUAAAAUCUAGUAAACAUCUAAUCUUAAGAUUGUGCAGAGCAAUUGGAAAAUUAAAAAGGGGUCCCAAAAACAAACAUAGGGUGGAAGGCUCUAUAGUUGAGGUAUAUAUUGCAACAGAAACGUCUCAAUUUCGUUCAUACUACUUUCAUGAUGAAGUUGCUUGUUCAAGAAACCGACUAAAUUGUCAUCAGGACGAUGUGAAUGAUCCUUAUUUGCAACCGAUAUCAAUUUUCAAUCAAUCUGGUUGUAAGGCUAAAAAGACCAUACGUCACCGGCUCACUCCCAUGGAGCGCAAAUCAGCAACUUUGGAUGUUUUGCUGAAUUUUCCAAAAGUUGUUCUCUUUCUGAAGUAAGGAAAUUAAAAUUUUAACAUAUCUUAUUUGUUUACACAUUCCCUUAAAGAAACUAAUUGUGUUUCGCAUGUUGGAUCUUCAGUUCAUUUAAGACUCAAUUCCACGAAAAUCAAGUGUAUGUAUCCUUUGCAACAUGGUUUACAUAUAAGGUUCGUAAGUGUAUUAAUAUUUCUACAAAUUUUAAACAUUUACACAUUCCUCAACUAACAUAUAUAUAAUAUAUAUAUAUGUAUAAUAUUCUUAGGUACACCAGUCACCAAAUGCAACCGCAUACGAUCAACUCUUGAGAUAUAUUUUUUUGGUCCAGUUAAGGGUGUUAAGUGGGCUGGACCGGGUCAAUCCAGAACCAGCCAGUGAAUUAUAGUCGGGUUGUGGGCCGGUCCAGAUUCGGGCCUGGUUAAAUAGGUCGGGCCAGUUCCGGGCCCAACAGUAAUUCUUUUAAAAACAACCUUGAACCGGUCCACUUAAUCUAACUCGGUCCAACACACCUAAAUCCGGUCAAAACCGGUUAAAAAUUCAGUCAAAACCGGUCUAAAAGAAAAAUAAUAUCCAAUAUUUACUAUAUAUACCUACCUAUAUACAUUUAAAAAAUGUUAAACAAUAUAUAUAGUAUAUACUACAUUUGAAUUUAAAAAAUAUAUACACAUAUACACAAUUACACAUGUAAUCGUGUGUACGACUAUACGUUAGUUAAAUAUAUAUACUACUCUAAAUAAAACAUAUACUACAAGAUAUAUAUAAUAAUUUAUAAAACAUAUACACAUGUAUACGUUAAAUAUAUACUACUUUAGAGUUUAUAGAAGAUAUAUACACAUAUAUACGUACCAUUCAAUAUAUAUGUACUACUUUAAAUAAAUAUACUACAAUAUAUAUACUACAAUAUAUACACACACUAAAUAUAUAGUUAUAUACUAAUUUAUAAAAUAUAUACAUAUGUAUACGUUAAAUAUAUACGUACCAUUCAAUAUAUAUGUACUACAUUAAAUAAAAUAUACUACAAUAUUAUACUACAAUAUAUACAAAAACUAAAUAUAUAGUUGUAUAAUAAUUUAUAAAACAUAUGCACAUGUAUACGUUAUAUAUAUACGUCUAUAGAAGAUAUAUACACAUAUAUACAUAUCAUUCAAUAUAUGUACUACUUUAAAUAAAACAUAUACUACAAUAUAUAUACUUAAAUAUAUACACACACUAAAUAUAUAGUUAUAUACUAAUAUACGUACAAUUCAAUAUAUAUGUACUACUUUAAAUAAAAUAUACUACAAUAUAUAUACUACAAUAUAUACACACACACACACUAUAUAGUUAUAUACUACUUUAUAAAACAUAUACACAAGUAUACGUUGAAUAUAUACGUCUAUAGAAGAUAUAUACACAUAUAUACGUACCAUUCAAUAUAUAUAUAUAUACUACUUUAAAUAAAAUAUACUACAAUAUAUAUACUACAAUAUAUACACACACGAAAUAUAUAGCUAUGUACUAAUUUAUAAAAUAUAUACACAUGUGUGCGUUAAAUAUAUACUACUUUAGAAAAUAUAUACAUAUAUAUACGUAUCAUUCAAUAUAUGUACUACUUUAAAUAAAACAUAUACUACAAUAUAUAUACUACAAUAUAUACACACACGAAAUAUAUAGCUAUGUACUAAUUUAUAAAAUAUAUACACAUGUGUGCGUUAAAUAUAUACUACUUUAGAAAAUAUAUACAUAUAUAUACGUAUCAUUCAAUAUAUGUACUACUUUAAAUAAAACAUAUGCUACAAUAUAUAUACUACAAUCUAUACACACACUAUAUAUAUAGUUAUAUACUAAUUUAUAAAACAUAUACACAUAGUAAUAUAUUAAAACUAAGUAUUUAAUUUAAACUAGAAAUUCAAUUUAAAUCAUUAAAUGGAAAAGUUUACAAAGUAAGGACUAAGGAGUGAAUGAAUGUUGAAUUUUAUUGAUUGCAAAAUGAUCCAAAAUUUAUAAUUUACAUGAAUGAAAAAUCUAAAAAUUUUGCAUCAUUUUUUCCGACUCGUUCAUGUUAAUAUUAACGGAAACUUGUAUAGGAUAGUCAAAGUCAACGGGGGGCAUGCAUUGGACUUGAUUCUGCUGAGUUCUCCCGUGAAGUCAUAAUUUUUUCAAGUCUCUGCUCGUCGUUCGGCUCCGCUUCCAUUUCUUGAUUUCUUCGUUCCACUCUAAUUCAAUCUCUAAGGCAAACUAGAACAUUCUUUGUAUUGCUUUCCAAUGAGUGUCGGUUGUCUCCAAGCUGUUGUCGUCCCUGACUAAAAGGGCUCUCCGAUGCAACGGUUGAUAUUGGAGCAUUCAAGAUAUCUCUAGCUAAUCUUGAAAGCACAGGAUAUUGUGUUUUAUUAUUCUUCCACCAAUCUAACGCGUUGAUCCAUCGUCUGCGAUCCUCUAUCGGCUUUCAGAGAUAAUACUUCAGCUCUUCCCAAUAAUUUGUUGUGUAAGCUCCCUCCUCAACAUUGUUCCAACAAGGUAAAUCAUAAAAGUAAUCAGGAAAACCACUAUGUGCCAGCCUUUUAGAAGAUGAUGGCUCCUCGGGAGGAUGAGGAGCGAUAGUUGGAGUGAUAUUUGUCGGUACACUAAAUCAACUAAAUUAGCAUAGUGGUUAUAUAAUUUAUCUAUGUAAUCGUUCGCAUCGGCCAUAGCCGUCCAUCAAUCAGGUUGUUCUUGUUCUUUAUCAUCAGAAUCAUUGUUAGUAUUUAUCUCUAAGUUAGCAUAAAUAAGAGUACUAAAGUGGCACAUAGUAUUAUAUUUCAUGCACGGAUUUAGCAUAGCACCAACCAAGUAAAUAGGGAGAAUCGGAAAAAAAUAUUUUUUAAAUUUAGCAAACAUGGCACCAACAGCUUCUUUGUAACCUUCUUUAUUUUUAUAUUCUUUAAGAAAACCAAAAAUAUCUGCUAUAUAUGCCAAAAUAUUACAUACAAUAGGAUUAUAAGCACCGUAAAAUUCAAUUGUAGCUAUAUAAAUUUUUUUCAAAAACUUAACAAGAUCAUCAAUUACAGCCCAAUCAGAACCAUGUUGCAUGCAGUGGGCAGAAUUAGCAAAUGAACCACAAUGUCGGUUAAAAGAUAGUGUAAUAGAAACUCUAUAUUUAUGACAAGUUUUUAAAAAAUCAUACGUAGCAUUCCAUCUAGUAUCAUAUUCUUCAGGCAUCACUAUCGGUGCAAGUCCAUUUUGUUCACAUUUAAGUUUAAAGUCUCUAAUUCUUUUUCUACGAUUAUUUUCUUGAAUAAAACCAACGGCAAGCCGAAUUUUUUUAAUAUAAAGCUCAAAAAACUCAAAAUCAUCUCUUACAAUUAAAUUAUAUAUAUGACAAACACACUUACCAUGAAAAAUUUCAGGUAACGGUAGAGAUAACUUAGAUUUUAACUUUGUUAUAGCAGUCUUGUUGUUAGAAGCAUUAUCAAAAGUAAUACAUAAGAUUUUAUUUUCAAUACCAUAAAAUUCUGCAACUUUAGCAAUCGAAUCAGCAAUAAAAUCUCCAGUAUNNNNNNNNNNNNNNNNNNNNNNNNNNNNNNNNNNNNNNNNNNNNNNNNNNNNNNNNNNNNNNNNNNNNNNNNNNNNNNNNNNNNNNNNNNNNNNNNNNNNNNNNNNNNNNNNNNNNNNNNNNNNNNNNNNNNNNNNNNNNNNNNNNNNNNNNNNNNNNNNNNNNNNNNNNNNNNNNNNNNNNNNNNNNNNNNNNNNNNNNNNNNNNNNNNNNNNNNNNNNNNNNNNNNNNNNNNNNNNNNNNNNNNNNNNNNNNNNNNNNNNNNNNNNNNNNNNNNNNNNNNNNNNNNAAUACAUUUUUGCAUAACAAAAUUACUAUCUAUCCAGUGACAAGUAAUGGUUAAAUAAUCAUUUUUAUUUACAGCAUGACCAAGAUCAGAAGUUAGGGACAUUCUACAUUGAAUAUUUUUUAAUAAUUUUGAUAAAUAAAAAUAAUAUUGUGAAUGAAGUCUAAAAAUAUCGGCCCGACAAGUACUUCUAGGAAUACCAUUAAACAUAGGAUUAUAAAUUGUUUGAAUAAAAUGAAUAAAGGCAUCAGAAGAAAGAAAACUAAAAGGCAAACAACCCAUAACUACCAUUUUUGCUGUUUCUUCCCGGUCCCUCAAUUUAUUAUACUUCUUCAUUACCUGAUCGGUUGCUGGGUCCAUUCUAGUUUGUGUUGGCCCACCAACAUCCGCACCACCUUAUGCAAUUUUUAACUCUCUUUCAUGAUAAUCACUUAUAUGUCUCAUUAACGUACUCAUACCACCUUACUUACCUCCUCUUUUAUGCUUAUAUAUUUGUUGACAAAUAUUACAUUACACCUUAAUAUCUGAUAUACGUUCAAAAAAUUGUCAUGCAAUACUAGUUGUUUUACAAGCUCUUGGGGCACAGGGAGGACGGGGAAGGAGAUUAACUGAUUCAGAUCUAACGUUAGCAUUUCCUACUGCGGGUGUCUCACCAAUAUUUUUAUCAUCAUCAUCUAAAUUAAUCGCAUCUACUUCAUUUUCUUCUUCUAUACCGUAAUUUUUCUGAGCUUCUACAUAAUCUAUAUCGUGAGCACCUACACCUAUUUCUUCCUCAAAAGGUUGACUAAGCGGUACCGAAGGUGGAGGCACACGGGUAUAUCUACUACUUGAAGUACCUCUACCACUAGUAAUUCGCUUUUUACUACCACUUUCGGGACAAAUUUUUUUAACACCUUUAGUGGCGAGGUUUCUUAAUUUAUCCAUAAUAUAAAUUAAACUAAAAAAAUUUAAAAUACACAAAUAUAAUAAAAUUAAAUAUUCAAAAUUAAUACACUAAUUAAAAAUUACAAGUAAGAGAUGAAACGACAAUACCAAAUUUUAGAAGUAUCUGAAGGUUGCGACUUUAGGAACUUUCACUCGUACUUUGUAAUCGCAAAAUUAAAAAAUUAAAGUGAACACUUUAGGAAAUAUAUAGAAUAUUUGAGAAUUGAGAUUUGAGAGAGAAUGAGAUUUGAGUGAAUGAAAAUUGUGUGAAAAAUGAUUUGAAAGUGUAGGGUAUUUAUAGGAAUUUUUUUGGGUUUAAAAAGUAUUUUAAUUGAAUUUAAAAAAAAAAUGGCCAAUUAGCCAUUUUUGGGGCCUAAACGGUAAUAUAGCCUUUGGGCCCAACGGGCAAAAUCAAUAAUUUUUUUUAAAAAAAAAAUAUUUGGGCUGGUUAACCGGCGGGCCUGGACCGGGUUUGGUCUGGGCUAGGUUAAUCGGGCUCAAAAUCAAAAGUAACUCAGCCCGGGACACAGUACCCUAUAACCCGUGGGCUGACCGGGUCGGGUUUUCUAAGUGGAUCGGGUCGGGCUGGAUCAACCCGGCCUGUUUGACAAGCUUAGGUCCAGUUGAAGCUUAUGCAAUGUCCCAUUACACAAUAAAUGGGUUCAAAUUUUCUACCGAACAACACUCCAAAACAAGGAAAACAAACAAUAGUAGUGUUUGGGUUAAGGGUGAUGAUGAUGUUGAUUACUUUGGCAUCAUACACGAGAUCUUAGAACUAGAGUAUGCUGGUUUUUCAAUAAAAAAAAUUAUCCUCUUUCGAUGUAAGUGGUUUGAUCCAAGCAUAAGAGUACAUAAGGAGCAUAACAUCAUUGAAGUGAAGCACAAUAGAUCGUAUCCUUUUUACGAUCCAUUUAUUCUAGCUCAAAAUGCUAAAUACGUGUAUUAUACUCCUUAUUCGUUGUGCAGUGAUAAGUCUGAUUGGUGGGUUGUAAUCAAAACAAAGCCUAUAGGAUGGGUGGAAGUGGAAAAUGUGUUAGAGAUUGUGUAUCAAAAUGAAAUGUAGAUUGAUCACCAGCUAGUGGAAGUUGACUUAGUGGAUACUUUGAAUCACCCGAAAAAUAUAUUUGAAGAAGUUAAUAUUGCGAAAGAAGAGGUUAAGUGGGUAGGAGAUGAGAAAACUUUCGAAGAGGGUGAAUGGUUUAGUGGAGAGUCUUCAGAAGGGGAGGAUUAGUUUGUGUAGGUUGUAUUUAUUAUGUAUUGAUUAUGUCUUUAUGCUUUGUACUAUAUAUUUACCUUUAUGUUUCUUGUUUAAGAUUGAUAUGUAAUAUAUUGUUUAAGAUUGUUGUUUUGUUUUUCCAUGAUUUAUAUAGUAAUAAAAAUAUUCUUUUCUAUCUCGUGUUGUUGGAGCGAUUUGAAAUGUGAAUUAGUAACUUGAAAUUAGUUACUUGUAAUAUUUUCUUAUAUAUUCAUUUUGUAGGAACUAACUACUUGUUAACUUUACAUAAUUUAAAUGUCAGGCAGAGGUGACAAAAGUAAGAAAAAAGUUGUUCUUACGAAAACAAAAAAGAAAAGAGAACCUCCGCCGUAUAAACGACCGACAGGAAUUCAUAUAUCUGAGGGUCGGUUUGCUGACGCGGCAGCACGACCCUCAUAUUCUAGGUCGUCUCAGCAGUCAGUUCCUACUCCUACGCAUGUGGGGCCACUUCAUGGGUCUACACUGACUCAUUCUGCUCCUAUCACUGUGUCGCCUCCAUUGCAGUACUAUCGGACGACCGUUGGCCCAUCCAGAGUACUAACAUCGUCAAUACCCUCUUGUAGCAGUCACGCAACUUCGCACAGUGGUUUUGCAGGAUCUAUUAGGUUGUCGGAUAUUCAGCUUGGAGGCACUUCAUCUGGUGCAUCAGAUCCGUCACGCCAAUGCAUCUACCAUCACUUACUCCGCAUCCAGGCGACAGAGAUGAUUUUGAGAGGCGUUACCUUACUCCAUAUGCGACAGGGUAAGAUUUCUAAAUGUAAUAACAUUAUUCAUUUUUUCAUUACUAUAUUAUUAUACAACAACAAACCCAGUGUAUUCCCACAAAGUGGGAUCUGGGGAGGGUAAGAUGUACUCAGUUCAUACCGCUACCUCAGAAGAAGUAGAGAAGCAAUUUCUGAUAGACCCCCGGCUCAAGAUAAAGAAUAGCAUUACUAUAUUAUUAUGUUCUAUGAAAUUAAUGUUGGAUCUUGUGUUGUAGGUUUAGGCCGGAUGUUGGAGUUGGACAAACUACAAAAAAUGCACUUGUCGGAACUUCAACGGCUACUAGACCAGUGGGCAAAAGGUUCCAGAAAUUGACAGGGAAAGAAUGUUUUAAGAAUUUAAUGUAUGGAUUUAACGUAUCGACUACUUAACACUUUGUUAAAACAAAAGAUUGAAUAUUAUAUUUUUAUUUUUGUUGUAGAAAUUUUACUGGUGGGAUGAUGCGAAUGCAUGUCAUAUCAAGAUUUAACGGUCUGUUGAAUUAUGCCCGAACCAACUUGGUACGACUUGACUAGAUUAGUGAACCCUUAUGGCAACAAUAUAUUCGCUAUUGGAAUAGCGAAGAAUAUCAAUUGCUGAAGGACAAAGGAAAGAAAGCCCAGGCAUCAUCCAGGGGUGGCUCCCUACAUACUGCGGGUGCCAAAAGUAUAAUUAAUGUGGAGAAAAAAUUGGUAUGUAACUUUUACGAUUUUAAUUGUUUGUUUUUAUUUACAUUUUUAAUUAUUUGAACAUUGAUAAUUUUUUGAUAUGCAGGAAAAAGAAAAGGGUAGGAGCAUACCACAGGGUGAUUUAUUCGAGGAGACUCGUCUGAAAAAAAAAAGAACCCGACUGAUGAAGAUUUCUGGGUUGAACCUCGUGCAAAAGCUGCCCAUGUAAGAAUCAAAUUUUGAAUUUAUGAAUCUUUUUCUCAAAGUUGAUAUUAUUCAAGUAUAAGUACUUUAAUAUUUUCUUACUUUUAAUUUUAACUUUACUUUGAAUAUAUGACAAAUAUACGCAAAUCAUUAGUGAGUAUUGUAGUACUCAGCCUCCUGAAAGUCAGGGUGACCCACUACCCCAACAUGUAGAGGAGGAGUUAUGGGAUAAAGUUGUAGGUCCUGCAGUUAGAGGCCAUUACUGCGGAUACCACAAAAAAAAAAUUUGACGAGAAUAUUAGGUGUUCGUCCAGCCUAGAAAAUACGAUUUCCAAACUCACUGAAGAGCUUGCUGGACAGAGAGAGAGGGCGCAAAAAAGGAGGAGGAAACAUCAUCACAAAUCAGGAUGUUGCAGAAGCAGUUCAGCUUUUUCAUUCAGACUGCAGGGAUUAUUCCUCCGUGUCUUGGUGAUGCAGUUCAGGCUGCAAAAGGUCAACGCCCCCCGGAUGAUAUCAGCACAGAUGUGGAUAUGGAAAACGAGAACGAAUUCGAUGAAGAUGAAUUUUAGUUUUUUGACUUUUGUAUGUGUUGUACUUUGAAUUUAGACAUUUUGUUUGGCUUAUCAUUAAAUAUUUUUCUUCAUUAAUUGUAGGUAUAAAGAGGCCAUCACCAAUUUUGAGAAUUGCUCCUUUCGAGAAAUUUAUUUUAAUUUUAAUGUGAAUCUGUAUAUCUACCUUCCUUUUUAAAAAUUUAUUUGCAUUAUAAUUUGAAGUGUUCUGUAUCUGCAUUGGAGCUCGAUUGAAUUUGAAUUCACAUCAAAAAGUUUCAUAUUAGAGGUUAAGCGCUCUCUAUUAAAGGUGACUUGGAACUUAUUGUUCAAUUCUAAGAUUGUCAUUACAAUAAAGUAAUAGUAACUUAUAUUAUCAUCAAGAACCAUGCCUUUUUUGAGUGAACCUGAAGAAAAUAUUAAAGAUAUAACAUGUAAAAAAAAUUGAAAUAGAUGAAACAACAAAUUCAGGUGUACUGGCUCAUUGUAAGUUUUAAUUAUAUGGAUGAAAUUUUCUUAUUAAGUGCUUGCAUGGUUUAUGUUUAAUCAUUGUAAAUUAUAUGGCAUUUGAAGUAUAAUUUUGUAAACGGGUUAUUUGAAUAAGUGAGUUGCCGCUUGCUAUUGUUUUCCAUUAAUUUCAUGUUAGAUCUUACUCUUUCUAUCCUAUAAACAAACAAAACACAUAUAUUCAUUUAAUUAGUCUCAAUUAAAAGGAGGAGUGGUAUUUUAAAACUCUAUAAGACAUGAAACCUAAAAGAACUCUAAAAAAAUAGUACUUGUUGGCUCAAUCAAUGGUCAGAGUAAAAGAAAUUAACAAAAGUGUCUUCUGCUGUUUAUUUUAUUUUUUAUUUUUAGUUCGUUUCAAUAUCUUUUUUUUUUUAAUAGAAUUUCUAAAUUUUCAUAUAGCAUAUUUAAAACUACAAGAUUAAAGUAUAUUUUAAUACAUUUUACAUGUCUAUAAUAAUUAAAAUAGACAUUAGAAAAUGUAUGGUGAAUUAUCAUAUUCUUCUUCAUGUUGAUUUUUUAAAUUUUUUACUUAACAAUAUAACGUACACAAAGUAAUUUAUUUUUUUGAUAUUCAUUUAUUGUUAAUUAACUAUAUACACAUGCGAAGCAUGUACAUCUAAACUAGUAUAUUAAAAGUGUGAAGAUCCUUAAAAAAAUGAUUUAAACUUUUUACCCUUCAUUAAAAUACUCUACAAUAGUUAAAAUCUUUCUUUUACCUUUUUUCAAUUAUUUUCAUAAUAUGUAGAAUUAAAGAGUCCUAAAAUAUAUGGUAAGUGAAAUUAUAUGAGAAAAGUUAUUAAGAAAAUUAAUAAUUAAAGAGUCCUAACUUAUAUGGUAUAAUUUUUCUUUUAUUACUGGGAUAUUAACAAAUUUUUUUGCCUCAUAUUAAAAGUGACUACUUAAGUCAUUAAAUUAUUAUUGAAAACAAAUCAAUAUGAAGAAAGGAUAAAAUAAAAGGGGAAAUUAAGUACAAAGAGACAAAAGAAGAGUUUUUUCUUUUCAUUAUGGCAUAAAUUGCAAAAAUUUACCUUAUAUUUAAUGAAAAUUUUAGCUUAUAUUUAAUGAAAAUUUGUCCGAAAUUAAAUCUCUUAAAUUUGAAUACGUAAGCGGAACUAAAAUAAAAAGACCAACACAACAUCAAAAGUACUUUUAUAAAAACAAAUCUAAAAUAAAACCUUUCAAAAUAAGCUAAUUUUAGAAGUUUGGCCACAUGCUAAAAAGGCUAGUUACUUUCUUCUAUUUUUUUCCUCUUUUUUAAUUCAAUAUAAAUAAUAAUUGAUAUUGUAGUAUUAAUACACGAUGGACUUGGAGAACAACUUCAUUCGCUUAAUGAUGGAACAAAUUAGCUCAACACGUUUAGCCGGCAAGGAAGGAACUUGUGCGAUACACAAGAUUAUAUGAUACCUCAUAAAAUAAAUAAAUUUUAUUAUAAAUUAUGUAUCUCACAUUCCUUUUCAAUACACCCUUAAUCCUAAAUAUUUUACCUACUUUUAAAAAUUAAUUUGUACUUGUUAAUGUAACAUACUCAUAACAAUUAUUCACUUUAUAAACAAUAUUCAUGAUUAACGUUAUACAUACGUGUAAAGCACGUACACUUGACUAGUGUAUCUUAUAAGAGGGAAUGGGAAGGAGAAGCCUGCCUGCUUCAAGAGCAGUUUCUCCAUAAUUUUAUUAUAUCAUUUCUAAUUAAUUAUUAUAAAUUAUUUAUGUAUUAGAAAAUUAAUAAUAUUUAAUAAAAACUUAUAUUUUAUAGAUAUUUAUGACAUGUUUGCUUCAACUGUUUCACCCAAGUAUUUUUGUAUAGUAAUUUUAUUAUAUCACUUCUAAUUAGAUAUGUCUGCUUCAUUGUUUCAAUCGUAAAUUUACUAUGUCACUCCUAAUUAAUUAUUAUGAUCAUUUAAAUUUUUUCAUAAGUAUUUUUUAUAGUAAUUUUGCUAUAUCACUUUUAAUUAGUUGUUGUGAGUCAUUAAGACAUGUCUGCUUCGCUGUUUCAAUCGUAACUUUACUACAUCACUCAUAAUUAAUUAUUAUGGUCAUCUAAUUAUUUGAAAAUUACAUAAAAACUAUUAUAAAUUACAAUAAUUAACAACUUAAAAUACCUAAAAAAAUAAUUUGUUAUAUAUUUUUAAAAAAUAUGUAAAAGAAAUAAUUAUAAAUCACAAUAAUUAAAAUAAAUUUUUAAAAAAUAUUUGUUGGGACCGUGCGUUUGCACGGGCUAUUAGUAACUAGUUAAGGAUAAAAACGAACUUCUGACCAAACCUUUUGGACUAAAAAUUAGUUUUAAAUUUCAGUUAAAUAUACAAACAACAACAACAAUAAAUUUAGUGUGUUUCCUUAAAGUAGGGUUUGAGGAGGAUAGGAUAUUCGCAGUUCAUACUGCUAUCUUUGAAGAAGUAGAGAGGCUGUUUUCAAUAGACCCUAAGUUCAAAAUAUAAAGUAGUAAACAAGGUCGUAAUGAAACAAUAAGUAGGAUGGAUGACAUAAUAAAAAUAAGGAAUAAAAUAACACAAUUAAAUAUACAACUUUUAUAUUUAUAUAUUCAAUAAAUAAAUAAUUCCAAGCUGUCGGUGUGAACAAUGAGUACACACCUUAUCCCUCAAUAAUGAUGACCAUCUCUCAUCUCUACCUAUUGACUAACGGGUCCCACAAUUCAUCAAAACGGGCCCAUCCAAGCCAAGCCCGGACCCACCUCCCACCAUCGUAUAGCGUGUAUCCCACUUCCCCAUUUGUCCCUUUUGCCUCAGUCGGAAACAACCAAAAAAAAUAAAAAAAAUUUAACAGUGUGGAGGAACGAACUAUGUAGUAUACUAAACAAUGAAGCAAAAUAAAGUUUUUGAGAGCCAAAAUCCAUAGAAAGAAAAUUCCACAGCGAGAAAAAACGAUAAAGGGGAUCGCUGAGGCAACUUUAUUUUUUUUCAUUUCAUUUCAUUUUUAUUUGUUCUAUCAAUUUUGGGGAUUUUAGGGUUUAUAUUUUUUUUUGGGAGGAAGAAUUUUGUGAAGGAUGACGGAGGUGGUCGUCCAUAUAUAUGAUGUGACGAAUAGUGGCAACGAUAAGACCAACAACACCAUUAUGCAGAUCAACAAGUUUUUCAAAGACGGUAUUGGUCUUGGUGGCAUCUUCCAUAGUGCCGUUCAGGUUCACCUCUUCUUUGGGAAUUUUAAUUGUAUUUUUUUUUUUUUUGCUUUUUUCUGUAUAUUUUUUUUUUCCAAUUUGGUUAAUUGGAUCUAGGGUUUAGUGUUGGUGGUAGUGGAUUCUAUAUUGGUACUGAAGUUUAUUUACUUUUUGUGUGGUAAAUCAUAUAUUCUGAUGCUUAGGAAUAUUUGAUAAAAGGGGAUCUGGUUGAAUGUGUGUAUGGUAUAUUUUCGAAAAUACCCCUUUUUUUGGUCAAACAACAUCUGUGUUGAACUUACUGGUUAUGAGGAUGUGUGAAUUGACUCAAUUUAAGCUAUUUAACUCGUUAGGGGGGCUUCAAGUUCCUUUUGUUUUGUUUGUCUUUUCUUUUGAUACAGAAAGGAGCAUUAGAGUAAAGUUGCUGCCAUGUGACCCGAAUUUCACGGGUUCAAAUCAUGGAGACAGUUUCUUGCAGAGAUGCAAGUUAAUAAACCCUUGUGGUUCGGCCUUUCCCCAGACCUGGCGCAUAGCUGGAGCUUUAGUGCACCAGGCUGCCCUUCUCCUCUUUUGACACAAAACUUUCUGUUAGUCCUCAGGUUUUUGAGUUCAUAGUAGAUGCGAGCAGUUGUAACUAAAUACCAUCUAGAAUUACUAAAGAAGUUGAAAUUAAGUUUGAUGUGCAUAUGACUUACCUUUAUUUUAAUUUUUGUCUCCCUUUACGUACCUACUUGGAUUCGCUGCACUUGAUCCGGAAACAAGCUCUCUACCUCCACGAGGCAGGGGUAAGGGCUAGGUACACACUACCCUCCCUAGACGCCAGUUAUGGGAUUUCACCAAGUAUGUUAAUGUUGUUGUCUUUGAAAUGUGUUAAUAUUUGAAAGCUAUUUAGUUCCCAAGGGGUUGCCUACUGGUUGAGGCAUAGGAGUAAUAGCCUGGAAAGACCCCUAGGUUCUGAUCCUAGCUAUAACACAGGCUGUGAGUCUAUCAGCUCCAACCUUGGUGGGGCAGGAUUACCUUUCAUCGUCAACUAGAAAUGAAAUAGACUAGUAAUCUAAACACAAUAGUUUCCUUUUCACCAUUAGGAUUCACACAUCUGUAAAUAUAGAUUCUUGGAAAUCUUAGGUUUCUAUCGUUUCUGCUGUUAGCUAAAACAAAUUAAUCUCAUCUAUUGUCUUUUCAAAGAUACAAGUUUUUUUUUCCGUCCAUGGCAUUUUUAUUCUCAAAAAAAAAAAAAAGAAAAAAGAUACAACUUUUUGUUUUCUUCAAUUCAGAUUAGAAGGGAACGAGUUCCUACUUGAGCAUUGGAAAAUGUUUCUCCAAAUUUUCAAGCAAUAUUUAUGGUACUAAUGUUGUUGAUAAUGUGUGAUCUGUAUGAAAUGAUGUCCACUUGACGCUUCCAUAUUUGGGGCUACACAUGUAAAAUAAGCUUUAUGGUCCUUGCAGUUUACCCAAAAUGAACAUGGUGGCAUUGUUGCUUCCAAGAACUCGAUAUCUGAUCUCAUUUAUCUAACUUCAGAAGUAGGGACCUUCAAAUUAAGUUUCCAAGAACUCACCCCAGGGUGUAACCUUGUGGUCAAUGAAGUUGGUUGAGAAUCAUGAGGUCUCACGUUCAAAUCUUACACUAGAUUAUGUCUUUCCAUCUGGUCGAGCUUUGUGGAAAUAGUUACUUGAUACUUGUUGGUGGGAGGUAGUUGGUACCAGAUGGAAUUAGUUGAGGUGGGUUCAAUUCGACCCUGGACGAUAUGGCUAUGAUAAAAAUCUGAGAUAUACUGGUUAUUCUGUGAUGAUAAAACUUGAAAAGUAUUGGUUCUCUUUAUUCUUCUUGAACUACUGUUAACUGAUCCUUUCACAUGCUUACAUCUUGAAUAAAAUUUAAAACUAUGUUGACCCUUUUUAAAAGCCUCACACUUCGUCUGACCUAGUUUUUUUUUUUUUUCUUUUUUUAUAAUUGAUUUAGCAAAGAUUUAGGCAUGAAUUCUGUAUUCUUGUUCUUUCUAUUAUCAUUUAUCAGGAUAUGUUGAUCCCUAUUUGCAAAAGUGUUGCAUGGUCUCAUCUUAUGUAGUGUUCAUUUAAGCUCAUCAGUUAUUGUAUUCAGUAGUUCUUUAACUUUUUGCUGAAUGUUCGUCUCUUGUUCGUCAACUAGUUUAUUUUUGUCAAAUUUUGCUCUGGCUUAUACUGUAUAUAGCUCUGCUUUCUGUUAUAUCUUUUUCAGCUUGUGUUAAGUGUUAACAUGUGAUAGAUUUGGUGUAUAUUUUACAUAGGUUUAUGGAGAUGACGAGUGGUCCUUUGGGUUCUGUGAGCAAGGUACUGGAGUUUUUAGCUGUCCUGCUGGGAAAAAUCCAAUGUAUACAUACCGUGAAUGCAUUGUACUCGGAAACACAGACCACUCUAUUUUCAAAGUGAACCAGAUACUGAGAGAGCUUAGUAGAGAAUGGCCCGGACACUCAUAUGAUUUGUUGUCAAAGAAUUGCAAUCACUUUUGUGAUGAAUUUUGUGAAAGACUCCGUGUUCAAAAGCUUCCUGGUAAUCUUUUUCUUCCUCUCUCUAUUUCCCCCCUGCUUGUUGAUCUCUGUUUGUGCUAUAACCAUUUUCAUCGACAAACUCUUAGUGGUGAACUUAAAUGUGGCGCAAGUGUAUGCCCACAACUUUUGGUUCUUUUGGUUUCUGGAGAGAUGCUCUAAUUAUUAAGUAUUUGCUAUCUCAUCACUCUUAAUUGGGUAAUGUCUGUAACUGGUGAGAUGUUUUACUCGGGAGACAGUUCUUCGUUCCAAUGCUCCUCAUAUUUAUCAAUGCUCAUGGAAACCAACUUUCCUCGACCUUCGGAAUCGACAUUUUUUAUGAAUGUUAUUCUUUCAUUUCAAGUUUAUUUCCUCUUAUUUCUCUUUUAUAAGGUUAUGCCCAGUUUCCUAGUUUUGACUUGUAUGAAAUUAUUGAUUAGCAGAUGCUUAAGCUUAGAAACAAGGUGCACAAACAUGAUGGUAACAUUUGCAAAUUCCUGAUUUAGAUUUGCCAAGAAUAUGAUCAUGAUCCAUGGUUAUAGAUAAAAUAAUUUGAGAAAGUUCAAGUUUGAAGUUGAAUCCCUAAUCGGGGGUGCAGGGAACAAUCACCUAGUAUAUUUUGAUUAUCCCUUUGCACCAUUAAGCAAGCAAAUAUUUCAUUACCAUUAGUAGCCAAGCACUAAGAUGGUGCUUGGCAUUAUAAAACAGUUAUUUUAUAGAUUACAAUAUGGCAAUAUUGUGUGAGCUGCUAUAUGUAUAACCAUUUUUUCCACAUAUUAAAGGACAGUCAAAUUACACUGUAAUGCUAAAUUACAUAAAGUUCUAUGUUAUAAAACUUGUACUUGGCCUUUCCUUCAAAGCAUCUCUGGUUCCUUUCCUUUCAAAAUAAUGGUUCUCCAUUUUCUUAAAACUCUUUAUGCCGGCAUCGAAGUGUUUCAGCUCAUUAUAUUACAGGUUCGAACCCUGUUGCAGACGAAAGUCUUGUAUUUAAGUGGAGCAGGGUAGAGCGGUUGUCCAGUAUCCACAUAAUUUUGAACUGUGCGCCACAGGCCCUCGGGAAUUUCUCGGUUUCAAAAGACGUGUUUAAUCACAUGCUUGUUAAAGAAAGUUUUUUAAGAGCAUGAUAAUUUUUGCUUGUAUGCUGUGUAAUUCACGCUAGUAAGAACCUUUUAUUUGAUCUGAAGUCGUCUGUCAAAUUUGCUUUCCAAAAGUAGGUGCUCUUUGUGUUAGUUUGUGGGAGUGGUGAGGUCUUAGAUGUGAGGGUUCUCUGAAGUCUUCCUGGCUCUAGUUCUGAUUGUUGCUUGUAUGUAAAGGUUCCCAUCAUGUUCACGAGAUUAAUAAGUUCCAAACAAAUUGAGAUGUUAUUUGCCUUAUCAAUACAAUUUAAUUAUGCAGGCAUUGUAUUUCAUGCAGUGUCCUGAGCUGGGGGUCUAUCGGAAAUAGCCCUCUCUACUUCAUCUGAGGUAGUGGUAUGGACUGCAUACAAUCACCCUCCCCGGACCCCACUUUCUGGGAAUACACUGGGUAUGUUGUUGUAUUUCAUGUAGUGAAGUUGGCCUGAAUGCUUAAUUUUGCUUCCUCUUCAUCUGUUAGGGAGCAGUCUUAAAAGUGUCUACGUAAUAUCUAGCUAUACAAUAAAAAGUUAGAUAUCCACAUUGAGUGUUCUUCUGAAGGAAGCACAAAUUUAACACCUAUCUGUAAGCAGGAAUCUUGUUAUAUAACUUGUCUCUUGGAGAAUAUUUGUGCUAAGUAUUCAUUGCAAUAUUAGUGUUGAUUUGUGGAUCUUUUUGCGAUUGUUAUGCUGUUCGAAUAUAUCUCCUCCAGAAAUAGAUUUCCACCAAGAUAGAUGCAUGAAACCAAACUGACCAUUCUGACUCAAGCGGUUUCUCUAAUCAUGAGUUUAACUACCCAUGUUUCUUAUGGAUCUUUGCAAUCUCACUUGAUUCCUGGAGGUACUGUUUGGAUAUGUCACCUCAAGAAACAGAUUUCCACCUAAUGGAAGCACAAUGGCCAAAAACUGUCAGCGGUGCUAGAGUGCAGUAGUUGAGCGCUGAUUCAAGCAACCUCUUUAACAAACACUUAUAUAGUGUGCAGCGUAAAUUUUUUGAAUGUUUAAUCUUCUAUCUGUAACUCGCAUCAUAGACCAUAUUCUUAUAGCUUCUGUAACAGGUUGGAUUAACAGGUUUGCUCAUGCUGGUGACGCUGCCGUUGAGAUAGCUGGAACUACUGCUUUUAGGGUGAGAUACUUCUACUUUUGGAAGUGCAUUUCUUUAUCUCUAAUGCAUGUGUAGUUAGUUACUACUGUCCUAGUUCCCACUGCCAAGCGACUGCUGGCUGGGCGAAUCAAAGUUAUCUUCUGCAUCUACUUCUCUUUAUGUGCGCAAAUUGUUUGACCCUUUCUUGAAAGGAAAAUUUCUCUCAUAUGGUUAAUUUUUAUGUAAGAUUAAUCUACUUGUAUGACAGGAAUCUUGAUAUGUUUUUCAACGUAAUUUCCACAUCAGCUAUUCCUAUUUUUGUCAAAAGCAAGUGCAAUAUUGUAUUCAUAUUUUUUUCCUUUUACCUGCAUGUAACUCAAUCGAAGUCUUUAAAACAUGAAUUAAGCAGCUUAUAGAAAUUAUUGAUUCAUAUAUUCCUUUAAUAAAGCACCUUGACAUAAUUUUGUAUGGUUUUAACUCGGCUUGCCAGUUUAGCACAACUUUUGCUUCAACUCGACUUCUUUAUCUCUUUGUAGCUGAGGCAAGCUAAAACAGAGAUUGUUACAGCGAGUAAAGUGGCUUAUAGGUUCUUCGCAGGAGUGGCUUCCAAUAAUUCCGUUGGCCCCGAGUCUCCUGGCAGCUCUGGUCGGGGAGCUCCUAGGUUUCAAGCUAAUUGGUUUAAAAAUUUUAUCACCACUGGUGCCAAACCAUCUAGUUCAGAAUUGGAGAAUCACAGCGAAGAAGUGCUAGGACAGCAGCAGCAGCAUGUCACAGGGACUCCUUUGAGGCAAAACUCGCGGCAGAACAGCUAAAAGAGUUCCACUCAUCUGCCCCGUUCCGUGUUAUAGUUCAUGAUGUAGUCGGACACGAGGAAUAUCGUUUCUCACAUCAAUCCUUGUUAUCGUCAAGAAAAUGCAAGCUUAUUGCUGUUGAUUUGUUGUGGAAUUAUGUAAAUCAUUUUGUUUUUUGGUGCUGCUUAAAUGUUGUAAUUUGUUAUGGGAUUAUGCAAAAUUGCUCUGCUAUUUUGGUUCUGUUGAUUAAUACUAGAAAACUGUACGGACAAAUUGACAAUUUCAUAGUAUCUUUAGGUACUUUUCUUCAAUUUCAAUUUACAUAGCAGCUAUACCGCUCUUCCUUCAGUUUCAUUUACAUGUCAGAUGCGAGAUCUUUGGGCAGGGUGUUUCUGCAUGUCGGUGUGAUUGCAUCUCUAUAGCUGAUUGUGGUUUGUGAUAACUGUUCUUCCUUCAGGUUGCAUUUAUAUGUCAAAUGUGAGAUCUUGAUGGAGUGAUUUUUGUGAUAACUGUUCUUCCUUCAGGUUGCAUUUAUAUGUCAAAUGUGAGAUCUUGAUGGAGUGAUUUUUGUGAUAACUGUUCUUCCUUCAGGUUGCAUUUAUAUGUCAAAUGUUAGAUCUUGAUGGAGUGAUUUUUGUGAUUACUGUUCAUCCUUCAUUUUCAUUUACACGUCAAAUAUCAGAUCUUGAGGGGUUAGGGGGUGGAGUUAAUUGUAUCUAUAGCCAAGUUUCCUCUGUGAUCCAGAUGAAAUAAAGAGUGGUAUGUAUCCGACGCUUGCCUCAUCCACAAACGAAAGGCUCAUGUAAGUCAGAAACUGAGGAUUUGCAGAAAUCAAGUUAUCCAUUGUAACAAAAAAAUUGAUAUUAAGAGUGGUAUGCUUACAGAAAGGAAGUAGCCCAUCCUUCCCUAAUUUCUAAUUUUCAGAUACUCUCAUUUUUCCGACUUACCAAAUCAAAUAUUUUUCCUAACGCCUACAAAGUAGGUGUCUAGGCCUACAUAAAUCAAUCAAGAAAUUAACACUCCUCAAACGAUUUUUCCAAGCAAGGAUUUUGAGACCACAAUAAGAAAAUAAAAACUCACCAGUGCAUUACUUAUAGAAAUGCCAACAGUAAAAGUCUAAAACACAAGCAAGAGCAAAUGCGUACAUAACGCACACGAAGAGGUGAGUUCACCUUCAAAUAUAUACAGGGGAUUAUUCAAACCCAUAAAGUUAAAAAAGAAAUCGGCACCACCAACUGGAUUACAGACAUAAGACUUCCGUUUAGUUCACUCCCUCAACACCUGAUUGAAGACGUAAGAGUCCACUGGAGCAUCUUCAGCUAUCUGAAGAGAUGAUAAGGACUGUGCUGCAAUGAAACCAGGAGAAAUUCUUGCAACCUCCCAAUUUCCGUCAUCAAAAUAUUGAUGAUUAAUAUCAUCCCGUAACCAAGGUUCUGAUGAGACCAUCCACUCCGAAUUUCCCCACUCAUUCGACAUGCACCUGUACCCGCUUGCACCAGAAACCAAGUCUGUUCCUUCAACUGAAUAUGUCGAGAUGUCAUGGUGCGGAAGCAUGGGUCUUCCUCUGCCCACGAAGAAGUCAAAACUGCUAUUAAGAUCCCACGUGUUCCAUCCUUCUUCCUUCUUCAGGAGUAGCUUACAUGAAUCAUCUGUAUCUUCGCCAAGUAGAACCUGAAGAGCAACUGCCUCAGCAAUUGCGGCGCCCUGUUCAUCAAGCCUUUGCUGUUCUUCUUUCUUCUUCUGCUUCUUCUUUUCCAGUUCGGAACGGAUGGCAGCUGAAGUGGCCAAGGCUUUCUCUAAACGCCUCUUCUUUUUCUCAGCUUGUUUAAUUCGAUCCAACUCAUCCUUGACUUGCUUCUUCUUGCCUUUUCUAACAGCAGGUGCAACCUUAGCACAUUCCAUUUUGCCAACUAAUUAUGAAUCAGUAACACUUGAACCUAUCCGAGUUUCCCUUUGUUGUGGGUAUUUCUAACACAUGUUCAUUCUCGCUAUUAACUAAUUUAUUAUCCUUUCUUUUGGUGCUCUGAAAUAAAUACUAUUGGAAAAAAACUACGCUAUUCAAUCUAAAGCUUUUACUAAAAGUACACCUACACAAACUCGGGUCUAAAGGAAUACCGGAUUUUGCGAACAAUACAGUCCCAGACAGAAACACCAGGAGAUUGAAGAAGAGAAGACUGGUAAUCACUCACAGGCCCGUCACUCACCAUUCUUCCUCGUUUGCCACAACCCUUGCAUUUACCCAUCUGGCAGCAACAAACCAAACUACUAAACUCACUGAAAAAACAAAAUGAUGUCUAUACUUCUCUGAUUGCAACAACUCACAUGGCCUUCCCCCUGCAGAAUUUGCAACAAACUUAUUAUGUAAAAUCCAGACAUCAUCUGAACAAAUAUUUUGGAAAAACAAUCAAGAGAAUUCAUUCUACACAUAUUCAGAUCACGACAUAUAUACAUAUAUACAUACCUACAUACAUACGCGUGCGCACAAAGAACUAGAUGGUUCUCAAAACUACCUAACCUCUGUGUAAAUGAUAAUCCAUAAUACUCAUUCAGCUCAUUAGAUAGACUAUAAAAGCAAUAAUCCCAAUCUUGAUAUCAAUAACAAAUCUACCACCAAAAGCGGAGGGGGAAUUUUAAGAGAGAAAAAUCCCAACAGCAACAUAGACAAAUCAUUAGUGUCUUCAAGCAUUGACAUUAAACAACAUACCUAGUGUAAGUGUCUUCAAGCAUCCAUACAACAAUAACAACAUACCUAGUGUAAUCCCACAAGUGAGGCCUGGGAAGGGCAGCAUGUACGUUACCCCUAUCACGUGGAGGUAGAGAGGUGCUUACGAAAUACCCUCGGCUCAAUUGCAACAAAUCAAAGACUCAAGCAUCCAUGAGAGCACCAAUCAAGUCACAUUAAAAAUCCUCUAACUAUCUAAUUAACAAUACAGAGAUUGAAUCCUGGACAAUCAUGUUUUCAAAUAUGAGCUUAGGACUUUCUUAAGACUCUUAGUCAUAAUUCAGUCAUUUAAUCUAGUCAUCUACUAUCAUCUACGUUGUUUUAUAAACGUAAAUCCAUUUUUACACUAUUCUAAUAUUUUCCAACAAAUCAAAAGCUGUCACAGUGGUCAAUCAACUAAACAAAAACCCUAAAUUCACAAAAUUGAAAUCAUAAAAUAUCCCUCAAUAUCAAAAAUUGACUUCAUCAAACCAAAUCAAAAACUACAAGAAGGCAAUAACCCCAAUCAAAUUCAGUUCAUAUCCAGCAUCAACAUCUAACUUCAAUAUAAAAAUUUUAACAAUUGAAGCUAGAUGCUAUAUUUAUAUAUGAUUAUCAAUAAUCCAUUAUCGACCCACGUACAAAAACAUCAAAUCAAGAAUACCCAGAAGCCAAAUCAGAGAAAAAAAACCAAGGUAAAACUACAAAAAGGCAAUAAGCCCAAUCAAAUUCAGUUCAUAUACAAAUACACAUCAACUUCAAUAUAUAAUUUUUAAUAAUUGAACUUCAAUAAUCUAUUCGACCCACAUAAAAAAAAAACACCUCAACUUUCAAUAAAAUCAAUUACUUUCACAGACUUUUAACAUCAGAUCAAGAAUACCCAUAAUCCAAAUCAGACAAAAAAACCCAAAAAAACUCAUAAAAAUCAAAUCUUUCAGAUCUCAGUUGAACACAAAAGCUCUAAAAAAAUCAAGAAAACACAAACCUGUAAGAGAAAAUGGCCAACAAAAAAGCUGUUCCAGAGAAAGGUCAACUAGAAAUAGAAGAGUAUAAGGAUGGGUAGAUCUGAAGGAUAAGAAAGUGAAAGAGAAAAUUGAGGGGGCAAAGAAAAUGAGAUGAGAGGAAAGAAAAAGAGAGAGGAAAAAGGAUAAUAUAAUAAGCAAACUGAUCACAUGAAUUUGCCGGUUGGAAGAGACGGGGAUGAGUAGGAGAAGGAAGGAUACAAUUGUCAAUUUCAAAAAUUUGAUUGUAUGAGACACGUGGGAGAUGAGUUAGGGUAAUUCUAGAAUGUGAUCAACGACACCUGCUAUGGACGGCUGAGAUGGGACUGUUAGGGCCCCGUUUCAAAAACGGAAAAGGUACAAAUAUACCCCGAGUUUUGAUAAAUGAUAUAAAUAUAUUCCUCAUUAUAUUUUAGGUAUAUAUAUACCCUCGCCGUCAAUGAAAAGGUACAAAUAUACCCUUAUUAUUAACAGAGGGACACGUGUCGAUUUCCUAUUCACUAACCUUUUUUUAAUUAAAUUCAAUUAAAAUAAAUCUCAAAUUCAACCCAAAUUAAAAUCAAAUCCGACCCAAAUUAAAAUCACACCCGACCCGGUCACUUGACCACUCAAACGCUUCUUCACUCUCACUUUCAACCCAAGAAAAACCCCAAAAAAGUCUCACUUUCUCUCGCGUCUCUUGUAUUAGUUGAUUAGGCCUAGGGUUUGCAAUAUUUUGAAUUGUCUUAUAAUUGCAUAAAGAUUUCUCUGUUUUGUACAACAAUUUUUUUGUCUCGUUUUUCUUUGAUAUAGCUCAAAACUAGGCAUUAAAAUUGAUAAAUUCUGUUCGAUAAUUAAGAUAGAACAUACUCAAUGUAAUUCCACAAGUGGUAUCUACGAAGGAUGGAUAUACGAAAUUCGGAUAAUUUGGAUGCUAUAUACAAAUGGAUUAGGUAAUAGUUUUCAUCCUGGGAUUUCCAUAGGUUUGCCUUGGUAAUCAAUAUAGAAGUUGUAUCAUGGAAAGCCUUUUCCCAUUUGAUUUUUGUUGGUGCAUUUUAUUACUAAAAUAAAUUAAAGUGCAUGACAUUAGUAAACAUAAAGUGGAGAAAGUGGUGUCAUUAUUCUUGUAACUUAUCACAUUAUCUUUUUGAGUUAGUGGGUACAAAUUGUGGUAAAGAUGACCAUUAAUCUUGUAACUUAUAUAGCCAUUAGUUAUCGUAACUCUCAUGGCUAUUAUUUCUUGUAACUUAUAUGGCCAUUAGUUGCAUGUAACUCUUGUAACAUUUGUAACCUAUAGAUGAUUCAUGUACUCACUUUACUAUACCAUAUUCUUCCUUUUCAAUACGAGGAUGAAUUCCUCACCUAUAAAUAGAGAUGAUCUUACAUGUACAAGAAAAUAUGAUAAGUGUGAAAAAGAUUAUAGUAUGUAGUAGUGAAAGUUAGUGUUGGGACAAAGAAAAUAUUUUAAGUCUACAACUAUAUUCACUAUACAAAAUAGAGUAACUAUAUUAGUGAAAGAGAGAGUUGAGACUAAGAAAAUAUUCUAAGUAUUUAACUAUAUUCACUAUACAAAGAGGGUAAAUAUAUGUUGAAGGAAGGUGUUCUUAUGGUGGAACUUUGGACUCUUCAACUAAUUCGGAGUUACUUGAGUUAUACAUUGUUGAUGGAUUAUCGUAUUCUGGAGGGGAUAAGUCAAGAGAUAUACUGCCGGAUCGGUGUAGAUUAUGCCGUAGUGGGCUUAAAUCUCCUAAGAAAGCGAGAUAUUCGCGCUUCAGCCAAGAAGAAGACAUUCUUUUUUUUUCUUCACUUAUAAUUUUCAGUUGUAAUAUUCUUGUACUUUCACCAUCAAUUUUAAGGAGGUUCAUGUUUUGUUACAGUUUAAAAAAUUGUGGAUAUCAAGAUGGAGAUUAUCUCAACAUCUUAACGUCACUAGUUUCUUCAAGAGAUGGAAGAAAAGAGAUGAAAGUUUGAAAAAUCACGGAUCUCAAGAUGAGAGAUCUCAAAAUAUAAAUGGGAAGAGAUAGCCACGUAAAGUAUCUUUCUACUUCUCAACUCAAGCGGAUGAAAGAUAAAAACUUUUCUAUUUGUUGCGGAGGAAAGGUAAAAAGUUACCUAUUAUUUUUCAUGAAUAAAAUGAUACUUUUCAUGAAAGUUUAUUUUCUUAAAGUCUCAAAAUAGCGAGGGAUAAAGAAAUGAAAAAAAUCACCAUAAAAAAUAUGAUUUUUGCAUUUUUAAGAAUGCUUUUAAAAAAAAGUUACAAGUGCAUAUAUUAGUCUUGGAAUAAAUCACAUGUUUACUAUUUGUAUAUUUAUUAAUGUCUUUGGCUGUAACAUGCAUGUUAUUAAAUAAAUGAUAAAUUGAAUAGCCAAUUUAACAUUAAAUAUUUGAAUGAGAUAAAUUUCAAUUUUGGAAUGAAAAAUACCUAAAUAAUGUGACGACUUUUCCUUGACAUGUCACAUUAUGGUGAAAAAGAAAAAUUGUGAAAUACAUUUUGUUGAUUGUAUGAGUCAUGCAACCUCUUUUGAUUCAAAUAUGUGAAAGUGGUGUGAAAUAAAAAAGGAGUUUACUAGCCUAAUUAAAAAUUGAGAUAUAUGACUAAUUGCACUUGGCAUGAAAUUAUAUAAAAGUACUUAAAUAGGUUACACAAGCAAACCAGGUAUAUUUACUUGGUUAGAAAAAAAAAGUUGUGGCUUGUUGUACUUAAAAGUGUUUUUGAUGCAAAAUGAGAAAAAAAACUUGGUGCUAUUUGUUGAAAUGAAAAAGCAAAUUAUUAUUUGCUAACUUUAAUGUGGAGGUUGAACUAAUUAUUUUAGAUUCAAUUAGUGAAAAAGUGAAUUGAUCAAUCAUUUUAUUUUGAAAAAGUAAUUUGUCUAGUUUGAGUUAUUUUGAUAGCACUAAUAUUAUCGAUAAAGUUUGAAACUGUUAUCACAACAACAAAUUCAGACCCAUGAGAAUAAAGAAAUACUAUUGUGAUAUUAUAUUUGACAAGUGGUACCACUAACAUUGAGUAUGUCAAAUUAUAUGAUUAUCUUGCGGAUGAACUAAGCAAGGCCUUGGCAUGAUAAAGGGUCUGAAUCACAUUAAGGGGGAGAAAGGAAGACUAUAAAAAAUUAUGAGUCAUAUAUGAGGAAACCCAACCUGUGAACUAGAGAUCCUAUAACCAGGUUCAAUGGGAAGAACGAAUCAUAUGAUGGCUUGGUGUGGGAUGCACUAUUGUUUAAUUCUUUCUAUGAUGUGAGUGUAUUAUUUCUGUAAUAAUUUGUGAAGGUUUAGUCUAAGAACUCUUAAUGAAAUUAUGUAUCUCGUAUGAGUGGGGUGUCGAUAUUACAAGACCACCCUUGACAGAUUUCACCUAUGUAAGCAUGGAAGUAGGUCGCUUCCUAUGAGAAUAAGACUUAUUCUAAAAAAUGUUCAUGAAAAAUUGGAAUAACACAUGGCCGUAAUGUGCUGGCUAUUAAAGCUUAUGUCAAUACCUUGACUAUUGUGUGUUGACAGUAAUACUUUAUUUCCCUUAAGCAGUCAUAGUUCAAGUCUGAGACCACUACUGACUCUGGAGUAAAUGUUAUUAUUUUACUAAGUGAAGGUUCAAUGCGGAGCACACCUUUAUUAUGCAUAAUAGUCUCCUUUCAACUAAAUUGAUGAAGAAUUCUCUUAUUUAAAUAUUAAAAUGAGUGGAGGAAUAUUGGUGCAUUUUAUUGCUAAAAUAAAUUAAAGUGCAUGACAUUAGUAAACAUAAAGUGAAGAAAGUGGUGUCAUUAUUCUUGUAACUCACCACAUUAUCCUUUUGAGUUAGUGGGUACAAAUUGUGGUAAAGAUGAUCAUUAAUUCUUGUAACUCAUAUUGCCAUUAGUUAUCGUAACUCUCAUGGCUAUUAUUUCUUGUAGCUUAUAUAGUCAUUAGUUGCAUGGAACUCUUGUAAUAUUUGUAACCUAUAAACCAUUCUUGUACUCACUUUACUAUACCAUGUUCUUCCUAUUCAAUACGAGGAUGAAUUCCUCACCUAUAAAUAGAGAAGGUCUUACAUGUACAAGAAAAUAUGAUAAGUGUGAAAAAGAUUAUAGUAUGUAGUAGUGAAAGUUAGAGUUGGGACAAAGAAAAUAUUUUAAGUCUACAACUAUAUUCACUAUACAAAAUAGAGUAACUAUAUUCAUGAAAGAAAGAGUUGAGACUAAGAAAAUACUUUAAGUAUUUAACUAUAUUCACUAUACAAAGAGAGUAAAUAUAUGUUGAAGGAAGGUGUUCUUAUGGUGAAACUUUGGACUCUUCAACUAAUUCGGAGUUACUUGAGUUAUACAUCGUUGAUGGGUUGUUGUAUCAUGGAAGGAACAAGUCAAGAGAUAUACUGCUGGAUCGGUAUAGAUUAUGCCGCAGUGGACUUGAAUCUCCUUAAAGAAAGCGAGAUAUCUGCGCAUCGGCCAAGAAGAAGAUUGUUUGAUUUUCUUCACUUUUAUUCAUUUUAUUUUCAACUGUAAUUAUUGUAAUUUGUGGUAUAUUACGCCAACAAUUUUUCUUUUGGAUUGAUCACAAGGGAAUAUCAACUUUGGGGGAUAAGAGAAGUUUUUGUCUGAACGCAAAAUAUCCAACUUCUAGGAAGCCAAAUUUUGGAGUAAGAAUAAAACUGCAUUAAGUUGGGGUAUUUUUCCAGUAGCUGAGUAUUCUGGUUUAGGCUCUUACAAGCAAGACAUAUACUUCUUUGGUGUUGUACUUCUUGAGCUGGUAACUGAAAAAGAACCGCAUGAACUCACCAACUCAAGAAAUCUGUUUGAUCACUCGCCUUGUCUACUUGAUGUAGAUAUAAAUUUUCUUGGAAAGGAGUUGACGAUUUGAUCCUCCAAUUUGUAGAGUUAGCUUGUCAAUGUGUGAAGUUCUUGACUAUAGCUUGUCAAUUUGCAGGUGUAGUGAGAGAGUAAGAGAUAGUGAGGUAAAGUGAGACUUUUGGAGGUUUUUUUUAAGUUGAAAGUGAGAGUGAAUAUACGCGUACAAGAGACGCGUUUGAAUGUUCAAGUGACAGGGUCGAGUGUGGUUUUAAUUUGGGUUGGAUUUGAGAUUUAUUUUAACUGAAUUUUAAUUAAAAAAGGUCAGCGAAUAGGAAAUUGACACGUGUCCCUCCGUUAGUGAUAAGGGUAUAUUUAUACCUUUUCAUUGACGGCGAGGGUAUAUAUGUACCUAAAGUAUAACGAAGGGUAUAUCUGUACCAUUUAUCAAAGUUAGGGGGUAUAUUCAUACCUUUUUCGUUUUAAAAAAAUGAUGUUUUAUCAUAAAAAUUUUAAAUAUAUUUUGGAGUGGUAUUUUUAAAAAAAUAGUUUUGAUCUUUUGUACUUUUACUUAUCUCAGAAAAAUUCAAAAACAACUCUAAUUUAUAUUCAUGGCCAAAUAUAACUCAAACUCUAAAAAAAUAUAAUUUUUAUGAUCAAACGCCUAUUAAAUUUGAUAUUACAUUUAUAUCAUAUCUGAUUAGUGGUAUAAAUUUAUAGUAUCAAUUAAAUAUGAUAAAAAUUUAAUAUCAAAUAUGGUCUUGUGAUAUCUAAUUUAUCUCUUCUAAUAAAGAUUAUUUUAUACCACCUUCCAUAUAAUAUAAAGUAAUUCAGAAAUUAUUAUUUGAAAGAUUAUAAUUUUAAGAUAAUUUAGUCAUAUAUCAAACGAAUCUCUCAUUUGAUAUUAAGAAUUAUUUUAAAAUUAAUUUUAAAAUAAUUUUAACUUAUUUGAUUGAAAUAAAAUAAUAAGACAAUUUAUUUUAAGAUUAAUUAUUUAGAUUAUGACAAUAUUGUUUUAUUACUACAUAUUUAGCAUAGAGUAACAAUUCUAAAUUAAUUAAUCGCACAUAACUUAUUUUCCAAUCCUAUGAGCUGGUAGUGUGUGGAGUGGGACCCAUAAAGAUGGAGAAGUUAGCGCCGCUUGAUUUGUGAAUAACAAGGUGUUUGCUUUUGCUUUUUCUUCCUGAUAAGGUGUUUGUUUUGGUAAAAGAGGGAAAAAAAGGGUUAUUGGUUGGAGCAGAUGAGGAAAUCAAUAAGAUUGAUUGUAAGGUUGGAAAUGGACGGCUGUGAUUGGAUAAACUCAUUCACACUGUCGUCACUCGUCACAUGCCAAAUCCACAAAAGCAUGCAAAUAUGGUGAGGGAUGAGAUGGGUAUUUCCCUUAAAUAAAAUCGGGGACCGCUGGCUAGCUCAAUAGGUUGGGUCAUUUGUACUAGUAAUAGCACUUAUUUUGUUUGGAUCGUCGUUACGUUUUUUCUUCUUCAAAAUAUAUGGUAUUAUGUUUAGAAAAAAUUACAUAAAUUAGCAAUUCUAACACAUUAAUUACAAUUAAUAGCAAUAAUUUUUCAAAUUAUAACUAAUAACAAAAAAUAACAAUAUUUUAUCUUUGUUAGAGAAAAACGCGUGUAUUGAACUCCUCUUUUUACCUAUUCCUUUUUCACGCUACUUUACCAAAUUCAAUUCCCUACAAUCUUUAAUUUUUUUUUUUUCAAAAAUCAUUUUUAUCUCUCAAGAUAUUGAUAAACAUUGCAUCCUUAAUUUAAGGUAAGUUUAUUUUAAAGUUAAUGCAAGUUAUAUUUUUCAUAUAAAUUUUUUUAUGUAUUUUAUUGUCAAUUUUUUUUUUUCAAUUUUUUCAUUCUUCUUUGCCGAUUUUGUUUAUUAGUUUUUUUUUUGUGUGCGUAUUGAAAUUUUUCGGAGUUCCGCUAUAAUGACACAACAUGCAAAUCGUAGUAGUUUCAUUAAAGGUAUUCAACCGAUGAAUUUGAUUUCCGAUGAACUACCAUCGUUUAGUCUUAUGUUAACACAAGAUGAAGAUUUUAACUUGUGUUCUACUAAUAUUCAGCCUAAGGGAGGUGUUAGCAGUGAAGAUGUGAGAUUGAGGCACCGUAACAAUCCGGAAAACUUUGAAAAAAAUGAAACGAAAAGAUUUGAGAAAAUCUUCAUCCCCAAAAUCCACAAAAAUUCAAAAAUCGAUGAAAAGAUGAAGUUGAAUGAAAAAGGUGAAUCUAGUAAAAUUGCAAGUCCUGUUUCAUCUGAUUUCGAAUUUGAAGAAGAGAAAGUGGAGAAGAUAUGAUGCUAUUUGUAAAAUUUUAUAGUUUCUGGACAACAUGUUCAUAUAUGUAUUUUAUAUAUACAAUUUAUUAGUUGUGUAUUUAUUUUUCAGUUUUGGUAAGAUAUGGAAUUGUAGUCCCUAAUGUGUUGUUAAGAUAUGAAAUUGUAGUUGCUAAUUGUAUUUAUUUUAUAUCUGUUCUAUGUAAGUAAGAUAUGUAUUUUGUACAAAGGUUUGUUACUAAUAGAAUUGUAUAUGUUAUGUAUUUUGUAUAUUUUUGAUAUGUAUUUGUAUUUAAGUUAUGUGUAUGACAUUAGUAUUUGUCACUGAUAAGGUUUGUAUCUGAUGUUUAGUAGUAUUAUAUUAUGGUUACUUAAAUUUGGACCAUUCAUGUAUUCAUAAAAUACAUAUGUAUAUAUUGUAAUAUAAGUAUAAUAUGUAUUAUGUAAAUACAUAAAUGACACUAUUUUGACAUGUAAAGUAUAUACAUGCUACAGUUUAGAUAUGUUUUUGUUUUGUUUACUGCUAUGAUUUGUAUUUGAUGUUAAGCUGUAUUUGUUAUCAUUAGAUUUUGACUAUGAUAUGUACUUCUUUAUUCUUAAUAAGCAUGAUUCUUGUGCCAGUUAUGUAUAAAUAAAAUACAUAUGUAUUUGACCUGCCUGAAAUAUAUGAAAUGUAUUUGUUACAGGUUAGAUAUGUUUUUUUUGUUAUUCAUAAUAUUUGUAUUUUUUGCUCAGUUGUAUUUGUUAUUCAUGAGAUGAUAACAAUAUUUGUAUUUUGAUGUUUGAUAACUAAGAUAUGGACCAGCGAUGUAACUUUAAGCUGUAAUGUAACUUUAAGAUGUAUUUUCGUAAACAUCUUAAUUUUAUAACAGGUUCUUACUUAUUGAUACAUGUAUUUGUAGGGAUUGUGGUUUAUAUAUGCUAACAUAUGCUGAGUGCCUUACUUUUGGUGAAGGUGUUCCAUCUGUUGGUUUUGACCCCGAUCUUAUUCGCACAAGAUAUGCUUUACUUUUGUGGGAUUAUGGUUCGAGGAAAGAAGAAGCGAAGGCACAAAGUGAUGAUGAAGUACCAAUGAGGCCUCCUCAAAAAGUUGGGAUAAUAGAAGACACUGAAGUGCAUGAUCUUUGCUGUGUAUUUUUAUUUUGUUGAAGUUUACAACAGUUAAAAUUAGGUUGAUACACAAUAUGUUGAAUAUUUCUUAAGUUUCAUAUGUUACUUUAAUAUUCAAAGAUGAUAUAUUAAUAUUUAUUUACUGUUAUAUCAAGAUUUUUGAUGUUUAAUCUUCUAAACUCCAAUAUUUUCAUGGUUAGUUUAUGUAAAUGUUAGCAAUAUGUCCUUAUGAACUUCUAUUCUAUCCAGUUUUACAUAUAUAUUUAUGUCUAAUACAUAUGUAUUUAUGUAUUUUUACAGAAUUGCACAUAUAUUUUUGAACAAUGCAUAGUUAUUGUGGACUGAAGCAGAAUGCCAUAUAUAUAUUUAUGAGUCAUAUGUAUUUAUGAAUAAUACACAUGUUCAUUCCAGUGUACAUAUGUAUUUUUAAUAACGCAUACGUAUUUUUUUACAAGUCUGAAAAUAUAAUUUUUCUGAUAUGUAUUCAUACUCUUUUGUAUAUGUUUUUGUCUGCAAUGAAUAUAUCAAUAAGUAAGUUUCUGUAUAUUUAUAAAUAAAGCAUAUGUAUUUUUUAAUUAUGCUUAUAAAUCCAUCAAUAAUACAUAUGUAUUUAUUACAAGAUGUCCAUAUAUUUUUGUCUAGCUAAAACACAUACAAACAUAUAUACUUUUACAGAUUUGCAAUUGAGGUUUUGAACAAUAUAUAUUUAUGAUUAAUACAUAUGUGCAUUUCAGUUUGCAUUUGUAUUUAUGUCUAAUGUAAAUAUAUUUUUUCGAAAAUACGUAUGGUUUCUUGUUAUUACAUGCAGACGUAGUUUUAUGCAUAAAACAUAUGUAUUUUUUACUAACGAAAAAUACCAGUAGUAUGUAAUUUUGAAAGAUUCGUCAUUUUCAGAAUCUAGUACACUAUAUGUUAAUGGAAAUAUAUGGCCUGCAUAUGAAAAAAAUACACAUAAGAGUGUAUGUUUUAUACACAUAAAAUACUGCAUAUAUAUAUAUUAUAAAUACAUACAGCUGGAAACAUAUGUAACUGCCAGUGAACACAUAAACAUACUGCAUAUGUAUAAUAUAUAUACAUAUAGCUGGAGCCAUAUGUAACUGCCACAAAAAAACUGCAUAUGCAUAAUAUAAAUACAUAUAGCUGGAAACAUAUGAAAUUAUUAGUGAGCACAUAAAUAAACUGCACAUGUAUAUUAUAAAUACAUAUAGCUAAAAAUAUAUAUAUCUGUUAAUUCAUAUUCAAUUUGAAUACUUUUGCAGGUCACAUUUACAUCAAUGUGUGAAGCCAGUAGUGUGUAGAGUUGGUUAUACGAAGCGUUUAUGCUCAACAAUAUCGCAUCACUGAUGUAAUCUUUAUAUUGUUGUUCAUAUGUCCAUCUAUCAGAGUGUUUAACAAGAAAAGGUAUACUUUCCAUUUUCAAUGUCCGUAACACUACAAAUUUGUAAAUAUAACUUCGAUUAUCAAAUGCGUACUACAUACAAUAAAUCAGUCGUAUACACAAAACUAGAAAACGAAUUCCAACAAAAACAAUUCUUUUAUUUGAAUACUAUGUAUCCUUGUCUUAAAUUCAAAUUUAACGUAUAACAAUUGUGAUUUAGUUUUAUAAAUACAGAACGACAAGGACAACUUUGAAUUUUGAAAAAAAAAUCACUGCCAACAUUUCAUCUCAGAACUGAUAAAAGUCAAAAUACGAUCUCAACUUUUGAAAUAGAUGAAUGUUAUGACUGAGUUAUAAACUUUUCAGAUUUUUUCGCAAUUAUAUUUUAUAAAAUUCACAAACACAACAAAUUUGAUUAUCGAUACUUGUAAUCGGAACGUUGUAUUUUCACUAUCUUUAUCAAAAUUUUAGGCGACCAUCAAUAGUAUUGGAUGCACUAUAUUUUUUGAAUUUGAUUUGAGUUGUUGAUUAUGGAAAAUAUUUUUUGAAUUUGAUUUGAUCAGUUGCUGAUUAUGGAAAACGUUUUUUGAAUUUGAAUUUGACUUGAGUUGCUGAUUUGAAUUACCAUUUUUUUUAUUUAAAUCUACGUUUGUGGUAAAAAAAAGAGUCAUAUAAGGUAAAAAAAUCUAAGUAAUUAAAUGUUGCUUGAAUUAAGGAACAAUUUCUUCCAUUUUAAACUCUAAUUGAUUAGAGUUAUAUUAGGAAUGGAUUCUUUAUUUGUAUAUGUAUUUAUAUAGCAAUAUUUUACUUAAAUACAUAAUACAACUUGCUAUUUUUUGUAAUUUUGAAACUGUUACUAUAAAAGUUAUAAUUAAGGCUCUAUAGUUGCUAUUUCUGAAAUUUCCCUUAUGUUUAUACUGUAUUGUGUUGCAUUAUAUUAUAUUAUUUUAAUAAAUAUAAAUUAUUAAUGUAUUCUAAUAUUUUAAUUGUAUUAUAUUAAAUUAAGUUUGGAGUCAAAACAAUUAAUUUUUUGAUAAAAAAUUUCAAAAGAAAUAAUUAAUUUGAAAAAAAAAUCAAAGGGGAUAAAAUGUUCUUGAUUGAGCGAUUUAUCCCAUGACAGUGAUGACAGUACUAACAAAUUGCUUGGUGUUCAGUGAUUUGAAAUCACCUGGUGUCCAGUGAUUUGUAAAUCACCUUGGUGUCCAGAGAUUUGUAAAUCACCUUGGUGUCCUGCAAGUCGCAUAAUUUCCAAUAAUUUGCAAUUUCCUUGAUGUCCAACUAUUUGCAUGGCAUGAUUUCACCAAGCCAUGCAACAUGUGUGUCUGGAUGUGAGUUUCUUUGUAAAAUGCAAUACGUGAAGGUCUAAAAUGGAUAAAGUUAACUAAUGUCGUACCUAUAUAUAUUCUCAAUCUCUAUUCACAAGUACAGAAACAUUGUAAACAAAAAAAUCUUUCUAGAAAUAUUCUAUCAAAACACAAGUUAAGGUAUUCUCAGUAAGGUAUGUAAAUGUAUAUUUCUUAUGUUAUCUUUUAUUUUAAAGUAUAAAAUUCUUAAGCUUAAAUAUUAUAUUUUAAAAAUAAUUUUUAUUAUUUUUACUUUUGAUCAUAACAAACCUAUUUUUUAUAUAGACAUGAAUUCUUUGUUAAAAUUACUAGAACACUGAUCUCAAGCAGUUUGGGACGGUGCAAGACAAGAAGUGUGUUUAAGUACAUAUUGUGCCGAUAUUGAAUUUUGACAGCACAUAAAGCAUCAUUUAUUGCAUUAUCGAAUCCUUCAAUAUUUAAGUUUGUGUGUAUUUAGAGGAAUUAUGAAAGUAGGAUAUAUUUCUUACAAUGUUGGACUUAUAACUGCAUUAGUUGAGAGGUGCGGUUCAGAAACUCACACAUUUUAAAUGCGAAUUGAUAAGGCAACCAUUACAUUAUAGGAUGUCAAAAUUAUGUUCGACAUGGUUGUAGAUGGAAGUCCUAUAAUUCUAGAAAUUGCUAGCAAUUUAGGGGUUGCAGCUAAACGACAGAUGAUGCAUGACCUAAUAGGAUGAGAACCUCCUAUAGAUUACUUUUCUGGAAUCAGCAUAAUAUAUGUAUCUUGAUUAGCUUAUCAGGUAAAUGACUUAGGCAAUAUUAUUAAUGAUACCCUCUAAAUUAAUGUGCAACAGAGAGUUAGGUUGUACUUUCAUGAUUAUGUGGAGGUAUAUUAUUUUUUGGAUAAGGUCAAUUUCAAAAAUACUUUGGACUAUUAAAUUGGGAUGCAAGACUUAAAUGCAAUGUCAACAAAGGUUUGGGAUGCAACCAUAUUGCCAUUUUUAUAUUAUUGUUUAUAUCGUGUAUCUAUGUCUUCAUCUAGAGAUGUAUGUGGAUUUCUUUUCUUAGUCCAGGUACGUGAAACUUAAUAUUUGUGUUUAAAAAUUUGUACUACUUAAUUUUAUUGUGUUAGUAGAAUUAUUUGAUUUUAUAUUGUUGUAGAUAUGAGCAUGAGAGCGUAUUAUUCCACUUCAGCCAACACCGCUCCCUCUGAGGGCAAACUACCAUGAGACCUCAAGUCUACUUGCACUUAAGCAGAGUUGAAGUAAAAUUCAUCAAAAUGAGGCGGGAAAUGUACUUGCCAUAAUUAGGGAUGUCCUAGAUAACCUAACUAUUGACAGAUAAUUGAACUUCUAAUACUAAUGAUUAGUCGACGUCAUACUGAUUAAAAAAGACUUAUAAUGUGAGAUUACCAUACUUGUUACUAGUCGAUUUUCUUAUAUAUAAUUUUAAUUAUUAAUAUUAUUCCUAUUUGAAAGAAUCAAUAUAAUAACUAUUUCUUUUACAAUGAUCUAUUUGUUUUAUAGUUUAUUCGAGAGCCUUAUCCAGAAGAAGUACGUAAUGAAUUGUUUGAGUGGUGCUAGAGGUGACAACCUAUUUGAAUGGCUAGAGUGACACUUAUUUGUGGAAUAGUCCAUGAAUGGCAUAUAUGUCACGACUCGAGGCUACUCCCUAGUCGCGACAACAGUGCUUACGACCAUAAGUGACCAUAAGCUAACCUAUGAACUGGUUUUUUGCUAUGAGUACUGAACAAAAUAGUAAUACAACACAAGUGCGGAAGGUAAGAUGAUAAGAUACUAUAAAACUGAAUACUAAAUACGUAUCAAAACAUGUAUGAAAUAUCUGGUAGAACACUAAAAACCAACUGUCUAUCUGAAAAUAAAUGAUAACACUGAAAUGACUAAUUGACUAUUUAAAUGAGCGUCUAAAAGCCUCUAAACAUCGUGAGGAGUUUAUGGGACAGACCCUAACUAACUCCAACUGACUGAACAUAAGAAAACACUAAAAUAACUGAAAUAAAAACAUCGUGAGGAGUUUAUGGGACAAACCCUAAACACUCCAACUGACUCACCACUAUUGCUGCUGAGUAACGCUGAGCUAUCUAAGAACGGUCGUGAAACUGUGCGUUCGAAUCUAUGUUAUAAAACAACAUAGCGCAAAGAAAAAGUACGCGGCCACUACUUUGAAUGUACUGGUAUAUGAGACGAGGACUGACUGAAAUGCAUGGGGUAUCUGAGCAUAAAUGCAUGAUAUGUAAUAUCUGAGAAUGCAAGACCAAGCAUAAACAUGGUUCUGAGAUAAUCUGUAAUCUGAAAAGACUGAAAGUUGUAUAACUGAAUAACUUAAAACCUAUACACUUGGUCAAGUAAACCUGAAUUGAAAUACACUGAUUAUUGUAUUGAGACUUUGGGAGGUAUCAGGUAACCGACAUACCCCGAUCUGAGCUAAUUGGGGUCCAACUUGUAACCCCCAGUUGAAAGGGUGUUAGUACCUUGCCACGGGUACUAGCAUUGGCCGUGUGGGUCUACUGAACUGGUGUUUCAAAGGACUAAAGAGUUACCCUCUAUUGGCAGGUGAUCUCAUGAGAUAUGUAUCAAACCUCAAUUGGAAGAAAGACAUCUCAAACCUACAUUGGCUACGUAGUUCUGUAACUCAGGGACUGCUACUAAAGGUUAAACCCACUACUGGUCAGUAAGCCCACAUCCCUGGAUUCACUCGGUGCUAAAAUCCUACUCCCAACUGAACUAACACUGGUACUGAACUGAACUAAGUUUAACUGAACAUUAUUUUUGAUAGUACUUAUCAUGAUCAUAAAUAUCAUAGUAUAAAGACAAGAUUCAUGGUUUAACUGAAUUAUUACUCAAAAAUUUAAAAUUAUGCAAAACACAUAGGUAUUGGGUAUUCAUAACCCAUUAGCACUGAAUAAUGACAAAAUACAACAACAAUGCUUUAAAAUAGUUGUAUGGAAUCAUGGUUAAAAGACCCAAAACAUGAGCAUUUCAUCAAAUAAGUGGAAAACAUGAACUUUAGCAUAGACAUCUUUACAUGGUUUAAUUCAUAACUUGAGGAUUUAAUAUGAAAUAAGUUGAACACGACAUGGGAAAUUAAAAUUCCAAAACAUGAAGUAUCUUAAUUCACAUGGAAACACAGGUAAACACGACUUGUUUUUGAUCUAAUAGGAAGUUCAUGGAUUAUUUUAUGAGUUUUAUGGAGGAUUUCAUAAAAUAGGAUUAGAUUCAUACUUUUAAAUAAAGAUAGGGUUGUUGGGAUGAAUGGGUAAAAGGGACCCACUGAUGAAUACCCCACAUACCUGAAGUAAAAGCUUUGGGAAAAUUUCUUUAAAGUUGUUCUUGACCUUGAGAAAUCCUAACAGCUUGGGGAAGAUGAAGAAACCAUUUUCUCUUGAUUUUAUUUAGUAAAUUGAUGUUUUAUGAUGUAAAUUAGAGAUCUGGGGCCUUUUAUCACCCCUUGUGAAACCAAAACGAUAUGGGUUUAGCUUUUAAGGGAGUGGGAAAAACAUAAAAGCCCCUAGAAAAAUAUGCAGAAAAUCACGUUCCCAGUCAGUAUGAGUCGACCUUAUGACUCGUAUAUUAGGGUACGACUGUACUGAUGAAUCAUAAGCUUGGCAGAUUUCAUAUAACAUAUACUGGUCUGGAUACGUCAUAUUUCCAAAUUGUAAGAUGCCUAUAUGAUUUGGUAAAGUCACUCGUAAAAUGAACGGACAACUUAGGGAACCAAUACUAUUAUUGAUACGAAUUCUCUCUAUACGAGUCGUACCUUUGUAUAUGGCUAGAUACCCCCUUCUUGUAUCCUGGACAGACUCUCAAGGGGUCAAAACUGAUGUCUAUACGGCUGGGUUCAUACAAAUUGUACCUCUCUUGACGACCCAUGGGGUCAAGUCAUACCUGCAACAGAAUGUUCAAUAUGCUAUACUGACUUAGGUAGAGUCUAAUAUACGACUGUACACUGGGCUAUGAUCGAGGAUCAUGAGUCAUAUGCUGCACAGAGAUCGAAAAAUAUAUGGGGUAUUACAAUAUCUCCCCCUUAAAAAUAUUCAUCUUUGAAUGAGACUGGUUAAAUAUAGAGUGCUAAGGCAACCACGAUCAUAUACCAAAUAUGCAAGACUUGGAACAUGAUGAACAUGAUUAAAUAAAUGAUUUUGAAGCAUGCUACAUAAUCUGAACUGAGCUGAUUUUGUGAAUAUAUGCAAUGACAUGAGAUUGGUUACAUAGCUAAAAUUGAGAACGAAAAAGAGAUAGCUAAAAUUGAGAAUGAAAAAGAGAGUCAAUCUAAGAAAGAUCGAUACCUUAAGCUGAAUCUAGGUUUGCGGAGAAAAGAUGAGGGUACUUGGUUCACAUAUCUGCUUCUUCUUUCCAAGUAGCUCCCUCAAUAGACUGAUUCCACCAAAGAACUUUAACCAAAAGAACUUCUUUGUUCCUCAACCUACGAGUUUGAUGGUCAAGGAUCUCAACUGGGAUUUCUUUGUAGGAUGGACUAUCUUCCACCUCCACACUCUCUAAGGGCAUGAUUGAAGCUGGGUUGCCAAUAAAUUUCUUCAAUAAAGGGACAUGAAACACCGGAUGCACUGAUGCCAGAUUUGCAGGCAACUCCAACUCAUAAGCUACCUGUACAAAAUGAAUCAAGAUUCUAUAUGGGUCAACAUAGAGAGGAUUGAGUUUUCCUUUUUUUCCAAAUCUCUUCACUCUUUUCAUAUGUGAAAUCUUCAAGUAAACCAAGUCACCAACAUCAAACUCAAGAUCUCUUCUUCUUACAUUUGCAUAAGAUUUCUAAUGACUUUGGACUAUCUUCAGCAACUCUCGAAUUAACUAAACCUUCUCCAUCGCCUCAAACACUGAAUCUGGCCCUAUCAAAUCAGCCUCAGCUACUUUAAAAUAACCAAUAGGAGAUCUACAUCUCCUCCCAUAGAGAGCCUCAAAUGGAGCCAUCUGAAUACUAGAGUGAUAACUGUUGUUGUAGGCAAACUCAAUCAAAGGUAAGUGGUCAUCCCAACUACCUUUAAAGUCAAUAACACAGGCCCUCAACAUGUCCUCUAAAGUAUGAAUGGUUCAUUCUGCCUGACCCUCUGUCUGAGGAUGAAAAUCUGUACUGAGAUUAACUUGGGUACGAAGACCCUUAUAAAAGGCCUUACAAAAGUAAGAGGUAAACUCAGUAUCUCUAUCUAAAAUGAUAGACAAUGAGACUUCAUACAACUGCACCAACUCCCUAAGGUAAAGCCUGGCAUAAUUAUCAGUUGAGUACGAAGUAUGAAUUGGCAAGAAAUAAGCUAAUUUUGUCAUUCUAUCUACAAUGACCAUAUCGAAUCAUGCUGCCAACACGUAUGAGUCAACCCUGUUACAAAAUCCAUGUUCACCACUUCCCUGAAGCAUCCCAGGUUUGGAACCUUAGAAAAUUUCCUAGAAUGUCAUUCUUCGGAUCUAUUAUGACUUAUGGUAUAAGCUGUAAGCUGGGGUACAAGUGGUGAAGUCCUAUCGUAAGCUUACUAGUGUUAUUUAGUGGGAUGAUCUUGGAUACUAGAAUGGAUACAACUUGAGGGUAUGAGUUGUAAGGCAUAGGUACGAAUCGUAUAUGUGACGCUAAGGUGGACAAUGUUUGAUUUUUCUGGUGUUAUAUUCUGCUAGGGAUACAGGUUAUGGAUACGGAUCAUAUGCUGAGGUUAUGACUUAGUUAGAUGAGUCAUAUACUGGAUAGCGUAUGAUCCAUGGUUGAGGCUUUGUUACGAAUUGGGUAGGUAUCAAUUGUAAGCUAGGUUACGACUCGUAAGGAGGUCAGCUGUGACCCUGUGUCUGGUUUUAUAGGAUUUAAGUGGGGGUAUUUUGGAUAUUUUUCUACUUACCCUAAUAAAUACCCACGACUUCUAAUACACUUAGGAGGUUAUUUACCCUAUUAUUUUACUCUUACACACUUAAAAUCUCUUCCAAAACAUAUCAUAAUUCUCUCAAGAGCUUUUGGGGCAAAGAGCUUGGGUUUCAACUAAGGGAUUUCUUUGGGGCUUUUCUUGGUGAAUUCUUCUAUCAAUCUUCUUGGUUUAAGGCAUGAUUCUCUUCCCUACUUGUGAUUUCAAUUAAAGGCAUGGUUAUAUGGUUGAUUUCAUGGUUUUACUCUUGCAUGGUUUUUGUUUUCAACUAUUGAUUUGGGGGUUUUGAUGUUAAAGACUUGGUUAUGAUUUCUUAUGGUUUUAAUUAUGCUUUCUAUGCAUUAAUGGUGGUUUUGGAUAAUGGAAAUACAUGGUAAUGGUUUAAUGGUAUUGGAAUUUGGUUUUGGAUAUGUUAUGCCUCCAAGGUGUUUGAUAAAUGCUUAUAAAGAUAUGUUCAUUGCAUUGACUCUUUUAAAUGAGACUCUUGCUUGUUUUUGGAUUAUGCAUGAAACUAUAAAUGGUUUACAAAGGUUAAUGGCUAAUUGGUUAUGCUUCUGGAGAAUAUGGUAGUCUCCCAAGAGGUUGAUAUGGUAAACGGAAAGGGCACCGAGAGUCCUCUUAAUCUAAAUAGUUUGGCUAAGGAUAAAUGCUUGAAAGUAUGUGGUAUGACGAUACCACUGGUUUAUUAAAUAGCCUUGGUUAAUAAAUAGAUAAUUGAAUUAUUUGGACAUGGUUUUAAUUGGGCAUUAAUGGUGAGAAGUUUAAGCUAAGCCAUGGAAGGUGGCGAUCCCGGGGGAUCAAAACCUGAAACUCAUAUCUGCAGAUAUGAGGGGUCUUCGAUGGCCACAUGCGAGUGUUAUAUUUAUAUUGGAGGGAUGUACUAGUCAUCACAGGGUUAUUUACUGGUCGUGUGACUACAAGCACUGGGACCCUUUCAGUAGGGGAAGUUGAACCCAUAUGGCCCGUGGGUGAUAAGACGGCUAAGCUACAUAACUCAGGUUAAGACUUUAAACGGCAUGAUAAACCUAGUCCCUUUUCCCAGCACUUAUAUAUGUAUGGUUGUUUACAUUGGAUGGUUUUCACUUGGUUUUGGUAACUGGCAUUACUUUAUCCUUAUCCCGAGAUUCAUGCUAGUGUUCACCCACUAACCCAUCUACUGGCGGCUGUAUACCUAUGCUAUGCAGGAACAGGACGUUCAACUCCUCUUUUUUAGUACUUGAUUUGGGGAUAGAUUAUUGGACUGAAGUGGUGAGCUUUCAUUUUUUUGGAAGGCAUCAUUUUAUGUUGGACAUUUUUAGAUAUUUUACUUUCUUUUCGGAUAGUGGUUUUGGCCACUGUUGGGGGCAUAUCCUAAUCGAAUAUUUGUAUUAUUUCGGAUAGAGGCUUUGUGGUCCUUCUGAGGGUUGGAAUAGGCGGAAUCGGUAUUGGUGUCAGCCUUAGCAUUGGUAUUAAUACUGAGGCUGGUAUCAUCGGACAUAAUUUCUUACUAUUAUAUCAUAUUACAUUUUGGGUUUGAUUAUCAUAUUAUGUUUGAUAUUAUCUUUGGUUUGGUAUGGUAUGGAUGGUUGGUUUGGUAUGGUUAGACUCGGUUGGGUUGGUCACGGUCGUGAUCCUAUCCCAAAAUCUUGAUGUGAACAAUAAUGCUAUCUUGUUAUAUAUUUGAGAUUCAGCUCAUCUGAGGCCAUAUAAGAUGGUUAGGUUGGGUUAAGGGGGCGGUCCUCAAUCCUAUGUGGACUUGGGAUGCCUAUUAUGACAAGGCUCCAAUUCGGGCUGCGUUAUUCCCAUUUCAAAGUGGGGAUGCUAAACUCUUGCAAAGUACCACUAGGCCUUUGGUGCCCAAACUUGACCUGCUGACAAUUUGGAAACUUAGCCACACACCCUGUAAUAUCCUUCUUCAUAUCACUCCACUAAUAGAUUUCUUAAAAAUUACGGUACAUCUUAGUGGCUCCUGGGUGGAUAGUGUAUCACACGCCAUGUGCUUAUGCAAGUACCCGCUGCUCAAGCCAUCAACACACAGAACACAUAACCUGCCUUGACAAUGAAGCACACCAUCUUCCCUUUGAGAGAAAACCUCUACCUUCUAAUCUUUAACAACCUCCUUCAACUUAAACAAACUAGGAUCUUUGUCCUGCUUAGCUUUCACUUCAGCCACUAAUGAAGAUUUUGGACCAUUUUGAACCCAUAUACUACCUUAAGUUGAAUUAACCAAUCGAACACCCAAUCUUGUAGGCUGAUGAACAUCAUGGACUAACUUCUUCUUAUCUCCCUCUACAUGAGCAACACUACCCAUAGACAACCUACUAAGGGCAUCUGCCACUAUAUUAGCCUUGCACGGAUAAUACAACACACUUAUAUCAUAAUCUUUUAACAACUCAAGCCACCUUCUCUGACGAAGAUUCAGAUCUUUCAGCAUGAACACGUACUGUAAACUCUUUGGUCAGUGAACACAUCAACAUAAACCCUAUAGAGAUAAUGUCUCCAAAUCUUUAAGGCAAAGACAACAACUGCCAACUUAAGAUCAUGGGUUGGAUAAUUUUUCUCAUGAGGUUUAAGUUGCCUAAAGGAAUAGGCUAUGAUCUUGCCUCUCUAUAUCAAAACACGACCAAGACUAAAUCUGAAAUCAUCACAGUAAAAUACAAACCCAUCUGAACCAUUUGGCAAAGCCGAGACUAGAGCAAAAGUGUGUCGAGUCUUUAACUCCUGAAAACUCUUCUCACAGGAAUUUGACCAUUGAAAUUUGAAUUUCUUCUGAGUUAGUCUCAACAUGGGGGAAGAAAUAGAAGAAAAACCUUCAAAAAACCAUCUGUAAUAGCCAGCUAAACCCAAAAAACUCCUGAUAUCUGAUGGAGAAAUGGGUCUAGGCAAGUUUCUCACUGCUUCAAUCUUUUGAGGAUCAACUCGAAUACUAUUACCAGAAAUGAUGUGACCAAGGAAUGCUACUGAUUUCAACUAAAAUUUGCACUUACUGAACUUAGUGAACAACUAAUGAUCUUUAAGAAUCUGUAACAUAACUCUCAGAGGGUCUGCAUGAUCAUUUUCACUACGAGAAUAGACAAGGAUGUCAUGAAUGAAGACUAUGACAAACAUGUCCAAGUACUGCUUGAACACCCUGUUCUUCAAGUCAAUGAAAGUUUUAGGGGUAUUUUUUAGUCCAAAAUACAUAACUAGGAAUUCAAAGUGACCAUAUCGAGUUUUGAAGACUAUCUUCAAAAUGUCAUAUUCUCUGACUCUAAGUUGAUAAUAUAUAGAUCUAAGGUCUAUCUUAGAGAAAAAACUUGCACCCUAAAGUUGGUCAAACAAGUCAUUAUUUUUGGGUAAUGGAUACUUAUUCAUGAUGAUGACUUUGUUCAAUUGAUGGUGGUCGGUGUACAUUUUAAGAGAACCGCCUUUCUUACACAUGAAUAAAACUGGAGCACCCCAUAGGGAAAUAUUAGGCCUGAUGAAACCCUUAUCUAAGAGCUUCUUCAACUGUUCCUUCAAUUCCUUAAGCUCAGCUGGAGCCAUUCUAUACGGUUAAAUAGAGAUAGACUGGAUAUCUGGAAGGAGAUCAAUUUUGAAGUCAAUUUCCCUCUCGAGAGAAACUCUGAAAGAUAUUUAGGGAACACAUAUGGAAAUUCCCUUACAACUGGAUUUGAAUCGAGACUCGGGGUCUCAGAAUUUGAUUCUUUGACUCAGACAAGGUGGUAAAUACAUCUCUUGGACUUCAGCUUUCUUGCUCUAAGAUAGGAAACAAUCUGACAUUUAGGCACUGAAGUACUACCCCUCUAUUCAAUGAUUGAUUCAUUAAUAAACAAAAACUAUACAACCUUAUUUCUACAAUAAAUUGAGGAAUAACAUGAGUGGAGCGAAUCCAUGUCAAGAAUGACAUCAAAAUCUGUAAUACCCCACGAUUUCCCUAGCUUAAACUCAUCCCAAAAAAUGUUAAGGACUAAAUUUUAGAGUAAAUGAUGUUUAAUUUAAGUGGAAUUAUUUAUAUUUGAACUUUCCAUGACGUAGGAAAUUAAAUAAUAUUUCCAACGAUAUAAGAUUCGCCUAAAUCCGAUAAUCGGGUAAGAAGUUAUGGCCAUUUUAAGUUCUAGUCGUAAAACACCAUCAUUUGGACCCUUAGCGCGUCGUUGAGCAGUGUUAAUUCUUAAUUGUCAUUUUUCAGUGGCCCUAUAGGAUAUUGAUGCAUCAUAGAGAGGUCCAAUUUCCCGCUGGUUAAUUUUUAGAGGUCCAGCGCGAUAAUGACGUGUCCCGCCAUGUGCCAAAAUGGCAUUCCAAAGGCGAUGACCCCGCGUCACGGAGUCUACCUAGUUCCCAGUUGGCAUUUUCUAGUGGCUUUAGGUGAUUAUGGCGCAUCGCUGUAAGGGAAAAAAUCGAGGCCCUAGUUUAUUUUUCUAGUUUCGUUCAGGAGUUAAAGGAGGGUAUUUUGGACUUUUCCCCAAUCCCUAAUUUGUCCAAACACGAGAUUAAAUACCUUUUAGAAGCAUUAUAUGCUAGGUUUCAUCAAAAUUACUCUCAUCCAAAACCCUAAGCUUCAACAUUCAUCUCCAAAAAUCUCAAGAUUCCACCAUUCUUUCUCCAAAUUGAUUCAAGAUUUAAGAUCCCUAGACCAAGAGCUUCAAGAAUCUUCAUUCAAGAGUGUGAAUAGAGUCUCAAAAAGUAAGCUUGUGUAUCUAGUUCAUCAUCUAUGGUAUGUGGGGUUUCAACAAGGACAAUACUUUCGUCCUUGUGCCCAAAACCUAUUUUUAAUUACAAAAAUACAUGAUUUUAUAUGUUUUCCUAUGAAUUUGAAGUUGGGUUUAUACCCCAUAUUUCUAUUUAUGAGAUUAUGAGAUUUUCAAUGCUUUAGAAGUUGAAUUACAUGAGUAUGAAUAUAUUUUUAUGCACAUAGCUGAAAUUUCCAGAUUUUAUGAUGAAUUAUAAAUGUUUAUGUUAUCAAGCAUGACUUUUGAGAUGUUUUAUCAUGAGAUUUAAACAGGGGUCAUUAAGCCCUAUUUAAGAUUGUUAUUUUGAGAAUUGUUGUGCUAUAGGCACCCCAUGAUUAGAAUGAUUUUAGAUUGUUGAGAAAGAUUUGACUUUUUGGUCUCAGACCAGAUUUGAAAUCCACUUUACAGAUUCAGAUUAUAGAUUUAUAGGUGGUUUUCAUUAUAAACCAUUAGAUUACUUUUAAAGUGGAUUUUCUUGAUAUUUUGUGCAUGAGAAUGGGAGUAGUAUUUAGCAUCGAGAUGGGUAUGUUACUACGGUUUCAUACCCUAGAACUAUAUGCCAAUGUAGGAUUUAGAUUAUUCCCACUUCUAUAUGGAUGACUUAGAUUGUUAUCACUGCGAUGAGAUUGUUCUAUUUCGAUGGCAAAGGUAGAACAGUCCUAAUCUUAUGGGGGCUAGUCGUGGGACACCAUGAUGCUCACAUGGUGUACAUGUUAUUUAGAAGAACCUUCCAAAUAGAUGUCCCCCACUCUUAAAACAGCUUUUGAGAUAAAGUAUUUACUACGCAGAAUGAGCUUCAGAUUUUAUCUAACUUACAUGAUUUGAGAAAAAAAAGAGAAUAAAAUUUUUUCGAGCUAAGUGUAAUGACUCAAAAGAUUCAGAAUAUAUGCAUUACUAUUUAUGAUUUAUGAUUUUAGUAUUUCAGAUUUACUCGAGCUAUGUGAGUUAUUUACAUUUAGCAUGCAUGAUUUAUAAACUAUGAUGAUAUUAUUUACUUAUUGCAUACACCCUCAUAUACUCAGUACAUUAUCAAAGUACUGAUCUACAUAUAUGUGUCCAUGUGCUACAUUAUCUCAUAAUAUAGGUUCAUGUGCUCAGUCUCAGCAACGUGAUUGAUCUUUGAGCAUCUUAUCUACAUUCUUGCAGUUGGUGAGUCCUCAUAGUUUUGAGGGCUUAUUUAUUCAGAUUUCCAAGUUACUAGUGGAUAUGUCUUUACUCAUUUCAGAUAGUUGAUCCAACUGGGGCCAGUCCCAAUAACUCUCUAGAUUCAGAUAGUAGAGGCUUGUCGAACUAUUUGAUUCAGAUUUAGACCUUUGAGUUAGUAUUCAAAUUUUUCAGUAUUUGUUUAAUCAGAUUGAUGAGAUUAAUACUUUCUGAUAUAUUCAGAUAGUUUUUUGUAUUUCAUCAUGAUUUAUACUUAUAUUCCCUGUGUUGAGAUUCAGAUAUGUUAGAAGGCAGCCAGGGUUAGCUCAAGACUACUUGUAGUUCAGAGCAUCGUGUGGCAUCCCAAGAACUAGAUUUUGGGGUGUUACAAACUUGGUAUCAGAUCCUAAGGUUUAUAGAGUCCUAGGCAGUCAGACAAGCUGUGUUACAUAGAGUCUUAAUCAUCGGUGUGAAGCGCAUCACAUCUAUGAGCAAGAGGCUAUGAAGCGUUUUAGGAAAUUCCUUUGUUUCUUUCAUAAUCCAUCGUGCUUACAGCUAUCUCUAUCUGCUAUUAACUCAUGCUUUUUUAUGAUAGAAUAUGCCUCCUCGUAGAGCAAAUUCCCAUAGGGAUAAUAACCAGCCACCUCAGCCCGCAUAUCCUUUGAAUAAGAAUGUGUCACAUAUAGAGUCUUAGGCAAUUUUUUAGGCGCUAGCCUAAGCUGUGAUAGCUAAUAUUCAAGGUACUCGUCAGGCUAUAGUCCCACCUUAGCAGGAUAGGCAUUUAGCUGCAGCUAAAAUUUGAGAUUUUAUGAGAAUGAACUCGCCAGAAUUCUUUAGGUCGAAGGAAGGUGAGGACCCACAACUUUAUCUAGAUGAGGUGAAGAAGAUCACCCGAGUUAUGCAUAUUUCUAAGGAAGAGAGUGUAGAAUUAGCAUCCUAUAGGCUGAAGUAUGUUGCUUAUGAUUGGGUGGUGAUGUGGAAGAAGAGUAGAACGGAGAUUGCAACCCCUAUGACUUGGAAAAUAUUUUAGGAUGCGUUCCUAGACAAGUUCUUCCCACUUGAGAUAAGGGAAUCUAAGAUAGAAGAGUUCAUAAACCUGAGGUAGGGCUCUAUGAUAGUGAAGGAGUAUUGCCUCAAGUUCAACUAGUUGUCUAAGUAUGCCCCUGAUUAGAUGGCUGACCCUAGGUCAAGCAUGAGUAAGUUUGUGACCGGUGUAUAUGGGAUGGUAGUUAAGGAGUAUAGGAUGGCUAUGCUUAAUAGUGAUAUAGAUCUUUCUAGAUUGAUGAUGCAUGCUCAGUAGAUUAAGGUAGAAAAGAUGAAGGAAAAAGAGAGAAUAAAUAAGAGGGCUAGAAUAGGGCAGUUUGAUCACGGUCAGAACAGGUUUGGAGGAGGAAAUCAUUCAUAGUUUUAGAAUCACUCAUCUAUGCCUACACCUUCUUCAGCCAGUGCUCCUGUGCCCAGAAAUAGGCAAGAACAAUCGGGUAAGUCUUCUAUAUCCAGAUCUCAGAAUAGUAUGAGUGGAAAGCCCAAUCGUCCCCCAUGUGCUAAGUGUGGUAAGAAUCAUGGAGGUAAAUAUUUGUGAGGUUAGAAAGGUUGUUAUGGUUAUGGCUCAGAGGGUCAUGGUAUUAGAGAUUUCCCGUAUGCCAGGUAGGGAAUAGAUAUGUUUAUCCCCAGACUCAGGCUAACUAUGCACCAGCUCCUUUAGGUCACCCAACUCCUUCUUGGGGUGCAUCAUCUAGUACUGUUGGCGGUCAACGCCAGAAUAGGUUCUAUACUUUACCAUCAUGCUAGGAGCAUAAAGAUUCAUAUGAUGUUGUUACUGGUAUACUUUGUGUCUUUCAUUCUGAUGUGUCUGUAUUACUAGAUCCCGAGUCGAGGUUCUUUUAUGUGACCCCAUUAGUUGUUGUGAAUUUUAAGGUAAACUCUGAAAAUAUUCCCGAGCCUUUCUUGGUUUCUACCCCAUUAGGUAAGUUAGUUGUUGCUAAGAAAAUCUAUAAGAAGUGUCCUAUCACUGUCCUUCACAAAGUCAUAUUAGUAGACUUGAUAGAGUUAGAUAUGGUUGACUUUGAUCUUAUUCUUGGUAUGGAUUGGAUCCAUUCCUGUUAUACUUCUAUAGAUUGUCGCACCCGAGUGGUGAAGUUUUAGUUUCUAGAUGAGCCAAUCUUUGAGUGGUCUGGUAAUUCAGUGUCUCCCAAGAGUCAUUUCAUAUCUUAUCUUAAGGCCAGAAAGUUGAUAUCCAAAGGUUGCAUUUAUCAUCUAGUUUGAGUUAAAGACACUAAGUCUGAGACUCCAACAGUUUAGUCAGUUGAUGUAGUGAAUGAGUUUCCUAAUGUUUUCCUAGAAGAUCUCGCAGUGGUACCUCCCGAAAGAGAGAUAGGAUUCAAUAUUAACCUUCUUCUAGAUACUCAGCCUAUCUAUAUCCCUCUUUAUCAUAUGGCUCCCACAAAUUUUAAGGAGUUGAAGGAGCAACCAAAGAUCUUUUUGAUAAAGGUUUCAUAAGGCCUAGUAUUUCUCUAUGGGGUACUCCCGUCCUAUUUAUGAGAAAGAAAGAUGGUUCUUUACAGAUGUGCGUUGACUAUCGUCAGCUAAAUAAGGUCAUAGUCAAGAACUAAUAUCCUCUUCCUAGAAUUGAUGACCUGUUUGAUUAAUUGCAAGGUGCAAGUUAUUUCUCAGAGAUAGACCUUAGAUCCAGCUAUCACCAACUUAAAGUUAGGGAAUGUGAUAUUUCGAAGACAACCUUUAGAACCCGCUAUGGUCAUUUUGAGUUUCUAUUCAUGUAUUUUGGGCUAACCAAUGCUCCAGCAGCUUUCAUGGACCUCAUGAAUCGACCUCAUGAAUCAAGUGUUCAAGUAGUAUCUAGAUAUGUUUGUCAUAGUAUUCAUAGAUGAUAUCCUUGUAUACUCUCGUAGUGAGGAUGACCAUACAAACCACCUUAAAAUUAUCUUGCAAACUCUUAGAGAUCAUCAAUUAUUCGCCAAGUUCAGAAAGUGUGAAUUUUGGCUAAGGUCAGUAGCCUUUAUCGGUCAUUAUUUCCACCGAUGGAAUUAGAGUUGAUCCUCAAAAGAUAGAAACUAUAAGAAAUUAGCCUAGACCUAUCUCUCCAUCAGACAUUAGGAGUUUCUUGGGUCUAGCUGGCUAUUAUCGUCAUUUUACUAAAGGUUUCUUGUCUAUUGCAUCUCCUAUGUCUAGAUUGACCCAAAAGAAAGUUAAGUUCCAAUGGUCAAAUUCCUGCGAUAAGAGUUUUCAUGAGUUGAAGACUCGACUUACUUCAGCCCCAGUAUUAGCAUUACCUAAUGCUACAAAUGGUUUCGUGGUGUAUUGUGAUGCCUCUAGAGUUGGUUUGGGUUAUGUAUUGAUGCCGAGAGGUAAGCUCAUAGCCUAUGCCUCUAGACAGUUGAAGCCUCAUGAGAAGAAUUACCCAACCCAUGAUCUAGAAUUAGCUGCUGUGGUGUUUGCUUUGAAAAUCUGGAGACACUAUCUAUGUGGUGUUCAUGUUGAUGUAUUCACAGACCACAAAAACUUGCAAUAUGUGUUUACUCAGAGGGAGUUGAAUCUCCAUCAGAAAAAGUGGUUAGAGUUGUUGAAGGACUAUGAUAUGAGUGUGUUAUACCAUCCGGGCAAGGCAAUGUAGUGGCAGGCGCCCUUAGUAGAUUGUCUAUGGGCAGUGGUUCUCAUAUGGAGAAAGAUAAGAAAGAAUUAGCUCGAGAAGUUCAUCGUUUGGAUAGGUUGGCUGUUAGAUUGGUUGAUUUAGCUGAAGGUUAUAUUUGGGUUCAGAGUAGUUCCAAAUAUUCUUUAGUUUCAGAAGUGAAGGAAAAUCAAGAUAUGGAUUCUAGCUUGGUCAAACUGAAGGAGUCAGUUAAAGACCAAAAGGUAGAGGUUUUCUACAAAGGGGGAUAUGGUGUGUUCAGAUACCAAAUUAGAUUGUGUGUGCCUUGUGUUGAUGAUUUGAGGUAGAGAAUUAUGGAAGAAGCACAUGGUGCACGUUAUUCUAUUCAUCUAGGUGCUACCAAGAUAUACCGCAACUUACGGGAGAUCUGUUGGUCGAAUGGUAUGAAGAGAGAUGUAGAGGAGUUCAUAGCUAAGUGUGUAACUUAUCAAUAGGUUAAGGUAGAGCACCAAAGGCCUAGUGGUAUAUUGCAAGAGUUUCGUAUCCCCACUUGGAAGUGGGAAGAGGUGAAUAUGGAUUUUGUGACUAUUUUACCCUAAUUCCAUUGUCAUCAUGAUUAGAUUUAGGUUAUUGUAGACAGAUUGACUAAGUCAGCGCAUUUUUUGCCACUUUAUACGUCCUAUACAACUGAAGAUUAUGCUAAGUUUUAUAUCCGAGAGUUAGUCAGAUUGCAUGGAGUUCCCUUGUCUAUCAUCUCGGAUAGGGGUACUUAGUUUACUUUCCAAUUUUGGAGAGCUUUUCAGAAGGUUCUGGGAACCCAAGUCCAUCUUAGUUUAGCUUUUCAUCCUUAGACAGAUGGUCAGGCAGAGAGGACUAUUCAGACUUUAGAAGAUAUGUUGAGGGCAUAUGCUCUUUAUUUCAAGGGGAGUUGGGAUGAGCAUUUGCCACUAAUUGAGUUUUGUUAUAACAACAGUUAUUAUGCUAGCAUUUAGAUGGCUCAAUUUAAAGCUCUUUAUGGGAGGAAAUAUAGAUCACCCAUAGGUUAGUUUGAAGUGGGUGAGGCCGCUUUGCUUGGGCCUGAUUCAGUGUUCGAAACUAUGGAGAAAGUUAAGCUGAUUAGAGAGAGAUUAAAAAUAGCCCACAGUCAUCUGAAAUCCUAUGCAGAUGUGAUAAGAAGGGACCUCGAGUUUGAAGUGAGUGAUUUUGUGUAUCUGAAGAUUUCACCCAUGAAAAGGGUGAAGAGGUUUAGCAAAAAGGGGAAGCUUAGUCUCCGCUAUAUUGGCCCUUGUAGAAUUUUGAGUUGUGUUGGGAAAGUAGCUUAUGAGAUUUAGUUGCCCGCAGUCUUGUCAGCAGUUCAUAUUGUAUUCCACGUCUCUAUGCUUUAGAAGAGUAUCAGUGACUCCACCAUUGUAGAUCCUUCAUAAAGCUCAGAUAUUUAGAAUAGCCUUUCAUACGAAGAGACUUCAGUUGAGAUUUUAGAUCAUCAGAUCCGUAGACUAAGGAACAAAGAAGUUCUCUUAGUCAAAGUUCUUUGGUGGAAUCAUUCCAUUGAGGGUUCCACUUGGGAAGCAGAAGUAGACAUAUGAGUCAAGUACCCUCACCACUUUUCUGCAACCUCAAAUUUAGCAGAAGGUAAUACUCUUCCUUAAUUUAGUCCUUUUCCAAUCGCAGAUUCAACUAUAUAGUUGUCCUCAUGUAAGCUCAUGCACUCUUAGAUUUCUUAGAAGCUCAGAAUGAUUUAGAUUUACAUAUUCAGUUUAUUUCAACUGUGCAUGCUAUCUUAUGCUCUCAGGUUCCUUAGAAAUUUCAGCUUAGCUAGACACAUUUAAGGACGAAUGUUCCUAAGGGGGAGAUAUUGUAAUACCCCACGAUUUUCUUAGCUUAAACUCAUCUCAAAAAAUGUCAAAGAUUAUCUUUUAGAAUAAAUUAUGUUUAAUUUAAGUGGAAUUCUUUAGAUUUGAAAUUUCCAUGACGUAGGAUAUUGAAUAAGCUUUCCAACGAUAUAAGAUUCACCUAAAUUUGAUAACCGGGUAAGAAGUUAUGGCCAUUUUAAGUUCCAUUUGUAAAACACCGUCAUUUGGACCCUUAGAACAUCGUGGAGCAGUGUUAAUUCCUAAUUGUCAUUUUCCAUUGGAUCUCUGUGAUAUUGGCACAUCGUGGAGAGGGACAACUUCCCCUUGGUUAAUUUUCAGAGGUCCAGCGCGAUAACGGCGCGUCGCGCCAUGUGCCAAAAUUGCAUUCCAAAGGGGCACCGCGAUGACCCCGCAUCGCGGAGUCUGGCUAGUUCCCAGUUGGCAUUGUCCAGUGGCUUGGCGCGAUUGUGGUGCAUCGCUCCAAGGCAAAAAAUUGAGGCCCCAGUUCAUUUUGCCAGUUUCAUUCAGGAGUUAAAGGGGGGUAGUUUGGACUUUCCCCCAACCCCCAAUCCAUCCAAACAUGAGAUUAAAUCCCUUUUAGAAGCAUUAUAUGCUAGGUUUCAUCAAAAUUACUCUCAUCGAAAACCCUAGGCUUCAACAUUCAUCUCCAAGAAUCUCAAGAUUCCACCAUCCUUUCUCCAAAUUGACUAAAGAUUUAAGAUCCCUAGACCAAGAGCUUCAAGAAUCUUCAUUCAAGAGUGUGAAUAGAGUCUCAAAAAGUAAGCUUGUGUAUCUAGUUCAUCAUCUAUGGUAUGUGGGGUUUCAACAAAGACAAUCCUUUCGUUCUUGUGCCCAAAACCUAUUUUUAAUUACAAAAAUACAUGAUUUUAUAUGUUUUCCAAUGAAUUUGAAGUUGGGUUUAUACCCCAUAUUUCUAUUCACGAGAUUAUGAGAUUUUCAAUGCUUUAGAAGUUGAAUUACACGAGUAUGAAUAUAUUUUUAUGCACAUAGCUGAAAUUUCCAGAUUUUAUGAUGAAUUAUAAAUGUUUAUGUUAUCAAGCAUGACUUUUGAGAUGUUUUAUCAUGAGAUUUAAACAUGGGUCAUUAAGCCCUAUUUAAGAUUGUUAUUUUGAGAAUUGUUGUGCUAUAGGCACCCCAUGAUUAGAAUGCUUUUGGAUUGUUGAGAAAGAAUUGACCUUUUGGUCUCAGAACAGAUUUGAAAUCCACUUUACAGAUUCAGAUUACAGAUUCAUAGUUGGUUUUUAUUAUAAACCAUUAGAUUACUUUUAAAGUGGAUUUUUCUUGAUAUUUUGUGCAUGAGAAUGGGAGUAGUAUUUAGCACCGAGAUGGGUACGUUACUACGGUUUUAUUCCCCAGAACUACAUGCCAACGUAGGAUUUAGAUUAUUCCCACUUUUACGUGGAUUACGGAGAUUGUGAUCACUGAGAUGGGAUUGUUCUAUUCCGAUAGCAAGGGUAGAACAACCCUAACCCUACGGGGGAUAGUCAUGGGACACCAUGGAUGUUUACAUAGUGUACAUAUCGGUUAGAAGAACCUCCUAAAUAGAUGUCCCCUACUCUUAAAACAACUUUCGAGAUAAAGUAUUUACUACACUGAAUAAGCUUCAGAUUUUAUCUAAUUUACAUGAUUUGAAAAAAGAGAUUACAGUUUUUUAGAACUAAGUUUAAUGACUCACAAGAUUCAGAAUAUAUGCAUUACUAUUUAUGAUUUUAGAUUUCAGUAUUUCAGAUUUACUCGAGCUAUGUGAGUCAUUUAAGUUUAGCAUGCAUGAUUUAUAAACUGUGAUGAUAUUAUUUACUUAUUGCAUACACCCCAUAUACUCAGUACAUCAUCUAAUUACUGAUCUAAACAUAUGUGUUUAUGUGCUACAUUGUCUCAUAAUGUAGGUACACAUGCUUAGUCUCAGCAGCGUGACUGAUCUUCGAGUAUCUUAUCUACAUCCCUGCAGUUGGUGAGUCCUUAUAGUUUUGAUGGCUUAGUUAUUUAGAUUUCCAAGUUACUAGUAUAUAUGUCUUUACUUAUUUCAGAUAGUUGAGUUAGCUGGGGCUUGUCCCAGUGACUCUCUAGAUUCAGAUAGUAGAGGCUUGUUGGAUUGUUAGAUUCAGAUUUAAAUCUUUGAGUUAGUAUUCAGAUUUUCAUCAUUUGUUUAAUCAGAUUGAUGAGAUUAGUACUUUCAGAUAUAUUCAGAUAGAUUUCUGCAUUUCAUCAUGAUUUAUACUUAUGUUUCCCUAUGUUGAGAUUCAGAUGUGUUAGAAAGCAUCCAGGGUUAGCUCAAGACUUCUUAUAGUUCGAAGCACCGUGUGGCAUCCCGAGAACUAAAUUUCAGGGCAUUACAAAAUCAAUCAUAUCUAACUCCACAAAAUCCACUGAAGUAACUUUCUGAGACAUUAUGACCGUAUAAUUUCAUUAUACCUGUCUGGCUAUAAUAGAUUUAUCUACUAGGGUAGAUACUGAGAAAGGCUCUGCUAACGCUUUUGGAUUGACACCAAAGUUGACGGCUAUAUAAGGAGUCAUAAAAGAAAGUGAAGAUCCGAGAUCUAACAAUGCAUAAACAUAAAGAUGAAAAACUGUAAUGUACCCAUAACCACACAAGGAGAACUUUACUGACCAUGCCGAGUCUGGAGAGCAUAUAAUCUAUUCUGGUGCUGUCCACUGGUUGUACUAGAAGUGACACUUUAUUGAGUCGGGUGAUCAGCUGGAGCUAAAAAAUGACUGGACUGACCCUGCUAAACAGCCCUUGGGCAAUCUCUGACUCUGUUGCCUGGCUUUCCACAUCCAAAAUACACAUCACUACCAGUUCUACAUACAUCCUAUUAAUUUUUACCAUAUUUCUGAGAAAGCAAAUUAGUACUACCACUGUUCACAAUGCUCUUGAACUUAGAGCCUUGAACUCUAUCCUGACUAUCUUUCCUGAACUUAGGCACUGGAGCACUAACUAAAGAUGGAGCUGGGGCUGAAAAUUUUUGAUGGAACUGAGAAUGAUUACCGCCUUCUGACCUUGGCUAAGAAAAAUUAAAACUACCUGUUCUGGCCCUUUUGCUCUUCUCUUCCCCUCCGUACGCUUCUCCUCCUCAAUCUGCUGAGUAUAAACCAUGAUUUUAGAUAGUUCCAUCUCCUAAAUAAAUAUGGCAACCCUACACUUCUUAACCACACUAUCAGCUACACUAUAUACAAACUUACUCAUUCUAGACCUAUUGUCUGCCACCAUAGUAGGAGCAUACCUUGCCAACUGGGUGAACCUAAGUGAGUAUUCCUUCACACUCAUACUACCUUUCUUUAAAUUGAUGAACUCCUACACAUUAGAUUUCCUCAACUCUAAUGGAAAUAACCUGUCUAAGAAAGCCGUGGCAAAAUCCUCCCACUCAAUAGGCCCUACCUCUACACCUCGGUCCUCCUUUCACUGCUUAAACCAGGUAUGAGCUACAUCCUUUAAUAGUAUGCAACCAACUCUACACUCUCACUCAAAGUGACGCCCAUAAUAUCAGUCACCUUCUGCACCAUGUCCAGAAACUCUUGCGGAUCCUCCUCAGACUUGGAUCUAGAAAACAGAGGGGGGUUCAUCUGAGUGAAACCUUAAAUCCUUACUACAACUGUAUUUUCCACUAGAUUGGAUGAGGAAGUUGCCUGCUGUUGUUCUGAUCAGUUACAGAAUGGGCUAGGGUAGUGAAAGCGGCCCUGAAUUCGGCGUGAUAGACAUGCUCAUUUAGGGGAUCUUCCUGAAUAGGCGGAGGUGCGGGCUGAUCCUCAUUUCUUUUUUUGUUGUGUCUUAUAGGAGGAAUUGUCUGUAAACAGAAUAAAAGAUGAGUUAGAAAAAGAGUUUAAAUAGAGCUCAUGCUCUUUCGCACAACAUGAACACUGAAAGAAGGGAAAAUUUCCUAAAAAUGUCUCAUAGCCUUUUCUCCAUAAGUAUGGCGUGCUUCACACCUAUGUACAUGAGUACUCAAUGCGGAUUAUAGACACCCUAGGACACUUUAAAAUCUUAGGCUCUGAUACUAAGUUUUGUCACGGCCCGAGGUUACCUUCUAGUCGCAACAACGAUGUUUGCGGCCAUAAGUGACCACAAGCUAACCCAUAAGCUGGUACCUGCUAUUAGCACUGAAAAAAAUAUUAAUAAACAUAUGUGCGGAAGGUAAGCUGAUGAGAUACUAUAAAAUUGGAUACUGAAUACGUAUUAAAUCAUGUCUGAAAUAUCUGGUAGAACACUAAAAACCAACUGUCUAUAUGAAAACAAAUGAUAACACUAAAAUGACCGACUUACUGUCAAACUGAGUGUCUAAAAGUCUCUAGAAAUCAUGAGGAGUUGAUGGGACAGACCCCCAACUAACUCCUACUGACUAAACAUAAGAAAACACUAAAAUAAUUGAAAGAAAUACAUCAUGUCCUUGAUGGAUGAGGACUCACCACUAUUACUGGUGAGUAACCUAAGCUGUCUAAGAGCGGUCAGAAAACUGUGCGUUCGAACCUAUGUUAUAAGACAACAUAGCAUAAAGAAAAAGUAUGCGGUCAAUACCUUGAAUAUAAUGGUAUAUGAGACGAGGAUUGGCUGUAAUGCAUAGGGUAUCUGAGUAUAAAUGUAUGAACAUGUAAUAUCUUAGAAUUCAAGACCGAGCAUAAAUAUUGUUCUGAGAUAAUUUGUAAUCUGAAAGACUGAAAGUUGUAUAAUUGAAUAACUGAAAACUUAUACACUUGGUUAAGUAAACCUAAACUGAAAUACACUGACUACUGUACUAAGAUUGUAGGAGGUAUCAUGUAACUGACAUGCCCCGAUCUGAGCUAAGUGGGGUGUAACUGACAUGCCCCGAUCAUGUAACUGACACCCUAGUUGGAAGGGUGUCAGUACCUUGCCAUGGGUACUAAUACCGGCUAUGUGGAUCCACUGAACUGAUGUCCUGAAAGACUAAAGAGUCACCCUCUACUGGCAGGUGCUCUCAAAAAAUAUGUGUCAACCCUCAACUGGUAGUACGAUAUCUCAAACCUACAUUGUCUACAUAGUUCUAUAACUUAGGGACUGCUACUAAAGGUCACACUCUCUACUGGUAGGUAAGCCCCCAUCCCUGGGUUCACUCGAUGCUAAAGUUCUACUCCUAAUUGAACUAACACUGGUACUGAACUGAACUAAGUUCAACUGAACAUUAUUUCUGAUAUUGCUCAUCAUGAUCAUAAAUAUCUGAGUAUAAUGAAAAUAUUUAUGGUUUAACUGACUUAUUACUCAAAAAUUUGAAAUCAUGCAAAACAAAUAGGUGUCGAGUGUUCAUAACCCGCCAGCACUGAAUAAUGAAAAAAUACGAUAAUGAUUCUUUAAAAUAAUAGUAUGAAAUCAUGGUUCAAAGAUCCAAAACAUAAGCAUUUCAUCAAAUAAGUGGAAAGCAAGAACUUGAACACAGGAACAUGUUAAUUAUGAAAAAACAACAUCUUUACAUGGUUUAAUUCAUAACUUGAGGAUUUAACAUGAAAUAAGUUGAACCUGACAUGGGAAAUUAAAAUUCCAAAACAUGAAGUAUCUUAACUCACAUGGAAACACAGGUAAACAUGACUUGUUUUUGAGCUAAUAGGAAGUUCAUGGAUUAUUUCAUGAGUUUCAUAGAGGAUUUCAUAAAAUAGAAAUAGAUUCAUACUCUUAAAUAAAGAUAGGGUUUUGGGGCUCAAUGGGUGAAAGGGACCCAUUGAUGAAUACCCCACAUACCUGAAGUAUAAGCUUUGGGAAAAUUUCUUUGAAGUUGUUCUUGACCUUGAGAAACCCUAGCUGCUUGGGGAAGAUGAAGAAACUAUUUUCUCUUGAUUCUAUUUAAUAAAUUGAUGUUUUAUGAUGUAAAUUAGGGAUCUGGAACCUUUUAUACCAGCCCUUGUGAAGCCAAAAUGACAUGGGUUUUCCUUUUAAGGGAGUGGAAAAGGACAUAAAAGCCCUGGAAAAACAUGCAAAAAAUUACGUUCCCAGUCGGUAUGAGUCGACCUUGUGACUCGUAUGUUAGGGUACGACUGGUCUACUGACUCAUAAGCUAUUUACUAGUCUAGAUAAAAGUCGUAUUUCCAACACAUAAGAUGCUUAUAUGAUUUGGUAAAGUCACUCGUAAGAUGAACGAAUAACUUGGGGAACCAAUACUGUUAUUGAUAUGACUUCUCUCUAUACGAGUCGUACCUUUGUAUAUGACUAGAUACCCCCCUUUCGUAUCCUGGAAAAAACCUCAAGGGGUCAAUACUGAUGUCUAUACGGCUGGGUUCAUACGACUUAUACCCCUCUUGACGACCCAUGGGGUUAAGUCGUACCUACAACAGAAUGUUCAACAUGCUAUACUGACUUAGGUACGAGUCCAACAUACGAUUCGUAUCUGGGGUACGAUUGAGGAUCAUGAGUUGUAUGCCACACAGAGACCGAAAAAGAUACAUGGUAGUACAAUAGGAUUGAUCGUGUAGUUAGUCAAUUUGAUUAUCUUCAAUAUAUGUCUGGAUCAUGUACUUAUUUUAAUAAAUACUAUUUUAAGUGUGAUAAGUGCAAUAGAUAACACACAAGAUGCUUUAAAUAUAUUUAACGAUACAAAAAUUAAGUGAAAAGUACGUCAAAAAAUAAUUUUUGAGCCCCCUCAUAUAAGCAAUCAGCAAAAGUAUAUUUAUUGGUAUUGUAAUCAUGCUCACUUGUUAAUUGAAAAUCUAGAACAUGUUGUUUAAAGAGGAUACCAACUCAUAGCAGGCGGACAUGAGGCCUUGGUAUGUAUAUACAAGAAAUUUUUAAUACACAUCAAUGACCUUGUAAAUACAUGCUAGUGACCAUUCUAUUUAUUUUGUAUUUUUAUUCUAUUUGACAUGAAAUCAUUUAUCAAUUGGCUUAAAAAAUUUUAAAUGAUCCAAGAACAUCUAGCGAGAUGUAUCAAUUUAUAGAAGAGGUUGUCCUUGUUUCACUGGAACCAAUGAAUUUUGCCUCUCUAGAAAAAUGAUUGAGUUUUUCUCCUUAUUAUGCACCUUUGACUGAAUCUAAGGAAUCUCCAUCAGUGCAAGUUCAUUGCCAGGGACGUCAAUCAACACCUAGAGAUGGUAUGCAUUGGGGUAGAAGAGGUGAUCGUAGAGCAGAUAAUGUGGUUGAUCGUAAUGAAGAACUUAUUGAUAAUUUUGGCUUGUCUUGUCUACUACUAACGAGGCCUAUUAUUCCACAUUUGACUUUAGUGAGCCCUCAACGACUGUCUUUGAUUUUUCAAAUCAAGAAACAGUUAGUUUUGUAACAUCAUCCGUUGCACAAUAUGAUUUUUAUUAGGACUUGUGAAAUUUUGAUGAUUGACAAAAGGCCAUGGAACAAGUAAGCAUAGUUCGUUCAUAAAAACUUCUUCAAAAGAGUCCAGCUUCCAACAAAAUUUUUUGUGGAAAAUUUCACAUGAGAAAAAAUAAGAAAAAGAAAAUUUGUUACUUCAGAUAAACAUUAGAAGAUCAUCAUGUGCUGAAAGAGAGUUAGUGUUUAACUAUGACACUCAAGAAGAGAGUCUAAGAAGGGGUGUCCUCGUGGAUUUAAGAGUCUACUUGGUUGUGAAGAUUACUAGAAGUUAUAAAUAUUCAAGGGCUUUCAAAAUAAAUUUUAUACAUAUAUACUGCGAAAAAAAAGGGAGAACAUGAGCAAAUAAGUAAGAUGAAUAUUUGAGAGAGUUCUGCCUAGCUAUCGAAGUGUAGCCUAAUACAGUGAAUCAGAUUGAGGUGAGAUAGUAGAAUCUGUUUCAUUCAUGUGCCCAACAGUCUUCUAUUCUAAUUAAUAUGUAUUAGGAAGUUUACUGAGUUGUAAUUUUCAUGCUUUCUUAGUGCCAAUGUGUUAUAAAUUGGUUUAGAAGUUUAGUCUUCAAGUUGGAAUAACUCAAAGACUUGAGAACAUAAAUCUUGGGAGGUUUGCGUGUUUUCAGGGAUUAGAGUUAGUUCCUAGGAUUGCUAGAGUUUUGUAAUCUGAAUGGGUGAACUUGAAGUGGUUUUCAAUAGUUUGGGGAGAUUGUUGAACAUUAGGAAUUAGAGUUUAUAAUUUCUUAGGUUACAAAGCUGUAAUCUUUUAUUGAGAGGCUCAUUGUGUUUAAUGAAGUUGGGGUUAAAUCCCGCAGAGGUACAUGUCGUGAUUUUUUAUACCUUUUUUGAGUCGGAUAUUUUUUACGUAAAAUCAUCGUGUUCAUUAUUUAUUGUCUUUACUGCUUUUGUUGGAACACGUUAGGAAACCUUGUCCAUCCAUAAACAAAAAUCAGGUAUAACUCACGUGAGUUAUUAGGACAUGUAGAAAUGACAGUUUUGCGCAAUUGUCUUUCAUCAUGCUCCCCAAUUCAAAAUGUGUGAAUUUUUCAUGAAUAACUCUCCAUUUUCUGGGGUGUUGAGUUUUUCCGAUAUGAGUCGCUAAUUCGUAUAGUAUAUUUAAUAAUUUAUUAUUAAUUAAUUAAUCUUUAUUUAAUUAUAUUUCAUGUUGCUACAGAAAAUAAUUUCCUCUACAGGAACUUUUCAAUCAUAUGUAUGAUGUCAUUUUCUGAUUUACGUACAUCAUUUUAUCUGUGAUCUUAAAUAAUCUUAUCAUAAAAAAUAACUUUUAUAUAUUGUUAUUAGAGAAGAUGAUCUACGAAGAUCAAUUAGGUCAAAUGUACCAACUUAUUGUGGCAUGGGUAAUCGUCACGAUCACGUUAUAGAACACUGAUGAAGAUUUUAUUGCCUUGAUUUAUAUUAUUAUGUUUGAUGUAUUACUUUUUUGUUUAAUGUGUAAAAAUUGCAAUAGAAUUCUUAAUUUUGAAUUCAUUUGCCAUUUGAAAGAUAAAGUGUAGUAGUUUGAAACCUCUCUAUGUUACAAACAAGUAUUUAAAUAAGAUGGAGUCAUGUAUCAUUCCAACUAAAUAGUAGACUAUUUACUUCAUUCCUAAGUACCAAAAGGACAAAAGGUUAGCAAAAAUUUGAAUGGAACUCCUUUAUGUAACUAACGAAAAUUUCAAGUCUUAGUUAGAGAGUAAAAUUACUUUUGUUUCAUUUAGAACUACAAUAUCACUCAAUUAUUUUUAUUUUUCUUAAAAUAAACUCACACAAUAAAAAUUUUCUUCACUCAGAAUAUUAUCUUUUUUAUGGUGCUCAUGAUAUGCAACUCUAACAUAUUAUAUAGAAUAAAAUUGACAUACAAGCAGUACUCGUUCAACAUCGUAGAUCAGCGAAGAAAAAUUAUCCAAAUAAACUAGUUCAACAUCUAAUUUAAUUGUAACCCUUAAAACCUUUUUUAUCGAGCAAGUUAGAAGUUAUCUUAAAAAUUACUGUGAGUCCAGCAACUUAUAAGUCACUAAGUGUCCAAUGAUUUUCAAGCCUUCCAUCAGAAAUCUUGAAAUCUUAUUAGGCAUUUCUCAAGAAUCUAGUUUGUAUUCAUCUGCAAAAUUCUGUAAGAAAUCUUGCAAUAUUUUUCAUGAAAAUAUUAGCUGAAAUUUCAAGAAUCUCACUGAAUUUGCAGAUAGAUUUGAUAUAACACUGUAUGUGAAUAUAAUAUUUCAAAGCACAUACUCAUUCAUUCCUUUUUAAUUGCUUCUUUUUUUUCGAGAUACAAAUUUUGAUCAAUAUUGUAAUAUGCAUUUCUUAAUAUAGUACUUUUCAUGUAGUUUUCGAAUAUUUAAAUUAAAAUUUUAAAAAAUUAAAUUAAUUUUGAAACUUAGUCAAAUGACUCUCAAAAAAUGAGAAAAACAAUUAAGAAAAUGCAGAGAGUAAACUUUAUUUUUUUACAAAAUUGAUUUGCAGUGUUGAUUCUUGUGCAUUAGUAAGAUUUGCAAAAUUACGUAAGAAAUCUUAAGAUAUUUUUGACGAAACUAUUAAGUGAAAUAUCAAGAAUCUUACUAAAUUUGCAGAUGAAUUUGAUAUAAUACUGUAUGCAAAUAUAAUAUUUCAAUGCAUGUUAAAGCUUGUGAACAUAAGAGGAAAGCUUUUAGAGAAAAAAAUGAAAAGUCAUGACGAAGAAAAAAACGUGAUUUUAAUGAAAUAUUUUGCUACUGAUAUUCCUGUAGGAUCAUCAUUUCAAUGAAUAUUUUAGCAACAAAAAAAUUAGAUAAACUUUAUCGUUUUGACAGGAUUAAUUUGUAGUGUUGAGUCUUGUGCAUUAGUAAGAUUCUUGAAGGUUGUUUAUAGCAAUGUCUAAGGAUUUAUGUGAAAAUUAGGCAUAAAAAUCUUAUUAUCAAAGAUUUUGCUACCCAACACUAUAGAAGUCACUGGAGGUCCAACGAUUUAUAAAUCAUUGUGACCAAGUGAUUUGCAUUAGGGUUUUUAGGGUUGAUUCGUUAGAGCCAUUUAUUAAGAUUUAUUUUAGUAUUCAUGAUCAAAAUAAAUUACGUUAAGUAGAAAGUAACACAAAUAAAUCACUUUUUUUUAAUUGUGGAAUCAAACUAAGUUUUUUGAAAUAAUUAAUUUUAAUUUCUAUGUUUUUUUUAACGGAGGCAUUAAUCGUGAUGAAUAAUUUUUAAAAAAUAUAAAUUGAAUUAAUAUAUCUAAAUUUCUAACUCGAAAUAUGUAUUGAGUCUCAUGCAUGAAAGAGAAAAUUGAUAUAUGCAUUUGUUUCUUCACCAAAAUGCACAACUAAGAAAGACUUUAUAGUCUUAGAUAAUCAGUGUUAAAACUUUGUGGUCAUUUUUUAAUUCUUAGAUUUUAAAAAUGAUCACAUGUCAUAUGUUAUAUGACAGGCUAAAAAUGAUCACAUGCCAUAUGCCAUGUUCAUUCAAAAAAUUAUUAGGCUAUGCCAUGCUUACUUGGUGUUAAAAAGUUCAAGUCAAUUAUUAGGUUUUGAACAAUUUCUCUAAUAUGAAUCAAAACAAUUGUAAUUUGAUUCUAUUUUAUUUAUCUUUUUUAUUCAAAAUUUUCUUCUGAUUAUUCGAUUAUUUCAUAAAAUAUUAUAUUUGCAAGCAAAUCCCCCUAUCAUUUUAGGACUCAGAAAGAAGUUCUUGGAGUUCAUUUUUACCUACACAAGUGAGAUGUAUAAGUCAGAAUUAUUAAAAAAUCACAUUUUAAGCGUUGAUUGUCUUAAAAAUAAUAUUACAUUAAAUACACAACAUAUAGACCAAUAACACAACAUAAGAACAAUAUUACAUGAAAGUCACAAACUACUGAGCUCGUUUGGGACAACGAGGCUUAGUGUGACCUGUUUUCUUGAAAAUACUAUACUUUAUAGCCAUGCGAGUCGAAAUAAUAUCCAUAUCAUUCUUAAGUCAAAUUCUUCCCUCAACAUCAGAUGUCCGCAUAUAUUCAAUGUUUGCAACUAAAGCAAAUGGGGCUGACGAUCAAUAUCGUUCAUCACCCAUGAGGUAAAACUAUCACUGUACGUUUGUUUGUAUAGCUCGGCAUUGUGGUACUUGCUAACAUAUAUAUUAAUUUCGAUGCCACAAAUACCACGAAACCUAAUACAAUAUGAGCAUGACAUAUGAUAAUUCUUUCAUUUUUUGUAAGAAUAUAUUUUUUUCCUGACAUUAACUAAGUGGACAUUUUCGCCCUUAUCAACAUAUGCAAAUAUAAGAAUCUCAAACACCCCAUCCCCAAUUUGAUAAGUCAUUAUGUCAGUGUGUGAUUUCACUCUCUUCCAAUAAUCUAAUAAUUUCUUUUCAAUGGCAAGAGUCCAUAGUUUAUUAUUCUGUAAUAAAGCUUCAGCAAAAUUAUUUCAUUCCACAAAACGACCAACAAGAGCUUUAAAAGUCAUGCGAACUAUAUCAUAACGCCCUAUCUAUGACCAUCAUCCAUAUACAUUGUCUAUUUAUCCAACGAAAAUUUAUCUAACAACAUAUGCAAUGCAGGUGACAAUAUCUUAAUUUGUUUUAUCCUUUGCGAGAACUUCUUCUUUUAAUGCUCCAUAGCGGCUGAUCACAUUAAGUUUACGAGCUCACAAUUUAAUUUUUUUAGGAUUAAAAUUGUCCUUCAAGUUUCGUACGCAAAAUCUAUGGUAUGUGUGUGGUGGAUUCAACUAAUCAUAAGAUUGAACACAAUGUAAUAUUUCUUGAUGAUGGUCAGAAAUGAGAUCAAUUUUUUUCUUUUACCGAUGACAUACCUUCACAAUAACUUGAGAAAAUAUAAUCAUGAUUCAAAACUUUCACGUGGAACAAGUGCAUAUGCAUACAGAAAAAUAUUACCAUUAACAUCAUUCCAACAAUAGUUAAGAGUUUCAAAUCAUACAAACCGUAAAGAUGACUACCAUCUAUUAAAAUGACUGGCCUGUAAUAUUUGAAAUCAUAAAUACUCGAUUUAAAAGUCCAAAAUAGAAAUUUAAAUAUUUGCUCACUCUGAAUUAUUGAAGAAUGAUGCUCCCAUUCAACAACAGGAUCGGGAUUGAAAUAUUAUAGUGUAAUCAUAUAGCGAGGUAAUGCUCUGAAUGAACCUUCAAAAUCUCCAUAAACAAUCAAUAAUGCUUUUUUAGACCUCUUUAAGCUUUUCUAUAACUGGGAGUAUAAUGAUACUUUGACUUGAUGAAUUCUCGAACUGCCUCAAUAGUGAUGUUCUAACUCUUCAUAAUAUGUUGUAUCGAUGUAACAAUGAUCAUAUUGUUGUUUAAAUUGAAAUAAUCCUCUUGAUAGUUAUCAGUCAGAAAAAUGUGUGGUUAUAUCAUUUUUUUCAUGUUUUUCACAUACCACUCGGAAUCUCUAUAAAGCUAAUCAUCCAUUUGCAUCUGAAUAUGUAACACUUAGACAUAACCCUCUGUUAGAGUUUUUGCCCUGAUUUUCUUACCAAAAUUAAGUUUUUACUUUUUCUUGAAAGGGAAAUAAAAGUAACCAUAAAUACUUUUACUUUUUCUGAAAGGAAAAUAUAAAAUUUUUCAUCUUUGGCAAACCUCUUUCUUAAGGGAAAGAUUUUGAAACUCUACAGAUAGAUGACCCCUCUUCUCAUACCACAACACAAUAGUAUCCACAAUGUAGUCUUUAAAGAGUCUCGUUUAGGGAGAGAUUUUCUCCCACUAGUUUUUAUAUUUUUUUAAUAGUAAUUUCUUGUGUAGGCCAGUUGGCCAAAUUAUAUUCAAUAAGAUGUUUUUAGUAUGUUUUUAUUUGUCAUCUGAAUUAUCAUAGUCUUGGUUUACACACUUUAAGCUUCCGCAUGACGCCCUCUCGAUUUCAAACCCAAUACCCUCCAACUCUUAGUUUUGGGUCUAUCACAAAUAUAUUCCUUUAUUAAAAAAAAAUACAUUCUCACAACAUCUUUCAUUUGUUUUUUAUUUAUGAAUAUCACACCUAAUUUUAUGUAGGUUCAAAUAAGCAUUAAUUGAUAAAAAAAGAAAUGAAAUUAAUUAUUGAAAAAUUUUAAAUUUGCAAAAAUAUAAUUUGUUUGAAAGAAUUUCGAAUUUUUGGGAUUUCAAAGUGCAGUUUUUGGAUGGAACUAUCAUCACAUGUGUAUACAAAAUUUUUUGCCCUUUCUUUGGUAUUAUUCAAAUACGAAAAUUUCACUGAAGAAUGACUAACACUAUGAACAACCAGAGUAGCACCCUCUCUAAUGAUAUCUUCAUCAUCACCGAUCAUUUCAUCAUCAUUCGUUGAUUCGUGUUCUAAAGAUUCAUCACUAUCUGACCCACACACUUCAUUAUCAACUAUGUCAUUGAUGUUUUUCACAAUUUGUGUGAGUCGAGUCAGUGUACCUUCAAAAUCAUUAGAUCUAUAAAUAAAAAAAAAUAGUUAAAUAUAAUCAGUAUAAAUUAUAACUUAAUUCAAUUAAAAAAUUAUUAUUUUUACCUAUCGAUUGACUCCAGCGGAAUAAAACAUUGUUGAUGAUUAGAAUUUAAAUUUUGCAUGUGCAUAGAAGCAUUGCUAUGUCCCCCAAUAUCAGAGAUGUGCACACUUCGAUCAAAGAUAUGAUGAUACCAAUUAUCAAAUCAACCAUCAUAUUGCGUAGUCAAGUUAUUUAUAUCAUUUGAGUGCUUGUCAAAUCCUUCCACUGUGUGUUGUUGGACUAUACUCCUUAAAGAACCAAUAUUCAGAUUUGAUAAAUAUGAAGUAUCACAAAGAUCAAAUUUAUUAUUGAUGGGUUCUUGAACGAUAAGACAAUGUUCAAUUGACGGAUAUAUGUCAAAACUCGUUAAGUUAAUGCAACUAUCAAAAAUUUUAAUAGUAUGGAGAAAUAAAGAAAAAGAAUCAUCAUUCUAAAUACAAGUCUCACAGUACGUUAUAACUCCAUUUGCAGGAAAAGACGUUGGAUAUCGUCCACUGAUAACCACUAUAUCUUUUAAACCACUUAUGCCCAUUUUAUUUCUUAUUAAGAAUUGCAAUUGCUCAUAUUUAAGAGAUAAUGAAAAUAUUUGUACAACUUCAGACCGUCGACUAUAUAUUACAGUACUAACUUCAUAUAAAAUUUUACCACCCCAAUAUAAAUUUUCUCUUACUGCAUUUUCAUUUAUUUUUAAUACAAGAAAUGAGAGUAAACUAAAUCAAGAGUAAAUUGUAGAGCUUUACUAGAGCUGAAAUGAGUGUAAAUUAUAAAGCUUUGUUAGAGCUUAAACGAAUAACUUAAACACAAUAAUAAGAUGAUUAUUCAAUGAAAAAAAUAAGAGUAUAUAUCUAGACACCAAGUAAUUUACGAAUUACUGGACUCCAAGAGAUUUACAAAUUGUUGGAUACCAAUCAACUUGCAUAUCGUUGGACACCAAGUGAUUUACAAAUCGCUGGACACCAAACAAUUUGUUAGUACCGCCAGUAACGGAACCAAUAUCUCAACCAAGAGCAUUUUAUCCUCUUUGGUUUCUUUCCAAUUCAAUUGUUCCCUUUGAAAUUUUUCAUAAAAAAGUUAGCCCCUUUGACUCCGACCUCAUAUUAAAUUGAUAAAGUGUGCUGCUGAUGGUUGAGCUUCUCCGAUACAUGUUAGUGGAAUAUUUUUAAGAUCAAAAGUGCGUAUUUUCUUUGUGUAACUCUUAUAACCACCAACACUUCAUUUCAGUGAUUAUUUUUUUAUGAUAGAAUGUAACAUUUAGUUUUUAUAAAUUUUACCCGUAUUCUAUCUCAUUACACUUGUAACUUACAUAGCACUUGUAACCUAAAGACCAUUGAUGUUUCCUCUUUACUAUCCCAUUUUUUCUUCAUAUUCAAUAUUAUGAUGAAUACUUCACCUAUAAAUAGAGGUAGUCUUAUUUUUUUUUAAAGUACAAGAAAAUACAGAGUGCAUGCGUGAUUAUAUUAGUAAAAGAGAGAGAGUUGAGACAGACAAAAAAAAUAUUCUAAGUCUCCAACUAUAAUCACCAUACAAAAGAGAGUAAUUAUAUUAGUGAAAGAGAGAGUUGAGACAGAAAAUAUUCUAAGUCCUUAACUAUAUUCACUAUACAAAGAGAGUAAUUAUAUGUUGAAGGAAGGUGCUUCUGUGGUAGAGUUUUGGACUCUUCAACUAAUACAAAGUUGCUUGAGUUGUACAUUGUUGAUGGACUAUUAUAUCCUGGAGGAGAUACGUCAAGAGUUUAUACUACUAAAUCGAUAUAGAUUAUGCCGCUGUGAGUUUGAUCUCCUUAAAGAAGCGAGAUAUCCAUGCCUCAACCAAAAAGAAGAUUAUUCCUUUUUUUUUCAUUUUUGUUCAUUUUAUUAUUUCAAUUGUAAUUUUAUUAUUUAUGGCAUAUUACACCAACACAAUAUUUGGAUAGAUUGAUCAUUUUUUAUUAUUACAUAAUCUCCCAUAUCAUGAUAAAAUAGACAUAUAGGGAUUUUGAAUUAAAAGGGGCCAACAAGUUUGUCAAUUAAGUGGGGUUCUUCAAGUUUUAAAAAUUAGAUAAAGGGAUAAAAAAAUUCAGUUUUUUAAACAUUUUCGCUCCAACAACUAAAAAGAUUGUCUCAACAACUAUAGAAGUUGUCUCAACAACUAUCUAAGUUGUUCCACAACUGUACAAAGUUGUUGGACAACUUUGAUAGUUGUUGGGACAACUAAUGAAGUUGUCAAACAACUGUCCCAGUAAUUUAAGCGACUUUAUAUUUUUAACUUAUAAUAUUGUGGGACCUACUUGUAACCUUUAUCUAUAAUAUAUUAAUAUAUUAAAUAUAUUAAAAGUGUGAAGACCCUUAAAAAAAUGAUUUAAAUUUUUACCCUUUAUUAAAAUCUCUGUAAUAGAUAAAAUCAUCUUUUCACUUAUUUUCUUCAAUUAUUAUAUAAUUAUAUUUUAUUAUGUUUAAAAUUAAGGAGUAAAAAUAUACGGUAAAAGAAAAUAUAAUUUUAAUAAUUAAGAAAUUCUAAAAUAUAUGAUAAAAGGUAUUAGGAUAAUUAAUAAUUAAAGAGUCCAUAAAUAUUUGCUAAAGGAUCUAAAAAUUUUUGGUAAGAAACUCUUAUAUCCUAAACUCACAUUCUUUAUUUCACUUCACACACACAUUGGACAAGUUCUAGAUAUUGCAUGCAACAUGAAAUAUAGAAAAUACCUGACACACACAUGACACAUGCUCAACUCAAUAGGAUCAUUAUAGACUCCCAACCAAACAAUAACACAAAUUCAAUUUUAAGCCAAAAAGUACAAGAGUCACAAACAUGAGCCUAAGAGUCUCAAAAGUAUCAAUUCAUUCAAUCAACAUGCUUUUACAAACAAACUCACUUGCAUCAGGUAAUCGAAAAUAGCACCAACAAGAAUAUCUCACUUAUUCCUAACCUAAAAUUUUUUAAAUUGAGCCAAAAUUUGUGAAUUUCCCACCCCACACUUAAAAAUCUACUUUGUCCCCAAAGUGAAUUUAAAAGGUAAGAGAUAGAAAUACUCCUUGAGGCCUCUAGGCCUAGCUAGUAGCAUCUUCACAUAAAGGAGAUCCAUAGGACCCCACACUUAAUCUUUACCAUACUUCAAGCUCUAGAUUAUGGUACUCAGACUUCCCAUUAGCCUGUGACUCAACCAAAAACAAAAACUACAUGAAAUAAAAACUAAAAUCUAAAAAGAAAAUAUACCUACUUAACUUGGGUUGCCUUUCAAGAAGCGCCUAAUUUAUUAUCGCGGCACGACCCAAGUCAACUCAACCAUAUUCCUUCACCCUUUUACUCCUUUUCGGGAGCCAUUUUUUCUUUCUUCUUUGACCUCUUUUAUCUUUUAACAUGUUGGGAAUUGGUGGUUUUAUCUUAGGCCGCUCAAUCAGGCAUUUGGAAAAGGUCUUUAGUGGCUUAGGCACCCCACACUCAUCCCUUUAAAAAUACAUUGAUCAUGUAUAAAUCUUAAUAUAAAGGAUUUUCAAUUGGGGCCUUAUAAACAUCAAAUACCACCUCUUCAUCAUCUACCCUCAUCUUGAACGUGCCUUCUCUAACAUCAAUUAAAGCCUCUCCAAUUGCAAAAAAUGGAUGCCCCAAGAUAAUUGGUACCUGUUCGUCUGCCACAAAAUUAAGAACAAAAAAGUCAGCAAGAAUAACAAAUUUACCAACCUUUAUAAGGACUUCCUCAAUUAUUCCAUUCGGAUAUUCUAUGGAGCCAUCUGCUAGCUGCAAAACCACUUUGGUCGAUCUAGGCUUUCCCAAGCCCAAUUUUUCAAAUAGCGAUAAGGGCAUCAAGUUUAUACUUUCCCCUAAAUAACUCAAUGUAUGGACCUCUUUACUUCCAAUUUGAAUAGGGAUGGAAAACUUCCCCUGAUCUUUUAAUUUCUCAGGGAUUUUUUAUUUUAUUACCAUACUACACUCUUCAGUGAGUGUUAUAGCUCCCACAUCUUGCAAUUUUACCUUCUUCGCACUACAUCCCUUAAGUAUUUUGCAUACUUAGUCAUACUCUGCAGAACAUCUAGCAAAGGUAGAUUAAUAUACAACUCUUUGAAUGUGUCAAUGAACUUUUUGAAAAAUGCAUCCUCCUUCGAUUUUAUGUACUUUUGAGGAAAGGGCAAUGGCAACAUCUUCUUUUUCUCUGGUUCAUCAAUUUUUUUAUUGAAGUACUCAGACUUCCUUGAAUUUUCAGCAACUUCUUCAUCAACCUCUUGGGUCACCACAUCUAUAUCUACCUCCUUAGUUGCCUUUGGAGGUUCUUUAUGAAGCUCUAUACUAUUUCUCAAGGUGAUUGCCAUGACUUGUUUUGGAUUUUCUGUAUCAACGGGCAAACCACCUUGUGAUCUAGUAUUUAACACUUGUUGUAUCUGCCCAACUUGUAAAUCUAAAUUUCUUUGGGUUACUUUCUAAUUCUGUAAUUUCGCCUAUUGACUGUUCAGAUCCGCAAUCAAUUAUGCUUGUCUAGCUACGAGUUGCUUCAACAUCUAUUCCAUGUUGUUAGUUGACUGAUUCAAUUGGGAAUGUGGCUGUGGGGCAUUCCAUAACUAAUUUGGUGGUUGAGUUUGCCAUUUCAUGUUGCAGGUAUUACCUUAAUUUGGCCUUUGAGCAUUUCCUACAUACAUCAUAGAUUUCAGAUUUAAAGAACAUAUUGUAGCCGCAUGACCACUAUGUCUGUAUACUUCACACCAACUUGCAGCUUGUCAGAUGACAUUAACUAUGGUUGUAGGUUAUGUUGCUCCUAAUUUUAUGCUGUUGAAUGAUGUGUUGAUCAAAUUCUAUAGUGCAGACACCUGAGCUGAUAGGGCUGUGAAUUGAUCCACCUCCAACACUCCCGCAAUUCUUUUCGUGGAAAUGCUAGAAUCUGAAUGCCAUUUUGGAUUUUCUUAUACUAUGCGGUUCAACAAUGUGUACAGCUCAUCAUAAGUUAACUCCAACACUUGACCACCUGCGGUUGAAUCUAGCAAAAUCUUCAUACUGUGACGUAUUGUGAUCAAGAGAUUCUACAAAAUUAUGAGCAAAUACCUCAUUCGACUAUUGGUGGUGUGGACAAUCCCGAAGAAGGGCAUUGAAAUGUUCCCAAGCAUGAUAAAGAUUUUCACCAGGCUUCUGUUUGAAGCUCACUAUCUCAUUGGAAAGUCUCGUAGUCUUGCAUGAUGUAAAGAAUCUAAUGAGGAACCUUCUGGAUAAAUCAUCCCAUGUUGGGAUUGAACUGGCCGGCUCUACAUUCAACCACUUUUUAGCUUCCCCAAUAAAUAAAUAGGGGAAGGGUGUCAGCCUCACAUAAUCUGGAGUCACCCCGAUUGGAGUAAAUGUAUAUGUAAUCUCAAUGAAGGUCUACAAAUGGAAUUGUGGAUCCUCAUGUGAAAGCCCUGCAAACUAUCCACUGCUAAUAAGAGGUUGCACCAUAUUGUAUUUUAACUCAAAAUUCUCCCAGCUGUCGGUCUUUGUAUUGGGGAAGUCAAGUUCGUUGGGAGUGGGACUGGCACUUACCUAACCUUCUUACCAGCUGCUUGUUGUUCAGCCAUAAGAACAAUAUUUUCUUGGUCUUCUUGAAAUUGAGGAAUUCUAGGGAGAAGGACUGCUUCUCUCCUGCGUUGAUGGUAAAGUUGCUCAGGUUCGGAGCAUGGUUCAAUCAAGUCUUGAUCCCUUGCCAUUUUUCUACUUUGAAAACCAAUUUUCUACAAAACAAAACCAAGACCAAGUGUAAAAAACACCAAAUAAAUCUAAAAGUAAAAAUAAAAUAAACAAUUGCCAAAUAACAAGUCCUCGGCAACGGAGCCAAAAACUUGACAGCGUCCAAGCGCACACGCAAGUGUACGUGGUCUACCAAGUAAUAUAGUGGCCUUUAAAACAAAGACAAAUAUCGAUCCCACAGAGACUUGAUUUGGCAACAAUUUAAUUUUAGUUCACCGUCUUGAUUAAUUUAGUGCAAAGGUAACCAAAAAAAGAAUUUUGAAUUAUUUUAUAAAUUAAAAAAUAAAUAAUGCAAAAAUUAAAUUUUUGGAGCAAUCAAUGGAAAAAUUCCAGGGUUAAAGCACUUCGAACAAUCAUACUACGUUAUUGAAUUUCAUCCGUUAAUUCGCUUAUCUUGUUUGUUGCUUCGUAGGGUUAAUUGCAUGAUUAUGGUUUCCCAACCUAUAAUAUUUUACCUAAUGUGGAUAUUACAACUUCAUCAUUGAGCGGGGAUGUAAUAAUCUAAUUAAGUGAAUUAAAGCUAUCAUCCUACAUAUGAAUCAAGUAAAACAUCUAAGUACAUCCCUGUCCUAGACACUAAGUUUAAUUUUUUAUAUUAUAAAAGAAUAAAAAUCCAAACUUUGUUUAUUCCUAUGUUCUAUCUCCCUAUUCCCUCUCCCGAGAUCAAAAGGUCGACAAUAUAUGUAUUUUAUGGGUGAUCAAUCCAUAAAAUAAUUAAAACAAGAAUAAACAAACAACCAAAUAUGAUAAGCAAAUUAACGAAUUUAGUUCCAAAAUAAUAGUACUCAUUUUCUUGGCUUUAACCCUAGAAGGAGGGUUUUUAGCCACUAAUAUUCAUAAUCACUAUCCAAAUAAUUGAAUAAUAUGAUAUAAAAAGUUAAAGAUUAAAAAUAAAAUAAAAACCUAAUUAACCAUGUAGAAGCCUCCGAAUAAAUUCUCCACCGCUUCAAUGUAAAAACUUCCAUGUCCAGGUGUUAAUCAUGAUCCCCCAAAGCUGUCCAUGCAUUGUCUAUAUAUAAUAGGGGAUCUUUCAAAAAUAGUAGCAUUUUGCUAUAAAACCCACCUUUCAAAGCGACAUUCUACAUAAUUACCAUUUUUAGCCGCUGUAUUCGAUUUAUGCUCGCUAUAUUUGAUUUUACAGAUUGUAUGUAUUUAUAUAAAAUAUGAAUACAGUCCCUAUUCAGUCACGGAAAAAAUGGAAUUCAAUAUUUUUAAAAAGAAAAAAAUCUCAAUCACGCUUAUCUCAUUGAGCUGGAUAUUUUCUUGCCUAACAUUGCCAUUAUCUUUUUUAUCUUUUUUGUGUUUUUUCCUUUUUUCUUCUUCUUUUUUCUAUUUUUUCCUACUUUUAUUUUUUUUGUUUCUUUCUUUUUGUUUUUUUCUUUUUUUUCUCUCUUUAAUCGCUAACUUCUAUUUCUCUUUCUUCUUUAAUUUUUUUAUUAUCUUUUUUGUACUUAUUUUAUUUAUUAAUUUUUUGUUAUAUUUUAUAUUUUUUGUAUUUUUAAAUAAUAUAACUAGUCGAGCACAAGUCAUGGAUGAUAACGUAAAUACCACAAUUGUUUAUCAUAUUUGUAGUCACACCGCUAUUUAUAUUUUUAUAUUUUGAUAGAACUAUAUUCAUAUUUGUAUUUUAAAGUUCACACUUGUAUUUAUAUUUUAUAGUUCGCAUUUGUAUUUGUAUUUAAUAGUUCGUACUUGUAUUUGUAUUUGUUAGUUUAUGCCAUCAUUUAUAUUUUAUAUAAUUCACACUUGUAUUUUAAAGAAUUAUUUUGUCUUUUUAUUUGUAUUUUAUAAUUGAUUGCAUAUUAUAUUGGAUUAUAUUUAUAUUAUGGUUUUAUUGUGUUUGUAUAUUUAGAUUAUAUUUGGAUUAUACUUGUAUUUGUAUUCUAUUUUCUUCAUUACCUUUUUAUUUUUUAAGAAAUUAUUUUGUAUUUGUAUGUUGAUUGCAUAUUGUUAUUAUUCAUAUUUGUAAAUAAACAAAUAUCACUUGAUACAAAUACAAUGACAAACAAAUGAAACAAAUGAUUUUACAAAUACAAAUACAAUAUGUAUUUGUAUAUAUUGUAUUUGAAUAAACAUUUGAGUUGUAUUUAUUUGUAUCAAUAAAUAAAACUCGUAUCAAUAAAUACAAACAAGUAUUCGGGGAAAGAAAAUCAAUCGUUCCUUUUUAAUAAUUAAAAAAUAUAAAUGAUAGUUCACACUUGUAUUUAUAUGUUAUAGUUCGCAUUUGUAUUUGUAUUUUAUAGUUCACACUUGUAUUUGUAUGUUAUAGUUCGCAUUUGUAGUUGUAUUUUAUAGUUCACACUUGUAUUUGUGUUUGCUAGUUCUCACAAAUGAAAAGAAGGAUAAAAAUUGAAAAGAAAAAAAAAGGAGAAAAAAUAAGAGAAAAAGGAGGAAAAAAUACAAAAAAAAGAAGAAGGAGAGUAAUAGAAAAUAAGGAAAAAAUACAAAAAAAAAGGAAAAAAAUACAAAAAAAAGAAGAAGAAAAAAAAAGGAGAAAAAUGAAAAGGAAAAAAAAGAAAAAGAAAAAGAAAAAAAUGAAUAAAAAAGAAGAAAAAAAAAGAAAAAAGUGCAAAAAGAAAACUAAAGAGAAAGCAACAAAAAAAGGAAAAGAAAAACUGAAGAAAAAAAAUCAAAAAAGGGAAAAAAGAAAAGAAUAAUAGAAAAUAGAAAAAGAGAGAAAAUACAUGAGAAAAGCUAUAUAUUGUAAUUAGGAAUAAUUAAUAGGAAAGAGGGGGCUAUGAAUUGUAAUUAAUAAAAAAUUAGUCUUUAAGUGGUAAUAAAAAUUCAAUAAUAGUUAAUUCGGGUAAUUUUCUCUAUAUAAUAUUUAAUAUUUAAUUCUCAUUUCAUGUGGGAUUAGCAUAAAAAACAGCUGGCAUUUGGCCCACCAAAUUUUCCCACCAAAUUUCCCUUAAACCGUGUGCCCACUUUUGAAUAAAAAUAGAACUAGUUUUGUCCGUGUCAGCGUGUUUUACUAUUAUGUUUUGAAUUAUCGAUGCGACGUGUAACUGCAUGUCGCUGGACUGGUAUUAAUGGGAAUAUCGAUGCUACGUGUUGAUUUCGUGUCUAUUUAUUGAAAUUUGCAUUCAAAAAUCUGGUUAAGUGUAGAACGUCCUAUCCGUUACCCAUGCCUUUUAUAGUAUAUUUCUAAUGAAUUUUUGGCCUUUAAAUCAUCAAUAUAUUACUGUAUUUAGUUCAAAAAUCCUCCUAUAAUAUCAUACACCGUAUAAUAAAGAUCAAAACAACACAAUAUCCUCUACGAUAAAUCAAAACAAAAGCUAAGAUAAGGAAAAUUCGCAAUGAUCUUCCACUUAUUAUUUUGAUUCUUGACUUAAUUAAAUUAAGCUAUGCACAUUAAAAACAAGUUAUUCCAUUUAUAAUUAUACCAUUAAAAUAUUUGGAACAAAUUAAACACAUUAGAAUCCACCAAGACUAACUAGACACACACCUAGCUCAAGCUAGUAAAACUAGUUUUCCGGGUUGAACUCUAAAUUACUCAAUUAAGCACAAACUUAUUUUCAAAAUACUUUAUACAUUGUAAUCACACACUUGGACACUUAAAUGCUUAUUUAUAUCAUUAUGAACACUUUAAGCACACGAAUUGCUCUCAAAAUAAGGCAAAAUAAUCUAAAAUAAUGAUACCAAAGAGUAUAAAACCACCUCAGAUCAGUAUGUUCAAAAUUUAACUAACUCAAGGUAUGAAUUUGGUUGUUGGGUUAUGUAACGGGGGUGGUUAUCGAUCCUGGUUGGGCUUAGGAUUCCCCAUUACGUUUAGGCCCCGGUUUGGGUUGCGAAAAAUUGGAUCAGAGCUUUAGGUUUUGGUUUCAUGGGGUUUCCACAAAGUCGUGUCGAGUAGAGCCUUAAUUAUGGGUGUGUCGUACACCACACUUAUAAUCAGGAGGCUACAAGGUAUUUAUGAAUGUUUCACUUUCUUGGUUGUUUUACUUUCAGGAUAUGGAGUAUAAGGUCUUGAACUCUUCUCUGAAUCUUCUACGGUUCAUCUUUUUGAUAAUGUCCUCUCAACAAUCUAAUGUCUGUGGAAACUUACCUAUCCCACUCAAGGACAACAUGGAUGGAUAUAGUCCAACUUAUGGGGCCUCAAUUUUCCAAAUAAUCGAGAGGCCAAUAGUUGGUGGUAAAUGGUCCAAGGGGAAGGGUUGGGUGAGUCCUAACUCAUAUUCUCUGGUUGGUUCUUCCUAUCUGAAUCUAUUUGGAGGUAGGUGUUUUAGGAUUGGGUAAUGCUUCUAGGACACAAGGUUUCCAAUUUUGGGCUAAUGAGGCCCAAUCUGUAUCAUCCUAUUUUCUUUAUAAAUCUUGUGGUAAAUUGGUGAUUUGGUUUUGGUCAAUUGGGCCAUAUCCUUCAAGAGUGUCCCAUAAGGAUUGCCUCUUGGGAAAAUAUAAUAUCAAGGGUGCUACUUCUGGCUUCACUUGGGUUGGUAUCGUCUCAAUAACUUCACCAUUAUUCAGGAGUCUGAGGCAUCUAUUGAUGCCGAUAUUGGUAUGUGGGGAACUCUUUUCUUUGUGGUGUGUAUGGUUACUUGGUUUGGGGUCCUCUCUCCUUUGUAACCCCAUUGGUGGUUGUGUGUUCUGGUUUUGUUCCCAAGGUUAUUUUGACCUCUUUCUCUAUUUAUUUCUACCCUGGCAGGUGACUCUAUUGUUGUCAAAAGAGUCUACGGGGGUGUGUGGUACCUAUUGGUGAUAAAGUGGUCCUGGUGGAUUUUGUUAUCAUUCGAGAAUAGAUUGGUUGCACUCAUCCUAUUCAUUAUUAGAUUAUUGGAACCGUAAGAAGGUUGUCUUUAGGAUCUUUGUCGAGACGAUUAAGGAGUGGGAGGGCAGUUUCACUCCUUACUUAUUAAGGGAAAGGUUAUAUCAUAUCUUAGAUCCCAUAGAUUUAUCUCCAAAGGGGUUUCCUUCUGACGAUCCUCAUGGUGUCUUUUUAAUAGAGAGGUUAGUUUAGUAUUGGUCUUUUUUCGGGCAAUUGUCCAAAUUCUAUUCUUUCUUAAUAGUAUGGUUUCGGUGGAGUUAAGGGAGCUUAAGGGAUAGUUAAGGGAUCUCUUAGAUAAAGGUUUCCUCCGUCAUAGUGUUUUUCUGUGAAGUGUCUUCUUUCUUGCAUACAUAAAGGGAAUAGUCUCCCCACGAAUAGAUAGGUUAUCGGUGGGUGACUAAGGAAUUUGGAGAAUCCUCCUUCUGGGUGGGACCAUGCUUAUGUAUAUUCCAUGAGUGUACUUUUCUAGUAGUGCACGGUGGUUGGUUGAUCCUAGGCUUGAACCUAGAUGCUUGAUUUUGGUAAAGGGAGUAUGUUAGCUCGGGCAUAGCAAUGCGGGAAUUGCGAGGGUAAAUAGGUAGGUUGGAUGAGGUUGAUGACUUGAGGAAUAAAAUAGUAGAAAAGUUGUACCAUAUAGGCUGGGAGUUUAGGUUGAACUUGGAGAUUUGGGGGUCUAGGCAUUGGAUAGGUUUGAUCAUAGAGCUUGCAUGUAUCUUUGUCCCUAUACUUGUACUUUAUGGUUUGAAUGAAAUUGGUUAUUAAAAUUCAUGGUUUUGAAAAUGGGUUUUGGCACAUAUUGGGGGAUUUGACAUGGCUACUCAUUUAAUUGAUUUUCCAUGGAUUAUGAUGCAUUACUCACAUUUUAUUAAUGUUUAUUAACACUGUGGGAUGUAUGGGAAUGGUAAAUAAAUUUUGGGGUACUAUAGACUCCCCAAUUCCUUGGUUUUGGUUUUGGAAUUACAUGUCCUUAAAUUAUUUUUGAAAAUUGCCAUUAAGUAUAAUUUUGUCAUAUGGUUUGACUAUUUUUAAAUUUUUUGCAUUGCCUAAAUAAUUAAGGGAACAUGAAAUGGUUUUGGUUGAAUUCAAAUAAUUUUGAAAGGCCUUGGUGGCCAUAGUUUGAUUUUGAAUAUUUUUUUUUAAUUGGAAAACCUUGGAUUCAUUUUGGUCUAAUGGUUUUGCAUAUCUUUGCUAAGUUCUAGGUAGCCUUUGGGUGGAUGAUAUUUUGGUUUAGGAAAGCCAAGUGUCACUAGUGUACAUCCUUGUUGAUACCCAUUAGGGUGGAGUGUUGUGCUUGUAGGUGUAAUGGGAUAAAGGUUGGUGGUUAGUCUAAAAUUUCCUUUUAGUAGUGGACUUUAGGGGAAGAUCAGUUUGCAUACUCUAGUGAUUCUCUUCUAUCUUAGUUAAAAGAGUACUCUACUAGUAUUGCAUGUACUGUCAUAGCGCUUAUGCUUAAGGGUUGAAUUUUGCAUUCACUUUGUUCUUGGGAUGUGAUUCUUGACUCUACAUUGCAAUACUUAUGGUAUAAGUGGUUGUGUUUCUUUUGGUGUCCAUUUCUAAGGACUCUUUUGGUGGUAUGGUUUAGUCGGGAUGAUUCUUCAUUAGGACCCAGGCAGGUGUUAUGAAGUAUUUUGUGCCUAUGGUGUCGUGCCUUAUUUUUGGGGUUCUUUUUCUUACUUUAGGUAGAAUGGAUAACUCUUGUACUUUAGUUAUUUAAUGGUUCUUCUUAUGUUAGGAUGGUAGUGGCUUGGGAAGCAUGGUGAUGUUUUGUAUUGGGGAACGUAGAUAUCUUUAAGUGAGGGAGAGUCUCGGGUGGCUACUGGAGUUAAGGUUUUAGAAGGUGGAGUAAGGCUGUUUUUAUGAGAAAUAGUUAGGGUAGGAAUAGGUUGUGAAAAUUCUUGGUGAAUUUAUAAAGGGUGCUAGAUAUUUUGAUGGAUAGAUUGUGCCGCGGGUUUAUGAGCACCAGGCUUAAAUAUUGUGAUUAGUAGAUAUACCCAUAUUGUGUUGGGUAGGUAAGAGGUUUGGUAAGGCGUAGUUUUACCAAUUUCCUUCAUGACAUAAUAGUUGUAUUUAAAUUGAGUGUUCAAUUAUAGGUUAGGGGUUUUGGUUAUAAUGGUUGGAUAUAGUUGGUCCAUGUCCUUUACUCAUGGUUUCCAUAUAAUAAUAGAAUGGUAGUGGAGUUGUAUUUCGGGAUAGAGCUAAGGAGAAGAGCCCGGUGGCCUAGGUUAACUCUUUUUUGUUUUGAAUACGAUUGAACAUGAAAGUGGUGGUGUAUAGUUUGACUCAAUCUCUCAAAGGGAUCUGUCUUGGUAAAUUCUAAGUUGGAUUGGACUUACUCUCUAACAUGAGUCCAUUCAUUCAGUAUUCUAUGUGUUUGUGUUGUGGUAAGGUGUGAUUGGUUCGAAUUCCUUGUAAUUUAAAGGGGAAACUUGGAUUGGUAAGUUAACCAGUUGCAAACAAAAGGUGUGGCUUCGGUAAAGGUUCCAUGGUGGAGCUAAAAGCCUGAGAAAGCCAUUUGGGAUGUGGUAGUUAACAUAGAAGUCCAAGUGUUCUCGUUGGUUCUUUGUUCCAGAAAUUCAUGCGUAAGGCGUGUGUUCUUAAAACACAUCUUUGUUUUCUAACUUGGUUAAGAGUGAGGAAUGGUUUCACUUGCAUCUUUGUUUUCUAACUUAGUUAGAGGUGAGAAUGAAAGUGUUUGGGAGUGAAUCGUGCUUGGGGUAUGUGCUAAUCUUCUCAUCUUAGUUGGUGUUCUUGUCCUUCAUUUUUGUUGGAGGAAAUUUUAAUGUGUGUUGGUGUAAUACCUCGUGCUUUUUCUUACCCUUGCCCAUCAUUCAAGGACGAAUGAUCCAAUUGGGGUAGAAUGUUACAUCUUAGGAUUUGGACCCUUGAAAAUUUCUAAAGUUUGGACCAUUUUUGACUUGGUACGACUCAAGAGAGUAACUCGUACCCUUGCUUACGAGUUUUUAGGUGCCUAGGUGGUCCAAUCGUACCCAAGGAAGUAAUUUAGGCUUAUCUACUACCCAAGGUACAACUUAGAUAUGUAAGAGUCGAAUAGGAGGUUACGAGUGGUAUAGGGCAAGUUGUAUGGUGUAUAUGUGUGUUAUCUAGUGUAAUCUGUUCACUAUAUGGUUAGUGGAUACGAUUAAGGUUUCCACUUGUACCCUUAGGUACGAGUUAUAAAGGGUAAGUUGUAUAGAGGCCAGUGGGUAAGGUCUUGGCAAGGUUGGAUAUGAGUUGGGGUACGAGUUGGGGUGUCAAUCGUACCCUUGGAUACGAAUGGUAAGGUGAGUCAUACCCCUGGAUGAGAAUUGUUUUAAUUUUUAAGCCAAAGGUGGUUUGGACAUUUACUACUCCUAAAACCCUAUUUUUCUCACAUUAUAUAACCCUAUGUGUCCUUCCAUAACACAUAUAAAAGGAUCAUAACACUUCAAAUAUACUCUAAAACUCUCUCUUGGAAGAUUAGAGGCUAGGGUUUCUCGCGUGUUCUUCAAAUGGGCUCAAGGGUUAUGUUUCUCUUUGGAAUAUUUUUGUUCAAGGAAUGUAGUCCUUCACUCAUUGUUAUUGCAAAAUAAAGGCAUGUGUAUUGUGUUAUAAACAUUGGUUUAUGAAUAUAUAUUUGUGGAUUUCAAAAUAUUGUUGAGGGUCUUUAUGCAUAUGGUUUGGUAUUGGUUUAAACUAUGUUUUUACAUGUUUUUUGUAAUGGUUUUCAUAUGUUGUUGGUUGUUCAUUAUGGUUUAACUAAUGGGUCUUGAUUAACCCUAAUUAUGGUGAUUUACACAUUUGUUUUGCUCUUGGUAAAGGUGUGCCCUCAAUAUGUUCGAUAAAAUAUCUCAAAGAAUGUUUUUACUCUAUUGUUGAACUUUCAUUAGAACUUCUGCAUUAUUUGGUUUGGUAAUGAAACCUGAAAGGGAUUUAAAUUGUUUUGCAUGUUUUUAAUGGUUUAAAUGAUAUAAAUUCUUUAAAUGUUUGUCAUGGUCUUAAAUGGUUUGAAAUGGUUUAAAGGUUAAAGAUUUGGUGGUCAUGGUUGGUCUAUUUUGAAAACCUUAUGGGAUACAUAAAAAUCCCCUAAGUUAAUGAAUUAAUGGAAAAGUUUAAAGGCUAAUGGGUCAUGCUUGUGGAGAACAUGGUAGUCUCCAAAGAGGUUAAUAUGGUAAACGGAAAGGGCACUUUAUACUCACCUUAACCUAAAUGGUUUGGCUAUGGAUGAAUCUUGCAAGUAUGGUUGGUAUGACAAUACCACUAAUAAUUGGCCUUGGUAAUGAAUGGUAAUUGUAUUAUUUGGACAUGGUAUUAAUUUGGGAAUUAAUUGGAUGUGUAACUAAUCUGUGGAAGGUGGAGGUUUUGGGUGAACCAAAACUGGAAACUCAUAUUUUCUGAUAUAAGGGCUCUUCGAUGACCAUGUUCGAGUGUCACGUUUUAUAUUGGAGGGAAGUACUAGUAAUCCCGUAGGAUAUUUCUUGGUCGUGCGGCUACAUACACUAGGACUCUUUCAGCAGGGGGAGCUGAACCCAUGCGGCCCAUGGGUAUGGUUAAAUGGCAAGGUUACACAGUCCAGGUAAAAAGGUUUUAACUACAUGCUAAAAAUGGAUUCCCUUUCACGUCACUUAUGUAUAUGUAUGGUUGUAUUCAUAUAGAUGGUUUAACUUGGUUUUAUAAAUGGAAUUAUUUCAUCCCUAUCCUGAGUGCAUGCUAGUGCUCACCCUCUAACCUUCUAUUGGCGAUUGUAUACCAAUAAUAUGCAGGAAUCGGCUAUUCUACUCCUCUUGCUUAGUGAUUGGAUUUAGGUACAGUCGAUGUUGGAUUAAAGUGGUGAGCUUCCAUAGUUAGAAGGCAUCUAUUUCAUGUCAUGGUUUACUUUACAUAUUUAUUAUCCUUGAUAAACUUUGGUUUUUGGCUAUGGUCGGGGUUAUGUCCCAACUAGGUACUCUUUGGUUGAUAUAGAGGCCUUGUAUGGACAACUGUGGACUUAGGGUAUGUUAUGGAUUGUUUAUGUCAUAUACAUAUACAUACUUUGAAUUAUUCUAUGCAAUUUUGUUUUAUGGUUUCUGUAUUAGUUUGGUUGGUUAUUGGGUGGAUGGACUUGGUUGGGUUGGUCUCAUUUAUAAGACUUAUCCCAGAGUCACCACUUAGUUGUACAUACUAUCUUGUUGUAUGUUCAGAAUUUAACUGACUCAAGGUACGCAUUUGGUGGUUGGGUUGGGUAACGGGGGCGGUUCCCAAUCCUAGUUGGGGUUGGGAUAACCUAUUAUGUCUAGGCCCUAUUUCGGGCUAUGACAAUAAGUCAUCAAUCCUAGGGAUUGGAUACUUAUUCUUGAUUGUGACUUUGUUCAAUUGAUGGUAAUCAAUGCACAUUCUGAGAGAACCGUCUUUCUUACGCACGAAAAGGGUUGGAGCGCCCCAUGGGGAAACACAGGGCCUGAUGAAACCCUUAUCUACAAGAUCUUUCAACUGGUCUUUGAACUCUCUAAGAUUAGCAGGAGACAUUCUAUAGGGCGGAAUAGAGAUAUGAUGGGUAUCUUGAAUGAAAUCUAUUCUGAAGUUAAUUUCUCUUUUAGAAGGAUAUCCAAGAAGAUAUUUAGGGAAAACUUCUGGAAAUUCCCUUUCUACUGAAACUGACUCGAGAUGUGGAGUCUCAGAACUAGUCAUUAACUUGGAAAAGAUGGUAAAAACACCCCUUAGAUAGCAUUUUUCUUGCCUUACGAUAAGAAAUAAUCUAAUCCCUAAGCACUGAAGUACUACCCCUCCAUUCAAUGACUGGUUCAUUAGGAAACUGAAAAUGAACAACCCUAUUUCUAUAGUCAACUGAAGCAUACCAUGAGUGGAGCCAAUCCAUGCCAAGAAUGACAUCAAAAUCAAUCAUCUCUAACUUCAUAAGAUCAACUGAGGUGAUUUUCUAGGAUACUGUAACCGGGUAGUUUCUGUAUACCUGUCAGGCUAUAAUAAACUUACCCACUGGGGUAGACACUAAGAAAUGUUCUGCUAAAGAUUCAGGAUUGACAUUGAAAUCUACUGUUAUAUAGGGGGUUACAAAAGAAAGUGAAACCCCAAGAUCUAACAAAGCAUAAACAUGAAGAUAAAACACCUGUAACGUACCCAUAGCCACACCAGGAGAACUUUCCUGAUCCUAUCGGGUAUGGAGGGAAAAUAACCUAUCCUGACGCUGCCCACUGGUUGCACUGGACGCGGUACCCUGCUUAGUUGGACAACCAGCCAAAACUAGAGGACGACUGUACUGACUCUACUGAACAACCAUAGUACAUUCUCUGAAUCUGUGGCCUGGCUUGCCAUAUACAAAACACACAUCACUAAAAACCCUACACAUAUACUGAUGAUUCCUAUCAUAUUUUAUGGCAAAGUGAGUUAUUACAACUACUGUUCACACUACCUUAGGACUCGUGCCCUGGCACUCUAUCCCAACUAUCAUUUGUGAACAUUGGAACUGGUGCACUAGCUGAAGAUGGAGUUGGUGCCAAGAAUUUCUGAAGAAAUUAAGAACGGUUACCACCCUAUGACCUCGGCUGAGAAAAUUAAAACUACCUAUUCUAGCACUCUUAUUCUCUCUCUCUCUCUUUCUCCUUAAUAUUGUAUUUCUCAAUAUGCUGAGUAUGAACCAUAAGUCUAUAUAAGUCCAUCUCAUUAUUCUGAAUAGCUACUGAAUGAGAUAAUGUAGUGAAGGCAUCUCUGAAUUCAGCGUGAGAGACAUACUCAUUCAGGGGAUCUUCCCAAACAAGUAGUGGUGCGGGCUGAUUCAUGUUCCUUCGCUUGCUAUUUCUUUUAAGAGGCAUUAUCUAAAAAUAGAAUGAAGUAUGAAUUAGAAAGAGAGUUUAAAUAGAGCUCAUGCUUCUUUACACGACAAGAAUACUUAAAGAAGAAAAACUUUACCUAAAACGUCUUGUAGCCUCUUGUCCGUAUGAAUGGCGCUCUUUACACCCAUGCCUAAGACUCUACUCAAUGUGGCUUUCAGACUCCCUAGGACUCUCUAAAAUGCUUUCAGACUCCCUAGGACUCUCUAAAACCUAGAUCUGAUACCAAUUUUCAUCACGACUCGAGGCUAUCCCUUAGUCACGAUAAUGGUGCUUACGAUCACAAGUGACCACAAGCUAACUCAUGAGUUGGUACCUGCUGUAAGCACUGAAUGUAAUAGUACAAAACACAUGUGCAGAAAAUAUACUAAGAAAAUAAUAACAAAUUGAAAUACUAAAAAUAUGAUGCAACCACAAGACUGAAACCUCUGAUGAAAUACUAAAAGCUAACUGUCCAGCUAUAACAACUGAUAAUACUAAAAAAUUUGAUAAACUAAAUAACCAUCUAACUAUCUGAUAGUUUGAAAAGCCUUUAACUUACUCACUGAAAUACUAAAGUACGGAAUGAGAGAUAAUAUGUCCUCGAUGGAUGAGGACUCAUCAAUGAGCUGCUCAGUAGCGCUGACUGUCAAACUGUGGUCGGUAAACUAAGCUUCCAAACCAAUGAUAUAAGACAUCAUAGAAGAAAGAAGAGUAUACAGUCAAUACUUUGAAUGUACUGGUAUAUGCGAUGAGGAUCGGCUAAAAUGCAUGGGGUAUUGUGCAUGCGAGAUAAUAACCAACUGAAAAGCAUGAGAUAACUGAAAAUGAAUGCAUGAAAACUUUAAAAUCUAAGAAUGUAAGACUACGUGUAUAUAUGUUAUGUUACUGAGACAAUCUAUAAUUUGAAAGACUGAAAUCUGUGUAACUAAAUAUCUACAAGUCUGUACACAUAGUUAAGCAAACCUAAAAUGAAAACACAUUGAGUACUAUACUGAGACUGUGCGAAGAAUUAUCUAAUUGACAUGCCCCAAUCUAAGCUAAUUAGGGUCCAACCUAUAACCCCAGUUGUAAGGGUGUCAGUAUCAUGCCAUGGGCACUAAUACUGCUUAUGUGGAUCUACUAAAUUGGCAUCUCAAAGGACUAAAGAGUCACUCUAUACUGGCAGUAUUACUCAUGAGAUAUGUGUCAACCCUAAACUAGCAGGAAGACAUCUCAAACCUACCCUUGCUACGUAGUUCUUUAACUCAGGGAUUGCUAUUAAGGGUUAAACCCUAAACUGGCAGUAAAGCCCUUAUCCCUUGGGUUUGAUUAGUGCUGAAUCCUACUCCCAACCAAAUGACACUGAUUACUGGAUUAACCUAAGUUUAGCUGAGCAAACAACUAAUCAUAAUAACUGACUGAAUGAUAAUGCUCAUGGUUUGUCUAAAAUCAUUUUGAUGAUACUAAAAUUUUGUGAGCAACUAGGUAUCGGGUGUUCAUAACUCUCCAGCACUGAAUGGAAAUAACAAUAAGGACAUAUAAAAGCUUUGACAACUAUAUAGGGAAUUACUAUUCAAAACCCCAACUUAGGCAAUUCAUUAAACACAUAAGAGUCAUGGACUUAAUCAUGGGAAUAGGUAAAGCACACGAUAAUUUACAAUACUAAAACCAUGAAUUAGGGAUUUCAGUGUGAAUAUUUCAAUAUCAAAACAUGUAAUGGUACAUUCCACUAAAAACAUUUAUAAUCAUAACUUGAAAUCAAAUUAUCAAUACAUUCAUGGACAUAAUUCAAUUUAACAUGUAAAACCCAUAACUUUUAAAGCAAAAAGUGAUUCUUGGACUCCAGGGGUUAAAAGGGCCCAUGGAUGAACAUAACACUUACCUUAAACCUUUAGUCUUGAAAGAUAAACACCAAUUCUUGGAUUUGGGAAUAUCAAUUCUUGUUUUCCUUAGAGAUAAAGUAAUUGAAUUGAUGAUCUUGGGGGAUGAAUUGUCUUUCUUUGAGAAGAGAAUUGAAGAAGAAGGGCAAAUAAUGCCCUAACUAAUGAUUUAAGUCCUGAUAUUAUGAAUUGGGUUGAGGGGAAAAGACACAAUUUCCCCUUAGGUAAUUAAAUUCAUAGUUGAACUGCAAUUUCCAAGCCCAUCGCGAUGCAGUGUAUGUGCUAACGGGAAUGGCACUGUGACGCAACACUAUCGCGAUGAGUUGCUGGAUUUAUGAUCCAAACAUGACCGAAUUCUCAUCUGAAAAAUCUAAAACUUAUCUGAAACAUGCUUCUUGCACCCCUAAACAUGAAUUAACUCAAAGACCAAUACCUCGGUGUGGGGAACACCAAUUUAAAAAUCCUUGAAUUUAAGAGGCCUUAAAAAUGACUAAGUCCCCAACACUUAGUGAAAUUCUUAGGAUUUAGGCCCCUAUGCACCCAAAUAGAAGCUGAACUGAGCAAAGAUUAAUAUGAGGCACUACAACUGAUUAUGGUAUAAGGAGGUAAUUACUUAACUAAAUAUCCUAAGGUUAAGUUAGGCUAAGGGUUAGGAAGUAAAAGAUAUAAAAGUGUAUGGCUAAAUCUAGAUUAUAAGUUUAAUUAUUGAGUUGAAUAAUAGGUUAAUAGAGUAGGUCUUGAACCUAGUAUGACUUGAAUGUAGGAUGUAAUGACUUGAUUCUGUGAACUUGAUCUCUUAUGUAUUUUGACUAUUUCACUCCUCCCUAAAAUUUCUAAGCGUUGUUCUGGGGUAUGGGGAUGGUUGGCAUGGUUUCCAAUGCAAUCCAGAAUGUUUUGUGCAAGUUUGUAGUUUUUAGAGGUUAAAAAGGGCGUAUAGUUGACUUUACACAAUAUUUGUGGUUUUGUGUGUCGGAUGGAAAAAUGGACUAUGCCAGUAAAUCUAGAACAUCAAUUUUGGGUUGGUGGCAUGGUUGGCUUAAUUUUAUAGCUUUUUGAUCUUAUUUCGACCCUUGGUAUGAAAAUUAGUUAAAUUGCAUCUCAGGGGUUAAUUUAAUGAGAACAAUCUCUUUUCAAAAACCUGAUGUCACCAUUGAGUCUGAAACAUUGUAUUUAGCCUAGUAGCAUUUUUUUGCCUUCACGGGAUUCCAAAUGAAUCUUGGGGGUGAUCGAAAACUUUGGAACUUAAGCAAACAAAGGACUGCUUAAGUUGUAUUCGCAUAAGCUGCCCAUGCACCGCUUUAGUUUUCACUAGAAGGCUAGGCAACUGCCACUCCAUUUUAGCAAUCACCACUUUAGCGGUAGGGGGUCCGCUUAAGCGAUGACCAUUUUAGGGGUCAUAACUGGACAAGUAUAAAAGUCCUUUUUGUCAUACUUUCUUCCAUUUUUUAGACGUUGAUCUUCAGUUUAAAAGAGUUUUGGAUGAUUUCUUCCUUCCUCAAGCUUGGAUAACCCCUAAAUCACUAUGUCAGUCAUUUUACUUUGAUUUAUGUCAUUUAAAACUCUCUAAAUUGUGAUUUGAAAGUAGGAUUGACUUGGAAGGCCUAAAAAGGUAUUUAUUUGAUUUAAACCUCAUUCUUAAACUAUUUUUACUUGAGUUUUCUCCUAUGGCUUCCUUUAUCAAGGGUAAGACUUUUCUAAUAUAUAUAUAUAUAUAUAUAUAUUUAUUGAAUGGAUUUGAGAUCUUUAUACUAGUUUAAUUGUGAGAAUUACAUCCUCAUAUCACACAUAAAUUCAUGAUACAAUGGUACCAUUAAGAAAACACUAGUUUUUGAAAGAAAUUCGACAUUAUCUUUACAAAACCCCCUGUCCACGAGUCUUAAAGGAGAUAUGGACCAUGAGAUUUGUAUUGAGUAUUGAGAAAGUAUAUGGGUUGCAAACCCCCAUGGGUCCUAUCUAAAUCUUUGAGGCUCAGUAGGUGUAUAUGGAGGUUAUGCGAUAACCUCAAUCAUAUCACAUUAUGAUCACCAUCAUCAUUGCAUUUCAUACAUUAAGCAUCUUUUGUGUUGUGAUUCUGUGUGUUAUUCGUUGCAUAUAUAAUCUAUUUCUUUUACGCACAUGUCUAUUUGUUAUGUGCUAUAUUUACAAUUAUUAGUGAAGAUGGUGUGAGCGAUCAUUUGAAAUAUUUUCUGAUUGCAGGUUAUGUGCAUAUAGUCUGUAUUUAUAUACCCUAUUUUCUAAUUUUGAUACCUACUAAGCACAAGUGGACCAUACUCACCGCUACUAUAUAUUUUUGAUGUAUAUCUAGAUACGAGUGUAUCGCAUGGCAGUUGAGAUCGUGCAGUUGAUUAUUAGUACUUUUAUGGUAGUGGCCUCAGUAUGCCUUCAAAGUUGACCUCAGACCUCUUCCUAUUUAGUUGAUGUCUUUAUUUUAUAUUCAGAGACAGACUUGUAGUUUUUUGGAUUCAGUUAUAUUUUUAAUUUUGUGUUGUAUUUGGUUUAUUUUUUUUACUGUGACACCAUAUUUGGGGAUGGUUUAUGGUAUCUUUAUUAUUCAGAAUACUAUUGUUAUUAUACAUACAUGGUCUGGCUUCACUUUAGAAGUAUCACCUUGGGAAUUAUUGUACUGUUUUCUUCUUACUUAUCAGUUUAUGUGAUUGGCUUACUUAUCAAGGCUUAGCCGCGAUAUAUGCCAUCAUGACUGUAGUUUUUGGGUUGUGACAUAAGGGUUGUUGGAUAUUAGCAUAAUCUCUGGUUUUGGUAUGAAUUAAAGACGAUAGGAUUAGUGAAUGAACUUAUGAAUGUUGAACUAGAGUGUAGACUCCUUGGGGUUGAAUGUACCCUCUUAAAAUAAGUACUUGGAUUUAAUGAAUAUGGCUUGGUAAUUCUUACUUGAAUAAGUCCUGGAUUAGUAUUUGGUCAUGUUGAAAUUGAUGAAUAUGAAUUGAUAAGGCCUAAGUUAUGAGUUAUUGACUGGCUUUUAGACAUACUUGCAAUUUUUUGUAUUAAAUUAUUAUUUACAUAAAAUGAUUAGCUUGAGUUUGACAAACUAUUUAGAGUGUUUGUCUCUUUUUUAUGAUUCAUGUUCAAGAAAGAAAUUUUUUGAAUAAUAUCCUAAGUGUUAAUCACAUGUAAUGAGGAGAUUUCUAGGGUUUUUCUACCAUUUUUGGACCUUGGAGCUUCGGGAAUAGGAGAUUUCUAUGGUUUUUCUCACCAUUAUUGCUUAGGUAAGCUUUUAAUUUAUCUUUCCAAUAUUUUCUAUUGAUUAUAUCUUCAAAAAUACUUUAGUUGAAGGGGAAAAACUCCAUGUUGAGGGUUCUAGUCUUUGAUUUUGGUACCUUGAGGUAGGUUAUGUUUUAACUUCAUUCAGACUAGGCUGGGUAGUUAAUGAACUUAUAAGGCAUGCUAAUGGUUAGGGCUAUAGAUGUGGAAUUGUAUUUUAAGAGUACUUUAUCUUAUCAUGUUGCCCACACGGGGGCUUGUAUGCAUGUUAUUGUUGACUUGAGAGGUGUUAAAUUAUGUGAUGUCCAUGCGGAGGUUUUAUUUGAUUAUUGCAAGACUUACUUGUGCAUUAUUUUCUAUAUUUUCAUGUUGUGUCACUCGAGUGGGGUCUUGACUAGAUGUUAUAGGACUUAUUUUUUUUGAAUAUUUUUUCCUCUAUCAUGGUAAAAUAUACUCGAGUAAUGGGUUGAAAUAAUAUUAUCAAUGUCUUUUCUAGUGGUGCCAAGAAAGAACUGAUAUAAUGAACUACAGACACAUUGAGUUAAUUUUGAGCUCACUUAUACGUGUAUUGAAUGAUAAUAUAUUUCUACAGGUUGUGUCAUGACUCAAAAUAGGCAUGUGAUGGUACUUGUCACACCCUCCAGAUAAUCAAGCCUAUCCUAAACAAAACUCAAUAAUCAUGAAAAUUAGAAGCAAAAGAAAAACAAUAAUCCCCCAAAAAUAUAUAGAGAGGAAGUAAAUAUUCAAUAUACAUCCCAUAUCUGGUUGUCACUAGUACAAGACUUCAAUAUAGAAUGCAAAUAAUAAUUUUCUAGAAUAUCCUAGAUGCAAAUAUAUCAUAAGACAUAAAUAAAGAGAUCUAAGAAGUCCUGAAGACCCUCAGCCACUUCCUUGAUCUCCGUAAUGCUAAUACCAGAAGAAGAUGAUCUACAAACUGCAACUUGAUCCAAUAACUGUACCGGGUGCAAAAAAAUAAGUAAAAAAGCAAGAGUGAGUAUGAAACCACAUGUACUCAGUAAGAAUCGUCGAUAAUGGACCCUAAUACAAGUGAUGGCAAGAACCACCACCCCAACUACCGAAGGUUUCCCAAUCAGUCUAUACCCAACCAAAUCAUCGUACUUUAUCCUAUCAGGGUAACCUAACACAAUAGACAAUAGACAUAUCUAAUACAGGGCAGGCACACUAAUAUAGAUUAAUCAAUACUACUCAUUUAUAUUUAACCACAAGGUAUUUCAUUUAUGAAGAAGACUUACAAAUGCACUAUUACAGGCUUAAUCAAUUAUCAUUUACCAAUACAAUAGGAUAACAUACGGAGAGGGUAUAUAUAAGGGUGUAUCUCAUGCUGCCAAAAGGUACCACCUAUCUAUCUUUUGAUCAAACCGCCGUCAUGCCCCAAGUCUCAUAAUACCUCAACCUCUCAAUCAAUGUACAAUUAAAUAGGAUAAUGUAAUGAAGUAAAAUGAAUGCUCAAAAAUAAUAUCACAAAUAAGGUUCUAUAAUGGCAUUACAAUACAAAAGUAAAUACCAACAAAAUAUCAAAUCAAAUCAAGGAAGGUAAUAUAGUGCAAAUGAAGAAAUUCAAUAUAGUGAUAAUGACGGGAUGAUGAUGAAUAUUUGAAAGUUAUCACAUAACUUUCUAUAUAAACCCACCAAGUUUGUAGCUACCAGGUAGGACACAUGGGGGUAGGGGGUUCACAACCCAUAUACUUUCCAUAACUCGAUCCACCUCUCUAGACAAUGUUCAUGGAUCAAGGUUACAAUAAUAUCUCAUAUCAACCUUAACAACACAUCCCUCAAGAUAGGCCUUUUAUGAAGUGUCUUAUUUUCUUACAAAAAUAAGAAUGUCUUAGUGGUGCUAAUGUAUCAUGAAUAUACAUGUGUGAUAUAAGGAUAUAACCCUUAUGACCAAUCAGUAUUAAGAUCUAAAAUCCAUUCAAUACAUGUAUAAGUAAGCUCAGAAUCAAUUCAAUAUAUCAAUAAUUCAUGAUAUUAGUUUCCACUUGGUACCAUCAGAAUAAGCAGUCAUGUAUUCAAUCAAUAAUAUCAUUUCCAACCUCUCACUUGAGCAUCAUUAUAAUGAUAAUGCAAAUAAAUACUCAAAUAAGGCCUACAAUGUUACGUCAAGCCCCCACUUAGGUGACACAAUUAUAGAUAAGGCAUUUUAAUACACAUAUAAGGCCUAUGAUGACAACUCAAGCCCUCACUCGAGCGACAUAAUAAUAAAUAAAAUAUUUAAUGAAUAAAGAUGACCAACAAUAUCAAGUCAAGUCCCCACUUGACCAUCAUAGUAGUAAAUCCUCUCUUAUUAAAAAUCAAUACACAUAUAAGCCCCUAUUAGACACAUGAUCAUAAAUAAUUACUCAAGUCUAUAAUGAAGUUCACAUAAGCCUCACAUGGGCAAUACGAAAUUACCAAAAAUCCUGAUAAUAGUAUAUUAUGGACUAUCCAAACCUAACUUAGUCCAUACAUUAAGCCUCAACUAUAACAAGUAUAUUCAUACUUUAUGUAUGCUCUAAACCUCAACCAUUCAUCAAUAAUUAUAAUGCCCCAUAAGAUCCUAAGCUUGAUUCAUCUCUUAUUUUCAUGCUUAAGGGUUCCACGCUUUAAAGUUUCAUUAGGUGUUGAGGACUUAGUCAUUUUCAAGACCCCUAAACUUUGUAGAUUUUUAUGAUAAAAUAUUAGUUUUUAAGUGGAUUCAUGGUUAAGGAGUUUAAUAGUAUGUCUCAGGUGAGUUUUGAGAUUUUCGGACGAGGUUUGGGAUAUUUUGGAUAGCAAAAAUAGUAAGGCAAUGUGAUUGGGCCGCGAUGUGUUGCUCUCUCCCAUGGUGAAGUGCAUCGUGAUGCGUUGAUCUCUCCCCCAAAGUAAGAUACAUGGUGCAUUGCUCACUCCCAUGGAGAAAGAGGCAUGACGUGUGGCUCUAUCUCGCAUAGUGCCAUUGGUUAAGUGCCCAAGGGGCAUUUAAGUCAUUUUCCUCACCCUAUUUUGUCCUUAACACGAUUUUGAACUCCUAAAAAGGGAAUUAAUUCACCCUUUCACCCCAAAUUGCUAACAAGAAACCCUUCUUGUUCCCCAGGAAUAAACCCAAGCUUCAUUCUCAAGAAAUCAAGGGUUCAAGCUUCGAAGUUCAAGAAAUCUUUAAGAUUAUAGCUAUUAAGGUAUGUGAGGUGUUCAUCCAUGAGUCCCUUUCACCUAUGGAUCCCAAAAACCUUUCUUUGAUUUAUAAAUAUGAAUAUUCCCCUAUUAUGAAGUUGCAAAUGUUUAAGAUGAGUUUAAUUCAUGUUUUUCCCAAGUAAUUUGGCUCAAUUCAUGUCCUAGUAUGAUCCUUUGGAAUGUUAGGGAAUUUUAUGUUUAGAGUUUUGAAUUCCCAUGUUGUAUUGAAUUGAAUUUCUUGUCAUAAUAUCAAAUUUGUGAAUUUGGCCAUGAGGUCAUGUUGUUUUCUCACGUUUUAUGACAUUGCGAUAUCCAAGUUCAUGACUCCCAUAUGUUUGAUGAAAUGUUUAUGUUUUGGGUCAUUGAACCAUGAUCCCCUACUAUAGAUUAAAAGCUUUGUUACUGCAUUUUAUGGUCAUUUAGUGCUGACGGGUUAUGAACACCCGCUACAAAGUGCUUUUACAUGAUUUUUGUUUAUAAGGGAUGAUUUAGUUAGGCCAUGUUUUACCAUCAUAUUUAGAGCACCAUAUUCAUAUUGAGUGCUUAAAAGUACGUACCAUAUCAUUUUAAAUAACUAAUAACACCUACGUUAUUCAGUUGGGAGUAACACUUAGCACCUAGUGAACAUAGGGGUGGUAUCUCCCCGCCAGUUAGGCAUGAGAAUUUAGUGGAAGUUCCUGGGUUCUAGACCUAUGGUGCUAUCAUAAAUUAUAAGGGGUCCCCCAUCAGUAGAGGUAUAACACCCUUAUCCUUCAGGACAUCAGCCUUGUGGAUCCAUACCGUCAGCCAUGUAUUGGUACCCUUGGCAAGGUACUAGCACCCUUCCAACAAGGUUAUAGGUUGGGCCCCAAUAGCUUGAAUUGGGGAAUAUUUGUUAUAGCUAGCCCCCACGCUCUCAGUACAAUAUUUAGUAUAUUUUAGAUCAGGUUUGUUUGACCAAGUGUACAGAUUUUUAGUUAUUUAAUUAUACUGCUUUCAAUCAUUUAAAUUAUAGAUUAUCUCACCAACAUUAUAUUUUAUGUUCAUGCAUUCUUGUUUAGAUAUCCAAUGCAGUAUAGAUAUUCCUAACCUAACGAGCCAGUUCAUUCAAAGUACUGAUCGCAUACUCUUUUUUGCAUUAUGUUGUCUUAUAACAUUGGUCCGAAUGCUCAGUUUCAUAACUAUUCAUAGACAAAUCAGCAUUACCCAGCAGCAAUAGUGGUGCAUCCUCCUCCAUCAAGGACAUUUUUUUUACUUAUUUAUCAUAGUUAUUUCAGUAUUUCUUUAUGUUCAGACAAUUGGAGUUAUUUGAGGGCUUGUCCCAUCAUCUCCUCAUGAUGUUAGAGGCUUUCAAACAUAUCAGUUAGACAGUCAUUCGGUUUAUUCAGUCUUUAUCAAAUAUUUUUGACAAGUUCUUAUUACAUAUAUCAGUAUUCAGUUUUAUAGUAUCUUAUCAGAUUACCUUUAGUGCAUGUUUUGUAUUGAUAUUUUGUUCAGUGCUCACAGCAGGUACCAGUUCUUGAGUUAGCUUAUAGUCACUUGUGGUCAUAAGCAUCAUUGUCACGACUGGGGGUAGCCUCGGGCUAUGACAAAACUUGGUAUCAAAGCCUAAGGUUUUAAAGUUUCCCAGUGAGUCUUAAAAACGCAUUGAGUAUAUUUUUGUACAUGGGUGUAAAGCACGCCACACUUAUGGACAAGAGGCUACAAGUCAUUUUAGGAAAGUUUCCAUUCUUUUAGUGUUUUCAUGAUCUCUAUUUAAUCUCUCUUUCUAAUACAUCCUUCAUUCCAUUGACAAAUAAUGCCUCCUAGAAGAAACAACGUAAGAACAAAUGGGGAUCAACAUGCACCACCACCUAUUCAGGAAGAUCCCUUGAAUAACCAUGUUUCUCAUGCUGAGUUUAGGGCUACUUUUAUGACCUUAUCCCAUUUUGUAGCUGCUCUGAACAACCAAAAAGUUGUUGCCCCAUCCAAACCAGUGUUAAAUACAACUAUAUUUAGGGUUUGAGAUUUCACUAAGAUGAAUCCCCCUCUAUUUUCAGGAUCCAAGUCUGAGGAGGAUCCAUAGGAAUUUUUAGAUAUAGUAUAGAAGGUGACUAAAAUCAUGGCAUCACUUUGAGUAAGAGUGCAGAGUUGGAUGCAUAUUAGUUGCAGGAUGCAACUCACUCUUGGUUUAAGCAGUGGAAAGAGGACUGAGGUGUUAAUAUAGGGCCAGUAGAGUGGGAGGAUUUUUCUUUAACUUUCUUCAACAUGUUCUUUCCACUAGAUUUGAUGGAAGCUAACAUUCAGGAUUUUAUUAUUUUGAAGUAAGGUAGUAUGAGCGUGAAGGAGUACUCAUUUAACUUCACUUAGUUGGCGAGGUAUGCUCCUACUAUGGUGGCGGAUAACAGGUCUUGAAUGAGUUAGUUUGUGUCUAGUGUAUCUGAUAGUGUGGUCAAGGAGUGUAGGACCACCAUGUUGAUUAAGGAGACAAACCUAUCUAGACUCAUAGUUCACGCUCAGAAGAUCAAGGACGAGAAGCUUAAGGAGAAAGACAGAGAAUAAUAGGGCCAGAAUAGGUAGUUUUAACUUUUCUCAGCCAAGGUCUAAAGGUUGUAAUCGUUCCUAGUUCUAUCAGAAGUUUUUAGCCCUAGAUCCAUUGUCAUCUAGUGCUCCAGUGCCUAAGUUAGGAAAGACAGUCAGGACAGGGCACCAGGCUCUAAGUCCCAGGGUAGUAUUAAUAGUGGUCAUACCAAUCCGCUCUAUAGGAAAUGUGAUAAGAAUCAUUUAUAUUAAAGUAGGGCUGGCAGUGAUGUGUGUUUUGGAUGUGGCAAGCCAGGACACAAGAUUAGGGAUUGCCCCGUAGGUAUGUGGAAGGGUCAAAAUAAUCAUCAAUAGGGCCAGAAUACUUCUUCAGCAGCACCAGCGGGUCACCUAACUCAGCAGGGCUCCAUUCCAAGUGCCACUAGCGGGCAACAUCAGAAUAAGAUAUAUGCUCUCUACACUUGGUACAUUAUAGGUUUUCCAUCUUUAUGUUUAUACAUUGUUAGAUCAUGGAGCUUCACUUUAUUUUUGAUUCUUUAUAUUGCUAUAGAUUUUUGUGUGAAUCCCAAAACAUUAGUAGAGACUUUAUUAGUGUUUACCUUCGAGGGUAAAUCUAUUAUUGCCAAAUGGGUGUAUAGAAAUUAUUCGGUCACAGUAUCUCAUAAAAUUUCUUCAGUUGACCUUGUAGAGUUAGAGAUGACUAAUUUUGAUGUCAUUCUCAAUUUGAAUUGGCUCCACUCAUGCUAUACCUUAGUUAAAUGUAUAAAUAGAGUUAUUUAGUUUCAGUUUCCCAAUGAACCAAUCAUUGAAUGAAAGGAUAGUACUUCAGUGCUUAGGGGUCAGAUUAUUUUAUAUCUUAUAGCAAGAAAGAUUAUAUCUAAGGGGCGUGUUUACCAUCUCGUCCGAGUCAAAGAAUCAACUACAAAGACUUCAAUUCUUGACUUAGUUCUUAUAGUAAAUGAAUUUUUAGAUGUGUUCCCUGAAGAUUUUCCCGGAGUCCCUCCCGAGGGAAGUUGACUUUGGAAUAAAUCUCCUUCCAGAGACCCAACCUAUAUCUACUCCACCAUACAGAAUGGAUCCAACUGAGCUUAAGAAGUUGAAGGAAUAGUUAAAGGAUAUCUUAGAUAAGGGUUUUAUUAGGCCUAGUGUUUUGGCAUGGGGCGCUCCAGUCUUGUUCCUGCGUAAGAAAGAUGGUUCUCUAAGAAUGUGCAUUGACUACCUCCUAUUUAACAAAGUCACCAUCAAGAAUAAGUAUCCACUCCCUAGAAUUGAUGACCUAUUCGAUAAACUUUAGGGUGCCAAUUAUUUCUCUAACAUAGACCUUAGAUUCGACUAUCAUCAGCUCAGAGUCAAGUGACAUUUCGAAGACAACUUUAAGAACUCGGUAUGGUCACUUCGAAUUCUUAGUUAUGUCAUUCAAAAUAAAUAAUUCCCCUACAUCUUUAAUGGAAUUGAUGAACAGGAUUUUCAAGCAGUACUUGGACAUGUUUGUCAUAGUAUUCAUUGAUGACAUCUUUGUCUAUUACCUUGGUGAAAAUGAUCAUGCAGACCAUCUGAGAAUUAUGUUGUAGACCCUUAAAGCUCAUCAAUUUAUUUUUCUAAAUUUAGUAAGUGUAAAUUUUGGCUAAGAUCAUAGCUUUCCUUGUCCAUAUUAUUUCUGGUGAUGGCAUUCGAGUUGACUUUCAAAAAACCAAAGUAGUGAGACAUUAGCCCAAACCUAUCUCUCCCUAAGAUAUUAGGAUUUUCUUGGGUUUGGCUGGCUAUUACGGAUGGUUUGUUGAAGAUUUUUCUUUACUUGCACUCCCCAUGUCUCAAUUAACUCAGAAAAAAUUCCAAUUUUAGUGUCAAAUUCCUGUGAGAAGAGUUUUCAGGAGUUGAAGAAUCGCCUCACUUUUGCCCCCGUCUUAACCUUGCCAGAUAGUUUAGAUGGAUUUCUAUGUUACUGUGAUACUUUCAGAGUUGGUCUUGGUUGUGUUUUGAUGCAGAGGGCCAAGGUCAUAUCCUAUGCCUCUAGACAACUUAAACCCCGUGAAAAUAAUUAUUGUACCUAUGAUCUUGAGUUGGCAUCUGUUGUCUUUGCCUUGAAAUUUUGGAGGCACUAUCUUUAUGGGAUUUAUGUUGAUGUUUUCACUGACCAUAAGAGUUUACAGUAUGUGUUCUUGCAGAAAAUUUUGAAUCUUUGUCAGUGAAAGUGGCUUGAGUUGUUAAAAGAUUAUGAUAUGAGUGUGUUGUAUCAUUCAGGCAAGUCCAAUAUAGUGGCAGAUGCCCUUAGGAGAUUGUCUAUGGGUAGUGUUGCCCAUAUAAAGGAUCAUAAAAAGAAGUUAGUCUAUGUGGUUCAUCAGCUUGCUAGACUAGGUGUCGAGUUGGUUGAUUCAACUGAAGGUAGUAUUUGGGUUCUGAAUGGUUCAAAAUCAUCAUUGGUUGCUGAAGUGAGAGAAAAAUGAGAUAGGGAUCCCAGUUUGGUUAAGUUGAAGGAGGUUUUCUCCCAAAGGGGUUAUGGUGUGCUUCAUUGUUAAGGUAGGUUAUGUGUUUCAUGUGUUGAUGAUCUGAUAUAAUGAAUACUUGCAGAAGCGCAUAGUGUGCAGUAUUUUAUUCAACUAGGAACCACUAAGAUGUACCGUGAUUUGCGUGAAAUCUAUUGGGGGAAUGGUAUGAAGAAGGAUAUUGCAGAGUUUGUGGCUAAGUGUUCAAAUAGUUAGCAGGUCAAAGUUGAUCCCUAAAGGCCUAGUGGUACAUUGUAGGAGUUUAGCAUCCUCACUUGGAAGUGGGAAGUGGUGAACAUGGAUUUUGUAAUAGUAUGCAUCAUCAACAUGAUUUGAUAUGGGUCAUUAUGGAUAGAAUGACCAAAUUAGCUUAGUUUUUGCAAGUUUAUAUUCGUAUUUAGCUAAGAAUUAUGCCAGGCUUUAUCUUAAGGACUUGGUUAAGUUGCAUGGGAUUUUAUUGACUAUCAUUUCAGAUAGAGGUACUCAGUUUACCCCACUUUUGGAAGGCUUUUCAGAAGGGUCUUGGUACCCAAGUUUAUCUCAAUACAAUAUUUCACUCUCAGAUAGAUGGUCAGGCGGAGAGGACCAUUCAUACACUAAAGGACAUGUUAAUUGCAUAUGUUGUUAACUUUAAAGGUAGUUGGGAUGACCACUUACCUUUGAUUGAGUUUGCCUAUAACAAUGUUUUCACUCUAGUAUUCAGAUGACUCUAUUUAAGGCUCUCUAUGAAAGGAGAUGUAGGUCUCCUAUUGGUUAGUUUAAAGUAGGUGAAGUUGCUUUGAUAGGGCUAGAUUUAGUAUUUGAGGCAAUGGAGAAAGUUCAGUUGAUUUGGGAGAGGCUAAAGAUAGGCCAAAUCUAUUAGAAAUCUUAUGCAGACGUGAUGAGAAGAGAUCAUGAGUUUGAGGUUGGUGAUUUGGUCUAUUUGAAGAUUUUGCAUAUGAUGGGAGUGAAGAGAUUUGGCAAGAAGGGGAAACUCAGUCCCCACUAUGUUCACCCUUAUAAAAUUUGGAAUCGUUUUAGAAAGGUAGCCUAUGAACUUGAGUUACUUGCAUAUUUGGAUUAAGUGCAUCCAGUGUUCCAUGUCUAUUUGUUAAGGAAAUAUAUUGGUGAUUUAGCUAUUGUUGUUCCUCUAGAAAGUAUAAAUGUUCAGGAUAGCCUUUCCUUUGAGGAAAUCUUAGUUUAUAUUCUUGAUCGUCAGAUUCAUAGACUAAGGAAUAAAGAAGUUUCUUUGGUUAAAUUUCCAUGGUAGAAUCAGUCUGUUGAGGGAGCAACUUGGGAAGCAGAAGCAUACAUGUGAACCAAAUACCCUCAUCUUUUCUCUGCAAAUUCAGAUUCUGCUUGAGGUAAUAAUUUUCCUUAGAUUGACUCUUUUCCAUUCUCAGUUCAUCUGUGUAACCAUUCUCAUGUAAUUGCAUACAUUCACAAAAUCAGUUCAGUUCAUGAAUUAUGCUUCAGGAUCAGUUAUGUAAUCUUGUCCCAAGUCAAGUAUGUUCAAUAAUGAUCUAAUUUUCCUCAAUAUUCUCAGCUAAAUCAGUCUCAUUUGAGGAUGAAUAUUCUCAAGGGAGAGAUAUUGUAAUACCCCGUAAAAUCCUAAGCGUGAUUUAACUCUUAGUUACAUGCUUAAGUGUCCAAGGCUUGAAAAUUUCACCAAGUUUUGAGGACUUAGUCAUUUUCAAGACCCCUAAGCUUUGCGGAUUUUUAGUUUCAUCUUCUUGACCUUGAAACAUUGGUUUUAAUGUUGAUCAAUGGUUAGGGAAGUUAAAAGUAUAUCUCGAGUGAGUUUCAAGAUUUUUGGAUGAGGUUUGAGAUGUGCUUACAUAGCCAAAAUAGUGAAGCAACGCGAUUGGGCUGCGACGCAUUGCUCUCUCCCAUGGUGAGGUGCUCUGUGAUGCAUUGCUCUCUCCCCAAGAAUAAGCUACGUGGUGUGUUUCUCUCUCCCAUAGAUGAAGAGACGCGACAUGUGGCUCUGUCCCACACAGUGUCAUUGGUUAAGUCCCAAGGGGUAUUUGAGUCAUUUUCCUCACCAUAUUUUAUCUUUAACGCAAUUUGGAACUCCCCAAAAGGGUAUUAUUUGUCCCUUUCACCCUAAAUUGCUCUCAAGAAACCCUUCUUCUUCCUCAGGAACAAACCCAAGCUUCAUUCUCAAGAAAUCAAAGGUUCAAGCAAUCUUUAGGAUUAUAGAUACUAAGUUAUAUGGGGUGUUCAUCCAUAGGUCUCUUUCACCCAUAGAUCCCAAAAACCUUUCUUUGAUUUACAAAUAUGAAUUUUUCCCUAUUAUGAAGUUGCAAAUGUUUAAGAUGAGUUUAAUUUAUGUUUUUCCCUAGUAAUUUGGCUUAAUUCAGGUCCUAGUAUGAUCCUUUGGAAUAUAGGGUAUUUCAUGUUACAAGUUUUGAAUUCCCAUGUCGUAUUUAAUUAAAUUUUAUGUCAUAAUAUUGAAUUUGUAAAUUUGUCCAUAAAGUCAUGUUGUUUCCUCAUGUUUUAAGACAUUCCCAUAUUCAAGUUCAUGACCCCCACAUAUUUGAUGAAAUGUCUAUGUUUUGGGUCUUUGAGUCAUGAUCCCCUACUAUAGAUUAAAAGCUCUGUUAUGGUAUUUUAUAGUCAUUUAGUGCUGGCGGUUAUGAACACCCAAUACCAAAGUGUUUUUACAUGAUUUUUGUUUAUAAGUGACGAGUCAGUCAGACCAUAGUUUUACAAUCAUAUUCAGAGCAUCAUGUUCAUGCUGAGCGCUUACAAGUACAGUACCAUAUCAUGUUAAACAACUAAUAGCACCUAUGUCAUCAGUUGGGAGUAACACUUAGUACCGAGUGAACAUAGGGAUGGUGUCUCCCCCAUCAGUUAGGUAUGAGACGUUAAUAUUAGUUCAUAGGUUCUAGACCUACGACGCCACCAUAGAUUAAGAGGGGUCCCUCGACUGUAGAGGCAUGACACCCUCGUCCUUCGGGACAUCAACCUUAUGGAUCCACAUCGUCAUUCAUGUGUUAGUACCCCUGUCAAGGUACCAGUACCCUUCUAACUAGGUUACAAGUUGGAACCCGCUAGCUGAAAUUGGGGCAUGUCAGUUAUAGAUAGCUCCCACGAUCUCAGUACAGUAUUCGACAUAUUUUAUAUAAAGUUUUCUUGACCAAGUGUACAGAUUUUUAGUUAUUUAGUUAUACAGCUUUCAGUUAUUUAGAUUACAGAUUAUCUCAGUAACAUAAUUAUACUUGGUCUUGUAUUCUCAAAUAUUUCAUGUUCAUGCAUUCAUGUUCAGAUAUUAAAUACAUUAUAAAUAGUCCUUACCUCACAUACCAGUACAUUCAAAGUACUGAUCGCAUACACUUCUUUGCGCUAUGUUGUCUUAUAACAUAGGUCUAGACGCUCAAUUUCCCAACCAUUCUUAGACAUCUCAGCAUUACCGAGCAGCAACAUUCGUGAGUCCUCCUCCAUCAAGGACAUUUAUUUACUUAUUUAUCAUAGUUAUUUUAGUAUUUCCUUAUGUUUUGACAGUCGGAGUUAGUUGAGGGCUAGUCCCAUCAAAUCCUCAUGUUGUUAGAAGCUUUCAAACAUAUUAGUUAGACAGUUAGUUAAUUCUUUCAGUCAUUAGUAGAUAUUUUAGAAAAGUUCUUAUUACAUAUAUCAGUAUUCAGUUUUAUAGUAUCUUAUAAGAUUACCUUCCGUGCAUGCGCUGUAUUGUUAUUUUGUUCGGUGCUCACAGCACGUACCAGCUCAUGGGUUAGCUUGUGGCCACUUGUGGCCGUAAGCACCAUUUUCACGAUCAGGGGUAGCCUCAGGUCGUGAUAAUAAUGAUGAUAAUAAUGUAAUUCCCCCGAACAAAGAAUUAAUCCAUAAUCAUAUAAUAAAAUCUCCUUAGAAGAUUAAUGCUCUAAAAUAGGAAUUCCAAUAGCUAUUAUUUGAUAUUAAUAAGUUAUCUAUCUAUAUUCUACUAUAAGGAUAAUUGAAAGUAGUAGUACAAACUAAUUAAGACAAUAAUCUAGCUACAAUCCAUCAAGGACAUCAGUACCUGUGUAGGGUGUUGUUGUAACAAUUUUUGGUAGAUAAUUAGGAGUAAUACAGGUACUUGAGGUAUUUAGCUUGUUUUGUGACUUUUGAGAACCUCUCCAUUGAUCUGAGUUUAUAACUGUGUGAAUUGCAUUCAUCUGUGAUUGCGGUGCUUCUUUUUUUGGCAUUAGUAUGGCAACUUGACAUUUGUUGCUGAUCAAAUUGCAUGAAUUGGAUAAGUAGUGAUAUGCAACGUACUUGUGUGCCAUGUGUGUGUGAGUUCUUACUCAGCUCCUGCUGUGUGCUGAAUCUAGAACUUGCCCUGUUAGUCAUACCUAGGUUGUAGGAUAAGGGUUAGGAAAGGAUCAUAGGCCAUUUUUGAUUGUAACCCACUUUCAGCCUAAAUGACCUUCCCAAUAUGAAUAAUAUCCCUUGAUCCAUGAUUUGAGCCUAUAUGCCUAUUUUUUUCUGUGAAACCUCUCACCUUCCUGUUUACCUCACAAUGAACCUGUUUUGGCCCUAGUCCUUCUUGGACAGUAUGCACCUUGACUUAUGCAAAUAGUCUAAGUUGAGGGUGGCUAUCAUAGGGGUGUGUGAUGCAAAAUGAGCAUGAAGAGAGGUAGAAUAAGAGAAAAGAUAAAUAGUUGGGUGCGGUAAAAAAGUAAUAAGAAAAGAGAAAACUGUGUUAAACAUAAUAAAAAGAUAAUAUGAUGAUUGAAAAUACCGUAUCCAUAUUGAGCAUGUGUGAUCAAUAAAGAGAGGAAGAAAAGAAGGUUGACAAGUGAAACCCUAAGAGUUUAGUAUAGUGUCUAGGAGGCAUAGUCACUCUAAAAUAUCCAUGAAUAUCAUACCAGCCCUGACCUACAUUACAAGCUUAAGAAAAGUCCUAUCGUGAUCCUAACCGACCUGUCUGAAGACUUGGGUACUGACAAUAAGGGUAAGCCUAUGGCAUUUGACAUGCAGUGUUUGGAACUUCAUUUUGAGAGUGAGUCUUGUGAUUAUACCUAUGUUUAUGUAUGUGAAUUCUGAUAUGAGUUAAAAAGGGAUUUCUUUAUUGUGAGGGCACACUGGGUAUGUUGCUAGUCACUGACUUGUUCAGAUAGUAUGAUCUUGGUAUGUCAUGGUUGUUAUUGUUAAAUUUUUGCCACAUCUUGAUUCUUGUGAGUAGCAUGGGUGUUCUUCAAAACAUCAACAGUGAGUUUUAAAUUGACUGACCUUGGAGAUGGUGAAUGUAUUCUGAACUAAUAUGAGUAGUUAACUGCCAAAGUGUACUUUGUAUUCUCUUAGUUAUGUCAUGGUUUCUUGAGGACAAGCAAUUAUUUAAGUUGAGGGUGUUGAUGUGUGAGCCUAUGCUAACACAUUUGAGGCUUUUAACACUAAAUAAUUGCAAGAUCUUGAGCAACUUUAGUUGUUUUUGAUUAGUUUACUUUGAUUUUGUAGUAAAUAUUGAGAUGCAGGGGAACCAAAAAUAAUAGAAGCAAAAAGGCUGAAAUGUGAAGCAAAUAAAAGUGUGGUUGACGACAUUCAUGAUAAGUCGUCAACCCAGUGAUAAGCUAUCAAAGACAAUAUCAGCCUUAAAUAGGAGAUGAGUUUCAGCUGGAAGAGUUGACAAAAUUUUGUGAUUGGCCUUCAGGAUGGUGAUAAGGCGUCAAGGAUACCGUCAGACGUAGACAGGACAUGAAAAUUGGAGCAGGAAGAUGACGAUGUUCUUGAUAAGCCGUCAAAAUUCUGAUAAUCCAUCAUCAUCGUCGUCAGUCUUAGACAGCAAGAGCCAAAAGUGAAGAGGAGCUGACGACAUCCGUGAUAAGUCAUCAGACUCCUGAUAAGCUAUCACGGAUGUCGUCAUUUAUUUCGAGGAAAAGAUGUAACCUUGAUUUUGUUUCCGUAAUUAGGGUAAAAUAUUUAAAGCUUUAUUUUAGGGUUUUAUAGGGGGGAUUCAAAACAUUAUUCGACAUUUUGACUUUUGACAACAUACUCUAAUAUUUUCUCUUUUUACUCCUAGACUUUAAAAACACAACUAUUUCGAGAGAUUAUUAGCAGUAUUUUUGUGACUUUUCUUUGUGAUCUAAUCUAUGAUUCACUGUUCAUUAUUCAUCUCUAUAAGUUUAUCUUUCAAAACAUGAAUUCAAUUAUGUGUUUCGUUCAUUGCAUCAUAAGUGGCUAAAAUCCAUUAACCUGAGUUAUGGGAUCUAGGGUUAGGUCUUGAUAAGGUGCUAAGUAUUCAAGAUUCAAAAGACGGUAAGAUUUCUUGAUAAUUCUAUUUUAAUUAACAUUUGUUGGUUGCAAAUAGUAGACACACCUUGUUUGAUUUGCUUGAGAAUGAAAUCAAAUAUAGUAGGAAGUGAAUUAUCAAUAGGGACUCAGAAAUACUUCAAUUAAAAAUCAGCGCUGUAACAAGGUUGGUUAACCUGAGAUAAAAUCUAGGCAGUAAAUAGAAAUUUCCUAAGUCCGAGAAGAUUAGGGAGUUAAACGCUUAAGUAGGUCGAGAUACAUUUAAGCAUAAUAUUGAUAAAGAUAGCUUGUUAUCCUACCCACCAUGAGAAUCUUGAACCACUUUUAGCAUCUGUCAUGUACCGGAAGCCCUAGUGAACAUAAUUCUGGUUAUUUCAUAAACUCUUGAUUUACAAACACUGAAAGUAAAGUGACAAACAACAACUUGUUAAACCUAAACCCCCCAUUUCAGGAAAUAUUAAACUAUCAGUGGAUUAAAUUGCAAACAACUUAAGUUCACACCAUAUUCCCUGUGGGAUUCUACCCCAACCUAGUUGGGUUUUAUAUUGACAACGAUCGUUUACUCCCAUUCAAGAAUGUAAUUUAAGUGUUAUCACCCAACUACCUCUGACUACUGAAAAUACUGAGUCUACUGUAAAACUAAAAUAAAAGUAUAUCCUUGGUAGAUGGGGACUCACUACGGUAUAUGAGCUUUUAUUGAAGAUGAAUACUUAUUUUUGAUACUGAGUAACUGAUAUUUGAGAUUAAUGAUAACUGAAUUACUGAUAACUAGGUGAUUGUGUCUGAUAAUCUUGAUUCUGUAGAACUGAACUAAGUUUUAUACUAAGACUGAAACUAAAACUGUGGGAGGUAAUAAUCUAACCGACAUACCCCUCUCUGAACUGAUUGGUGUCCAGCCUGUGACCCUUGUUGGAAGGGUGUCAUUACCAUUCCAUGGGUAAAUACAAGUUGCUAAGUCACCCUCAUCUGGCAGGUGCUUGGAAUGAGAAAGGUGGUACCUUCAUCUAGCAGGUAGGACACCUCAUCAACCCUCAAUUGGUAGGUUGAUGUCUCAACCUAUGCUGGCUACGUAGUUCUAGAACCCAAUGGCUGCUUCUAAGGAUCACACCAUCUAUUGGCAGGUGAGUCCUCAUCCUUGGGUUCACUCGAUGCUGAAUCCUACUCCCAAAUGAAUAAAUCAUGGACUGAUUACUAGACUGUACUGGAUUUAACUGAACUAUUACUGAUCGUGUUGACUGACUGAACUGGACUGAGUUUACUGAGUUCUAUAACUGACUGAGUACUACUGAUCGUGACACUAAUGAGACUAUUAUGUAAAAACUGUAUCUCUAGGUAAAUAGCUAGAUUUUUGAGUAUUAGAUAUCCCCAAGACUCAAUAGCGUGAAAGUAAAGCAUAACAUAAUCUUAAAAAGUAAAACAAUGUCCACUUGUUCAUAAUUCAUUCAUAGAGAUAUUUUAUCAAACCUUUGUAGGGCAUAAGCUUGUACAUAUGCUAGCAUGUCAUGAUUUCACUAUUUAAUUCACAUGGUCAUUCCAUCAAACACAUGGGGAGCACACAUUAAUGAAUAUAAUCAUGGACAACAUGUAAAUAUUGUAACUACAACACCCAAACUUGCAAAUUCAAGGAUUAUAACAUGGGAAUUAUACAAUUCAUUAUAGAUGCUAUUUCAAUUUCAUGGAAUCUACAAUUAAUCAUGGAUUAAAACUUAAUUAAUGUCAUGAACAUGAAUACAAUCCAAUUCCAAGCGUGUAAAUCAUGAAUCAAUAAUCUUGUAGUUUUAAAAAUAGAUUCUUGGACUCUAUGGGUGAAAGAAACCCAUAGAUGAACACCUAACAUACCUAGGUAUUUUAAAUUCUUGAAGGUUAUUGGAGGAAUUCUUGAGCUUUGUUCUUGUUUUUUAAAGCAAAGGUUUUCUCCUUUUUGAGAGAGAAUGGUUUAUUCUUGAGAGAAAGUGAGGAAAUAAAGACAUAUUAGGUUAUUUAGGGUACUAAUUUCGUGUUUAAGGCUAAUCUGAGUCAUGGAAAAAGACUCAAUUACCCCUGGAAAGUUUUUAACCGUAUUGCGGUAAGCCAUUGGAUUAUGGAUGAAAUUGCUGAAAAAGGAUGAGUGCGAAAAUUCACUUUGGUACGACAGAGACUCACUGGAAUUGACAAUUCUAAAAAAUGGAAUUGGCGUGACGCGAUGGUAUUACGUUGCCUCACUGGAAAAUGCCAAAUGAGAACUGGAACAAUAGUAAAGCACAAUGAUAGUGCGAUGGCACAUUAGAAAUUGGCAAUUGCCAUUUGGCCUGGCUCCGCGAAGUGGUGAUGUGCCAGUAGGCACAUUAUUUUACAAAAAUUGGUCUAACUCUUUGCCCGGGUAUCGGAUUUGGGUGAACUUUAUAUCAUUGGAAUGCUGACUGAAUUUCCUACGAAAUGGUAAGAUAUAAACUAAAAAAUUAUAAGUAUUUAGUAAAUUUUAUAUAGGAUUACCCAUGUACUAAAUAAGCUUGGGAAAUAUGAGGUAUUACACUUUUCCACUUGAAUCACCUCGACAAUGAGAUAUAGCUAAUAAAAUUAGAGUAAUGAAAGAAUUUGGAUAAAUUCCAUAUAGGCAUCACAAUGGCUUGACCUAGAGUAUGAUAGAAUGGGAAAUAUCUCCUAAAUACCUCAUAUCUUCCUUUUUAUAAGUGUGGCACACUACAAACCCAUAAAAAGGACUCUACUCGACACGGCUUUGUAAAUACACUGGGACCAUGAACCGUGCUCUGAUACCAAGAUUGUCAUGACCCAAUCUGAGGCCCUGGCCAUGAUAGAAAUCCCAAACCAUGAAGGCCCGAAAUACCCCUUAGCAUACUAUCAUAAGAAUAAUCCAUACAUAAAUCAAAUUACAUAAGAUAUAAUAAUGUUCAAUAGAAACUUAUAAUCCAAAAUGUGUCAAUGAAAUUAUGACAAUAUAAUACUCAAAUUCCAACUACGAAGCCUCUACUGAAUUACUAGUCAAUCUAGAUCAGGACAAGGCUAUCAGCCAGACCAUAAAACAACUAAACUAACAUAAGGACAGAAUGCCUUCAAAAGUAAGAGAGGCUCACUGACUCAGAACUCUUGGAACAAUCUACUAUUACUGAAUUGGACUUCAAGACUGAGCCUUAGAUCCUACAUUAUGAGACAAUGUAACUCCCAUAAAUGACGGUUAAUACUUGGAAUGUAUUGGUGUGCAGAACAAUUCAAAAGCAAUAUAACUUAUAUAACAUAAUCGAUAGCAUAAUAAAAUUAAUUUAACAUAACAAAAAUUAGACCCAUGGGCACACUUAAAAAGAGAUCUUCAAAUCAUUCUCGCAAAAGUAUUGAUUCAACUCUCUGAUUUACUUUUGAGCUAGAUGGUACACCCGACAAGUCUACAAUCCCACUGUAAUACCCUAUACUUUUCUUAGUUCAGUUCAGCUUCUAGUGCUUGUAUGAGAGGCUAAAAGCCUAAAAAUUUAGCUAUGUGUUGAGGACUUAGCCAUUUUUAAGACCUUCUAACUUUAAGGAAUUUUAAGUUGACCUUUCAAACUUUGAGAUGAUGAUUUUUGAGUUGGUUCAUGUUUAGGGGUGUAAGGAUCAUGUCUCGGGUAAGUUUUGGUUUUGUCAUAUGACGAUUGGGUCAUGUUUGGAUUUUAAUUCCAGCAUCUCAAUGCGAUUCUACCGUGUCACGCCAGGGAUAGUGAUAAAACACUUAUCGCAUCGGGGUGAAUGUGUAUUUGUCACAUUCUUGAUUCAUAAUUCAAAUGUAUGUGUCAUGAUCUUUAUCCUAUUGUAUGAAGUUCUUAUUAGGUGAAGAAUAUUCAUAAAAAUCACUUAGAGCCAAGUUGAGUUAAGAACCUUAUAUUCGUCCAAAUUUUGGUGUUCUAUUCUAAAAGGGUCAACUUUAAAAUUGUAUAACUUUUGAUGUAUGCAGAAUUUUUCAGCUCAAGAGCAACCAAAUUGUAGAUAAAUUGAAUUAUUUUUCCAAUGAUACCGAUUUUUCCUUAAUUCGAUACCCGAGUGAAAAUUUAUGACAUUUUUUGUGUGAUGCAGUAAGCCACUAUGAUUACACCGUGCCACAGUGAGCCUUAAAAUCGCAAUCUGGGUUACAAAUUUUUGGUUUAAAUGAGUGAGGAGAAAUUGGGUCUUUUACCACGUCAAUCCAAGUCGUAAAAACACAAUUUUAAGCAUUCAUUAUGGGAUUAUUUGCCCUCAUUCUCGUACUUUACUCUCAAGAAAAAACCCUAAUCAAUCCCCUUCAAGAUCAUUCAUUCCAUCACCUCCUCUUUAAGAAAAAUCAAGAAUUUAAGGUUCCUAAUUCAAGAAGUUCAAGAAAAGCAUUCAAGAAUAUUCUCAAGGCUUCCAAGUCAAGCUUUUACAUCAAAUCAAGCAUAAUAAUGUAUGUAGGGUUAUGAGUGAGGAUACUCCUUUCAUCCUUGUUCCCAAAAUUAGUUUUUACAGUUGAAUUUACAUGAAAUUAUAUGAUUUGCAGUUUAGAGUUCAUACCCAAUUAUCAUUAUUUGAAAAUUAUGAUGUUACAAGUGAUUUAAAUGUUGAAUUGCAUGUCUACUUCCACAUCUUUAUGCGUGUGACUUGAUUUUACAGAUUGAGAAUUGAAAUUCAUUAUCUUGACUAGAACUGUUAAAGAAUUUCAAGAUUAUUAUCAGUAAGUAUGAACUUUGUGAUGAUUUGAUAUGAGUUUAAAGCACGGGUUUUUAAGCCUUAAGUUUAAGUAUUGAUAUUUCAAGAAGAUUUUACUUUUAAACACCCUAUGACUAGUUUAUAUUUAGAUUUUGAACCAGACUUGUUCUUUUGAUCCUCAGUUAAGAUAUGAAAUUCACAUUUCAGAUUUUAUUAUAAUUUAAAGUAAUAAGAUGCAUAACUGGUUUUCAUUGUAAACCCUUAUUCUAGUUUUAAAGUGGAUUUCCUAUAGAAUGAGCAAACAGAUUAAAUGGAGUACUAUUUAGCCCUAUGUUGGGUAUGUGUCCAAGUUCACAUGCCCUAGAACUAUGAGCCAACGUAGGUACAAAUUUAGAUUAUUCCCAUUUAUAUAGAUGCAGAUAUAGAUUGCGAUCAUUCUACUUAGGUUAUACUCCUUGGCAUAAGUAUGAACCUCUCCCCAAUGUGAGGUUUUCCCUCUAAGGGAACUGGACGUUAGACACCAUGAUAGCUCACAUGGUGUAUGUCGGUUAGAAGAACCUCCCUAAGUCCUAAAACUGAAUAACAGAAUAGUUUUAGAAACUAAGUGUAAAGACUCACAAAUUUACUCAGUUAUUAUCUUACAUAAAACAUCAGUUAUUAGAUUUCAGCUUUCAUUUUAUAGAUAUAAAGGUGAUUCUUUUAUUUACACUUAGAUCGCAUGAUUUGAAAACAAACUCAGCUUCAGUUCUACUUAUUUUACAAACAAAAAGAGUAAAAGUACAAAUUUUAGAACUAAGUGUUAUGGCUCAUAGGAUUUACACAGUAUGCUUUAUUAUUCAUGAUUUAUGAUUUUUAGCUUUUAGUUAUUCGAGCCAAUGUGAGUCAUUUACACUUAGCAUGCAUCCAUUCUACAUGUUUAUAUGAACAUUGAUAUAUUGUUUUACUUAUGUAUUUACCCUCACAUUCUCAGGACAUUCCAAAAGUAAUGAUCCACAUAUACGUCUAUGUGCUAUUAUUUAAUAAUGUAGGUACAAGUGGUAGCAUGCACAUCAUAAUCAGACAUUUGCAGCUCUCAGUCAGCUAGUGGUGAGCCCUUUUGAUUCAAGGGUUUGAGUCAGUCAUAGAUCGAGUAGUUUUUUCUUUCCUUAUUCAGUCGUAUUGGUUCGGGAUAGUUGGGUGUCAUGUACUGACUACCUAUAGUCAAUCCUGGUAGAGGCUUUGUAGAGAAACAGUCAGUAGAGUUAAUGUAUUUAAUUUUAGUUUUGUUUUGUAUAAGUAGAGUUGUAAUCCUUUUCAAUAUAGUUUUGAAUUAAUCAUAUUCAGAAAAUAUUUAUCUUCCAUAUUAUUCUUUCAGACUUAUGUAUUUAUUUCAUUUGCUCAUGAUUUAUGCCAGUACAAUGGUUAGCUUGUAUUUCUUUCAGACUUAUGUAUUUAUUUCAGUUGCUCAUGAUUUAUGCCAGUACAAUGGUUAGCUUGGAAUCACUUGUGGUCCUGAGCAUCGUGUGACAUCCGAGGGGUAGUCUCGGGGCAUUACAAACUUGGUAUCAGAGAACGGAGUUCCAGUGUCCUAGGGUAUCUAUGAAGCCGUGUCUUGUAGAGUCUUGCAGAAUGGUAUGGAGACAUCUGUACUUUUCUUCAAAAGGCUGUAGCGCAUUUAAGAAAUAUCUCUUUUCUUUGAUACUCUAAAUCAUGCAGUAAAGUUCUUCUCUCAAAAACUUCUAUUGAUUCAUAUGUUACUCCAUAAUUCUCCAUCUAUGUUAUUUUCUUGAAAUAACAUGAUUAGCAAGUUCCAAUUCCUCCAAAGAUGAUGCUCUCGGAUUUACUAUUUGUAAAUUCAGACAUCAUACAAGGGGCUUAAGAUGUAAAGCCUUGAGAGUACACCCUCGACACUACAUGAUGCUUACAGUCACAAGUGACCGCAAGCUAACCCAUGAUACUGGUACCUACUGUGUGCACUGGGUAAAACUAAUAACAAAUUAUAUUUGUAGAAUUUAACUGAAAGAUGCCAUAAGAUUUUAAACCAUAAUUCUUUGAAUGUCUAAAAAACACACUGAGAAUAGAAAUAAAAUGGCUAAUAAUGAAAACUAAGAACUGAUUGCUGACUUACUGUUUGUACUAGUCUGAAAGCCUCUAAACUAACUAACUGUGGGGUUGAUGGGACAAGCCCUUAACUAACUCUGACUGACUAAAUAACUAAAUUUUGGAUAUACUAAAUGUAAGAUAACUCAUCUUCGAAGGAUGAGAACACACCACUAUUGAAUGCUACUGAUAGGAUGAUCUGUUUAAGUACGGUCAGGAACUCAAACUUCUGAACCUAUGAUAUAAGACAUCAUAUCACAAGAAAAUGAGUAUGGGGUCAGUACUUUGAAUAUAUUGGUAAGCUAAAUGAGGUUAGGCUAAUACACAUAUUUUCAUGUGCAUGAGUAAUAGCUGACUAAAUGUAAAGCACAAGGUACGAAGUAAGAAUACAUGAAAACUGUAAAGACUGAGAAUGCAUGACCAAGAAUAAAACAUGAAUCUAUAAUAGUUUAUGAACUGAAGUAUGGAAAUACUGAUAACUGGAAAACUAAUAUCUGUAUGCUAUGGUCAAGCAAACCUGAGACUGAAUACUAAACUAGAUACUGGACUGAAACUGUGGGAGUUAGCUAUAACCGACAUACCCUAAUAUGUUAUCGGGUUCCAACCUGUAACCCUAGUUAGAAGGGUAUCAGUACCAUACCACGAGUACUAACACUGGCUAUGUGGAUCAACUAAUCUGAAGUCCCGAAGGACAAGGGUGUCAUGCCUAACUGAUGAGGGUUUCCUCAAAAUCUAUGAUGGCACCAUAGGUCUAGAACAUAGGGACUGCUACUAGUGCCUUAUGCCUAACUGAUGGGGGAGACACAAUCCCUAUGCUCACUCGGUGCUAAGUGUUACUCAUAAUUGAAUGGCACUAAUUAAUAGACUGAUUUGAAUUUAACUGAUUAUGAAUUCUGAUAGUGCUCAUUAUGAUAAUAGUAACUGAGAAAUCAACUAUGCUCAUGGUUUAACUGAAAUCAUUCUGAGGAUACUAAAAGUAUGUAAACAGCUAAAUUUUGGGUAUUCAAACCCCCAAGACUCGAUAGCAAUAAUAGUAAGUUCAUACUAAAACUUUGAGGACAUGACAUGUAAGUAUUUAUUCAAAAACUCAUUCUAGUAAGUAUUUCGUCGAACACUUGCAAUUCAUGGCUUAAGCUAAGCAUGAGAAAUAGUUUAAAACUUUUCGUAAUAGCAUGAUUCAAUUCUAAAAUCACCAACUAAGGCUUAAUUCAACGAACAACAUUCAAACAUGUGAGGUUUAAUAACAACAACAAUUUCAUAUAAACAUAGUAUAGAAUUGCAAUUCAUGGAAAAUCAUGGUUAAAAUCAUAUGAGUCAUGUGAAAAUCAUAACUUUGAACUUGAAAGUGGGUUUCUUAGACUCCAUAGUGAUAAGAAUCCAUGGAUGAACAUCUAACAUACCUAGGUUGAAGAAUUCGUGAAGGUUCUUGGCAGAUUUCUUGAGAAUUGAACUUGAAUUUAUGAAAGGCUAGGGUUUGCUCUUGAGAAAGGAUUUGUUUCUUGGGGAGAAAUUUUGGAUAAUUAGGUAUAUAAUGCUCUUUUGGGGCUUCAAUUCCAUGUUUUGGACGGAUUUGGGGUGAUGGAAAAAAACCAAACUACCCCUUGGGGAUUUAAUCCCAUAACUGGAAUACGGAUUAGAGCUUCACCGCGAUGCAGUGACAGUCUCACCGCAAUACCCACUGUGAUACAGUCUAAUAGUGAUGGGUUACUGAUUUUGAUACUUGUUGAUUUGGCCUCCAUCGCAACGCGAUGAGGCUCUGAUCGCUAUUUCCACCACAACGCGGUGGAAUCACUGGAAAUGACCAUUGGUUUUUUGGCCUUCACUGUGACGUGAUGGACCUUCCAUCUCUAUACUCACUGUGAUGCGGUCCAAUCAUGGUGAGCUGCUGUUUUGGGAUUUCAAACGCGGUCCAAAUAUUAUCCAAAAAAUCCAAAACUUACUCGAGACAUGCUAUUAACCACCCCAAUCAUGAAUUGAUCUAGAAAUCAACAUGCCAAGUCCGGGAAGGUCGGUAUUAAAAUUAUCAAAGUUUAAGAGGCCUUGAAAUAACUAAGUCUUAAUCACUUAGAGGAAUCCUCUAAGUCAUGAACCACUUUAUCAUGCAUAGGUGAGCUAAAACUAGUUAGAAUAGUAUGGAGUAUUAAAUAAGAGGAGAUCACUAGUGCUUAUAAUUUCCUCAAAUCAAAAGUUAUAUCCUCAUCCAUAUAAGUUAUUCAGUUAAGACAGAAUAAGAUCUGCAUGCAGAUUCCUUAUUAUUCCUUAAUACAGAUAGUGCUCAUAAAGGGAGAUAGUAUGAACCUAGAUUGUUAAAUAGAGUUUGCAUUUAAGGGAUAUUGUAACCUAGUGUAACGGCCCAAAAUCACCUCUCGAGACAUCACAUGGUGCUUAAGGCUACAACUAGCCCCAAGCUAACCCUUAAAGCCAGUUUUUACCCAAAAACACCCAAUUCAAGAUAAGGAUAGACUUAAACACUCACAUAGCCAUAUCAAAAAAAAGGAAAUAAGAAAGGAUAAUGUAACACCCUAACUUAGGAAGGAUUCCCACAUCGGCAAAACACAGGAGGGAUGCUGGGUAUAUAAGUGAGAAAGCCUUACUCCCUAUGAUGCGUUUUAAAGCCGUGCGGGCUUGGGACAGAGCGGACAAUAUCACUAGUGGGUUGGGGAGUGGCAGGGGUAUCUUCAUCCUGUGUGGUUCGGGAUGCCCGUCGCGGCCAAUACCUCAGGUCGGGUCAUGACAGAAUGGUAUCAAAGACUUUCUUAUGUCAUCUUUGUCGAUGUGGGCCAGAGUUCAAAUUGAGUAUAGGCAAAUCUCGGUAAGGCGGGGAAAACCUCAGUCCUAAGAAUAAGCAAAUACCAUUUUAUGGGGAAAACCUCAGCGAGGACGCUGAGUCCGUAAAAGGGGUGUAUGUAACACCCCAACUUAGGAAGGAGUCCCACAUCGGCAAAACACAGAAGGGAUGCUGGGUAUAUAGGUGAGAAAGCCUUACUCCCUAGUGACGCAUUUUAAAGCCGUGCGGGCCUGGGCCCAGAGUGGAAAAUAUCACUAGUGGGUUGGAGAGUGGCAGGGGUAUCUCAAGCCUGUGUGGUUUGGGAUUGUCGUCGUGGCCAGGACCUCGGGUCGGGUCAUGAUAGAAAUUGUAAUACCCUACAUUUUGGACUAGAAUGAAAAUCCGUCAUUCCUAUGCAUGGAUUUCUCAAAAGCCUCAAAUCCUAUAUAAAUUUAGUGUGUUAAUCAAUUACGUAGUAUGGGAAUAUAUUUGAGCAUGAAUUUAGAUCAUAGAGGUCCCCUAACUCAAGUACAAGUUGAAAGUUUUCCUAUCAUUCAAGUUUUAGCGAGUGUCAAAACUUGGGUCAAAUUCAAUCAUCCAUAACUCAUUGUAUAUGACUAACUGGGUGGUUUACUAUAUAUCAAAUGAAAUAUAUUUGAAUUAUCUUUCCAAUGAUAAAAAUUUCACCUAAAUCAAAUAUCGGAUCAAAGAGUUAUUCCUAUUUUACUCAGUAUGUCAGGCUGGAAACAGUGUGACGACAUUCGUGAUAGCUUAUAACAUUUGUGACGCCCUAUCACGAAGGUCGUCAGCCUUAGGAAAAAACCAACUCCUAAGUGACGACAUUUGUGAUAUAUUAUCAUAUUUGUGAUGACCUAUCACGAAGGUCGUCAGCCUUAAGCAGAAACCAACCCCUAAGUGACGACAUUCGUGGUAGCUUAUCACAUUUGUGACGCCCUAUCACGAAGGUCAUCAGCUAUGAUUUUCAGCAAUUGAGAAAUUAUUUCAUAAGGGUAUUUUGGUCUUUUUCUUCACCUUCCACGACUUAUAACCCUAAAGAGGCAUAAUUUUCCCAUUUUUCUUUAGUUAAGCAUCUUAAAAACCCUCUCUUACACUCUCAACCAUAAGAUUAGUGUUUUUAUCAAACUCAUCUCUCAAAAGUAAGAUUCAGGCCUUUUUCCAAGAUAAUCAAGAAUUAAGUUUACAAUCCAAGAACUCUCCAGUAAAUCAUCAAGGUUUUCUUUCUAAGGUAUUUGUGUGUUCAUUCAUGGACUCCUUUCAUCCAUGAAGUUUAAGAACCCUUUUUUUAAAAAACUAUAUAUUAUGGUUUUCAUGUUAUGAAUGGAUUGUUGAUCAUGUUUAUGUGUUGAAUGAUUCCAAGAUAGAAUAUUUAUGUGUUAUUAUGAAUCUAUUACAUCAUAUGAGUUGAAAACAUGUAAGUUUGAUUAUUUAUGAUGUGUAAUUGUAUGAUUUACACCUAUGACUAAGUUGUGCAUGUAAGGUAUUUGAUAAAAUACCUAAGAGACUAGAAAUCAUGCAUUAUAGCUAAAUUGUGACUAAGGGAAGGAUUAAUGAUAGGCCUCUAUGAUUCAAUGUCAUCCAUAUUGAUAAUGUGUCUUGUGAACACUAUUGGAUUACUCAUGAACUAGUCUUAUGGAAUUAUGCUAUGCUUACUUGUAAAACCCACUCAUGUACAAGAUGUAGAAUACCCAUGUACUUCAUGAAAUUCCCAAAGUUAUGAUAUUAUAGAUUGUGGAUGUAAUGUGUAAUGAGCAUGAUAUUGAAAACUAUGCAAGUAUAUACAUUUUGUAUGAAAUUCCCUUCCAUGAAAUAGAUUGUUGAGAACCAUGCUUAGUAUGAAAUCCCUUAUUUAUGAUAUUGUGGAUUAUGGACUCUACUCUGAUGAUCAAGUCAGUCAUGUGUGUCAGUUUUCGUCCAUCGAGUCCUGGGGGUACUUUUACCCGAAAAAUAUAGCUGUGUGCCUAGAGCCAUGUCAUGUUUUCAUGAUACUCUCAGUCAAGCCAUGAUCUAUAGAAAUCAGUCAGUCAUGUGACUUAGGAAAACUCAGUAAUCUCAGUAGUUCAGUAUUCUCAGUAAUCUCAGUGCUCAGUAACCUAAGUAAUCAUAGUAAAUCUCAGUAACUUUAGUACUCUUAAUCAGUCCUCAGAACUCAUUAUGUUCCAUUCAUUAUCAGAAUCCUGUAAACUCAGUUUUAGCUCCGCUAAACAAUACCUUUAUUUUCAGUUCAGUUAAUCUAUAUCAGUUCAGCAAAUCAGUUCAGUUAAGUUAUUUAGUUCAGCCCAGUUAUUCAGUUCAGUGUCUUUCAGAUGGGAGUAGGAUUCAACACCCAGUGAGCCUAGGGAUGGGGACUCACCCGCUAGAUUACGACUGAGAUCCUUAGAAGUAAUCCUUAAUUUCUAGAACUACGUUGCCAACAUAGGUAUGAGAUAUCACCCGUUAGAUAGGACUGACAUACUCAGGGGUCACCCAUUGACACAUUUAUAUGUAUAGGCUGAUCCCAGGAGUCACUCGCUAGAUUAGGACUGACUCCACAAAAAUUGUCUUUACUGGUGGUGCGGUACUGACACCCUUCCAGCCAGGGCAGAUAUUGGACCACAGUAAGCUUAGCUUGGGGCAUGUCGGUUAGAUGAACACAUCCCACAGUUUCAGUUAUAGAAUUAAGGCUUUCAGACAUAGUCAACUCAGCUUAGUAGUACAGAUUCAGUACUGUUAGAUAUAGUCAAUGCUUAUCAUUGUAAAUAGACUUCAAGAUCACUCAUUAGCUAGUAAUGAACUCAACUAUGAUUAAUCAGUAUUAGAAUCAUUAGAUUUAAAGAUCACACGCUAGAUAGGACUGAUCUCAGAUUUAGUUACUCCAAGUAGAGCAGAACUCAGAUAGUUCCAUCAGAACUUAGACUGUUAGAUACAUUCGCUCAGUAUUAGUUACAUCGAUUAGGCCAAUCAUCACUGUUAUAUUAGUUAUAUCAGUUUUCUGAACUCAUGUAUCAGUUAUAUCAGUUAUCAAAAUUUAUGAUAUUAGUAUUCAGUCUCAGGACAGUCAGACACAGUCAACCAAACCAGUUCUUUAUAAUUUGAACUGUCAAAAAUAGUCGUUCAUCUAUUCAGUAUCUCAGUAUCAGUACACUCAUGUUGUCUAUAUUCAGACUCAGUUGUCAGUAUCUCCACGAGUUCAGUUACAGUUAUGUAUGCAUGUAUGUAUUCUCACGUUUAUAUUAGUCAGCAUUGUUCAUGCAUAUAACCCUUUGCAUUUAGACUACCUCACUCGUAUACUCAGUACAUUCAGACGUACUGACGCAUUUGUGCUAUGGUGCUUUCUCUUAUGUUACACCAUAAGUUCAGAGGCACAAGCUCUAGAUUAGUAGUAGCAUUUUAGUGUUUAGAGUUUGUAGUGAGUCCUUCUCAAUUGAGGAUGAUAUGAUUAUUGCUACAUUUACUAUUCAAUUUCUAGAUGGAGUUAGUUGGAGACAUGUUCCUUUAACUCCUUAUUUAGUUUAGUUAGAGGCUUUCAGACUAGAUAUCAAAUUAGAUAUUCAGAUCUCAUCAUUUUCAGUAUUUAUGACUUAGUUUGGUAUUGUUAUACCUUUUUAAGGCAUUUUGUUAUCAAACAUUUAUUCAGUUUGAACCUUAUGGCCUUUCAUGUUCAUGUUUCCGCAUUUUAUGAUAUAUUAUGCAAUAUACAGGUACAAAUAUCAAUCAUGGGUUAGCUUGUGGUCCUUUAGGAUCAUGAGCACUAUAUAGCAUUUCUAUUCAAAAAAUCGGGGUAUUACAAACUUGGUAUCAGAGCCUAAGGUUCAAUAGAGUCCUAGGAAGUCUCAAAGCCGCAUCUAAUAGAGUCUUAUAUAUGCGUGUGUUGUGCACCACACCUAUGUGCAGGAGGCUAUGAGAUGUUUUAGGUACAAUUUCCCUUCUUUCAGUAAUUAUUUCAUGCCAGUGAGCAGUCAGAUUUGUAUAGCUUAUUUUCUCAACCUUGCAUCUAUUCAUGCUAUCCAAAAUCUCAGAGAAUGUAACUAUUUCAAGGUAGAACCUCCUAGUAGUUGCAAGUUCAAUUCAUCUCAUGCAUUAUGCAUUAGUUUUAGAGUCCCAAAGUUUAGUUAUAAUCUAGUUCAUAGAUGCCCUGUGCAUCACCCAGUAUCUUCGUAAGGUAAGCAUUCUUAGAGGGAUAUAACAUCCCAAAGGGGAGAUACCCCACUUUAUCUUAACGCUCUCAUGCCUUAGAUCCUUCAAUUUCUCCUUGCAUAACGAAUUCAGUCUAGAAUAGAGGGUACUCACAAGUUGAGCUUCAAGUUAGAUCUCAGCUGUAAGUCAAGUAUUCAGAGGUUCAGUUCAGUUCAUGAUGUUCAGUCUAUACGUCACGUAGCAGAAUCAGUCAUGUUCUCAUGUUUCAGUUCAAUCUUAGUGCCUUUACCAUUGCAUAUUCAGUCACAUGUUCGUGAGUCAGUUCAGUCAUGUAUUCACGCAUCAGAUAUGCAUGGUCAGCUUAUCAAUACUUUAAGUCAUGCAUUGAUGUAUCAUGUCAGUCAUAUAAUCAUGCAUCAGAUAUGCAUGGAGUAAACUUAUCAGUUAACCAUCUGAUAUGCAUUCUCAGUUUAUCAGAACACUCAGUCCUACAUUCUUAAAUCAGCUACCCAUGCAUCAGAUAACAUGUACAGUAUAAUAUGCUCAGUAUUUAGUCAUUUCAGCCAUGAAAUCAUGAUCAGUCAUUCAUGAUAUAUAUUCAUGUAAGUUGUAUUUUCUCUCAUCUCAGCCAGUAUCAUUCGAGGAUGAAUGUUCCCAAGGGAGAGAUAUUGUAAUACCCCAUAUUUUGGACUAGAAUGAAAAUCCGUCAUUCCUAUGUGUGGAUGUUUCAAAAGCCUCAAAUCCUAUAUAAAUUUAGUGUGUUAAUCAAUUAUGUAGUGUGGGAAUCUAUUUGAGUAUGAAUUUAGAUCAUAGAUGUCCCCUAACUCAAGUACAAGUUGAAAGCUUUCCUAUCGUUUAAAUUUUAGUGAGCGUCAAAACUUGGGACAACUUCAAUCGACCAUAACUCAUUGUAUAUGAUGAAUUGGGUGGUUUAAUAUAUAUCCAAUGAAAUAUAUUUGAAUUAUCUUUCCAACGAUACCAAUUUUGCCUCAAUCCUAUAUCGGAGCAAAGAGUUAUGCCUAUUUUACUCCAGCAUAUCAGGCUGGAAAUAGUGUGACGACAUUCGUGAUAGUUUAUCACAUUUGUGACACCCUAUCACAAAGGUUAUCAGCCUUAGGCAAAAACCAGCUCCUAAGUGAUGACAUUCGUGAUAGCUUAUCACAUUUGUGAUGUCCUAUCACGUAGGUCGUCAGCCUUAGGCAGAAACCAGCCCCUAAGUGACAACAUUCAUGAUAGCUUAUCACAUUUGUGAUGUCCUAUCACGAAGGUCGUCAGCUAUGAUUUUCAGCAACUAAGAAAUUAUUCAUAAGGGUAUUUUGGUCUUUUCCUUCACCCUCCACAACUUUUAACCCUAAAGAGAAGUAAUUUUCCCAUUUUUCUUCAGUUAAGCAUCUUAAAAACCCUCUCUUACACUCUCAACCACAAGAUUAGGGUUUUUAUAAAACUCAUCUCUCAAAAGCAAGAUUCAGGCCUUUUUCCAAGAUAAUCAAGAAUUAAGUUUCCCAAUCCAAGAACUCUCCAGCAAAUCAACAAGGUUUCCUUUCUAAGGUAUGCGUGAGUUCAUUCAUGGACUCCUUUCGUCCAUGAAGUUCAAGAACCCUUUUUUUUAAAAAACUAUAUAUUAUGGUUUUCAUGUUAUGAAUGGAUUGUUGAUCAUGUUUAUGUGUUGAAUGAUUCCAAUAUACAAUCUUUAUGUGUUAUUAUGAAUCUAUGACAUCAUAUGAGUUGAAAACAUGUAAGUUUGAUUAUUUAUGAUGAGUAAUUGUAUGAUUUACACCUAUGACUAAGUUGUGCAUGUAAGNNNNNNNNNNNNNNNNNNNNNNNNNNNNNNNNNNNNNNNNNNNNNNNNNNNNNNNNNNNNNNNNNNNNNNNNNNNNNNNNNNNNNNNNNNNNNNNNNNNUUGAUAAUGUAUCUUGUGAGCACUGUUGGAUUACUCAUGAACUAGUCUUAUGGAAUUAUGCUAUGCUUACUUGCAAAACCCACUCAUGUACAAUAUGUAGAAUACCCAUGCAUUUCAUGAAAUUUCCCUAGUUAUGAUAUUAUAGAUUGUGGUUGUAAUAUGUAAUGAGCAUGAUAUUGAAAGUUAUGCAAGUAUAUACAUGUUGUAUGAAGUUCCCUUCCAUGAAAUAGAUUAUUGAGAACCAUGCUUAGUAUGAAAUCCCUUAGUUAUGAUAUUAUGGAUUAUGGACUCUACUCUUAUGAUUAAGUCAGUCAUGUGUGUCAGUUUUCUUCCAUCAAGUCCUGGGGGUACUUGUGCCCAAAAAAUAUAGCUGUGUGCCUAGUGCCGUGUCAUGUUUUCACGAUACUCUCAGUCAAGCCAUGAUCUAUAGAAAUCAGUCAGUCAUGUGUCUCAGAAAAACUCAGUAAUCUUAGUUGUUUAGUAUUCUCAGUAAUCUUAGUGCUCAGUAACCUCAGUAAUCACAAUAAAUCUCAGUAACUUCAGUUCUCUUAAUCAGUCCUCAGAACUCAUUAUAUUCCAUGCGUCAUCAGAAUCCAGUAAACUCAGUUUUAGCUCCGCUAAACAAUACCUUUAUUUUCAGUUCAGUUAAUCUGUAUCAGUUCAGUUAAGUUAUUUAGUUUAGCCCAUUUAUUCAGUUUAGUGUCUUUCAGAUGGGAGUAGGAUUCAGCAGUGAGUGAGCCUAGGGAUGGGGACUCACCCGCUAGAUUAGGACUAAGAUCUUUAGAAGCAAUCCCUAAGUUCCAGAACUAUAUUGCCAGUGUUGGUAUGAGAUGCCACCCAUUAAAUAGGAUUGACAUAUUAAGGGGUCAUUCGUUAGCACAUUUAUAUGUAUAGGACUAAUCCUAGGAGUCACCCGCUAGAUUAGGACUGACUCCACAAUAGAUGUCUUUACUGGUGGCGCGAUGCUGACACCCUUCUAGUCUGGGCAGAGAUUGGACCCCAGUCAGCUUAGCUUGGGGAAUAUCGAUAAGAUAAACAUAUCCCAUAGUUUUAGUUACAGAAUUAGGUCUUUUAGACACAGUCAACUCAACUUAGUAGUAUAGAUUCAGUACUGUUAGAUACAGUCAUUGCUUAUCAUUGUAAAUAAGCUUUAAGAUCCCCCAUUAGCUAGGACUGAUCUCAACUAUGAUUAAUCAGUAUCAAAAUCAUUAGAUUUAAAGAUCACACGCUAGAUAGGACUGAUCUCAGACUAAGUCAAAUCAUCCUUAUUAUCAGUAUACUCAUGAUCACCCGCUAGAUAGGAUUGAUCUCAAAUUUAGUUACUCCAAGUAGAACAGAACUCAGAUAGUUCCAUUAGAACUUAGACUGUCAGAUACAUUCUCUCAUUAUCAUUUACAUUGGUUAGGCCGAUCAUCACAGUUAUAUCAGUUAUAUCAGUUUUCUGAACUCAUGUAUCAGUCAUAUCAGUUAUUAGAAUUCAUGAUAUCAGUAUUCAGCCUCAGGACUAUCAGACACAGUUAACCAGACCAGUUUUUCAUAAUUUGAAUUGUUAGAAAUUGUCAUUUAUCUACUCAGUAUCUUAGUAUCAGUACACUCAUAUUGUCAGUAUUCAGACUCAAUAGUCUGUAUCUCCACGAGUUCAGUUACAGUUAUGUAUGCAUAUAUGUAUUCUCACGUUCAUAUUAGUCAGCAUUGUUCAUGCAUAUAACCUUUUGCAUUUAGCCCACCUCACUCAUAUACUCAGUACAUUCAGACAUACUGACAUAUUUGCGCUAUGGUGCUUUCUCUUAUGUUACACCAUUGGUUUAGAGGCACGAGCUCUAGAUCAACCGUAGCAUUCCAGUGUUCAGAGUUUGUAGUGAGUCCUUCUCAAUCGAGGAUGAUAUGAUUAUUGCUACAUUUACUAUUCAGUUGCUAGAUGGAGUUAGUUGGAGACAUUUUCCUUUAACUCCUUAUUUAGUUUAGUUAGAGGCUUUCAGAUUAGAUAUCAGAUUAGAUAUUCAGAUCUCAUUAUUUUCAGUAUUUAUGACUUGUUUUGGUAUUGUUAUACCUUUUAAAGAUAUUUUGUUAUCACACGUUUACUUAGUUCAAACCUUAUGGCCUUUCAUGUUCAUGUUUACAUAUUUUAUGAUAUAUUAUGCAGUAUACAGGUACAGAUAUCAGUCAUGGGUUAGCUUAUGGUCCUUCGGGGUCAUGAGUACCAUGUAGCAUUCCAAUUUAGAAAAUUGGGUUGUUACAGAUAAUUGGUUCAUAUGACCACAACAUAGAGAAAACUUAACAAAACCAUAAUACUGAUCUCUCUCGACAUAUCACAAGUCUGAUACUAGUCUGACAAAGCCUCUAUGAAUCAAAAUCUAGAGAGCCAUUGGGAUAGGCCACAACUGACUUGAAAUGAACUGAAGAUAAAACAUAGUCUCUCAAGUACGGUAAAUAUUUGAAGAUAGAUCCUUGAAUAAUUAGAACUCACCACUGUAGAAAACGUAGGCAAGGUACUCGAAGAAUUAUGAGCGAGGCUGGGACUGAGCACCUGAACCUACAUUAUGACACAAUAUAGCACAUAGACAUAUAUAUGGAUCAGUACUUUGGAAUGUACUGAGUAUUCGGCGGUGCAUGCAUAUGUAUAAAGUAGUAAUGAUAUUUUAUUCAAUAAAAUCAUGUAUGCAUAAUGAGAUGACUCACAUAGCUUGAAUAAGUGUAAAAUAUAAAACUCAUAAGUCAUGUAGAAUGAAGCAUGUAACACAAUCUCGUGAGUCAUCAUUGUUUAACUUCAAAAUCGGAAACCUUCUCUUACUCUCAAUGCCCAAAGGCUAAGGGAUUUCAAACCACACUUUCAAGUCAUGUAUAUAUCGCAAAAGAGUAAAAGUUCUUCAAUUCUCAACACUUCACAAUCAUUUAGAAACUCAUAUACUUGGAAUUCAAAAUCAUAAAACUUAAAAACAUACUUGAAGGCAUUUCAUUCACUUUAGAAAAUAUCUCAUCUCAAAUCAAUACCUUGAUUGGGGAAUAUAUUUGCAAUUCAACCAUUUAGGGAAAAUAGCUUAUAGGGAAGGAAAAUAAGCAUUUAAUUUUGAAGCUAAAAAGGCAAGGGAGGUUCUCGUAACCGAUAUAAACCAUGUGAGCUACAUGGAGUCCAAUAUUUUGUCCUCCUAAGGAAGAGACCCAAGUUGGGGAGGAGCGUCAUACUCUUUCCAAGGAGUAUAAUCUAGGUCUAGUGAUCACAAAACAAAAAUUGGCCUCGGGCUCACAUAAUCAAAUCAGCCUCAGGCCCACUCAUAAUCAUAAUAUAAUCAUCCUCAGGCUCACAUCCUAUGAUGGCACGUAGUUUUUGGGGUAAGAAACUGUAGUAGCUUACCCACUCGGUGCUAAAUACUACUCCCUUUAGAUUACCUGCACUCAUCUCAUAAAAGUACACUUUUAAAUAAUCACAUGGUUCACCACGAAUACAAUAAUCAAAUCGAUAAUCUCAUAUAGUGAAGUGGAUUUCAAAGCUUUCGGACCAUUAGGUCAAUUCAAUUUUCAACCAUAUCAAAAUACUCAAAUCAUGGGUGCUUAUAGCACAAGAGUUCAUAAUUUCAUAAUUCUCAAAUAGGGCUUACUAACCCAUAGUUCAAUUUCAAGUUAAAGCUUAUCAAAAGCAUAAUAUAUAGCAUAUAGAUUCAUAAAUCAUGUGAAAAUCUGAAAAUUUCAGCAAUUCAUCUCAAAAUCUCAAUAUAGUCAUAUGCUUCAAUAUCUCAACAUUUCAAAUAUAAGAUUCUCAAAGAGUAAAGUCAUGGGGUUUAUCCAGCUGUACAAACUUAAGAAAACAUGUAGAAAUCAGGCCAUUUAACUCUUAAUUCAUGAGAAAUAUCAACAUAAUGCAUUCAAUAAAUAUGGGUGAAAGCCCCAAUUCAAACUCAUGUAAAAAUCCCAUAAUUUUAGCAAAAUCAUGAUGUAAAUAAAUAUUUUGGGCACAAGGGUGAAAGGUAUACCCUUUUUCAAAACCUCACAUACCUUGAAUUUGAAGCUUUAGAAGAACUCUCACUUUUGGAACUCUACUCUUUCUCUAGAAUGAGGGUUCUUGAGACCCUUCACUUGGGAACCUAGAAUCUUGACUCAAUUUAGAAAAUCCAUGGUGGAUUCUUGAGAUUCUUGGAAGAGGUUUUGAGUAUUUAGGGUUCUUGUUGAGAGAAAACUUGAUAAAACCCUUAUAGGAUGCUUGCAAAUGGCUUUGAUUUAGUGUUUCCACGAUUUUAUAGGUUUGAAAAAAGUCCAAAAUUCCCUUUUAAACAUCUGUGUGAAACUAGAAAAAUUAAACUGGAACCCAAUUUUGAAGGCCUCCGCGACGCGCCAUUAAUCACAUUGGCUCUCUGGAAAAUGACAAUUGGGAAAUUGACAGCCUCCGCUAUGCGGAGUCAUGCAUUUUUCCACUGGUUGGGACCUGGGACUCCUUCGUGAUGCACCACUAUUGCGGAGUCCCACUGGAAAUUGAUAAUUGCUAAAUGCACCCUCUACGCAAUGUGCUAGGCACUCAAAUGAUGUAGUUUUUAUGACAAAGGCUUAAAUUGUCCAUAACUUCUUACCCGAGUGUCCGAUUUGGAAAAAUCCUAUAUCGAUGGAAAGUUUAUCAAAUUUCCCACGUUAUAAAAAUUUGAAAUUAGGGAAAUUCUACAUGGUUAGAACGAUACUCACUUAGGAACCACUUCUCAAUCUUUUAGGGCCAGAAUCACGUCUCACUCAACACGCCCUGAGGCUCAAACUACGAGGAAACUUUGUGGGACCUUACACCUAGAGUGUUAUGAUAGGCUCAAACUACGAGGAAACUUUGUGGGACCUUACACCUAGAGUGUUAUGAUUGAUUUGUUAGAAGAAUAAGUAUAUAAGUGUAGUGAAAAAAAAAGUGGUAAUGACGAUUGAUAGAAAGUAUAGAGAUAAGCUUAUGCAUGCUUUCGAGUUUGUGUUAAGGUGAUAGGUCUUGUGUGUCAACUUAGGGGUAAUAAAGGUGGUACAAGUUCCUUGGUAAAAGGUAGAGAAAAAGCUAUUAUUUAAGGUGAAUUAUUGUUUUCUUGAAGUAGGAAAAAAGUUAUUGAUGGUAAUUAUUGUGUUAGAAAAGUAAGGUUAUUAAUGAAAAUAUUUGGUGGUCGAGUAUUGUUAAUCUAGGUUUCCCCAUGUGGUUGUGAUAAAAAAGGAAAUUGGUUGAGGUUUAUAGAGCUAGGUGUAUAUAUGUGUAAAUAGUCAUAAUGUGUAGAAGGAGGAUGUGAUAACAUAUUUUAAUAAGAUAUAUUAUAUGAUUAUGACCGAUUAUUAUUUUUAUGUAGUUCUAGUGGACUAGUGUUUCUUGAUAUUUUAUUUUAUAGCUUCCAAGUGAGAAUAGAAUAUGAGGUUGGGUUGUUAAUCAUGUCUAGCAUUAGACACUAAGUUUGAAUAGUGGAUGAUCAUAAAGGUGGAAAUAAUGAUUUCUUGGUUGGUGAUGCUAGUUAUAUGGAAGUGAUUUAGUAGGCUUGAACAGUGUAUGGAAGAGUUUAAGUUCAUGUAUUCAUAAUUAAGUAUGAUGUUAUAGGUAUGAUGUAGAGUUGUGCCCAAGGUAAUAUGGGGCUGCAUUAUUUUUGAAGUUUAUUAAGUAUUGUGUGUGGUUAAUAGUACCCUUGAGUGGUUAAGUGGAAGAAGGCUAGCUAUAUCAUACAUGGUGUUCGUAGUAGGUAAGUUGAGAAGUUAUGGAUAGUUGGUGAUGAGUCUUUUAAGUAUGAUUUUGAUUCUUAUGAUUUGGGAAAAAUAUAAUUUUGAGAUGUGAUCUUGGUAGGCUAUGAUUACAUGUUUAGUGAGGCAAGUAUGUUUGUCGAGUUAAUAGAGUGUAAGUCUAUGAUGGUGACUAUUGAAAUUAAAUUAAGUUAAGGGUGGUAUUUACUAAGAGAGUGUCCAAAAAUGAAGUUAGUAUGGUUCAUUAAAGGUUUGGGGAUAUCCAUAGUAAGUGUUAGAAUUUAAGUUUGAAUCUUUGAAGAUUGAGCUAAUAGAAAUAAGUGUUGAAGCUCUAGAUGGUGUGAACUUAGGGUAUGGUGAUACUCAUGAAUGUUCUAAGCUAGUAAGUGUUCAAGUUAUUAUAUGAUGACUAUUGGGCUAUAGAAAGAUAGUGUUGUAUCUCAGAAAGAAGUAUUAGUAGUAGGUUUCACACUUCUAGGUGUAGUCUGUUAGGGUAAGUUUAUUAUUUAUGUGUAUUGUUAUACCCUAAACUCUAGAUUAAAGUGAUUACAGUUUAGAUUAGAGUUUAAUAAAGGGUUCCAUAGAAUUAGAAUGAUGGCUUGAAGCUAAGGGGGAGAUGAUAGAACAAGGAACCAAGUCAGGCAACCAGAUUCUAGUAGUAGUGCUAAUAUGUUGUAGAACAAUAGUAAGGGAGGAUGGUGCCCAACCCAUUCUUAUCUUGGUGCAAAGUUUUCAGUCAUCACAUAUCUACUCAUGCUACACUCCUAAUGAUCAGUGAGAUUCAUUUUAUGUCGUGAAUGCCCUUAGUUUAGACCUCUUUAAUGAAUCCAUGCCUUUGACAUUCUAUUCCUCAGGCCUCGGUUAAGUUUCAAAGUUAUGUAUAUUAUUUUUCGUGUUUCAGGUCCUUAUGCAUUAUCUCUUCAAUGACCUCUUCUUAUGUUAAGAUAGUGGUGAUGAUAUGGAUAAUUAAUGGUAUAGAUGAGAGGGAGUUGAUGACACUCAUUAUGAAAGAUCAUUUAUGCUUUUUGAUCUAAGCUUAAAGGAUGAAGAAAUAUUGAGGUAAAUCUUUGGUAUAUGUCAUAUCUAGUUGAGAAUUUUGGGUAUGCCUUCUUAAGCAUAGUGCAAGAAAAUUGUUAUUUAAAGAGGGUUAGAGAAUAUGAGAGAGAUACCUUUUUGGGUAUUUGCCUUGAAGUUCACAUGUGUUUAUAAUAAUAGUCUUGAAUGUCAUGUUGGGAUGUAAGUGGAGGAAUACAAUAUGCGCUAAUGAAUCCAUAGUAAGAGUUCAGAGUUAGUCUUUAAAGUGGUAAGGCAUGUUAUGCUUAGGGUGUGAGCUCUGCAAGAGACAUAGAAGAUUGAAUCAUGUGGUUUACACUAGUAUUAUGGUGUAGCAUGCUGUAUCUUAUGAUUUUGAGUUAGUCUUGAUCAUAGCGAGAUAAUUUAGUUCAGUUUAGACAUUAGUAGAUGGAUUUAUCAAUGCCCAAAAUUCUUUGCACCAUAAUAUUAUUAGAAUUUCUUAGAAGAAUGUUGGAGAAAUACUCUAUUUGAGUAUGGGCAGUCAGUAUGGUCAGGUCCAUAGAGCCUACAAUCUAGUUUAGCAAUCAAUAAGAUAAGCUCCUAUAGAUUUUCAACAUUCCAUUUGGUCUUACUACCCAAAGUUUCAUGAGUAAGGCCAUUCCAAGAAGUAAUUUGUUCACUUUAUAUAAUUUGUGAAUUUAGCUCAGUUCAUACAUCAUGCAUCAGUUUCAGAUCCAAAAAUUAGGUCAUGAUUUAGUCUAUAAGUAUCCUGUGUAACAUCUCAGUCUUUCCUUAGAAUUUUAGACAAGUCAAUAUCAUUCGGGGGAAGAACGAUCCCAAGGGAGAGAUAUUGUAAUGCCUUGAGUUUUCCUGUCCUAAACCUAUCAUUUUUUCUUCACGAAAUUAGAUCCAGCCUAAAUUAAUGGUUACUCAUAAGUUGACUUUUUCAUUUCUAUAUCAGCCUUAUAACCAUUUUCAUGUCAAUACAUGUAUUCAAGAAAUCAACUCAGUUAUGAUAUUCAGUUCAUAUAUCAUGUUUCAGGCUCAGUUAUGCAAUCAUGUUCCAAGUCAUGUGUGUUCGGUAUAUGAUCUCAGUUACCUUAGUAUAGUACUCUCAGUAUAACCAGUCUCAUUUGAGGUUGAAGGUUCCCAAGGGGGAGAUGUUGUAAUACCCCAUACUUUUCUUAGUUCAAUUCAUUUUCUAGUGCUUGCAUAAGAGGCUAAAAAACUAAAAAUUUAGCUAUGUACUAAGGACUUAUCCAUUUUUAAGACUUUCUAACUUUGAGGAAAUUUAAGUUGACCUUUUGGACUUUGAGAUGAUGUUUUUUGAGUUGGAUCAUGUUCAGGGGUAUAAGGAGCAAGUCAUGAGUAAGUUUUGUAUUUUUUGGAAGAGGAUUGGGUCACGUUUGGAUUUCAGUUCCAGCAGCUUAAUGUGAUUUCACCGUGUUGCGCCAGGGAUAAUGAUGAGACACUCAUCGUGUUGUAGUGAAGGUGUAUUUUUCAUAUUCUUGAUUCAUAAUUCAAAUGCAUGUGUCAUGAUCUUUAUCCUAGUGUAUGUGCUUAUUAGGUGAAGAAUGCUCAUAGAAAUCACUUAGAGCCAAGUUAAGCUAAGAACCUUAUAUUCCUUCAAAGUUUGGUGUUUGAUUCUACAAGGGUCAACUUUGAAAGUGUAUAACUAUUGAUGUAUAUAGAAUUUUUCAGCUCAAGAGCAACCAAAUUGUAGAUAAUUAAAUUAGCUUUCCAAUAAUAUAAAUUUUUCCUUUAUCCGAUACUCGAGUGAACAAUUAUGGUAUUUUUCGUGUGAGGCAGUAAGCUACCACGAUUACACCGCAUCUUAGUGAGCUUUCAAAUUGCAAUCCGGGUUAUGAAUUAUUGGUUUAAAUAAGUGAGGGUCACUUGGGUCUUUUUCCACCUCAACCCAGGUCGUAAAAAUAGGAUUUUAAGCAUCCAUUAGGCCACUAUUUGCCCUCAUUCUCCUACUUUACUCUCAAGAACAAACCCUAAUCAAUACCCUUCAAGAUCAUCCAUUCCAUCACCUCCUCUUCAAGAAAAAUUAAUAAUGUAAGGUUCCUAAUACAAGAAGUUCAAGAAAAGCAUUCAAGAACAUUCCUACGACUUCCAAGUCAAACUUUUACAUCAAAUCAAGGAUAAUAAAGUAUGUGGGUUUAUGAACAAGGAUACGCCUUUUAUCCUUGUGCCCAAAAUUAGUUUUUAAAGUUGAAUUUAGAUGAACUUAUAUUAUUUGCAGUUUAGAGUUCAUACCCAAUUAUCAUUAUUUGAAGAUUAUGUGUUACAAGUUAUUUAAAUGUUGAAUUGCAUGUCUACUUCCACAUCUUUAUGUGUGUGACUUGAUUUUAUAGAUUGAGAACUGAAUUUCAUUAUCUUGACUUGAAUUGUUAAAGAAUUUCAAGAUUAUUAUUAUUGAGCAUGAACUUUGUGAUAAUUUGAUAUGAGUUUAAAACACGGGUUUUUAAGCCCUAAGUUUAAGUAUUAAUAUUUAAAGAAGAUUUGGCUUUUAAUCACUCUAUGACUAGUUUAUAUUCAGAUUUUGAAUAAGACUUGAUAUUUUGAUCCUUAGCUAAGAUAAAAAAUCCACGUUUAAGAUUUUAUUACAGUUUAAAGUAAACAGAUGCAUAACUAGUUUUCAUUGUAAACCCUUAUGCUAGUUUUAAAGUGGAUUUCCUACAGAAUGAGCAUAUAGAUUAAAGGGAUUAGUAUUUAGCAUCGAGUUAGGUAUGUGUCCUAGUUCACAUUCCCCAGAACUUCGAGCCAACGUAGCUAUAGAUUCAGAUUAUUCCCCUUUAUAUAGAUGCAAAUACAAAUAGUGAUGACUCAACUCAGGUUAUACUCCUUAUCAUGAGUAUGAACCUCUCCCCAACGUGAGGUUUCCCCCUUAGGGGAACUAGAUGUUUGACACCACGAUAGCUCACACAGUGUAUGUCAGUUAGAAGAACUCCCUAAGUCCUAAAAUAGAAUAACAUAACAGUUUUUAGAAACUAAAUGUAAAGACUCACAAAUUUACUCAGAUAUAGUUUACAUAAGACAUCUGUUAUUAGAUUUCAGCUUUCAGUUUAUAGAUAUAUAGGUGAAUCUUCUUUUUACACUUGCCUGCAUGAUUUGAAAACAAACUCAGCUUCAGUCCCACUUUUUUCACGAACAAAAAGAGUGAAAGUAUAACUUUUAGAAAUAAGUGUUAUGGCUCACAGUAUUUAUACAAUAUGCUUUAUUAUUCACUAUUUAUGAUUUUCAGCUUUCAGUUAUUCAAGCCAAUGUGAGUCAUUUACACUUAGCAUGCAUCCUUUUUGCAAGUUUCUAUAAACAUUGAGAUAUUGUUUUACUUGUCCAUUCACCCCAACAUGCUCAGUACAUUCCCAAAGUACUGAUCCACAAAUACGUCUAUGUGCUACAUUAUUUAAUAAUAUAAGUACAAGUUGUAGCAUGCACGUCAUAAUCAUAUAGUUGCAGCUCCCAGUCAGCAGGUGAUGAGCCCUUUUAAUUCAAAGGUUCGAGUCAGUCACAGUUCGAGUAGUCUUUUCUUUCCUUAUUCACUCGUAUUGAUUUAGGAUAGUUGGAGGUCAUGUCCCAACUACCUGUAGUCAAUACUAGUAGAGGCUUCGUAUACAAAGAGUUAAUAGAGUUAAUGUAUUUGAUUCCAAUUUUGUUUUGUAUAAGUAGAUUUGUAAUCCUUUUCAAUAUAGUUUUGUAUUGAUCAUAUUUAGAAAAGAUUUAUCUUCCGCAUUAUUCUUUCAGACUUAUGUAUUUAUGUUACUUGCUCAUGAGUUAUGCCAAUACAAGGGUUAGCUUGGGAUCACUUGUGGUCCUGAGCACCGUGUGACAUCCAGGGUGUAGUCUCGGGGCAUUACACCCAUGGUUCAUAUAGAAUCCUCCAUUAACUCGUCGGCCAAUCCACCAACCCAAGUUUGCUGCAAGGGAUGAAGUUCUGAUCUCUAUUAUGCCUAAAGGCCAUCGCCAGCGGACAAUCACUUGUUUCAAGCCUAAAUUAAACCCGUGUCGGCAAAACAUGAUUUCCAGCAAUAAUCUCUUUCUCUCAAAUGCCUUCUUUUGGUAACCAUCUAACAUUCUUUAAGCCCAAUUUUAGCCUCUUAAAAACAUACUUCAUGCUUAUAAACAAUUUUUUUCUUAUUCUAUUAAGGGCAUAUCACAACAGGGUAUUGUCAUGCCCAGACUUGCAAGUCAUUCAUAUCAUACCACAUCAUAUCCAUAGCCCUUCUUACUUAAAAUCAUAUUAAUGACCACCCAAAUAAUUCAAACAUAACAUGAGAGUUCUUAUUUCAAAAGCAUAUGAAAAUUAUGCAAAACACUCUUUUUUUCAUAUUAAAACAUGUGAUGGCCAAUUCUUUCAUCAAUCAUAUGCAAUUUCUUUAUUAAAACACAAGAGGCUUUAGCAUAAGAAUCCCCUCUUUGAAAACAUGUUAAAUAACAAAGCAUGAUUGGUAAAGAGGCAUUUAUAACUCGACAAAUAUAAUCAUUCAUAAAUACGCCCCAAUAUUAGACACACAUAAAUCUCAUGAUCAAAAGAGGACUCACAAUUCAUGCUCUCAAACCCAUUUUAGAAAUCAUAACAUGUUAGAGACCAAAAAUUUCAUCAUGUGGAAGGGAAUUUCACAAAUCAUGCUCUUAAAUAACUUUUCGAAACUCAUAUCAUAUAUGCACAUGAUUAUAAAUCAAUUUUAUGGAAAACCACAUGAUAAAUACUUACUUUCAUCAGAUUGGAUUCAUGAUGCAUGCUCUUCAACGAUUUCCAAAACCCAUUAAAAUACAUACAAAAGUUAUUCUUUGAAAUUCAUAAAGAAGACACAAUUUAGCCCAUGAUAUUUAGAAUAGUUCUAAACACCUUGAAUUUGAGAAGAGUAGAGUAAAAUCUGACCUUGAAGCUAAAGAUCCUCAAACCAUAGGUAGUUUCUUAUUUUUUACUUAAGGGAAGAUGAUUUGGGAAUUUGAGAAGUCAAAUAACAUGUUUAAAUACCUAAAUUUCAUUCAUAAGGGAUUAGGGACAGUUAUAGGGGUGAAAAGACCUUAGUUCCCUUAAAUUAGAUCACAAUGGAGCAUUUUUUGACGCUUGGGUCUUUCUUGGCAGCGCACAACCAAACCAAUCUCAGGGUUGGUAGUGCACAGCCAAAGCCAACCUUAGGGUUAGAGGCACAUAACCUGAUCCAACCUCAGGGUUGGCGGCUCACAGCGAAAGCCAACCCAUUCAAGUGGCAUUUGGAAAUCCCUUUGUGGCACAGAGCUUUUUUGAAGGGUCCCCUUUAUGAUGCCCACCCAUUUUCAACACUCAAAAGUACCCCCAACACAACUUAAAACUAUUAUACUUAGUUUUCCAUCGAUAUAGGGUCCCUAUGGAUUAUUUUUAUGGAAUUACUAGAGCGUUCAAAACAAAGGGUGUAAUAGUACAUUGAUUUUUCACUUGAAUAAUGUUUGGGGAUGUAAAAAGGGUGUUUUGAAAAAGUUUCAUAAUUUUUGAAAGGGGUUCAGGGCUAUUUUUGAACUCCAAGGUAGUAAGCCUCUGCAAUAGUGGUGUGUCACGACACUUAGUUAUUGAAAUAAUGGCGUGGCACAGAGGCUAAGCUUUGCAAUAGCGACGUGACACGUCGCUAUGUAAAUUUAACCUAGUGUUUGUUUGUUUCACAUGGGGUGAGGGGUUUUUGGUAUUUUCAUCCCUUGAACAACUUUUAAAACUAAAAAAUUCCUUUUCAGUUUUCAAAAAUCAAAAACCAUUCUUUUUCCUCUCUAGCUCUAAACAGAAGAAAGCUCAACAUUUUUUCAAGAAAUCAUUACUCUAGGCUCCAAACUUUGAAUUCUCUCAAAUUUCUUCUAUAUUUUAGGCAUGUAUCUCAUUCCCUAACUUUAAUUUUACAUUGUGACAUUUAUUUACUAGUUUGAAUUCUUGGGUUUAAAAUUAGGUUGAGGGGUUAUGAUUGGUAUUACUUGAAUUACUUUUCCCAUAUUUUAAAUUGAUGAUUAAUGCUUUAAUUUAUGGAUUUUUGACUAAAUGGGUGCAUUGUUAUAUGUAAUUCUUCGAAAUUACACCCUGGAAGCCACACGGUUCUUAUGGUUACAAGUGACUAAAAGCUAACUCAUGAGUUGGUAUCUGCUGCAAGCACUGAAUAAUAUAAUGAUAAUAAGGACAUUUGUGGAAAGUAGCUGAAAAUGCCAUAAGGUUUUAAGUAUUUAAAAGAAUAACUAAAGUCACAAGACUAAAAAACAUCUGCAAAAAUAGUGCAAUAUGACUAAUAAAACUGAUAAACUAACUGACUAUCUGAAAUGUUUGAAAAGCCUCUAAAACUAACUGACAGGGGAGUUGAUGGGAAAAACCCCCAACUAACUCCGACUGACCAUAUAACUAAACUUCUAAAUCAACUGAAUAAACAUAAACUCGUCCUCGAAGUUAAGGACUCACCACUACUGUUGAUGCUGGCUAAUUGAUCCUGUCUAGGUCUGAUCGGGAAACUGAGCAUCCAAACUUAUUAUAUAAGACAUCAUAGCGCAGGAAAUGAGUAUGCAAUCAGUACUUUGAAUAUACUAGUAUAUGAGAUUAGGUUAGGCGGUAAUACAUGGGCUAAAUGAACAUAAAGUAAUGACUAGCUGAAUAUCAUGAGAUAACUGUAUAAGCAUGCAUGAAAACUAAAAUACUUCAAGUGCAAGGCUAGGUUUAUAAUGUUUUUGAAAUGAUCUGUAAGACUGAUAUACUGAAAUACUAAAAUACAAAAGUUUUAUAAUUGAUUAACUGAUAAUCUAUAUGCCUUGGUCAAGCGAUCAGAAUUGAAUUUUGGACUGAGUACUGACUAACACUAUAGGAGGUAUCAUUUAACCGACAUGCCCCGUUCUAAGCUGAUUAGGGUCCAACUUGUGACCCUAGUUUGAAGGGUGUUAGUACCGUGCCACAGGAACUAACAAUGGUUGUGUGGAUCCACUAAGCUACUGAAAAACUAUAGUAUCAAGCCUAAACUGAUGGAUGAUACCGGAGAAGGAUCAAGCCUAAACUGACGGGUAACCCCUGGGAAGUAGUCAAGCCUAAUCUGACGGGUGACUUCUCAAAACCCACGUUGGCUCCGUGGUUUUAGAAUAUAGGGAAUGCUACUAAUGACUUUUCCUAACUGACAAGGAUGCCGCCAUCAUGCAUUCGCUCGGUGCUAAAUCCGACUCCCAAUUAAAAAACACUAAUUACUAAACUAAACUAUGCUUAUCUGAGCCAACAACUGAGCAAUGAUACUAAUUGAAUGACAAGGGUCAUGGUUUAUCCAAAAUCAUUCUAAAUAUUCUAAAAAUUAGGUAAACAACUAAGUUUUGGGUGUUCAUAAACCCCAACACUGAAUGAAAAUAACAAUAAAGGCAUGUAAAAAAGUUUCAAAACCAUAAUUGGGAAAUCAUUCUCUUUGGCAUUUCUUUGAACACUUGGAAUUUAUAGACUUGAGCAUGGUAAUAGUUAAAACAUGUGAUACUAACAUAAUUCCAAAACUAAAAUCCUGGUUUAAGGAUUCACUAUGAAAAAAUCACCAUUCAAACGUUCACAGACAAAUUCCAAUGAAAACAUAUGGUAAACAUGAUUUGAAAUCAAAGUUCAUGAUAGCUUUAUGCAGAUAAUUCAUAACAACAUGUAAAAAUCAAAAAUUUAAACUUGAAAAUGGAUUCUUUGGCUCCAUGGUCAAAAAGGGCCCAAGGAUGAAUAUCACACAUAUAUUUAAUACUUAAAUCUUGAAAGAGAACAACUUUCUUAAAAACUUUCUUGAAUUGGAACACUUGAGUUCUUGGUUUUCUUAAAAGGAAGAUGAUUUAAAUUGAUGAAAUUGGAGAAAGGUUAGGGUUUAUUUGAGAGAGAAAUUUGGCCAUAUAAUGCACUAACAGAAGUUUAAUCCCAUGUUUUUACCAAUUGGGGUGCUAGGAAAAGACAAGGCUACCCCUAUGGGAUUUAAAUUAAUAACUAGAAUGCCGAUUGAAUCCUUGUUGUGAUGCGAUGAACCCUUCAUCGCUAUACCCACAGUAACACGGUGUAAUCACGUUGAGCUGCUAGAAACAAAAACCAAAUGUGCCUCAAUCCUCAUUCAAAAAAUCUGAAACAUAACCGUGACAAACUCCUAACACCCCUGAACAUGAAUGAACUUAAAAACAUACAUCUCGGGGUCAAGAAUGUCACUUUAAAAAUCAUCUAAGUUAAGGGGACAAAAAUAAGGUUAAGUCCCUAACACUUAGCUAAAUUUUUAGGCUUUAAGCCUCUUAUGCAUGAACUAUAGGCUGAACUAAACUAGGAAAAUAUGAGGUAUUAUAAUAUCUCCCCCUUGGGAACAUUUAUCCUUGAAUGAGACUUAUUAAGCUGAGAAUACUAAGGAAAAGAGAUUACAUACUAAACAUACAUAUCUAGAAACAUGAUUACAUGACUGAGUUGAAUUAUGAUACAUGACUGAAUUGAUUAGUGAGUGCAUGCAAUGUCAUGAGUACAAUUAUAUGGCUUAAAUUGAGAAUGUAAAAGAUAUAACCCAAGGAAAACUAUUAUCUUAAGAUGAGUUUGAGUUUACGGAGAAAAGGUGAGUAUACUUGGUUCGCAUAUCUACUUCUGCUUCCCAAGUGGCUCCUCUACGGACUGAUUCCGCCAAAGAACUUUGACCAAGGGAUCUUUUUUGUUCCUUAGUCUACGAAUCAAAUGUUCAAGAAUUUCAACUGGAAUUUCUUUGUAAGAAAGGCUCUCCUAAAUAUUUUUACUUUCUAAAGGAACAACCAUAGCUGGGUCACCAAUACACUUUUUUAAGGACACAUGGAACACUGGAUGCACUGAUGGCAAUUCAACAAACAACUCAAGCUCGUAAGAUCCUUUCUAUAACAACUCAAGAUCUUAUAAAGGCCAACAAAUUAGGGACUAAGCUUCUUCUUCUUUCCAAAUAUCUUCACUCCCUUCACAGGAGAGAUUUUCAAAUAGACUAAAUCUCCAACUACAAACUUGAAAUAUCUCGUAUGCACAUCUGCAUAGGAUUUCUGAUGGCUUUGGGUUGUCUUAAGCCUCUAUUUGAUUAAAUUAACCUUCUCCAUUGCAUCAAUACUGAAUUUUUCUUAAUCAAUGCGGUCUCACCUACCUCAAACCAAACUAUAGGAUAUCUACACCUCCUUCCAUAGAGAGCCUCAUCUGAAUACUAGAAUGAUAACUGUUAUUAUGGGAAAACUCGAUCAAAGGCGGGUGAUCAUCCCAACCACCCUUUAAAUCAAUAACAUGCCCUUAAUAUAUACUUUAGGGUCUGAAUAUUCCUCUACCUGACCAUCUAUCUGGGGAUGAAAAGUAGUACUAAGAUUAACUUGGGUAUCGAGACCCUUCUAAAAAGCAUUCCAAAAGUGAGAGGUAUCAAUCUGAAUUAAUAGAUAAUGGGACUCCAUACAACCUAACCAACUCUCUAAUAUAAAGCUAGGCAUAAUACUCUGCUGAAUAUGAAGCAUGAACUAGCAAGAAAUGAACUGAUUUGGUCAUUUUUUCAGCAAUAACCCAUUUCAAAUCAUGUUGAUGAUGCAUACGGGGCAACUCUGUCACAAAGUCCAUGUUUACCUCUUCCCACUUCCAAGUGGGAAUGCUAAACUCCUACAUCAUUCCACUAGUCCUCUGGUUCUCAACCUUAACCCGCUGACUAUUAGGACGCAAGAAAAUCUACAAUAUCUCUCUUCAUGCCACUCCACUAAUAGAUUUUCUACAAAUAAUGGUACAUCUUAGUGGCUUGAGGGUGAAUAGAAUAAUGUGAACCAUGGACUUCUUCCCAAAUUCAUUAUCUCAUACCAUCAACCCACGACACACAUUACCUACCCUGACAUCAAAACACGCCAUCUCCCCCUUGGAAAAAAACCUCUACUUUCUGAUCUCUAACAAACUCUCUCAACUUAACUAAACUAGAAUCCCUAUCCCGCUUCUCCUUUACUUCAACAACCAAUGAAGAUUUUGAGCUAUUCUGAACCCAUACACUACCUCAACUGAAUCAACCAAACAAAUGCCUAAUAUAUCCAACUGAUAAACCUUUUGAACUAACUUUUUCUUAUCAUUCUCGACAUGAGUAACACUACCCAAAGAUAACCUACUAAGGGCGUCUGCCACAAUAUUGGCCUUCCCAAAUGAUACAACACACUCAUAUUAUAGACUUUUAACAACUCCAACCACCUUAUUUGAGGAAGAUACAUAUUUUUUAUAAAAAUACAAACUGCAAACUUUUGUGACCCGUGAACAUAUCAACAUGAACCCCAUAAAAAUAGUGCCUCCAAACUUUUAAGGAAAAGACAACAAUUGCUAACUUAAGAUCAUGGGUAGGAUAAUUCUUCUCAUGGGGUUUAAGAUGUCUAGAGGCAUAGGCUAUGACCUUACCUCUCUGCAUCAAAACACAACCCACACCAUCUCUAAAGGCAUCAUAGUAAACAACAUACCUAUUUGAACUAUCUGGCAAUGUCAAAAGUAUGGCUGAGGUGAGUCGAGUCUUCAACUCUUAAAAACUCUUCUCACAAGAAUCUGACCACUAAAACUUGAGUUUUUUCUGAGACAAUCUGGACAUGGGGGAUACAAUAGAUGAAAACCCUUCAACAAACUAUCGAUAAUAACCAGCCAAACCUAAGAAACUCCUGAUAUCAGAUGGAGAGAUGGGUUUUGUCCAGUUUCUCACUUCUUUAGUCUUUUAAGGGUCAACUCUAAUGCCAUCACCAAAAAUAAUGUGACCAGGGAAAGCUAUUAAUCUUAUCCAAAAUUCACGAUUACUAAAUUUGGCGAACAAUUGAUGGACUCUAAGAGUCUUUAAUAUGAUUCUGAGAUGCUCUGCAUGAUCAUUUUCACUACAGCUAUUUUUGAAAUAUCAAAUUCUCUGACUCUGAGCUGAUGAUAACUGAAUCUGAGGUCUAUCUUAGAGAAAUAACUGGCAUCCUGAAGUUGGUCAAACAAGUCAUCUAUUCUGGGAAGUGGAUACUUAUUCUUGGUUGUGACUUUGUUCAACUGAUGGUAAAUAAUGUACAUUCUGACAAAACUAUCUUACUUUCAUAUGAAAAGGAUUGAAGCGCCCUAUGGGGGAACACUGGGCUUUAUAAAACCCUUAUCUAAGAGAUCUUUCAACUCCCUAUGCUUAGCUAGGGAAAUUCUAUAUGACAGAAUAGAGAUAGGCGGAGUAUCUAGAAGAAUGUCUAUUCCAAAGUCAAUUUCUCUUUCAGGAGGAACUCUGAGAAGCUCUUCAGGGAACACAUCUAGAAAUUCCCUUACUACUAAAACUGACUCAAGACCCGGGGUCUAAUAAUUAGUCUUUGACUCGAACAAGAUGGUAAACACAACCAUUGAAAAUUAUUUUUCUUGCAUUAAGGUAUGAAGCAUUUUUAUCGCUAAGCGCUGAAGUACUACCUCUCCAUUUAAUGACUGGUUUAUUGGAAAAUUAAAACUAAAAAAUUUUAUUUCUGCAAUCAAUUAUAGCAUAACAUGAGUAGAGCCAAUCCAUGCUGAGAAUGAUAUCAAAAUCAGUCAUCUCUAACUCCAUAAGAUUAAUUGUGAUGGUUGUCUAGGAUAUUGUGACCGGACAGUUCCUGUACACCUACCUAGCUAUAAUAGCGAUAUUUACUGGGGUAGAUACUAAGAGAGGUUCCGCUAAAGACUCAGGACCGACAUUGAAAUUAAUAGCUAUAUAGGGGGUUACGAAAGAAAGCAAAGCUUCGGGGUCUAACAAAGUAUAAACGUAGAGGUGAAAGACCUGUAAUGUAUCAGUAACCACAUCAGGAGAACUUUCCUGAUCCUAUCGGGACUGAAGUUCAUAAAGAUUAUUUUGAUGUUGUCCACUUGUGUCACUUGAAGUGGUGCCCUGCUGUGUUGGGCGACCUGCUAGAGGUGAUGACUAGUUGGUCUGACCCUGUUGGUGCAAGUUCCUUCCCUUCUGAGAAACUAAUCAACACUCUAUGAACCUGUGUUCUGGCUUGCCAUAUCCAAAACAUACAUCACUUCUAGAUGUAUAGAAACUUGAUGAUUUCUACCAUAUUUUUGGCAAAAAGAAUUAGUGCGACCACUUGUCAUACAACACUGGGGAUCAGAGCCCGACGUCUGAUGCUGAUUUUUAUUCCUAAACUUUGGUACUGGCACACUAGCUGAAGAUAGAGCUAGGGCUGAAAACUUCUGCCAGAACUUAGAACUAUUACCACUCUUUGACUUCAGCUGAGUAAAAUUUAAGCUACCUAUUCUUGCUCUCUUAUUCUCUCUCUCUUUCUCCUUGAACUUCUAUUCCUCAAUCUAUUGAGCAUGGACUAUAAUCCUAGAUAUGACCAUCUCUUUAAUCAACAUCACAGUCCUACACUCCUUAACCACACUAUUAGAUAUGCUAGACACGAACUUACUUAUUCUAGAUUAGUUAUCAGAAACGAGGAGCAUACCUCGCCAGCUAAGGAAACUUAAGCGAAUACUCUUUCACACUCAUAUUGCACUGCUUCAAAUUAAUAAACUCCAGUACCUUAGCUUCCCUCAACUCUAAGGGAAAGAAUCUUUCAAAAAAGGUUGUAGCAAACUCCUCCCACUCUAUAGGCUCUUUAUUUGUGCCUCUAUCCCCCUUUCACUACUUAAACCAGGUGUGAGCUAUAUCUUACAACUGGAAUGCAUCCAACUCUGCACUCUUACUAGACUUAACACCCAUAAUAUUAGUCAUCUUCUAAAACAUGUCAAUGAACUCCUACGAGACUUAGAUCGUAAAACUGAGGGGGAUUCAUAUACGUGAAGUCCUGAAUCUUAGCUGCGGCUGUAUUGGACGCUAGAUUGGUUGGAACAGUGGCCUAAUAAUUGUUCUAAGCUUUUAAUAAGUAGGUUAAAGUAGUAAAAAUAGAUCUAAACUUGGCAUGGGAGACAUGCUCAUUCAGGAGGUCAUCCUGAAUAGGUGGAGGUGUGGGCUGAUUUUUAUUUCUUCUUUUGUUAGCCUUACUGGGAGGUAUUUUCUAUAAACUAAAGGAAGAGUGAAUUAAAAAGAGAGUUCAAAUAGAAGUCAUGCUUAUUCAAAUGACCUGAAUACUGAAACAAGGGAAACUUUUACUAAAAUGUCUUAUAGCCUCAUGUUCAUAUGUGUAACGCGCUUUACACAUAUACACAAGAUUCUACUUAAUGUGACUUUUAGACUUUCCAGGAUACUUUAAAACCUUAGGAUCUGAUACUAAGUUUGUAACAUCCUGGAAGUAUACCUUGGAUGCCAUAUGGUACUUAUGGUCACAAGUGACCACAAGCUAACCCAUGAGCUGGUACCUGCUGAGAGCAUUGAAUAGUAUACUGAUAAUAAAGACAUUUGUGGAAAGUAGAUGAAAAUUCCAUAAGGUUUUAAUUACUAAAAAGUAUAACUAAAAAAAAGUCUAAACAAUCAUCUAAAAAAUAGUGCGACAUGACUGAUAAAACUUGUAAACUAACUGACUGUCUGAAAAGCGUCUAAGACUAACUGACUGGGGGAUGAUAGGACAAACCCCCAACUAACUAUGAAUGAUAAUAUAAAUCAACUGAUAACUCAAUUAAAUAAAGAUAAACUUGUCCUUGAAGUAUGAGGACUCACUACUGCUACUGAUGCUGGCUAGCUGAUCCUUUCUAGGCCCGAAUAAAAAACUGAGCAUUCGAACCUAUGGUAUAAGACAUAGUGCAUGAAAUGAGUAUGUCAUUAGUACUUUGAAUAUACUGGUAUAUAAUAUAAGUUUAGGUUGUAAUGCAUGGGUUAACUGAACAUAAAGUAAUGAUUGGCUGAAUAACAUGAGAUAAUUGUAUAAGCAUGCAUGAAAACAGAAAUACUGCAAGUGCAAACCUAGACAUAUAAUGUUUUUGAAAUGAUCUGUAAGACUUACAUAUUGAAAUACUAAAUUACUGAAGAUUGAUAACUGAGUAACAGAUAAUCUAUAUGCCUUGGUUAAGCAAUCUGAACUGAAUUUUAUACUGAGUACUGAAUUGAGACAGUGAUAGGUAUCAUCUAACCGACAUACCCCAUUCUAAGUUGAUUGGUGUCCAACCUGUGACCCCCAUUGUAAGGUUGUCAUUACUAUACCACGGCUACUAACAAUGGCUAUGUGGAUCCACUAAGCUACUGUCAAACCAUGGUAUCAAUCAUAAACUGAUGGGUAUCCCUAGUGGAGUCAAGCCUAAACUGAUGGGUGACCCUUGGAAGGUAGUCAAGCCUAAUUUGAUGGGUGACUCCUAUAACCCAUGCUGGCUACGUGGUUCUGGAAUAUAUGGAUAACAACUAUUGCCUUUACCUAACUAAUAGGAAAGCAACCAUCUUAUAUUCGCUUGAUGCUAAAUCUUACUCCCAACUAAAAAACACUGAUUACUGAACUAAACUAGGCUUAUCUGAGCCAACAACUGAGAAAUAAUACUAAUUGAAUAACAAGGCUCAUGGUUUAUCUGAAACCAUUCUAAAGAUCCUAAAAACUAGGUAAACAACUAAGUUUCAGGUGUUCAUAACCCCCAGCACUGAAUAAAACUAACAAUAAAGGCAUGUAAAAAAUCUUCAAAACCAUAAUGGGGAAAUCAUUCUACAAAAUCAUUCUCUUUGGCAUUUUAUCAAAAAAUUGGAAUUCAUUGACUUUAGCAUAGGAAUAUUUAAAACAUGUGCUACUAACAUAAUUGCAAAACUAAAAUCAUGGUUUAAGGACACAACAUGUGAAAAUCACUAUUCAAACGUGUCACAAACAAAUUCCAACAAAAACACUUGGUAAACAUGAUUUGAAAUCAAAGUUCAUAAUAGAUUUAUUUAGAUAAUUCAUAAAUAUAUGUAAAAAUCAUAACUUUAAACUUGAAAAUGGAUUCUUGGACUCUAUAGGUCAAAAGGUCCCAUGGAUGAACACCACACAUACCUUUAAUACUUAAAUCUUCAAAGAGAACAACUUUAUUGAAAGCUUUCUUAAAUUGGAACACUUUAGUUCUUAGUUUUCUUGAAAGGAAGAUGAUUUAAAUUGGUGAAUUUGGAUUACGGUUAGGAUUUAUUUGAGAGAUAAAUUAGGAAAUUUAGGAAUAUAAUGCCCUAAUAGAAGUUUAAUCCCAUUUUUUACAAAUUGGGAUGCUGAGAAAAGACAAGACUACUCCUCAAGAAUUUAAAUUCAUAACUGGAACAUCAAUUGGAGCCUUGCAACAAUGCGAUGAACCCUUCAUCGCUAUACCCAUCGCGAUGCAGUGCAAUUACGUUGACCUACUUGAAAUAAAAUCCAAACGAGCUUCAAUCCUCAUUCAAAACAUCCUGAACUUUCCCAAGACAUGCUCCUAACACCCCUGAAUAUGAAUGAGCUCAAAAACAUACAUCUCGGGGUCGAGAAGGUCACAUUAAAAAUUAUCAAAGUUAAAGGGCCAAAACUAAGGCUAAGUCCCCAACACAUUGCUAAAUUUUCAGGAUUUAAGCCUCUUAUGCAUGUACUAUGGGCUGAACUAAACUAGGAAAAUAUGGGGUAUUAUGUUAUGGGAAUUAGAAUGAGGAACAUGGAUUUUCCUAAAUUGAUGAAUUUUUGGCUUGGUAAUAGAACUAACCUCAACCCAUUUUUGUAAAUUUGGUUUUGAAAAGGGAUACUUUGCAUAGUUCAACUUAGUUAUGAACCCAUUACAUUGCAUUAAUGUAUAAAUGUAUAAAAUGAAUUUUCAAGUCCCAUGGUGGCCAUGGUUUAAGAUUUUAAAUAGAACGUAGGAGUCUAAUGGUUAUAUGGAUUAGUUGGGUUAGAUAUAUAAUCAUAAAAGUAUAUUGGUAUGAUGAUACCAUGUUGGUAAAUUCCUUAAUAAAUGACUCCUGGGUUAAUGGCUAGGUUUAUGUGUAAACUAUUUUAAUUUAGGCUUAAAUGAUGUUAUGUAGCUCACCGUGAAGGUAUAGGCCCCAGGAGGACCAAUAAUAGAAACCACAUUUGCCAUUGUGGGAGUCUACAUGACCGUACAUUAUAUUUUAGGAUGGCUAGAGCCAUGGUGUCUUUAGCCUUUCCUUUAAUUUCCUCAAUUCGUGCGGCUAACACGCACUGGGGCCCUUUCAGUAGGGGGAGCUGAACCCAUAUAGUUCGUGGGUGCUUUUAAGGCUAAUGAUUUAAACUCUCAUGUUCAUGACCCUUGUCCCUAUCUCGACAUCCUAUAUAUGUUUAUAUAAAUAUUGUGAAUAUGGUUUUUGACUAGUUUUGAUAUUGGCAUUAUUUUAUACCUUAUCACUAAGUUACAAGCUAGUGUUUGCCCCACUAAUUAUCCCUGGAUACUAUAAUGUUUCAUGAUGUAGGGUCCGAGGGCUUUUCUGUUGCUCUUGUGCAACACUAGGUGAUUUGGUAUUUCUGUGGAUUUGCUGUGAAGUGGUGAGCAUCCAUUUAAUAGAAGGUCGGUUAUUUUAUUCUUUUUAUUACUGUCUUAGUACUUUUGGAUUCCUUUGUCAUAGUUGGGGAAAUGUCCUGACUUAAUUGGUAUUUUUGGUUUUAGAGGCUUUUAUGGAAAAGUAUAGGGAUUGUUGGUCAUUUGUUUUGACUCAUAGAAUUUAGUUCUUAUAUAUCUUUAUUACUAUUUAUGGUUGUCUUAUGUUGUUUAUAUUUACUAUGAUCAGAAGGUUAGGCUAAGGGGGUGGUCUCCAACCUAGGAUGGGCUAGAGAUACCCGUCACGACUAGGUUCUGGCACAGGUCAUCACAAACUUUGUAUCAUAUCAUGAUUUAGGUUCACUGGGUGUCCACAUAUUCGUGUUAAGUGGAGUCCCUUUUAUGGGUGUGUAGAGCGCCACACUUAUAAGCGGGAGACAACGAGAUAUUUAGGAAUAUUUUCCUUUCUUGUGUUCUAUUUCGGGCUAUAGAGUCCUAUAUCAUGAAAAUUCUUUAACUCUUGGAUUUCUCGCAUUUAAGAUCAUGGUUUCUUGAAUAUUUGACGGACAUAGAAACUCUGCUGGAACCUUUGUCCCACUUAAGAAAAAUAUGGAGAGAAUUCACUCUAUUUAUGGAGUGCAGACCCAAUCUAGGGUCCUUGCACUAGGGUUCCACUGGUCCCUACUAGUCCUCCUUGGAAUUCCUGAGCUUGUGAUACCUAUUCUUAGUCACCUCAUGGAGAUAUCUCUAAUAUGGUAUUCUAUUAGUCUAUUCAUCUACUUGUCCAACUAGUGGCAUCACAGUCUCGUCAGUCUGAUCAUGUUGGUCCUGUUGUUAGUUCAUCUGAGGGCACUUAGGUUGGCCAUUAUAUGAGGUUGAAUCCCCCAACCUUUAUAUGAUCUAAUGUUGAGGAUGAUACUUAAGGGUGUAAGGAUAAGAGGGUGAAGAUUUUUAGGGUAAUGCAUGCUAUUGAUUCUGAAGGUGUAGAGUUUGAUACAUAUCAAUUAAAAGAUAUAACUUACUAGUAGUAUAAGGAGUAGGAACAUUUGAGAGAUGAUGGUGCUGAGCUGGCAAUAUGGGAUGACUUUUUAGGUGCCUUUCUUGCUCACUUCUUUCCUCGGGAGUUGAGAAAGGCUAAGGCUGAAAAGUUUGUGAACUUAAAGUAGGGAAAAAUUAGUGUGAUGGAGUAUACCCUGAAAUUUUAGUAGUUUUCCCAAUAUUCUCAUAUGUUGGUAUCUAAUAUGAGGUCCCUAUGAGAAAGUUUGUUUCUAGUUUACCUAAUAACUUGGUGCUAGAGUGUAAGGCGGCUAUAUUGAACAAUGAUAUAGACAUCUCCAAGAUGGUGGUUUAUAUAUAGUAGGUGAAGGAUUAGAAAAACAAGCAGAUAGAGAUAGGAGAGAGGCAGAACAAGAAGUUUUGAUAUUCAAAGUAGGAUAUAAAUCAGCAAAAUAGUAGAAGAGAUAGUAGAAAGUGGACCAAGAAGAAGAAUUGUGAAAUUUCUUAUUCAACCGCUAGUGCUCCUUAUCCUAAGCCUUUAGGUAUUCAUCAUUUUUAGACUAGUAGUGGUCCCAAGGAACAGGGUGCCCAAUCCCAGGUUAGUGGAGCUCAGUCAGCCCCACCUUAUUCUUUAUAUCAAUUUUAUGGACAGUUUCACUGUAGUUAUUAUAAGUAGAGGAGGAACUUGUGUUUUAAUUAUAGUCAGCCUGGUCAUCUACAGAGAAAUUAUCCCAUAGCUAAAGUUUCCACUAGAGCUAAUAAGGUUUUGGUUGCCACUUCUUCAGCUCCGACACCUAAGAGGGCCACUUCAGGUACCAGCACUGGCCAAAAUCAUCUCUAUACACUUGAUACUCAUUAGGCAUUUAAGGCAACCCCUGAUGUUGUCACUGGUAUGUAAAAUCAUCUCUAUACACUUGCUACUUAUCAGGAAUAUGAGGCAUCCCCUGAUGUUGUCACUGUAUGUUAUAACUCUUCUCUCAUGGUGUUUAUUGUUACUUUAUCUAGGUUCUAUCCUAUUUUAUGUGACCCCUUAUGUGGUUGUACACUUUGAUUUUGGUCCCAAAAAUAUUUUUGACCCCUUUUUUAUUUCCACCGAUUGGUGAUUCUAUUGUUGCUAGAAAAAUCUAUUGGGGUUGUGUAGAGUCUAUCUUUCAUACAUUGACAUUAGUGGUUUUGAUAGAGCUUGAUAUGGUGAAUUUUAAUGUGAUCUUAGGGAUGUAUUGGCUCUAUUUAUGAUAUGCUUCUCUGGAUUAUAGGGUCCAAAAGGUUAGUUUUCAAUUCCCUAAUGAACCGAUGAUUGAAUGGGAGAGAAGUUCCUUAGCACCGAAAGGGAAGUUUAGUUUCUAUCUUAGAGCCUAGAAGUUGAUCUCAAAAGGGUGCCUGUAUCAUUUAGUUCAGUUUAAUGAUUUUAACUCUGAAGAUCCCUCCUUGUAAUCUAUCCCUAUGGUUUAUGAAUUUCCUGAAGCAUUUUUUGAUGAACUAUUUAGAAUCCCUCCUGAUAGGGAAAUAGAUUUUGGGAUUGAUCUUCUACCAAAUACCCGUACAAUUUCUAUAUUAUAAGAUGGCUCCAGAUGAAUUAAAAGAGCUAAAGAAGUAGUUAAAGAAUCUCCAUAUAAGGGUUUUAUUUGUCCUAGUAUUUCUCUAUAGGAUGCUUCUAUGCUUUUCGUGCAAAAUAAAGAUGGGCCUCUUCAAAUGUGUAUAGACUAUCGUCAUCUGAAUAAGGUUAUAGUAAAAAAUAAGUACCCUCUUCUUAGGAUUGAUGGUCUUUUCGACCAGCUUCUAGGUGUUAGGUGUUUCUCUAAGAUUGAUCUUCGUUCAAGAUAUAAUUAGUUGAAAAUUAAGAAAGAUAACAUUCCCAAGAUUGCUUUUUGAACCUGAUAUAGUCAUUAUGAGUUCCUGGUUAUGUCAAUUGGGUGCUCUGGCUACUUUCAUGGAUCUUAUGAAUUGGGUGUUCAGGAAGUUCUUGAACUUAUUUGUUAUAGUCUUCAUUAAUGACAUCUUGGUGUACUCAAGAAGUGGAGAGAAUUAUAACAAUCACCUUCAAAUUGUGUUGUAGACUCUUAAGGACCAGAAGUUGUACGCAAAAUUUUCUAAAUGUGAGUUUUGGCUGAGUGUAGUGACUUUUCUUGGCCAUAUGGUUUCUAAUCAGGGGAUCAAGAUGGAUCCACAGAAAGUUGGGGCAAUUAAGAAGUGGCCUAGACUCAUGACUCCAACUGACAUUAAAAGCAUCUUAGGCUUAGCUAGGUAUUAUAGGAGGUCUGUGGAGAGUUUCUCAUCCAUUGUUGCUCCGUUGAUAAAGCUAACUCAGAAAAAGGUUAAGUUUAUGUUGUCUGAUUCUUGUGAGGGUAGAUUUCAGAAAUUAAAGGAUAAGUUGACUUCUGCGUCAGUUUUGACCUUGCCCAAGGGUACUGGUAGGUUCGUUGUAUAUUAUGAUGCAUCCCGUAUGGAUAUGGGUUGUGUUUUGAUGCAACAUGGUUAGGUUAUAGCUCAUGAUUCUAGGCAGCUUAGGGUUCAUGAAAUAAAUUACCCAAAUCACGAUUUAUAGGUGACGACUGUGGUUUUUGCUUUAAAGAUUUGGCUCUAUUAUCUAUAUCGGGUACAUAUAGAUAUUUAUUCAGUAUAUAUUCACAUAGAAGGAAUUGAAUCUCAACAGACGUGGUGGUUUGAGCUACUUAAGAAUUAUGACAUGAUCCUUCACUUUCAUCUAGGUAAAGCUAAUAUUGUUGUUGAUGCUCUUAAUAGGUUAUUCAUGGGGAGUCUAUCUCAUGUGGAUGAGGAGAAAAGAGGUUUGUUGAAUGAUAUUCAUAAGUUGUCUAAUUUAGGAGUUUAUUUUUUAGACUCCGGGGAUGGGAGAGUGAUUGUUCAAAAAGUGGUUAAAUCAUCUCUUGGUGCUGAGGUGAAGGAGAAGCAGGUUUUGGAUCCCAUACUUAUGCAUAUUAAGGAUGAUGUGGGUCAGCAAAAGGUUAUGGUAUUCGAGAUCAGGAGAGAUGGCAUUCUGAGGUAUCAAUGAAGAUUGUGUGUUCCUGAUGUUGAUAGGCUAUGGGAAAGAAUUUUGACUGAGGCUCAUGAGUCCAGAUAUAUAGUUCAUUCAAGCUUGACUAAAAUGUAUGAUGACUAAUUUUACUUGCUUCUUACUUAUGAGGACUAACUACUUAUGAGAGAAUUAUUCCAAGUUGUUUAUUUGGGAGAUAGUUCAAUUGCAUGGAGCGCCAGUGGCCACCAUCUUAGAUUAAGGUACGCAGUUUUCUUCUCACUUUUGGCACUUAUUUCAAAUAGGUUUGGGCACUCAGGUGAACCUUAGCACCACUUUCCACCCUUAAAUGGAUGGAAAAGCAAAGAAUACUAUUUGUACUUUGGAAGAUAUGCUAAGGGCUUGUGUGAUUGACUUUAAGGGUAGUUGGGUUGACCACUUUCCUCUUAUUGAGUUUGCUUACAAUAAUAGUCAUCAUUCUAGCAUUCAAAUGGCUCCUUUCAAGGCUCUUUAGGGUAGGAGGCGUAGGUCUCCUAUUGGGUGGUUUGAGAUAGGUUAGACUAGGUUGUUUAGUCCUGACAUGGUUCGCUAAGCCAUAAAGAAGGUGAAAGUGAUUAGAAAAAGGCUUUAGACCACUCAAAGUUGCCAAAAAUCUUUUGCGGAUAUGAUCAAAGGCAGUUGGAGUUUGAAGUAACUCCUUGGGUGUUCUUAAAGGUUUCUCUUAUGAAAGGAGUUAAGAAGUUUGGGAAGAAGGGAAAGUUCAGUCCCUUUAUAUUAGUCCAUAUCAGGUUGUAAAAAGGAUUGGGAAUGUCGCUUAUAAGUUACAUUUAUCGACAAGUUUGGCCUCUAUUCAUCCAGUUUUCCAUGUGUAUAUGCUAAAAAAGUGCGUGGGUGACACUCUUUGAUAGUGCUUGUUGAGGAUAUUUGUGUUUCAGAUUCUUUGUCUUAUGAGGAGGUUCCAGUUGAGAUAUUAGACGUUCAAGUUUGUAGAUUGAGGACAAAGGAUGUAGCUUCGGUGAAGUUUCUUUGGAGAAACCAAAAGGUGGAAGAAGCUACAUGGGAAGCUAAGGAAGAUAUGAAAUCCAAGUACUCAUUCUUGUUCCCCGUGUCAAACGAAAGUGCUUGAGGUAUGAGUUUUGUUUCCCUUUCAAAUUUGUCAUUUGGUUCUGAUGUAUUCUUACUGUUGUUGUGCUAAAAUAUCCUAACUCAAAAUUCGGGGAUGAAUGAUCCUAAGGUGGGAUAAUGUAACACCCUGCAAAACUUCAAUGAUUUUAUUUUUGACCCUCUCGUGUGUGUAACAUCAAUUUUUGACUUGAAUUAUGUAUAGGGAUGUUAAAAGGAUAUUUUGGUAAAGUUUUAGAAUUUUUUAAAGGGGUUCGGGGAUAUUUUGGAACUCUGAGGCAGUAAGCCUACGCGAUAGUGGCAUGCCACACCACUUAGUUACCGCGAUAAUGGCGUGGCACAGAGGCUAGUAGUAUGCGACAUUGCCAUGAAAAUUCGCCCAGAUUUUGUUUUUUCACAUAGGGUGAGGGGCUUUGGUCUUUUUACCCCUUACACGACUUUUAAACAUAAAAUAACCCCUUUUUCCUUCAAUUUUCAAAUAUCAAAAAUCAUUCUUUUUCCACUCUAACUCUAAACCCAUGAAAGAUCAAGGUUUUUUUUUUAAGAAAUCACUACUCUGGGCUCCAAACUUCGAAUUCUCUCAAAUUUCAUCUAUAUUUCAGGCAUGUAUCCCAUUCCCUAACUUUAAUUUUACAUUGUGGUAUUUAUUUACUCAUUAUCCAUGUGGUUUGAAUUAAUGGAUUGGAAAUUGGGUUAAGUGUUUAGAUUGGUAUUACUUGAAUUACUUGAAUUAGGAUUUUUGGACUGAAUGGAUGUAUUUUUAUGGAAAUUGGAAUGGACAACAUGGGUUUCCCCAAAUUGAUGACUUUUUGUCUUGGUAAUGGCACAAACCUGAACUCACUUUGUAAAUUUAGUUUUGAACAUGGAUACUUUGCAUAAUUCAACUUACUAAUGAACCCAUUGAACUGCAUUAAUGGAUAAAUAGAUAAAAUAGAUUUGAAAGGCCCUUGGUGGCCAUGGUUUAAGAUUUUAAAUAGAACGUGGGAGUAUAAUGGUCAUAUGGAUUAGUUUGGCAAAAUUAUAUAAGCAUGCAAGUAUAUUGGUAUGAAGAUACCAUGUUAGUAAAUGCCUUAACAAAUGACUACUGGGUUAAUGGAUGGGUUUAUGUGUAAACUAUUUUAAUUUAGGCUUAAAUGGAGUUGUGUAUCUCACCAUGAAGGUAUAUGUCCCGCAGGGACCAACAAUGGAAACCAUGUUUUCCAGUGUGGGAUUCUAUAUGCGAAAUUUUAGAUUAGGAAUUAUAAGUAAGAUGGAAAGGAAAAUAAGACUAUAAUUUUAAGAAUACAUUUGGAUUCUUUGUUAGUGAAACAUGAAUCUGAACAUGAUAAGCCAGUGAAUAUCUCCUUUUUUUCAUUUUUUUAAGAAAAAUUGUACAACUAAAUGUUGGUUCACAUGAGCAGGAAGAUGGUGCACAGAUUUUUCUUCAUACAGAAAUAACUAAUUUCCUUGAUUUACACCAAGAACUAAUUUAGGGCACCAAAUAAUAUUUGAAUUAGUAGAUUGAAAGUUUUACCAUUAGUUGAUGUUCUUUCAAUUCCUAUCCUUUUCCUUUUAAAUAUUACUUAAAAAUUUCAAUCAAAUAUACCUCAAUCUUCAAUUAGUUAGGUUUUUUGAUGAAUUGGUAAAAAAAAUGAAGUUUGUUGAAUGAAGUUAAAAAAAAAAUGAAGAAGGAGAAGAAAGGAGGUGGUGGGGUGUGAGAAAAAUGAAGAAAAGAAAUAUUGUUAAAUUUAAAAGUGGGUCUAACCUUUUUUUCAUUUUUUCCUAAUUACGCGCUGAAGCUUUUAAAAUUUGCCACGUCAAAGAUUAGGGUGGUAUAAAAUUCACUUGAAAUUAUCGUGUAGUUUAGGGUCUAAAGUAAAUUAUGCGGACAAGUUCAGGGAUGAAAUGAUGUAUUUUCUCUUUCUAUUACCGUCUUAGUACUUUUGGAUUCCUUUUGCCAUAGUCUGGGUAUAUGUCCUGACUUAGUUGACAUUUCUCAUUUUAGAUGCUUUUGUGUACAAGUUUGGGGAUUGUUGGCCGUUUGUUUUGACUCUUAAAAUUUAAGUUUGGGGAUUGUUGGCCGUUUGUUUUGACUCUUAGAAUUUAUUUUUCUUAACUAUCUUUAUUACUAUAUAUGGUUGUCUUCCGGCGUUUAUAUUUAUUGCGCUCUGAAGGUUAGGAUAAGGGUGUGGUCUCUGGCCCAUAGCGGGCUUAAGACACCUAUCACGACUAGGCCCUGUCUCGGAUCGUGACAUAAAAUCUCAAACCACCAAUAACAACAACAUAGGCCCCCACACAGACAUAAGAAAAAUAAUAAAACUAUUUUCAUGAUUAGUACCCACACCCAUAACAUUCUUUUAUAUUAAUAUUGACUACCCAACCCAGUCUGAAGGGAAUUAAACCAUAACCUACCUUAAUGAAGAAAACUCGCUCCAAAAGCCUCCAAUCACGAAUCCUGCUCCUCACGAAAAACCUCAAAAUCAAUUAAAACAUACAAAUAUAGGAUCUAUGUGUUAAAAGGAAACCAACAAUACCCAUAUUGCCUAUUUUUGAGUUGGGGUCAAAACGGAAUCCCAAAGUGAUUUUUUUAAAAAAAGGGUAAAAUCAAAAUUUUAGUCCAUGAAUGCAUUACCCUUGAUUAAAGGAACCCACAGAAGAGAAUUCAAGUGGAAAUGGGUUGAAAUUGGGGUUAAAUCGAAGAAAUACUAAUUUAGGCCUUCAGAUCAAAAAUUUCUAAAUUCUACUUUUAAAAUCGUGAUUUAACAAGCUUUAGAUGACAAAAAUCGAAGAAAAAAAUUAAAAUAGGGAUUUGGAUCUUAACCAAUCUUGAAAAUUCAAGAAAUCCCCCCAAAACUCUAAAACCUGAAGCUCCAAGUCUCAAAAAUAGUGAAAAAUUGAGAAAAGGAAUGUGUGUAUAUAUAUAUAUAUGUAUGUAUGUAUGUAUGUAUGUAUAUAUGUAUGUAAAUACUACCAGUAUUGACUGCUAAAGCGGUCAAGUACCGCUUUAGUGAUACCAGAUUGGCAGGGCAGCCCGCUAAAGCAGAUACAGGACUUGCUAAAGCACCCUUGCCCAACUAGAACCAGUAGCUGAAGCGGUCAAGUGGUGCUUUCCCAACCACUAAAGCAGCUAAAAUGGUGCUUUAGCGGCUAAACUAUCUGAACUCGGAAAAUUCUUCCAAGUUUUAAAUAGGUCCCUCGAGAUUCGUUCAAAAUACCUAGAACGCAAAUGAGAUGUGCCAUUAGACUAAAUUCAAUAUUUUGGACUCAAUGGGGAUUUCAAAUUUUUUAAAGUAUGACAUUUUCACAAAAUGGACCCCCCCAGACCUAAUUUCAUAACUUUCCAAAUUGAGGGUCGAAAUGAGAUACCAAAGUUAUAAAAUCAAACCAACUAUGUUAUCAAACUAGAACCAAUGUUUUGGAUCUAUUGAUGCGGUUUGUUUUGCCAUCCGAUGCACAGAACAAUAAAUUUUGAUUGAAGUCAACUAUCAAGCCUUUUAGCCUCCAAAAGCCAUAAACUCACACAAAUUACACUAAAGAGCAUUGGGAACCAUGCCAAUCACAUCCACACCCCUAAAUAAAAAAAAGAAACCACGGGGAGGGGUAAAUGGUCAAAUCAUAUAUAAAUGAAUAAUUCACAAAAAUCAAGUCGUUACAUCAUCCACCACUAAGAAUCUAGUUCAUCCUCAAAAUAUAUGCAAGGGAAAUACCUGAAUUAAUAAAAAGUUGGGGUUAACUACCACGCAUAUUGAACUCGACCUUCCAAGUAGCCCUAUCUAUAGGUUGAUGCCUCCAUUGGACCUUAACCACCGGGAUAUCUCAAGAACGUAAUAGCCUAAUAUCCCUGUUUAGAAUAGAGAUAGGCUUCUCAAUAAAAGACAAGCUCUUAUCUAAUGAAUCCUAAUGAAUGACAUACGACUUACUGGAAUGUAACACCGAAGCAUGGAAAUAUCAAAAAUUGGAUGAACAGCUAAUAAAUCUCGGGGAAAUCCUAACUCAUAAGCCACAUCCCCAAUAGUCUAAAGAAUUUCAAAUGGGCUAAUAUACCUGGGGCUGAGCUUUCCCUCUUCCCAGACCUUACUAUACCCUUUAUAGGCAAAACACAAAGGAAGACUUGAUAACCAACACUAAAUCUCAAGGUACGAAUUAUAUGAUUUUUCAUAUCAUUUCUACCUACUCUAAUCCACUUAAAUUCUAUCCUGAAUGGCUCAAAAUCUAUCUAAAGACUCGUGAAGCAAGUCCAUACCAUGAGGUCUAACCUCAGAAGCCCCAAACCAAUGAACUGGAGAGCAACAAUGCCUACCAUACAAAUCUUCGAAGGGAGACAUCUUAAUACUAGAAUGGUAGCUAUUAUUAUAUGAAAACUCACAUUGCUAGAUAUUGCUCCCACUAACCUCCAAAGUCCAUAACACAAGAACAAAGCAUAUCUUUCAAAACCUAAAUAGUCCUCUUUAGUUGGCUUCAGUAUGGGGCAAAAAGUUGUUCUAAGAUCAACCCAGUUACCCAAUUCCUCUUAAAAAGACUUUCAAAAGUGAGAUAUGAACACUGAACCUCUAUCUAAGAUGAUGGAUGCUAGUACACUAUGAUGAUGAACUAUCUCAUGAAUAUUGAUAUGGGCCAACCACUCAGAACUGAAAGAAACCUGAACAAGAAUGAAAUAAGAAGAUUUGUUCAAUCAAUCCACGAUGACCCAAACACUAUUAGAACUAUGAGAUGUAUGAAGCAACCCAGCCAUAAAGUCUAUAGUGAUCUAUUUCCAUUUCCACUCAGGACUCGGUAAUCUCUAAACCAAACCACCAGGCCUCAAAUACUCGACCUUCACCUACUAGCAAUAUAGGUAAUGAGCUACAAAGUCCACUACAUCCUUUUUUAUACCACCCCACCAGUAGAGUUGUCUUAAAUUAUGAUACAUCUUAGUCACUCCUGUAUGGAUAGAAUACGUAGAAAAAUGAAUCUCCAAAAAUAUAAAUCUCACCCAAUCACCCACUCUCAACACACAUACUCAGCCUUAAAUACUCAAAACACCAUCGGAAUCAAGCGAGGCUUCCUUAUCCUCGCCAUUCAACACCAUAUCCUAUAUCAUUAUCAACCCAACAUCAUCAAACUGAUGAGGCCAAAUCUACUCCAUCAAAUAAGAUCUAGCCUCUACAAAUGCCAAAAUACACCCAUCUGUUGCAAUAUCAAUCCUAACUAUUUGGUUAGCCAAAAUUGAACCUCUAAGGCCAAAGCCCUUUCCUAAGUCAAAAGAUGCACCAAGCCAUCCAUACUAGUCUACUUCCGACUCAAGGUAUCCUCUACCACAUUAGCCUUGACCCGAUGAUAGAUAAUAGUAUAAACAUAGUCCCUGAGCAACUCAUGUCAACGACGUUGCCUGAUAUUAAGAUCUUACUAGGUGAAGAAAUACUAAAGGCUAUAAUGAUCCGAGAAGAUCUCACUACGGACUCCAUAAAGUAGUGCCUCCACAACGUUAAGAAACUGUGCACAAUUUCAAAUCAUGGGUAUGGUAAUUGUUCUCAUGCGGCUUUAAAUGAUGAGAAGCAUACACAAUUACCUUACCCUUCUACAUCAAUACAAUACCUAACCCAAUACUAGAAGAAUCACAUUAGAGGGUAAAACCCAUGCCUUUUUUAGGCAAAGUCAAGAUAAAAGCUGAUGUCAAUAAAUCCUUGAGCUUUUAAAAGCUUGCCUCACAAGCAUCAGACCACUAAAAUGAAAUCUUCUGCUGAGUCAACUUGGUCAAAAGAGUUGCAAUAUAUGAAAAACCCUCAAUAAAGCAUCGAUAGUAGCAUACUAAACCAACAACACUUUGAUCUCGAUAGAAGUAGGCCUAGCCCAAUCAAGAAUCACUGCAAUAUUGGCUUAAUCAACCAUCAUACUAUACUCGAUCACCAUGUAGCCGAAGAAAGAAACUAAAUCCAACAAAAAAUAACACUUGGAGAAAUUAGCAUACAACUUAUCAUCCCUCAACAUCUGAAGUAAAAUUCAUAAAUUCUCCUCAUGAUCGGGCUCACUUUUGAAAUAAACCAAGAUAAUAUCUAUAAAUAAAAUGACAAAAGAGUAAAGUACUGUCAAAAUACUCAGGUUAUCAACUCCACAAAUAUGGAUGGAUCAGUUCACCAACUCUAUAAAUGCGGUUGGGGCAUUGGUCAACCAAAAUACAUGACCAAGAACUCAUAAUAACUGUACCGAGUCUGAAAAGCUGUCUUUGGAAUGUCCAAAUCUCUAAUGCUCAACUGGUGAUACUCGAACCUUAAAUCAAUCUUUGAAAACACUAAAGCACCUUGAAGCUGAUCAAAUAAAUUAUAAAGGCAAGAAAGAGGAUAUUUAUUAUUAAUUGUCACCUUGUUCAACUAUCAAUAAUUAAUACACAUAUGCAUAGACCUAUCUUUUUUCUACACAAACAAGACAGACGCACCCUAAGGUGAUACACUAGGUCAGAUAAAUCACUUAUCUAAUAACUCCUACAACUGAUCAUUCAAUUCUUUCAAUUCUGUUGGGCCAUCCUAUAAAAAGGAAUAGAGAUAGGUUUGGUGUCGACUCAACAUUAAUUGCAAAGUCAACAUCAUGAUACGGAAGCAUACUAGGAAAAUCUGGGGGGAAAUAUCCAUGAACUCAUAGAUAAUAUGAACAAAAUCCAAAGAAGGCAGCGAAUUAACACUAGUAUCACGGAUAUGGGCCAAAUAAGACAAUUACCCCCUCUCUACCCAAAAACAAGCCUAAAGAAAAGAUAUAAGUCUCUUGGAACCCAAAUGAAGUGCACCCUUCCAAGCUAUCCUUCAAACACCUAGUGAAGCUAAUGUCACAAUCUUAGCAUAAUAGUCUAGGAUAGUAUAAUAAGAAGCUAAUCAAUCCAUAUCCAAGAUGAUAUCAAAAUCUAUCUUUUCUAGUAUAAUUAGAUAUACCCAAGUCUCACAGCCCACAAAGGUCACAAUAUAGGAUUGAUGCACCCAAUCCACCAUUAAAGAGUCCCUGACUGAGGUAGAUACACAGAUAUGCAUGACAAGAGGCUCACUAGUAGAAUCAAAAUCCAAAGAAAAAUAUGCAGACACAGAGAAGUAAGUCGACCCUAGGUCAAAUAACACAGAUUCAAAUUUGAGACAAACAGAGAUGAUACCUAUGAUAAAAAUAUUGGAAGCCUAUACCUAAGGUUUGGCGGGUAUAAUAUUGUAUUAUCCACAUCCACUACCUCUGUCUUACGCAUCUCUAGAAAAACCUCUACCUCUCACUAUUGAUAUAUAAGUAGGCUUGAAAACAUAGUGAGGACAUUUCUUAACCAAAUAGACAACCUUAUAAAACACUUUGGGACUGGGACUCUUAGAAAAUUUUCUAGAUUUUUGGAUUUUAAUCAACAUAUAAUCAGUGGGUACCAAUCAUAUACUGGGUUAUGAGUGGUAUGAUUAGUUGUAUGCUGAGCAGUGUUGGUUAGUGGGAUUGGAGUGGUUUUUAGAAUGGCACGACUUAGGUUGGUAUGAGUUGUAUGGUUCGAUACAGGUCAUUUGAUUUGGGUGUUUCCUUCACUUAAUCUUAGACUUGAUAGACUAAUUUGGAUAUGAGUAAGAGGGGUUCACCAUGAUCCAUAAGCUAGGGUAUGAGUCGUACCAUGAACUUGUAUGGUGGACAAUGUUCAAACCGUUUGUGAUUCUAAUCUUCCAGUGGUAUGGGUCAUAUGCUUUGGGUAUGACUUAGUUUGGGUAAGUUGUACCUUGGACAGUAUUGGGUCCAAGUGGUAGGACAAGGGUACAAGUGGUGGAUACCACUCGUAUUGGAGGGUACGAUUGGUAUGGUUAGUCAUACCUUCUGAUAGGAAUUUUAUGCAGUUUAAGUGAGGGAAAUCUGGAUAUUUCCCUACUUAACCUAAUAAGGCCUCAUGACUUUUAACAUACUUGUGAGGUUAUUUGAUCUAUUAUUCUAUUCAUUAACACUUAGAAAACACUCUCUAAUCCUCUCUAAGGAUUUUGGGUAAAGGAAGGCUAGGGUUUCACUAAGGUGAUCAAUCUGGGGCUUGUGUUGGUGAUUUGUCUCCAUUAUCUACUCAAUUUAAGGAAAGAUACUUCUCCCAUAUUAUUAGUUCUAACUGAAGUCGUGUUUUAUACAAUGUUUUCAUGGCAUGAUUAUUGUAUGGUUUUGGGGUUUUCAAAUAUAUGUUGGGGUUUUGGUAUUAAAUGCUCGUGUUUUAAUUAUAUUUUCACAUACUUUAAUGGUGGUUUGGACAAUUUGUUGUAUAGAAUGGUUAAUUGGUAGUUGGAAUUGAUUUUGGAAAUACCACAGCCCCAACAUGUUUAAUAAAAGGCCUAUGAUAAUGCUUUUACUAUAUUAUUGGAUUAUUAAUGGAACUAUUGCAUGGUAUAGUUUGGUGAUAAAAACCUAAAUGAUAUAAAUGGUAUAAGUGAUUUAAAUUAUUUGGAAAGGUCAAUUGGUAAGGUUUUGGUGGUCAUGGUUAUGGUUUAAUUAAAUUUUCUUGUGGGGUACAAGGGAAUCCCCAAAGUAAACAUGUUAAUGAACAACUUCUGGGGUAUAUAGGAUUCCCCCAAGAAACUUAAUAAUAGAACACUUGUGGGGUACGCGGGACUCCCCCAAGUUAAUUGGGUAAUGUAAUCGAUGGGGUACAUAGGAAUCCUCUAAGGUUGGAAAAGGACAUUAUUUGCAAACUAUAGUUGGUAUGACGAUACCACUACUCAUAUUAUUUGUUAAUAAUAAUGGUUUAGUUGGAUGGAAAUAGUUUAAAUUGGGCAAUAAUGACGGGGUGUGAUAGCUAACUAUGAAGGUGAUGCAUGGAUACCGGAAACUCAUGUUUGCUGACAAAAGAGGUUGGUCGUGGAGACCAUAUAUGAUACUAUGAGGUAUGCGAGAAUUCUCUAGGCACACUGUACAUAUGCAUCAUGGAGCGUGAAGGUACUUGGGAAUACCUUACUACUAUGGUAUCUCUGGUUUGUAUGGCUACACGCAUCAGGGCUCGUUCAGGGGGUUACAUCGAACCCAUAUAGCCCAUGGGUAGUUUUAAGAAAGUUAAGAUACACAUACCCAGGUUAAUAGUUUUAAAUGCAUGCUAAACUCGGAUCCCUUUCUCAGCAUGGUUAUAUAUAUAUGUAUGGUUUUUUUUGCAUAUGAUUGGCUUACUUGGUUUUAAUAGUUGGCAUUAUUUUAUCCCUAUCCUGAGUGCUUGUUAGCGUUCACCUGAUAACCCAUCCUUGAGUAGUUGUAUCCCCAUGUGAUAUAGGAACCGACCAUUCUACUCCUCCUACAUAGUGAUCGAAUCUCGAAAUCAGCUCAGUUGGAUUUAAGGGGUGAUCUUCUAUAUUUUGGAAGGCUCCAUUUCAUAUCAUGGACAUCUUUACCUACUUUGGGUAUUUUAUGGAUAUUUGUUUUGGCUAUGGUUAGGGGCAUGUGAUAAUCGAAUAUUUUUUUUCUUUUGGUUAGAGACUUUUGUGGAACUACUAUGGGUUGGAAUGGGCAGGAUCGGUAUUGGUGUUAGCCUUAGUAUUGGCAUUGGUAAUAAGGUUGAUACUGUUAGACGAAAUGUAACGCCCCAAAAAUGGAUCUCGAGACGUCACAUGGUGCUCAAGACUAUGAGUAGUCCUAAGAUAACCCUAUAAGCCUUUUUUUUAGAUCUGAAACUUAAGUCAAGGAAAACUAAUCAAGAAAUAAUACUAAAUUAUAUCAAAACUGAACCGAAAUCAACUAAAUGUACUGUCUAAAUAACUAAUACAGAAGGUCUGAAUAAUAACUAGUAGUCCGACAACCCUUUACUACUAAGAACUAUAGAUUCGUUGGGUCAAGCCCCCAACUGACUUGAACUGAACUGAAGAUAACAAAUCAAGUAUUACGAAAUCGAGAAAUCUGUAUGAAUGGGCCCUCAAACCAUGAGAACUCACCAAAUGUCGAGAUGUAGAAAGACAUGCCCGAAAUCACUCUCACUACUAAGACUGAGCACCUAAACCUACAUUAUUAAACAAUCUAGCACAUAGACGUAUAUAUGGAUAAUUACUUUGAGUAUGUACUGAGAAUGUGGGGGUGAAUGCAUAAGUAAAAAUGAUAUCUCAAUAUUAUUAAAGUUCAUAAAAUUUGCAUGCUAGAAUGUAAUGACUCACAUGGCUUUAAUAUCUGAAAGUUGAAAAUCAUAAUUCAUGGAUAAUAAACCAUACUGUGUAAGUCUGGUGAGCCAUCACAUUUAAAGUCUAAAAGAUGAACUGUUAUCAACCAUUCUUUUCUAGUGGGGAAUUUCUUUUAAAAAUUGUUCUAUAGGGAUUUUAGGCUGUAGGGUAAUUCUGUCAAAAGCUGUUUUAUUAUUUUUACUAGUAGGGAGGUUCUUCUAACCGGCAUACACUAUGUGAGCUAUCAUAGUGUCCAAUGUCUAGUUCUCCUAAAGAGAAAACCUCACAUUGGGAGAGGUGUCAUACUCUUACAAAGGAGUAUAACCUGAGCUUAGUGAUCAGAUUUGUAACUGCUAUCCAUAUAGAAAUGGGAAUACUGAAUUUGUACCUACGUUGGCUCGUAGUUGAAGGAAAGUAUAAUGCGCUAAACCCACACUUCCUUUUCGGUGCUAAAUACUACUCCCUUUAAUUUGUAUGCUCAUUCUGAAGGAAAUCCACUUUUAAAACUAUUAUAAGGGUUUAUAUUGAAAACCUCUUGUGAAUCUGCUUACUGUAAACUGUAGCUAAAACUGUAAAGUGGAUUCCAGAUCUCGGAACACCAUACUCGGAUACCAGUAUAGAAAGAGGAACAACACCAACAGUCUAUGGAGUACCAUAUAUUGAUGUUGGUACCACUGGAGGAUCCACACUCAGAGCUGAAGAAACACCAUAGGCAGGCUCUCACACAAAUGUAGGUACAAUACUUAGAGCUAAAGGAACACUGCGUGCACUCAAAGGAACACCCUCCAAACGAGUCCUCAAAUGAAUCAAUAACUCCUCCAACACUAGGGUAGAAGAACUCUAUAUGAUCGGAGUGGGCCACAUAUCUUUAACAUGCUCAACUUAAGGCUUAGCACAAGUCCCCAUAUACUACCUUUAGAUGGGGAAGAUCCUCAUGUCUGUCCUCUACCUCAGGCCUGUCCAUGACUUGCAACUCGCCCCCUUGACUGGGCUCUCUCUUUGGAUGAUAACUCUGUAUCUCUAGCCUCAAGAGAUCUAUUCCUCACAAACUGCAGAGAAAGGAGUGAAACUCAAAUUAGAAUAUAUGGUAUGGAAAAACCUGCACGAUAAGGAACAAAAUAAGGGAAUUUUCCUAAAUAUAUCUUCUAGCCUAUCAAAGAUAGAUACAAAUAUUUACGUACAUUUGUGAGACUCUACUAGACACCCUAUUCUUACACUGAUGAGACCAAUGAACCUAGGUGCUAUGAUACCAAUUUGUCACGAUCCAAAUACUAAGGAUUAUGAUGGAACUUAUCGUGGCAAGCCUUGCUAAGUAAGCCAAACACCCAAAGUAAUACAAAAUAAUAAAACAACACCAAAACCCAAGGUAAAACUUCUAGAACAAAGUCGAACCACACGGACACAAUAAUAGUGGAAAAUAUGUAGCAAUAUACCAUAAAUCACCCAAAAUUUUCUUGUCGCAUUGUAAGAACCAACUAAGUACAUCUUGAAGUCAAAAUAAUACAACUGAUAGUUUUGAAAACAACAUAAGUCCAUCUCUGAAACAUAGUGAGACAUAAACUAGAUAAGAAGGGAUAUGAGAUCGAUUUAGAAGCAUAGAUCAAUCGCUACCUCAAAAAUACUCCAAGCACUUCUCGAGAUCAGCUACCACACGGCAUACUCAUACAUAGAUCUAUAUCGAAAGGACACAGUAAGGAUGAGUACGGUACACUUGUACUCAGUAAGUAUCAUAAACCAACUGAGCAAAAUAGAAAAUAAAGUAUAUAAAAUAUACACUAUGGGUACGUCACUUGUAAUCAGAAAAUUUCCCAAAUGGUAGCCCACACUGUCUCCACUAACUCUAAAUAUCAACAUAUAUACCAAGUACAAGUACAAAAAAGAAGCAACGAAACAUAGAUCAAUCAAGCACAAAGUACAACAUAGAAAAAUACAUAAUGUAUGAGAUGAAAUAAGAAUGAUGGUGCCCGAUAUUUUUGCACACCCUCCGUGUACACCUAUUGAGCUCUACUCCAGGGUAGGACCUAUAGAGAGUUUGCAAUCCUUAUACAAUCCAAUAACCAAACACCUUUCUAGCACAUGAUCUUUGGCAAAGGAUUUUUAAAUAUGUCACAUUUUCUUAGAAAAAUGGGUAUUUCUACAGUGGUACUAAUGCCUCAUGAUGUAUAUAAUAUGAGGAUGUAACGCUCAUAACCAAAAACAGAAUGGGAAUUUCAGAAUACAAACAGUAUACCAAACUUGAGCUGAAAAUUCACUAAAUAAGCCAACCAUCCAUGAUCCAAGAUAAUUCAUGUACCAGUAGAGUAAGAUAUGCAAUAAUAUGUCAUUGAUAAAACAUAAAUUCCAACUUAGGCAAUUUUCACCAAGAAGAAAUGUAUAAAUACCAAGACAAAACAUCAUAUAAGACCCCACACUAUCACACAUAGCAAAUAAUAUCUCAAACCGUGAAUAACAACAACCUAGGCCCCCACACUGGCAUAAAACAGUAAUAACACCAUUUUCAUGAUUAGUACCCACACCCAUAACAUAUUUUUUUGUAUCAUUAUUAACUAGCCAACUCAGUCUAAAAGAAAUUAAGCCAUAACCUACCUCAACGAAGAAAAUCUAAUCCAAAAGACUCCAAUCACAUAGUAUUUCCCUCACAAACGACCUUAGUUAAAAUAUAUAAAUAUAGGAUCUGCACAUCAAAAAGAAAACGAUGAUACUCAUAUUAUCUAUUUUCGAGUCGGGGUCAAAACGGACCCCCUAAAUGGAUUUUUAAAAGAGAAGGGUAAAAUAAAAAUUUAUUUAAUAAAUAUAUUUCUCAUGAUUAAAGAAAGCGAGAGAAGAAAACCUAAGUGAAAAUGGGUUGAAAUUUGAGUUUAGAUCUAAGAAAUGCUAAUUUAGGUCUUUUGAGCUAAAACCCUAAAUUUCACUUUGGAAAUCAUGACAUAACAAGCUUUAGAUGACAAGAAUCAAAUAAAAAUAAUUGAACUAGGAAUUUGAAUCUUAUCCAAACUUGACAAUGGAAGAAAUCAUCUAAAACUCUAAAACCCGAAGCUUCAAGCCUCAAAAAUGGUGAAAAAAUUGAGAAAAAAUCUACAUAUUAUAUAUAUACAUAUAUAUAUAUAUAUAUACAUAUAUAUAUAUAUAUAUAUACAUAUAUAUAUUGUAUGUAUAUAGAUAUUGUGGAAUAUAUAGAGAGAGAGAUAUAUGUGUAGUGCCAGCAUUGACCGUUGAAGCAAUCAAAUGGCCACUUUAGCAAUCACCGUUAAAUUGGACAAGGGUUGAUUUAGCGGCCUUCGCUAAAGUGGAUAGGGCACCGCUAAAGUUCCUUUCCCAGCUGGAGCCAGCCUCUAACAUAGCAUAGCGGCAUUUUGGUUCCUACUGUUAAAGCGGCCAAAAUGACGCUUUACCAGCUGAACUUGAAAUUUUUUUUUCAUGUUUUCGGUGGGGCCCUUGAGAUUCAUUCAAAAUUCCUAGAAUGCAAACGAGAUAUGCUACUAAACUAAAUUCAACGUUUCAUACUCUAUGGAGAUAUCAGAUUUUUUAAACAACAUCCUUUUCACAAAAUUGACCCUCGAGAUCUAAUUUCACAACUUUCUGAAUCAACGUCAAAAUGAGAUAUCAAAGCCUUCAAAUCACACCAACUAUGUUACCAACCUAAAAUUGAUGUUUCAGAUAUGAUGGCAUAGUCCGUUUUGUCAUUCGAUACACAAAAUAAUAAAUAUUGACCAAAGUCAACUAUAAAGCCUUUUUAGCCUACAAAAAAUUAUAAACUCUCAAAAAUUACAUCAAAAUACAUUAGGAAUUAUAUCAAUAAAGCAACCACCGGGAGAAGUAAAAUGGUCAAAUCACACGAAAAUAAAUAAUCACGUACAAAAAUCAAGUCAUUACAUUGAUUUUUGUGUAUUGUUAGGGGAUUCCUUGCUUACAUGGAAGGCCAGGCAGUAGCUAGUUGUUUCAUUGUCGUUUGUUGAAGCGGAGUACCAGUCUUGUAGUAAAUUUGUUGUUGAGUUAACUUGAUUGUGCGUCUGCUUUCUGAUCUUAGCAUCACAGUCCACCUUCCUAUACAUAUUUAAUGCGACAAUUGGGUUGCUAUUCAUAUAAAACCUGAUCUUCCAUGAGAAGACGAAACACAUCAAAGUGGAUUGCCACUUCAUUCGUACCAAGCUUGUUGAAGGUCUAGUUGAUUUGCUUCUUAUUCCCAUGACACGCCAGCUUGCGGAUAUCUUUACCAAGUCCUUGACUAGACUUAUCCAUCAUUCUAUUUUGCUCAAGCUGGGAGCGCAUACCGCUCCAACUUUCUCGGGGGGUGGAGCUAUCAGAUUACAUAAACUCAGUUAGUGUUAUUAGUGUGGUUGAACAUAUUACAUGAGCCCAUAUUUAUUUGUAGUUCGGGUCAAUGAGCUCGCUAGUAUAUAAUGGACAAUAGGACUUUCUAGAAGACUGACUUGGUACUCUCAAAUAAUUUUUAUUUUUGGGAAAUAGAAAAGCUCUUUCUCUCUUCCUUUUCUCUCAACAGCCCAAAUUAGGAUUGCAAGUAAUCUUUAAUUUACUGAAUUUUGACACGAACUUAUAUACUCAACAUGGAUUCAAAUUAGUCAGGCUAGUGAAUUAUUCAAAUAAUGAAUGAUAAAACCCAAAAAAGAACAAUUAAAAAUGCUUUACGAAAAGCCAAUAUAUAUAUUGGUGUUUGGUGAUAGGUUUGGGAGAUUCAGAAUACCAGUAGAGUGGAGUCCAUAUGGAGAAUUAGAAGUAGCAUUGGACUCAAAUGAACAUGAAAAUGCAUGGAUAUGUGUAGCAUGAAUCCUGCUUAUUUAGGCAAGAAAUACAGAUAGAUGAACUUUCAAAUAUGAUUAAUAUAAUUUAGUGAGAAAAUCUUAGAAGAAUUUAUUGAACCCUAAGCAGCGAAACCUCCUCAAUUACCAUGAUAGGACCCAAGUCCUGCUCAUCAGGAAACCUCUCUACUGCAAAAGAGUUUGAUAAGUGACAAUCAUAGAUAAGUUUCAUGAUAGGACUCAAUAUCCACACAUGCACCAAUCAUAGAAGAAAAAGAAGGGGUCUCUGAUUUCAUUUGAUUCCUUCAUACCCAAAUUGAUUGGACCAAUCAUAUGAGUUCUGAUAUGGAUGGUUCAAAUCUUUCACUCUUAACUAGAAGUCUUAGGUCUUAGUCCGUAAAAAUAAAAAAAAUUCUUUUAGGGAGCAUCAUUCCCAAAAUGGAUCCUACAAUGCAUGAAUCCAAAUUUAAUCAGGUCUCAAUAUGGAUACCAAACACCAAUGAAAACAAAAAGAUCGACUAGAUCUCAAUGUAUCUAUCUCAAGUCUCAUCCCCUUUAUGGGUUUUUGGAUUUUCACUAAACAAAAAGAAAACCGACUAGAUCUCAGUCUCUAUCUCAAGUCUCAUCCCCUUAUGGGUUUUUCGAUUUUCACUUUGUUAUCCGUGUAGUAUAUACUUUCGUGGGGCAUGAAUUAAUCUUGAGGUUCUUAAGACAUAACAAGUUAUGCCUCUUACAUGUUAAAUAGACGUAAGUUGUGUUCAUAAUUUAAUUCUACUUGAAUAUAUUUUCAUAGAGGCAUAAGAUUAGUUUCAUGACCCACAAAGUUAUGUCUUAAGCAACAUAACUUAUUCUCACCGAAAUUUUGUCGGGCUCUGUAAACUUAUGCCAUGAAAAUUAGAUACUACACACACUAGUGCCAAAUAAGGAAACCUUGGAGUAACUGGUAAAGUUGUCUUCAUGUGAUUAGAGGAUCACAAGGUCAAGACUUGGAAAUAACCUCUAGCAGAAAUGCAAGGUAAGGUUGCAUAAAAUACACUAUUGUGGUGGAGCCCUUGACCCUGCGUAGCGGAAACUUUAAUGUACCAAACUGCCUUUUUUUUAUACUUGUGUCUGAUAAGACAAAACUUCUCUAAACCUAUGUCUUGUGAGAUUUGGCCAUAGUUAAGGGUACUUUAGCCCAUAUAUUUUUUUUAAAUGAGCAACUGAGCUAAAGGUUAAAAACCAUCAACUUGAGAGGCAAAAAUCAAAGAUAACCCCGAAAAAAAAGGCUCCAUGCAAAAACACAUAGUAUUAGUCUUCCUACGUCCAUAUUUGACUUGAUACACUCCUUAAGAAACAAUAUAUAUAUAUANNNNNNNNNNNNNNNNNNNNNNNNNNNNNNNNNNNNNNNAUAUAUAUAUAUAUUAUACGUCAUAUAAAUAUUGAUGGAUGAAUAGUAAUAAAUAAUACGAUAAACCGUUAUAUUGAUUAUCAAGUAUUGUUUGAUUAACUGUGGAAAGCAUCAUAUCAAUAUAAUCAAAAUUUGUAACGGUUUAUACAUAUAUAUUGCAUUCAAUGUUACUUCUAGCAACACUAAAGACACAGAUUCUGUUAAUCAAGAUAUUUGACACAUGUUUCUCGCAUCAAGAUAGAUGACCCAAAAAGUGUCCCCUAGCGAAAGGCAAAAUUAGGAAUAAGAAAAUAAAAGUGAUAGUUGAGAUAUAAAGAAAAGAAAAUCUAUGUUCUAUAGCACUAAAUUAAUUUAACAGAUUAUUAUGACAAAUUAGUUAUUGUAUCUUUCAAAAUUCAAAUUAAUACUAGUCCAAAAGAACUUAUACUUGAUUUAUAAGUAUGAAAUUCUUUAAACCAGUUAAUGCAUACACAAAAGAUAAAACUCAUAUAUAAGCCUCGUUUAUAUCAUGUUAUUUUAUGAACUUCCCCCAUUUACGGUAAUUUAUAAUAUUUGUUUAGUUGAUAGUAGUAUAUAUAAUCUAUAAUCUAUAAUCUAUAAUCCAUAAUCUAUAUCUAUAAUAUAUUAAAAGUGUGAAGGCCCUUAGAAAAGUGAUUUGAACAUUUUACACUUCAUUAAAACACUAUUUUUUAGACAAAAUCGUCUUUUUAUUAUUUUUUUAAAUUAUAAUUAUUCUAAAUACUAAUAAUAUAUAUUUUUGGAAAAUAAAAAAUCACCAUUAUUAAAAGAGUCUGAAUUAUAAUACCUUAUAUUUGGCAAAUAAAUAUAAUCGUAGAAGUAAAAUAAAAUUUCUUUAUUAAUGUAGAACUGUACAACUUAUUUAUAUAUUUUUGGAAAAAUAAAAAAUUACCAUUAUUAAAAGAGGCCUAAUUAUAGUACCUUAUAUUUGGCGAAUAGAUAUAAUGUAGAAGUAAAGACUAAAAUAAUAGUUGGGCUGUCUUGCCAGCUUUUUUAAUGAAGAAGAAAAAGAAGAAGAAUAUGAAAUCGUAUGAGUCCCAGGAAGCCUUUGAGCAAUAAGAAUUUUUUUAUUAUUCUUAGCAUGAUGGUAACGUUUCUCCUUAAAUUUUGGAUGGGAGAUCAACAUGUUACAAGAUUUCGAAAUACAUUUGAAUCGAAGAAGAGAUUGAACAGGUCACCUGAUAAGAAUUUCCACUAUUAUUUCCUCAGGGAAGUAGAUUUCCCGUGCUUUAACAUUUGGAAACAUCAUCUUCUUCUUCUUCUUUCCAAUAGAAAAACAGACAAAACGAAGUGGUGAUUUGAAAAGUUAAGUGUUUUCUCCCAUGGGUUUCUCAAGUACAUAUUAGGUGUUUUUAUAGAAAAGCCUUUUUCCUUGUUUCUAGGUACAUGCUAUUAGGGUUUUUGUUAUCCUAUAACGUGUAAGUUUUCAGUCAAUUGCUGCUAUAUUUUGGUGGUAAACUUUUAUUAAUUAAAUAUUUUGUUGUCAGAUUACAUCUUUAAGCUCUGGAUAAGAGUUGAAUACUCAUCAAUAAUAUUGAAUCAAAUUGUUUGCUCCAUAUAUUUGGUGGUAAAGACAGUUUGGUUGGAGACUGAAUUUUUGCGAUCAUUAUCAUAUUGUUUUAUUGUAGUUUAUAGAUCGUAGAUUAAUGUUGAUUAGCUUUGAGUAAUUUUCUAUGUAAAGAUUAGUUUUAAUUGCAUUGUUUUGAUAUCUAUAUUAUUAUAUUAUUUUAUUUUAAUUUACAGGUAGUCGAUGAAUGUCGGUCGGCUUUGAAGAGUUUUUUAAGGUAAAGAUUAGGUUUAACUGUAUUGUUUUAAUAUCUCUAUUAGUGUAUUGUUUUGUGGUAGUUUACAGGUCGUAGAUGAAUGUUGAUCAACUUUGAGGAAUUUUUGUGUGUAAGGUUAGGUUUAAUUGUAUUGUUUUGAUAUCUCUUUAAUUUUAUUGUAUUGUUUUGUUAUAGUUUACAGGUGGUAGAUAAAUGUCGACUGACUUUGAAAAAAAAUUUUUAGGUAAAAAUUAGGUUUAAUUGUAUUGUUUUGAUAUCUCUAAUUUGAGAAUUUCUUUUAUGUAAAUGUUAGUUUUAGAUGUAUUGUUUUGAUAUCUCUAUCAUCAUAUUAUUUUGUUUAAUGUUCGUUGACUUUGAUAAAAUUUUUGUGUAAAGGUUAGAUUUAAUUGUAUAUUAUUUUCAUAUCUCUAUCAUUAUAUUGUUUUGUUAUAGUUUACAAAUUUAGAUGAAUGUCAAUCGACUUUGAGAAUUUUUUUGGUAAAGGCUAUAUUUAAUUAAAUAAAUUCUCCAUCUUUACAUAUUCAAAAGAUGUUGAAUUUAAUUAUUAUAUGCAUCUUUAUCAAUUUAAACAAAUAUCCUAUUUAGUGUAAUAUUUGAAUUCGUUAAAGUGAGAUACACGUGCGAAGCGCGUAUACCUAAACUAGUAAUAAUAAUAUCUUGUGAACGUAGGCAAGAAAGCUCUUGACGUCAUAUGACAGUGUUAAAGACAUCAUUAUUUAAUUUCCAAACCACAUGAGGAGAAACAACAACAACAUAUCCAAUGUACUCCCACAAAGUGAGGUCUGGAGAGGGUAAAGUAUAUUACUCCAUAUGAAAAAAAUUCAAAAAUAUUUUGUAUGAAUUACAUCGAAGAGCUGGAGAUAUAUAUACUCCCCUCGUCCCAUUUCAAUUGAAGAUUUAAUUUUAUAGUCUUUUCUAAUUUAUUCUUUGUUUUAUGUUCUUUUACUAGAGAUUUUUUCAUUUUUAUACGUGAGAUAUCUCAAAGGAUCAUUUUUUCUAAAAAAAUAAAAUAAGGUACAUUUUACUAAGUUUUCUUAUUUAUUAGAUUUUUUUUUGAGAAUUGAGUAAAAAGAACUACUACUUCUUUAUUAUACUAGAGUUAUAAGAAAAUUUUGGUAAUAAAAGAGAUAUAAAAAUAUGUAAUUUAAAUAAGAAGGUAGCUAUUACACAUUGUUGGAUUGAGUUAUUAUUUUCUGUAUUUGACGAAAGCAUGACUCCUACAGUCAUACUGUAUUAUAUGUUUACGAAAUCAAAGUGUUGCUCUUUAACUGCUUAUAAAUUAGUUUCUUAUCAUGUUUUACAUAGGAACGCAAUAUAGAAGGAAAUAAAAUAUUUUUGUAUAGGAGAAGAACACAUAGCAACCACAAUCAAUCUUAUUAUUUGUUCCAGUCAUGCAAAAAUACUCUAUUUUUAAUUAAGUAGAUGCAUUUAGAGAAUAUAUAUUCCAUAAACUGAAAUAAGAGAAUAUAUAAAUAAUAACCAUUAAGUUUUCCACGGCAGUCUUUAAUAUGAUGUUCAUCAUCAGUGUUUGGAUUUUUCAAAUAGGUUUAUUAAUCAUAUCUACAAUGAGUUUGGAGUGCAUCUCAAGGAUCACAUUUUGCAUUCCCAGAGAAGAACUAUAUUGAAGACCAACCAAAGCAGCUUUAAUCUCAGCCAAAUCAUCUCUCCAUCUCGAUUCAUGAUAAUGCCUCCUGCUCUCCUCAAUCCACAUAGUGAGCUUCCAUCUGAUUUGAUAUUGCACCUAAUUAGAGGAGGUUUCACCCAUUAAAUUGGGAUACUGAUGAUGGGAGGGACAUAAUUAUCUGCAAUACAACAAGUAUCUCUCCAAGACAAGUGAAGGUUAAUAUCACUACCCAUCCCGUAGUUCUAGCUUUUGUUAGGGUGUAAGUUCCCGGUUAGAGUAUUUUUGCUAGGAUGAGAGUUGCUAAAAUCUCAGGCUAGAGUGAUUUCUGUCAGAAAUCUGGUGUUUUGUAGUUUACACAUCGUUUGUGCCUCGUGGUGUAGCGUUUGAUGAUUCCGAGGUUAUUUCAGAUAGAGUAGAGGUAUAGUAGUCCAUGGAAACUUUUGGAAUGAGAAACUGAAUCAUAGUAGAACUCCAGUUGUACAUUUGCCGCGAUGGCUUAUACCUGUGUUGUCGAAAAACCAAGUGUGUGUUGUGAAAUGGCGCCGGGAAUCCUAAAAAGUCCCCCAGAGUUACUUUUAGGCACCGCUAGAGUGGUCCACUGACGCUGUAGAGGGGUUGCCAUAGCAAGCAGCCGACCGCCAUAGCGGGUAGAUAACCAUUGUAGCGGAUCGUCAUAGCGAGUAGAUGAUCGCUACAGACUGGUUCCCGAUUUUAGAAUAUAUUUUCUUCCUUACAUCCAAAAACUCAUCCUAAGGCUCGAGAGAGGCGAUUUCCUACCAACUACGGUAAUCUCCAUUGAUGAGGUAUGAUAAUUACACCAUUCUAACAUAAUUAAUUAAUUUAAGUGAAAGGGUCAAAUAUGCCUAUCACAAAUGGUCAUUUAUGUUAUCCGUUAAAAAUUGGGUUCAUUUAUGCCAUUGCCGUUACAAAACUGGCUCAUCUAUACCAUUACUUUUUAACAGCCGGUUUUUAAAAACAAUCUUGGCACGUGACAGCUUAUUAGAGGGUCACGUCAUUUUUUAUUUUUUUUUAUUUUAUUUUUAAAAUUAAUUUUUCUUUUAAAUUUUUUUUUGAUCCAUUAAAAAGAAUCCACUCAAUUUUUUGAUCCAUUAAAAAUAAUUUGAUCUGUGCUUUUAAAAUUUGAUUAAUUUUUCAUGAUCAAACAAAUAUUUAAAGAAUUUUUUUUUUAAAUCUACUACUAAAAUUUAUUUUCAAACGCUAUUCUAAUUAAGCAUAUAGUAUGUCUUAGCAUACAUGAAAUAUUUUGUCAGCCGAAUGUAAGUAACUUUUUAUUUUUUAAUUUAUUUUUUCUAUAAAUAGUAUUUAAUAUAUUUCUUAAAAUUUAUAAUUUAUUAUUACUAAACAAAAAUAGGCUCCUCAAAUUUUGGGGUCUUAGGCGGUCGCCUUUUCUCCUAAAGGGUUGAGCCACCCCUAAUCAGCAUUCAACAUUUGUACGUAACACUUUAUGCACCAUCAUUUAUCAUUACAAAAACAAGAAGGCGACAACAUGCUGACGUAUAUAGUAUACGUACAGUUGGUAAAAUGAGAAGCUAACUAUUAAUAAUAUAAUAAUAAUAUUUGAUGUUUAUAUAUCUUUCAGUUUCAACUGAAAAAUGACAAAGCUUUAGUUAACGUGAAUCUUUAAAGAAAAAUAAAAAAUAAAGUGAUAAAAAGCGUGGAGUGUAUACUCUCUCCGUUCCCUUUUAGUUACUCGCCCGUCAAUUAAAAUAGCUAUUUUAUUAUAAUAUAUUUAUUAAAUGAUGUUUACUAUUGUAUUUGAAAUUAAUUUGAAGAAAAAAAUAAUUAAUAUUAAAGGUAAAAUAUGAAAACAAUCUUAAUAUGUCAAAAAUGACAAAAAAACGAAUCGAACGAGAAUGUUUUAAGAAUAUAUUCAUGAAAAAUUAAUCAAAUUUUAAAAACAUAGAUCAAACUAAUUUUCAAUGGAUCAAAAAUUUGUGAGGAUUCUUUUUAAUGGAUCAAAAAAAAUUAUUUAUUUUUAAAAAAAAAUUAAAAAUGACGUGGCCCUCUAAUAAGUUGCCACAUGACAAGGAUGUUUUUAAAAAUCAUCUGUUAAAAAGUAAUGGCAUGGAUGAGCUGGUUUUGUAACGGCGAUGGCAUGAAUGAGCCCAAUUUUUAACGGAUGACAUAAAUGAGUUAUUUCUAAUAGUUCAGUGGCAUAUUUGAGCCUUUUUCCUUCAUUUAAUUCAUAGAAUCGUUAUAAUGGGGGUUUAUGGUGAAAUUCUUGAGUUUAGAUCCUAAUUAAGUUAAUAUUAGUGAGAAUUACGUGUAGAUUAAAUCACUUAGGUUAGAAUUUCUCUUAGUUUUAUUUCAUAAAAUCAAAAGUUUCGUCCAAAAUUUCUAAGAAGCGAUUUCGUCGAGGACUAGGGUGAUUUCCUGUUGUAAUUCAAUCUUCUGUUACCCUAGAGUCGUUAGGAAAAAUUGUUAGGAUGAGGUAGUGGGUUAAAAAUCCCAAGUUCAUGAAUUUGAGGGAAAAAAUCUAUGUUAGAUGUAAAAUCAUCUAGAAUUACUUUUAGGGUGAAAAAAAAACACCUCCUAUCAUGGAAUUAGUACUCUUGAACGUAAAUUAUGGAAAUUGUUGGACAUUUGGUGAUUGAAAAAUUCUUAGUUGAAGCCAUGGGCUAUAAAAAGAGUUAGGACUAGUUGGCUUGAAUCCCCAAGGUUGGACUUGUUUUGUUUUCUUAUUAAAUAAAUAAAACGAGCCCAUAGGGUCCAUAUACAAUCCCCUCUUCCCCAAAAGAAGAACCCCCAAGGCUUAAAUUGUAGAGUAAAUGAUUAUUUAUUCUUGUAUUUAUUUAUUUCAGACCAUGAACAAUUUGAUACAUUGAGAAAAUGAAAAGUUUUUGCAAAUUAGCUUGGACUUUACCUUCUUCGAUUGAGGUAGGUUUUGAAGGGUAUCGUAUGGUUCUCACACUGAAGGAUUAGUGUGGAUGUCACUCAUGAUCAUUUUGAUCAUGAAAAAACUGGUACCAUAGUCCUAGAUUUGUCGAUCUCAUAAUAUAAGGACUUGUCUAGUUGAAUCUUGAAGAAUAGUACAGAGACGUAUGUACUUUUCUACGAGAGGGUACCAGACAUAAGAAAAACUCAACUUUCUUUCUUUUGUGCUAUUACUUGAUUUCAAUUGGUAUCUAAUGAUCCAAAUUAGUAUCUGACCUCUAUCCCUAUUUUCUCGUAUGUGGUGAGAGCACUUGCGACAGAAGCAAGGGCAAAGGCACCCAAAUCGGCCAGUAGGGCAGCAAUUUGUGGUAGAGGGCAAGUGAGAGGAGGAGAAAAAGGCAGAGAAUGGAAGGUGUCACUUACAACCAUAUGGGCCGUGACAAAUAAGUACUCCCUCUAGUUUUUUUUUUUUGUCGUGAUUAUUGAAAUACUCGAUUCAUAAUAUGACAAGUAAAAUUAAAUGAAUUGAAUAACAGAAUGUUCAAUAUUGAAAUUAUGUAUUCUUCAUUAAAAUUAUGCAAAAUUUUAUUUCAUUAUAAUUAAAAUGUAUAAUAGUUCAUUCAGAGAUUACAUAGAGAUUGCAUUAAAUGUACUCCUAGCAACACUGAAGACAUAAGAAUUUCGUUAAUUUCAAUACUUGAAAUUAUAUGACACAUAUUUCUCACUCAAAGAUUGAUGAUCAUAAAAGUGUUUUUACAAAAAGAAAAAAUUAGGAGUAACUAGAAAUAAAAAUAACACCUAAGAUAUUUUUAAACUAUUGAUGAUAUAAAGGAAAAAAAUUGCACCAUCAAAUGUAAUUUAAUAGAUUAUUAAAAAAAUUACUUAUUCUAUCUUUCUGAUUAAUGCUAACCCAUAAGAUCAUACAAUUGAUUUAUAUGUGUGAAAAUUAUUUUAACACAUGCAUGUAUUAAAAAUAAAACUCAACUAUAAACCAUGGUAGAUUGAAAUAAUGAUUUCAAUCAUGAUAUAUUUGUUUAGUUGAUAGUAGUAUAUAUAUUAUUCUUGUGUAAACAUAAUAUUUUGACAUCAUAAUUUUCUAAAUAAUAAAAUUAGAGGAAUAUAUAUAUAUAUAUAUAUAUAUAUAUAUAUAUAUAUAUAUAUAUAUGAAAUCGAAUUGGCAGCUUCCACGGGUACCCUUGCUCUAGCUCGCUGGAGGGGGAAAUUUACCUCAAUUUUUUCUCCUUCCUUCAGUCUUUUUCAUAUUCGAUUUUGCUAUUUUAAGAGUUUGUUGAGCUUCUUGUGAUAUAUAUAUAUAUAUAUAUAUAUAUUCUAAUUGGCAGUUUUCACAAGUACCCGUGCUCUUGCUCGCUGGAGAGGUAGAUUUACCUCAAAUUUUUUUGUCUCCUUCCUUCAAUCUUUUUCAUAUUAAGUUUUGCUAUUUUAAGAGUUUGGUGAGCUUCUUGUGGAUCAAUAUUGCAACUAACUCAAUAGAAGAAUGAAAUAGGUGAGAUUGGAGAGGGAAGUUACAUCCAACUUGGGAAGCUCGUAACACUAGUAAGAGGAGUGACCAAAGAACGAGAAGCAAGCAUGUCUACAUGAGGCGAGAGAUCUAGUGCAUAUUUCUACUGAUGAAGAAUAAGAUACAUAUAUAUCAACACACAUUUAUUUUACAUUGAAACUAUCAAAGCUAACAAAGAAAUCAAAUCUGAUUUUCUUACUUGAAUUGAUUGAAUCCAAGUAAAUUGUAUUUUUUCUUUCCAUUUUAACAUGAGAUUUCAUUUUAUAGUCUUAUAAAAACUUAUUUUUAUGUUUAAAUAAAUUUUCUUUUUUUAUACGUAAUACAUAUUCAUUUCUUAGAUAAGAGAUCUCAAAAUAUAAUUUUUUUAUUUAAUUUGUAAGUGUACAUAAGAGAAUAUUUUCUCCUCUUAACCAUCGUUUUAGCUAUUUUCAUGUUGAUUAUAUUUAAAAAAAAAUAAUAAAUAUAAGUUAUAGUUACUAACUAGCCCUUUUUAUGUAUGUUAUAUUAUUUUCUAGAAUUGAGCAGUACUUGAAAGAACUAUUUCUUUAAUGUUAAGGCUAUAGCCAUUGCUAAAUUUAGUCUUGAAUUCCUAAAUUGACAUUUAUUUUUGAAUAAUUUUUUUAAAAAAAUUUAAAGUGAUAGUUAAAAUGAACCAAACGUAGUGUGUGUGUAUGUGUUUGUAUUGGUUAUAUUUAUAGUAUAAUGAACUAAAUAAAUUGAGUUAAGACAAAUUUUUCUGAGAGGGAUCAGAGUAGAUUGUCACAUUGGAUAACGACAUAAAAUAACGGAAUUAAAAAAGGUCCAUAUCUAGCUAGCUAGAAAAGCAUCAGUUCAAACUAAAAACCUACUUGGACACACUUAAUCUAAAACAAAAACAUGACUAGAAGACAAAGAAAAAAGCUACAGAUAGAUAGAGUUGCGGGAAAGGGGAAAAAAUCUGAUCUUAUUUGUGCUUUUCAUCCCCAUUCGGAGGACUUAGUUGAGUUCUUCAAAUCCCUUGGGAACAUCUUCAUUAAUAUUCUCCUCCUCCUCAUCAUCAACAUUGUUCUUCAUGGUUUCAACAAUCAUUUUAUUUUUUUUGCGAGAUGUGCUCUCAGUUUCAAGUGUAGAUGAAGCUCUAUAACGUUUACCACUCUUUGAUGAGAAAGGUGAUGCAUUCAAUUUUAAUGCUUUGGGAAUAAUAUUUAUGCCUUUUGGAAGCUUAUAUUUGGAACUAUGGUUCCAAUCAGAAAAAGAUCUACGAAUUAUGGGUGGAUCAUGGUUAUGCAUACCGGAAUAGGCUACCAAGAAAAAACAAUCAUUCUUUGAACUUUUUUCAAUUUGUUUCCUUGCUUGACAGAGCUCUGAUGUAUUACACUUAAAGUAGUUCCUGUUAUGUCAUAUAUACAAAAUAAUAAUCAGGUCAAACAUAUAUAUGCCAAGUCAUUAAUAUGUACUGACUUUUGCUUUUUGUCACACAAACUGAGAAUGAACAAAAUUUUCAAUAACAUGAAAAAUAAAUGCUAAAGAGAUCAAACCUUGGAAAUGAAGAACCUUUGAUAAACUUCUGACCAUACUUGCGCCAUGACCAUAUAUCAUCUGUGAGUUCCUCUUGAAACAAUUCAUAUGUAGUCCAUAUCGACUGAUUUUUACUAAUUUCAAAUGAAAAGAAUUAAAACAAAACGUUAAACACAAAUAUAUAAAAUAAAAUAAGGGAAAUACUUACCUUUUACGAAUUUGAAUCGGAGGAUUCCUCAUGGUCAAGGUGGAAUCCCACAUCAAGAGUUGUUGUUGCAGAUUUAUACAUUCAUGUGAUAUUGUAGUAGUUGUUGUUGUUGGCACACACUCUCGUGCUUCAACACCUGAUGGUGAAGAAAGAAAAACUUGUUGGCUAACUUGAGCUGGUUGAAUGGGUGGUAAGUAUAUUUGUUGGUUAUCAUUUUGGUUAGUGAUUUUAAAUGGAUUAGCAAUUAUAGAAACAGGAGUUGUGGGGUUUAUGAUGUCAUCAAAUUGAUCAUAUGAUUUUUCCUGACGAGAAAUUGAAAAAUUUGUAGGAGCUAUGUAAUCAAAAUUAUUGUUGUCAACACCAAAAAUUCUGUCAAGAAAAUUCAAAUCAUCAUCAUCAAAAUUUAAUGAUUCGGAGCCUAAGUUAGGAGUUAUAUCAUUACUAGGUCUAUUAAUUCCACAAUUUCUUAUAACUGCGCCUAAAUCCCAAUUGUUGUCAUCCAUUUCAGAUCUAUAUAAAUUAUAUCUAGUUGAUUACAAAAUUAAAAAGAGAUAGAAGCAAGAAAUCUAAAGAAAUUCAAAAAUAUACUUAUAAAAAUUACUAAUAAUAAUUUGGGAGUUGGAAGUGGGGGAGCGUUAAAAAAAAACAUCUAAAUGCUCAAUACCUAGGGAUGAAAAAAAAAAUAAUGAAAGUUGUUUAUUAUAUAGUGCAAUCAAAGGCUUACCUAAUUAUGUCAAGCACAUCUACAUUUAGUUCAUAUUAAUUGCACAUUAAAUAUUUUUUACUAUUUAGAGUGAAUAGGAUUGAUACAUAAGAGAGAAUAUAAAACUAACGUACAAUAAUCUUGUAUAUCUUUUUGUAUAGGAUUUUCAGAAAUUUAAUCUUCCGCCUUCAAAAAAAAAUCUCAAAUAUUUAAACAAAGGUCCCUUAAAAAUAGAAUAUGUGCAAUUUCAAUAUUUUUGUAUGUCAUUUGAUUUUGCAAGAGUAUCGUGACAUAUCGUGAUGAUAACGAAAUAAAAAGAAUAUAAAUGUGAGAUUGAUAUAGAGGUGGAUCCAUGAUUGUGAUAUGAUUGUUGAGAUUUUAAAAUUUGUGAUUAUUUAUGAUAAUUGUUGAUGGCAAUAUGACUUGUAUCUGUCAUUAAUUAACCUAUUUGAAUGACUGUUGAUUGAAACUCCUCAUUAUGUGUUGAUGAUCUUGUUUACUUAUUAUUUAAUUUGUGAUUUAUACUUGUUACCAAGUUGAGUUGGCUUACUAGUACAUAGUGACUUGUAUUAAUACUACUAUAUGAUCUUCUAAUAUUGAGUGUAGACUAUGUUGUAGAGAUUCACACACGAUCUCAUCUCUAGCGGUAUCGAUUGAUUUGAUCUAAAGGUGAGCUAUUCCAUAUUCAUGCUGCCAUGGAUCUUCUUGAUACGCUUGUAUUUCUUUCAGAAAAUGUUUUGUUAUUUUAUAUUAGAGAUAUCUGAAUUUUCAUAUACACUUAUUUUUGAUUAGCGUCCUUAUACGCUGACUUUCGAGUCUUAGGGAUGUUGUUAGUUGUUUUCUGCAUAUUUAUUUGAUUAAGUUUUGGGAUUCAUUAUUUUCUUAGAUAAUUUUUUUUAAUUGAAUUGGUUUAUUCUAGAUGAUAAUGGUACGCUAUGGUUCUCCCACAGAAGGGUUAGUGUGUAUGCAACUAAUGAUUAUUUGAAUCGUGACAAAGAUGGUAUUUGAGCCUUAAGUUCGUCGAUCUCGACAUAUAAGGACAUGUCUAAUAGAAUCUUUAGAAUAGUAUAAAGACAUAUGUGGUACUUUGUUCUACCCGACAAUAGAAAAACUUAACUCUUUCUUUAUUUCGUGCUAUUACUUGAUUUUAAUUGAUAUAUGGUGACUCAAAUUGGUAUCUGAUCUUUUUCCUUAUUUUCUCGCAUAUGGUAAGAACACGUGUAGCAGAAGCAGGGGAAAAGACACUUGAAUUGGCCAAUAGGGCCGUAGUUUGUGUUGAAAAGUGUGAGGAGGAAAAAACAUAGGACGAAGGGUGCCACUCACGUCAUUUGGUUAUGACAUAUUAUUAAUUCUUGUAGUUCAUUUUUUUAUCGUGCUCAUUAAUCUAGUCGGUUCAUAAGAUGACAAGUAAAAUUAAAAUGAUUGAGCAACAGAAUGUUCAAUAUUGAAAUAAUGUAUUCUUCAUUAAUUAUGCAAAUUUUAGUUUAUUAUAAUUAAAAUUUUUAACAGUUUAUACAGAAAUACAUAGAGAUUACAUCCGAUGUACUCUUAUCAGAAUUGAAGACAUGUGAAAAGACAGUUUUGUCUAAAGAAGAGUCUUUUAAUGAAGGAUAAAAAGUUCAAAUUACUUUUGAAAGAGUCUUCACACUUUUAAUAUAUUAUUAUAGAUAUAGAUUGAUGAUAUUAGGAAAAAAAUCUAUACUAUCAAGUAUGACUUAAUAGAUUAAUUAUCAUAAAAAAUACUUAUCCUUUCUUUCAAAUUAAUAUUAAUCCAUAAGAACAUAUGAUUCAUUUAUAAGUGUAAAUUUUUUUUAAACACGGUUAAAGCACGUAUCAAAAAUAAAACUCAACUAUAAACCAUGGCUUGAUUGGAAUGAUGAUUUCAAUCAUGAUAUCUUUGUUUUGUUUUGUUUAUAUAUAUAUAUNNNNNNNNNNNNNNNNNNNNNNNNNNNNNNNNNNNNNNNNNNNNNNNNNNNNNNNNNNNNNNNNNNNNNNNNNNNNNNNNNNNNNNNNNNNUAUAUAUAUAUACACAUAGAGAGUUUUGCAUUGUAACUCUACCAAAACUAGGGGUGUAUAGACCAAACCGUCAAGUCAAAUCGAACUGACGAACCAAACCAAACAAAAAAAAAUCGACUUAUGAUUUGGUUUGAUUGGUUUGACAUUGAAAAAAAAAACGAUCAUUCAUGGUUUAGUUUGGUGUUAGCAAAAAUAAAAUUAAACCGAACCCAAACUGAACCGACAUAAUAUACAUAAUUUUAAUUUUUUAUACAUAAAAAAUUAUUACUUAUAUUCUACUUUCUAAUUACUUUAAACUACUUUUAUUACUUUUUUGUGUUAAAAAAAUAAAUAUACAUUGUUGAGCCUUAAUUAGUCCAUUACUACUAUCGGUCUAUUACUAGUCCGUUACUAGUAGUAUCAGUCCAUUACUAAUAGUCCAAUAUGAAUAUAAAAAGUAAAACCCUAAAACAUUUCAAUUCCCUCUCUUUUCUUUUAUGUGUCCAGAGACAGAGUUCUACUCAUUUUUCCUUUGCUUACUUUCAUAGUUUCACCUUAGUUACUUCAUUCUCUUCAUUCCUCAAGCUAGAUUUAGGUUUGUUUCUCUUCUUUCUCUCCUUUUUUAAUGAAAUUAUGUUAUAGUUAAUUGCUUUAUGAAGUUGAGCUUUUAAUAAGUUGUCUCCAAUUCUUCAUUUUUUAUUUUCUUACCUCUUGAUAUGUCAUUUACCUCUUGAUUCUUGUUAAUCACAAAUCACAAUGUUGGAAUCUGUAUUUUUUUAUUUUUCGUCUAGACUUUAUUUUUAGUUUCUAACUAAUGAUUCCUUUAUGAUGUUUUGUUUAUGUGUUCAUUAGGAUUCACUACUGCUACUACGACAAGUCUUAAGUUGCUGUGUUCGCAUUCUUAGAUGGAGAGUACAGCUAGAACAGAUGUAGAAAUUAUUGUCGACAAAUCUCCGACUCUACCUCAAAAGAGAGGUAAAAGCAUUCCCACUUUCUAUUCUCCUCCUAAAAAUCAAAAAAGAACAACUCCUACAGAUUCCAAUCUCAUAGAUGGUAAUACGGGAAGAGAAAUGUCACAGAUUUGGGAUCACUUUAGUAAAUUUAUUACUAAAGAAGGUAAAUAUAGAGAAAAAUGCAAAUACUGUGUCAAACACUUUGCUGCCGAGACUAAAAGAAAUGGGAAUUCUACAUUAUGGUUACAUUUAAAUGAAAAAUGUAUCAAAUCUCCCUUUAGAGUUGUUGAUAGAAGACAAACAACAUUUAAAACUGUACCGAUCAAAGUAGGGGGACAAGAAGAUGGAACAAGUUCUAUAAAAAUAGUGGUGUAUAAUGUGGAUGAUAUUAAGAGGGGCAUUGUUGAAUUUGUCAUUAUUGAUGAGAAACCAUUUAAGGUUGUUGAAGGGGAAGGUUUUAAAAAAUUGAUGGCCAAAGCUUUGCCAAAUAAUUGUGGCUAGACACUGUUUGAAGAUUUAUCAAGAGGAAAAAGAAAAGCUUAAGAAACUAGUCAUGAAUCAACGUAUAUGUAUUACUAGUGAUACAUGGACUUCACUUUAAAAUUUGACUUAUAUGGUUGUCACUACGCAUUGGAUUGAUGAUGAAUGGAACUUAUAGAAAAAGAUUCUUAAUUUUUUUCAAACACCGGAUCACAAGGGUGAGACUAUAGCUAAAGGUAUUGAGGCAUACUUGUUAGAUUAGGGAAUUGAAAACUUGUUUACAGUGACUCUUGAUAAUGCAACUACCAAUGAUACAAUCAUUAAGCAUUUGAAGGCACAUAUUGAUGAUUGGAAAGGGGUGAUUUUGGGAAAUGAAUUUUUACAUGUUAAAUGUAAUGCUCAUAUUCUGAAUAUCAUUGUAAAAGAAGGUUUAGAUGAACAAAUUGAGCCCAUUUCUCGUAUAAGAAAUGCAGUGAAAUAUGUGAAAUCUUCUGUUUCUAGAUUUGCCUCUUUCAAGUCAUAUGUUGAGAAGGUAAAAAUAGAUACUCAUGGUCUUUUAAGUGGAAUUCUACAUAUACAAUGCUAAAUACUGCCAUGAAUUUUGAAAAGGCCUGUGAAAGAAUGUAUGUGGAUGAUCAUAACUACCGGAAGUAAUGUCUUGAAAGUGGAUUGAAAGGACAUCCUACUACAACUAAUUGGCAGAAUAUGAGAGCUUUUAUAAAACAAGAUCUCCAUGAACAUGUUAUUGUUUGUUGCAAUUGUGUUGGAUCUUCUCCCAAUAUUUAUCGAACUUAAGUUUCAUUCAUCCAGUCAUGUCAAUCAAAACAAGAUCUUCAUGAACAUGUUAUUGUUUGUUGCAAUUGUAUUGGAUCCCAGGUAUAAGAUAAGAUAUGUGAACUUUAUUCUUAGCAAAUCAUAUAGAGCUUUGCUGGAAAAAUUAAAGGCAGAUCAAGUGGAAGGAAUCUUGAAACGUUUGUAUGCUCACUAUAAUGAUUCUCCUGUUGGAACUUCUAUUGAUGAUAUUACAUGUGACACUAACUUGAUGGGUGAAGAUAUAUUGCAAUCUCAAUGGGAGAAACAUUUAGAAGAAGAGGAAAACAUUGAAAAAAAAUUAGAGAUUGAUCAGUAUUUAUUGGAUAAUGUUGAGAAGCCAAAGGAUUUUAAUAUCUUGGCUUGGUGGAAAGCUUCAUCGGGUAGAUAUCCAAUAGUUUCAAAAAUAGCAAGGGAUAUUCUUUCUAUUCCUGUAUCUACCGUUGCAUCCGAAUCAGCUUUUAGUACUGGUGGUCGUAUUCUUGAUUCAUAGCGGAGUUCCUUAUCACCAAAAAUGGUAGAAGAUCUUAUUUGCACUCAACAAUGGAUACGAUCACCUUCUAAAGAAUGGAAGGUUCAAGAUUAUUUCAAAGAAGUUCAGAAAAUUGAGCAAGUUGAAAAAGGUAUUUUACAUAUAUAAUUCUUUAUUUGACAUUUUCUUUGUCUUUCUGUGACUUGAAGUUUAUGUUUAUGAAUUAUGUUAUUUAUUAUAUGCACAUAUUAAAUGAUAUCUCAACAAGUAAAUAGCUGGUUGUAUGAAUGGUUAUAGCAAGAUGGCCGAUAUUGGAAGAGCUUUUCACCUUUAUCAAGAAAUGUUGAAUCGUGGAGUUCUUCCGAAUGUUGUUAGUUACUUUUCGUAUUUUGGUCGAUAUGCUUUGUAAAGUGGGUCGAUAUGGAGAAGGCUUUGGCAUUGUAUUCUGGAUUUAAAGUGCUCACUGAUUUUGUAAGGAUUUUGGAUAUAUCAUUGUGUUUGUGACAGAGGAGUUCUCAUUCGUUUGAGUGCUAAUAAUUUUUUUUCUUUUCAGAAUGUCCAGGUGUCUCUUUGAGUAUCGAUUAGUUUGGAAGAUAGUAUGCCAGCUGUACCAUGGUUCUUGAAGAUUACUUCCAACAUUUUUUGACUAGAAUUCAUGACUUGUUUUGAUUAACUCAAAUAUUUUUGUUGGAACUAUUUAAAUUAAGGAUGUAUAUUGAUGCCCAAUAUUGUCUAUGAGCCUAUGACUAUUGUCUAUUAUUUUUGAUCUUUUAGUGAAAACUCCUAAUUUUGGUUGUCAUCAUCUUCUCAUUACGGCAUCUCCAAAGAUCAUAUUAUAAAUGUUUGAUUAAACUUGACGUGGACGUAUGGUAGACUUAAGUUAAUAGGCAAUUUUAGAAAAAGUCAAUGGAGGGUGGAGACCUUUGGAGGAGCCUAUACCUGCUUCUACUUGCUCUCUAAGUAGAUCCAGUACAUCCGAGGUAAACAAUCGAUCUGAAAAAUUUGUUGUUGCAAAUCUGCAAUAGCUGGUGCUCGAGCAACUGAACACAGUUUUCUGAGAAUGGUAGUUUUCACUUUUAUUCCUAUACAGUUGAGGGAGGAGAUGAUUCAAAGAUAUGAAAUAUGAGAUUUGUCUCUAAAUUUACCCUGGUAUUUUGUUUAUCAAGUUAAAUGCUUGAGCUCAGUGUUUAGUUUAUUGAAUGUUACAUUGUACCAAGAGUAUGGUAAAUUUGAAUGCCCUUGAUCUUGACUGCCACUGUGGCUGUAGCAAUAGAAAUAAAAUAUUUUUUUUUGCCUUACACUGGUUUUAUCUGGUGUAUGACUUAUGUAUUCAUAAUGAUGAGAGAGUUGCUAGAAAAGUUUGGUCAAGAUAGUGGCUAGAAAAUAUGCAGACUAGUUGACCAAUAAUUGUUGUAGUGUUUGGGGGUUUAGUUUUCAGUUAGGGAUUAGCUGUUAUGGUUUGAAGUUCUUUUUGAAAUUAUGAUGUUAAAACUGCAUGUUUUAGUUGUGUAGACCUGCAACCUAAGUUAACAUUCCAUAUGUUGUAUCAUAUUCUAUUCUGCUUUUGAUCUAAUUGGCAGUUGUGAGAAAGGAAAAUGUAGGUAGCUUUCAGUUUCUGCAAGGGUGUGCUCCGUAUAGAGUUUCCCGACUUUCUCAUGUUUAGUUGGUCAAAAUUUAUCUUCCAGUUUCUUUAAGGGUGUGUUCGGUAUAGAGUUUUCUGACAUUCUCAUAACUAAUUAAAACAAAUUGAGAAAACCAAAAAAACCAAAAAACCCCAAAUAAAAUCGAAAUUUAAAAACCAACUAUUUAUUGGUUUGAUUUGAUUUAUAGAUUUAAAAAACCGACACUAUUGGUUUGAUUAUAUUUUAAUUAAAAACCAAACCGACCCGACCUAUGUACACCCCUAACCAAAACUAACAACGAAGUCAAGUUUGAUUUUCUUACUUCAAUUGAUUGAAUCCAAAAAUAAAUUUCAAGUAAAUUUUGUUUUUUCUUUUUAUUUUAACAUGAUAUUUAGUUUUGUAGUCUUAUAAAAAUGUAUUUUUAUGUUUUAUAUUCUUUUAGCCAGAAAUUUUCAUUUUUAUGCGUUAUAUAUCUUCAUUUCUUACAUAAAAUAGCUCAAAAGAUCAUUUUCUUCUAUUCAAGUUGCAAGUGGCCAUUAGAAACCAUUUUCUCUAUAUUAUCCAUAGUUUUAACUAUUUUCAUGUCCAUUAAGGAGAAACAUUAAAUAUAAGACAUAGUUACUAAAUAACGGUUAUUUGUUUGACACUGUUUUUUGUAUUGAGCAUGAUUAGAAAGAACUAUUUCUUUAAUGUUAAAGACAUAAUUGGAGACCAUCACUAAAUAGUCUUGAAUUUCUAAAAUGACAUUUAUUUUUGAAUAACUUUUUAAAAUUAAAGUGAUAGUUAAAAUGAAAUGAAGAUAGUGUGUGUGUGUGUCUAUAUGUAUUUUAGUAAGUUUUAUAAGUUCCUUAAACUAAGCUAAGAUAAUUUAGCAUAAAAUAAAUAAAUUAAGUCAGAUAAUUUCUUUGAAAGUACCAGAUUAGUUGUCACAUUGCAGAACAACAUAAAAUAACAAAACUAAAAUCUAUGAUGUGCCCAACAAACUAAAAACCUAGAAUUUCUACUUGGCCACACUAAAAUCUAAAACGGAAACAUGAUUAGAAGAUAAAAAGUACUGCAGAUAGAUAGAGUUGGUGAUGAGGAGGAAAAAGAUUAGUUCUCAUUUUGUAAUAAUCCAAAUUCGUGAAUUUUUUAUUCUAUGUAUUUUAACUAUUUUGCCUUUUAGGAAAAAGAUCAGUUCUCAUUUUGUAAUGAUCCAAAUUUGUGAAUUUUUUAUUCUAUAUAUUUUAACUAUUUUGCCUUUUAUGUAGUUGAUACAUGUGGAUUUGAGGUUUGGAAAUAGUUGGCAUGAUUUUCAAUGCCAUAAAAAAUAAAUUAUAUGAGUUUGUGGUUUUUAGAGGCUUGAGAAGUCAUAUAGUUGACUUCGUUCAACAUUUAUCAUUUUGAGUGUUGGAUGAAUAAAUGAAUUGUGCCAGCAAAUUCAAAAUAUAAAAUUUGGGUUAGUGGUGGGUUUGGUUCAGUUUUGAAACUUUUAUAUCUCAUUUCGACCUUUCAUUUGUAAAAUAAUAAAAAGGAGUCUCGAGGGGUAAUUUCAUGAAAAGAUUUAUUUUGAAAAUAUGAUAUCGUUAUUGUGUUUAAAAUAUUAAAAUUAGCCUAGUAGAAUAUAUAGUUUAUUUAUGUCGGGUCCCAAAUGAAUUUCAAGGGUCCGUUUGGAACAUUCAAAACCAUACAAAAACACAUGUUGCACAUCUGAUAUCUGGUGCAUAGAUCCUUCUUUAUGAAUGUGGGCCUCUGGCCAAAAAUACGAAGAAUAAAAUCACCCUUCAUCGUGAUCUCAAAGGUCAACGUAGUUCUUCUCUAAUAACGUGACGAGGUUGUCGUGAACGAGAAGGCUUGAUUCACCAGCCUUCAUGACUGCGAAGCCUUGGCCGCGAACGUGAAGGAAAAUUUGAUGGCCUAUUCAGCUUUGACCCUUGAGAAUCCAAAGGGUUGACUACGUUCAUGGGGUACUGUUCACUAGAUAAUAUAAAUACUCUAUUUUGUGAUUUUACUCCAUUUUGGAUGUCCAAGUUUCGAGAAAGAUGAUUUUUGAGGGUUUCUUUGUUAUUUUUGUGUGGGUAACUUCUAAACUUAUAAUUCCACUAUUUUUCAUUGUAUAUCUUCAAAAACACCUUUAAAUUAUGAUUUCAAAGUGAAAAAUUGAGAUUUUUAUCAAUAAACUUUGAAAAGGAUUUUUCUCCAUUUGGUACCUUGAUUUUAAACUGUUUUGCGUGAGUUUUUUCCUGUAGACUCUUAUAACCUUGGGUAAUGUAUUUUCAAAAUAAAAUUCUAAUUUUACCCCUUUCAUUUCAAACUCAUUUUCGACUCGGCUCAAAUAUGGAUAAUAUGGGUAUGGUUAGCUUUCUUUUGAUGUGUAGAUGCUAUAUUUGAUUGUUUUAGUUGAUUCUGAGGCCGUUCACAAAGGGAAGCCUCCCUGUUGAAGUAUUUUAGAGAUAAAUUUUAUUUUUUUGAGGUAGGUUAUAGCUUAACUUCUUUAAGAUUGAGCUAGAUUGUUAAUUAAUAAGUAAAGCAUGCUAUGGAUUGGGAAAAAUAACUAUGGGGUUUAUAUUUCAAGAUUCUUUUUACUAUUGUGUGGUCUUGUUGGGGUUUAUAUUUCUAUAGUGGCUGAUUUGUGAUAUCUUAUAUUGUGUGUUGUCCGUGUGGGGGAUUUAUUUGACAUCAUUGGCCUUAUCUGCACAUCUAAAUUCCUUUAGUCUAGAUAUAUUGUCCGUGUGGGGGUUUAUUUUGCUAAUAUAUGUCUUAUUUGAGCAUUGGUUUCUUUUAUCAUGAUAAAAUACCCGAGCUUGGGAUUUAUAUCAUAUUAAUGAUGUCUUGCUUGCACAUUUAUUAGGAUGGUGCCUAAUUGGAGUUGAUAAUCAUGAAUUAUGAACAUAUUGAGGUGAUUUUUCUGUGUUCACUAGUAUAUAUUCCAUGUUGAUGGAUUGAAUAUAAUCAUUUGAAUUAACUGUGAGUAUUACAUCCUCAUUCCAUAUAUAUAUAUACACACACACGCAAUAUAUAUAUAUAUACACACAUACACACAAAUAUUCACGAGAUAUUACUACCACUGGAAAAUACUAUUUUUGAAAUAAAAUGAGGCAUCAUUAUGAAAACCCUCUCUGUGAACAUAAGAUGUAGUAUAUGACUUUUGAACUCCCCAUAGAUCCUAUCUGGUAGCUGCGAGCUCGAUGGGUGUAUACGAAAAUUCAUGCGAUAACUUUCAUCAUUCAUCCCAUCCACAUCGCAUUGCAUUUGCAUCUUGCCUAUUUUUCUUAGUUUUAUUGACUUGUGUUUGAUUUUCGUGUAUGUAUUUUUUAUAUCUGUGUUGUUGUUGUUUCUAUGUACUUUUAUAUACUAAAAUUUUUAGUGGAGGCUGUGUGAGCUACCGUUUGAUACUUUUCUGGUUACAGGUGGCAUGCUCAUAGUAUAUUUUACUUAUCUUAUUUUUAUAUUUUUCUCAAUCAUCAUAUGAUACAUGCUGAUUAUAAGUGAACCAUAAUCACCCUUAUUGUGUCCUUUUGGUGUAGAUCCUAGUAAGAGUGAGACUCAUGAAGGUCGAUUCGUGUUGUGGAGUUGGUGAUAUUUUGAGGCACUAGCCACUUAAGGCUUGUCAGAGACGACUUCAGGCCUUUUCUAUCUAUAAGUUGUCUUUAUUCCAAUUUUAUAGACAAACUAUGUAUUUCAACUCCAGAUAUUGUAUUAGAGGCUCUUAUACUAUGACACCAAAUUUUGAGAUAGGAUUUAUGGAUUUAUUUCAUGUUCCAUUGUAAUCGUAUUUCAUAUUUGGCUUGAAUUCGUUCUAGAAGUCUCUCCUGGGUGUUCAUUGUUGUAUUUUCAUAUUACUUUAUUAGUUUUGAUUGUUGGCUUACUUAUCAAGGCUUGAUUGCGAUAAGUACUUAGGUUGUGACAAAUUUUCCUUUUCAUCCCCAUUGGGUGAACUUCAUUGAAAUCUUUUUAUCCCCAUUGGGUGGACUUCAUCGAGUUCUCUAAAUCUUAUGGGAACAUGUUUAUUCACGUUCUUCUUCUCUUCACCAUCAACAUUAUUUUCCAUGGCUGCAACAAUCAUUUUAUUUAUUUAUUUUAAGGAGGUAUGUUCCCUCAAUUUCAAGUGUAGGCGAAGCUCUAAAAUGUUUAUCCCAAUUGGUUGAAGAAGUGAUGUAUUAAUGUUAUAUCGCAAUCCAAGCGGUCAUGAUUGACAUCCGCCCUAACCUAUGGUGGGAGAACCAUUCUAACUCUAAUCCUUACUAACUCAAGUGUUACUUUCACAUUCACUUUAUAUAACUUCAUUUUUAGUCAAGUUCUAAAAGGGCUUCAUUUAAGAAAUAAAUAAAUUGUCAAGACGAUAUAAACAUUCAUAAAACUAAUAGAGUUCGAAAACCUUUAUUUAUUACAUCUCCAAACUUAAAGUCACCGUACAAGAACAUUUAAAAGAACCAAGUCUAAAAGAUAAAUGAUUAUUCAAAACAAGAAAUAAAUAAGGAAUGUCUUAUUCCUAAUACAAGAGGCAUGAACAAUGAUAAGAAGAUUCUUAUAUUUCCCGAUCAUGGUGCUCACCCUUGACCUAAAUCUAGAACUGCUUGCUAAAGUUGAGGUCUUAUCUCAAAUGUCAGAACAUGCUCUAUACUCAAUAAAAAGAAGAUCACAUGUAGCAUCAGUACAUUAACAAACAUUGAUAGGUAUCAUAGGCCGACUCAACCCGACACCAUACAAAUAAGUAAAUCAAAUAGAUGCAAAGUAAUCAUCACAAAACUUAUAAUCAAAGAAAAUUACACAAUUAUGACACUUUAUUUUAAAGGAAAUACAAACUCAUACUCAAGUAUUAUUUACACUUAAUAAAAUUUAGCAACAAGUUACAUACAACAACAACAACAACAUACCCAGUUUAUUCCCACAUAAUGGGGUCUGGGGAGAGUAGAGUGUAAGCAAAUCAUACCACUACCUCAGGUGAAGCAGAGAGGCUAUUUUCGAUAGACCCCUGGCUUAGAACCGAUAAUAGUAUAACAAACACAAAAGGUAAGUGCAAAAUAAACUAACACCGCUAGCAACAAGAUUAUACUACAACCACAAGAUAAAAACAAGAACUAUCUAACUAAAAUCAUAGACUUCAUACAGCACCACGAAUAAAAACUACAGACAUAAAAGAUAUGCGUAUCAUUCCUUUCGUUUCUCAUUCUUAUCGAUAUCAUCAUUAUCUCGACAACAUUACAAUUACCAUCAAUCCUAGGAACAUCAUGAGUUGUAUAUCAUCAUCUUGAUAACCAUCAACUUAACAACAUCAAUAUGUGUGAAAAUGUAAUGCAUCCAGUAAUCACAAGUAGUGGUCAAAAGCCAUCAGAACAUUCAGUUCACAUAUAAGCACAGAGUAAAGAAAGUCUAAUUUAUACAAUAAGUCAUAACCUUCCUUGAUUCCUUGCUCAAGAUCACUUCUAGUACACAAACUAGUCUUUUCUUCUCCUUUCAAAUUGCUCUUAAUCUGUAACAAUGAGAUUAUAUACUCAUUUUAAUUAAUGCAUCCCUUAUUAACCACUAGAUAUUUAUACCUAAUCAUUUUAAUUAUAAAAUUUCCUUAAAUUAUCAUCUUAGGAUUUUUUCCCUCUAUAAACCUUAUGAACCCAACAUUAUUUAGCAUGAACGAUCAAGAUUAUCCUCUCAUUAGUGUUUUAUAACACCCUAGGAUCAUCAUCUAUUGAUUUUACACUCAUUUUUAUCAAUUAACAUUAAUUACAUAAACUAGGUUUAAACUUUCAAAUUUUACCAUUAAUAAAUUUCAUAUUUAUUUUUAUGGAGUCGAACAAGUAAUUCAAAUUUAGGUAGAAAGAAACUUACCUCAAAAAUGAAAACCUCAAAAAUUUUGCAGAAAUCGUUCCUUGCAAAGUCCUUAGUCAUUUUUUGGAAAAGUGAGAAUGAAAAAUGUUUUCUUAGUUUUUAAAACUGUCAAAAUAGUACCUAUGUCUUACCGCUACAACAGUUAAAUUACUAUAGUGGCGGUUCAUGACUUAACACUGACUACUGCUGCGGUGGUAACUUGUGACACCCCGAUUUUUAGAACCGGAAUGCUACACAGUGCUCAUGACCCCGAAGGACCACAAGCUAACCCAUGACUGAUAUCUGUACCUGUAACUGCAUAAUAUAUACAUAAAAUACGAAAACAUGAACAAAGAGGGCAUAAGGUUCAAUCUUGAAUAAUAAGAUAUCUGAAAUAAGGUGGUAUCACAGUACCAAAACAAAACUGAAAAUACUAAAGUCUAAAUCUGAAAACUCUAUAAUCGUCUAAAAGCCUCUAAACUGUCUGAAUAAAGAGUUCAACGAACAUGUCUCCAACUAACUCCCUAAAUUGAAAAUAAACUGAAAUACUAGAAUAAUAAAUGUAACGAUCAUGUCCUCGAAAGAUGAGGACUCACUGCUUACUGAACUGCUACUGCUGAUCUGGAAUCUGCACCUAGGAACCUAUGGUGUAACAUAAAAAGAAAGCACCAUAGCGCAAAUGCGUCAGUACAACUAAAGUACUGAGUAUACAUGGGGGUAGGCUAAAUCCAAAGGGUUUUAUAUGCAUGAACAAUGCUAAUUGAUAUGAACAUGAGAAUACAUACAUACAUACGUAACUGUAACUAAACUCGUGGUGAUACUGACUACUGAGUCCGAAUACUGACAAUAUGAGCUUACUAAUGCUGAGAUACUGAAUAAUUGAGUUUACUGAUAUUGAUAUGUAAUUCACUAAUAAGUGAGGAACUGAUACUAUAUUACCGAAUACUGGGAGACUGAUACUAUAUUACUAAUAAAGGAAUGAUUGUGUUUGAUAGUUCUGAUUAUGAAGAACUGAUUUGAUUGACCGUAUAUAACAAUCCUGAAACUGAGCUCGUGAUAACAUGACUACUGAGUAUGAAUACCGAUGACAUGUAUUUACUGAUAACAUAUCAUGAAUGAUAACUGAAUUCUGAAAACUAAUAUAUCUGAUAACAUGAGUUCUUAUAACUGAUAGUAUGAAUGACUGUAUCUAACUGUCCUAAUUCUGGGAAAAACAAUAUGAGUUCCAAAAUGUAUUUGAACAUCUAAGUCUGAGAUCAGUCCUAGCUAACGAGUGAUCUCUAAAACUGAUAAUGAGAAUACUCGACUGAAUCUGAGAUUGAGAUCAAGCCUGUCUACUGGGUGAUUUCUAGAUCUAAUAAUAAGCAUCUGAAUAUGAGACCAAGCCUAUCUGACGGGAUGAUCUAGGAAUCAAUGGAACUAUCUGAGUUCCAAAUUGUAUUUGAACAUCUAAGUUUGAGAUCAGUCCUAGCUAACGAGUGAUCUCUGAAACUAAUAAUGAGAAUACUCGACUGAAUCUGAGAUUGAGAUCAAGACUGUCUGCCGGGUGACCUCUAGAUCUAAUAAUAAGUAUCUAAAUAUGGGACCAAGCCUAUCUGACGGGAUGGUCCAGGAAUAAAUGGAACUAUCUAAGUUCUUUAUUGAGAUCGAUGAUUGUAUCUGACAGUCCUGAUUCCUGAUUUCUACUUUGAAGACAGAUACUGAAACUGUAACUGUAACUGUGACUGUGGGAGGUAGUAACCUAACCGAUAUGCCCUGAUACUGUACUGGUGGGGUUCAAUAUUUUCUCUAAUCGGAAGGGUGUCAAUACCGUGCCACGGGUAGAGAGCUCUACUAUGAUCAAGCCUCUCUGACGGGUGACCCUGAACAGGAAAUCAAGCCUAAGGCAAUAUAAUAGUCAAGUAUAGCCUUAAUCUGACGGGUGACUCCUGUCCUGCGCUAGCUACGCAUUUCUGAAGUACAGGAAUUUUUGCUAACGGCUCUACCUUUAUAAUGGGAAAACUGCCAUCCCUGCUCUCACUUGGUGCUAGUCCCUACUCCCAACUGAAAGACUCUAGAAAGAUUAACUGCGCUGAACUGACUAACUGAACUGAACUGAUUCUAAGUUUACUGAGUUCCUUGGACUGACGGAACACUACUAACAUCUGAUAUCUAGCUAAGUCAUGAGAUGGCCGAUCUUACUGAGUACUGAGUUUUCAUGAGAUUUCUGAGUCUUUCCUGAGUCACAUGACUAACUGCAAUCUAUAAAACAUAGCUUGACUGAGGAUGUCUUGAAACAUGACACUAGCUCUAGGCACACAACUAUAGUUUUUGGGUAUAAGUACCCCCAGGACUCGAUGGAAGGAAACUGACACACAUGACUGACUUGAUCAUAAGAGUAGAGUCCAUAAUUCACAAUAUCAUAAGUAAGGAUUUCAUAAUAAGAAUGAUUCUCAAAAAACUAUCAAAUGAUCGGGAAUGCACACAACAUGUAUAUACUUGCAUGGCUUCAAUAACAUGGUCAUUCUAUAUCACAACAAUAUCAUGAGCAUCUCAUACAACAUCUUCAAUUCAUGACAAUAGCAUAGGGAUCACGUUGAAUAUAAACUUAGAACAUGGAAUAGUCAUUUAGGACUUAUUAUGUCAUAAAAGCAUGAUUUCUAUUCCCUUAGGUAUUUUCACAAACACCUUACAUGCACAUCUUAGGCAUAGGUGGAUUCAUCAAGAUUACAAAUAUUCAACCACCAAUUUCACAUAUUUAUACGUUAAAUACCACCAUAUCCUCACAAUAAACAUACAAAGAUCCCAUCUUAGGCAUCAUCAAACUCCAACCACAUGAACAUCAACCUCCAACAAAAUAAACAUCAUAAUACAUAAUUUAGAAGAUGGUUCUUGAGCUUCAUGUAUGAAAGGAGUCCAUCAAUCAACUCACACAUACCUUAGAAGGAAGAUUUUUGAUGAUUGACGGAGGAAUUUCCUUGAAUUUGGAUCUUCAAGCUUAAUUAUGCAACCCUAGUUGUUUUUCUCUUUUAGUGCUCUUGGAUGAUGAGCUUUGAGAUGUUAAUAGGGUUGUAAUAUGUUUAGAAGCUAUAUAUUUUGUAGGGUUAAGUUUAGGGACGUAUAAGGAGUGUUAAAAAACUUAAUUACCCUUAAAAUAACUCAAAACAGAGUGUUUUUGGAACUUGGAACUGACUUAGGCGGUACCCAAGUAAUUGCACAAGUCAGGUUGGGCGGCGCCUAACCAAUCGCCUAAGUUUGGUUGGGCGGUGCUUAACCAAUCGCCUAUCCUUACUGUCUCUCACGAAAAUGGGCAUAACCUUUCGCUUGGGUAUUGGAUUAAGGUGAAAUUGGUAUUGUUGGAAAGAUAAUUCGAUUCUCUAUAACUUGGAGGGUCUAAAUCAUCCAAAACAACACAUUAACAUCGAGUUAUACUCAUUCAAAUAUGACCCUUACAAAAUCAAACACUAAAACUUGAUAGAUUGAAAAACUCUUAGCUUGUAUUACAUUAAGUGACUCAUAUGAACAUGCUUAACGCAUCAUAAGGUAUUCUAUCGCUAGGAUAUUCAUUGUAAGUCAUGCACUAAAAUGCUACUCACAGGAUAGGAGGUUUCAUAUGUAGGAAAACUUAUUCACUUCCUAGCUUAGAAACAUGCGGGGUAUUACAUAACUUUUCUACUGCAACGAUACCCAUUCUCGCUGUUGCUAUCUUGAGGUAGAAUACUAGGGCCUCUAUUUGGUUAUGCUUAUUUUACAGCACACUAUUUGAAAUAUUACAUCAUGAACCAACCCAUCCAUGGUUAAUUUUAGAAUUAGAGUUCUAUAGUUUUGUUUUACGUGUCUAAAGAUGUUAUGGCUUCCUAAACUCGUUAUCUAUUUAAAUCAAGUCAAACAUAAUCAUCUAUACUAAUCUAAAUACCAAAUUUCCUUAGAGUAGUAUACCCUCAAAAUUUAUCUAAUUCUUGACUAGCCGUGAAUUUCUCAAAAUUUGCUUAAGGCAAGACAAGGCAAAAAUUUUACUUUCUAAUUCAACAUAACAAAGGUUUGGGUCAUUACAAGUUUAGUGCUUUGCAAACAAUAUUUAUGCCUUUUGGAAUCUUAUCAUUAAAAAUAUGAUUGUAACCCACAAUAUAUUUACGAAUCAUGGCCGGAUCAUGAUUAUGCAUACCGGGAUAGGCCAACAAAAAAAGGUAUCAUUCUUUGAACUUUUUUCAAUUUAUUUUCAUGCUCGGAAGAAUUUUGAUGUAUUAUAAUUAUAGUAGUUCUUUUUUAUGUCAUUGUAGCACUCCGGUAGUGUACCCUGGAUGCCUCACGGUACUUACAGUCCCGUAUGACCACAAGCUAACCGAUGAUUUGGUACUUGCCAUGAACACUGAAUAAAACUAAUAAACAACAUAUGAAAAAUUUCAACUGAAGUGCCAUAAGGUUUUUAACAAUCAAAAACGAUACCAAAUAAUGGUUUAAGAGAUUUGAAAACUAACUAGAAAUAUUGAUAAAAAUGCCUGAUUAUCUCAACUGAAAACCGACUAACUGUCUAUACUAGUUUGAAAGACUCUAAACUGUCUGAUGGCAGAGUUGAUGAAACAAACCACCAACUAACUCCAACUGACUAAAUAACUGAACUACUGACAUAACUAAAUAUUAGAAAAAUUGUCCUCGAAAGAAGAGGACUCACCACGACUGUUGCUAUUGAUGUACUGGAACUUCUAAGGACAAUUUGGAAUUCAAGCGUCUGAACCUAUGAUAUAAGACAUCAUAGCGCAAGAAAACAAGUAUGCGGUCAGUACUUUUGAAUAUACUAAUAUGCUAAAUAGGGUUAGGCUGAUAUGCAAGGGUUUAUGUUUAUGAGUAAUAACUAACUAAAUGCAUAGUAUGAGAUACUGAGUAAAAUGCAUGAAAAUUGUAAAGACUGCAGAUGCAUGACAACACAUAAGUAAGUACUGAAGUAGUCUGUAGGCUGAGAAUAUUGAAAUAUGAUAGUUAAAUAACUAGUAAACCAUAUGUUAGGGUCAAGCAAGACUAAACUGAAUUCUGAACUGAGUACUGAAAUUGAAACUGUGGUAGCUUUUAUUUAACCGACAUGCCUCAAUAUAGACUAAUUGGGGUCCAAUUUAUAACCCUAGUUGGAAGGGUGUUAGUACCAUACCAUGGGUUACUAACAAUGGUUGGAUCAGCCCUAAUAUGGUAGAAAGACUCAUAAGAUAUAUAUAUAUAUAUAUAUAUAAUGCUAGGAAAGGGAAUCGGGUUUAGCAUGCCGUUAAAACUAUAGGAAUGCCCUUAUAACUUAAGCCUUGAAAAGGGUUCUUGAACUCCAAGGGUUAGAAGGUACCCAAGGAUAAACACUUAACAUACCUUAAUAGUUGAAUUUGUGUUGGUUGUUGGUGACUGCUUGAAUCUUGAUCUUGGAAUUGAAGAAACUAGGGCUUUAUUCUUGAGAGGUAAUGUUUCCAAUGAGAGACAAUAUGAAUGAAGAGGCAACUAUUGUUCUUUUGAGACCCUAAUCCUAUGUUAUGGAUCACUUGCGUGAGGAAAAAUACCCAAAUUCUCUAAAUGUCACGGAUUUAAAAUAUUGAACGAGGCCUCCCAUUACGUCAUGACCCCUAGUUGGGUCAAGCAGCUGUCGCGGUGCGACCCCUGGUUGGGUCAAGCAGCUGUCGCAGCGUGACCCUAAGCCUAGGUCAACGGACCCUUACAGGACUGCCCUAUUGUGACCCCCUAUUGUUUUGGACAUCCAAACACACCCUUACGCUAGUCCAAAAAAUCCAAAACUCACCCGAGAUGACCUAUAAGUGACCCACAGUCUCAAGUCAUCUACACAUGGCACAGAUAGUCUACCCUGACAAUGCAACACACCACCUCCCUCUUGGAAGAAAACCUCUACUUUUUGAUCUCUGACAGACUUCUUCAACCUAACCAAACUAGAAUCCAUAUCCUAUUUUUCUUUCACUUUGGCAACCAAAGAAGAUUUUGAACUAUUUUGCACCCACACAUUACCCUCGGCUGAAUCAACCAAAUGGACGCCUAGUCUGGCAAGCUAAUGAAUUUCUUGAACUAUCUUCUUCUUAUAAUUUUCAAUGUGAGCAAAGCUAUCCUUGGACAAUAUGCUGAGGGCAUCUGCCACUACAUUGGCAUUGACUGACUAAUAAAAAACACUCAUGUCAUAGUCAUUCAACAACUCUAACCUCCUCAUCUGGCGCAAGUUCAAAUCCUUCUACAAGAAUACAUCCUGUAAGGUCUUGUGAUCCGUGAACACAUCAACAUGUACCCCAUACAAAUAGUGUCUCCAAAUCUUUAAAAUAAUUACAAAAGUUGCUCACUCAAGAUCAUAGGUAGGAUAAUUCUUUUCAUAGGGUUUAAGUUGUCUAGAGGCAUAAGCUAUGACCUUACCUAUCUAUAUCAAAACACAACCUAAACCAACUCUGGAAGCAUCAUAAUAAAAACCAAACCCAUCUGAACCAUCUGGAAAGGUCAUUACUGGAGCUGAGGUGAGUCAAGUCUUCAACUCCUGAAAACUCUUCUCACAAGAAUUUAACCACUGGAACUUGACUUUCUUCUGAGUCAAUAUGGAUAUGAGGGAUCCAAUAGACAAAAACCCUUCAAUAAACCAUCGGUAAUAGCUAGCCAAACCCAAGAAAUUCCUGAUAUCUAAUGGAGAUAUGGGUCUAGGACAAUUUCUUACUGCUUUGAUCUUUUGAGGAUCAACUCUAAUACCAUCGCCGGAAAUAAUGUAUCCAAGGAAAGCUACUGACCUUAGCCAAAAUUUGCACUUGCUAAAUUUGGCAAGCAACUAAUAGGCUCUAAGAUUCUGUAAUACCAUUUUGAGGUAGUCUACAUAAUUAUUUUCGGUACAGGAAUAGACAAGAAUGUCAUCAGUGAAAACUAUGACAAACAUGUCCAGGUAUUUCUUGAACACUCGAUUCAUCAAGUCCAUAAAGGCUGCAGGGGCAUUUAUGAGACCAAAGGAUAUGACAAGAAACUCAAAGUGACCUUACCGGGUUUGGAAAGAUAUUUUUGGAAUGUCACAUUCUCUUACUCUAAGUUGAUGAUAGCCAGAUCUGAGGUCUAUCUUAGAAAAGUAACUGCGACCCUGAAGUUUGUCGAAUAAGUCAUCUAUUCUAGGAAGUGGGUAUUUAUUCUUGAUUGUGACUUUUUUUAACUGAUGGUAGUAAAUGCAUAUCCUAUGAGAACCGUAUUUCUUAUGCAUGAAUAGGACUGGUGUGCCCCACAGGGAAACACUGGUCCUGAUGAAUCCCUUAUCUAGGAGGUCUUUCAAUUAUUGUUUCAAAUCUUUGUGUUUGGCUGGAGCCAUUCUGUAUGGUGAAGUAAAAAUAAGCUGAGUAUCUAGAAGAAGGUCUAUUUUAAAGCCAAUUUCCCUUUCGGAAGGAACUCUGGGAAGAUCUUCAGGGAACACACCUAGAAAUUCCUUUUCCACUGGAACUAACUCAAGAUUAGGAGUCUCGAAACUAGAGUCUUUGACUUGCACAAGAUGAUAGACACAUUCCUUAGAUAUCAUUUUUCUCACUCUAAGGUAUGAAAUAACCUGACCCUUAGGCAUUGUGGCACUACCCUUGUAACACCCCAUACUUUUAACUAGCUUAAAUUCGUCCCCAAAAUGUCAAAAGCUUUCUUUAAAAGUUAAUACACUUUUAUACAUGUGAAAUUUUUAAUAUUUUGAGUUUAUGUUGUGUAGAAAAUUCAAUAAGCUUUUCAUCGAUAUAAAAUUCGCCUAAAUUUGAUAACUGGGUAAGAAGUUAUAGUGGUUUUAAGUUUCAGUUGUUAAACACUAUCAUUCAGGCCCAUAGCGCAUCGCGGAGUGUGUCAAAUAGCAAUUGUUAGUUUCUAGUGUUGCCCCACAAUAUUGGAGCAUCGCACCAUAGACCCGAUUUAUGAUUAUCAAUUUCCAGUGAGGCAACGAGAUUCCACCGCAUCGCGCCAAGGACCAAAAUUACAUUCAGCGAGACAUCGUGAUGGAGCCGCAUCGUGCCAUCAACCCAGUUCCCAGUUGUCCACUUUCCAGUGACACGGCGCGAUAGCACCGCAUCGCGCUAAGGGCCCAGAUCAGGAUUUUUUUAGUUAAUUUCCAAUUUUAAGUUUCGAGAUUUUAAAUUAUUCCAGGGGUAUUUGGGUCUUUUUCCAUGGCCCUAGUCAUCCUUUAACACAAAAUUAAACCCUAAUAAACCUAGUUACACCAUUAUUUAUUCUAUUUGUUCCAAAUUAAAUCAUUCUCACUCAAGAGGCAAAAACCCUAGUUCAAGAAUCAAGGUCAAUUCUCAAGAAUCUCUCCAAGAACCUUCAAUAACUCUUCUUCUCAGGUAUGUUAGAUGUUCAUUCAUGGGUCCUUUUCACCCAUGAAGUCUAAGAAUCUUUUUUCAAAGUACAAAGAUCUCAGAUUUAUGAUUUCCAUGUUUGAUUAGAUUGAUUAAUGUUUCUAUGAUGUUAAUUGGGUUUUAAUCCAUGAUUAUUAUAUGACUCAUGAAAUUAGAUUAGUAUUCUUAUGGGAAUUAUAUGAAUAUCAUGCUAAACUCACAGAAUUGUAAUUUGGGCAUUGUAGUUUCCAUGUUUAUAUGUUAUCUAUGAUUAUGUGCAUGAAAUUCUGCCCCUCAAGUAUUUGAUAGAAUGUCCAUGUGAAUAAAGUGAUGAAAUCAUGACAUGUUAGUAUAUGAACAAACUUAUGCCCUACAAGUGUUUGAUAAAAUGCUUAUGUGAAUUGACUAGUGAAGGCAUGACAUGUUAUUAUGUGAUACCAUCCAUGUACAAGUGUUUGAUGAAAUGUAUCUAUGAAUGAAUUAUGACCAAGUGAACAUUUAUUAUUUUAUUCAAGAUUUAGCUUUGCUUUACUUUUCAUGCUAUCGAGUCCUGGGGGUAUUUAAUACCCGACAAUUUAGCUGUUUAUCUAGAGCCAGUGUCAGUUAUAGAAUAGUAUCAGUCAUGUCAUGAUUAGCAGUACUCUCAUUCCAUUACUAAACUCAGUCAAUUACAGAACUUACGAAAACUCAAUAAACUCAGUCUCAGUCCAGUCCAGUCCAGUAUACUCAGUUCAGUGUCUUUUAAUUGGGAGUAGGAUUCAGAAUCCAGUGAACCCAGGGAUGGGGGAAUUUCUGUUAGUAUAGGGUAUGACCCUUAGUAGCAAUUCCUGAGUUACAGAACUACGUAGCCAUCGUAGGUUGAGAUGACAUCCUGCUAGAUAAGGGUUGAAACAUCUCUCAUAAGUUUUUCUGUCAGUAAGGGUUGACAAAAUAUCUUCCUUCUAGUUAGGUUUAAAUCAUAGCCAAUGUUAGUACCCGUGGCACGGUAUUAGCACACUUCCAACUAGGGUUACAAUUUGGACCCCAAUCAGCUCAGAGAGGGGCAUGUCGAUUAGAUGAUUACCUCCCAUAAUUUUAGUUUUAGUCUUCAGUUUAGAACUCAGCUUAUCUCUAUAGAAUCAGGACUGUCAGACACAGUCAAUCAUUAUCAGUAAUUUUAGAUAUCAGUUAUACAAUUAGCAGAACUCAGUACUUAGCUUCAGAAAAGCUCGGUUAUAGUAUACACGUACUCUUAUAUUCAGUUACUCUAUAUCAUUUUGUCAGUUAUUGUUCAUGCAUAUGAAUCCUUGCAUUUAGCCUUACCUCAUCUAGCAUACCAAUACAUUCCCAUGUACUGACGCAUACUUUCCUGUGCUAUGAUGUUUCAUAUCAUAGGUUCGGACGCUCAGGUUACUGACCACACUUAUCUAGAUUCAGUCAGUAGUAACAAAUUUAGAAGUGAGUCCUCAUCUAUCGAGGAUAUGCUUUUAUUUUAGUACUUUAGCUUAGCAGUAUUUUAGUAGAUAGAGUUAGUUGGGGUAUUUUACCAUCAACUCCACUUUCAGACAGAUUCAGUUAGAGGCUUUUCAGUCUAAAUUUUCAGAUAGUAUUCAAUUUUUCAGAUGUUAUAAUUUAUCAGUAUUUUAGAUGUUUUGAACCUUAUGACAUUUCAUCCCUUUUAUUCCAUAUUUAUUCCAGUAUAUUGUUUAGUUCUCACAGCAGAUAUCAUUCAUGGGUUAGCUUAUAGUUCUUUGGGGUCGUAAGCACCGUGUAACAACUACAGGAUAGUCUCGGGUUGUUAUAACCCUCCAAUCAAGGAUUGGUUCAUUCAAGAAUAGAAAAUGAACAAAUCUGUUUCUACAAUCAACUAAAGGAUAACAUGAAUGGAGCUAAUCCAUACCGAGAAUGACAUCAAAAUCAGUCAUAUCUAACUCCACAAGAUAAACUAAAGUAACUUUCUUGGAUAUUGUGACCAGACAGUUCCUGUAUACCUGCCUGGAUAUAAUAGAGACACCUACUGGGGUAGAUACUGAGAAAGUCACUAUUAAGGUUUUGGGACUGAUUCUAAAGUUGACCGCUAUAUAAAGGGGUUACAAAAGAAAGAGAAGCUCUAGGGUCAAGCAAAGCAUAACAUGUAAAUAAAAGACUUACGACGUACCAGUAACCAUAUCAGGGGAAAUUUCUUGAUCCUAUUGGGACUAAAGUGCAUAGAUCCUAUUUGGGUGCUGCCUGCUGGUGGCACUGGAAGCGGCACCCUACUGAGAUGGGCGACCAGACUGAGUUGGAGGACCAUUGUGCUGACUAUAUAAACCUACAUAUGGACAUUCUUUGAUUCUAUGACCUGGCUUGCUAUACCUAAAACAUAUAUCAUUUCCAUCUCUGCAAACACCCUAAUGGUUCCUACUAUAUUUCUGGCAAAGAGGAUUUGUUCAAGCAUUGUUCACACUACCCUAAGACUUAGAGCCUGGUGCCCUGUCCUUGUUAUCGUUCCUGAAUUUGGGCAUUGGUGCACUAGACAAAUAUAGAUCUAGGAUUGAAGAUUUUGGGUAGAACUAAGGAAGGUUACCACCCUCUGACUUUGGCUAAGUGAAAUUAAAGCUACCUGUUAUUUUUCUCUUGCUCUCUCUCUCUCUCUUUAUUUUUCUCCUCUUAUAUCUGUUGCGCAUGGAAAAUCAACCUCACUAAGUUUAUCUCUUUGAUAAAUAUCAUGGUCCUACACUCCUUGACCACACUAUCAGAUACCCCAAACACAAAGUUGCUCAUCCUGAACCUAUUAUCACCUACUAAAUGAGGAGCAUACCUAGAUAACUUAGUAAACUUGAGGGAAUACUCUUUCAUACUUAUGUUUCCCUGUUUCAAAUUAAUUAAAUAUAACACCUUAGCAUCGGCUUCAACGGGAAGAAUCUAUCUAAGAAGGUUCUAGCAAACUCCGCCCACUCUAUAGGUCCUGCCUUUGCGCUCCUAUCCCCUUUUAACUGCUUAAACCAUAUAUGAUCUACAACUUGCAGUUGGUAAGCAGCUAAUUUAGUACACUCACUGGAAGUCACCUCCAUAAUUUUUGUUACCUUCUGCACCAUGUCUAAGAAUUUUUAUGGCUCCUCUUUAGACUUAGAUCCUGAAAAUAAAGAAGGGUUCAUUCGGGUGAAGUCUCGAAUCCUAGCUGCGGCAUUAUUGGCCACUAGGUUGGCCUGAACAACAUCUGGCUGCAUAUUUUAGGCUACUAUGGAGUGAUAUAGAGUGGUGAAUGCAUCUCUGAACUUUGCAUGAGAAACAUGCUCAUUCAGGGGAUCUUCCUAAAGAGGCAUAGGUGCUGGCUGGUUUCUGAUUCUUCUUCUGUUAGUCUUUUUGGGAGGCAUAUUCUGUAAAUGGAAGGAAAAGUUGAAUUAGAUAGAGAGUUUAACUUGAUCUCCUACUUAUUCACACGUUAUGAGUAUUGAAAGAAGGGAAAUAUUUCCUAAAACAUCUUGUAACCUCUUACCCAUAAGUGUGGUGCGCUAUACACUCAUGUAUAAGACUCUACUCAACAUGGCUUUUAGACUUCUUAGGAUGUUUUAAAAUCUUAGGCUCUGGUACUAAGUUUGUAACGCCCUGAGAGUACACCCUGGAUUCCACGCGAUGCUUAUAGGCCUGUGAGACACAUGCUAACCCAUGAGCUGGUACCUACUGUGAGCACUGAAUAAAACUAAUAAACAACAUAUGUAGAGUUUCAAUUGAACUUCCAGAAGGUUUUUAACCACUAAAAAUGAUACUAAAUAAUGGUUUAAGACAUUUGAAAACUAACUGACAAUACUAAUAAAAAAGCCUGAUAAUCACAACUGAAAACUGACCAACUAUCUGUACUAGUCUGAAAACCUCUAAAUUGUCUGAGGUGGAGUUGAUAGGACAACCUAUAACUAACUCUAAUUAACUAAAUAACUAAAAUUCGACAUAACUGAAUAUAAGAAAACUCAUUCUCAAAAGAAGAGGACUCACCACGGCUACUGCUGAUGAUUCAUUGGAACGUCUGAGGAUGAUUGGGGAUCCAAGCGUCUGAACCUAUGAUAUAAGACAUCAUAGCACAAGAAAAUGAGUAUGCGGUUGGCACUUUUGAAUGUACUGGUAUGCUAAAUGGGGUUAGGCAGAUAUGCACGGGUUCAUGUUCAUGAGUAAUAACUAAUUGAAUGCAUGGUAUGAGAUACUGAGUAAAAUGUAUGAAAACUGUAAAGAUUGUAGAUGCAUGACCACACAUAAAGAAAGUACUGUAGUAGUCUAUAGGCUGAGAUACUUAAAUCUGACUGUUAAAUAACUGGAAAACCAUAUGCUAUGGUCAAGCAAGACCGGACUGAAUUCUGAACUAAGUACUGAAACUGUAAUUGUGGGAGUUUUCAUCUUACCAACAUACUCCAAUAUAGACUGAUUGGGGUCCAACCUAUAACCCCAGUUAGAAGGGUGGUAGUAUCAUUCCACGGGUUACUAACAAUGGCUGGUUCAACCCUAAUCUGAUAGGAAGACUCAUGAUAUAUAUAUGUGUAUGUGUGUGUGUAUGUGUGUGUGUACGUCAACCCUAAACUGGCAGAAGGACAUAUCAACCUAUGCUGGCUAUGUACUUUUGUAACUUAGGGACUGCUACUAAGGGUCACACCCUAAGAUGGCAUAAAUUCCCCUAUCCCUGGGUUUUCUCGAUGCUGAAUCCUACUCCCAACUAAAUCGACAUUGAUCACUAAACUGGCUAGACUUAACUGAAUCCACACUAAUCAUGUUAAUGGACAUGUACUACUGCCCAUGAUUUGAUUGGGACCUUUCUAUGACUACUGUAAACUAGGUAAGCAGCUAAAUUUUGGGUAUCAUAAUCCCCACAACUUGAUAUCACUGACAAUAGGACCAUACCAUAACUUUAAAGCAUAACAAAUAGUCACAAUUCCACUUUCACUUAUUUAGUCAUCUUAUCAAACACUUGGAAGGCAUAACCUUGUACAUGGGAAUGAACAACAUGCUAAUAUAUCAUGACUUCAACAUCCAAUUCACACUUUAAGGAUUAUUCAACAUGAUACUUACAUCAAUAAACAUAUGCAUUAGUUUAUUCCACAAGAAAUUUAUAUAUUCUUAACUUGACACCCAAACAAUAACACAUAUAUGGACAUAAUAGAUCUAAAUCAAGCGAACUCAUAACUUAAGCUUUGAGAAAAGUUCUUGAACUCCAAGGUUUGGAAGUGACCCAAGGAUGAAAACUUAACAUACCUCAGUAUUUGAAUUCAUAUGGGUUGUUGGUGACUUCUUGAAUCUUGAUCUUGGAAUUGAAGAAACUAGGGCAUUAUUCUUGAGAGGUAAUGUUUCCAAUGAGAGAAAAUAUGAAUUAAGAGGCAACUGUUUCUCUUUUGGGACCCUAAUCCCCUGUUAUUUACCACUUGCAUAAGGGAAAAAGACCCAAAUGCCCUAAAUGUCAUGGAUUUAAAAUGCUGAAUGAGGCCUCCCAUCAUCCCACGACCCCUAUUUGGGUCAAGCAGUCGUCAUGGUGCGGCCCCUGGUUGGGUCAAUAUACCAUCACGAUGCAACCUUAAGCCUUGGUCAACUGACCCUCAUAGCGUGGCCCUAUCGCGACCCCUCGAUGUUUUGGACAUUCAAACUCACCCUUACGCAGGUUCAAAAAAUUUGAAACUCACCUAAGAUGACCAAUAAGUAACCCUAAUCAUGAAUCAACUUGGAAAUCAGUAUUUUAAGGCUGAGAAGGUCAAAUUAAAAUUCAUCGAAGUUGAGAGGCCAAAAUAAUACUAAGUUUCUAGUACUUAGCUAAAUUUUAAAAGUCUUAGACCCCUUUAACAUGCAAUACAAGGAUGAAAUGGACUAGAAUCUUACGGGGUCUUAUAGUCAUACAUACAAAAUAAUUAUCAGGUCAAAAGUUGUAUAAUUCCCAAACCAUUAAUAUGUACUAGCUUUUAUUUUUUCAUGCAAAAAUUAAAAAUGAACGGAACUUUCUUUGACAUAAAAAAUAAAUGCUAAUGGGGUCAAAACUCAGGAGGAGAACCUUUAAUAAACUUCUAACCAUACUUAUGCCAUGACCAUGUAACAUCUGUGAGUUCCUCUUGCAACAAUUCAUACAUAAACCAUAUUGGUUGGCUUUUACUAGUUUCAAAUCAAAAGAAUUAAAACUAAAACUGUAAACAUAGAUACAUAAAACAAAACAAAGGAAAUACUAACCUUUUAUGAAGUUGGAUCAAAGGAUUCUUCUUGGUGAAGGUGGAAUCAGGAGGAAAAUUAUCCCACAUUAAGAGUUAUAGUUUCAGAUUUAUAGAGUCAUGUGAUAUUGAAGUGGAUGUUGCUGUUGGCGCACACUCUAGUACUUCAAUGCUUGGUGGUAGAAGAAGAAAAACUUGUUGGCUAAGCUGAGACAGUUGAAUGAGCAGUAAUAUGUUUGUUGGUCAUCAUUUUGGUCCGUAAUUUUCAGCAGAUCAGCAAUUAUAGAAACAAGAGUUAGGAGGUUUAAGAUGUGAUCAGAUUAAUUAUAUGGUUUUUCCUGAUGAGCAACUGGAAAAUUCAUAGGAGCUAUGCAGUCAAAACCAUUGUUAUAACACCAAAAAUUCUUUCAACAAAAUUCCAAUCAUUAUUUUCAAAAUUUAAAGGCUUGGAGCUUACAUUAGGAGCUACAUCAUUACUAGGUCUAUUAAUAUCACAAUUUCUUACAACAACACCUAAAUUCCAAUUGUUAUCAUUUAUUUCAAAUUUAUAUAAAAUUAUAUCUAGUUGAUUGCAAAAUAAAAAUAGGAUAGAAUCAAGAAAAUCUUAAGACAUUUCAAAAUAUACUUAUAAAAAAAUUUAAAGAUGUUUUGUGAGAGGGGAUUGGGUGGGCCUUAGCGAGAACAACAUCUAAAAAUGGAGAAAGUGGCUUAGUUAAAAAUGAUUUGAGUGAGUAGAAAAUUCAAGACCCUGAGAUGAACAAAACUGAAAAAAGUUGUUUAUUACAUAGAGGAACUUAAAGGUGUACCUACCCACCUUUGCAUAUCCAUAUUUAGUUUGCAUUUGAUGCACAUUAAAUAUUUUUUUUCUAUUUUAGGUGAGUAAAAUUGACAUAUACUGAAGAUGAUAAAGCUAACAUCAAGUAAUCUUGUGUACCUUUUUGUUUAGGAAUUUCAAAAUUUUAAUCCCCCCCAAAGAUAUAAAUCUCAAAUGGUUAAAGAAAGAUUCCUAAGAGAAGAACAUUUGAAAUUUCAAUAUCUUUUUAUGUCCUUUGACUUUGCAAGAAUGUCCAAAAUGGAACCAAUAGUUACAAUCAACAUUUAUUAUGUGGCAGAUAUAUUUAGUGCAGUACAACCACAGUAUAUAAGCAGAUGUCACAAACAAUACUGAUGUAGUAACAUAUUGUCAUGACCCAAUUUAUCAGGUUAAUGAUGACACCUAUCAUAAUUCGCCAGUAGGUAAGCCAACUCAUAAUUCGGAACAAUCAGUAACGAAUUAAUAGAAAAAAAGUAAACUAAAUAAAAGAGAAAGAAGACAAAAGGGCAGUAAAUACAUACCCAAAACCUGGUGGCAUCAAUACAAGAGUUUUUAAUACAACAAGAGUACAAAGUGAAAUACAGAGUAAUAUAUAAAGACAUUUCUAAAAUACAAAAAUAAAGAUAAGUCUAACAAUAAAAGGAAGAGAAGAAAAAACUCUGAAGGCCAGGAUCUCACCUCAAAUCUUUGAUCUAUACCACUCAACAUGAUGCACAAAUCAAUGGUGAGAACUCAUACUAUGAUCUGCAGGUUGCAGAAAUGUAGUAUGAGUACCAAACGCAAGGUACUCAGUAGGCAUCGUCUGACUGAGCUCCAAGGAUAAUGCAAGUAUAAAUAGCAUGUAAAGCAAAGAUAUAAAUUAUAGGCAACUAUUUAAGAAAUAAAAUAUGAUAAUGCUAGUUGAGAGCUAAAAGUAAGAUAUCAGAUACUAUAAGUAGUCAGGGACUAAAGCCGAUACCAUAAGUAUCUAGUCAAUAUACAAUAAUAAAAUGAAGAAAGAGAUGUACUACAUAAUAAUAGUAGGAAGGAUGAAAAUUAUAUACAAGAGUAGCUAGAGAAGAAUAGAUAUGCAGGCGCACUGUACAAAUACCAAAUGGAAAGGUACUACAUUGGGGGAUCUAAUCGAACAUCACAAGGAUCAUAAACGAUAAGGGGGAUAACUAUAGUAUGUUUAGGGUCUUUAACUAAAAUGUGAAACAAUCAUAAGAUAGUUUAACCAUAAUAAAUUUUACCAAAAUAAGGAGUAAAGGAACUAGGAGGCGUACCUUCAACCUCAGUACCGAUCCAUAGACGACCUACCACGAACUAUAAAAUAAUAAUAAUUGAAGAAAAAUAUAACUGACUAGCGCAGACAAACAAUAACUUAACUGGACCCCUAUUAGACUGGAAGAUAUAUAAAGACACUCAGCAAAUAGCAAUCAUAACAUGAAACUAUAUAUUCCCCUUGAGGACUAAUAGAUACAGGUGCCAAACAAUUAUACUAGUAACAGACAAUGUAUAUGAAUGAAUGAAUAAAAGCCAUUAAUAAGGUGAUGCAAGAUAAACCAUAUUCCAUAUCCAACACAAGUGUCACCUCCUCCAGCUAAGUAGCUCGUAAAAGUAGGACCUACGAUGACAAUCCUUCUUUGGUACUGUGAAUAAUUGGGUGAAGGGGCACACAGGGGAUUUGAUAUAUUGAUAUACAAUGCCUAAAUCCAAAUCAGGACUUUCAUGAUCUAUAUCUAAACUACUCUAUCUAGUAUUUGAGGGAAAUAAAAGUAUAAAAAGGGUUCUCAAACUAAAACUGAUGCUAAAUGAGUAUGAAUCUGUAAAUUUUUUGUUUGAGAUUAAAUUUGACAUUAAAAUGGUAGAAUAAUGUAGAAAGACUCGAGAUCUCCCUUGACCAAAGUGAUUAAUUAACGGUCAAAGAGCGAAUUAAUAAUGGACAAAAAUCAGCCAUGACCUGAUUCUCAAAGUAGAAAGUUUAGGUCAAAAGCUCAUAAGUCAUUAAUAAAGAUGGAAUGACUUUCAUUUGAAAAUUGGUAAAGUUAAAAGGAAGGAAUAAUCUAGAAAAUAGUAGUAAAAUUAGGAUUUCAGCUGAAAUUAUGCCACUAAUAAGCAUAAAUAUCAUUUAAAUAUAUGCAUGUCAUCACUAAUAUCAAAACAAUACAAUUGUAAUCAUCUAUAAACUACAACCACAACCUUUCAAAGGAUAAAAUACUGACCUAGUAUCCAACUGGUAUCAUACCCACGACCUUGGGUCUAACAAUGUAUAACUCAGUAACAUAUUAAUACCAUAAAUUGAAAAAAUAAAAUAAACAAGAGCAUAAGAUACUAUAAGGGUCUAAUCAAGGAAUAUCAUCCAAUUCACCAAGCUAUAUGAUAAGUUUUAUAUAAAGAGAUCUUUCAUAUUAAUCUAUAGCUAAAUGUAAUACCCCAAAUUUUUUAAAACCUUUGUAUAUCCAAUUUUGUAUAAAAGUUAGGUACAUGUAAAAAUAAACUUCAUUUAUUUGUAGUAUUGAAAGUGAUUAAUACAUAUAUUAAGGCCUCAAGUAACUCCAAACUCAUAGCCAAGUCAAAACCUCCCUUACAGAUUGAUUUCUCGUUAAGUGUCUUGCUAUGGUCACAUUCAAAUUCAAAUAAUUACUAUAUUAUAUAGUAUUUUAGCAAGACCGAUAAAAUGAUAGAUAAUUGAAUUAUAUUUUGAAUACAUCGAGUUUGCCUUAAUCCAGUGUUGGAGUAAAAAGUUAUGGAUAUUUUACUGAAGUCCUGUUGUCUACCUACUUACGAUCCCUUAAAUUACAGGCCGUAAGUGGGUUAUAAAUAGGUCUUGAGAGAAGAAAAAUGUUAGAUAAUUAUGACCCUACUUAUGGGGGUCGUAAGUGGGUACGUAAGUAGGUUUUGAGAGCUAGAAAAAGGGUUUGAUACCUACGCCCUACUUACGGGUCAUUGGUACUACUUACAGGGGUGAGGUCAUACAAACUUAUUUUUGGGAAAUUUGUUUGGGUAAGCUCAGGGGUAUUUUGGUUAUUUUCUUAUAAGGUCCGACCCUUAUAUGAUUAAAACUUUUUUGAACACUGAAUUAAGAUCCUUCUAAAAAAGAAAACAACAUCAACUUUUCUUUCUCCCUUAAAAUAUUCUUAAGUGAAAGAACACUUAGGGUUCCAAUUCAAGACUCAGAUUCAAACUCUAUUAAUUAAAAAGGUAUGUUAAACACUUCCCACUUCUAUUGUUAUCAUAAACUAUGGAUUUUAAAUAUUUUUAUUUAUAAUUAAAUUGAUGAUUUGAAACUAGAGUUGAGGAGAUUGUUGUGAAACACUUAAUAUUGUUUUCUCUUCUUGUUUUAGGGGUUUUCUAAGCACUAUUAAUGGGUUUUAAGAUGUAAUAUGUUAUAUGAAAAUGGUGAACUUGUUAACAUGGACUUACAACCUUUAAGAAUUUUGAAAGAUAAAUAUAUGACCCUUAAACCACUUCGAAACUUGGUUUUGUACAUGGAAAUUAUGAUUUAUUCAGACCAUCUUUAGAAUAGGGUAUGAGAUUGUAAUACCCCACAUUUUUGGGCUAAAACCUGAAUCAUCUUUUCUACAUAUAUAGAGCCAAAUCCAAUAAUUUCUAUUUAGAUAUAAGUGUGAAUAAGAUUCUUUGGUGUGAUAACAUCUUUAGAGAUGAAUAUAAGUUAUAAAAAUCUCCUAGAUCAAAGUUAAGUUGAGCACUUUCCUACCAAUUUGAGUUUUAGUUGAAAAUUUUACUUGGAUCAACUUUAAGAGAAUAUUACUCCUAUAAUAUAAUGAGUUAUAUGGUCCACUAUGUAUAAAAUUAAAUUACUUUGAGUCUUCUUUCUAAUGCAACUGACCGUUCUUCAACCGAAGUUCAGAGUAAGAAGUUAUAGGCAUUUUAGUGAGGUACUGUCCAGGGUAUGCGAUGGGUCACGCGGGGAAAUAAUCAUGGUGUGUGAUUGGGGUUGCGGGGCAUAUCUAGUUCCAUGAUUUUGGGUCCACGGAGUGACCCUCCCUUUCUAGAUGUUAAAUUAUGUUUUCCCUCUUUAAAUCAAGGGCAAAAUGGUCAUUCACCCCCAUAAUUCCCCCAAUAUGUUUUUAUAACCCUAGAGUCGUACAAUACUAGAAAAAAAUCCCCACUUCCUCAUUCUCUUUCUCCCAAGAACAUCAAUGGGAAUUUUCCAAUUCCAAGUCUUUUGGUUUCCAAUCUCAAUGCUCUUCAAUUUUCCUUCACCAAAUGGUAUGUAGAACUAUACUAACUCUCAUGGGCAUAAGUAUAAUGAUUUUAACGAUCCCUGUAUUGUUUAUGUACUUGAAGGAUAUGACAUUCAUUAGAAAUCAUGAAUAAUGAAAUCUCUUUUAUGAUGAACUUAUGUAUUUACUAUGGACUUUUUUUAUAAACUUGAGAUUUUAUUUAUGUGCACAUAUUAUGGGUUUUAAAGUGUGUGAAGUGUUUGAAAUAUGAACCCCCAUUUUAUGAUAAGAGAUUUGUGAUUAACAAUUGUUGUGGAUUCUCAAAUAAACAUGGAAUGUGUGCAUGUAUUAUGGAUUUUGAAGUGGAUUUGAGAGCAUAAACUAUAAGUCCUCAUUUUCGAUCAUAAAAUUCAUUUGUGACUAGUAUUAGGGAUAUUUUUAUAAAUGACGAUAUUUCUUGAGUUUUAAAUACCUCUUUAACUAUUAUGUAUUAUUAUUUUGUAUGUUUUCAGAGGGGUGUUUAUCAUGCUAGAUGCUUUUGUGUUCUAAUGAAGAAUGCAUGUGAUUAAUGAAAGAAUUGGCCACCAUAUGUUAAAGUCUUGUAAAGAGAGUGCUUUUCAUAAGUUUCAUAUGUUAUUUAACAUAAGUAAUCUCAUGUGAUAUUUAAAUUUUUUGAUGGUCAUUAACACGAUUUUGAAUGAAAUAUCUAUGAAUAUGAUAUGAUAUGAUAUGGCUUGUAAGUCUAGGUAUGACGAUACUUAUUAUGGAAUGGCCUUAACAAGAAAGAAGUAAAUAUUUGAGCAUGGAACCUGAUUUUUAAAGGAAUAAAAUUAGUCUUAAAGAGAUCUAAAUGAUUACAUGUGGGAUUUAUGAUAUGUUAUCCUAUAUGGAAAGAUAAUUAGGACAUCUCACAUGGGGGAUGCCUAUGGUAUGAUUACAUAGGGGGUAUACCAGCUUACAAAAAGUCCGAUCCUUGUGGAAAACUUGGAUUUGAGGCUUGGCCAAUGAGUAAAUGAAGGAUUUCAUAUAACACGUGGAAUUGUAGAGAUGUAGAGUGUACCAUCUAGCUCAGAAAUAAAUCAAAGAGUUAAGUCAAUAUUUUUGCAAGAAUGUUUUCAAGCUUUUUAAUUAUGCCCUAUGUUUUGAUCUCUAUUAUGUUAAAUUAUUUUUAAAUAUUUUUGAUUAUUCUAUAUGAAAUAUAUGUUGGUUUUUGAUUGUUAUGCAUACUAAUAUAUUCCAAGUAUUGACCUUCCUCGGGCAACUACAUUAUCUCAUAAUAUAGGUUUUGAGGCCGAUCUCAUGGUUCAUCACAUCAGUAGAAUCUUUGAAUAUAUCAUAGUUCAUGAUCCAUCUAUAUUUUAGAAGGCAGUUUAUUCAUAUGUUUAUUUAUUUUAGUUUAUGGUCCAGUCAAGGGCCUUGUCCCGGCCUAGACAUUAGUUUUCAGUAGAAGUUUCGUAGAUGAUAUUUGGUCAUUGUAUUGUCAUAACAUUUUUGACAUAAUUUGAUUAUAAGUUUCCCUUGAGUUUUAUUAUAUCUUCUGCACUUCUGUUUAUAUGAAUUAUGCUUAUGAUAGCAUGCUAAGGGGUCUCUUAGUAAGUCGUGGUUUGGGAUGUCCGUUACGGACAGGGCCUCAACUCGAGUCGUGAAAAUCUUGGUAUUAGGGCACAAUUUAGGGUCCUAGGUUAUCUAUGAAUCCGUGUCUACUAGAGUUUUGCUUAUGGGUGUAUUGUGAACCGCACUUAUAAUAAGGAGGCUAUCAGGCAUUUAGGAGAUGUUUUCCAUUCUUUCAUACUCUAGAUCGUGCAUAGUGCCAUCUAUAUGAAAGUUAUCCAAAUUCCUUCCUUACUCUAAUUUUAUUAGUUAUGUCUUAUUGUCGAGAUGUACAAGUGAAAAAGUUUAGAGUCUAAAUGAUAUGGUCCUUUUCGAUUGAGUCAUCAAAAAGUUAUGAAACAUCACUAGAACUUGAGAGAAGUUCGUUAGUGCUUCAAAGUGUGUUUAUUCAAGUGUAUUCCCCUAUCUAUCUCAAUUGUGUGUUUGAUAUUGAGGUAAUAAGUGUAUUCAGUUCCUAUCAAAAGCUUUGUUGCCGAUGUCCCACUUAAGGGUAGAGAUAUAUAACCGAAUAUUUGAGUAGUAUUUUCACCAGAGAGGUAAAUAAGUUAAGGUCUUAUAACCUAUGAGUAGUACGAUGAUUAUAGAGUUAGUGAUAUGAAUCCACAAGUUUAGAAGUUAGAGUGAAGGUAACUUUUGAGUCAAGGAGGUCAUUUUAGUCAUAUAACCUUUGAAUGAAGGGUGGUAUGCCCUUUUAUGGUGAUUGGCUAAAGUUCUAGCAUGAUUUAUAGAUUUAUGGUAGUUAGAAGAGGACGUGAUUAGUUAUGAUGAUUAGAAUUUAGUUGAAUUUUCAAAGGAGCUUAGGAUAGAUAGUUAUUGUGGUUGUAAGAUCAUUUAUAGGUUAUGAAUGGAAGGAUAGAGUGGUUGGUAAUUUAUAAAUUUAGACUUCCUUGGGGUGAUAUUAGAAAAGGGGGAACAUAGUAAUGUUUAUAGAAUGUUGAAGGUAGUUGGGAAGUACGUAUGUGUAAGUAGAUAUGAUAUGAUAAAUUAGAAUAUGUUAAUAGAUCAUAAUGGGUUAUAUUAUAAGAUUAAGAUCGACUGUCCUUAUUAUUUAACUUUACCCCUUUGAUUCUCUUUUUCUCUAGUGAUUGUACACUAGUACAAUAUAUGAGAAGGAGUGUAAUGAAUAUUAUGGUGUAGUACUAAUGUUGUGAAUAAAAAUGUGUUGGUAUACCAUAGUCAAGAGAAAUUAGGAAUUUAGGUUGAUUUCUUUGUACGGGGGACUAGAAUUUUAUGGGUGAUGUUUCAUCGGUUGUACAUGGUUGGUGCUAGACACUAGGCUUGAACUUUAGAUGAAGAUUAUAAUAAUGUUAACUCAUGAAUUAUGAUGUAAUAUUUGUGGUAGUGAGUUAGUAGGCUUGAUAUAAUGUAUGAAAGGGCCUUGUGACAUACCCGAUUGGGGGCCUUGUUGUAAUUGGUGUCCCAAGUAUGACUAGGACCGGAGACCACCCCCGUUACCCAACCCAACCUUCAACCGCCUACCCUAAGUUGGCUGAAUUCCAAAUAUAUAACAAGAUGGCGUUAUUGUUCAUAUCAAGACUCUGGGAUAGGAUCACAAUUGUGACUGACCCAACCGAGUCCAACCAUUCUAUACCCACCAUCCAACCACACCAAUCCAAACCAAUAACAAAAUAAGGGCUAUAAAUAGGCCAUAGAUAGAUAGUUUCCAAACAUAAUAUAAUUAAUCCCAAAAUGAAAUAUGAUGGAACAACCAACUAUACCGUCCAAGGUUGUAAGCUCCAACACCUAUACCAAUGUCAAGGCUAACACCCAUACUAAUCCCGCCCAUUCCAACCCAUAGAAGUACCACAAAGCCUCUAACUAAAAGAGUAAUAAAAUUCGAUUGGGACAAGCCCCAACCAUAGCCAAAACCAAUAUCCAAAAUAAAAUCAAAAUGUCUAAAAGUAUUCAUAACAUUAAAUGGAGCCUUCCGGAUAGAUGGAAGCUCACCACUUUAAUCCAAACAAAUGCCCUCAAGUCAAUCACUAUGUAAGAGAAGUAGAACAGUUGGUUCGUGCAUAGAACAGGGAUAUAACCGUCAGUAGACGGGUUAGUAGGUGAACGCUAGUAUGAUCUCAGGAUAAGGAUAAAAUAAUGUCAUUUAUAAAAUUUAAGUAAAACCAUCUAUAUGCACACAACAAUACAUAUAUGUAACUUUUCUGGGAAAGGGAAACGUUUUAGAAUGCCAUUAAAACCUUUACCUGGGUUGUGUAGCUUUGUCGUCCUAAACCACCCACGAGCUAUAUGUGUUUAGCUCCCCCUGCUAAUAGGGCCCAAGUAUGUGUAUCCACACGACCAUAAAAAAUAUGCUGGGAUGACUAGUACAUCCCCCAAAAUAAAGUGUGACAUUAUGCACACGGUCACCAAGCCCAAACCUUAUAUCGGCAAAUAUGAGUUUUCAAUUUUGGUCCCCCCCGGGACCUCCACCUUCCACGGCGCUACUGCACAUCCCGCCAUUAAUGCCUAAUUAAAACCAUUUUCCAAAUAGCCAAACCGUUAUCCAUUUAUUAACCAAGUCCAUUAAUAUUGGUAUCGUAAGACCAAUCCUUACUUGCAAGUAUUAUCCAUAGACAACCAUGUAUAGGUUUAAGGGGACUUUUAAGUGCCUUUCCAAUUACCAUAUUAAGCCACUUGGGGAUUUCCAUAUAUCCUGCAAGCAUAACCAAUUAACCAAAACCAUGGCCACUAAAGCCUUUCCAGUGUAUUUAAACCAUUCCAAAAUUAUUUAAUCAUUUAGGUUUCCAUUACCAAGUUUAAAACAAGCAAUAGUUCCAUUAAAAUAUAUCAAUACAAUGAAAACAUUAUUAUAAGCAUUUUUUCAAACACCUUUGGGUAUGAUAUAAUCAAAACCAAUUCCACUUACCAUUUAAACAAUUCUCAUGCAACCGAGUAUCCAAAACCACUAUUAAUGCAUAUUAAAGCAUAAAUUAAAUUAUGGGAAACCAUUACGAAUCAUUUAUAACCAAAACCCCCAAAUCAUAUUCAAAAACCAAAAUCAUACAAUCAUAAAACCAUGAAAAUAUUAUGUAAAGCCUAUAUUUAGUUAGAAUUAACAAUAAGGGAAGAGAACAUGCCUAAACUGGGAUGAUGAUGGAAGGAAAUCACCAAGACAAGUCCCAAAUUGAUCCUCUAGUUGAAACCCUAUCUUUCUUGUCCAAAAGCUCUUGAAUGAAUUAUGGAGUGUUUAGGAAAAAUUUCUAAGUGUUAAUAAAUAAAAUAUUAAGGUAAAUAACCUUCCAAGUGCCAUAUAAGUCAUGAGACCUUAUUAGGAUAAGUGGGAAAAUAUCCAGAUUGCCCUCAAUUAAAUCCCACAAAAAUCUCAUCACAGGGAUACGAAUGACCCUUAAAAGUUGUAUCCUCCCUAUACGAAUGGUACCCACCACUAGUACACUUUGGCUUAACCCUUGGACCCAAUACUUUUAAUAUACGACUCAUCCAAACCAAGUCAUAUUCAAGUAUAUGAUCCGUACCCUUUAUUCAUAUCCCUGGUAGAAUCAAAUACUAAGAGGAUUAAACAUUGAACACUAUACUAGUCCUGGGUCAGCUCGUACCCUAGCUUAUGGCUCCAAGAGAGCCACUCAUAGUUAGAUCCAACUUAAGUAACCAAGUCUAAGAUUAAAUUAAUAAACCAAAUGAUAUGUAUCCAAUCAUACGACUUGUACCACCAAGUUGUAUCCAUUACAGUAACCAAAAUCCACCCCACCAAGCAACACUGGUCGCAUACGAAUGGACCACACCAUUCGUACCCCAGAAUAUGACUCGUAACCAUGAGUCGUAUUGGGUCCAGAGACCAGAAUGCCAUGAAAUUUUUUAAGGUCUAGAAGCUAGGGUGUUUCACCUUGUUUGAUAACUUAUGAAAGGUUUGAGUUGAUAAUUAUGAUAUAUAUACAAGGACUAGUAUUGGAGCAAUGAGUUUAUAGAACUCCAAUUGUUUAGGGAGUUUAAAUUGAGCAUAAAAUGAGGUUAUGUGGUCCCUAAAUUGAGUAUAAGGUACCCUAGGAUAGGUUUUAAUAAUUGGGAAAAGUUUGGGCUUUGAAAAUAGGUUGGGUGUUGUGAGGGGUCUAAUUCAUCAUGGAAAUACACUGUAAGGGGCCCCACAAGGGAUCACUACCUCGCCUUUAUGCCUGGUAUCACACCACGAAGGGGGAGCCUGUGAUGGGCCUGACAUUGUAAGGCUAGGCCUCUGUGUUAGGGUCCGUACCAUGACUCCCUCUCUUUGGUCGAUGGUUUGAUGUUCUUAAAUAUUUUAAGGGUACUUGGGUUCUUUAUAUGCCCUAUAAAUUAUCCCACCUUCACAUAACCCGUAUCUAAUUCUUAAAACAUUUGUAAUCACUUGAAAAAAGGUUAUUAUUGUCUUCAAAAUGUAACUUGUGAACUUUAUAGUUGAGGUUAAAGCUUAGAAGGUAAAAAAAGUUAAGAGUAGUGCCCUUGAAGGAAUUCCACAGAAAGAAGUUAGUACUCUCCCUAGGAUAGGUUAUUAGGGCGAGUCUAACAUUGAUGUGUGUGUAGUGAUACCUCCAUUGUGUUGAGCAGUAUGCUUAUAGAUAUAAUGAGAGGAUAUGUCCACAAGUUUAGGAUUGUGACUUUCAUAUAAGGGGGAGAUGAUGAAUUUAGGUAGAUCUUGAAUUUUCUCAUAGUGGUGAGUUUCAGGGAAGAGUCCUGAUUAAUCUAUUCUUAUUCUAGCAAACUCCUCCCAGUUCAAUUUAAGAGGACAAUUCUACCCAUGUCUUCUGUAUCCAAGUCAUGCCUAUGGCUAUGUUUUGAGUUUUCUAUGAAACUAAUGUCCAUGUUCUGACUCCAAACUAGAAGAAACAAUGUCUCUCAACAAUCUAAGCUUCUAAGUAUUCAAGCUCUAUGUUAUGACACUUAUGAUCCAUAAAUCCAUGUCUUGCUUUAUGCUUAGUUAUAAGAAACUAUACUUUGUACAUAUUGUCAACUUAUUUUAUGUCAUAUAUUAUCCCAAAGUGAUACUAUCUAUGCAAACUCAUAGCCAUUCGCCAUUCUUAAUAUGAGGAGCAAUCACUUCAAACAACAAUCCUUGUCCUAAUCCUUGAAUAUGUGAAUUUCAGCUUUAUGUUAUAUAACUCAUGAUACACGCUCAUGUUUCUCACUGUGCCCUAUUCUAAGGACUUAUGUUAUGUUAUGUUUAUACCUAAAUUACACUCUGUUUAUAACCUAGGUGGUUGUUAUAUGAAGUACUUCAUGCUUAUUGUAUUGUAUCUUUUCUCAUAAGCCUCACCUUGAAUAGUGCAGCGAAUAUAAGUUAUAAUUAAUUAAUGUCACUCUCUUUUUCUGUUGCUUGUACUCUAUUCCCUCAAUGACCCUCCUUAUGUUAGAAUCAUAGUGGUUAAGGAAGUAUAGUAAUGUUUGAGAUAAGAGAGUAGAUAUUUCUUAUUGUGAAAAUUUUGGUAUGACUACUCAAGUUAAUGUUAUAGACAAAGAGCGAAGAGUGAGAUUACCUUUUGUUAUAUAAAAUAUUUAGGAAGUGAGUAUAUGGCAAAAAUCUUUGUGAAAGUGAUUGAAGUUGCUGGUUUUUGGUCGGGAGAUCGACAAAGUAGGGGCAGUAAGGAUAUGCUUGAAUGUUGUGAUUUAUAGAUACACAAAACAUUAUUCUAUAUAGCUAGUAAUCCUUGAUUAAGACUUGAGGUUUUUUGAUUAUAGUGAUAAGAUGGAGUAAUGUUCUUACAGGGAUGUAAAGUAUAGGGUCCCAUAGCUUAAGCUAGUAUCUGUUAACUCUGAGGUACGCUUUAAUAUGGAAGUACUAUAUAGUAGACUCAAAAUAUUAUAGUUAGGUAUGCUGCAGGGGAAUUGUAAGUUGGAAAUAAUAAAGUGAGUUAUUCAUAUUAGAAAACAUAGUUGAGAAGUGUCUCUUUAUUUAAGGGCUAUUUGGCUGUAUCAUGUAAGGUAGAGAGUACCUCUAGUCCUUUAUCUCGCGAAACCUUAUUUCAUGUUAAGUAUCAAUGUAUAUCAGAACCUAUGAUCACCAAAUAAAUCCAUGCCUUACUUUGUGAUGACUAUGAUAUAUACAAAUCAUGUCUGAGGUCAUCUCUAUGUCAAUUCUCAUUAUCUCAUGCUUCAUGCUUACACGUUUCACUUGGGGUUGUCAUAAAGAUUUGUUGAGGACUAUGUAUGUUUCGUUGAGGGAGAAAUGCGUAAUGUGAAGUUAUGUACUUUAUUGGGUACUUCAGAGCUUCAAAGAAUUCCUAUCCAUCAUUAGAGGAUGAAUGAUCCCAACGGGGAAAUAAUGUAACACCCUGCAUUUUCAAGCUAGAACCUAAAUCAUCUUUUUAUAGACUCAAACUCAAUAAUUUCUAUUUAGAUAUAAGUGUGAAUAACAAUUUUUUAGUGUGGGAAAAUCUUUGGAUAUGAAUAUAAGUCAUAAAAAUAUCCUAGCUCAAAGUUAAGUUGUGCAAUUUCCUAUCGAUUGAGUUUUAGUUGACAAUUUUACUUGGGUAAAUUUUUAGAGAUCAUUACUCCUAGAAUAUAACGAGUUAUGUAGCCUACUAUAUAUCAAAUUAAAUCCCUUUGAGUCUUCUUUCCAACACAAAUGACGGUUAGUCAAUCCAAAUUUCGAGAACGAAAUAUGUAUUUUAGUGAGACAUUAUCCAGGGUGCGUGAUGGGCCACGUGGGGCAAUGUAUUUCUAUGCGAUUGGGGUCGUGGAGCACAGAUGGUGCAAUGCUUUUAGGUCCACAAUUCGACCCUUCCUUCCCAGACAUAAAAUUAUGUUUUUCCUCUUUAAAUCAAGGGAAAAAUGAUCCUUUCACCCUUCAUAACUCCCCCAAUAUAUUUUUACAACCCAAGAGUCGUACAAGACUAGAGGAAAAGAUCCAAAUGCUCAUUCUCUUCCUCCCAAGACCACCAAGGGUAAUUUUCCAAUUCCAAGUCUUAUGGUUUCCAAUCUCAAGGUUCUUCUUCAAUUUUCCUCCGUCUAAAAGUAUUUACAAUGGGAUUUUCUAUAAACUUGAGAUUUUAUUUAAGUGCACAUAUUAUGGGUUUUAAAGUGUGAAGUAUUUGAAAUAUGAACCCACAUUUUAUGAUAAGAACUAUGUGUUUAACAAUUGUUGAGGGAUCUCAAAUAAACACGGAAUAUGUGGAUGUAUUAAGGAUUUUCAAGUGGAUUUGAGACCAUGACUAUAAGUCCUCAUUUUUUAUUAUAAAUUUCAUUUGUGACUAGUGUUGAGGCUGUUUUUAUGAAUAAUGAUAUUUCAUGAGUUUUUAAAUGCCUCUUUAACUAUUAUGCAUUGUUAUUUUGUAAUUUUUGAAGGGUUGUUUCUCAUGCUAAAUACGCUUGUGUUCUAAUGAAGAAACUACAUGUGAUUAAUCAAAUAAUUGACCAACAUAUGUUAAAGUCUUCAAAAGAGAGUGUUUUGCAUAAGUUUCAUAUGUUAUUUAAAAUAAGUACUCUCAUGUGAUGUUUAAUGGUGAUCAUUAACAUAAUUUUGAAUGAAAGGGAUAUGAAUAUGAUAUGGUAUGAUAUGACUUGUAAGUCUACGUAUGAUGAUACCUAUUAUGGAAUUCCCUUAACAAGAAAAAAGUAAAUAUUUGAGCAUGGAACAUGAUUUUUAAAUAACUAAAAUUGAGAUUGAAGAGAGCUAACUAGUUACCCGAAGAAGCAUGAUCUUAAGGGGUCGUUGCUGGAAAUUAUGUUUUGCCAACAUGUGGUUUAUGAUAUGUUAUCCUAUAUGGUAGGAUAAUUAGGACAUCUCACAUGGGAGGGAUACCUACAGUAUGCUCACAUGGGGAGUAUACCAUCUUAUAGAAGCUCUGAUCCUUGUAGCAAACUUGGAUUGGGGGCUUGGCCGACGAGUAAAUAGUGGAUUUCAUAUGGCCCGUAGGAUUGUAUAAAUAUAGGGUGUACCAUCUAUCUCAGAAUUAAAUCAAACGAUUGAGUCAAUGUUUUUGCAAUAAUAUUUUGAAGCUCUUUAAUUAUGCAUGUGUGUUUUGAGCUCUAUUAUGUUAAAUUAUUUUCAUGAUGCUUUUGAUUAUUCUAUAUGAAAUAUAUGUUGUUUUUGUAUUGUUCUUCAUAUCAAUACAUUUCAAGUGUUGACCGUCCUUGAGCAGCUACAUUGUCUCAUAAUUUUGGUUUUAAGGCUCGGUCUCGUGGUCCAUCACAUUAGUAGAAUCUUUGAAUAUGUCAGAGUUGGUGAGCCAUCCAUUUUUUGGAAGGAGGUUUAUUCAUAUGUUUAUUUAUUUAAGUAUAUGGUCUAAUCGGGGGCCUUGUCCCAGCCUAGAUAGUUAAUUUAUAGUAGAGGCUGCAUACACAAGAUUUGGUCACUGUAUUGUCAUAACAUUUUUGACAUAAUUUGAUUCGAAGUUUUUCUCGAAUUUCAUUAUAUAUUUUGCACUUCUAUUUUAUAUGAAUUAUGCUUAUGAUAGUUUGCUAAGGGAUCUCUCUGGCCUUCGUGGUUUAAGAUUCCUAUUAUGACCAAGGCCUCAGUUCGAGUCGUGACAGAGAUGAAAGAAUGAAAGGUUAACUGACAUUUUAAAAACACUUGAGGUUUAUUUUUAUGAAUUUUAAAGGUGAAUUUGGGAGUCUAAAACAUUAAAUGAAAACUCUAUGGCAUAAUAUAAAUGGCUUGUAAGUCUUGGUAUAACGAUGCCAAUAUGGGAAUGCCUUAAUGAAAGACUCCAUGGAUUAAUUAUUAUGAAAACAUUUUAAUUGGGCAAUAAAGGAAAUUUUAUAGCUUUACCGUGAAGGUGUAGUCCUUGUGACUAAUACUUGAAAUCAUAUUUUUCGAUUUUUGGAGGUCUUGUCCUGAAUGAAGUAUGACCGUGGUAUGUCUACUUCGUGCAGUAGUACAUAGUUAUGUAUAUGGUGUCUAUUGAUUGUAGGUGCCUUUAGCCUAAUCUCAGUCCAUGUGGCUAACAUGGAUUAAGGCCCCACUAGUUGAGGAGUACUGGACCCAUAUAGCCUGUGGGUUAUAGGAUGAAGGUGAAAAACUACGUAGGUUACAGAAUGAUGGUGAAAAGUUGUAUAGUACAGGACUAAGUCUUACAUGGUCAAGUCUUUAUGUUCGUGUCCCCUAUUUCAUACUUUAUUAUUAUUAUUAAUGAUGAAAAUAAGCUUUGAAAGGUUNNNNNNNNNNNNNNNNNNNNNNNNNNNNNNNNNNNNNNNNNNNNNNNNNNNNNNNNNNNNGACACUACAUAAUUUUAUAAUGUAGGUCAGAGGCAUUUUUCCAUUGUUUUGUGUAGCAUUAGGACACUCGUUUUCUCUCUUGGACAACUAGUGAUAAUCGAUUAGCCCUCUAUCAUAUGAAAGGCUAUUGUUCAUUUCUCUUAUGUUUCUAUUCUAUCAUUUUAAGGUUUCUUUUGACAUAGUCGGAGCCAUGUCCCAACAUAGGAGUAUUCUUAAAGUUAGAGGCUUCGUGGAUAGGUGUUAGGUAAAUGUUUGAAGUUGGUUCUUAAGACAUAGAAGUUUCUUUAUUUAAAUGUUGAGCCCUUCUUUUUUUAUAUUUAUGGUUUUGUUUCUGCAACUUUAAGUAUGAUUACACUUAUGAUAUAAUGCUAAAGGGUCAUCCCAGGCCUUCGUUGGUUUGGGAUGCCCGUCACAGCCAGGUCUCCAGUUUGAAUUAAGACAAACUUGGUAUCAGAGCAUGGUUCAAGGUCCCAGGGUGUCUACUAAGCCAUGUUGAGUAGAGUUCUCUUUAUAGGUGUGUAGCAUGCCACACUUAUAAGAGGGAGGCUACAAGGCAUUUAGGAAAUGUUUCUUAUUUUUUCAUACUCUAGAUCAUACAAUAGUGUUGUCCAUAUGAAAGUAUCCAAAUUCCUUAUUGACUCUAAUUAUUUUGGCUAUGUCCCAUUAUCGAGGCGAUACAAGUGCAAAAACUUAGGUUCCUCACAAUGUGGUCCUUUUUAAUUGAGUCAUCAAAAAGUUAUGAAAUAGCAUAAGGACUUGAAAGGAGUCCAUUAGUGCAUCAAAGUGUAUGGAUUCAAGCGUACCCGUCUAUCUUUAUGAAUCGUAUGUCUCAGCCUAAGGUAAGAGGUGUAUUCAGAUCCUUUCAAAACCUUUAUUGAAGGUGUCUCGCUUAAGGGGAAAUAUAUGUAUUUGAAUGUUGGGAUAGAAAAUUCCACCUGAGAGGUAGUAUAAAUUGGGAUGCCAUAACCUAUGAGUAGUAAGAUGAUCCCAAGGUUAGUGAUAUGAAGUCGUAAGUUUAGAAGCCAGAGUAAGGGUAUUUUUUGAGUGAAAUUGUGGUUUUAUUCAUGUAACCUUUAAGUGAGUGAAGAGGUGGUAUGCUCUUAUGGUGAUUAGUUAUGGUUAUAGAAAGACUUGUAGAUUUUAUGGUAUUUAGUAGAGGAAAUGAUUAGUUAUGAUAAUCUAGAAUUUAUUUGAAAAAAGAAAGGAGCUCAUGAUGAAUAGUUAUUAUAGUAGUAAAAAAAAUUAAUCAUAGAAUGUGAAUGGAAGGAUAGAUUGGAUAAUAUUUUGUAAAUUUAGCAUUCAAUUAAAAAAUCUUAGAAAGGGGGAAUUAGUGGUGUUUAUAGAAUCUUAAAGGUAGUUUAAAGGUAUGUAUGGGUAAGUUGAUGUGGUGUGAGGAUGGAGAAUAUGCUAAUGGACCAUAAUGGAUUAUGUGAUCAGAUUAAGAUCAACUAUAAAGUCCGUUGAUUUUAUAUCUAGAAAUUAUACGGUAGUCUACUAGGUGAAGAAGAUGUGUAGUCAAUUUUAAGGUGGAGGAGUAAUGUUGUGAAGAAAAUUUGCUUGUAGGUCGUAGUUAAGUAGAAUAAGGAAUUUAGAUUGAUCAAUUUGUCAUAUAUUUUGAUGGACUGGUAUAGUAUGUAGGAUGUUGCAUUGACAAUUCAUGAUUAGUAAUAGAUGUUAAGCUUGAACUUUAGAUGUUGAUUGUGGUGAUAGGAAUAUUAGCUUGAGGAUAGUGAUGCGAGAUUUCUAUGAGUAAGUUAGUAGGCUUGAUUUGAUGUGUGAAAGAGAUUAGGUUGAUGACUACGAAAAAUUUGAGUGAACAAUUAUGAUAAAUAUAUAUAUAUAUAUAUAUUCAUGUCUCUCUCUCUCUCUCUCUCUAUAUAUAUGAAUAUAUAUACAUGAGGACUAUUGUUGAAAUGAUAAAUUGUGAUUAAGUAAAUAUGUGGAUAAGAGCGUUAGAGUUAUAAGAAUAAGUUGAACCCCAGGUAGCAUGUUGUUAGAUGAGGUUUUAAACUGUAUAAGUUCCAUGAGUUCCUAGUUCAUGUUCUUGAAUUUAUGAUAUAGAGAAGUCUAGGGAGUUGUUAUAUGGUGUUCUUUAGAGCUGAAUUGAGGAAAAUGUAGAUAGACGAUGUAAGUCAUUGGUAUAGUUUAAAAAAAUAUUAAGUUGUGAGGCUAUGCGAUAAGAGGUUUAUGCUAGUAACUAAGAAGCGGAGAAUGGGUGGUUAUGUAUUAAGAAGUGUGGAUAUGUAUGCUCAUGAGAGUGUGAGUUAUAUUGUGAUGAUUGUGGAUCCUAGCAAAAGUGAAGAUUAGUAUCCCUAGAAGGGAUAUCCUAGAAACAACAUAGUGUCAUCAUAUUAUAGUUAGCAAGGGGGAGUUUGGCAUUCAUGUGUAUGGUGAUACCUACAUUGUGUUGAGUGUUGUGCUCAUAGAUUUAAUAAGAGGACAUGUCCUAAUUCUAGGAUAGUGACCAUUGAUCUAAGGGGGAGAUUAUGAACUAAGGCAGAUAUUGAAUUUUCUCGUGGUGGUGAGUUUUAGGAAAGAGUCGUGAUAAAUUCAUCCUUAUCGUAGAAAAUUUCUCCUACUUUGAUUUAAGAGGACAUCCUACCAAUUUCUUAUGUAUCCAAAUACCGAUGCCUAAGGUCUGAGUUCCCUAUACAACUUAUGUCAAUUCUCUAACCCCUGAACUAGAAGCAAUAACGUCUCUCAACAAUCCAAGAUUCCAAGUAUUCAAGCCCUAUGUUAUGACACUUAUGAUCCAUAAACUCAUGUCUCACUUAAUGCUUAAUUCUAAGAAACUAUACUCUUUAUAUGUUACAAUAACACCCCAAAAAUGGGUCCCGAGAUGACACAUGGUGCUCAAGACAACUUGUAGCCUUAAGCUAACCUUGUAAGCCUUCUACUAAAUCUGAAGAUCAAAAUAAAGAGAUGUAGAUAUAUAAUCAAAACUAAAAUGCAGAAUUCUAUCUGAGUAAAGCUGAAAUUAUCUUAACAUGAUAGCUGAAAGUACUAGACGUAAGAGUCUGAACAAUCAACACUAGGAAUCUAAAUCAUAACUAGCAGUCCAAGAAGCCUCUACUACUAAUAACAAGAUAGCCACUGGGAAAAGUCCCCAGCUGACUAGAACUGUCUGAAAAAUAUUAAAUCAACUACUGAAAUAAACUAGAAAAUUUGAAUAACUGGAUCCCCAGACUAGAAGGACUCACCAACUGUCGGGAUGUAGGUGGAGAUGCUCAAAUUCACUUACACUACUGAAACUGAGCACCUGAACCUACAUUAUGAGACAAUGUAGCAUAUAGACGUAUAUGUGGAUCAGUACUUUGAGAAUGUACUGAGUAUGUGGGGGUGAAUGCAUAAGUAAACAAAUAAUAUUUCAAUAUUAUCAAAAUUCAUAAAAAUGUGCAUGCUAGAAUAUAAUUACUCACAUGGCUUACUGAAAACUCAAAAUUAUAAAUCAUGGAUAAUAAAACAUACUAUGUAAAUCUGGUGAGCCAUCACAUUUAAAGUCUAAAAGAUGAACUAUUAUCUGUCAUUCUUUUCUGAUAAGGAAUUCUUUUAAAAGUUGUUCUGUAAGGCUUUCAAGCUGUAAGAAGUUCUAGUAAAAGCUUUUAUAUUUUUCAUUUCUAUUAGAGAGGUUCUUCUAACCAACAUCCACUAUGUGAGCUAUCAUAGUGUCCAACGUCUAGUUCCUCUAUAAGGAAAACCUCACGUUGGGGAGAGGUGUCAUACUCUUGCCAAGGAGUAUAACCUGAGCUAAGUGAUCAUAUCUGUAACUGUCAUCCAUAUAGAAAUGGGAAUACUAAAUUUGUACCUAUGUUGGCUCGUAGUUCUAGGAAAGUAGGAUACGCUAAACCCACACUUCUUUCUCGGUGCUAAAUACUACUCCCUUUGAUCUGUAUGGUCAUUCUAUAGGAAAUCCACUUUUAAAGCUAUUAUAAGGGCUUAUAGUUAAAACCUCUUGUGAAUCUGUUUACUGUAAAGUGUAGCUAAAACUAAAAAGUGGAUUCCAUAUCUACGCUGAGAUCAAAAGGUCAAAUCUUUAUCAAAAGCUGAAAAUAACUGGUCAUGGGAUGCUUAAAGCAUAAUCAUUCUUGAAAUAUCAAUAUUCAACUAAGGCUUGGUAACCCAUGCUUCCAUUUCAUGUCAAAUCAUCAUAAAGUUCAUGCUUGAUAAUGAAAAUAUUCAUAAUUCAACUCAAAAUCUAGAAAAUAUAGUCACACACAUAAAUUUACAAAAGUAGAUAUGCAUUUCAACAUCCAAAUCACUUGUGAUCUCAUAAUCUUUAAAUAGCAAUAUUUAAGUAUGAACCCUAAAUUAAAAUUCAUAUAAAAUUAUGUGAAUUUGUAUUUAAAACUGGUUUUGGGUACAAGUGUGAAAGAAUUAUCCUUUUUCAAAACCCAACAUACCUUAAUUGAUGAAAUUGAUAAAGAAGCUUGAACUUGAAUUCCUAUUUGUGCUUUUAAAGAUGAUUUCUUGAAGGCCUUGGAUUGAGAAUCUUGAAUUUUGGGUUAUCUUGGAAAAAAAUGGUGAAUCAAUGUCUUUCUUGGGGAUUAAGUUUUGAGGUUCUAGGGUUUCUUGGAGAGAAUUUGAUGAAAAGUGAGCAUAUAAUGCUUAGAAUAGGUUAAAUCUAGUGUUUUUCACGAUUUGGGUCUUGAGAAAAUAACUAGAUUGCCCUUUAUAAAAAUUACAAGGAACUGAUAAAAAUCCUGAUUUGGCACACCACCGCGAUGCGACGCUAUCGUGGUGGCUUACUAGAUUAGGGACAAUUGCCAAUUUAGGCUCUGGCACGAUGCAGCGUAAUCCCGUUGCGUCACUAGAAAAGGGACGUAUCCCAUUUUAGCCAUCACCGCAAUGCGCAACGAAGUGAAAUCACGUUGCCUUACUGGAAAAAGGGCGAGUGCUAUUUUGCAACCCACCGCGACGUGGUGUCUUUCCAAUUAGAAAUUUUGACUCGAUAUAUGCUGAUCGAGGUGAGAUACUAGAAAGGGACAAACGAGAAUUGGAACUUAUCAACGAAGUGGGCUAAUCACGGUGCUCUACUAGAAAUCAAACAAUUGCAAAUUUUUCCUUCAUCGUGGCGCGGUGCUUAUUGCGGUGCUCUACUGCUUUCUCAAAAAUCGUUAUAACUUCUUAAUCGAGUAUCGGAUUGAGGCAAAAUUGGUAUCGUUGGAAAGCUAAUUCAAUUAUCUACAUAAUGGUGAGUCUAGAGCUGGAAAAUUCUACGCGAAUCAAAAUUUAUUAAUUUUUUAAAAGUUGACCGUUGACACACUAGGAGUUAAACUGAGCAAGGAAAAGUACGAGGUAUUACAAUAUCUCCCCCUUGGGAACAUUCGUCCUCGAAUGAGACUAAUUAAGUUGAAGAUUAUAGACACGUGAUUUUGUCCAUUCAAAAUUAUUUUUUACUAUCUACUCCGUCUUACCGCGUAUCCUAUCCGCGUGGUAAUUUUUCCACAAGAAAAACAAAAUAAAUAACCACCUCAUCACUUUAUUUAUUUUAUUUAUUCUUUAUCCUUAUCCCAAAUAAAAAAUUCUAACAACAAUCUCUCUAAUUAAAAAAGGACACCUUACAACUCACCACCCAGUACCCUUCUACCCUACCUACCCACGUGACCUACCCUCCUAACAUUUUUUGUCCACAAAGAAAAAAAGAGGAUAAACAUAAACACUACAAAAAGAGAGCCCACAUGAUUACUGAAAAAUUUCCAUUCUUGAAUGGAAUAUAUAGGCACGGAUCUAGGAAGAGGAAUUGACCCCCCCAUCGUCACUCUCUAUAGACGAAAACUCCACACAUCUCUCUCAAAAAUCGCACACACACACUUAUAGCCAAUCAAAAAACACACUUCCAUCACCAUAUUCACAUACACUCACACAGUAGCACACACAAGAACCAUAAAUCGCAUACUACACACAAUAAUAGAGUGAUAGAGAGAGAGAGAGAGAGUAAUGGAGAGACAAAAAAUGCAGGGUUUCGGGAGUGGUUUACUGUUCCGAUGAUAGACUCACUGGAAUCAUCUUCAGUUCACCGUGUUCGAAAGAAAAUGCACCGGAAUUCGCUCGCUCGUCAGUUUCCCCCCUUUUGUAGUUCACCGAAGCUCAGGGUUGCUAGGUUUCUGGUUUUCCAUUGUGUUGUUGGGAGAAGUUCGUCUUAUUGCCGUGCUUCAUCUUUGAUAUCAGGUCUUGAGGUUUUCGAAGUCAUAUUAGAUCAACGUCCAUGAUCUGAAUUUCGUAUUAAGAAUUUCCUUCCCAUUGUUUUGAAGAAGUUAGAUUAUUAUUUUUUUGAUACCAAGUUCAUCGCUGUGGAGGUUCCUGGCAGAGGAUUUUGCUUAUAGAUUUUCUUUAUUAUCGAUGAAAACAAGUUUUUAUUGAGGUCCAUUUCUUGAACCUAUCCUCUUUUCUUUAUCUUGAUUUGUUGAAUUGGCUAUGAUUAUGUAUUUGUUGUUUAUUAUUAUUUGAUUUUGUUGAUGUUUAUGAAUUUGAUGAUGAAAUUUGAGUGAUGUUGAGUUGUUGCUUGAUUUCGUUAACAAAGAAUGAUUGAGAAUUGUGGAAAUUAUGUAGUAAAAGGGAAUUUGGGGCGGGAAUUGAAAGUUGAAAAAGUGAAUAUUGCCGUUUUGAUUCAUUAAUGUUGAUGAAUUCAGUAUUAUCAUGAUAAGACUGUUAAAAGCGUAGGCAAAAGGUAGGUUGGGUAAGCAAAGUUUAAGAUCCGUGAUUGUUGAAUGAUGAAAUAUUGGUGGAGUGGUUUUGAUUUAUGCACUGAGAUCUAUUGUAUUCAAUUGGCCGAGGAAUGCCUCGAGGGAUUUGUAUUGAUUUAUUCGGGGAAUGCUCCGAAGUAUCAUGUACUUGAAGAUGACUCACGAUCAAGGCCCGGAACGUCGGGUGGAGAAAGCAAUGGAACGUAGUUAGUAUUAGCCUAGAAUUGUGUAGGUUUAUAUUUCCACAUUUUUUUUUAUUAUUUCGGGACUGUAUAAUUGGACUGAACACUAAAUUUUGGAUUGUUUUGUUUGUUUUGCUUGAUUAAUUGUUUUGUAUGCUUUGUGUGGUUUAUACAUUUGUAGUGUUAAAUUAGCCGAUAUGCUCCACCAAGCGACCGUGGUCGAACCACGGGAUCGAGGGGUGCCUAAUACCUUCCCCUCGGUCAACAAAUUCCUUAGUUGGAAUCUCUGUUCGUUGACUAGUUUUAUAUAGUCAACCGUGUUGAAAAAGAAUAUCCAAGGGUGACUUGGCACACCCGAUUUAUGCCAAGUGGCAACUCUGAGUUUUGAAUAUAAAUGAUCUUUUUCAAAACAAAUUCUUAUAUUUUUUCACUUAAUAAUAAAACCCUUUUGAACUUAAAAUUAAUCUUUUUGGAGUGAAAAGGGGUAUGACCGCUCUGGCGACUCUGCUGGGGACUUUUCAGAAUUCAAGCUUAUUUUGGAGUUGUAUCAACUUAGUUUGGCACUAUAGGUGUAUGGACCUUCUGUUUGUGUUGUUUUGAGUUAUUGUAUUAUCAAUGUUGAGUGCCUACAUGCUCUUUGUUUACAGUUUUUAUUUUAUAUGUUACCGCUUUAUAUCUGGCAUCAUAUGCAUAACCCGAGUAAUUCUUUCUGCAACAAGUCCAUAGUACAUGUGUUGUACACAACUUCUAGUUGAGUCACCCUUAUUUUUUUUGGGGGGGGGGGGAGCCGUUGGUAUUAUGGAGUAGGUGGAAAGCAAAGCAACCACUAUCGACCAUACGCUCCCCCGAACAACCUUGUUAGUGAACCCAAACGUAGGUCAGCCUUUAGGUCAGGCUUAUGUGCAUCAUAUUGAAGACCUAGCGGGGCCCACUUGGCCUUUUUUAGGAGACUCGCCUCUAAAGCAUCUCUACGUGCUAAACGUUGCAUCUUUGAAGGUAACGUGGUCAUUUACGGACUGAUUUGGGGAAAACAUGUGUUAAGGUAAAAUAUGUAGACAAGAAACCGUUUGAAAAAAAAGUUUCGUAGCUUUUUGUGUUCUUUAUGGCUUUUGUUUUUCACAAUUCAAAAAUUCAAAAAGAUUUCUUUAUUUUCUACACUCAUUUGUUCAAAAAUCAAAAAAUCAAAAAGAUUUCUCACUUUGUCUCCUUUAGCAUACAUUCAUAAUUUGAAAUUUUCAAAAAAGAUUCUUUAGCAGUUUUUAUAAAAGAAAAUGAAAAAUGAUAGAAAUUUUGUGCAUUUCAUAUAGCGAAAAUGCCAAAAAGAUUUUUUUCUCUUUCAUAGUUGUUGGUGUCAGUUUUGUGUGAAGUAUCUAAUUGAAAACCCAAAAAGAUUUUAUUUCUCAUCGUCCGUCUGUAAUCACGUCUCUCAAGUAAGUCUUAGUUCGUUUUAAUCCUUAAUUGUCCAAUUUGGAUGAACUAGGCACCCCUGAUUCUCCUCUCUUGGGAGUGAGAUAUGUAGGCAGCCUAUUGUUGGUUCGGGGAUCUUAUUUGAAAAAUUCAAAAAGAUUUUCUUCACUCUUUAUUUAGAGUAAGUGUUUCAUAUACAUCUUUAGAAGAAAAACUGCAAAAAGAUUUUCCUUUAAUAGGUUCAAGUUUCAUUUUCAUAUGAAAUUUAAAAUUAAAAUCCAAAAAAUUUUUCUUUGGUAAUCAUAGAUUUCAUUUUGUAUAGGGAUGUUAAACCUGAAAAAUUCAAAAGAUUUUCGUUAAUUCUUUAGACAAAUUGUUAUUUUCUUUUUUUCUUAAAGUUUUAAGAAAAAGAAAGAAAAAGAGCUUAAUUGGCCAUUUUGGCAAGACUUCAUGAACUACGCACACCUGAUUCUACUCUCUCAGGAGUGAGAUACGUAGGUGCCCUUCUUGGGUUCGGUGAUCUUUUCAAAAGAAAGUCAGAAAAAGUUUUGAAAAAUGGUUGAACUCUAACACAUUAGCUAUCUCUUGUUCAAUUAGUUUAAGGUGGUUGGUUUGUGGCAUUUUGGCUGGUCCUCAUAUUGCACCAAGUCAUAGAGAAAGUUAUGGCCAACAAGGAUACCGAGUUUGUUGUAACUAAUCAGAUAGGGAGUUUGGAAAAUGAGAAUUUAAGAACCAAUGAAGAGAUUCAAAAAUUAAAGCAGAAAAUGAUAGAAAUGCAUCGAUCUUGGGCAAAUGGGUUGCCACCUCUGUAACGACCCGAAAUCGCCUCCCAGGACGUCACACGGUGCUUAAGGAUACAAGUAUCCCCAAGUUAAACCUCAGAGCCGGUUUCUACCCAAAAACAACCAAUUCAAGAUAAGGAUAGACUUAAACACUCACAUAGCCAUAUCACAAGAAAGGAAAUAAGAAAGUAUAAUUGGUUCAUAUGACCGCACCAUAGAGAAAUCUCAACAAAACUACAAUACUGAUCUCUCUCGACAUAUCACAAGUCUGAUACUAGUCUGACAAAACCUCUAUGAAUCAAAAUCUAGAGAUCCAUUGGGACAGGCCCCAACUGACUUAAAAUAAACUGAAGAUAAAACAUAGUCUCUCAAGUAUGGUAAAUAUCUGAAGAUCGGUCCUCGAAUCAUGAGGACUCACCACUGUAGGAAACGUAGGCAAGGUACUCGAAGAAUCACGGGCAAGGUUGGGACUGAGCACCUGAACCUACAUUAUGACACAAUGUAGCACAUAGACAUAUAUUUAGAUCAAUACUUUGAAAUGUACUGAGUAUGCGGGGGUGCAUGCAUAUGUAUAAAGUAGUAACAAUAUUUUCUUCAAUCAAAUCAUGUUUGCAUAAUGAGAUGACUCACAUAGAUUGAACAAGUGUAAAAUAUGAAACUCAUAAGUCAUGUAGAAUGAAGCAUGUAACACAAUCUCGUAAGUCAUCAUUAUUUAACUUCAAAAUCGGAAAACUUCUCUUACUCUCAAUGCCCAAAGGAUAAGGGAUUUCAAACCACACUUUCAGGUCAUGCAUAUAUCGCAAGAGAGUAAAAGUUCUUCAAUGCUCAACACUUCACAAUCAUUUAGAAACUCAUAUACUUGGAAUUCGAAAUCAUAAAACUUGAAGGCAUUUCAUUCACUUUAGAAAAUAUCUUAUCUCAAAUCAAAACCUUGAUUAGGGAAUAUCUUUGCAAUUCAACCAUUUAGGGAAAAUAGCUUAUAGGGAAGGAAAAUAAGCAUUUAAUUUUGAAGUUCGAAAUGCAAGGGAGACUCUCGUAACCGACAUAAACCAUGCGAGCUACAUGUUGUCCAACGUUUUGUACUCCUAAAGAAGAGACCCCACGUUGGGGUGGACCUUCAUACUCUUGCCAAGGAGUAUAACCUAGGUCUAGUGAUCACUAAACGAAAAUUGGGCCCGGGCCCAUAUAAUCAAAUCAGCCUCAGGCCCACUCAUAAUCAUAAUAUAAUCAGCCUAGUGUUUGAGGUAAGAAACCGUAGUAGCUUACCCGCUCGGUGCUAAAUACUACUCCCUUUAGAUUACCUACGCUCAUCUCAUAAAAGUACACUUUUAGAAUAAUCACGUGGUUCAUCACGAACCCAAUAAUCAAAUCAAUAAUCUCAUAUAGUGAAGUAGAUUUCAAAGCUUUCGGACCAUUAGGUCAAUUCAAUUUUCAACCAUCUCAAAAUACUCAAAUCAUGGUUGCUUAUAGCACGACAGUUCAUAAUUUUAUAAGUCUCGAAUAGGGAUUACUAACCUAUAGUUCAAUUUCAAGUUAAAGCUUAUCAAAAGCAUAAUAUAUAGCAUAUAGAUUCAUAAAUCAUGUGGAAAUCUGGAAAUUUCAGCAAUUCAUCUCAAAAUCUCAAUGUAGUCAUAUGCUUCAAUAUCUCAACAUUUCAAAUAUAAGUUUCUCAAAGAGUAAAGUCAUGGGGUUUAUCCAGCUAUAAAAACUCUAGAAAUCAUGCCAUUUUACUCUCAAUUCAUGAGAAAUAUCAACAUAAUGCAUCCAAUAAAUAUGGUUGAAAACCUAAUUUCAAACUCAUGUAAAAAUCCCAUAAUUUUAGCAAAAUCAUGAUGUAAAUAAAUAUUUUGGGCACAAGGGUAAAAGGGUUACCCUUGUUCAAAACCCCAUAUACCUUGAAUUUGAAGCUUUAGAAGAACUCUCACUUUUGGAACUCUACUCUUGCUCUUGAAUGAGGGUUCUUGAGACUCUUCACUUGGGAACCUAGAAUCUUGACUCAAUUUAGAAAAUCGAUGGUGGAUUCUUGAGAUUCUUGGAAGAGGUUUUGAGUAUUUAGGGUUCUUGUUGAGAGAAAACUUGAUAAAACCCUUAUAGGAUGCUUGCAAAUGGCUUUGAUUUAGUUUUUCCACAAUUUUAUAGGCUUGGAAAAAGUCCAAAACGCCCUUUUAAACAUCUGUACGAAACUGGAAAAAUUGAAUUGGAACCCAAUUUUGAAGGCCUCCGCGACAUGCCACUAAUCACGUUGGCUCUCUGGAAAAUAACAAUUGGGAAAUUGACAGCCUCCGCGACGCGGAGUCAUGCAUUUUCCCACUGGUUGGGACCCGGGACUCCUUCGUGACGUGCCACUAUCGCGGAGUCCCACUGUAAUGCACCCUCUCCGUGAUGCGCUAGGCUCUUAAAUGACACAGAUUUUACGACGAAGGCUUAAAUUGGUCAUAACUUCUUACCGAGUGUCCGAUUUGGGCAAAUCUUAUAUCGAUGGAAAGCUUAUCAGAUUUCCCACGUGAUAAAAAGUCGAAACCAGGGAAAUUCUACAUGGUUAGCAUGAUACUCACUUAGGAAGCCACUUCUCAAUCUUUUAGGGCUGGAAUCACGUCUCACUCGACAUGCCUUAAGGCUCAAACUACGAGGGAACUUUACAGGACCUUACAAUAUCUCCCCCUUGAGAACAUUCGUGCUCGAAUGUCGCGAGUUAGGCUAGAAAUAAAGGAAAAACUGAGUACACAUAGUCAAAACAAUUACUAAACAGUUCAAGAUCUUCCUAAAAUCAUGACCACUCCGGAUAUCGGAAGAACUCAUACAAAGAUAGAUUCAUAGCUGAACUUUAGAUUAGAAAAGGUGAAUCAAGAAAGAAUGGUACCUUCGGAUUAAUCUGAACUUGUGGAAAAGAGGUGCAGGUAUUUGGCUCGGAUGUUUGCUUCUACCUCCCAAGUAGCACCCUCAACAGCUUGGUUUCGCCAUAAAACUUUAACCAAGGGAAAUUCUUUGUUCCUUAGUCUACGGAUCUGAAAAUCUAGGAUCUCCAUGGGAAUCUCAUCAAAGGAAAGGUUGUCCUGAAUAUCAACACUCUUUGAAGGAUCAACUAUAAUGGAAUCACCAAUAUGCUUCUUAAGUAUCGAGACAUGAAAGAUAGGAUAAACGGCGGACAACUCCGAGGGCAACUCAACCUCAUAAGCCACUUUACCAACACGACUCAAAACUCGAUACGGGCCAACAUAACAGGGACUAAGCUUUCCUUUCCUACCAAACCUCUUCACCCCUUUCAUGGGUGAAAUCUUCAAGUACACCAAAUCACCUACCUUAAACUCAAGAUAUCUUCUUCUCACAUCGGCAUAAGACUUUUGAUGACUCUGAGGUCAUUAACCUUUCUCUAAUCAACUUAACUUUCUCCAUAGCUUCAAACACUACAUCAGGCACACACGCGACAGCUUGGCCCACUUCAAACCAACCUAUGGGUGAUCUAUACCUCCUACCAUACAAAGCCUCAAAUGGUGCCAUCUCAAUGCAAGCAUGGAAACUAUUAUUAUAGCCAAACUCUAUCAAUGGAAAAUGCUCAUCCCAACUUUCUUUGAAAUAAAGAGCGCACGCCCUCAACAUAUCCUCUAGGGUCUGAAUGGUCCUCUCAGCCUGACUAUCUAUCUGCAGGUGAAAAACUGAACUCAAAAGAACUUGGGUGCCAAGACCCUGCUAAAAUGCCCUCCAAAAUAGAGAAGUAAAUUGAGUACCCCUAUCCAAAAUGAUAGACAAAGGGACUCCAUGUAGUCUUUCCAACUCCCGGACAUACAAUCUAGCAUAAUCCUCAGUCGUAUAAGAUGUAUACACAGGCAAGAAAUAUGUGAACUUUGUCAACAUAUCCACAACAACCCAAAUAGAAUUAUGAUGACGAUGCGAAAGAGGCAACCCAGUCACGAAGUCCAUAUUCACCAUCUCCCACUUUCAAGUGGGUAUACUAAACUCUUGCAUCACACCACUCGGUCUUUGGUGCUCUACCUUAACCUAUUGACACGUCGUACACUUUGCUAUAAACUUAGCGAUGUCUUUCUUCAUGCCGUUCCACCAAUAGAUUUCUUACAAGUCAUGGUACAUCUUGGUAGUACCGAGAUGAAUGGAAUAACGCGUGCCAUGUGCUUCACCCAUAAUCCUCCACCUCAUAUCAUCAACACACGGAGCACACAACCUACUAUGCACCCUCAACACACUAUCUCCCCCUUGGGAGAAAACCUCAACAUUUUGGUCCUUAACUGACUUUUUCAGUUUGACUGAACUAGGAUACCUAUCCUGCUUCUCUUUCACUUCCAAAACUAAAGAAGAUUCGGAACUACUCUGCACCAACGUACUCCCCUCUGCUGAAUCAAGCAAUCUAACACCCAACCUAUCCAGACAAUGAAUAUCAUGAGCUAACUCUCUCUUACCUUCCUCAAUAUGCGCAACACUACCUAUGGACAAUCAGCUAAGGGCAUCCGCCACCACAUUAGCCUUACCCGGGUGAUACAACACACUCAUAUCAUAAUAUUUCAACAACUCUAACCACCUUCUCUGCCUAAGAUUCAACUCUUUUCUGGUAAACAUGUACUACAGGCUUUUAUGAUCAGUAAACAUAUUAACAUAGACACCGUAAAGAUAGUGUCUCCAAAUUUUUAAAGCAAAAACCACAGCAGCUAACUCAAGAUCAUGGGUCGGGUAGUUCUUUUUAUGCGGAUUCAACUGUCUAGAGGCAUAGGCUAUAACCUUACCCCUUUACAUCAACACACAACCCAAACUAAAUCUAGAGGCAUCACAAUACACCAUAAAACCAUCAGUACCAUCAGACAAAGUCAAUACAGGGGAUGAAGUAAGUUGAGUCUUCAACUUCUGAAAAUUCCUCUUACAGGAAUUAGACCACUGGAAUUUAACCUUCUUUUAGUUCAACUGGGUCAUAGGAGAUGCAAUGGAAGAGAAACCCUAAAAAACAAUGGUAAUAGCCCGCUAGACCUAAGAAACUUCUAAUGUUUGAUGGAGAGAUAGGUCUAGGCCAAUCUCUAACAGGUUCUGUCUUUUGGGGAUCAACUCUAAUACCCUCGACUGAAACAAUGUGACCCAAAAAGGCUACAGACCUUAGCCAAAAUUCACACUUACUGAACUUUUUGAACAACUGAUGAUCCCUAAGAGUUUGCAAGACAGUUUUAAGGUGAGUUGCAUGGUUAUUCUCAUCACGGGAGUACACAAGGAUGUCGUCUAUGAAGACAAUGACAAAUGUAUUAAGGUAUUGCUUGAAAACUCAAUUUAUGAGGUCCAUGAAAGUUGUUGGGGUAUUGGUUAGCCCGAAAGACAUGACUAGAAACUCAAAAUGACCAUAAUGGGUUUGGAAGGCUUUCUUUGGAAUAUCACAUUCUCUCACCUUAAGCUGAUGAUAGCAGGACCUAAGGUCUAUCUUGGAGAAAUAACUUGAACCUUGCAACUGAUCAAACAGGUCAUCAAUUCUUGGAAGAGGGUACUUAUUUUUGAUGGUGACUUUGUUGAGUUGAUGGUAGUCAAUGGACAUACGCAAAGAUCCAUCUUUCUUUUGCACGAACAAGACGGGUGUGCCCCAAGGAGAAAUACUGGGCCUAAUGAAACCUUUAUCUAAGAGAUCUUUGAGUUGCUCCUUCAAAUCCUUGAGUUUUGCAGGUGCCAUACGAUAUGGCAGAAUAGAAAUAGGCUGAGUUUUGGGAAAAAGGUCAAUCCCGAAAUCUAUCUCUCUAUCGGGAGGUACUCUUGGGAGAUCUUCUUAAAAGACUUUGGGGAACGCAUUAACAACAUCAACCGACUGGAUGGUUGGAGUCUCGGCCUUAGUGUCCUUGACUAACUAGGUGGUAGAUGCAACCUUUGGAUAUAAUAUUUCUGGCUUUGAUAUAGGAGAUAAAAUGACUCUUGGGAGAUACCGAACUCCCAAACCACUCAAACACUGGUUCAUCAGGAAACUAAAACUUGGCAACACGGUUAUGACAAUCUAUAGAUGCAUAACAAGAAUGAUGCCAAUCCAUACCCAGAAUAAGGUCAAAAUCUAUUAUGUCUAACUCUAUCAAAUCCGCAAGUAUGUUUUUAUGAAACACAAUAACAGGGAAAUUUCUAUACACUCAUUUACAAACAACAGACUCUCCGACUGGUGUGGAAACUAGAAAAGGCUCGGAGAUCAUUUUGAGACUCAUUUUGAAAUUCACAGCUACAAGUGGGGUCACAUAAGAGUGACUUGAUCCGGGAUCCAACAACACAUACACAUUAAGACAAAAGACAUAGAGCAUACCAGUAAUAACAUCAAGGGAAUCCUCCUGCUCCCGAUGGGGUGGUAAGGCAUAGAACCUGUUCUGGCGCUAACCGCCAGAGGUGCUGGAAGAAGCACCCUGAGCAGGGGCGGGACGAAGUACUGGAGCUAGGGCACUAGAAGCCUGUGCCUGAGGUCGGGAAUCUCUGUUCCCCGGUCUAGCAUGGGGGCAAUCUUUAAGUCUGUGGCCCUGUUUACCACAACUAAAAUAACUCCUCAAAUCCCCAAAGCACUCCCCAAUGUAGUUCCUACCACAUUUAGCACAAGAAGGAUAACGGGGCUUGUUACCAACACUAUCCUGCGGCCCAGACAUGAUAGGCCUACUACCUUGAUCUGGCCUACCUUUAGGUGUGGGAGCACUAGCAUUAAGGAACUGGAAUAGGUGGAAGUCUCUGAAACUGAGGGCGGCUCCCUUCAAGGAACCUAGGCUGGUUAAACUUGUGCUGAUAAGAUCUAGUUCUCUUGUUACCUCUCAGCCUAUCUCUCUCUAAGAUUAUCCACCUCCAUCUGUUAGGCAUAAGUCAUCAACCUAGCAAGAUCCAUAUCCUUAUGAAACAUCGUAGCAUUGUACUCCUUCAGUACUAUCCUAGAAACACCGGUCACAAACUUACUCAUACCAGCCUGAGUGUCAGAAAUCAAAUUUGGAGCAUACUUGGCCAACUGAUUGAACUUCAAGUAAUACUCCUUAAUAGUCAUAGAGCUUUGCCUCAAGUUCAUGAACUCCUCAAUCUUAGCCUCCCCAAUCUCAAGUGGAAAGAACUGAUCUAAGAAGGCAUCUUGGAACAAUUGCCAAGUUAUAGGAGCGACAUUCUUACCUCUACCCUUCUUUCAUGAUACAACCCAAUCAUAAGCAAUGUCUUUUAAUCUGUAGAUGCAAAAGCAACACUCUCUUUUUCCAAAACCUGCAUCACAUCAGUGAUCUUCCUCACCUCCUCCAAGUACAACAGGGGGUCCUCGUUUGUCUUGGACCCAUAGAACUCAGGCGGAUUCAUCCGCAUAAAGUCACGAAUCCUAGCCGUAACUGCAUCACUACCCUGUCGAUUAGCAACUGGGGCCUAGUUAUUGGCCCUAAUAUUUGCGGUGACCACUUGGGCUAACGCCUGAAAGGCUGCCCUAAAUUCAGCAUGGGACUAUAUGGCUAAGAUAGCAAUGAGAGUGUCAACUUAUGAGUAACCAUUACUUUGCGCUGGAGCUGAUCUCAUAAGAAAGGAUGAGAGGUUUGUGACAUGAAAACUCAGGGUAUUACAACAUCCCUCUCUUGGGAUUGUUCAUUCCUGAAUGAUAAUAAUUUGAUGAAAAUACUAGGAAGAGACUGUGAUACUACACAGGAUACUUACAAACUGAAUCAUGACUUAAUAUCUGAAACUGAAAAUGAUGCAUGAACUGAGAUGAAUUCAUAAUUUAAAUGGAUACAAACACAUUGCCUCUUGGAAUGUACAUACGUAUAAGACUGCGGAUAGUAAGACUAGCUAGAAAAUUAAUAAUCUAUAGGAUCUUAUCUCCUUGCUUGCUAAACUAGAUUACAGGCUAUAUGGACUGGAUCAUACUGACUACCCAUACUCAAAUAGAGUAUUUCUUUAGCACUUUUCUACGAAAUUCUAUUGCCAUUAGGGAGCAAAGAAUUUUGGGCAUGCUCUGAACAAGACAUUUGACUAAGGAAUUAGAACAUUGAUAUAACUCUAUAUCAUGGAAUAUAAUUAUAUAACUCAUAAACUAGGAUAGGAUUGCUAGGCUGUAGGCAACACAACUUCUUACUUUCAAGCUUAGCAUCACUUCUCAAAUGCUCUCUCAACUAUACUAUUCCCCUUAAAUACCAUACUUAUUUGAUUCAACUUAUAAUUCUCAUAUUGGCACUGCGAAAUCUUUCUACUAGGGUCUAAACUAAACUAAGUUCUCUCACCAUGAUCAAGCCUAACACUAAAUCAUAAGAUACAACAUGCCAAACCACAAUACUAGUCUAAACAACAAGGUUCAAUAUUCUAUAUCUUCUUAGAGCUCACAACCUAAGCAUAUCAUGCCUUACCACUUCAAUGACUAAUUUAAAACUCUUGAUAUGGAUUCANNNNNNNNNNNNNNNNNNNNNNNNNNNNNNNNNNNNNNNNNNNNNNNNNNNNNNNNNNNNNNNNNNNNNNNNNNNNNNNNNNNNNNNNNNNNNNNNNNNNNNNNNNNNNNNNNNNNNNNNNNNNNNNNNNNNNNNNNNNNNNNNNNNNNNNNNNNNNNNNNNNNNNNNNNNNNNNNNNNNNNNNNNNNNNNNNNNNNNNNNNNNNNNNNNNNNNNNNNNNNNNNNNNNNNNNNNNNNNNNNNNNNNNNNNNNNNNNNNNNNNNNNNNNNNNNNNNNNNNNNNNNNNNNNNNNNNNNNNNNNNNNNNNNNNNNNNNNNNNNNNNNNNNNNNNNNNNNNNNNNNNNNNNNNNNNNNNNNNNNNNACUUCACUAGUAUCAUGAGUUUAAAAACUGGUCAUACUCUGAAACAUGAGUUUAUACUUAUCAUGAGCUAUUGAAAAUAAGAUUGGAGUUUAUAGAUUCAUAAGAGAUAACUUGAAUCACAGAGUGAAGCUGCUACAUACUUGCUAGAAGCUGAGAAUGGGCUUGAGCACACAUAAUAGGUAUAAGCAUAGGCCUGUGGCAUGGAUUUGUCAAGCAAGUGAUGGAUUUGGUGUUGUAAUGACUAAAAUCCAAAGAAUACUCUAGAGUAAGAAGGGAUCACUAUCUCAUCAUAACUCAUUAUUGACAUGUAUCACAAUCGAAUUCUCAAAACUCGAUUUGGUUCUUCACUAACCAUCUCCCCCUUAGGUCAAAGCAAGUAUUCUAAGUAUGAUGGUCUACUCCAUAUCCUCGAGAUUAAGCCACAAUUUCAUCAUUCUAUUAUCUACACAUAAAUGCUAAACUCACAAGAAUAAACUAAUUUCGAACUUACCGACUUCAUUCUUGAACAACCCAUCCAUAUGUGAUCCUUAACUUUCUAUCUUCAAUGCUCAUCAUCAAAGACUUACACUCUCAUUUGCAACCAUACCUACAUCUCUAAUCACAUAAUCAUAGCCUACCAAGAUCACACUUCUAUACUUAUAUUUUUCCCAAACCAUGAGAAUAAUAAUCAUACUUAAAAGGCUCAACAUCUUCAAUCAUAACUCCUUAACUUAGCUAUCAAGAACAUCAUAAAUUAUCUAACUAGCCUUUCUCCACCUAGCAAUGCAACGUUACUACUAACCACACAAUAUGCAAUAAUUCUUGAAAAAUAAUGCAACCCUAUAGCACCUUGGGCACACCUCUACAUCAUAUUUAAUUACGAACAUAUGAUCUUACACUCUUGCAUACACUGUUCAGGCCUACUAGAUCACCUCCAUAUAACUAGCAUCAACAACCGAACCAUCAACUAUUCAAACUUAAUGUCUAGAGCUAAACAUGAUUUACAACCNNNNNNNNNNNNNNNNNNNNNNNNNNNNNNNNNNNNNNNNNNNNNNNNNNNNNNNNNNNNNNNNNNNNNNNNNNNNNNNNNNNNNNNNNNNNNNNNNNNNNNNNNNNNNNNNNNNNNNNNNNNNNNNNNNNNNNNNNNNNNNNNNNNNNNNNNNNNNNNNNNNNNNNNNNNNNNNNNNNNNNNNNNNNNNNNNNNNNNNNNNNNNNNNNNNNNNNNNNNNNNNNNNNNNNNNNNNNNNNNNNNNNNNNNNNNNNNNNNNNNNNNNNNNNNNNNNNNNNNNNNNNNNNNNNNNNNNNNNNNNNNNNNNNNNNNNNNNNNNNNNNNNNNNNNNNNNNNNNNNNNNNNNNNNNNNNNNNNNNNNNNNNNNNNNNNNNNNNNNNNNNNNNNNNNNNNNACUAAACUAACAAACAAGGGUAUAUCACUUCAUUACUAAUUCAAUCAUAAGCAAAAAUUCAGUUAUACAUAUUCAAUAAAUUGCCCUUACCACCAUUCUUCGCACUACACUUCUAAACCCAUAAGUUCAACUAAUACAAGACUUUCAACUAAGUCUUACUACUUCUAUCACUACACAGAAACCCACACUUUCAACUAACACCAGAAUAACAAGAUAAACAACAAGUUGCUAGUAAAUCAAAAUAUGCCUCACAUGGCUUCACUAGACUUUGGUUUUGUAUUUUGAUUAAGAAAAUUAUAUGAAUAACAAAGCAACUAUGCUAGUGAAUUGAAAUAGGCCUCACACGGAUUCACUAGACUUUGAUUUUUCACAAACAUAAUGAUAACAAGAUUAUAUAAUACAAGAGAUAGAAACUUGACACACAACAUUCAAUGAUCUAAGAAGACACCAUACUCAGUCUUAAUUGAAUAACUCAUCAGAACGAGGGCAUAACUUUAAAUUUAAAGGACUUAUAACACACUAUAAGGCUCCUCUCAAGCCACUUUAUGAAACUUCUGAAACUUCUGCCAGAAAUAUAAGAGCAUUAUUUGGGGAGGAAAUUAGAACUUGCCGAACAUGUUACCUCAAGAACAACACAUAGAUAGAGAAGUAUAGAUUAUCAUUAUGGAUUUUGAGGAGAAAUUUGAAAGCAUAGCUGACUCGAGCUUAGUGCACUAUUUCUACAGGCCUGAUAAAGUACUUCAAUUUUCUAAAACUCAAAAGUACUGAUAGGAUACUUUUGUAGCUCUUUUACAAUUCCAUAACUAUCUAUGAAGAAUUAAGCUCAACUAUUUUUGAUACCUUGGAAAUAAGACAGAGAUAACCUGACUAAAGUAAGAUAAGAAUAUGUAUAAGUUUCUUGGAGAACUUUUCUAUAUCAGGAUUUAAGACUUGAAAGAAUGGAGACAUUUCCUGAAUGCCUUGUAGCCUCUCAAAGAAAAGUACAGAUAUCUCUGUACUGUUCUGCAAGACUUUACUAGACACGACUUCAUAGACACCCUAGGACACUUGAACUCUGUGCUCUGAUACCAAGUUUGUAACGCCCCAAAAUUGGGUCCUGAGAUGUCACACAGUGCUUAAGAUCACAAGUAACCCCAAGCUAACCCUUCUACUGGCAUAACUCAUACGUAACUGAACAAAAAGUAUAAAUCUAUACAAAUCUGCAGAAAAUAACUCUUUUCUAAAUAUGAUAGAUACAAAACUUAAUUUGUAAGAUUACAACUUUGCUUUUACAACCAAAACUGAAAUGGAAUACAUCAACUUCUAAUGACUGUCUAUGAAGCCUCUACUAGUACUGACUAUAGGUAGCUGGGUCAUGACUCCUGACUAUCCCAACUCAAUACGUCUGGAUAAAGAAAAUACAACACUUCUCGAACUGUAUAACUAACUCAAGCCCUUGAAUCAAAAGGACUCAUCACCUGCUGACUGGAUUCCGCGAACUGACUGGAUCUAAAGAUGUACACUAUACCUUGUACCUACAUUCUGAGAAAAUGUAGCUCACAUACAAAUAUGUAGGUCAGUACCAUGGAAACGUACCAAGCAUAUGGGGGUGCAAUGCAUAUAUAAAAUAAUAUCUUAAUAUCAUCACAGUUUAUAAAAUUGUGCAUGCUGAUAUAAAUGACUCACUUAGAUCGAAUUAAAAUCAUCAUACACUUCCAUCUUGAUUCCAAAUCAUCAAAGCAAUCAAAUCUUAUAUUAAUUCUCUUUGGAAUAUAUGUUCAUUAAAUCUUUCAAAAACAAUGACUUUCUCAAACUCAUUCUUUCAAACAAAUAUGUUUUCAUCUCAGAUAGAAGAAUAAGACUUUUCAUAUUAAGAGAAUACACACACAUACAUUGGGAGUCUCUUACAACCGACAUAAACCAUCUGACCUACAUGGAGUCCAACGUCCAAACCACGUUGGGGAGAGCUGUCCUAUCCUUGCCAUGGGAGUAGGACCUUAAUCUUUUGUUCACUAGUGAUCACUAUAUCAAUCAGCCUUAGGCUCACAUCCUAUGGGGGCACGUAGUUCUAAGAAAGUACCAAUCACAGCUAUACCUCCCACUCGAUGCUAAAGACUACUCCCGGACUUAGCUCAGAUUAUUUCAAAAGAAAAUCCACAACUACACAAUUCAACAAUUUAUAUCGGGCGCCAUCAUGCUACCCCUUUUUCAUAAUAAAUCAAUAUGUGGAUUUCUUUUCUCAUUCGAGUUCAAAAAUAACUUUUUCAAGACCAAAGGUCAAAUCAUUCAAAUAUCAAGGUGUGUAUAUCACAUUACUUCACCAAAGAUCAUAAUCCCAAAGAGGGUUUAAAUCCCAUAUAUCAACACUUGAGCAAAACAUUUCAAGAUUCAUAUUUUGUAUAGAAAACAAGUAUAACUCAUAUGAAAAUCUGGAAAUUCAACUUUAAACAUGAUAUUAACAUCAAAACUCAAGAAAUUUAUCUUUAAGACAUCACAAAAAGAUCAUAGUUUCUUGAACAAGAAUAUAGGAUAAUAGUUUCCAUCUCAAAUUCAUAAUUAAACAAGUAGAAUCAUGUAUCUUCAUAAAAUAACACAAAUUUUUGGGCACAAGAAUGAAAGGAUGUUCUUGUUGAAAUCCCCACAUACCUCUAUAGUAACGAAAUUGUUGAAAGAUUGGACCUUCAAAUCUUGAUUGUGCAACCCUAAUUGUUUUGCUUGUAUUUUGCUCUUGAAUGAUGUUCUUAGACUGAUAAUAGGGUUAUGAUGUGUUUAGGAGCAGUUAAAUUCGUAGGGUUAUGUUUAGGGACGUGUAAGGAAUGUUAAAAGGCUUAGUUAUUCUCGAAAUAACUCAAAAAUGGAGUGUUUUCAUUGCUGGAACUCUAAGUGUGCGUCACACACCUGAUUGCAUAUGCUAGGGUAUGCGCCGCACACCUUAUCACAUAAGCUAAGGUAUGCGUCGCAUACCUUAUCGCACAUCCAUACUACCUCUCACAAAAAUGGGCAUAACUCAUCACUCAGGUAUCGGAUUUUUGCGAAAUUGGUAUCGUUGGAAAGUUAAUUCAAUUAUAUACAAUUUAAUAGGUCUUGGGAUGAAAAAUUCCAUGUAUAUUAAGAGAUAUACACGUUUGAAGUUGACUCUUGUAGAAUCAAAUGUCAAACUUUGGAUGAAUCAAUUGGUCUUAGCUCAACUUUGUUCUUGGUCAUUUCUAUUAACAUUUUUCACCUCUAAACUACUCUAUAGACUAGUAUAAUGAUCAUGAAACUUAUAUUCACAUGAGAAUAUCUUGGAUUAGAGCUUAGACACGUAAGAACGACAGUUACAAUUUUAGCAUAGAAAUACGGGGUAUUAUAGUAAUGAACCGAAAUCGCCUCCCGGGACGUCACACGGUGCUUAACACUACAAGUAGCCCCAAGCUAAGUCUUUGAGCCGGUUUAUUCCCAAAAACACCCAAUUCAAGAUAAGGAUAGACUUAAACACUCACAUAGCCAUAUAACAAGAAAAGAAAUAAGAAAGGAUAAUUGAUUCAUAUGACCACAACAUAGAUAAAUCUCAACAAAACCACACUACUAAUCUCUCUCGACAUAUCACAAGUCUGAUACUAGUCUGACAAAGCCUCUAUGAAUAAAAAUCUAGAGAGCCAUUGGGACAGGCCCCAACUGACUCAAAAUGAACUAAAGAUAAAACAUAGUCUCUCAAGUAUGGUAAAUAUCUAAAGAUUGGUCACCACUAUAGAAAACGUAGUCAAGGUACUCAAAGAAUCACGGGCGAGGCUGGGACUGAGCACCUGAACCUACAUUAUGACACAAUGUUGCACAUAGACAUAUAUGUGGAUCAGUUCUUUGGAAUAUACUGAGUAUGCGGGGGUGCAUGCAUAUGUAUAAAGUAGUAACAAUAUUUUCUUCAAUCAAAUCAUGUAUGCAUAAUGAGAUGACUCAUAUUGCUUGAACAAGUGUAAAAUAUGAAACUCAUAAGUCAUGUAGAAUGAAGCAUAUAAUACAAUCUCAUGAGUCAUCAUUAUUUAACUUUAAAAUUGGAAACCUUCUCUUACUCUCAAUGCCCAAAGGCUAAGGGAUUUCAAACCACACUUUCAAGUCAUGCAUAUAUCGCAAGAGAGUAAUAGUUAUUCAAUGCUGAACACUUCAUAAUCAUUUAGAAACUCAUAUACUUGGAAUUCAAAAUCAUAAAACUUGAAAACAUACUUGAAGGUAUUUCAUUUACUUUAGAAAAUAUCUCAUCUCAAAUUAAUACCUUGAUUAGGGAAUAUCUUUGUAAUUCAACCAUUUAUGGAAAAUAGCUUAUAGGGAAUGAAAAUAAGCAUUUAAUUUCAAAGUUUGAAAGGUAAGAGAGGUUCUCAUAACCUAUAUAAACCAUGCAAGCUACAUGGAGUCCAACAUUUUGUCGUCCUAAGAAAGAGACCCCAUGUUGGGGAGGAGCAUCAUACUCUUGCAAAGGAGUAUAACCUAGGUCUAGUAAUCACUAAACAAAAAUUGGCCUCAGGCCUACAUAAUUAAAUCGGCCUCAAGCCCAAUCAUAAUCAUAAUAUAAUCAGCCUCAGGCUCACAUCCUAUGGUGGCACGUAGUUUUUGGGGUAAGAAACUGUAGUAGCUUACCCGCUCGGUGCUAAAUACUACUCCCUUUAGAUUACCUGCGCUUAUCUCAUAAAAGUACACUUUUAGAAUAAUCACAUAGUUCACCACAAACCUAAUAAUCAAAUCGAUAAUCUCAUAUAGUGAAGUGGAUUUCAAAGCUUUCGGACCAUUAGGUCAAUUCAAUUUUCAACCAUCUCAAAAUACUCAAAUCAUGGGUGCUUAUAGCACGAGAGUUCAUAAUUUCAUAAUUCUCGAAUUGGGCUUGCUAACCCAUAGUUCAAUGUCAAGUUAAAGCUUUUCAAAAGCAUAAUAUAUAGCAUAUAGAUUCAUAAAUCAUGUGGAAAUAUGGAAAUUUAGCAAUUCAUCUCAAAAUCUCAAUGUAGUCAUAUGCUUCAAUAUCUCAACAUUUCAAAUAUAAGCUCCUUAAAGAGUAAAGUCAUGGGGUUUAUCCAGCUUUAAAAACUCAAGAAAACAUGUAGAAAUCAUACCAUUUAACUCUCAAUUCAUGAGAAAUAUCAACAUAAUGCAUUCAAUAAAUAUGGGUGAAAACCCCAAUUCAAACUCAUGUUAAAAAUCCCAUAAUUUCAGCAAAAUCAUGAUGUAAAUAAACAUUUUGGGUACAAGGGUGAAAGGGUUACCCUUGUUCAAAACCCCACAUACCUUGAAUUUGAAGCUUUAGAAGAACUCUCACUUUUGGAACUCUACUCUUGCUCUAUAAUAAGGGUUCUUGAGACCCUUCACUUGGUAACCUAGAAUCUUGACUCAAUUUAGAAUAUCCAUGGUGGAUUAUUGAGAUUCUUGGAAGAGGUUUUGAUUAUUUAGGGUUCUUGUUGAGAGAAAACUUGAUAAAACCCUUAUAGGCUUGGAAAAAGUCCAUAAAGCCCUUUUAAACAUCUGUGCGAAACUGGAAAAAUUGAAUUGGAACCCGAUUUAGAAGGCCUCUACGACGCAGCACUAAUCGCGAUGGCUCUCCGGAAAAUGACAAUUGGGAAAUUGAUAGCCUCCGUGAUGUGGAGUCAUGCAUUUUCCCACUGGUUGGGACCUGGGACUCCUUCGCGACGUGCUACUAUUGCAGAGUCCCACUAGAAAUUGACACUUGCUAAAUGUACCCUCUCCACGAUGCACUACGCUCUCAAAUGAUGCACUUUUUAUGAAAAAGGCUUAAAUUGGCCAUAACUUCUUACUCGAGUGUCCGAUUUGGGCAAAUCUUAUAUAGAUGGAAAGCUUAUCAGGUUUCCCAUGUUAUAAAAAGUCAAAAUUACGGAAAUUAUACAUGGUUAGAAUGAUACUCAUUUAGGAAUCCACUUCUCAAUCUUUUAGGACCGAAAUUAUGUCUCACUCAACACGCCCUAAGGCUAAAACUAUAAGGGAACUUUGCAGGACCUUACAGCCUACCCAGUUCCCACUGAUAAUCUAGAAUAUCUUUCUAUCUUUCUUCCUAUGUCACAUGCAUAAUUUCCCAUUUUUGUUGAUGUUCCACAAUAUGUAUCAGGAUCAAUUUCAGGGCAACAAUAUCCAACCAUUUCCAAUGUUCAUUUCCUCACUCCCCAAUCCAAGACUACUACAUACUUAGCUCCAUCUUUGUUCAUGCUUUUGCAAUGAAGCUCUUACUUUUUAUGUUUAUCCACAAGUUAUGUCUACCUACUCUACAAGAGAGCCUGUAUUGAAUAUUACUGGUGAUCAGCGUUAUACUUCCAAGCCUACAUUCAAGUUGACUGGUCUUUAUUGUGACACUCACCCGCCUAAAUUUCCUCCUAACACUGAGAAGCCUGUUAUGAUAGAUGAAAAAAAGAAAAUAACCAAAAAAUUGAGAAGUUUGGAAAUGGCUAUGAAGAACUUGCAAGGACUUAGGGGUUACAAAAGUGUCUCAUAUAAGGACUUAUGUAUGUUUCCAGGUGUCAACCUUCCUCCUGGCUUUAAAAUGCUAAAGUUUGAGAAGUAUAAUGGACAUGGGGACCCAGUGGCACAUUUGAGAAGCUAUUGUAACCAAUUAAGAUGCGCUGGAGGGAAGGAAGAACUACUCCUAACUUAUUUCAGGGAGAGUCUUUUAUGCCUAGCUUCGAAAUGGUUUGUUGACCAAGACAUCGACAAGUGGAAUAGUUAGGAUGACCUGGCUAUUGAAUUUGUAUAACAAUUCUAAUGCAAUAUGGAGUUGGUUCCUGACGAGGAACCCCUAAAUAAUAUGAAGAAAAAGACUACUAAAACUUUCAGAGAUUAUGCGAUUAGAUGGCGUGAACAAGUUGUUAGGGUGAAACCGCCAAUGAAAGAAAGUAAGAUAGUGGAAGUGUUUAUUCAAGCGCAAGAUAAGACCUAUUUUCAGCACUUGUUACCUGCAUUAGGCAAGCCAUUUAUUGAGGUCCCUAAAAUCGGGGAGAUGAUAGAGGAUGGAAUUAAGACCGAUCACAUUAUGAGUUUUACAACAUUGAAAGUGACUACUCAAGCAAUUCAAAAAGGUUCGAGAAGUGUCAGAGGGAAGAAGAAUGAGGAGGAUGCAUCUUCUAUUGUAGUUGGACAACAGGCACAGUCAAGAAGACCCCAUCGUCGUCACUCUCAGGCUCAAACCCAAGUUCAUUCCCAAGCUCUACAUAAUCACUCCCAAAAUCCAUUAUAAUCUACUCCUCUACCUUUAUAUCUAAUAAAUAAUGCCUAGACACAUAUUCAACCCCCAUCCUACCCACAGUGGAACACACCAACUCCUCAGAGUCAUCCUCUAACUCCACAAACAUACCAAAAUCCAUCUAGGCCUGAUUUAGAUCCAAGUCAAAUAAUAAAAUAAAACAGAAGUUGAGAGAAAGCCUUACGCCAAUUGGAGAGUUAUAUGCCAGUUUAUUUCAGAGAUUGUUAUAGUGGGGUAUGAUCACUCCUCUCCUUGGGAACACUCUAAAUUAGCAUUCUAGAAAUUUUGAUCCUAACGUAUGAUGUGCGUAUCAUUCUGAUGCUCAGGGUCAUAAAAUUGAAAAUUAUCGAGAUUUGAAAAGAGAAAUUGAAAAGAUGAUUCAAGAUGGAUCGAUUAUGGUGCAGAACAUUAACAAUGAGGAAAGCUCUAGUCAUGAUUAUAUGCAAACUAGUGGAUAAGAUGUCAGGCUGAGCAAUUGAUAAGUCACUCCUCUCCCUACUAGAAAGACGUCUGGUAGUUUGUUUUCUUUUCUUUUCUAUUUUUUGAAUUAUUUCAGGGUUGUAGUUCGAGAUCUAUCUUAUUUUAUUUCUUUGUCAUCUUUUUUUAAACCCUUUGUCUUUUCUUUUAAUGAAAUGUGGCAUCCUUUGUUAGUUUUGUUUUAGGGAUAGAUUGGGUCGCUAGUGUAGGGUUUUUUUUUUAUUUUUUAUUCCCGUUAUGAUUCUGUAGUCAGUGUUCCAUGCUUAUUACAUAUCUGUGUGCUUUCCUCUUCUUUCCUCUGUUUUAUAUUCCUUAUGGGUGCCAUAUUUAUGUUAUGUCAUCUGCUUCUGUGCUUUACUAUGUGUUUGUGUGAUAUCUUGUGCCUUGAGCCGGGGGUCUUUCGGAAAUAGCCUUUCUACUUCAUCAGAGGUAGAGGUAUGGGCUGCGUACAUCUUACCCCCCCC
RNAcentral lists this long non-coding RNA (476946 nucleotides) under Capsicum annuum. RNAcentral describes it as "long non-coding RNA (CANN_LNC004483)". Lineage: Eukaryota; Viridiplantae; Streptophyta; Magnoliopsida; Solanales; Solanaceae. The record is from RNAcentral.